Molecule: long non-coding RNA, 408825 nt
Filed under: Sorghum bicolor (sorghum)
Lineage: Eukaryota; Viridiplantae; Streptophyta; Magnoliopsida; Poales; Poaceae
Description: long non-coding RNA (SBIC_LNC017631)
Rfam family: Plant small nucleolar RNA R71 (bases 196381-196487)
Source: RNAcentral
CUUUGUGCCUCUAUUUACCAUACAUAGGGAGAACGUAUAGUAUGCACAAAAGAAAUUGUUGGCAUCUCUUGGAUGAAGAUAGAAACUGAAGGUUUUGCAUGGUACUGAAAUUAUGAACAUAUCCAUUUUAUUGUGAUUGCUGCACAAACCAAUGUACCACAGACCAGCGACUUUCAGCUGUCUCCAUAACACCCAAAAUUAAUCUCAUGCAUACCGAAGGAAAAUAUGGCAAUAGGCUCGUCCAAAUUACAUACCAAAUAAAUAUACAACCUACUGGUCUGAAGAGAACACUGUGAUUAUUGAUGCAACCACAAGACUGGAUAGAAAAGGAUGAACAAUGUUUCUUCUUAUGAAGCAACAGGCAAGCAUCAUCGAUGGUGCUAAAAAUGUGAACGGAAACAUUAAUUGUGCCAAAUUAAAAGCAAGUACAGCACAAGAAAGCACAAAAUUGAUGCCCAAAAACUCAAAGAAAUAGGAGAGGCAAAAGUGACCGUACACAACCAAAGUGUAUGGCAAUGUAAUCCUCGGAAAUAGGGCAUGUGCUCAGAAAUGAUAGUAUAUAAUUUGGCGUCACAUGUAAUGAUCAUAGAUAAUGAACACGCAAAGGGCAAAUCAUUAUAGGUAAUUGCAUGAAAACCACGGAUCUCAUAAGUAAGAGUGAAUCCAGCCGCAUAGUAUGUGACUAAAUACACAAUAAGCUGUAGCUCUCAUUGGUGCAUUAAAACUGCACAAAAUAGAACAGCCAGGAAUGAAUACAAGGAAACAGAAUCAUCCAAUUGACCAUUGCCUAAUGUAUUAUGGGACAAGCACAAGAAACAAAAACAUAAUUUCAGGUCCAAUCAUCAUAGCAGUAGCCCAUUCCCUUAAUUUUGAACGCAACAACAAUACGAAACUGUACUCAUCACUACACAUGACUGGAAUGCAAACAAUAAACAUAAGAACACCAGCGCUACAGUGGUGUCACACAAAUGUCACUGAUACGCUCAUGUGCUCAGAUCUUGGUCGUAAUACCUCUCUGCUCUCAUAUCCAACGAAAUUGAGCAGCUCACGACCUACAGAACAAGAAUCUGCAAUAACCAUGUAGAUCGACAAGAGAAAAGGAGAACACCAUAUCUACGACAAAAUGGAGCCCUCGUUCAUGCAUAUGGCACAUCUGGAGAGAGGGGAGGGAAAGAGAGGGGAGGGAAGGAGAGGGGAGGGGAGUAAACCAGUGAGCGGACAGAUCGAGGGAGAGCAAAGCCGCGCCGACUGUCUCCAAAGAGCUCACAUAGAGGGGGUAGGCGGCCAUGGCGCCGGCCAUGGCUGCCCGUGCCACGCCGCCGCGCAGGGCCGUGCGUGUCGGUCGCGCCACACCGUGCCGCGGGGCUCGCCCGCGCAGUGGUGGGGGAAAGGGAGGGACGCUGUCGCCUCGUGCACGUCGCCGCGACUGCCUGCAAGGAGCUCGCACAGAGGGGGAGGGCAGCCGUGCCCGCCAGCAAUGGCCGCCCAUGAAAGGUCCUUGUUUGGUUUUGGUAAUUGAGUGACAACUUAGGUGGACUAAUAGUGUUUAUGUGAGAUACACAGGAGAUUAGUCCACAGGUGAAGAUGUGAUGAUGGAGGAGCUCAUUGCAUAUGAGACAUGACAUGGAGUCAUGUGACCAAGGUGGAGAAGAUCAAGAUGAGGCUUGGCUCGAUGGACCGGUUGCAAGAGUGAAGGGCCAGUCAGAGGCUUUGAAGCGAGGGACCGCGUGUGACGGUGAAGCUUGAGCAAGACUUGACGCCGAUGGACCGAGGCAAUGGUGAAGAGCAAGUGAGGUCAAGAUCGAUGAAACAAUACGGUCACGUGAUGAUAUGAAGUGGAUCAUAUCUUUUGGUGAUUGGUUGGUGCAUGUGUUGCAUCAACAUUGGAGGAGAUGGAAUGGAAAGCGCAAGGCAAAGGUAUAACCUAGGGCAUUUCCAUUUCACCGGUCAUAGGUGUGUAGAGAAGUUUACGACCGGAUUUAGGAUAGAUGGCCGUACUAUCAAGAGGGGCAAACUUGUUUGCAUAUGGGUCAUCUAGUGCCACUUGAGCGAUCUAACUUUGCAUACGUGUUAGGAUCGAGUGGCGUGGUAAGUUUGAGAGGCUAACUCAUUUGGGAAAAUAUUUGUGAAAAUGCUAACACACAUGCACAUGGUGGUGUACACUUGGUGGUAUUUGGCGCUUUUGAGAAAAUUAAGUGCAUAUUUUCUAUUGCGCCGGUGGGAAUUUUGGAGAAGUCGCGGGAGUGUUUCUCAGUAGGAAACACUCACGGACGCUCUGCGCGGAGGCACCGGACGCUGGCCUUUAGCGUCCGGUGUGCAGUCGGGUGCAGCAAAGUGCACCGGACGCACCGGAGAGAGUCCGGUGCUCAGCGUCCGGUGUGUGAGCUGUUUGGCGACCCUAUCUGCGCAUGAGUCCGGUGAGCUUGCGAGUUUGCGAAGCUCUCUGCGCACGGGUCCGGUGUGCAUCGGACGCGUCCGGUGUGGACUAGUUGAGUGUCCGGUGGUGCUGUGUCAGGCGCGGGCGCGUGGAAGCCGUUGGCGGUAACGGUCGAGUUCAAACGGCUAGUGACACGUGGCCGACGCCUGAGCACCGGACGCUGGGGUCGAGCGUCCGGUGGCUCCCUGUGAGCGUCCGGUGCCCACGUGUUUUGCCCAGUGAAGGGGCAACGGCUAGUUUAGCCCUUGGGGCUAUAAAUAGAAGUGGUGGCCAGCCUUGGCUGGUGCUGAGCACCCUUGGGACUUAGUGUCCACGCUUGGGGAGUGCUAGGAAAGCCUCUAACACACUUGUUCUUGCAAGAGUGCGAAUCAAUAGCGAGUGAGUGAUUCCAGUGCGUUGCAUUGAGAGAUUGCAUCGAGUGGCACUAGGUGUUCGUGUUGCAAGCCAGGGGUGCUUGUUACUCUUGGAGGUUGCCACCUCCUAGAUGGCUUGGUGGCUUGUGACUCCGUCGAAGCACGCAAGGAGAUUGUGUGGUGCUCCGGAGAAGAGAUUGUGAGGGGUACGGUGCUCACCCCGUGGGGAUCGUGAAGAGCAACUCUAGUUGAGCGAGACGUGAAGAGCAACAAGUGGUCCGGCCGGGUCAAGUGCUAGAGCUUGUGGUAAGCACUCCACAUGGGAGAGUGUGACUUGCGGGUCACCACUAGCAAGAGGACCGGCGACAACCUUGGAGCUUGUCUCAACGGGGACGUAGCUUGGUGGCAACCAAGUGAACCUUGGGAGAAAAUCAUCGUGUCAACAUUGUUCUUCCCGUUGGUUUGCAAGUCCCUAACACAAGCUUGUUCUUACUUUCAUAUAUUUGUGCUUGUGUAGUUGCUCUUGUAAUUAGUUAGCUUGUGUAGCUUGCUAGUUACCUUCUUGCUUGUGUAGCUAGAAGUAGUUCCCUUGCGUGACUAAUUUGGUUUGUGUAAUCUUGUUAGUCACAUUGCUUAGUUUUUGUAGCUAAGUAAGUUGUGCUCUCUAAUUUGGCAUUAGUUGCCUUGUUAUUGAGCUUGCUAGUGAGAUUAGGCUUUGUGCGCUUUGCCUCACUAGUUUGAGUAGGAGCUCCCCCGGUUUGCAAAGUACUAGUUGCAUAGGUUUGUGUGACCUUGCUCCUAGAAUUGGUUAGGUGAGCUCUUGCUAAGGUAGCACCUUGCUUGCUUGUUUAGGAUCUUUUCAAGGUGCUAGAGAACAUAGAUAGAGGGGUGUAGUCUUGGCUAGACCGAUAGUUUUAAUUCCACAUUUGUUUCGGUUAGCCGGCGUAAUAAUUUUUAGAAAGGACUAUUCACCCCCCCUCUAGUCCGCCAUCUCGACCCUUCAAGUGGUAUCGGAGCUAGGUCUCUCAUUUGUGGUCUUCACCGACCCGAGAGGAUGGCGGCUUAUGGGCUAGAUGAUUGUGAGACACACAUUUUUGAUGGUACAAACUUUGCACUUUGGAAAAAUCACAUGCUUGAUCAUUUUCGUGCAAAGGGACCUAAAUUUUGGUGGAUUGUCACUAAUGGUCUCACACACAACUUGGACCAUAAGAAUUUCACCAAAGCUCAAAAGGUUCUCUUUGAACUUGAUUGUGAAGCUUAUUGUUAUCUAAUGAAAUCUUUGAGCUUUGAGUUGUUUGAUAGGAUAAACUCGAAAGGAACCGCAUAUGAAAUGUGGGAGUCUAUCAAACACACCUUCGGUGAUUCCUCCACAUGGGAUGAUGACAAGUUCAAAAAGGAGGUGUUGGUGCAAAAGCUGGUCUGCAAACACAAAGGGCUAAUACCCGAUUUCAAACGUUAAGGCGUGCCAGCCGAUUUGACCUUACUAUCGGCAAAGGUGAUAACUCGAAUACUUUAGUCCUGACAACAGCGAUGCGCCCGGAUGUCACGGCUAAGAGGUACUCACGCGGAACUUGAGAACACACCGAGCUUGAGUCGACGAAUUCCUAAGAACUCGUAAUGAAAAGGGAAAAAAGUAUGACGAAGUCGUCGAAAAAGUAGAUGCUGGAAUAUGAGUAAAAACGUGUGUUUGAUUGAUUGAUAGAUAGAUCAUUAUAAGGUCCUAGGGUCUAUAUUUAUACCCUGCUCAAAGAGCUACAACCAUUCACGAUUAGAAUUCGAAUUUCAAAUUACACGGAAUCCGUAUACAAAAUGAUGUAAAUAAUUAAGGAAAUAACAAAACUAUCUCCCGUGACAAACUGAACUCCUCAACAAACCGAUCGGCAGCUUAGUCACUGUCUGUAGACUUAGUCACGUUCAAUUUCUCCCCCAUCGGCAACCAUCCUCAUCGGAACUCAUCUUGUAAACAAAACACUGCCAUUUCAUCCUGCCAUCCUGGACACGUGCCCAAAAACGAUGUCAACACAUGCCCCCCAAUUUUGGAGUAUGAAAUCAUUAAUGCUCCGAAAUUCUCUGCAGUAAUGAUGCCUUUUCCCGCAAUUAAUGCUCCCAAUCUGGUAACCGACAACCUCAAUCUGAACAACUCUGAUCCUAUUCUUCUGCGGAUUCCUCGAAACCCUCAACUUCCUAAACGGGCAUUUCCUUCUCAACCGUACAUCGGCAAUAUUACCGUUACGAAGAUCUGCCGAUGUACUGAUCAGGACGUUUGUACAAACGGCUACCUUCACUUCAUUCGCCCACCGGCAAUAUGACCGUUACAGAGCAUUGCCGAUGGACCGACCAGGAAAUCUCGCACAGUAAAAUAUCUUCAGAUAAUGACCGCUUCCCGUCAAAUCACCUGCACAAUCCCUUGAUUACCGUGCAAACAGUUACCAUAUCUACCUGAGCACCCUCGGAUUUCUCGGAUGCGGCAAAGUGAUAAGUCAGAUUUGCCCUUGCCCAUUUUGUCUGAUAAAUAGUUCCUUCUCGGGUACUCCUUCCCCAUCACAUCAUUCCACCAUCCCAACUUUACUUUUCCAGCGGCGGCGCCAUUCAACGUCUCCAAGACCUCCGGCAAAAACUCUUCCUCACCAACCCGAAGCCCCCAGGCAUCCUCCUCGUCGCAAGAUGGCUAUUAGCUUCAUCGUCCCUGAGGUCAAUUCUUCAUUCCAUCCCCUGUUCUUUUCUUCGCAUCCCUGUUCAUCCGCAAUCCAUUUUACUGAACAUUUUCUUUUCUUUUCUUUGUGUUCUUUUUCUUUAUUUCAAAAACCACCAGGAAUUGUCUAACAAAAUCGUCAUCCCCACCGAUCAACCACACCUCCAAUGCCUCGGCCCUCUAGGGGAUCCAGAUCCAACCGAUCUCAUUAACGCAGAAACCAAUAGGAUCCCUUUCAGAGCCGAAAAUUUUUCUUUAGAUCUGUGAAAAGACACCUUCCACUCUUGGCCCAGUCCUACCGUAGGGUGGAAAGACUGGUUCUUGAGAGUCAGCAACUCCAAUGAAGUCCAGUGGGGUGAGAGAAAACUAGAUCAAUGCAUUAGGUUGUCCAUUGCCGAUAUGCACAGGAAUGAGUCACUGUUGAUAGCUGCAUCUUACUUUUGGUCAGACACCCUCAAUGCUUUUGUCUUUGGCCACGGCCCUGCUUCUCCUACUCUUGCCGAUGUAGCCAUGCUCACCGGUCUAGAUGUAUCUUCUGCCGAUAGCACCCACCUUUUUGACACAGCUCCUAGUGCCAAAGUAGAGACUCGCGCUAUCGGCGGCUGGUCAGGGUACAUUCAGAAGUAUCAUGGGAAGGGACCUGUCAGCAUAAAGGAACAAACCACCUUUCUGAAUAUGUGGCUCGACAAGUUUGUGUUCUGUUGUCGAUCGGCAGGACCGACUUCCGUCUAUCUAUCGGCAGCAGAGAGACUGGCUAACGGUGGUCGAUUCCCUCCCGGCCGAUACUUGCUUGGUGCCGUUUACCAUCUUCUCCAUCAGGUGGCCAAGAAACUCCUGCUCGGCCAGUCUACUGGCAACUUAGGUGGCCCUUGGUGGUUCAUUAACAUGUGGCUUAAUCUGCAUCUGCACAAGCGCCUCAACUUCAACCUGUUCACACAGCGUUUCCCAAGAGAUAUAACUGAAAAUCAUGUGCUGGGUGAAGAGGAAUCGGCAACACGCGCUCCCUUGAACUUUGACGAAGCUGUCAUAGUUCUACCUGGUUCAGGGGGUAAUCCAGAUCAGAUCGGCCGAUUCUUCCAGACUCUGUAUGAGGGCUUGGCCAGAGAUGAACGACCGUGGUUGGCCUAUGAUGACCCAGACAGUAUGCUCCCCCUGGUUUUCAAUCCAUUUGAUGACGCUCUUGACAGGGAUAAUGAGGUGAUGAUGGCAAUUGUGACUCCUAGAGCCAUACCAGUGAAUUUCUUUGGUAGCACAAAAACCUCUCCCCAGACUUAUGAAUUUUACAACCCAUCGGCAUUAGCUCGUCAAUUAGCUUUCGGCCAGUUGCCGAUUGCGCUCUGUUAUGCCGAUGUGAUAAAACCCAGAGAGCCCGUCAGCAACUUUCUUAAGUGGAUUCGAGUAGCCCAACUACCACCGAAUGCCGAUACAGAUGCAGAUUUGUCAGAGUGGGUUCCAGCCGCUUUCAUCACUCAGGCGUACAAACUAUGGUGGGCAGAAUGGAAGGAGCAUCUAUUCUGCAAAUCAGCCCUUUCGUAUCGCGGCAUGAUUGAUCCCGAGUACAAAGUCCCUGACGACGCUGUAAGUAUUCCAAACCGAUGUUCCAAUUCCUUUGUAUACCUUUUGCAGGUUGACAACAUCCCCCCAUCGGAUAGCAGAAGUGGUAAGCCGAUUGACCUGUUUCCAUCAGGCCCGAUCUCCUCAUUCGGCCACAAUGCUCCCACUCUGGCUACCAUCGUGCAUCGGGGUGUGCGCCUUAAGAAAGUCACCACCAGGAGAACUCAGACAUUACCAACGGUAGCUGCUUCCACUCUGGCGCAGGCUUUCAAGGCAAUUUCCCAAACCUUUUUUAUUCACACUGAUCACCUUUAUAUCGGCUACAUUUGUACUCAUAAACUCCUUUUUGUUGUUGUAGCAAACCGGUGCAUCGGCAAAAGCCAAACGCCAAGGUGCCGAUGCCCCCCAGUCUAGUCAGCCAAAGAGGAAGGGCGCCAAGGGUACCAAGGCUGGAACAAAGCGCCAGAAAGUGGCAACUCCCCCUCCUCCUCCGGUAUCUCCAAUUCCGGUGGAGUCUUCCCCUUCUUCUCAAGAAGCCUAGACGCAGCAAGCACCAUCUCCCCAACCAAUGCAGGAAGCACCACAGAUGGAAGAACUCCAGCAAGAAGAACCUCAGUUAGAAGCACCCCAACCAGAAGACACGCCGGCCGAUGUAGGCGAUCAAACUACCGAUCCAGCAGGUUCAAUCAUACUAUCGGUAGUUUCUUCAGUUCAGACAAGUAUCAUCCCUCCUCAGGGUAACGUACUCCCUACAAUAUUACUGCCGACGAGCUUCUCCUUUUCGAUCUUAUAACCCCUCCUGUUAACUUUUAGUUGACGUAGUUCCAUCGGCAACUCUGGCCGACCAACCUGUGGUCCCAUCGGCAUCUUUCAGCCAAAGGCGAGAGAUUGCCUUGAAGCAAGUAAGUCAUCCAAUCUUCCACUUGUAUCAUUUGCCGAUGCUUUGACCAUAAAAAUGACUCAUUUUAUCUUCUCUCUCAGGAACAAGACUCUCCCGACAGCUUAUUCUCCUUCGCCAUUGAUAUCUCCGAAGAGGAAGGUGAGGAAGCAAGUUCCUCCCGGGCAGCUGGGAUUGUAUCGGCAGAGACCAGGGCUAAGCUGGAAGAACUAUCGGCUAUCCUUCAUCAAGACACAGCUCAACUGGUUAAUGAUUCCGACCCGGCCAAGGUUCUGUUCAAGACCCUCAGAGGCCAGAUCCCUAUCGAUGCUGAAGAAACCCUCUUCCAAGCCACACAUCUAGAAAGUCGCCAGCUGCAAUACCAGAGAGCCACUCGGCGCCUUGCCGAUAGAGCUGCUCAGACCCAGCUCUCUGAGGAGAUGAUGAAAGAGAAACUCUUAGCCGAUGAGAAGCACAAGAACAUUGACACCUUGAAGUCCUCAGGCGAUGCAUUGAAGCAGAAGAUAUCUGACCUAUCGGCAAAAAGGGAAUCCCUGUUGGCAGAACUCAAGCAAGUGGAGGAUGCCUUAUCCCGAGCCCAGCAAGAAGAAAGUCAACUACCGGAGACCAUCAAGCACCUCGAGCAAGAGCGAAAUGCCCACGGUCGCAAAGCGCUGCAGUUGAAGAUGAUGAUGCCAAAGAGAUAGAACAAGCCAACCAAAUCCGGCUGCGCGCCAUAUCGGCGAUCCAGGCGCUGCUGAACAUCUGAAGCUUUCAUCGGCAACACGUCUUCGCUCUUCUGCAUUUCAGCUUUCUUAAUGUCUUAGUCUAGCCGAUAGGACUGUUAUCGGCAUCUUUUGAAAUGUUAAGUCUGGCCCCAGAUACAUUUUAAUCCAGCCGAUAGGAGUGUUAUCAGCGCUUAAACUUCUAUGCAUCGAUCCAUAUGCUGGGGUAGUACUUCUUUAAAUAUUUGCCAUUUAAUGCUCUGGGAAAUUCAACUCCUUCGAGAGUUUCUAAAAUAUAGGCAUUUCCAGGAGCCGAUCGACUUAUCCGAUAAGGACCUUCCCAAUUAGGAGACCACUUUCCAAACUUCGAACUUUUGGUCCCGAUCGGUAAAAUUAAUUUCCAUACCAAGUCUCCAUCGGCAAACUCCUUAGCCUUUACUUUCUUGUCAUACCAUCUAGCAACUCUCUUCUUAUUUUCUUCUAUACUCAUUAAAACCUUUAACCGAUGUCCUGCUAGAUCGUCUAACUCAUCGGUCAUCAAAGUGGCAUAAUUAUCGGCAGCCAAUUGAUCUUGAAAAGAUAAUCGCCUAGAUCCAGCCUUAAUUUCCCAAGGCAACACUACAUGAUGUCCAUACACCAAUUGAUAGGGUGACACCUUGGUUGAUCCAUGACAAGUCAUCCGAUAGGACCACAAUGCUUCAUUUAAUAAUGUAUGCCACCGCUUAGGAUUUUCUUCAAUCUUUCGUUUGAUAAGCUUGAUAAUUCCUUUGUUAGACGCCUCGGCCUGCCCAUUGGCUUGAGCAUAAUAAGGAGAAGAAUUCAACACUUUAAUCCCCAUACCGACUACAAAUUCAUCAAACUCCCCCGAUGUAAACAUAGUGCCCUGAUCGGUAGUAAUUGUUUGAGGAAUCCCAAAUCGGUAAAUGAUAUGCUCCUUCACAAAAUCAAUCAUGUUGGCUGAUGUGACUCUCUUCAAAGGAAUAGCUUCGACCCACUUAGUGAAAUAAUCAGUGGCAACCAGAAUAAACUUAUGCCCUUUGCUAGAUGGUGGAUAAAUCUGGCCGAUCAGAUCAAUAGCCCAUCCUCGGAACGGCCAAGGCUUUAUGAUAGGAUUCAUAGCCGAUGCAGGUGCCCUUUGAAUAUUACCAAACUUUUGACACCCUUGACACCCUUUGAAAUACUUAAAGCAAUCCUCAAGUAUAGUCGGCCAAUAAUAUCCAUUCCUUAUAAUCAUCCACUUCACCUUAAAAGCCGACUGAUGUGCUCCACACACUCCUUCAUGAAUUUCUCCCAUCAAACUCCUAGCUUCAUCAUCACCUAAGCAUCGGAGAAGAAUUCCAUCAAGAGUUCGAUAGUACAAUUCAUCUUCGAGGAGCACAUACUUGGUUGCUUGAAAUCGAACUCGUCUUUCAACUUUCUUGGAUGGAUCUUUCAAAUAAUCAAUAAUUUCUUUCCUCCAAUCAUCGGCACCGAUUGCCGAUAUUGCAUUAAUCAUAGGCUGAUAUCCCGAGGCAUGCUGAGCUAACCGAUUGGCCUCUUCAUUAUGCAAUCGAGGAACAUGCUCUAAUCGGAAAUCUUUGAAUUCCUUUAACAGUUGCAUGCUCUUCUCGAAAUAAGUUAUGAGAACUUCACUUCGGCAUUCAUAGCUCCCGGCCAAUUGAUUUAUAACCAACAUAGAAUCCCCGAAGACUUCAACAGCGUCAGCACGAACUUCCCUUAACAACUCUAUUCCUUUUAUCAAAGCCUGAUAUUCAGCCUGAUUAUUUGUUGACGUAGCAACAAUUGGCAAGGAAAAUUCAUACUUCCUUCCCAUAGGAGAAACUAACACUAUGCCGAUUCCUGCCCCCCGGUCACAUGUAGAUCCAUCAAAGAAGAGUGUCCAAGGCACAAUUUCCACAGCCUCCAACGUGCCACAAUGUUGGGUCACAAAAUCGGCCAUAACCUGCCCUUUAACUGCCUUAGUCGAUUCAUAACGCAGAUCGAACUCCGACAACGCCAAAAUCCAUUUACCGAUCCUGCCACUCAUAAUCGGCAUAGAUAGCAUGUACCGGACCACAUCAUCUUUGCAAACAACAGUGCAUUCGGCCGAUAACAAGUAGUGCCUUAACUUGAUACACGAAAAAUAUAAGCAUAGGCAAAGUUUCUCAAUGGCCGAAUACCUGGUCUCAGCAUCAAUCAACCUCCUGCUUAAGUAAUAAAUUAUGCGCUCUUUCCCUUCAAAUUCUUGAAUCAAAGCUGAACCGAUAACCACCCCAUCGGUAGACAAAUACAAUCUGAAGGGCUUUCCUUGCUGAGGUGGAACUAGAACUGGAGGAUUCACUAGAUACUUCUUAAUUUCAUCCGGAGCCAACUGUUGCUCUUUCCCCCAAAUAAAUUCUUGAUCGGCUUUUAGCUUAAGAAGAGGACUGAAAGCACGAAUUUUACCAGACAAAUUAGAUAUAAAUCUCCUGAUAAAAUUUACCUUGCCGAUCAAGGACUGGAGCUCAGUUUUGUUGGUAGGGGCCACUAUCUUAUUGAUGGCGUCAAUAGAUCUUCGACUGAUUUCAAUCCCCCUUCGAUGUACCAUGAAACCAAGAAACUGCCCUGCCGAUACACCAAAUGCGCACUUAUUGGGAUUCAUUUUCAAUCCAUGCUUCCUUGUGCACUCUAACACCUUUCGUAGAUCGCCAAGAUGCUUUGUGAAAUCCCCACACUUAACCACCACAUCAUCAAUAUAAAUCUCCACCAGCUUGCCGAUGAACUCAUGAAAUAUAAAAUUCAUAGCCCUUUGAUAAGUAGCACCAGCAUUCUUGAGGACAAAAGUCAUGACUAUCCAUUCAAAUAACCCAACAUGACAAGGACACCUAAAUGCGGUUUUUGGAAUAUCUUCCUCUGCCAUGAAUAUUUGAUUGUAUCCCGCAUUGCCAUCCAUAAAGCUAAUGAUCCGAUGACCAGCCGCGGCGUCAACCAGCAGAUCGGCAACAAGCAUCGGGUAUCCAUCCAUCGGCGUAGCUUUAUUGAGAUUCCUGAAAUCAAUGCACACCCGAAGCUUCCCGUUUUUCUUGUAAACCGGAACGACAUUGGAAAUCCAUUCGGCAUACCGACACUGCCGAAUAAACUUAGCUUCAAUAAGUUUAGUGAUUUCGGCCUUAAUAUCAGGUAGAAUAUUAUGAUUACAUCGGCGAGCUGGCUGCUGAUGUGGCCGAAAUCCAAACUUGAUGGGUAACCGAUGUUCAACAAUUGAUCGGUCUAAACCAGGCAUCUCGGUAUAAUCCCAGGCAAAGCAAUCUUUAUAUUCCUUUAACAAAUCGGUUAAUUGUUGCUUACACUCAGGAUUUAACUUAGCACUAAUAAAAGUAGGUCUAGGCUUAUCACCACUACCUAUAUCUACUUCUACCAAAUCAUCGGCCGAUGUGAAUCCCUGGCCUAAUUUUCCAUCAUCAGCGAACCUAUCCAUCAAAAACAGUCGUCAGAACCGACUGCUUGGAUCGGUGGAAUCUCGUAAUCGGCAACCUUGAGAAAAUCUUUCUCCCAAACUUCUCCUGAAAUGCACCUGGUCCUCUCAUAGGUAUCCGCCUCUGCCGACGCAAUGACAUAAGAAGAAUCUCCUGGGACAAUCUCAAUUUUGUCACCUACCCACUGAACCAAGCAUUGGUGCAUUGUAGACGGGAUGCAACAAUUGGCAUGAAUCCAAUCACUUCCCAAUAACAAGUUGUACGCACCCUUUCCACUGAUCACGAAGAAAGUUGUUGGCAAAGUUUUGCUGCCGAUGGUCAACUCCACACAUAUUGCCCCCUUGACUGGAGACACGUUCCCUUCAAAGUCUUUAAGCAUCAUAUCGGUCUUGGUCAAAUCCUGAUCCCCUUUCCCAAGCUUCCGAUAUACUGUAUACGGCAUAAUAUUAAUAGCAGCUCCACCAUCAACUAGGAUCUUGGUCAUUGGCUGCCCAUCAACCCUUCCUUUGACGAACAGAGCUUUGAGAUGCUGUCUUUCGUCAUCGGCAGGUUUCUCAAAGAUAGCUGUCAUCGGAUCUAGAGCCAGCUGAGCUAUUUGAUCGGAAAACUCCACCUCGUCAUCACUGGAUGCUACUUGGCUAAAUCAAAUUGAACAAACAUUGACGAUGUUGCUUAUCUCCUUGCAGUGACAAGAAAGAGGGGACAAAGGGGAAGCAAAAACAAACCUUAGAGGAACUCAUAGCGGUGCUUAUCUCGUCCUAGGGUUUAUUCUUUUGAGUUUUAAGGUGUCUGCAACAUAAUUUAAGGAAAGGUCCAAUAUCAUUAGUUUGUUUCCAAUCAGAGAAUUGGGAACAUAAAUUGAAGAUGAUGAAAUCAAGUUUGACAGAUCUUCAAGAAUAUCUUGUAUUGUGUGCUGCCUUAAAUUUUGUUUUAUAGGAAAAAGAAAGUUGUUCAUGUACCUCAAGAGCACUAAAGUUUGCAUACAUAGGUACUGAAAGGGAAUAAAGAAUUAAAGAAAACCCAGAUUACCUUGGUCCAGUAGUGGUUACACAAGAGGAAUCUGCAAAUCACCAAACCACAUCUAGAAAAAUAUAAGGAUACACUGACAUAGUUCAAUUUGAAGCAUAGAUCAUUGCAAAGAUCUAACAAAUAAAAUGAAGAUCUUUUGUAGACAAUAGAAGCAUAAUAGCUGCAAAGUUAGACUGUAAACCUACAGUAAAUGAAAAAUAAAUAUAAUCUCCAAUUAAAACUAUUGGCAAGCCGGUAGCAUGGAAAAGUUAACCCUCAAGACCCCACAACAUUAGCAAGGCAAAUUGAUAUUCAGAGCAAGUUGAAUGGUUGAAGCUACAACAAUUAGGUAUAAGUAUAAAUUGCUUUGUGCCUCUAUUUACCAUACAUAGGGAGAACGUAUAGUAUACACAAAAGAAAUUGUUGGCAUCUCUUGGAUGAAGAUAGAAACUGAAGGUUUUGCAUGGUACUGAAAUUAUGAACAUAUCCAUUUUAUUGUGAUUGCUGCACAAACCAAUGUACCACAGACCAGCGACUUUCAGCUGUCUCCAUAACACCCAAAAUUAAUCUCAUGCAUACCGAAGGAAAAUAUGGCAAUAGGCUCGUCCAAAUUACAUACCAAAUAAAUAUACAGCCUACUGGUCUGAAGAGAACACUGUGAUUAUUGAUGCAACCACAAGACUGGAUAGAAAAGGAUGAACAUUGUUUCUUCUUAUGAAGCAACAGGCAAGCAUCAUCGAUGGUGCUAAAAAUGUGAACGGAAACAUUAAUUGUGCCAAAUUAAAAGCAAGUACAGCACAAGAAAGCACAAAAUUGAUGCCCAAAAACUCAAAGAAAUAGGAGAGGCAAAAGUGACCGUACACCACCAAAGUGUAUGGCAAUGUAAUCCUUGGAAAUAGGGCAUGUGCUCAGAAAUGAUAGUAUAUAAUUUGGCGUCACAUGUAAUGAUCAUAGAUAAUGAACACGCAAAGGGCAAAUCAUUAUAGGUAAUUGCAUGAAAACCACGGAUCUCAUAAGUAAGAGUGAAUCCAGCCGCAUAGUAUGUGACUAAAUACACAAUAAGCUGUAGCUCUCAUUGGUGCAUUAAAACUGCACAAAAUAGAACAGCCAGGAAUGAAUACAAGGAAACAGAAUCAUCCAAUUGACCAUUGCCUAAUGUAUUAUGGGACAAGCACAAGAAACAAAAACAUAAUUUCAGGUCCAAUCAUCAUAGCAGUAGCCCAUUCCCUUAAUUUUGAACGCAACAACAAUACGAAACUGUACUCAUCACUACACAUGACUGGAAUGCAAACAAUAAACAUAAGAACACCAGCGCUACAGUGGUGUCACACAAAUGUCACUGAUACGCUCAUGUGCUCAGAUCUUGGUCGUAAUACCUCUCUGCUCUCAUAUCCAACGAAAUUGAGCAGCUCACGACCUACAGAACAAGAAUCUGCAAUAACCAUGUAGAUCGACAAGAGAAAAGGAGAACACCAUAUCUACGACAAAAUGGAGCCCUCGUUCAUGCAUAUGGCACAUCUGGAGAGAGGGGAGGGAAAGAGAGGGGAGGGAAGGAGAGGGGAGGGGAGUAAACCAGUGAGCGGACAGAUCGAGGGAGAGCAGAGCCACGUCGACUGUCUCCAAAGAGCUCACAUAGAGGGGGUAGGCGGCCAUGGCGCCGGCCAUGGCUGCCCGUGCCACGCCGCCGCGCAGGGCCGUGCGUGUCGGUCGCGCCACACCGUGCCGCGGGGCUCGCCCGCGCAGUGGUGGGGGGAAGGGAGGGACGCUGUCGCCUCGUUCACGUCGCCGCGACUGCCUGCAAGGAGCUCGCACAGAGGGGGAGGGCAGCCGCGCCCGCCAGCAAUGGCCGCCCAUGAAAGGUCCUUGUUUGGUUUUGGUAAUUGAGUGACAACUUAGGUGGACUAAUAGUGUUUAUGUGAGAUACACAGGAGAUUAGUCCACAGGUGAAGAUGUGAUGAUGGAGGAGCUCAUUGCAUAUGAGACAUGACAUGGAGUCAUGUGACCAAGGUGGAGAAGAUCAAGAUGAGGCUUGGCUCGAUGGACCGGUUGCAAGAGUGAAGGGCAAGUCAGAGGCUUUGAAGCGAGGGACCGCGUGUGACGGUGAAGCUUGAGCAAGACUUGACGCCGAUGGACCGAGGCAAUGGUGAAGAGCAAGUGAGGUCAAGAUCGAUGAAACAAUACGGUCACGUGAUGAUAUGAAGUGGAUCAUAUCUUUUGGUGAUUGGUUGGUGCAUGUGUUGCAUCAACAUUGGAGGAGAUGGAAUGGAAAGCGCAAGGCAAAGGUAUAACCUAGGGCAUUUCCAUUUCACCGGUCAUAGGUGUGUAGAGAAGUUUAUGACCGGAUUUAGGAUAGAUGGCCGUACUAUCAAGAGGGGCAAACUUGUUUGCAUAUGGGUCAUCUAGUGCCACUUGAGCGAUCUAACUUUGCAUACGUGUUAGGAUCGAGUGGCGUGGUAAGUUUGAGAGGCUAACUCAUUUGGGAAAAUGUUUGUGAAAAUGCUAACACACAUGCACAUGGUGGUGUACACUUGGUGGUAUUUGGCGCUUUUGAGAAAAUUAAGUGCAUAUUUUCUAUUGCGCCGGUGGGAAUUUUGGAGAAGUCGCGGGAGUGUUUCUCAGUAGGAAACACUCACGGACGCUCUGCGCGGAGGCACCGGACGCUGGCCUUUAGCGUCCGGUGUGCUGUCGGGUGCAGCAAAGUGCACCGGACGCACCGGAGAGAGUCCGGUGCUCAGCGUCCGGUGUGUGAGCUGUUUGGCGACCCUAUCUGCGCAUGAGUCCGGUGAGCAUCGGACGCUCAGGGUGCGUCCGGUGACCUUGCGAGUUUGCGAAGCUCUCUGCGCACGGGUCCGGUGUGCAUCGGACGCGUCCGGUGUGGACUAGUUGAGCGUCCGGUGGUGCUGUGUCAGGCGCGGGCGCGUGGAAGCCGUUGGCGGUAACGGUCGAGUUCAAACGGCUAGUGACACGUGGCCGACGCCUGAGCACCGGACGCUGGGGUCGAGCGUCCGGUGACUCCCUGUGAGCGUCCGGUGCCCACGUGUUUUGCACAGUGAAGGGGCAACGGCUAGUUUAGCCCUUGGGGCUAUAAAUAGAAGUGGUGGCCAGCCUUGGCUGGUGCUGAGCACCCUUGGGACUUAGUGUCCACGCUUGGGGAGUGCUAGGAAAGCCUCUAACUCACUUGUUCUUGCAAGAGUGCGAAUCAAUAGCGAGUGAGUGAUUCUAGUGCGUUGCAUUGAGAGAUUGCAUCGAGUGGCACUAGGUGUUCGUGUUGCAAGCCAGGGGUGCUUGUUACUCUUGGAGGUUGCCACCUCCUAGACGGCUUGGUGGCUUGUGACUCCGUCGAAGCACGCAAGGAGAUUGUGUGGUGCUCCGGAGAAGAGAUUGUGAGGGGUACGGUGCUCACCCCGCGGGGAUCGUGAAGAGCAACUCUAGUUGAGCGAGACGUGAAGAGCAACAAGUGGUCCGGCCGGGUCAAGUGCUAGAGCUUGUGGUAAGCACUCCACAUGGGAGAGUGUGACUUGCGGGUCACCACUAGCAAGAGGACCGGCGACAACCUUGGAGCUUGUCUCAACGGGGACGUAGCUUGGUGGCAACCAAGUGAACCUUGGGAGAAAAUCAUCGUGUCAACAUUGUUCUUCCCGUUGGUUUGCAAGUCCCUAACACAAGCUUGUUCUUACUUUCAUAUAUUUGUGCUUGUGUAGUUGCUCUUGUAAUUAGUUAGCUUGUGUAGCUUGCUAGUUACCUUCUUGCUUGUGUAGCUAGAAGUAGUUCCCUUGCGUGACUAAUUUGGUUUGUGUAACCUUGUUAGUCACAUUGCUUAGUUUGUGUAGCUAAGUUAGUUGUGCUCUCUAAUUUGGCAUUAGUUGCCUUGUUAUUGAGCUUGCUAGUGAGAUUAGGCUUUGUGCGCUUUGCCUCACUAGUUUGAGUAGGAGCUCCCCCGGUUUGCAAAGUACUAGUUGCAUAGGUUUGUGUGACCUUGCUCCUAGAAUUGGUUAGGUGAGCUCUUGCUAAGGUAGCACCUUGCUUGCUUGUUUAGGAUCUUUUCAAGGUGCUAGAGAACAUAGAUAGAGGGGUGUAGUCUUGGCUAGACCGAUAGUUUUAAUUCCACAUUUGUUUCGGUUAGCCGGCGUAAUAAUUUUUAGAAAGGACUAUUCACCCCCCCUCUAGUCCGCCAUCUCGACCCUUCAAGUGGUAUCGGAGCUAGGUCUCUCAUUUGUGGUCUUCACCAACCCGAGAGGAUGGCGGCUUAUGGGCUAGAUGAUUGUGAGACACACAUUUUUGAUGGUACAAACUUUGCAGUUUGGAAAAAUCACAUGCUUGAUCAUUUUCGUGCAAAGGGACCUAAAUUUUGGUGGAUUGUCACUAAUGGUCUCACACACAACUUGGACCAUAAGAAUCUCACCAAAGCUCAAAAGGUUCUCUUUGAACUUGAUUGUGAAGCUUAUUGUUAUCUAAUGAAAUCUUUGAGCUUUGAGUUGUUUGAUAGGAUAAACUCGAAAGGAACCGCAUAUGAAAUGUGGGAGUCUAUCAAACACACCUUCGGUGAUUCCUCCACAUGGGAUGAUGACAAGUUCAAAAAGGAGGUGUUGGUGCAAAAGCUGGUCUGCAAACACAAAGGGCUAAUACCCGAUUUCAAACGUUAAGGCGUGCCAGCCGAUUUGACCUUACUAUCGGCAAAGGUGAUAACUCGAAUACUUUAGUCCUGACAACAGCGAUGCGCCCGGAUGUCACGGCUAAGAGGUACUCACGCGGAACUUGAGAACACACCGAGCUUGAGUCGACGAAUUCCUAAGAACUCGUAAUGAAAAGGGAAAAAAGUAUGACGAAGUCGUCGAAAAAGUAGAUGCUGGAAUAUGAGUAAAAACGUGUGUUUGAUUGAUUGAUAGAUAGAUCAUUACAAGGUCCUAGGGUCUAUAUUUAUACCCUGCUCAAAGAGCUACAACCAGACACGAUUAGAAUUCGAAUUUCAAAUUACACGGAAUCCGUAUACAAAACGAUGUAAAUAAUUAAGGAAAUAACAAAACUAUCUCCCGUGACAAACUGAAACUCCUCAACAAACCGAUCGGCAGCUUAGUCACUGUCUGUAGACUUAGUCACGUUCAAUUUCUCCCCCAUCGGCAACCAUCCUCAUCGGCAACUCAUCUUGUAAACAAAACACUGCCAUUUCAUCCUGCCAUCCUGGACACGUGCCCAAAAACGAUGUCAACACAUGCCCCCCAAUUUUGGAGUAUGAAAUCAUUAAUGCUCCGAAAUUCUCUGCAGUAAUGAUGCCUUUUCCCGCAAUUAAUGCUCCCAAUCUGGUAACCGACAACCUCAAUCUGAACAACUCUGAUCCUAUUCUUCUGCGGAUUCCUCGAAACCCUCAACUUCCUAAACAGGCAUUUCCUUCUCAACCGUACAUCGGCAAUAUUACCGUUACGAAGAUCUGCCGAUGUACUGAUCAGGACGUUUGUACAAACGGCUACCUUCACUUCAUUCGCCCACCGGCAAUAUGACCGUUACAGAGCAUUGCCGAUGGACCGACCAGGAAAUCUCGCACAGUAAAAUAUCUUCAGAUAAUGACCGCUUCCCGUCAAAUCACCUGCACAAUCCCUUGAUUACCGUGCAAACAGUUACCAUAUCUACCUGAGCACCCUCGGAUUUCUCGGAUGCGGCAAAGUGAUAAGUCAGAUUUGCCCUUGCCCAUUUUGUCUGAUAAAUAGUUCCUUCUCGGGUACUCCUUCCCCAUCACAUCAUUCCACCAUCCCAACUUUACUUUUCCAGCGGCGGCGCCAUUCAACGUCUCCAAGACCUCCGGCAAAAACUCUUCCUCACCAACCCGAAGCCCCCAGGCAUCCUCCUCGUCGCAAGAUGGCUAUUAGCUUCAUCGUCCCUGAGGUCAAUUCUUCAUUCCAUCCCCUGUUCUUUUCUUCGCAUCCCUGUUCAUCCGCAAUCCAUUUUACUGAACAUUUUCUUUUCUUUUCUUUGUGUUCUUUUUCUUUAUUUCAAAAACCACCAGGAAUUGUCUAACAAAAUCGUCAUCCCCACCGAUCAACCACACCUCCAAUGCCUCGGCCCUCUAGGGGAUCCAGAUCCAACCGAUCUCAUUAACACAGAAACCAAUAGGAUCCCUUUCAGAGCCGAAAAUUUUUCUUUAGAUCUGUGAAAAGACACCUUCCGCUCUUGGCCCAGUCCUACCGUAGGGUGGAAAGACUGGUUCUUGAGAGUCAGCAACUCCAAUGAAGUCCAGUGGGGUGAGAGAAAACUAGAUCAAUGCAUUAGGUUGUCCAUUGCCGAUAUGCACAGGAAUGAGUCACUGUUGAUAGCUGCAUCUUACUUUUGGUCAGACACCCUCAAUGCUUUUGUCUUUGGCCACGGCCCUGCUUCUCCUACUCUUGCCGAUGUAGCCAUGCUCACCGGUCUAGAUGUAUCUUCUGCCGAUAGCACCCACCUUUUUGACACAGCUCCUAGUGCCAAAGUAGAGACUCGCGCUAUCGGCGGCUGGUCAGGGUACAUUCAGAAGUAUCAUGGGAAGGGACCUGUCAGCAUAAAGGAACAAACCACCUUUCUGAAUAUGUGGCUCGACAAGUUUGUGUUCUGUGGUCGAUCGGCAGGACCGACUUCCAUCUAUCUAUCGGCAGCAGAGAGACUGGCUAACGGUGGCCGAUUCCCUCCCGGCCAAUACUUGCUUGGUGCCGUUUACCAUCUUCUCCAUCAGGUGGCCAAGAAACUCCUGCUCGGCCAGUCUACUGGCAACUUAGGUGGCCCAUGGUGGUUCAUUAACAUGUGGCUUAAUAUGCAUCUGCACAAGCGCCUCAACUUCAACCUGUUCACACAGCGUUUCCCAAGAGAUAUAACUGAAAAUCAUGUGCUGGGUGAAGAGGAAUCGGCAACACGCGCUCCCUUGAACUUUGACGAAGUUGUCAUAGUUCUACCUGGUUCAGGGGGUAAUCCAGAUCAGAUCGGCCGAUUCUUCCAGACUCUGUAUGAGGGCUUGGCCAGAGAUGAACGACCGUGGUUGGCCUAUGAUGACCCAGACAGUAUGCUCCCCCUGGUUUUCAAUCCAUUUGAUGACGCUCUUGACAGGGAUAAUGAGGUGAUGAUGGCAAUUGUGACUCCUAGAGCCAUACCAGUGAAUUUCUUUGGUAGCACAAAAACCUCUCCCCAGACUUAUGAAUUUUACAACCCAUCGGCAUUAGCUCGUCAAUUAGCUUUCGGCCAGUUGCCGAUUGCGCUCUGUUAUGCCGAUGUGAUAAAACUCAGAGAGCCCAUCAGCAACUUUCUUAAGUGGAUUCGAGUAGCCCAACUACCACCGAAUGCCGAUACAGAUGCAGAUUUGUCAUAGUGGGUUCCAGCCGCUUUCAUCACUCAGGCGUACAAACUAUGGUGGGCAGAAUGGAAGGAGCAUCUAUUCUGCAAAUCAGCCCUUUCGUAUCGCGGCAUGAUUGAUCCCGAGUACAAAGUCCCUGACGACGCUGUAAGUAUUCCAAAACGAUGUUCCAAUUCCUUUGUAUACCUUUUGCAGGUUGACAACAUCCCCCCAUCGGUUAGCAGAAGUGGUAAGCCGAUUGACCUGUUUCCAUCAGGCCCGAUCUCCUCAAUCGGCCACAAUGCUCCCACUCUGGCUACCAUCGUGCAUCGGGGUGUGCGCCUUAAAAAAGUCACCACCAGGAGAACUCAGACAUUACCAACGGUAGCUGCUUCCACUCUGGCGCAGGCUUUCAAGGCAAUUUGCCAAACCUUUUUUAUUCACACUGAUCACCUUUAUAUCGGCUACAUUUGUACUCAUAAACUCCUUUUUGUUGUUGCAGCAAACCGGUGCAUCGGCAAAAGCCAAAUGCCAAGGUGCCGAUGCCCCCCAGUCUAGUCAGCCAAAGAGGAAGGGCGCCAAGGGUACCAAGGCUGGAACAAAGCGCCAGAAAGUGGCAACUCCCCCUCCUCCUCCGGUAUCUCCAAUUCCGGUGGAGUCUUCCCCUUCUUCUCAAGAAGCCUAGACGCAGCAAGCACCAUCUCCCGGGCAGCUGGGAUUGUAUCGGCAGAGACCAGGGCUAAGCUGGAAGAACUAUUGGCUAUCCUUCAUCAAGACACAGCUCAACUGGUUAAUGAUUCCGACCCGGCCAAGGUUCUGUUCAAGACCCUCAGAGGCCAGAUCCCUAUCGAUGCUGAAGAAACCCUCUUCCAAGCCGCACAUCUAGAAAGUCGCCAGCUGCAAUACCAGAGAGCCACUCGGCGCCUUGCCGAUAUAGCUGCUCAGACCCAGCUCUCUGAGGAGAUGAUGAAAGAGAAACUCUUAGCCGAUGAGAAGCACAAGAACAUUGGCACCUUGAAGUCCUCAGGCGAUGCAUUGAAGCAGAAAAUCAAUGAUUUAUCGGCAAAAAGAGAAGCCCUGCUGGCAGAACUCAAGCAAGUGGAGGAUGCCUUAUCUCGAGCCCAGCAAGAAGAAAGUCAACUACCGGAGACCAUCAAGCACCUCGAGCAAGAGCGAAAUGCCCACGGUCGCAAAGCGCUGCAGUUGAAGAAGAAGCUGAAGCCGAUAGAAGGUUCUGUCGAUGAUGAUGCCAAAGAGAUAGAACAAGCCAACCAAAUCCGGCUGCGCGCCAUAUCGGCGAUCCAGGCGCUGCUGAACAUCUGAAGCUUUCAUCGGCAACACGUCUUCGCUCCUCUGCAUUUCAGCUUUCUUAAUGUCUUUGUCUAGCCGAUAGGACUGUUAUCGGCAUCUUUUGAAAUGUUAAGUCUGGCCCCAGAUACAUUUUAAUCCAGCCGAUAGGAGUGUUAUCGGCGCUUAAACUUCUAUGCAUCGAUCCAUAUGCUGGGUAGUACUUCUUUAAAUAUUUGCCAUUUAAUGCUGUGAGAAAUUCAACUCCUUCGAGAGUUUCUAAAAUAUAGGCAUUUCCAGGAGCCGAUCGACUUAUCCGAUAAGGACCUUCCCAAUUAGGAGACCACUUUCCAAACUUCGAACUUUUGGUCCCGAUCGGUAAAAUUAAUUUCCAUACCAAGUCUCCAUCGGCAAACUCCUUAGCCUUUACUUUCUUGUCAUACCAUCUAGCAACUCUCUUCUUAUUUUCUUCUAUACUCAUUAAAGCCUUUAACCGAUGUCCUGCUAGAUCGUCUAACUCAUCGGUCAUCAAAGUGGCAUAAUUAUCGGCAGCCAAUUGAUCUUGAAAAGAUAAUCGCCUAGAUCCAGCCUUAAUUUCCCAAGGCAAGACUGCAUGAUGUCCAUACACCAAUUGAUAGGGUGACACCUUGGUUGAUCCAUGACAAGUCAUCCGAUAGGACCACAAUGCUUCAUUUAAUAAUGUAUGCCACCGCUUAGGAUUUUCUUCAAUCUUUCGUUUGAUAAGCUUGAUAAUUCCUUUGUUAGACGCCUCGGCCUGCCCAUUGGCUUGAGCAUAAUAAGGAGAAGAAUUCAACACUUUAAUCCCCAUACCGACUGCAAAUUCAUCAAACUCCCCCGAUGUAAACAUAGUGCCCUGAUCGGUAGUAAUUGUUUGAGGAAUCCCAAAUCGGUAAAUGAUAUGCUCCUUCACAAAAUCAAUCAUGUUGGCUGAUGUGACUUUCUUCAAAGGAAUAGCUUCGACCCACUUAGUGAAAUAAUCAGUGGCAACCAGAAUAAACUUAUGCCCUUUGCUAGAUGGUGGAUAAAUCUGGCCGAUCAGAUCAAUAGCCCAUCCUCGGAACGGCCAAGGCUUUAUGAUAGGAUUCAUAGCCGAUGCAGGUGCCCUUUGAAUAUUACCAAACUUUUGACACCCUUGACACCCUUUGAAAUACUUAAAGCAAUCCUCAAGUAUAGUCGGCCAAUAAUAUCUAUUCCUUAUAAUCAUUCACUUCACCUUAAAAGCCGACUGAUGUGCUCCACACACUCCUUCAUGAAUUUCUCCCAUCAAACUCCUAGCUUCAUCAUCACCUAAGCAUCGGAGAAGAAUUCCAUCAAUAGUUCGAUAGUACAAUUCAUCUUCGAGGAGCACAUACUUGGUUGCUUGAAAUCGAACUCGUCUUUCAACUUUCUUGGAUGGAUCUUUCAAAUAAUCAAUAAUUUCUUUCCUCCAAUCAUCGGCAUUGCAUUAAUCAUAGGCUGAUAUCCCGAGGCAUGCUGAGCUAACCGAUUGGCCUCUUCAUUAUGCAAUCGAGGAACAUGCUCUAAUCGGAAAUCUUUGAAUUCCUUUAACAGUUGCAUGCUCUUCUCGAAAUAAGUUAUGAGAACUUCACUUCGGCAUUCAUAGCUCCCGGCCAAUUGAUUUAUAACCAACAUAGAAUCACCGAAGACUUCAACAGCGUCAGCACGAACUUCUCUUAACAACUCUAAUCCUUUUAUCAAAGCCUGAUAUUCAGCCUGAUUAUUUGUUGACGUAGCAACAAUUGGCAAGGAAAAUUCAUACUUCCUUCCCAUAGGAGAAACUAACACUAUGCCGAUUCCUGCCCCCCGGUCACAUGUAGAUCCAUCAAAGAAGAGUGUCCAAAGCACAAUUUCCACAGCCUCCACCGUGCCACAAUGUUGGGUCACAAAAUCGGCCAUAACCUGCCCUUUAACUGCCUUAGUCGAUUCAUAACGCAGAUCGAACUCCGACAGCGCCAAAAUCCAUUUACCGAUCCUGCCACUCAUAAUCGGCAUACAUAGCAUGUACCGGACCACAUCAUCUUUGCAAACAACAGUGCAUUCGGCCGAUAACAAGUAGUGCCUUAACUUGAUACACGAAAAAUAUAAGCAUAGGCAAAGUUUCUCAAUGGCCGAAUACCUGGUCUCAGCAUCAAUCAACCUCCUGCUUAAGUAAUAAAUUACGCGCUCUUUCCCUUCAAAUUCUUGAAUCAAAGCUAAACCGAUAACCACCCCAUCGGUAGACAAAUACAAUCUGAAGGGCUUUCCUUGCUGAGGUGGAACUAGAACUGGAGGAUUCACUAGAUACUUCUUAAUUUCAUCCGGAGCCAACUGUUGCUCUUUCCCCCAAAUAAAUUCUUGAUCGGCUUUUAGCUUAAGAAGAGGACUGAAAGCACGAAUUUUACCAGACAAAUUAGAUAUAAAUCUCCUGAUAAAAUUUACCUUGCCGAUCAAGGACUGGAGCUCAGUUUUGUUGGUAGGGGCCACUAUCUUAUUGAUGGCGUCAAUAGAUCUUCGACUGAUUUCAAUCCCCCUUCGAUGUACCAUGAAACCAAGAAACUGCCCUGCCGAUACACCAAAUGCGCACUUAUUGGGAUUCAUUUUCAAUCCAUGCUUCCUUGUGCACUCUAACACCUUUCGUAGAUCGCCAAGAUGCUUUGUGAAAUCCCCACACUUAACCACCACAUCAUCAAUAUAAAUCUCCACCAGCUUGCCGAUGAACUCAUGAAAUAUAAAAUUCAUAGCCCUUUGAUAAGUAGCACCAGCAUUCUUGAGGACAAAAGUCAUGACUAUCCAUUCAAAUAACCCAACAUGACAAGGACACCUAAAUGCGGUUUUUGGAAUAUCUUCCUCUGCCAUGAAUAUUUGAUUGUAUCCCGCAUUGCCAUCCAUAAAGCUAAUGAUCCGAUGACCAGCCGCGGCGUCAACCAGCAGAUCGGCAACAGGCAUCGGGUAUCCAUCCAUCGGCGUAGCUUUAUUGAGAUUCCUGAAAUCAAUGCACACCCGAAGCUUCCCGUUUUUCUUGUAAACCGGAACGACAUUGGAAAUCCAUUCGGCAUACCGACACUGCCGAAUAAACUUAGCUUCAAUAAGUUUAGUGAUUUCGGCCUUAAUAUCAGGUAGAAUAUUAAGAUUACAUCGGCAAGCUGGCUGCUGAUGUGGCCGAAAUCCAGACUUGAUGGGUAACCGAUGUUCAACAAUUGAUCGGUCUAAACCAGGCAUCUCGGUAUAAUCCCAAGCAAAGCAAUCUUUAUAUUCCUUUAACAAAUCGGUUAAUUGUUGCUACACUAAGGAUUUAACUUAGCACUAAUAAAAGUAGGUCUAGGCUUAUCACCACUACCUAUAUCUACUUCUACCAAAUCAUCGGCCGAUGUGAAUCCCUGGCCUAAUUUUCCAUCAUCAGCGAACCUAUCCAUCAAAAACAGUCGUCAGAACCGACUGCUUGGAUCGGUGGAAUCUCGUAAUCGGCAACCUUGAGAAAAUCUUUCUCCCAAACUUCUCCUGAAAUGCACCUGGUCCUCUCAUAGGUAUCCGCCUCUGCCGACGCAAUGACAUAAGAAGAAUCUCCUGGGACAAUCUCAAUUUUGUCACCUACCCACUGAACCAAGCAUUGGUGCAUUGUAGACGGGAUGCAACAAUUGGCAUGAAUCCAAUCUCUUCCCAGUAACAAGUUGUACGCACCCUUUCCACUGAUCACGAAGAAAGUUGUUGGCAAAGUUUUGCUGCCGAUGGUCAACUCCACACAUAUUGCCCCCUUGACUGGAGACACGUUCCCUUCAAAGUCUUUAAGCAUCAUAUCGGUCUUGGUCAAAUCCUGAUCCCCUUUCCCAAGCUUCCGAUAUACUGUAUACGGCAUAAUAUUAAUAGCAGCUCCACCAUCAACUAGGAUCUUGGUCAUUGGCUGCCCAUCAACCCUUCCUUUGACGAACAGAGCUUUGAGAUGCUGUCUUUCGUCAUCGGCAGGUUUCUCAAAGAUAGCUGUCAUCGGAUCUAGAGCCAGCUGAGCUAUUUGAUCGGAAAACUCCACCUCGUCAUCACUGGAUGGCGCAAGGAAUUCCAUCGGCAACAUAAAGACCAUGUUGACACCUGCCGAUGGACCUUCCCCCUUAGGACCUGGUUGUUGUCGAUCCUCAGGUUUUCCAGAGCUUUCGCCCUUGCUUAGAUCCUCUUGCCUUUCACGUUGCAAUCUCCUUUUCUGUGUCUUGGUCAACCCUUCCGGACACCAUGGAGGAAGUGGCUUCUGCCUUGCUACUGGGCGUCGAUUCUCUCUUGACUCCAUCCGAUGCGUGUUAGCAUCCCUGCAAAAUAUGAACUCAUCGGGAACUCGUGCAUUAGCCAUCUCUUCGAGCUCUUCCUGGUUCCUGGGAAAAUAUUGGACACGAUCACCAAGCCUAUCGUGCACGCUGAGCUUGCCCCCCAGCCGAUCAUGAACUGAUGCUCUUCCUCUGAUCGGACCAUCAAAUCGUCGAUUGUCAUCAUGAUAACGCCAAUCGGUCCUAUCAUACCGAUCAUAACCAUUGCACUCAGGGAAGUCUCUGACAGUGGGAAGUUUAAUAUUCUCCUCCCAACAAUGGAUGAAGAACGGACAGUUCCAAUGAUCUCUAUGCCGAUUCCACUCCUGUCGGCGUCUCUCUUCUUCCCGACGAUAAUCUUCUUGCUGGCGCCGAUACCGAUCUUCCCGUUGCUGCCAGUUCUCUCGAGGCCUUCUAUGAGUUAUAACGAUGCCAGACCGAGGAGGCCUACCUGAGCUGGUUCCUUCCUGAACCAAGCCCCUACCUCUUGCAUCGGUAGUAGUAACUUGAUGCUGAGGAUCUACCGAUGCACUUCUCUCGGCUGCUUCUGAUGUUAAGACUUUAGCCUUUCUCUUAGCAUCCAACAUGUUUGUUGGGAAAGGAUGUUGGUCUAUCUUCAUCGGCUUCUAAGUCUUGGAACUGUCAAACUUGAUUCUCCCAGACUCUAUAGCCGAUUGCAGCUGCUGCCUGAAAACCUUGCACUCAUUGGUGUCAUGAGAAGUUGCAUUAUGCCACUUGCAAUAUUUCAUCCUCUUUAACUCCUCAGCCGAUGGGAUCACGUGAUUAGGAGACAGUUUGAUCUGACCUUCCUGAAGUAGAAAAUCAAAUAUCCUAUCGGCCUUAGCGGUGUCAAAAGCGAACUUUUCUGGUUCCUUCUGCCCAAAAGGGCAAGAUAUCGGCUUUUUGUUCUUUACCCACUCUGCCAAGCCGAUGACUCGUUCCUCAUCAGAAUCCGAGCUUGUUGCUUCAUCAACAAAUGAUACCUUCUUGUUCCAUGCUCUUUUGGGCUCGAAAGGCUUGAUGUCUUGAUCAGAAAUCCUCUGCACCAAAUGACUUAAGCUUUCAAACUCCUGAGAGGCAUACUUAUCCCUGAUAUGUGGCAACAAACCCUGGAAAGCCAAAUCGGCUAGCUGCCGAUCAUCCAGAACCAGGCUAUAGCAUUUAUUCUUGACCUCCCGUAUCCUCUGCACAAAACCCUCAACCGACUCAUCAUUACGUUGCCUCAACUUGACCAAGUCGGUGAUCUUCUUCUCAUGAACCCCGGAAAAGAAGUAUUUGUGGAAUUGUUUCUCCAGAUCGGCCCAAGUAAUCACUGAGUUGGGUGGUAGUGAUAUGAAGCAGGUAAAGGCCGAUCCAGACAAUGAUGAUGAAAAUAAACGAACCCUUAAUUCGUCCCUGUUACCAGCUCGCAUUGAAUAAUGAACCUAUUGACAUGCUCCAUGGUUGACGUGUCAUCCUGUCUAGAAAACUUAGUAAAGUCUGGUACCUUGUACCGAUGCGGAAGCGGGAUCAAAUCAUAUGCGGGAGGAUACGGUGUCCGAUAAGAGUAAGUGUUGACUUUGGGUUUUAUCCCAAAUUGAUCCCUCAUUACUUCAGCGAUCUUAUCGGCCCAAUAUGCAUCGGCAUCCUGCCGAUGAGGCGGCUGCGGGUCCGGCACCUGGUGGCGAGCCUCCACGUGUCUGUUUGGGGCAUGAUCUGCACGGAACGUUGGGUUGAUCAUCUGGCCCCCAAUUUGCGGACCACCAAACAGCUAUCCACCGAUUUGCUGCCCCCCGAGCUGCCGUCCGAGAUUCAUUGGCUGGUUGGGAACCCCCUGACUUUGGAAUCUGGGAUAGAUCUGUCCUUGCUGGAAUCCUGUAGCCUGGUAACUCUGUUGGGGUGUUUGGGGAAAGACUUGCUGUCCAAGCCACCCAUUAUUAGCGUUCAUCGGCAUAGGCGCUGCCGAUGUUUGGUAAUUGGGCAUCAUCAUUGAAUUGACAUACCCCGACUGGGUCAUAGACCUCUGUUGCAUCAGCAUUGAAUCUGCCGAUGCAUUAGGCAUCUGGAACAUUGAAUCUUGAGGAUUCCUAGUGUGAGGCCUCGCAGUAGUAGUUGUAGUAUACUGAGGACUCUAGUUCAAUGGCGCAUUGGGAAGCGCCGAUGUCAUAGGAGUCUUGCCCCUCAUGUCGGUUAUCUGUGAUGUACCCGGCGUCAACUCUGGAGGCAUACCAUAACCCCACCAGUUGGGAGGAAGAGUCAGCCCUGACAUUGCCGAUGCCAACAUAUCUGUAGUCAGUUUAUUCUGCCCACCUGAAGUCUGCGGGUUAGUUGUCAUCGGCACAGAUUGGGCAUUAGUAGUUCCCAACGUACUUGGAGGGACGGCAGACUGUGCACUCGCAGUGGCCGUAGCAGCCGAUGGAGCCGUGACCUCUUGUGACGUUGGCUGAUGAUGAGAGGGGCCCACAUAAUCUGGUGGGAUUUGUCCUUCCUUGAAAGUUCUUGCCACGGCAUUGAAAAAUGUAUUAGACAGUACGCCAGCUUGGUUGAUCAAAGCUCGGUUGAUAGCACUGUCAACCAUAUCUUGAAGCUUGCCAGGAUUGGCUUCGAAAGUAACCUGCCGUGGUGCCGGCAGUGCAUCUUUCUGGAUUACUUCGCCGCUCCUGUUCAUGCUGAAGGACUUUAGGCAUUGCAACUUGUAUUCCUCCAUGGCUUGAGCAAUAGCUUGCUUCUGCUCAUCCUUGAGAUUGGCUUCCGUCACGGGGAUGACGUUCUCUUGAUCAAAGUCAGAGAUCGACAUGUUGAACAUGAUCUUGAAUCUGUCCCACUGGGCGUGCCAAAAGAUGUGUUGGUGCAAAAGCUGGUCUGCAAACACAAAGGGCUAAUACCCGAUUUCAAACGUUAAGGCGUGCCAGCCGAUUUGACCUUACUAUCGGCAAAGGUGAUAACUCGAAUACUUUAGUCCUGACAACAGCGAUGCGCCCGGAUGUCACGGCUAAGAGGUACUCACGCGGAACUUAAGAACACGCCGAGCUUGAGUCGACGAAUUUCUAAGAACUCGUAAUGAAAAGGGAAAAAAGUAUGACGAAGUCGUCGAAAAAGUAGAUGCUGGAAUAUGAGUAAAAACGUGUGUUUGAUUGAUUGAUAGAUAGAUCAUUACAAGGUCCUAGGGUCUAUAUUUAUACCCUGCUCAAAGAGCUACAACCAGACACGAUUAGAAUUCGAAUUCCAAAUUACACGGAAUCCGUAUACAAAACGAUGUAAAUAAUUAAGGAAAUAACAAAACUAUCUCCCGUGACAAACUGAAACUCCUCAACAAACCGAUCGGCAGCUUCCGGACUCUCCCUUCGUAUUAUCAACAGAUUCCCUUGACAUAGUCAUCGGCAGAUUUCCUCAUCAUAGCCAUCGGCACAGACACAUCACCGUUUGUAGACUUAGUCACGUUCAAUUUCUCCCCCAUCGGCAACCAUCCUCAUCGGCAACUCAUCCUGUAAACAAAACACUGCCAUUUCAUCCUGCCAUCCUGGACACCUGCCCAAAAACGGUGUCAACAGGAGGAACCAAAGGUGGAGAUACAUGAGGAUGUUGAGCAUGACCACAACAAGGUGGUUGUGGAGGAUUGCUCCACCUCAUGGUCAAGUGAAGAUGAAGAUGAUGGCUAUCAGAGUGAUGCUUCUACAAGCUCAUCCACUUCAUCACAUUCCUCCAUGUCUCACGGCGACGGCAAGGUAUCUAUUGGAGGUGUGAUUGUUGAUUGUGAUGAUCCAAAUUUUGAGCUUGUAUGUAGACUCACCAAAGCUUUAAGAAAUGAGAUGGCUAAAACAAGUAAAUUGAAAAAUGAAAACUCAUUUCUAAAGACCACAUGUGAACAACAAAAGCAUAUACUUUAUGUUACUACUUGUUCACAUGAGGAGCUAAAAUUGGUUCAUGAGGAACUUUGUGUUACUCAUGAUAACUUGGUAAAAGAUCAUGCUUUUCUCACUAAGAAGAUUUCUAAUGAAGAAAUUAAAACUAGUGAGAGCUCAUCACUUGGGUCAAAUAAUCAAUCACAUAUCGCUACUAACCCUUGUGAUGUAGGCAAGAAGCAUGUAUCCACCUCUUGUGAUGUUUUAUUAUCUAUGCCAUGUUAUUGACAAAUAGAUGCUUGUUCUACUUCUAUGUCUUGUGAGACUAACCUUUUGAAGGAGAACAAUAAGCUCAAUGAACAAGUGAAGAAUUUGAGCAACAAGCUAGAGAGGUGCUAUAAUUCAAAAGUCACCUUUGAGCAUAUAUUGAGGACUCAAAGAAUCUAUGGUGACAAGUGUGGCCUUGGCUUCAAGGAGAAGAUGACAAAGGGCAAAAGAAAGCAAGAAAAGAGAAAGCUUUCUCAUUUCAUGUGCUAUCGGUGCCAUGAAAUGGGACAUCUUGCAAAUGGUUGCCCAAACAUUGAGAAGCUCAAGAAGAUAAAGGAAGAAGAGAGGCUAAAGCAUGUCAAGUGCUUCAAGUGCCGCACUUGGUGUCAUCUCACCUCAAUGUGCCCAACCAAGCAAUUGGUGAAGCAUCAAGCAAAGCCUCAACAAAAGCCACAAGUUGAGCAAGAAAAGAAGCCCCAAGCUCAAGUCAAGAUCUACCAUGAAGAUGGUAGUGACAUGGGGAUGAUGAAGAAGAAGACAAGAAGGGGAGGUAGACAAUCAAGAUCAUCAAAAGACCUCUCCCACAUCAAGUGCUUUGAGUGCAAGGAUGAUGGACACUUUGCCUCGAGGUGUCCUACCAAGCUUGAGAAGAAGGCUCGAGCAACUCUCAAGAGGCAAGGCAAUGAGAAGCAACACAUGAACAAGGAAGAAAAGGCUCAAUCUAAAAGAAGUUGCUACUUAUGCCGGGAAAGGGGACACAUGGCUCAUUCAUGUCCCCUAGGUACUAAUUCUAAGCCCAUUUCAAUUGAUGAUAAUACUAUGCUUAGAAAGGAUGGUAAUGGUACCUCUAUGGUUGCUUUUGCAAAACAUCCCGCUACUCAUACUAAGGCUAUGCCUAAGUAUGUUGCACCUAACUUGAGAGGACCCAAACUAGUUUGGGUACCAUCAAAAAGUGGAUGAUUGUGUGUAGGUACCAUCGGCAUUGGAGGCUUGAUUCAAUUGAUCUUAUAUUAUUCAUCAUAUGAUUGAGUCAAGUAUUGAAGUUUAGUGCACAUCCAAACCCAAUGCCAUGACAAGAUAGUGAAGUCCAAGUGCGACAACAUACAAGUGCAAAUAUUCAAGUUGUGGUGAUUUAUUGUAUCAUUUGAUGGCUUGCAAAUACAUGCGUUGAAGCUUGCAAAUUAGAUGAUCAUGAGCUAACCAAGGUAUAUCUUUAUUGAUCACAUUCAUUUGGGUGCAUAUAAGUUGAUUGAAUUGGAUAUAUAUGCAAUAUUGCUUGCUAUAAGAUGUUUGAAUGGAUAAAAUGAUUAGUAAUCAAGUUUGGAUUGAUUUGAGUUGAAUAAGUUCAUGAGAUGACUUUUAGUAAGUGGAUUGAAUUGAUAUAUGUCUUGUGAAUGCAUUCAAUCAAGUUGAUUUCAAGUUUGAUUCAAUUUGAACAAGUAUAGCUCAAUUGCUUGAAAUCUGUCCUAUAUUGAAAACCAGAGCAAGCUGAGAUCAAGUCUGAGUUUGAGUGAUCAAAUCUAUUUGGAGUGGCUUCAAAUUUGGUAUGCAUGCUGUACAAUUAUCAGAGAAGAUGCUGUAGAAAUUUCCUGAGAAUUGGAUAAGGGAUACUUCGGUUUUGGAGUAGAUCUUAUCAGCUAUAGUGCAGCAGUUUUCAGCAUGUAGCAGUGGUGGAAGAAUUGAAAUCUGGUAGCAAUCCAGAAGUCAAAUGAAGCUCAAAUUUUUACAGAUGCUAUAUGACUUAGUGAAUUACAUCUCCACCAAAUUUCGUGGCAUUUCGAUCUGUACAUUGUGAGAUAUGGAUAUUUCCUUAAAGGGUUCAGAAUCUGCUAGAAAAGUGACAAAUAUCGGAUUGAUCUAGAGUCACUUAAAUUGAAAGGUCCUCAAGUUGGAAUUAUGAUUAUAAGUGUUUGAGGCACAUAAGUUUGGUUUUGAAUUAAUCUAGAAGCAUGACAAGUAAUGUGUACAAGGUCAUUUGAUUGUGGAAUGUACUUGGUGUACACAUUUAGUACUCAAAUUGAAGAUCAAGAUCAAACUCAAGAAGAAGAUGAAGUUUAAGUUCUAGUGACUAUUGGAGAUCAUUUAGUAGAAAGAAAAGGACUUAAACAAGUAGAAAGAAAAGGACAUAAAGAAUGAUUCAUGGAUAUUCAUCAUAUUAAGUCCAUCACUUGAAUCAAUCAAUCAAAGCAAUUCAAGUGAGUAUCAAGAAUGGUUCUUUGGAGAGAGGUCACUUCUCCCUAUGUGAGGGGCUUGCCGCCCGAGGAGUGGGUAAACCAAGUGUGGUGCUUGGAGGGCUAACAUGGAAGUGGUGAUCUAAAGGACAUUUGAGAUGCUUAGUUGAAGCAAUCAAAAGGAUUGAUCAAGGGAGCAAGCAACACCCAAAGAGAGCUAGUCAUGAUGUUCAAGUAUUCUUAUUAGUUCUCUCAUGCAAGUAAUGGUAAAAAGAAGAAGCAAGCCAACCACAACAAGAUAGUGCACUUGAUCAUAAAGUGGUUCUAAAUUCAUAUGGGUGAAGAUUUGAUCUAUCAAUUGGCAUUCAUGAUUGGUCUUCACCAAGCUUAUAGUUGGACUUCACAUUGCUAUUUGGAGCUAAAUUGGAAUCUUAUUGACUAUCCUCUACUCCAAGAUAGCAAAGGUAUCAUUGUAAUGUGCAUGAUCAUUUCAUCCUUUACUAGUAUGCGGUUAGUGCAUAUAGUACAUGCUUCAUAGGAUCAUGCAUGGCAAAUGAAAAGUUUUAAAUUCAUAACCUACCACUAUUGCUUGAUUGAUUAGUUGAUCUAGUGGUUGUAUAUGAGUUUGUUCAUGAGCUAGUGAACCCAAGUACUUGAUCUAUUUUGGAUUGUUAACAAGUGACAAGUACAACAUUGGCAAGAUAACCCUUAAUGUGAGGUGUGAAAAAGCUUGUCAUUGGUUCAAACCGGACUUGGAAGCUUUAGCAAAUCAACUUAGUUUAAGUCAACAAUUAGAAGCUCAUAGUGAUUAGAGUACAAGAACAAGACAACAAUGCAAGUGUAUAUCUAGACUUAAAAGUUUCUUCAAUUGGUAUCCUACAAUUGGUACUCAUGAUAGCAAAUGUUCAAGAAAGCAAACAAGUGGUUCCAUACUAGAAGACCUUCAAUUGGAAGAAGAUUUCCAUAUGGUAUCAGACAAGAUCUUUCAAAUGAUAUGACAUUUAUACAUAUGAUAUCUAUCAUACAAGAAGGUGGUUCCACAAGUGAUCCUCAACUUUAAGUGAUCAUCAAGCAAAGAAAGUUCCCUCACCAACAAGAUUGACAAGUGAAUGACCCAUGCUAUGACAUAGGGGGAGUGCCCCACCAAAUGGUAUCAAGGUCAAAGAUCCUAUGUGGUAUCUCCAGAGUAAUUCAAGUAAUGUCAUUCCAACACAUGGUGAAGUCCAUCAAAAAUGCAGGAUUCAAGCUUCAACCAUCUAUCCCAAUGCAAUCCUUUGUCACAAUGAGAUUCACAUUUUUACAAUUGGUAUCAAGUGAUUUAAUUGGUAUCACAUACCUUUUAUGGAAAUUGAUGACAAAGGGGGAGAAGUUGGAACAAAGAUAUGAUCAUGGGAUAAGUUGGACAACAAAAGAUAUAUUUCAAGGGGGAGAGAUGAAAGAUGGACAUGGACAAGGGAGCAACAUUAAAAGAUAUAAGAUGAUGGAUCAAAAUUCUUGGACAAAAGAGAAGCACACAAGUAGGUGGAGCAAGCUCAUGAACAUUGAUUGUUUGCAUUUGAUAUGUGCAUACUCAUGUGCUUGCUUGCAUUGCAUAAGUUUUUAAAUUCAAUAUGCAUGCUUGUGUGGUGUAUGCUAGUUAUAGAACUUGAUUGAUGAUAUGAUAACUAGCAUGCAUAGGUUGGUAGCUAGACUUGUGUUCUUCAAGUAAAGACUAGACCCUUGCUUAUAAUGUUGAUCUCAUGGGGUUUCUAGUGUUUUUGUUGUCUAGCUACUCAUGGUGCUAAGGAUGGUGUACAAUUGAAUGCCUCAAAUGCUAUUGAAUUUGGUAUCAAGCUACAAAGGUUUACUCUAUACACCUUAGCACUUAGUAGGGUUUUUUGGUGCUUAUCCAAAUCCUGACAUAGAGCUUAAAUGUUGGAUAAGUAGCAUAAAAUCCAAAUCAAGUUAGCAAUUUACACUUGUGUGAAGUGAUAGCUUGAAAAAGCUUAAUUUCCAUAUCUUUAUAUAGUUGUCAUCAAUUACCAAAAAGGGGGAGAUUGAUAGGUCCUUGUUUGGUUUUGGUAAUUGAGUGACAACUUAGGUGGACUAAUAGUGUUUAUGUGAGAUACACAGGAGAAUAGUCCACAGGUGAAGAUGUGAUGAUGGAGGAGCUCAUUGCAUAUGAGACAUGACAUGGAGUCAUGUGACCAAGGUGGAGAAGAUCAAGAUGAGGCUUGGCUCAAUGGACCGGUUGCAAGAGUGAAGGGCAAGUCAGAGGCUUUGAAGCAAGGGACCGCGUGUGACGGUGAAGCUUGAGCAAGACUUGACGCCGAUGGACUGAGGCAAUGGUGAAGAGCAAGUGAGGUCAAGAUCGAUGAACCAAUACGGUCAUGUUAUGAUAUGAAGUGGAUCAUAUCUUUUGGUGAUUGGUUGGUGCAUGUGUUGCAUCAACAUUGGAGGAGAUGGAAUGGAAAGCGCAAGGCAAAGGUAUAACCUAGGGCAUUUCCAUUUCACCGGUCAUAGGUGUGUAGAGAAGUUUAUGAUCGGAUUUAGGAUAGAUGGUCGUACUAUCAAGAGGGGCAAACUUGUUUGCAUAUCGGUCAUUUAGUGCCAGUUGAGCGAUCUAACUUUGCAUACAUCUUAGGAUCGAGUGGCGUGGCAAGUUUGAGAGGCUAACUCCUUUGGGAAAAUGUUUGUGAAAAUGCUAACACACAUGCACAUGGUGGUGUACACUUGGUGGUAUUCGGCGCUUUUGAGAAAAUUAAGUGCAUAUUUUCCAUUGCGCCGGAGGGAAUUUUGGAGAAGUCGCGGCAGUGUUUCUCAGUAGGAAACACUCACCGGACGCUCUGCGCGGAGGCACCGGACGCACCGGAGAGAGUCCGGUGCUCAGCGUCCGGUGUGUGAGCUGUUUGGCGACCCUCUCUGCGCAUGAGUCCGGUGAGCACCGGAAGCUCAGGGUGCGUCCGGUGACCUUGCGAGUUUGCAAAGCUCUCUGCGCACGGGUCCGGUGUGCAUCGGACACGUCCGGUGUGGACUAGUUGAGCGUCCGGUGGUGCUGUGUCUGGCGCGGGCGCGUGGUAGCCAUUGGCGGUAACGGUCGAGUUCAAACGGCUAGUGACACGUGGCCGACGCCUGAGCACCGGACGCUGGGGUUGAGCGUCCGGUGGCUCCCUGUGAGCGUCCGGUGCCCACGUGUUUUGCCCAGUGAAGGGGCAACGGCUAGUUUAGCCCUUGGGGCUAUAAAUAGAAGUGGUGGCCAGCCUUGGCUGGUGCUGAGCACCCUUGGGACUUAGUGUCCAUGCUUGGGGAGUGCUAGAAAAGCCUCUAACUCACUUGUUCUUGCAAGAGUGUGAAUCAAUAGCGAGUGAGUGAUUCUAGUGCGUUGCAUUGAGAGAUUGCAUCGAGUGGCACUAGGUGUUCGUGUUGCAAGCGGGUGGUGCUUGUUACUCUUGGAGGUUGCCACCUCCUAGACGGCUUGGUGGCUUGUGACUCCGUCGAAGCACACAAGGAGAUUGUGCGGUGCUCCGGAGAAGAGAUUGUGAGGGGUACGGUGCUCACCCCGUGGGGAUCGCGAAGAGCAACUCUAGUCGAGCGAGACGUGAAGAGCAACAAGUGGUCCGGCCGGGUCAAGUGCUAGAGCUUGUGGUAAGCACUCCACGUGGGAGAGUGUGACUUGCGGGUCACCACUAGCAAGAGGACCGGCGGCAACCUUGGAGCUUGUCUCAACGGGGACGUAGCUUGGUGGCAACCAAGUGAACCUCGGGAGAAAAUCAUCGUGUCAACAUUGUUCUUCCCGUUGGUUUGCAAGUCCCUAACACAAGCUUGUUCUUACUUUCAUAUAUUUGUGCUUGUGUAGUUGCUCUUGUAAUUAGUUAGCUUGUGUAGCUUGCUAGUUACCUUCUUGCUUGUGUAGCUAGAAGUAGUUCCCUUGCGUGACUAAUUUGGUUUGUGUAACCAUGUUAGUCACAUUGCUUAGUUUGUGUAGCUAAGUAAGUUGUGCUCUCUAAUUUGGCAUUAGUUGCCUUGUUAUUGAGCUUGCUAGUGAGCUUAGGCUUUGUGCGCUUUGCCUCACUAGUUUGAGUAGGAGCUCCCCCGGUUUGCAAAGUACUAGUUGCAUAGGUUUGUGUGACGUUGCUCCUAGAAUUGGUUAGGUGAGCUCUUGCUAAGGUAGCACCUUGCUUGCGUGUUUAGGAUCUUUUCAAGGUGCUAGAGAACUUAGAUAGAGGGGUGUAGUCUUGGCUAGACUGAUAGUUUUAAUUCCGCAUUUGUUUCGGUUAGCCGGCGUAAUAAUUUUUAGAAAGGACUAUUCACCCCCCUCUAGUCCGCCAUCUCGACCCUUCAGUCCGCGCCACGCCGCCGCAUAGGGCCACGUGCGUUGGCCACGACAAGCCGUGCCACGGGGCCCGUCCGUGCGUGAGUAGGGGAAGGGAGGGACACCGCCGGCCUCCUCCUACGCCGUCACAUCGCGCACGUCGCAGCGGCAGCCUAUAAGGAGCUCGCAUGGAGGGGUAGGGCGGCCGCGGCCACCGGCGACGGCCGCUCGCGCCACGGCACCGCGCAGGGCCACAUGCGUCGGCCGCGCGACGCCAUGCCGCGGGGCCCACCCGUGCGGGAGUGGAGGCAGGGGAGGGAGGCCGCCGAGCUUCGCCUACGUCACCGCCUCGCGCACGUCGCCGCCUCGGGAGGGAACGAGAGAUGGAGAGGGAGAGAGAGAGGAAGGAGAAAGAGGAUAAGAUGGGAGGGCAGGGGAGGAGAUAUUUCUCUAUUGAAUCAUGGAUGCGGCGUGGACUGCUACAGUGAACUACUUUUUUCCUCAUGUGAAGCCGUACAGGGCACGAGGCUAGGCCGAUUUCCUGCCUAGCUUAGCCGGCUUAAUAAGAGUAAAUACGAAGGAUAAGCAUCGAAGUGAAAUGGACCACGCCAAGCCGACAGCGCUUCUCCUGCAGAACCGGUGUCCCUCUCCCAGGCGCACUCCAGUAGACCCCUCCACUAAGCAAAACCAUAAGGAAAAUGUGAGUACGAAGAACAGAAAAGGAGCAAGCAAGAACAAAAUUAGUAAGUAAAAAUAAAUUCUCCAACAGGUAACAAAUCCCAGCCGCUCCGACGUCACCCACUGUUGCGAUAGAUGAACACCCGAGAAAAGCCCCAAUGUGGCAACCAAAUCCCAAUGCACCCUGUGGCCGAGGCAGUCGGCCGUCCACGGCGCCCCAGCGCCGCGUCCGCUUGCUGGCCCAGCCCCAAAGCACGCGCGCCCAUCCAAUAAAGCGCAUGGAGAAGAAGACAGCCCGUGCCCACCCAAACAAGCGCAGGGGAGAAGAACAUAGAGCCCUUGCACCCGGUACGUACGCGACACGGAAUGAAAAAGCUACCGGGCUGGGCCGGGGCAUGGAAGCUGGAAGCGGUACCUGAGCUCGAUGUGGCGCGGAGAUGGAGCUGGCGGAGGGAUGAGGCCGGCCGCCGGCGAGACGAUGGAGGCACCCGCAACGGUGGAAGGCGGGCAGCAGCUGCGGCGAGGCAGCGCGCGGCCGACCGAUUGAUUGGGGUAAUCGGGGUUUUGCCGCAGUGACGACAGGAGGCAGUGAGCAGCGAGGUAGGCAGUAGGCACGCGUGUCGCGUAAGCAGUGGGCUAAUGGGUGUACAGUAAAUGUCAUUUUUGCCCUUUGUGUUGGUUGCUCUUUGGUACGUUACCGCACCCGCAACGGGGGAAGGCGGACAGCAGCUGCGGCGAGGCAGCGCGCGGCCGAUCGAUCGAUUGGGGUAAUCGGGGUUUUGCUACAGUGACGACAGGAGGCAGUGAGUAGCGAGGUAGGCAGUAGGCACACGUGUCGCGUAAGCAGUGGGCUAAUAGGUGUACAGUAAAUGUCAUUUUUGCCCUUUGUUGGUUGCUUUUUGGUUCGGUACCGUGAUCAUCAACGGUGGGAUACAUAUUUUUUAUAGCAUCGUGUCCGUACGUUGUUAUAGUUUUAUUUAGAUAUAGGGCCUGUUUUUGGUUCCCUUGCUAAAGUAACUAAAAUUAUUUUAGCUAUUCUUGGGUGACUAAUGAAACUAAAUUAUGUUAACUCUUUUUAGUCAAUGUGUUUGGAACUUUAGCUACUAAAAUGACUAAAGUUUAGCUAGCUAUAACUUAGCAAGAGAAACCAAACAGGGCCAUACUUAGGCCUUGUUUACUUCUAAAAAUUUUGCAAAAUAUGAAUAGUAGCGUUUUCGUUUGUAUUUGAUAAAUAUUGUCCAAUUAUGGACUAAUUAGACUCAAAAGAUCAUCUCGCAAAUUAUAGAUAAACUGUGUAAUUAGUUAUUUCUUUUAUCUAUAUUUAGUGCUCCAUGCAUGUGCCGUAAAAUUCGAUGUAAUAGAGAAUUUGAAAAAUUUUGCAAAAUAUUUUUGGAACUAAACAAGGCCUUAAUAAAAACAACUAUUUUAAACAAAAUAACAAUAUAUUUUUUCUUAGUUUAUAGUCUCAGAUAAUUACAUAUGAUAAUUAAUAUAAUCAUGAUGAUGAAAAAGAACAAUAAAGACAUGUCUCAUAUAUUUAUACUAUAAAUAAUUUCUUAAUUGCUUAGUAGAUCUCAAAGCACUUCAGGGAUAAUGUUUGCACGUUCAUUUUGAUUACUUUGUAGAAUGUCCACCAAGCAUUCCGUCCUCAACGAACGUCCACUCUGUGAAUGCCAGAUAGUAAGUUAACUUAUUAAUUUGCUAUACACUAUACAAAAUUUACAUAGAGGAUAUAUACUUUAUAUGCUUACAGGGUGGAUAGACAAUCUUUUUCCAUCCUACUAUUUUAAAUAACUAUAUACAAAGAAGCGUGACAUUUCCCUGGAGAAGAGCAAGUGUUUAUUUGUGUUAGCUAAAUGACAUAGAAUAAUAUUACUAUAUAAUUUAAUUAAUAAUUGAGAACAUAAAUUAAGAAGAUAUUACUACUACAUAUUAUUUGGCCAAGUAAAAUAUUUGUAUCAUGGUGUCUAAUUUAACCCAUUCCGAUGGACAAACAAAGAAGAUAUUGCUUCAUUAUUACCUUAAUCAAGUGUCUUUGAUAUUGCUCUAGCUUUUUUCAUUGCACAAUAUUCACGUUGCUUCCUAUUUCUUUCAUUUCUUUGUUCAGUGGUUUCCUCGGCCCUUUUACGAGCGCGGUAUUCCCUCUUUAUUCUCUCUUCAUCUGCCAGUGAAAUAUAGUCUGUGUUAUUAGUUUCAGAUUUUGUUUGGGAAACUAACCAGUAUAGAUGGUCGCGAACAUACCAUGUCCGAUAGUGUUUGAUAUAUCGUAAAGUGUAGGGUGGGUUUGUCGCCGAUCCCCCAUUAUAGACCUGUAGCAAGCCCAUCGAUGAUGGCGUUCAUGUUAAUCUACAAUAGAAAACACAAAGCAAGUAUACUUACUGCUUUCAUCAUGGCGUUCGUCGUCUGGCCUAGUGCGUCAGUGUUUCCCCCUACGUGGCGCCCCUGUCUGCGUUUGACGUCGCGCCCUGGCCACGCUCCGGUGUCGCGUCCUGGCCGCGCGCCCGUUUGCGAGCCCCUGGCCGCGCGUGGAGUCAGGUGGCCAAGGCGCGGAGUCUUGGCGGUGCCCCAGCGACCCUCUGGCCGAAAGCCCCUGGUCGCGCGCCCCGUCUGCCCCGGCAAGCCCUAGCCGCGAGCCCUCGUCGUGGACAGGAGAAUGCGAACAGAGGGAAGAUACACGGUCGUGCGUGAGAGGGAGGUGGGGGCGGACUGAGGGAUGAAUGAGGUGAGUGAUGAGUUUGAUCCAAGCGUUUAUGACCGUUGGAUGUGAUUGAGUUAGGAGAAUGAGAGAUUAGAGUUAAUAUUGUCCCUUAAUUUUAGGAGAUAGAUCUUCCUUUGUGGAAUUUUUCGUGUGUACUUGGUGUAGCUUAUAACUGUAGUAGUAGUUUAUAGGGUGCAUAACUGAUGGAUUUAUGGUAAAUCUCAGUAACUACACCUGUGCUUUUUUACCUUAUACAAAUUAGAACUGAGGCUUGAUCCCUAUGAUUUCGUGCUAAAUUAUGUUUUUAUGAUUUUUUGUAUACAUAUAUGAUGGCAAUCCAACUUGAGUACCUAUCAUCCAAUUUGGUAUAUGUUGUUGACAACAACGAUCCCAUGUGGUCAGGAUGUUCGAAAACAAGAAAUCAUGUUCUUAGUUUUCUAGAAAGAGAACAACUGAACUUGGACAAUGGAUUGGAAUUGGGCGGAAAUGGUGAUAUUUAAUAGUAAAAAAACCCUCUCCAAUCAUAAAUACAUACAUCUCACUUUGGGCCUUGUUUAGUUCCGAAAACUUUAACACUUUCGUUUUAAUUUGACAAAUAUUGUUCAAUUAUGGACUAACUAGAUUCAACAGAUUCAUCUCACGAUUUACAGAUAAACUGUGCAAUUAAUUUUUGUUUCAUUUAUAUUUAGUGCUUCAUACACAUGCUGUAAGAUUUGGUGUGACAGGAAAUCUUAAAAAGUUUUUGGUUUUUAGAAUGAACUAAACAAGGCCUUGGUCAGUGGGGCGAAAUGCCUACUUGUAGUGACGCAAUUAUAGAAUGACUAGUAGGAAGCGCGCCGCCUGGGCGCGAGUUGUCGUGUAUUUCUAAGAUUAUACAGGAAAGCUACACAUGUUGCAUACAAUGGCCAUGUAUAUGAUUCAGGUCUAUUGAUGCAUAAAAAGUUAUUAGAGGAUUAAUACAGUGGCCAUCGAGGGCAGAAAUAAUAGACAAAUUCUGGGGCAAAAGAUGCAUAUUUAGUUUUAGCACGGUAAUAGGAAUAUAGGAUCAGAGAACGGAAACGAACACGGUCAUAUUGCCUAUGGUGUUAUAUGUACCAUACAGAGCCAUUACACAAGCUUAUCGGUAUUUUAUACAUUACUUCGUCAGUGGCAAUUUACAAAAGUUUAAGGGCAUUGAAGGUCCACUUUCUAAUGACAUGGACAUAUAUAGCUGGCUUUCUUGUUGGCUGCGCUGCCAAUUGUGACAAGAAAUUGCUGCAUCUACAUCCUGAGUACCUGCACAGGGAGCAAAUAGACUGUUUAGUCUCAUAAAGAAACAGUUAUUGUCUGGAAUACCUGUAAGUAGGGGAGUAUAUUUUUUUGGUCUACUAUGUAUACACAAUACGCACAACAGUGAUGCCUCACCAGACACAAUAGAAGCAAAUACUUCUUUAUAGACGACCCUUUUUUCAUUUAUACAACGGCCAUCCUCGGCUUCUAUGAAAUGGCUGUCACUACGUGAAACAUCCAAGUAUCAAUGAGAAAGAUGUAGUUGGUAGACUCGGUAAUCACCGGCCUAACUUGCCAGCCAAUGAAUGUAGAGACAAGAACAUCUUGAUGCAAAAAAAAUUAUAAUUUAACAAUGAAUGGACAUACGUAUCAGAAAUAUCUCUGUAAAUUCUUUUUUUUCACACAUGCAUACAAGAUUGAACAUAGAUAUAUAACAUAGACUGUAUUGGAAAGAUUAACUAGAUAUAUCUAAAAUAUAUUCAAUUUUGCUCAUGCUCUAUGCACCAGACAUCUUGGUAUGGACAAAUGGAUCUGCUGCGUGAGCAGGACUCUGAAAUCCAAAGGAAGGUAUGCAAGGCUGAAAACUAACAAAGGAAGCUGAACUAAACACAACAGGAGAAGGUAAUCUUUAUGUGGCAACUACUGAGCAUCCGGACCAUCAAGUUCUAUUUUUCAAAGCAUCAAGUCCUAUAUUUAAGGGAAAGUUGUCAAACAAAAAUGUGCCCUGCACGAAUAUUAUCACCUGCAAGGGAGGCAUGAAGCCUAUCCCAUCUCAUAAUUGAAGUGCAUGAGUCCACCCAAUUUCCCCAGUGAUCGUGGAUACGAAGAAUAAGUUGUGAUGCUAAACCAAAACAUAGAUGACUUUCCAAGUGUGCAGCCUGUAUAGUAAAAUAAGAAAGAAAAAUCAUAUUUUUGACAUGAAUGCAAGUAGUACCAAGUUGCUGGAUUGUUGACCAGUUGUCCAUUUUAUUUUGUAUUUUGAAACAUCUUUUCUUUUGAAUAACUUACUGAUAUAUCACGGUAAAUUAGAGAUAUCAUUCCGUAAAAAUCAAUUAAAAGAACUGUAAGCUGAGGAGAAAAGAACUGCACUUCCAGUGUCAUAGCUCGUGCUGCUUGUCCACUGCAUUCACAUCCCUUACCUGAUGAGUAUGGACGCACGAACGAAUUCGAACGAACCAACCUGCGGGGUAAACAAGGUAAUUAAACAAAAAGAAACACAGGAAUAUAAAUACAGAAGCAAAUGGGAAGGAGAGCUCUUUGAAUUUUAUAAUAUAUUCUACAAUAGGAAGGAACCAUCUACGAAAGAAAUUCAGAACAAGUCAUUCUCAUGCAUGAAGACUUUAUAUUUUAAUUAAAUGAAGUAAAUUUGCACUAUUCAUUUCAGACUUAGUCGACAAUUCAGGCUCCUGCUCAGUAGUUACACACCUGAGAACAAUCCACCAGCCGAACAAGCUGAAACCAUAGCAACUCAGCCAAGAAUAUUUUAGAUGAAAUUAAAUAUUUUUAGUCAAUAAGAAUACAUAUAUCAGACACAAGAGGUAGUCAUAUCCCCUUAUGAUUCCUUGUGCUUUGGCACCAUCCUGAUUCUCCCAAGAGGACUUGGCUUGUUCAAAUUUAGUCAUAUCCCCUUAUGAUUCCUUGUGCUUUGGCACCAUCCUGAUUCUCCCAAGAGGACUUGGCUUGUUCAAAUUCCUCAAACUGCAUUUCUCUGAGCUUCGUAUGUAGGCCUUCUUUAUCCAUGUCAAAUAAUUUGAUUUCUCCAGUUCGAACAGCUUUAAUAAAUCUAACUUUGUUCUGUGCCAUUUUCAAGUCGCAGCCAGCCAUUUCCACUAGCUUUUGCUGCAUAUUGACAAUUACUAAAUGUGAUAUCAAAUAGUCCAAAAAAUAUGUGCCAUUCAAUUAUUAAAUGGAAACGUACCUUUCUUUUCUCAUAAAAAGCAAGCCUGAAGUCAUAGAAUUCCUUAAGUACUGAAAUAAAUGACACAAUUUAGUUACAAUACGACAAAAGAAAUAAAAAAUGGAGGUCUUGUAGCAUAGAGGUAGUACAUACUUUGCUCUGGACUGUCAUACUUUUUAAUUAUGCCAUCUGAAUCCAACAAAUGCAUAUUUUAUGUUCCUAUUGAUGUUCUCAGUUCAAACUUUCACUGAAAAUCUACUUCAUUGGCUUGCGCCAAAUUCUCAGAAUUCUCGUGCAAGUGUAUCAUAAUUUCAACAUCAUUGCCGCCUCUCUUUUUUUCAUAACUCUAUAAAAUUAUUAUGAUUAAAAUCUAGUGGACAACAAUCAUUUCAUGAUUAAAACAUACUAUGUAAUCAAUUACCUUGAUGAAUUUGUCUUCUCCGACCAUAAAAGUUUUAAGCUACUUUUCAUAAUUCUCCAUCGAGAUCUUCACUGGGAGCUCACAUAUUUUUAGUGUAGUUUUCUCAACAACCUUUAUGAUACCACUAGCGGUAUAGGUAACACCUGAUUUCUUGGUCUUGGUAGUUUCGUUUUUGACACUCACUUCUCCCUGUUGGUUCAUGUACAGAAAAUAAAACACCAACAUUAGAUUUUUUAAGACAAAAAUAAAAACAGAAUUGUAAAAAAAAGCAUGUAUUACCAACGUGGAAAUGUGUGAACCACGGUUUCAUUUCUUCCAACGUCUCUGAUCCCUGUAUCAUUAGUUUCAAAUUGUGUACACUAGUACAGGGAAGGGCUUUAGCCCCGGGCCGUAAGCGCCUUUAGUCCCGGCUACGGAACCGGGGCUAAGGUUUCGGGACUAAAUGUCCCACCUUUAGUCCCGGUUCUGUGGACCGGGACUAAAGGUCCACCUUUAGUCCCGGUUGGUAACAGCAACCGGGACUAAAAGGUGCGCCAGGGUGUGCCACCUGGCCUCCACUUUUAGUCCCGGUUGUUGCUACCAACCGGGACUAAAGACUUUUUUCUUUUUUCUUUUUUCUUUUUUCUUUUUCUUUUCAUUUGGUUUUCCAUUUAGGGUUUACAAUUAUGUUAUGGUUUUCCAUGACUGUACGUACAAUAUCUUUGGGAUUGUAACAAGGAAUCUUUGUUCUCCAUCCGGUACCAAUUCCUUCAGCUCCAUUGACUAAAUCAUUGGAAGGAUUGGCAAAUACCUAAAAAGUGACAACCAGGCCUUAGCUACUUAUUAUAAAGGUCAAAUUGCCGAGGAUGGAUGGAGCAAGUGGUGCCUAGUUAUUACCAUGAAGGUUCAAUUGAUUGCCCAUCUUCAUGCAAAUAAUCGAGUAGAAUAUCAUCAUUUUCAUUAAAUAUCCUGCGAGUGAUACUUGAUAACUCUGUGAAGAUAUAUCUAGCACUAGCAGCAUCUUUGCCUCCCUAAAAUGAAAAACAAGCAUGAAUAAAAUGUUUAACAACUAGUUUUCUCAUAGUGGCUUGUUAACUCACCUCUAAUUUUGUACCAAAUUGCCCAUUGGGACGCAAAAGAUUGAUAUUGUUGCUUCCAACAAAAUCUUGAGCCAUUCUUACUAUUGUGUUUGAUAGAUUUUCUUCACCGUGAUGAUAAGCAGAACAUUCUGCCACAGACGCGGUGAACUUUGCCACCUGUGAUCAAGUAGUAAAUUAGCAAUAUUAUAAGGCUAAUUUAGAGAGAACAUGACACAUAAAUCAUAAUAUGGCAGCCCAACCAGAGGCUCAACCCAUUUCUACUUAUAAGCUAGGACUAAAGCUUUGGAGUGGAUAUGAUUCUCAUCAUCAUAGACUAUAUGGAACAAGCUUGAGAUUGACAACCCACAAGACAAGAGUUUCAAGCAAGCUAGUCUACCUUUAUAUAUUCAGGUGCCAGUAUACAUAAGGAAACUAAAACUAAAUAUAUAAUGGCGAUCCAAUCUAAAGAAACUAUGGAAUACAAAAGAUCGAAGCCUACCAUAUUCUCGGCCAUAGCGCCGUCUGAUAUCAAAAUAUGUGGAAAAGAUUCAUAUUAGAAAAAACAAAUGAUAGUUGGGAUGCCAUACCUUUGUUUCCUUGUUCAAUUUUUUCUUAAAUGUGCUGAACAUUAUCUUUCUCUGCCCUUUUUUUAAAUCCAUCUACCAUUGAUGGUAUAGACCGAUGCAUGUCUAAUACCAUGUAUAAUGUGAGCCCUUUCUUAAUGAAGUCAAGGAUUCUUAUCGUUUUCCCAGUUUGAAGAAGUACACUUUCUUCAGGAUGAAAUUUUUGUUAUCACAUUAAUGUUGGUCCUUAAAUUAACCUAAAUGAAUCUUUAAAAAUAAUAUCAAGACCGACCUUGCAGUUAUGAAGAAAGUUAUAAAUCCAUUUCUUCCUUUCCUCCACUUUAUGUUUACUGAAUGCUGUCUUGAUAGCCUUAUCAUCUUGUUCAUUCAGCCACACAAAAUAUUUCUGAUGGAUGUCAAUAUCUUUGAAAUAUUGCGUCCCUUCCUUAAGUGUGCUCGUGCCUAACCCCUGUAUAUAUGAAAAAUGUCCAAGUUGAAGACCACAUAGAAAAAUUUAAAUGAUUAAAAUUUGAGCAAAAAACACACCUUAUAGUACUUUAUAGACCAUUUACUUAAUUCUGUCCCAUGUUUACUUUUCUCCCAUGCCGUAUACUCGUUUAGUGUAUAGAAAACCUGACUUGGACAUUCCCCUGUAUAAUCUGUAACCCAAACAAGUUUUAAUCCGUGACAUGGUAAGUUUUAUGAGUCUUAAUAACUAAAACCUUAAAAAAAAUGUUAAAGCAAGCAACAAGUGGCAUACCUUUACAAGUGGGGUAACUAAUUCACACAAAAAGGAUUUGGACUUAAUCUUCAGAAGGGAAGGCCAGAAACAUGAAAUAAGUUAAUGAUCAAUCCUUUAAUAUGAAAUCCACCUAGAUCCUGGUCGGUCAUGACCAUAACUUUACCAUAUCUCAAAUCCUUAAAAUCCUUUUCAUCAUUAUAGUGGUUUUUGUAGUCUAAACCAAUAAUCUUUCUCAUAUUGUUAAUUUCCUCAUUGUCCAAGAUCUUUUUCAAAGACGCAUCUCUCACAUUCAGUAGCUUACCCUUCAAUGCAAGAACUCCAAAGUAGUCCCUAUGAACAGAACCUAGCUGCAGAGGAGAACAAAACUUACUCAAUACUCUUGUAAAUAUAAAAGGAACAUUUGUGCAAUGAAAUGUGCAAUCAACAGUUACUAAUUGUAGGGGAACUUCAAUAUAAGAAUAAGAACUACGUGGAAAAUAAUUUUUCUAACAUCUUCAUCUAAUCAUUAACACAUAUGUGCACAUAUGAAACUUGGGAUUCCCAAAUACAAGUCCGAUUAUAACCUUUUAUCCUAAAGACUCAAGUCCGAUCAUAACGUUUAAUCCUAAAGACUCAGCUGACUAAAAAAAUCUGAAUCAAAACCUUUUUGCCUCGAUUAAACUCUUGGCUGAAAUUUGAGUUUUUCAUAAAAAUCAAGGAAACUUGGGACAGACCACACUAAAUCACUAAAUCUGCCAUUGAUACUUGGUGUAUCAAAAUGGACUUAAUUAAUAAAGGGUUGGAGUCAAAGUCUAAAAGAUCAUACUAGAAAAUACAAUAAUUUGCUAAAAACGAGUUGGAGGAGUUAGAAAAAUAGGAGGAGCUUGAUGUGCUCAAGCUAGAUAUAAAGUCUUCCAUUUAAUCUAAGUUUCAUGGAAGAGAAGGAUAUGGCAUAAGGGAUCUAAUUCUACGUGGUUGUUGAAAGAUCAUAACAACUCUGAGUACUUUCAUAGAAUAGCUCAUGGUAGAAAGACAAAGAACACCAUUUCUUUGCCUAAACCAUAUUCAGAUAAUUAUUGAGGGGGAUGCUGCCAUCGUGGAGCAUGCUUCUUAAUAUUAUAAUUUCUGCUAGAAUGUCUUGGGCACAAGGGGUUUGACAAGAGAUAGUGUGAACGGACUACUUCUGGCACUAAUAAGAUUGAUGUGGCUAAAAAGAGAUUCUUUUGCCAAGGUCAUUUGAAGCGGAAAUACCACUUGAUCAAAUGGAAUGAGAUCACUAAGCCCAAAAACAAAGGAGGGUUGGGGGGUCACAGACCUAAGGAAAAUGAACAUCAGUCUCCUAUGUAAAUGGUGGUGGAUGGUGGUGGCUGAGAAUGGAUGUGGAAUAUGAAAAGAUAAUAUUAGGAAGAAAUAAUAAUACCAGUUUCGGACAUGAUAAGUGGUGUGACCAAGUCUCCUUAAAAGACAAGUUCCAGAAUUAUAUGAUAUCAAUGUUGAGCAAAACGUUCUGUUUCUUUUAUGAAACAAAGAAGUUAGCAUCUCUCUUAUAGAAGAUGGCUCAAUUGAGAAGGUUACUGUUAGAAUAUAAUUGUAACAGCCCAUAUUGGGCUUACAGCUCAUUGGCCUUGUACUCCUAGCCUGACUUGUAUUAAUACUACAUUGUAACUUGUAGAUGUACUGCAAGCCUUCUAGGCUUUAUAGUGAAGGUCACCCCCUGGUUAGGGUGUGCGGUGUUUCUACAUGGUAUCAGCCUAAUUAUGAUUUUUUCCUUCGGCUCGCACCCCCCCACCCCCUACCCAUGCGACCUCUCUGAGGCCGUGCGCCACCGCACCAGGCCGCGCCGGCCCCAGGCCACGCUCAGGUCGCACCGCCGCCAGGCCGCGCUGCCCAGCCACGUCGCCUCCCUCAGGCUGCGCCACUGCCAGGCCACGCCGCCUUUUGUGGCCGCGUCGCCGAUCCAGAUCGUGCUACCGUCGAUCCAGAUCGCGCUAACGCCGAUCCAGCCACGCGAUCAUCUUCUUCACGCUGCAUCGUCAUGACGACUCCGGCCAUCGACUCUAGCACGUCCAGCUCGACCUCCUCGGCGACCUCUGGUGACGCCAUGGCAGACGCCCUCGCUCCUCCGUUCUUCGCCGCGUACGCCGUCAACGUCAAGCAGCACGUGCCGAUCGUCCUCAGCCUCGAGCGCCCCAACUUCAACAAGUGGAGGGCGUUCUUCACCGCCCUCUGUGCCAAGUACGGGCUCCUUGGCCACACCGACGGCACGCUGCCCGCACGUCCGGCAAAUCCUACAUGGUCUCAGCCCAAUGCCUGCAUUUGUGGCUGGAUGUAUGGCUCUGUCGAUGAUCCAAUCCUUGACUUUGCCAUUGACGACGCCGACCACGACGCCCACGCCCUCUACGUCUCCAUCGAGGCCUUGUUCCAAGCUAACAAGGAACCCCACACCGUCGUCCUCAGCCAGGAAUUCCACACCAUGUUCCAGGGCGACCUCUCUGUCGACACCUACACCCAGAAGCUGAGCGCAUGCUGCGCACCUUGAACAACACCGUUCGCACACUUCUGGUUCAUGCAGCCUUGCCCCCAUCUUAUUGGGUGGAGGCUCUCUCCGCCGCUGUGUUCCUGCUCAACCGGCGGCCAUCCUCGUCCAUCAACAACGGUAUACCAUAUCAUCUUCUCCAUCACAAGAUGCCCGACUACUCCAUCCUUCGAGUUUUUGGUUGCUUGUGCUAUCCAAACCUUAGUGCCAUGACUCCCCAAUAAUUAUCUCCUCGCUCUAUGGCGUGUGUCUUUCUCGGUUACACUCCUUCCCAUAAGGUCUAUCGGUGUCUUGACCUUUCCACUCGCAAGAUCAUAAUCUCGCGACACGUCAUUUUUUAUGAGACUCACUUUCCGUUUGCGGCUUCCAAGGCCCACUCGGACUCUUUUGACUUUUUGUUACAAGACAUACUGCCCGUGCCUCCUCCGUCCACCUCGGACAAUGAGGCCAUGAUGCCCCAGGAGGAUGCCACUAAUGCCGGUGACCCCGUUGGACUGGACCUGGCCAUUCUGUGGCAUGGCUCUGCCCUUGGGUGCCCUUGGGUGCCUCGCCCCCACCGCCAGCCCCCUCCGCAGGCAGCGUGGCUGCUCCUGUAGCCGCUGCAUCACGGACAGCAGCACCGCCUCCUCUCCGCGUCUACACUCGGCGUCCUCGUCCGACUCCACCAGCGGCCACCGCUCCUACAGCUGCAGCGGCAGCACCGGUGGCGGCACCGCCAGUCCCAGCUCCUCCCUCCCGGGAGACGCGAUCCCAGACGGGAUCGUUACCACCACCCAUCCAGCAAUACAGUUUCACUACAGGUUCCAUGACGCUGGCUUCCCCGCUGCCCACCAACUCACGUGCUGCUAUGGCGGAUCCUAAUUGGCGGGUGGCCAUGACCGACGAGUACAAGGCGCUCAUCGACAAUGGCACCUGGCAUCUUGUACCUCGACCACCACGUGCUAAUGUGAUCACUAGCAAGUGGGUCUUCAAGCACAAGUACCAUGUUGAUGGCUCUCUCACCCAUCACAAAGCACGGUGGGUCGUUCGUGGUUUUUUGCAAUAGUACGACAUCGAUUAUGACGAGACGUUCAGCCCGGUUGUCAAACCGGCCACCAUCCGCGUCGUCCUCAGCAUCACUGCUUCUUCAUCCAGGCCGAUUCAUCAGCUGGAUGUGAAGAACGCAUUUCUCCACGAUCAUCUGGAUGAGACUACCUACUGCCAACAGCCACCUGGCUUCGCCGACCCGGCCACCCCCGACCGCGUCUGCCUCCUGCAAAAGUCCCUGUACGGACUUAAGCAGGUGCCCAGGGCUUGGUACCUGUGGUUUGCCGACUUCGUUCAGCGCUCCGGCUUCACUGCUUCGGUCUCCGACACGUCCCUCUUUGUUUACAAGGACGGCGCCGACGUCGCCUACGUGCUGCUCUAUGUCGACGACAUCAUUUUGACUGCUUCGUCGCCUGUUCUACUUCAGCACAUCAUCUGACUUCUUCACUCUGAGUUUGCCAUGACAGAUCUCGGAGAGCUCCAUCACUUCCUCGGGAUCUCUAUCACGCGGACCUCCGACGGCCUCUUCCUCUUCCAGCGACAGUAUGCCAUGGACCUGCUCUAGCAUGCCGGCAUGGCCGAGUGUCACUCUACAGCAACUCCUGUGGACACUAAGGCCAAUCUCUCAGCUACGGAUGGUGCUCCGGUGGCGGAUGCUACCCAGUACCGCAGUCUGGCUGGCGCUCUAUAGUACCUCACGCUAACUCGUCCAGACCUUGCCUAUGCCAUCCAGCAGGUGUGCCUCUUCAUGCAUGACCCGCGUGAGCCUCAUCUGGCGUUGCUCAAGCGUGUCCUCCGGUAUGUGAAGGGCACUCUGUCCACCGGGCUUCACCUUGGUGUUGGUGGCAUCGACAGUUUGAUCGCUUACUCCGAUGCUGAUUGGGCUUAAUGUCUAGACUCUCGGUGCUCCACUUCAGGCUACUGUGUCUUCCUCGGUGACAACUUAGUCCCUUGGUUCUCUAAACGACAAACUAUGGUUUCUCAUUCGAGUGCGGAGGCUGAGUAUCGUGUCUUUGCUCACGCUGUGGCUGAGACUUGUUGGCUCCGACAGCUGCUUCAGGAGCUCCAUGCGCUCAUUGCUUCAGCAACGAUCGUCUACUGUGACAACGUCAGUGCCGUCUAUAUGACUGCCAACCCAGUACAUCAUCGUCGCACGAAGCACAUUGAGAUAGACAUCCACUUUGUUUGUGACAAAGUGACCUUGGGACAGGUUCGGGUGCUCCAUGUAACAUCGUCUCAUCAGUUCGCAGACAUCAUGACUAAAGGGUUACCUGUACAGUUGUUUCCUGAUUUUAGGUCUAGCCUUUGUGUUCGUGACACUCCCGCUUAGACUGAGGGAGGGUGUAAGAAUAUAAUUAUAACAGCCCGUAUUGGGCUUACGGCCCAUUGGCCUUGUACUCCUUGCCUGAAUUGUAUUAGUACCACAUUGUAACUUAUAGACGUACUGCAAGCCUUCUAGGCUAUAUAAUGAAGAUCACCCCCGUGGUUAGGGUGUGCGGUGUUUCUAUAGUUACAUGAUAUCUUAUACCACAAUACUAAUGAUGAUUGUGAUAGAGCAAGAUGCAAGUUCCCUCAAUUAUAUGAUAUCAAUGUGGAACAAAACUGUUCUAUUUCUUUUAUGAAACAAAGAAGUGAGCAUCUCUCUUUUAGAACAUGGCUCAAUUGAGAAGGUUACAUGUUAUCUUAUACCACAAUACUAAUGAUGAUUGUGAUAGAGCAAGAUGGGAGUGGGAAAAAUCUGGGAACUUCUCUAUCAAAUCUACUUAUAAGAAGCUAUGUAGGCAUGACUGUGGGCCUAACUUCAAACAAGUUUAGAAGGCUAAGAUACCUCUGAAAUAUAAACUUUAAAACAAAAAUGGAAAGGUGAUGAAUCAGGAACGGAGAAGGAAACUGCAAGUUUGGUGCUAAUUGUAGACCCAGCAGUUUGGAGCAAUUCUGGAAUUAGUUUCAUUGGAUUAAGUUUGGUGCUAAUUGUAGACCUAGCAGUUUCGACCAAUUAUGGACUUGAAUUCAUUUGAUUAUACCAAAGGGUAAAUCUGUCUACAUUUUGGGCUUAGGCAACUGUUUGCUGGGUGCUGUGGUUAACUCCAAAUGCCACAUGUUUUGAUAACAAGAGGACUAGACCUCCUAGUCAGAUCAUGUCUUAUGUGUUUUGUCAACCAGAUGUUGGAUUGCUUGGCACGCUUGGACAGGUGUUUUUGCUAGUUCUACUGGUUGGUGAUCCCUUAGUGAUUAGCCUAGUGGCCAGGAUUAACUUUUUUUAUGUUUCAUAUCGCACUAAUAAAAUUUGGUUUUUAAACUUAUGUUACUCACAUGUUGUCAAUAAAAAAAAGAACAUAUGUGCAAUCAAAUGUGCAACCAACAAUACUCUUGUUAAUAAAAAAGGAAUAUAUGUGCAAUAAAAUAUGCAAUUGACAAACUUAUAAUUGUAAUACUCACAGCUAGAGCUUUUGCUGAGUCUCCUUCGGUAAUAAUCAAAGUGCAUUUGUGAGAGUCCACUCCACCAGCACGAGUUGCAUCCUCAAACUUCGUUGGAUUUGCUUCAGUGUUUUCAUCCUCUUCUUUAAGUGCCCAUGCAAGUGUCUCCUUUAAAGCACAUCUAAAUAUUUCUUUAAAGAUAAAAGAAUGUGCCACUGAAAUUUUUUUACUUCAUAUUAGCAAUACACGGGCAUCAAAGUAACAUACAACCUACAUUAUUAAGAAAACAAAACCACAUACCUUGAGUGAGAAACUCCUCGAACUUAGCAUUUCUAAGAGCAGAUCAAUGUAAAUUUCUGCAUUAUCUGUUUACUUUAUAUUAGCAAUAUGGAGGCUUAUAAGCAACACAACUUACAUUUUAAAAAAAAACACACACACAAUCACAUACCAUAAAAAAAGGGAUAGUCCGCAUUUAUGAAGACCCAUAAGUGGCACUUCACGUCACCUGUCUGUAUCUCAAUGUUCUGAACAUUCUUCAUUUUCCUUUUUAUUGAACUUUUCAGAUGUUCUUCAACAUGUCUUGUGAUAGUAUCAAAUUGAACUCCUCCCUCUAUUACAACACCAUUAACAAAGUUGAACUGAAAAAAUACAAAGAUAGUGAGUUGCAAAACAAACGCAGCCGAUAGAGAAUAUAGCCUACAUAACUUUGGCUGGGAACACAAACCUGUUGGUAUUGGCCAUUUCUGCUUAAAGUAAUACACACCUCCCCAGCAAAGGCUAACUUUUGUUAUACACUGAAAUAAAAUACAAGAGUAAAUAAUUAAAAAACAAACAUAUGGUUUCGUUUAUCCUAAAUAAAACUUAUGUUUUUAUGAAAAUUUUAAACCUUUUUGAUGUCUUCUUGGAAGGAGUUCGCAGGUACAAAUCCACAUAACUUGAAAAAAUAUUAGUGAGCAAAUGGCCAUCUAGAUGAACCUUUAGUUUCUAGUUGUUUCUUCUUUUGUAAAGUGCAGCCAGAUCUACCACCCUUUUUCUCAUAAGGGCUGCCAUAUCAUCUUGAAGCUCAUUACAGUAAAAACUGAAUGUGGUCCAAUGACACCCAUUAGAGCAUUUUGUGAUUUGAGAAUUUCUUUUCUUCCCAGGUUUGCCAUAAAAAACCUAAAUUUGUGUUGAAUAAGAUAUGAAAUUAGUGUUUAGUUAAGUUACACCUUUUAUGCUACUACUAAUUUCUAAACUAAGUAGAGGUUAAAAUAAACAAUACACAUUAGGUGACAACAAAAGUAGUAAACACAGGACAUCAUAAAUCAAACAUUAUGACACAAAUAAAAAUUUAUACUUGUAUUUAAGUACUCCCUCCGUAUCGGAUUUAGAAGUCGCUUUCGACAAGGUUCGAGUCAAAUAUUGGGAUUAUAAAUCAUCAAUAACUUUUAAAUUGUUGAGUUUGCAAAUGUGAAAAUUAUAUGAAUAGAUUUGUAUUGAAAAAUACUUUCAUAAAAGUAUAUCUAUAUCAUUUUUCCUAAAUAUUUAUAAAAAUAAGAGGUCAAAGUUGUGUUUUGGAGACCAUGUCACUAUUCUAAACAACUUCUAAAUUCGAUACGAAAAGAGUAAAGAUUUAUCUACCUUUUAUCUAAAAAACACUCUAGAAUAGACCCUAACAACAAAAUCAUACUCAAUCCAUCCAUCCCAAAAUAUAGCAACCUAGGAGGGGAUUGGACACAACCUAGUAUUUUGGGAGUAAUUAACAUGGUCAUUUAAUGCAAAAUAUAAUUUGAAUAAGCCUUUAGUACGAAGCACUAUACCUUCUUGCAUUUCUGGUCACUUGCAUUAAAUGUUGUGAUCACAAAUCGUGAAAAGAUGGAUGAGCCUUGAGGAUCCAUAUACUUUCUAAUGGAGGAGUUUCUGAGCAAGAGAUUAUCCCAGGGGUCGAAGUUAUCAUUUUCAAUCGGAAAGAAAACUCCAAAGCAAUGUAUGGAGAUAUAGCUUGUCCACUUUAAUGUUAACAUCCAGGUCAAUCUUGUCGUUUGUAAGGAUCUCUGUAUGGAGUUCUUGUUCAAGUUCAAAAGACAUUAAUAUCUCAUCAAAUAUAGUUUGUAGAAUUGGGAUGUAGUUGACAUUUCGAUGCACCAUGGCAUGGCCAUUGUAAACCCAUUGCAUUUUUGUUUGCAUCUUUAAUAAAUAGUGCUUGUCAAGCACCUGGCAAUGAGAAAUUUUACUACAUUUGUGAGGGCUACGGAAAAGAAAAAACGAUAUGUGCCAAUGAGUAAUAUUACUACAUUUGUGAGGGCUACAGAAAAGAAAAAAAAUGAUAUGUGCCAAUGAGAAAUAUUACUACAUUUAUCUAGAGGGGGGAGCUAACGGCUCGUUGAUUGCUUGGAGAGGGGGUGCCAGCUCAUUGAUGGCUUUCCGCUGGCUCUGGGUUGCAUCGCCGCUCGCUAGGGGACGCUUGCGAGGGUGCAAGCCACUAGCGGCUGCGUCGCCGCUCGCCAUGGUACGCUUCAUCUUGUCAGCUUGGACAAAUGCACCGAGAGGGAAAAUUUUCCAAAAUAGUAAGUGAGCAUUGUGUGGUCUAAUAUAACUUAAGGAAUCUACAAAAAAACAACAAAACCACUUGAAAACGGGUAAGUAUGGCCACGUGCUUGUAACAACGUUGAAAAUAUCUCAUGGUAGACAAUGUUCGUUUCAUGUGUGCAGUCAACAUUCAUAUGCUCUAUCAAUAUCUCUAGAUCUCUUUGAGGUGACAUGUAAAACAGCAACAUACAAGCAUCGGUAAAUACAGGCUUUUUUGGGUAGUUACCAGCAUUGGACAAUGUCUACCCUUGGCUCCUAUUGAUAGUCAUUGCAUAGCAUACCUUAACUUUAAAUUGGUGCCUCUCUAGAACAAAGGGCAGCUUUGUAUUUGUAAGUGUUAGACAAAUCCUUGGAAUCAGAACAACAUGCCCCAUGUGUGUGACGGUCAUUGUCUAUAUAUGCUUCUAUUAAAAUAUUGAAGGGCUAUGAAUGCAGGUGCAAAGAAGAAAUAUGCUGUAACUGUCCACAUUGGUUCGUAUGUCACGCUCUCUCAACUAUCCCGCUCUACUUCACCCCCCCCGAACUAUAAAACAGGAUAUUCUAUCCUAUGAAUUUUUCAAAACCGGUCAAAUAACACCCUUGAGCAGUUUUGAAGGGUGUUUUUGUCUUUUUAUUUUUAAUUUAUUUCCGCCGAAUCUUUGAAAAUCAUAAUAAAUAAAAAAAUUAUAAAAUAAAAAGUCUAAUUUUGUUGAACUUUUGAUGAGUAGAUCUACACAGUGCAUAUAUAAUAUGGUAUACUUUAGUACAAAGUGUUUGCUGUGGUACACAGUGAAUAUAUGCAGUUUCUAUGGUCUAGUUAUGGUAAACUUUUUAUGGUGGGCUCAUUAUUAUAUGCUUGAACUAUGGUAAAAAUUUUAUACUCAUUCAAUCACGUAUAACUUAGUUAUAGAUAAAGCAUAGAUAACAAAAAUAAGGCUAAAUAAAUCUAUAACUAAGUUAUACAUAAUCUAAUGUGUACGAAAUAAUUACUAUACAUCAACCAGGCAAUAAUUAGCUCAUCAAACAAAUUCACCAUAAUUUGAUGAUAAAAACUGCAUAUAUAAAUUAUAUAUUCUAAUUAAUUAUAGAAAAACAUAGAUCUAAUUGUAUAGCAAAAACUUUAUACUAAGCAUACCAUAUUAUAUAUUCACUGUAUAGAUCUACUUAUGUGGAGUCCAACAAGAUUAGAUUUUAUAUUUUAUGAUUUUUCUUUAAUUUAUUAUGAUUUUUCAAAGAUUCAACAAAAAUAAAUUAAAAAGAAAAAGACAAAAGCACCCUACUUGAGGGGGUUAUUUGACCGGUUUUAAAAAGUUCAAAGCGUAGAAUAUUUUUAUGAAUAAUUUAUGAAUAUGACCGGUUUUAUAGUUUAGGAGGUAAAGUAGUCCACUCUAGAUAAUUUAUGAAUAUGUAAACUUUUUCUAAAGAGAAAUCACGGCCAGCAGAAGAAAAUAGUUCCCUUAGAAGGCACAGUCGCAGCAAAGGGCACAACAAUCUCAAGCAAACAAGCAUCUAAGGCAAGCCACACCUAGUUGCCGCCCCCCCUCUCUCUAGGGCAAUCAUAAAAGCAACUAGUACAAACUACGCGCCCUUGCGCGCGAGGAAAAGUGAGCAUCCAGUGAUGUAUAGUAAUUAGAGUACAUUGAUCAAUACACACUUGCUGUAUGUAUAUAUUACAUAUGGCUGCAUAGAGUACAUUGUUAUAUAAGUAUCUAAGUACAUAUUACAUAUUACACAUAUUAGCAUGCAUCAGCUGAUAAAAGGGUAGAUAUAUAAGUAUUUUUGAGAUGUAUAUUUCACAUAUUGGAUAGAGUAAUCUUAAGUAGAGCUAGUGCCGAACAUUCUAUGAUUGGUCUGGAUGUUACAUUUCCGUGUCAUGCUCCCAGAUUAACAUUCUAUAAAUCUCCUUGCCCUCUUGAUGAAACACUGCUCCUAAAUCUAUCUGAUGACACACUCCAGCCAUUAACUGCUGUAACAUCCCUGAUGUUACGGUUACAAAAAAACGGAUCAUGUCAUCAUAAGCAUUGCAAAGCAUAAUUGUUAAAGCACAUUAGUAUGCAUCAACCUAAAAUAAGUUUACUUUGGUUGCUUGAGCUUAGGGAAGUAGAGUGGGCUUCUGUGAUGUGUUUUUGCUUGUGUGGUUGCUAAAACCCUAGGGUGGAAGUUUUCCGAAAAGCUAAGGGGGGAAAACCCUGAUUUCUGGAUCCUAGAAUUGCCCCUUUUUGUUUAAUUCAAAAACUAAGCAAAAUUUGAGGUUGAGUUCAAAAGCAAAGUUGUAGAUCUUGGCAAGAUGUACAACUUUGGUGUUUUGAGUUUUUGAAGUUUCAAUGCAAGAUUCAAAGUAAUUUUGAAAAUACAGAUUUCUAGAAAGUGUCCCCUUUUCCAACUUAAAUUCCCAAUUUAAAAUCCAUUUGGAAUUUUGAAAAGUGGUCAACAUUAAAGUUGUAGAGCAUAAAAAGUUGAGCAACUUUCAUGUUGGGAGUUUUUCAAGUUGUUAUACAAAAUCAAAAGUAAUUUUGGAAAUUCUGUUUUGCCCCAAUUCAAAAAUUUGGAAUUUCUUUGAUUUGAGUUUGAUUUUCAAACUGUUUGGCCAAAUACACCCUGUUACACUCAAAAUCAGCUCUGGUCACCAAAACAUAUUUUGUAGCUUAUAAAAUUUGGAACAACUUUUGUUUUGACACAAAUUUGACUCCAGUUCAAAUUUCGGCUGAAUUUCACAAAAUCCAGAAGAGAGGGGAUAAGGGUUGCUACAGUGACCCGAUAGGGAUCACCGGCUCCCUGUCCAGCGCGGCCGCCGUGCGCGCAGCGCCGCGUGCGCGCGCGCAGGCACGCAGCUGCUUGCUGCCAGGGUCGCCAGGCGACGUGGACGCCUCGGGCUCGCCUUCCCCUCCACUUGAGCACCGACGUGGACGACGCCGUCCGUUUCCACUGUCCACGGCCGGAGAAAACUCGACGUCCCUCUCCCUGAAAUUCACCGUACCCAGUUCCCCUCGCGCCAAAUUGAGUAACCCAGCGUCUUCGUCACCUUCGUGCGGACCCAGUGCACCCCCAAGCUCCCUCUCUAACCCACCCAGUCGCCAGAACCUCUCUGCUCUUCUCCAACUCCGGCCGAGACCGCCGCCGCGGAGCUCUUCCCGUGGCCACGGUGUUCCAGUGAGUAUCACACCCCGCUGGCGACUGUUUCAAGUCCCUUCCGUGCCCCGGUUGCUCAUGCUCUCGCUCCUUCUCCUUGAAUGUGAGCAGGAUCGCCGGAACAAGCUUGCCGGAGCCAGAGCUCCCGCCCGACGACACUGCUUCCGUCGCCAGCGGCUUCAGCUGCUUCUCCGAGCCUUGCAGCGUGAGCACCACCCUCCCCAACCCCUAUGGAAGCUCGCUCGGCCGUUGGCUUACACUCUAUCGGGCCCUAGCGGCCGGCCGAGGGUCGGCCAUGGCGGCUGCCCGCCCUUCUCGUGACCGAGGUAGAAAGAGUAGGGUAGAGCGUGGGUAGGGGGUGUCCACAGGGUCGCGGAGUUGAAGCGAAGCUGAUGCGCACGCGCACUCCGGCCGAGACCCUCGCCAACGGCGGCCGGAGCCGUGGCCGAACCGCCGUGCGCGGGGAGGACGCAGCUGACGGGUGGGGUCGCCCCGUCAGCGUCCCGCAGAGAGAGGGCCUGACGAGCGGGACCCGCUCGUCAGUGACCGCUCAGAGAGAAGGGGCGGCGCGCGCAGCGCGGGUGCGGGCCGAGCGCGUGUGGGCCGGCCUGCGGCCCAGUUCCCAGACAGCCCACUGCACAGUGUUGCUUUUCUUUUUCCUUUUUGAUUAAAAUUGCUUGAUGUUUGAAAUUGUGUAAUAAAUCCGGUGCUAAUCCAAAAAUGAUGAAAGUUUUUGUAUAGGUUCCAUAAGGUGGGUAGAACACAAGAAAAAUAGUGGAUUCUGUUUUCUGGUAGUUUGCAUGUUUGUAAAAAUUUGCUCUUUUAAUUAAUGAAUAAAACUUCUAGGAAUUUUAAUAAUUUAUUUGUAUGUCCAAAAAUCACCAAAAAUUGUGGGGAGCCUCUGAAUAUUAUUCCCUGGCUCCACACAAAAUUUGAUGACAUUUGGAUAAUGUUUGAUUAGAAUACUAAUAAACCCUUAUUUAGUACUUAAGUAAUAAUUCCAAAACCAUUAAAUAAUAAUUAAUUAAAUUCUCAUGAUUAGGGUUGAGUGAUUUUGGGAUUGUGUGAUGACCUGAGGUCAUUAACCCUAAUGACCCUUGGCAUUUAAUUAUUAUUUAGCCUUAAUGCUUAAUUACUGUCAUUAGUAAUUAAUUAAGAAUUAAUUAAGGUAAAUAGGUUUAAUAAUUACUUAAUGUAAGAUAAUUAUGAAUUAAGUAAAGUCUUAGUUUACAGAUGAAACCUCUUGGGUAAAAAUAUUAAGUUAUUAAACAACUUUAUUUAGUGACAAUUCUGUAUUGCAUUAAAUAGGCAAAUCGUACUUAAUUCGGUCCAUCUUGCAUAAUUGCCAUACGCAUAUCAUAAGCAUUCAUCAUUUUGCGUAUAGUGUCCGUGACCGAAGGAGCGCCCGUUGAACCGAACCCCGAGGUCGGUGCUCCGUUCGAGGAAGUCGGAUCCGAGACUUGGGAAGUCUCCGAGGGUCCCUCUCUGCCCUGCAACCAAGGCAAGCCCCGGAUGCAUUAACCCCUCCUUGGAUGUUUUAAAUCUUUUAUCACUUAUGAAUUGAAAAUGCUGCAUUAAGUAGAUGAGAAUUGGGUUAACCUACUUGCUGCAUUUACUACCUUAACAUCUGUAUCCUGUCCUUGACACCUGUUUUAUUUUAAAACCGCGUAGCGAUGCUUAGCCCUGCUACUAGAUAGGUUUUCAAACAAGAAAGUUUGAAGGGUUGUUGUGGGAUACACUUAUGGCCAAUGAUGUUUCAACUUGAGACCGGUCGGUGGACUUGCUUUAAGAAUGGAGUCUUAAAGUAGUGUCUCCAACUGUGUCGGUUAAGGACCGUUCCGUUGAUGGCCUGCUGGGUUGAGAAUUUAUAGUACUAGCCACUUGCCUACGGUAAGCCCAGUCUUGUGAUCCCUCGACGCGAACAGCUACUCGCGCACUGGGAGUGGAAAGAUGGCGAGAGUAGUGUGUACCCACCUUACGGAUCUGAGAUGACCGGAAAACAUCUAGAUCGGCUGUAGGAUGGUGGAGUACUGUGCUCUCGGGUGCCGCGAACCUGGUCAAAUUUGGGGAGAGCUUGAUUUGGGUUGAUAUAUGCAAGAUUUGGUUCUACAUAUGUCGGGUGGUUAGGAACUCCAGCUGGAUUGCUAAGCGAUUCGAAUCGUCGUUGCUCCCCGAUUGGGAGACUCAAUUCCUUCGACCCUCAUCGUAGUUAAAUAUGCAACUGAAUGAUAACAUGAGAAAAGGGAAAAUGUCUCAUGAGGUUCGGAUCCCAAUUCCCGGACUCAUAGCGACAUGAAGCUAUGGCCAUCAAUAAAUAAUACUUAAUGAUAGGGUUAGGAACUCACGGAUUCGUCUGUGGGGAACAACUAGUUAGACUAUCCUCGAAUUCUUCUGCCUCCGCGAGGGAGGAAUUCAGGGUAAAACUUGAAAAUAAGGAUGCACUACUAGUAAGCUUUUCCGCAAAACACUUUGGCUCCUUGCUCAGCCACCCCUUGUCUACCUUAAGCCUGCAUCCCUAAAUUCUCCUCUUUUCCCGUCGGAUAAGUCUUGUUGAGUACUCCCGUACUCAGGGUUUCAAUACCCCUGUUGCAGGUGAAGCUCAGGAGCCGACCUGUUUCGGACCCUGUUGUGUGACCGUCGUCGAGGUUGACGACGAAGAAGAGUGAGCGUGACCCAUGGGCAGGGGCUGUAAAUUUGUUUUGUCUCUACUAAAGUUUAAGUUGCUCCGCUGGACCAGGCUUGUAAUAACACUCUACUAUUUGGAAGAACUCCUUUUGUAAAUUAUGUUAUGUAAUACUUCCGCUGUUUCACUCUGAAAUACUAUUUUGGUCUUGUGUCGUUGAGUUACUGCUUUAUCUUCGCAACGAAUGAUCCUGGUGUUAAGGUGGCCACUUGCUAUCCUGUAAGGGCGAGAAGAAACAGAUCUCGUUGUUUGACCAUUAUCAGUGGUCAGGACGAGUCAGCUUGGUACGCCACAGGUAGCAGUGGAAUGAGCGCACAGUAAGGCUCAUCGGACUUCUAAAGUGGGAGGACUCCCGGCAUCACCGUCAGAGGUCCUUAGGACAAUGGCAGGUGCCGGUGGGCCCAAACACUUAGGGGGUUCUGCCACAGCUGGUAUCAGAGCAUUCGUUGCUAAGAUGACUGCUGAAACUUUGAAAAACUUCAAAAAUUCGUUUGGAACUAAUAUUAUGAACUUGCCUAUUUUGAGUCCAAGUGCUUAGUCCUAAUCUACCCCUGUCUAUAGGCUUUCUUAGAAUUUUUGAAGUGGUUUGGAGGAGCAACCUAAAGUAUUGCCCUAUGUUGUAAAAGUUUAAAGUAAUAUCGUUACGAAUUGUUAGUAGGAAUCAUAAGUUCGUGCAUGCAUCAUAAUGUAUUAACUGGUUAAGUUCCUUCCUCCUUGUUGGGUUGGGCGAAUAGAAUCAAUCCUAUUCUUGCUAACCUUUAAGGUCUCUCUUACUAAUCUAAACUUACCCUCUACAGGAUGGCUCGUCAGAAGCAGACCCCGCGUAAGCGGACCGGUCCAAAAGGAGUUCCCCGACAUCAGCUAGCUCCACGCAGUGAUCAAGCCAGUAGUAGCCGUACCCCGCCUCAGCAGGAGGUGGACAGGCUGUCCGCCGAGUUGACUGAGGUGAUGAGAGAGAGAAUGUACAAUGUUAUGGAGAUUGGCAAACUCAAAGCUCAACUGGCCAAAGAAAAACAAGCUACGGAAAACUGUGAAGCUAUGUUGUCCCGGAUGGUGGAGGAGCGGAAUGCAGCCAUUGCCCGAGAGGAAGAAGCUAGGAGCACCCAUAGGCAUGAGCUAACUAGGAUGAACGCAAAGUUGGGCAAGGCAAAGUAUCUUAAGGAUUUGUAUGUGAAGAUGGCGGCCACGGUCACCGCACAACGGGAUGUUGCGUGGCAACGAGAGGACCAGCUCCAGCUGGAGAAACUGGAGCUGGCAUAUCACUUAGAUACAGUCAAUGAUCUGGCUAUGCAAUAUCGUGAUAUUGCAUUUGAUCUGUAUCAUCAACUUCACCCACCUCCCGGCGAAGGAGAAAUGGAUACGGAUGGCGAGUUGGCAGACGAUGGAGAACCCGAUCCCGGCCUCAGUGGUGGAGAGGAGUCCGACCCCGAUGAUCACAACCCAGGGGGUAAUCAAGAUGAUGGCAACGACGACCCGGGCUACAGCUCUGGCCACACCGAUUAGUUCGGUGAAACCGAGGGCAACGUCGUUGUAGGGGUCUUAGCUUGCCGUAGUGGGGUUCGGGUUUGUAAUAUAAGUUUUCUUUCGGUUUGAGAAGUUGAACUUGUUUACUCUUGGUGUGUAUCUAACUAAUGUUUAAUAAGUGAAUGUAAGAUAUGUUCUGUGUUAUGAAUUCUACGUGGUAACAGGUAUCUACGAUUCUUGUAACAGAUGCCGAUGCGUACUCGCGGAUCCGAUGGAGCUGGGACAUCCCAGGGAGGGGAUGAUAUCCCCAACCCUCCACCUGCUCCACCUUCUUUGGCUGACGCCAUUGCUGUCCUGCUAAGUGCCACUACUGACAAUGCUCGCUUGCUGCGCGAGCUAGCCCAGCGUCAAACACACCCUGCUUCAAACUUCAGGGCACCGCGCAACGGGGACGGAGAGGCUCGGUAUGUAGAUUUUACCGAGACCAGGCCCCCGGUGUUCACUAAGGCCGAUGAGCCUUUAGAAGCGGAUGACUGGCUCCGAACUAUGGAGCAUAAGUUCAGUUUAAUUCAGUGUUCAGAAACUCAGAAACCCUUAUUUGCAGCCCAGCAGCUUCGGGGAGCUGCAGGUGCCUGGUGGGAGAACUUCUUAGCUAUUCAAGCUCCCGGACACCAAGUUACCUGGACCGAGUUUAGGGACGCGUUCCGCGCCCACUACAUCCCCGAAGGGCUCAUGGCCAUGAAGGCCGAAGAGUUCCUCGCCUUGCAGCAAGGCGACAAAAGUGUUAUGGAAUACGUGGCAAGGUUCAAUCAUCUUUCUCAAUAUGCCACGGAUCAUGUGAACACUGACAGAAAGAGGAAAGCCUGUUUCAUGCGUGGCCUAAAUACUAAACUUCAGACCAUGAUGACCACAUGCCAAAAUGCUACUUUCUAUGAGGCGGUAAAUAUUGCUAUCGCCUCAGAGGAAAAGAAUAGGAAACAUAAGGAAGCCAAGAAGAAGGCUGCUUCCUCUUCUUUCUCUGGUCGCGGUCAAAAGCGCCAGAGGGUCAUUUAUCAUCCACAGGGCCACGGACGUUUCCAAACGCCGAUACCUUCUCGUGGUCCUUUCUCCCCUCCACAGUACAGACCUGGGCAGCAGGUAUAUUCUCGACCUACUGCCAUCGCUUUUGCACCACGCCAGCCGAACGCCCCGGGUGUUCGCCCUACUGCUCCGCCCAGCCACAAUUACCCUUGCUUCAAUUGUGGUAAACCUGGGCAUUUCUCUAAAGAGUGCCCUUUUCCUCGUCAAACCAACCCUACCUUUCCCAGGCCACCUAUGGGCCAACCCCAGUCGGGCCAGUUUAGAACUGGGGUUCAAAAAGGGCAACAGGUACAGAGAGGUAGACCGGUAAAGAAGACAGGGCAAGUCUUCCAUACUGAAGUGGAGACAAUUCCAGAGGGUGAACCAGUGAUGAUGGGUACGUUUCCUGUCGCGAAGCAUCCUGCUUUAAUGCUUUUUGAUUCUGGUGCAUCCCAUACAUUUAUCAAUCGCACCUUUGUAUUAAAGCAUGGUAUACCCAUUGGGGAAACACAAGAUCAUUUUUAUAUACAGUCGCCAGGAGGACGGCUGAUGUCUAAAGAAAUGGUUCACCAAGUACCCAUCGAAUUUGGUGGGCACAAUUUUCCUACUAGCAUGAUUGUUCUUAAGGACCAAGAAAUUGAUGUCAUCUUAGGCAUGAACUGGAUGGCGCAACGAGGAGUUGUGCUAGACACUUUGCACCGAACCAUUAAAAUCCCAUUGCCCAAUGAGAGUUCUUACUUGCUAAUCCAAUUAGUUACUCCCAAACGGACAAUUGGGCAAGUUCAUGCCGCUAAUGUGUCUGAAGUUAAAGAUAUCCCGGUAGUUCGAGAUUUCCCGGAUGUAUUUCCUGAAGACUUACCAGGUCUGCCUCCGGACCGGGAUGUACAAUUCAGUAUAGAAUUGAAACCGGGAACGGCCCCAAUAUCUCGAAGGGCCUACAGAAUGGCACCGAAAGAGCUGGCCGAAUUAAAAACCCAAUUACAAGAAUUGUUACAGAAGGGUUUUAUUCAGCCCAGUUCUUCUCCAUGGGGUUGCCCAGCCUUGUUUGUGAAGAAGAAAGAUCAGACAUUAAGGCUGUGCGUCGACUAUCGUCCUCUAAAUGAGGUGACGAUUAAGAACAAGUACCCAUUGCCCCGUAUUGACUUAUUGUUUGACCAGUUAGCUGGGGCCAAGGUGUUCUCAAAGAUUGAUUUGAGAUCAGGGUACCACCAAAUUAAAAUUAGGCCGGAAGAUGUGCCCAAGACUGCUUUCACAACCCGUUACGGGUUGUAUGAAUACUUGGUGAUGUCUUUUGGGUUGACUAACGCACCGGCCCAUUUUAUGUACCUGAUGAACUCUGUCUUCAUGCCAGAACUAGACAAAUUUGUGGUCGUCUUUAUCGAUGACAUCUUGAUUUACUCCAAAACUAAGAAGGAGCAUGCUGAACACUUGAGAAUCGUGCUGACCCGUCUUAGGGAGCACCAGCUAUAUGCCAAGUUCAGCAAAUGUGAGUUCUGGCUGGACAAAGUUCAUUUCCUGGGUCAUGUAUUAUCAGCGGAAGGAGUCGCUGUAGACCCAGGCAAGGUAGAAGAUGUGUUGAAUUGGAAACCCCCGACUAUGGUACAUGAGGUCCGUAGUUUUCUGGGCAUGGCGGGAUAUUACCGUCGUUUUAUCCCAGACUUUUCCAGAGUCGCCAAACCAAUCACAACCUUGCUCAAAAGUCAAACAAAAUUUGUUUGGUCACCCCAAUGUGAGCAGGCUUUUCAGACUCUGAAAAAGUUGUUGACAACUGCACCUGUCUUAGCCCAGCCAGAUAUUGAAAAACCCUUUGAUGUAUAUUGUGACGCAUCAGGAAUCGGGUUAGGCUGUGUGCUGAUGCAGGAGGGUCGUGUAAUUGCAUAUGCUUCCAGACAACUCAAACCUCAUGAAGAGAAUUACCCGACCCAUGAUCUCGAACUAGCCGCCGUGGUACAUGCAUUGAAGAUCUGGCGUCAUUAUUUGUUGGGAAACACGUGUCAUCUAUAUACAGAUCACAAAAGCUUGAAGUAUAUCUUUACUCAAGCUGAGCUUAAUAUGCGCCAGCGAAGGUGGCUAGAACUAAUUAAAGAUUACGACCUUGAGGUGCAUUAUCACCCUGGCAAGGCAAAUGUAGUAGCGGAUGCCCUCAGUCGUAAGGCUCACUGUAAUUGCUUAACAGUGAAGCCUAGGGAUAUAACUUUGUGCCAAGAGCUAGAGAACUUGGGAAUAGAAAUGAUUUCCCAAGGAAGCCUUUCCAAUUUAAAGAUUGAUUUCAAUCUCGAGGCUCAAAUCAUAAAGGCACAAAAAGAAAACAAAGGCAUGAGACAUCUUAAAGAGAAGAUUUCUAAUAGAGCACUCACAGACUUUAAGGUGGAUGAGGCGGGAGUAAUCUGGUUCAAGAACCGGUUAGUGGUUCCCAAGGUACCUGAGCUACGUCAGCAAAUCCUGGAAGAAGCUCAUACCACGAGGUAUUCUAUUCAUCCGGGAAGCAAUAAGAUGUAUCAGGACCUGAAGCAAAGGUUUUGGUGGACAAAAAUGAAGAUAGAAAUAGCUCGCUAUGUGGCCCAGUGUGACACCUGUCGAAAAGUCAAAGCCAUUCAUCUCAAAUCCGCUGGGGAGUUGCAACCUUUGCCUAUCCCCGCAUGGAAAUGGGAUGACAUAAGUAUGGAUUUCAUAGUAGGAUUGCCCAAAACGGCCAAGGGCUUUGAUUCCAUUUGGGUCAUAGUAGAUCGUCUCACCAAAACAGCACAUUUUCUGCCGGUAAAGCUAUUGUAUCCUGCCUCCACCUAUGCUAAGAUUUAUUUCGACCGUAUCCUAAGUCUGCAUGGAGUGCCAAAGACAAUAGUGUCAGAUAGAGGCACACAAUUUGUCUCCCAAUUCUGGAAAUGUUUACAUGAGUCCUUGGGCACUAAGCUUUUAUACAGCACAGCCUACCACCCUCAAACUGGUGGGCAAACGGAAAGGGUAAAUCAAACCCUAGAAGAUCUAUUAAGAUCUUGUGCCCUGAAUUUUCCAGAUAAGUGGGAUGACUGCUUGCCUCUAGCAGAAUUUUCCUACAAUAAUAACUAUCAAGAGAGUAUCAAAAUGGCUCCCUUUGAGGCACUGUAUGGUCGCCGAUGUCGAACUCCGUUACACUGGUCAGAACCUGGAGAAAGAUGGUUCUUCGGAGUUGACUUAGUGAAAGAGACUGAGAACAAAGUGAAACAAAUUCAAAAUAAUUUGAAAGUUGCUCAGUCCCGACAGAAAAGUUACGCUGAUAAAAGACGUCGACCAUUGAAGUUCGCCAAAGGUGAUCAUGUGUAUUUGAAAGUAUCCCCAAUGAAAGGAGUAAAUCGUUUUGGUGUUAAAGGCAAGUUAGCGCCUCGUUACAUUGGUCCAUUUCCAAUUAUUGACCGAUGUGGACAAGUCGCUUACCGCCUUAAACUGCCCGAACGAUUAUCCGGGGUACAUAAUGUGUUCCAUGUGUCUCAACUGAAAAAGUGUCUUCGGGUACCGGAUCGAGUUCAAGAUAUCGAAGAUGUAAAGCUUGAACCAGAUCUAACUUAUUCGGAAUAUCCUAUCCUAGUACUGGAUCAAAAAGCUAGAGUUACUCGAAGGACAACCACUAAAUGGUAUAAAGUACAAUGGAGCCAACACUCUGAGGAGGAAGCCACCUGGGAAUCUGAAGAUUACUUGCUAGAGAAUUUUCCUGAAUUCCAUGCUUCUCUUCAGGACAAUAUAUGAUAACCCGAGAAUGUACUCCAGUAAGGAAAAAGAGUCACCAAAGCCAUGUACUUAAUGUACAUAUAUGCAUAUAAUGAAGUUUUUUUCCCCAACUCCUUGCCUUAUGGAAAAGUUGAAGAUGAAAGAGUUUUGACAAAUUUCCUUUUCCAUUACUUACCCUAAGGUUUUAAAUCUCGGGGACGAGAUUUCUUUAAGGGGGAAGGGCUGUAACAUCCCUGAUGUUACGGUUACUAAAAACGGAUCAUGUCAUCAUAAGCAUUGCAAAGCAUAAUUGUUAAAGCACAUUAGUAUGCAUCAACCUAAAAUAAGUUUACUUUGGUUGCUUGAGCUUAGGGAAGUAGAGUGGGCUUCUGUGAUGUGUUGUUGCUUGUGUGGUUGCUAAAACCCUAGGGUGGAAGUUUUCCGAAAAACUAAGGGGGGAAAACCCUGAUUUCUGGAUCCUAGAAUUGCCCCUUUUUGUUUAAUUCAAAAACUAAGCAAAAUUUGAGGUUGAGUUCAAAAGCAAAGUUGUAGAUCUUGGCAAGAUGUACAACUUUGGUGUUUUGAGUUUUUGAAGUUUCAAUGCAAAAUUCAAAGUAAUUUUGAAAAUACAGAUUUCCAGAAAGUGUCCCCUUUUCCAACUUAAAUUCCCAAUUUAAAAUCCAUUUGGAAUUUUGAAAAGUGGUCAACAUGAAAGUUGUAGAGCAUAAAAAGUUGAGCAACUUUCAUGUUGGGAGUUUUUCAAGUUGUUAUACAAAAUCAAAAGUAAUUUUGGAAAUUCUGUUUUGCCCCAAUUCAAAAAUUUGGAAUUUCUUUGAUUUGAGUUUGAUUUUCAAACUGUUUGGCCAAAUACACCCUGUUACACUCAAAAUCAGCUCUGGUCACCAAAACAUAUUUUGUAGCUUAUAAAAUUUGGAACAACUUUUGUUUUGACACAAAUUUGACUCCAGUUCAAAUUUCGGCUGAAUUUCACAAAAUCCAGAAGAGAGGGGAUAAGGGUUGCUACAGUGACCCGAUAGGGAUCACCGGCUCCCUGUCCAGCGCGGCCGCCGUGCGCGCAGCGCCGCGUGCGCGCGCGCAGGCACGCAGCUGCUUGCUGCCAGGGUCGCCAGGCGACGUGGACGCCUCGGGCUCGCCUUCCCCUCCACUUGAGCACCGACGUGGACGACGCCGUCCGUUUCCACUGUCCACGGCCGGAGAAAACUCGACGUCCCUCUCCCUGAAAUUCACCGUACCCAGUUCCCCUCGCGCCAAAUUGAGUAACCCAGCGUCUUCGUCACCUUCGUGCGGACCCAGUGCACCCCCAAGCUCCCUCUCUAACCCACCCAGUCGCCAGAACCUCUCUGCUCUUCUCCAACUCCGGCCGAGACCGCCGCCGCGGAGCUCUUCCCGUGGCCACGGUGUUCCAGUGAGUAUCACACCCCGCUGGCGACUGUUUCAAGUCCCUUCCGUGCCCCGGUUGCUCAUGCUCUCGCUCCUUCUCCUUGAAUGUGAGCAGGAUCGCCGGAACAAGCUUGCCGGAGCCAGAGCUCCCGCCCGACGACACUGCUUCCGUCGCCAGCGGCUUCAGCUGCUUCUCCGAGCCUUGCAGCGUGAGCACCACCCUCCCCAACCCCUAUGGAAGCUCGCUCGGCCGUUGGCUUACACUCUAUCGGGCCCUAGCGGCCGGCCGAGGGUCGGCCAUGGUGGCUGCCCGCCCUUCUCGUGACCGAGGUAGAAAGAGUCGGGUAGAGCGUGGGUAGGGGGUGUCCACAGGGUCGCGGAGUUGAAGCGAAGCUGAUGCGCACGCGCACUCCGGCCGAGACCCUCGCCAACGGCGGCCAGAGCCGUGGCCGAACCGCCGUGCGCGGGGAGGACGCAGCUGACGGGUGGGUCGCCCCGUCAGCGUCCCGCAGAGAGAGGGCCUAGUCACAACGCCANNNNNNNNNNNNNNNNNNNNNNNNNNNNNNNNNNNNNNNNNNNNNNNNNNNNNNNNNNNNNNNNNNNNNNNNNNNNNNNNNNNNNNNNNNNNNNNNNNNNNNNNNNNNNNNNNNNNNNNNNNNNNNNNNNNNNNNNNNNNNNNNNNNNNNNNNNNNNNNNNNNNNNNNNNNNNNNNNNNNNNNNNNNNNNNNNNNNNNNNNNNNNNNNNNNNNNNNNNNNNNNNNNNNNNNNNNNNNNNNNNNNNNNNNNNNNNNNNNNNNNNNNNNNNNNNNNNNNNNNNNNNNNNNNNNNNNNNNNNNNNNNNNNNNNNNNNNNNNNNNNNNNNNNNNNNNNNNNNNNNNNNNNNNNNNNNNNNNNNNNNNNNNNNNNNNNNNNNNNNNNNNNNNNNNNNNNNNNNNNNNNNNNNNNNNNNNNNNNNNNNNNNNNNNNNNNNNNNNNNNNNNNNNNNNNNNNNNNNNNNNNNNNNNNNNNNNNNNNNNNNNNNNNNNNNNNNNNNNNNNNNNNNNNNNNNNNNNNNNNNNNNNNNNNNNNNNNNNNNNNNNNNNNNNNNNNNNNNNNNNNNNNNNNNNNNNNNNNNNNNNNNNNNNNNNNNNNNNNNNNNNNNNNNNNNNNNNNNNNNNNNNNNNNNNNNNNNNNNNNNNNNNNNNNNNNNNNNNNNNNNNNNNNNNNNNNNNNNNNNNNNNNNNNNNNNNNNNNNNNNNNNNNNNNNNNNNNNNNCGGUGCUCCGUUCGAGGAAGUCGGAUCCGAGACUUGGGAAGUCUCCGAGGGUCCCUCUCUGCCCUGCAACCAAGGCAAGCCCCGGAUGCAUUAACCCCUCCUUGGAUGUUUUAAAUCUUUUAUCACUUAUGAAUUGAAAAUGCUGCAUUAAGUAGUUGAGAAUUGGGUUAACCUACUUGCUGCAUUUACUACCUUGAUAUCUGUUAUCCUGUCCUUGACACCUGUUUUAUUUUAAAAUUGCGUAGCGAUGCUUAGCCCUGCUACUAGAUAGGUUUUCAAACAAGAAAGUUUGAAGGGUUGUUGUGGGAUACACUUAUGGCCAAUGAUGUUUCAACUUGAGACCGGUCGGUGGACUUGCUUUAAGAAUGGAGUCUUAAAGUAGUGUCUCCAACUGUGUCGGUUAAGGACCGGUCCGUUGAUGGCCUGCUGGGUUGAGAAUUUAUAGUACUAGCCACUUGCCUACGGUAAGCCCGGUCUUGUGAUCCCUCGACGCGAACAGCUACUCGCGCACUGGGAGUGGAAAGAUGGCGAGAGUAGUGUGUACCCACCUUACGGAUCUGAGAUGACCGGAAAACAUCUAGAUCGGCUGUAGGAUGGUGGAGUACUGUGCUCUCGGGUGCCGCGAACCUGGUCAAAUUUGGGGAGAGCUGGAUUUGGGUUGAUAUAUGCAAGAUUUGGUUCUACAUAUGUCGGGUGGUUAGGAACUCCAGCUGGAUUGCUAAGCGAUUCGAAUCGUCGUUGCUCCCCGAUUGGGAGACUCAAUUCCUUCGACCCUCAUCGUAGUUAAAUAUGCAACUAAGUGAUAAAAUGAGAAAAGGAAAAAUGUCUCAUGAGGUUCGGAUCCCAAUUCCCGGACUCAUAGCGACAUGAAGCUAUGACCAUCAAUAAAUAAUACUUAAUGAUAGGGUUAGGAACUCACGGAUUUGUCUGUGGGGAACAACUAGUUAGACUAUCCUCGAAUUCUUCUGCCUCCGCGAGGGAGGAAUUCAGGGUAAAACUUGAAAAUAAGGAUGCACUACUAGUAAGCUUUUCCGCAAAACACUUUGGCUCCUUGCUCAGCCACCCCUUGUCUACCCUAAGCCUGCAUCCCUAAAUUCUCCUCUUUUCCCGUCGGAUAAGUCUUGUUGAGUACUCCCGUACUCAGGGUUUCAAUACCCCUGUUGCAGGUGAAGCUCAGGAGCCGACCUGUUUCGGACCCUGUUGUGUGACCGUCGUCGAGGUUGACGACGAAGAAGAGUGAGCGUGACCCAUGGGCAGGGUCUGUAAAUUUGUUUUGUCUCUACUAAAGUUUAAGUUGCUCCGCUGGACCAGGCUUGUAAUAACACUCUACUAUUUGGAAGAACUCCUUUUGUAAAUUAUGUUAUGUAAUACUUCCGCUGUUUCACUCUGAAAUACUAUUUUGGUCUUGUGUCGUUGAGUUACUGCUUUAUCUUCGCAACGAAUGAUCCUGGUGUUAAGGUGGCCACUUGCUAUCCUGUAAGGGCGAGAAGAAACAGAUCUCGUUGUUUGACCAUUAUCAGUGGUCAGGACGAGUCAGCUUGGUACGCCACAGGUAGCAGUGGAAUGAGCGCACAGUAAGGCUCAUCGGACUUCUAAAGUGGGAGGACUCCCGGCAUCACCGUCAGAGGUCCUUAGGACAAUGGCAGGUGCCGGUGGGCCCAAACACUUAGGGGGUUCUGCCACAACUGUAGAUGAGCAAAUCUGGAUGACAAAGAUGGAACAAUAUCCAAAACAGCUGAAUUUCUAAUUCAUGAACAAUUUCUAUUUAGACUGAGGUAAUGUAAGCCAUAGCAAGAAUAAGAUAAAGCAGAUAAAUAAUAGCAUCAUGUGUACUUUGCGGGGCACAAGGAUAUGAAUUUGUGUGCAGUCAUACCUUCACGGCUACAUCACCACACAACAAGGUGGCAGGUUGAACAUAGCGUCGAUUUUCGGGAGUAACAACGUGUCCAUGAACAACCAAGUAGUUAUGAUAAAUUCAUCAAUUAUGGGAAAACAAAGGAUUAGAAAGAAGUUGCUUCUGGCCUAAAAUCAACUGUUGUAUAUUAUGCUCUAUUGAACGAAGACACAGGCAUGACCUAGUCUACCAAAUCCUUGUACAUUUACCUCCAAUAAAUGGAAGAGGAUUAUAGCUUCUAUGUAAGCCUGUGGAAACAAAUAAAGUGGUUCUCAUUGGAUGUAUAAAGGCAUGUCUUAAGUUGCACAAAUGAAGGACAUCAGGAAAAUUUUGAAAAAUUUAUAUACCAACCCAAUCUUAUGUUGUAAUGCAACACAUUUUCUUCUUCUGAAAGGAAACAACAAAGCAAAGUGGCAAGUAACAAUACUCAGGACAUAAGGCAUCCCAAUAUACUGAGGUUGUGAUAUCCAACUUCACCAUCCUGAAAAGAGCACACAUGAAGGGAGCAAAGGGAACCAGGUUGGCUGGAUGGCGUGAACCUUUGGUUUGUAGGGGUAAAUUUGAAAUACAUAUAAGAGAAAUGUAAAGGGCCAAAGCACAAAACAGCGUCCUGUUUAUUUUAAGUGUCUUUAAUACUAUGAUUUUGCCUACAUGAAUGCAACAGACGAGGCAUGAGAGCAACCUCAAAAGCAUUGGAAUGUCAAUAUAAAUGCUCAAGGUGGAAAAUAAUUUCAUUUUUUAAAUGGAGAAGUCGGUGUUAUUUUUGUCAACAAAAUGAAUAGGUAAGAAGUAAUUAAUCCUCAGAUUUGUUUAUGCAAAUGGUACUUUAUGAGCAUCAGAUGUAUCAAUCAGAACCAAUACUGGGACACAUCAGGUGAGCUCACUGAGACAACAACAAGCAACUUUGUUCAUAAUAGAUGGAAAACUGCAUUUUUUGAUAUAGCGUGAUGUGUUAUUGUGAUCAAAACUACGCUUUUCAAAAUUAAAAAAGCAUUAUGCAGCACUCACAUGGAGCACCAAACAAGAACUCAACAACUCGGUGUUAUAAGAGAACAUUCUACACUUAACCAUGCGCCUAAUCCUGAAAGGCCAGAAUACAAAUACUGUUGCAUGGAGUUUUAAAAUACCAACUACUAUUACUUUAAAGUGGCACUACAGUAAUUGUAUUUGCAACAUGAGAUGCAAGUACUAACACCUGUAGCAGAAAACUAAAGUGAAACUUAUUAGAAAUUACCACCUAUAAUUCAGUGGACAAGGGUACCUGACCUAUUGAAACAUUGGGGGUUCAGUCGAGCUUCUCAGGUAAUCUUGUUAGUGUCAUUUUAAGUUCUGCUUAACCUGCACCAAGCAGCAAAAGUGCUUUGAGUAGAAAAAAGGCAAAAACUUUAGUAAGUUGACCGGCCACCUCCAUGUUUGUUUCACUGCAGCUCUUUCUUUUUCCAUGCACCAAAGGACUAAAUGCUCUAAAUAUAUGUUUCAUGGAAACAUUGCAAGGACAGCAUAUAGAUGUGUAGCUAUCACUAAUCAUCAGUUAUCCAUGAAGGCUAGAAUACAUCUGACUAUAUGACAUAAGUAUUUGAGGGGCAGGGGUAUUCACUAAGAUAAUUCUGUAGUACUGAUAUGAAGUAAUUAAGUAUGGAAAAAAUUAAGAACUAAGAAUGGACCUUUGGUUUUAAUAAACCUAAAUGCUUAUACCAAAAUAUGGGUUGAAUAUAAUAGUCAAGUGGUCGUAAACCAAGCAAAUAUUUAACUUAGAAGCCUAUAUCUAUUGCACUGUUGUCACCACAUCCAGAUGGAUUUUUUUCUUAGCACUAUAAGUUGCUAGAACCUUGGGCACGAAAAGAUUUUUCACUCACCUAUGCAGGGAAGGCUUGUUUUCAUUGUUCUCUAGGAUGAUGUGCUCGAGUAUAUUGCUAUGAAUGUCCAUGACAUGUGGAACUUAGAAGAGGAGGAACCAUUCCAGUUGUCAUGUUGCCAAUGUUGUAGAGUCUUCUCAAAUCAAGAGCACCAGUCAUACUGAACAACGCCAACCAACAGGCCAGCUAUAUUCACCUAAAAAUUUAUUAUGAAUUGCAUACGAGGCAAAGAAAACUAACCUAACAUUCAUAACAGAAUACCAAACGAGGAAAGGAUCCUUACUCAGAAUUCAGAAAAACAAGAAAAUGGGACAACCUCUGGUUGUUGAAUGGCCAGAUAGACCUGUUUUUAAUUCGAGUGUUUCAUCCUGGCUCUCAUUGCCAUAACCAUAUAUAUAGUAUCCAUUGCGGCACCUAGGUCUGUCCCUGUUAUCUAAAAAUCAUAACCGUUACUCCGAAAGGGAAGAUCAAUUUUUAUCGAAUUCCUAUACUUAGUAUAUGAUUAGUAGGUCAGAUUAGAUCCUACUGGAUAAGUAGGAGCUGCUGACAUAUUUGUAGGUCCUCUGUUGUGCAUACCCUGCUUCAAGGCAACAAAGGGGAAAAACAUGAGUGAGCCUAGCAGUAGACAUAAUACAUAUUCAGAAUAAGAAAGCACUUCACAUGUGAAAAAAGGAAAGAUAGAAAAAGGGUCAUGUGGAUGCCUAUGGAUAAUAUGUAUUGAUUACUUAUUAUUUAUGGGACCAAACAGAUUUAUAAUCAAUUGAAAUUUAUUUUGCACAAUAAGCUAAUGCUAUCCUGAUCCACACCAUUCUGUGCAUCUAGAAAAGACAUGAAAGAAACACACAACCGCCAAAAGGAAAGAAACUCACCAACACACCUUCCAAUCUUAUUAGUCCACGCAGAUCCUCUUGGUUGAGGUCCUACAUCACAUAGCAUAGAGGAAAGGAGCAUCAGCAAGCAUGAAGCAGAAGGAAGAUGUGCUCCAAAUCCCCAAGAACACAAUAUUGAAGAAUAGACAGAAAGAAGUGUGUGGGUAAGAUCAUGUAACCCUGUUGUUUCCAUCAUGUAGAAAUAGUGUACAUAGUAUUUUAAAGUUGGAAAUGCAGAUGUUUAAUUAUUGUACUGUGAAAUAUGUAAAUUUAAGAGUAAGGAAAAGCUGAAGUUUAUUACCUGACUGAAGAUGUGUAAGCAUGUCUAGAUACAUGUGUUGGUUGUCUAACACUGAAAAAUAGAAAUAAUCUAGGAAAUAAAAUACGAUAAUGCUUUUAGAUUUGCAGCUGUUUAAUGAAGAUGUGUAAACAUGUGUACAUACAUGUGUUGGUUGGCUGACACUGACAAAUAGAAAUAAUCUAAGAAGUAAAAUACGAUAAUGCAUUUAGAUUUGCAACUGUUUAAGCAGCAUUAGACUGCAAAUAUUACCCAGGUGAGAAAUUCUGCAUGAGUCAUGUUUAGACUAUUUGAGCAGAACCUCUAAAGAACCCUACAUCCUCAAGCACAAGCAUCGUGUAUCAGUGAAAGGAAAUUCCAAAACAUCAUGACGGUACAAAUGAAGCCAAAAAUGUUACAGGGCAGCAUCGCCUAGAGAGCACGGACCUAGUAGAGGGGCAUGGAAGGCAAGCAAACCACAAUGCACUGUGUUACAUCGGGCUGGACUAUGGGCAACCACCCGUGCUGGCGUGUCGGCCCAUUCGGAGCUGAGGUCGGAACUAUGCCGGUAUGUUACCCACACCAGGGUCACUGCCACCUACGGCUGGGCAAAACCCUAGGUCACCUCAUCGCCACCGCCACCACCGCCACGUUGGGGGCUCGCUGUCGCUCCGUACGUCACGUGUGGAGGUGUGGAGGAGAACAAGGGCCGCGGUCAUCGUGCUGAGUGGCAGCCAAUGUGGAGGUCCACUUGUGCCACCGCCCUAUCCGCAUCGGAAGGGAUGGGGAGAGAGAGAGAGAGAGAGAGAACGAAAGGGAAGAGACUGUCGAGACUUAUACGCACGAUGGACGGAGAAGGAGGGGGCUAGCGCUGCGCAGGCUUGGGGCGCCAUCGUGCCGUCGCCCUGCCUCGGCCGCACUGCCCGUGGGGCGCUGUCGUCUCGUCGCCUCCAUGUAACACCCUAUAAUUUACUCCUUUCAAAAUAGAGUUAAAAUAAUUUGAUUAUAUAUUUUUGUGCCCAUGAAAAUAUAGAAAACAUAAUAUUUUUCAUUAAAUUAAGAUUUAUCAUAAGGCUUAGCAACAUUGUUGUGCAUACAUGCUGUUGCAUAAGAUUUGAUGUAAUGUUUGAUUGUUGCUCCUUUGUGUGUUGAGAGUAAGCAAAGUUUUUAAAAUUUGCGUUUAGUAGAACGAUCUUCCUUGGUCGGUAUAUCUUUAUUUUUAUCUACAACCAAAUUCUUUAUUUCUCAGCUCAAGUUUUUAUUAGGAGCUUCCUAAAAUCUUUUCUUUAUCAUCCAACUCACUCAUUUCUGUUCCUCGUUCAUCAAACAAUAUCUACAAUCUUAAUGGGAAUUUUUCUAGGUUUUUUUGAAAUUUGUUUCAACUUUUCUGUGAGCAUGAUCUCAUUUUUAGAUGCUCCAAACAAUCUUAUCAUGAGCUCAAAAAAACUUUAUUCGGGUUCCCCAUGUUCUAUAAUAUCUCUGAGAAUUUUUCCUGAAUUUCUGGAGCUUUCGGAGUAUUUUUCGUGGCUUAACUACUAAUUCUGGACUUUUCUUGAAUUAUUUUAUCCAUGAAAAUAAUUAAUUCCGAAAAUAAUAAAUAUCUUACUAUUUUUCCAGCGGCAAAGCCCAUUUGCAAUAAUCAUAAUAAAUCCCAAAGACCAUGUAUUUAUUUACUAAUGGACUUUAAUAAUUAAUUAGGCCUACUAGUAAACAUGAAUGUUGCAAAUCAAUUAGUCCCAUAUCUCUAGUUGAUGUUAAUGUGGUGAGUUAUCCUUCUAUAUGUAUGUACCAAUCUCUUAGACAAAUUAUACCAAAACUAUCUCAAGGGAAGCUCCUAGUUUGAGAAUCCCUGAUGAUGUGAAUUAAAAUUUUCUCCACUCCUUCUCAUGUCUUUCCAUUGCCACGUUAGGAGAGACUCGGCUGUUGCUUAUCCUAUCGUGCGCUGCCUUCUACAACUCUCCAUGUUCCGUUGCCUAGGGUUGCCGGCCGCUGCGGAACCCGAACUGCACGCAUGGAAUUUCUGAUGCUGCCUAGUUCACGUUCACGCCCGAUCAUGCCGCAGGACCAUCAAUCCUGAUCGUUCAUAGUUAUUUGUUGGUGAGCAUCCCCUUGUUUUCCAUCUUCUCUGUUAAUUACACCAUGCACGCACGUUGUAUGUUUCCCUUAUUUCUUUGCUUCUUAUCCAUAUGCAGCCAUUGAUCGUAUGUAGGCUUCUGUCAAUGUGCCGCGGUUGCGUUUUUCCUGAUCGCCAUGGCUGGCGGUGGUGCUUUCCCUGUGCCCGAGCAGAUGGGAAGCCAAGCGUUUGCUGCCUGUUGAGCCCGAAGGUCUGAGUUCCAAUUAGCUAGCAAGCUGCCAUGCACUUGUCUCGCAAAUCUUUUCAGGCCACCGCUAAUCAUCUGCUCCAAUUCAGUACUGAAAGUUCCAUCCAUGUACGUACUUACAUCGAAGGCUUCCAGCAAUAGCCAUCGACAAUUGAAGUUAAGUUCCAGACUUUGUGCUAAUCUAUUCUUUAUUCAUUGAGUCUAUAUAUGGAUCUCAUCGAGGUGCUGAGCUCGCUCGCCGCUGUGGUGACAGCUGUUGGAAACCUCUCCGCUGACUUGAGCAAGCCGUCAAGUGUCUUCACGUGGAGACCAUCGAGCCACCCCCAUCAAGCUGCACGCAUUCACUGAGACCGCCCCAUUCGCUACAAGCCUCUGCGUGAGUUCGCCAUAUCCCAAUAUAUCUACCGGUGCUUUUACCUUUGUAAUCAAAAGCCUCCAUGUUGUUCUCACCAAGCUUCGACGAACUCCAUGGCCAACCACUGUGCUAGAGAUCCUGUGCCGUGCGUGCUUUGCCUUGCUCCGAUUACAUACAGUUUCCAUAGCUAACAUGAUGACAUCAUGUUGAUGUCACCAUGAUGUCAAACAAGUAUUAUUACAGUUUUCCUUUACAAAAAUACAUCAAAAAAUACAAUAAAAAUACAUUAGCUUGUUUAGGUCAUAUUUUCUCUGUUUUAACUCCGAUUUGACACAUUCAAAUUGCGUUAAGUCUGUAUUUGAAAGAUCUACAUGUUAGUAAUACUGUUCUCUCAGUUUGAAACUUUUUUUAAAUUUCGUAACACCAUUUAAUUAAUUAUUUUUCUAUAGAAAAUCUUAGAAAAUUCAAUUUUUUUUUUGUUUUAGCUCCGAUUUUCAUGAUCUUUAUGUCUGUGUGAUCAUAGUGCAAUGUAGAUUCAUUUUAUAAACUUUUAUCUUUAUUUUCUACUGUUGGUGUAUUGUUCUAAUUAUAGGUUUGUUUGCUUUGUAUGAUUGCCUCUGGAUGAUUGUUGAUGAUGUGAUGACUGAGUUUAGUCGGUGAGCUUUUACGUGGUGAUCAAGAAGCAGUUUGUGGAAGGUUUGGAACUAAAAGAAGGAUCUAAGUUUCAAGACAAGUAUAGCAUGGGAUCAUCCUUGUUUCCUAAUAACUUUAAUCACAGAAUUCAUAUUGCAUGUGUCUUUUUGUUAAGAAUUUCCUAGUAUUGAUCUUAUACCUUGUCACCUAUGGAUUUGCAUUGGGUGGCUUAUGCUAGUGCUCCACUAAACCAUGAUCUUGUAAUUUGAGUAAUGGAAUAUGCAAUAAACAUUAAAAGAGGACUUUUUAGCAACUUUGGUAAAGAGGGCUGGAGCAUUGGGCUAUCCUAUGGUGCUCUAGUUUCUCUCCCUAAGGACUUAUCUGUAUAUGACCAUCCGGGACAUACAGUACAACUGUGAGGGCUACAUGGCUCUGGCUUUAGCUCAGUAUGAUGACCUUUUCUAGCUUGUUAGUGGUUACCCUUGUGGCGCAAAUGGUGAAUAGCAGAUCGUGGAUUCCUACGGGUGAAUCACAUGGACUGACUAAUAAAACCAAACGACCCUAACUUGUUAGACGAACCUUUGAACAACUUCAUAGUGAACCCUUCCGGCCUCCAUAGGAAGGGGGUUAAGAGAUUAGCUACCUCGGGCGAAAGGGUAAAUCAUGACUCACAGCGAAAUUGUACAACCUCUGGAGAGUGUAAAACUAAUAUAUCAGCCGUGCUCACGGUCACAAGCGGCCUUGGACCAAUACAGAAAAAAUAAUUAAUAAUGGCAAAUUAUUAAAGUUAUUAUUACUAAAUAUGUGGUUUAUGCUAUUCUUUAUUCACUUUACAUGAUCAUGAGUUAACUUUGGGACUUGACAACUUGAUGCUACUCAUAUGCUAGAAUUGUGACAACUAAAAGCUACAUGCAGUUAAACCAGUGUCUAGCCUUUGAGCCUCAUGAACCCUAUGUUAUUCUUGCUGAGUACGAGAUGUAUUUAUGCUUGCCUUUACAUUUUAUUUGGAUAAAAAUCCCAGAUGGGUACAAGAUUGCUAGUUUGGAGAAGAGUUUAGGCUUGUGCUCAACCAGUCAGUUGUCCCUGUGGAUUUGGAGCUUUCGCCUAAAGAACGGAGUGUCUUUCCACUGUUUUCUAUCCAAGGUUAUAUCUUUUAUAUUAAGUUCGUUAUAUAUUAAGCAUUGUCUAUUGAUAUUACCCGUAUUUGUGGCUAUAUGUGAGAUUUGACUUCCUGGGCUCACAUAUGGUGUGUAUCUGGUUUUGUUCUUAGUAUCGGGUGCUACAAAGUGGUAUCAAAGCAAUGCUGACUGUAGGACGCAAGCCUAGUUAGAAAUUGGUCAUCUUAAGGUUUUGAAAUUGUUAUAAUACCCUUGCUCUAUAAACCUUGGUAUUUUCCUCUAUACUAUAUCUCUACCCUUGCUAUUCCUUCCUACCUUGUUGCUUAUUUUAAAAAUCUUUGUUCUCAUCUUUACUCCUUGAUUUGGUAUGCUUUUAGAACCUUCUCUUACCUCUUCUUGUGUCUUCGAAACAGAAGUUUUAGGAUCCCAACCCUUAAGAUGAAGAGAACGAUAGUAUCGCAAGUUGACUUGUUUGACGUAUGAAACUAUAAUGCUUAAUUGGUUUGUCAUUAUGCUUAUGCUUGAUUUGGAUCUUUGUAGUGGGUUCAGUGAUCUUGUGGGAUUUCUGCACAACUUCAUUUAGUGUAUUGGUCUAAGGUAUAAGGAUUAAUGACAUAAUUAGUUGGGUUUUGGUUUUUCUCUUGUUAUCUUAUCCUGCCUUUUUGGAGUAUCCUCUCUUUAUCAGAUUAUAUCUCUGAUCUCGAAUGAACAAAAAUCAUGAGGAAAUUUUGGAUGACAGUGGACGUCAAGAUCUUUCUCUGACUCAAGCAUCACCCUCAUAGCUAUUAUGGUUUGGAAGUUACAAAAAUCACAAGAUGGUAUAGUUGAGCUGUCAGGAAUCGGAACCAGUUUCAGUUGCCUACUGUUUUAGACAAAUGUAACUCCAUAAUUUUGUAAAAGGUACUAUAAUAAAGUUGUAGGUCAUUUGAUAAGCUUUCCAACGAUGCAAACUGCAGCUUUAUCAGAUUAAUAGGACUUGAGUUAUGACAUCUACAAGUUGAUGUUUCUGCACAGUUUCAAAAUCUAGACAAUUCUAGUUAGUUCCUAUUUUUUUCCGCGACAUUAACUUCAGAAUCUGGGAAGUGCUAUAUACAGAAGUUGUGGAGGACUUCAUAAGAUUUUCAGCCAUGUAAGACUCGCACCCACAUGAUUUUCAUAGCUCGAGAUAUGACUGUUGCAAGUUGCCACGACUGUGCUGACAUAUUUUCUGGAUAGAUAUUGUUCUUGGCUGUUUUAUCCAAAGUUAAUGUCAGAGCCUGAGACAGUAUUCUAUACGAAAGUCAUAGAGGAUUUUGUCAGGUUCCCAACGGUGUAGGACAUAAGUAUAUUAGACUGAUGGAGUAUGAGUUAUAGCUGCUUUACUAUGCUGCAUAUUUUUAUUCCAUGGGGAAUUUCAGAUUUCUUGUACGUGUCAGUGCACAUGAGUUUCUCUUGGGUAUUAGAAGAUCUUAUGAUAUGAUAAUUCACUUAGAAUAUGGAACAAGCUACCCAUUUGUGCCCCUAGUUUACUCUUCUUAAGGGGGGUAGCCAAGCUAAUGAAGUUACAAGAUGAAUGUUUCAUACAUUCUAGCACUUGACAUGGAAGUGUUGAUCAUUCCUAUGGUUGAGAAACCACUAUCAAGUAUCCUUGCUAAGAAGUUCUUAACAUGUUGGUUCCAUCUACAAGGAGAGUGCAUAUUAAUCAAGGUUUGAUCUUGAAUGAAAGUAUCAUCAAAUGGGAGUCCAAUCUUCAAUAUACCUAAGGCGAGAUGGCAUUGACGACAUAGGAAGUGGAUAUGGUACAUCUAAUGUUGAUGCUACAGAGACUCAAAAUACUUCAUUGCUAAACAAAGCAUGAAAAGUAAGUUUUGGUUGAUGAAAGUUCUCACAUAGGAGAUGUCAUCCUUAUGGUGAACAUGAGAAAGUGAAGAGUGCAUUGAGUUUGGGACCCACCAAAGGAAGUGAACGAGACUUAGAGUUCCAUGGGAACGACAAGAUGCUAUGAUAUGUUUGUUGGAGGCAUUGUAAUCUUGACAUAAGAGUGACUAAGAGAUUGAUUUGGAAUAAUAAGAUUCUAUCAAUGGUUCAUUGAAGGUGUUGUGAAGAUUGACAAAUAGAGUUGUUCUACCCCCUGUAGACUUUAGAUGUGCUCUAAACAAUAAAAGUUAGGGCUUAUGCAAAAGUCAACUAAGUGAGUUAGACCACUUGGCACAUGAUGUGGAGGUAUCCAUAUUGGAGCAUGGAGAUACUAUCUUCUUGGAUAUAAGAGUUAUAUCUAUGUAGAAUGUAAGAAUCUAAAGGGCAUCUUUAGGAAGUUGGAUUUGAGCUGGUCACAUCAUUGAUGGAUUUGAGUGAAUAAAGAGUUAUGACUAGGAAAAGUGCUAUCACUUGAAGGUGAAAAGGCCAUUGCAAAUGCCUAAAGCAUAAAGAGUGUGCUAGAGGAGUUUGAAUAACACUAAGGUUUGAGGAGUUGAGUGUCAAACUGGAGCGAUACUGCCAAGUGAGCCCUAUUAAUUACACUUAGGAACAAGAGGAACAACAAAGAUUAAUUAGAAGUUAUGUUGGAAGACUCAAGAGUUGUGUGUAAGAGUGGAGCAACUUAACCUGAUUAUGUUGCUUUACGAGAUACAUGCAGAGAGUUAAAGUAGAGCACCAGAGACCUGCCGGAUUAUUGCAACCAAUGAAAUCCCUGAGUGGAAGUGGGAAGAAGUUGGUAUGGACUUCAUAAUGGGAUUGCCAUUGUUGACGGUCCUUAAGUACUAAAAUUAAUAAUCAAAGAAACAUGAAAAAGGAUCAAUAUGAAACAAACAUCUAGAAUUAGGGUUUUAUCUGACAGAAUUCCACGAGCUUUGGUGUUUAUCUAUUUCUGCAGGGGUUUAUCAGAAAAUAGGGAGAGAAGGCCCACAUGUCAUGUUUACAACGAGAUAAUUACGUGCCACGCAAUUUUCCUUGAUCUAGAAGGAUCCAGAAGCCACGGGAACGAACGGGACACGAUUCGGGCUCGGGAGCUGGGCGGCCGCCCACCCCCCUUGGGCGCCCGCCCUGGCCAGGAAGCCAAUCAGGACUCUCUCUCGGGACAACUCUCCACCGACCUAAAGGAUCAAUCUAAACCAUAAAAUCUAUGUCGGUUUGAUCCAAUGGCUCACGUUCACUUGAGGGGACUAUAAAACCAGACCCCCUGGCCCCUGGAGGAGAGAGGAGAAAUCAUUAUUCAGAGGUAGCCAUCAAAGUUAGGGUUUAGAUCUCUCUCCCACGGAGAAUUAGAAUUAGCUACUCCCUAAUCCUUCAAGUUUAGAGGUUGAUUAGAUAGCAAUUAGAGAAGUAGAGCACUACGCUUUGGAUUCGGAUCUUCGGUAAUAAAGAUUGGUAUUAUUCAUAUCUUUCUCUAAUUCUAUUGUUCUAAUUGCAUUAUGUCUCUAAUUAUUAUGUUCUUAGUUUGUUCUAGUUCUAUAUUUGAUAUAGUUCUAAUUGAUAAUGAGUUUAUGUAUAAGUUUGCAAAGCGCUUAGCUCUUGACGCGAGGGAGUUAGGUGAUAGAUCACAUGUGAGCGUGGUGCUUAGAUGUUAUUUAUCUGCAAAUGUAUCCUAUUGGCCGAGUCGUGUGGUAGUUCGCGAUAGUGACAGCUUCAUUGAUUCUUAUAUAGUCCACCCUCCGUUGAUAGGACAGGCAGAACCGGUAUUGUGGAGUAAGUCAUGCGAUGUUCUGAUUUACUUUAUCAAUGUUCCUUAUACAUGAAUGAAGAGUCUUUUAUGCUAUAUAUGAUCUUGUAGAUAACUAGAGUAGAUUAUGACUUAGUAGUUAGUAGAUAACUUAGAAUCCAUUCUCUAGCUAAUCCGACAUCACCUACAUAUAUGAGGAGUAGUCUAUUUUCUAAUCGCUGUGCUCUUUAUCCCAUGAACUUAUACUUUAUUAUCAUUAUCUUUAUGGUUUACCCCCUGCAAAAGUAAGUGACUGUGUGACGAGUUUCUCAUUAGUAAUCAUGUUCUUGCAAGUUUAUCGCUAGUCUAUGCCUUGAUAGAUUUUGCCCCUUUGAUUUAAUUCCAUCUCCUUAGAUCCCUUGAGCAAAAUUAUAAAUAACGAUACCUGGAAUACUUAUCCUGGUGAAAUGCUACAAUGAGGUGUUUUAUCUGUGCGCUUGCGGAUAGAAUAGAUUAUUUUCUAGAGAGCCUUUACAUUUAUAAAUACCUUUGUACACUCUGGCGCCAUGCUAGGGAUGACAACCUAGUAUCUAAGUGGUGUUAGCUAGUGUCAACAAGCAUUUCUGGCGCCGUUGCCGGGGAACAUUAUAGAAGUCAUACGAGUCUCAGGAAUAAGUCAUAAAAAGGGAACAAAAGGGUAAUAUUUAGGAAAGCCAGAAAAUCAAUCAAGGUUAUUCAUAUAAAAUUUUAGACUAGACUAUAGAGAAAUAAUUGCAUAAAACAGCUACUAAGUGAGAAAUCAUAACAAGGCACCUCUGCUUUGGCAGGUUCACCCUGUUGUUUUUCUAUGUUUAUAUUUUUAUACAGGGUAUAACAGGAUUGACUUUGGGUACAUUCAACUCUUCAUCAUCAGAACCAAAGCAAUCAAGAGAAGAAGAAGCUAGCUACCAAUUGCUGAAGCUAUGGCACAAAAGACCUUGCAAGAAUUCUCUGCUCCAAGUCUUGACAACAUUCCAACCGGUCCAAGAUUUGUAGUAGAAGAAGGAAUACCCGAGUUUGAGCUCAAGUCAAGCCUCAUCAAUUUGGUGCAAGCUACACAAUUCAGUGGAAAGGCACAUGAAGAUGCCAGUGCACACUUGCAGAAUUUCUUAGAGAUUGGAAGCACAAUCCACAUCAACGGAGUUGACAAAGACGUCAUACUGCUUCGCCUUUUUCCAUUCUCACUAGAAGGGAAAGCGAGGAAGUGGUUCUACACUCAUCAAGAUAAUAUCAACAACUGGACGAACUUGUCAGAUGCCUUUCUAUCAAAGUUUUUCCCUAUAGGCAAAACAACUGCCUUAAGAGGAAAUAUUGUCAGUUUCCAACAGCAGAAGACAGAAGCCAUUUCACAAGCAUGGGAGCGUUUUCAAGGAUACGUAUCAGAUUGUCCUCACCAUAGAAUGGCCACAUGGUUACUUAUGCAGACCUUCUACCAUGGAUUAACCCAGAAGGCUCGUGAGUGCCUAGAUGCAUCUGCUAAAGGAUCAUUCUUGGAGCUUACAACUGGAAAAGCAGAGAUACUUUUGGAUAAGAUAGCAGAAAACCAAAGCUGGUUCCAAGAUAAAGCUCAACAAUGUCAUCAAACUGAAGAAAUACCAGAAGAAGUAAAAGCAUUAUCAACUAAGAUGGAAAAUUUGCUCCAUUGGAUUGACCAGAGGGCCAAGUUCAAAGAAGAUCAAAGGGCCAUUGAGACAGCAUACAAAUAUCAACCAACUUCGAGUCAACCCAAUAGCAAAGGUAUGAAUUCAGGUAAUACUUUCAAGCAACUUUCACUAAAAGAGAUAAUUGCUCAACAAACUAAAAUUAAUGAUGAAGUUAAACAAAGGCUAGAUACAAAUGAAUCAUCUCUUAAAAAAUAUACACAAUAAAAUGGAUUUUCUACUAACUGCCUUUGAUGAGCAAAACACUCUUAAUAAAAUUGUAGAGCUUAAAUUAAUAAAAUUAGCUGCUGCACUGCCUGUUGCUACUAACCUUGAGCAGGUAAAGAAUAUAACUACUAGAGGAGGUAAAGCUACCAGAGAUCCACCAUACCCAAAAGAGAAACAAAGAACAUCAGCACCAGUGCAACCAGCAGUGAUAGAAGAAGAAAGCCCAGUUGAAGCAGAAGAUCUGCUACAACCACCAAGAACUGGAGAAAUGAGGAAAGAUUUUUACGACACCAACUAUUUGCCAUUUCCCAGAAGAAACAGAGGACUACAGUCGGAUGAGCAGUUUGAUAAGUUUGUAGAGGUCAUUCAGAAAUUAUAUGUCAACAUACCUCUGCUCGAUGCCAUACAGGUACCUACAUAUGCAAAGUACAUCAGAGAUAUUCUUAACAAGAAGAGACCACUGCCCACCACUGAGGUUAUCAAGCUGACAGAAGAAUGUAGUGCGGCCAUCCUCAACAAACCACCAAAGAAGAAGGAAGAUCCAAGAUGCCCCACUAUUGAUUGCUCGAUCGGAAACCAACACUUCAACAAUGCACUUUGUGAUCUCAGAGCAAGUGUCAGUGUGAUGCCAGCAUCAGUCUACAAAAAGCUUGAGCAUGCAACCUUAGAACCAACAUCAAUGUGCCUACAACUAGCGGAUCAAUCGGUUCGACACCCGCUGGGCAUCGCCGAGAACAUUCCAGUCAAGAUCAGAGAUUUCCUGGUGCCAGUAGACUUCGUAGUACUGGACAUGAGUCCUGACUCAAAAGUGUCCAUCAUCCUUGGAAGGCCAUUUCUGAGCACUGCCAAUGCCCACAUUGAUGUCGGGAAAGGAGAAAUCAAGUUCAACAUAAACGGUCAAGAAGAACACUUCACAUUCAAACUCAGACCAGAGAGAGACUCUACAGUGAAGGAAGUUCAUGAAGAACCACUGGAGACACCAUCUCCGGAGGAAGGAAACUUAGAAGAUUAAAAGAAUUGGAGGUCCAGCUUGGGGGACCUAAAAAUCCCAAACCCUCACCGGGAGGUAAAUCGGUAUUUACCCGCAUUAUUAAUUUUCUCAUAUUAAAUUCUUGCAUAAUUAAUUAGUCAUGGCAUUAUUAUAAUAAUCAAAAAGCCCCAUAUAAAUAAUAUUCGUGGUGUGUAACAACCCAUAUUUAUUAAUUAUUGUGGAGGCACAAAAAUAUUUUCCAUUAUCAUUAAGUUUCAAUUCUCAUAGAUUUUCCUGCAUUAUAUUUAUUUAUAUUGAUCUUCUAGAAGCAUGACCCACACUCUUUGGGUCCCACAUGUCAUACACUUCAUCUCACAUACAUCCCAUCACAUAAUUUCAUCCACCAAUAUGUUUCCACUCACCUGACAUCUUUCCACCGUCCAACCAAUACCAACACAACAUUAUUUUGCGUGAGAUCAAAGCAAGGAAGCAAGUGGAGGAGGCACACCCAGGAUGGACACCAGGGGUGGGCGCCCGCCCACCUACCUUGGGCGCCCGCCCUAUCCCCUGCUCAGCCUAUAAAAGGUCACCUCCAGUUUCCCUUCUCUUCACACAAACACUUGAGAAAACCGCACAAAUCUCAGUUUCCCGAGGAGGAACUUUUGUAGUAAAGAGAAUAGGGUAGAGAGAAAUUGGAGAGUGGAAGGGAAGGUUGGAGUUCUUUUGAGAGAGUGAUUGUCACCUAGCAAAUAGUGAUCCCGUUGUCCAAGAGGAAGUAAAAGUUGUUUAGGGGGAGGCUCUACCAAAAUAGAAACUUGUCUUGAACGAUUAACCCCUGGACUACUGACACUCCGGACGGUUGACUACUAACAUUUUAUCUCACAUUUUCUACCAGUUGUAUUUUUGCCAACUUUUGUGUGCAGGAUGUUUAAGAAGGUGAAGAAUGUAGGGAAGGCUCUCAAGAACAUUGGUACAAGGAGUUCAACCCGACACUCCUCACAGCCAUCAGAGAUGAGCGUCGAUCCGACACCCACACAAGUUCCAUCAUCUUCAUCAGGUCAGCAAGUCAAGGUCCUUCUCAAGAUACGAGACCUAGGACUGAAGACCUGAAGAGAGAAGGAAGUUUAUCAGCAACUGAAGAACAAGGAUUUCAUUCACACCCCUACUAUCGAUCCAAUCCUACUACGAGAAACAGGUAUGGACACUGAAUUUGACUUAAUUUUUCAGAUGAUGGGUUGGACAAAUUUUUGGAAUAUAACUGAGCUGGGUUCUCGUCUUCUCACCCUCGAAUUUCUUUGCACCUUACAAUAUUAUGAGGGGGGAAUUGUUUUUUGGAUGUUCAAACAGGAAAUUAUGUUGUCUUGGAGAGAGCUAAGCGACCAUCUUGGUUUCUCUUCAAGAUGCAUCCUGAACAUUGACUCCGAUUUACCCAAUUUUGAGAGACACCAGUUUUGGAGAGAAAUAUCUAGAGAUAAUUUUUAUAGUCAAGCCCGAACCAGUGACAUGGAACACCCCACUCUUAGGAUGUUUCACAAAUGGCUUGGGUACAAUCUUUACUAUCGCGAUGAUAUUAGGAAAGUAAGAGUAGGAGAUUUACAACUUUUAUAUCCUGCUAUUAGUAAAGUACCCACUUCACCUGUUACACUAUUAGUUUCACAUUGGCUUAGUAUACCUAGUCUUCAGGGACCAGUAGGCUGUACUUCACUUAUCACUCGUCUAGCCACUAAUCUUCACUUACUAGAAAACUCAUCGUUGGACUUCAUAGAAGAAUUAAGAAUUUAUCAUGGCUAUGACACAUUUAGACAAGCUCGGAUGUUAAAGAAAGAGGGGAAUAUAAUGUAUAUGCUAUAUGAUGAUAAAGGCAAGAUUCAGUUACCUAACCCGAACCUUGGCCUCUACUCUGUGCAAAACUUUUUGAUUGAGAUUGCAGCAACACUAGUGAACCAGAGAACUCCACAGCGAGUAGCAUCUGAAAGGAUAACCACUCACCGAGAACGCACUUGGUAUGGAGCUGACCCUGGACCAGAAGAAGCAGCGCACCUGCAUUAUUGCGAUUACAAUCCACGAGUCCUUCGAGACCCAUGGGCUCGUCAUGCGCAACCACAAGAGCCAACAGAGGAGACAUGGCCGGAGAGCCAAGAUCACUAGUGGACAAACCCGCCUUUUCAUACGGGCAGGUACUCCACUGAUCCAUAUGGAGCUUCAGGAUCCAGACCUCCACCCUAAUUUGAUGCAGGACGAUACUCCGACGUCUCCUACGCCUUCACGAAUGACUACUAUCAAGAGGCCGGUGCUUUCUUCACUCGUACCGACAACACCCUCCUCGACAUCCAGAACACGCAAGCAGAACAUGGAAGACUCCUGGAAGAGCAACAAAAAUGGAACCAGGACCAUGCUGCUGCAGUGCAAGAGCUGAGACAAGAUACAACAACAAUGAACGACAACAUCACAACCAUGAUGCGGUUCUGGAACAUCGGGUAAGACCGACAGCAACAUCCAGCUUGGGGGAGUUCCUCCCUAAAUUUAUCAAGUAAGUUUCUAUUUGCUCUUCUUAUUUAUUCUAUUCUGUCUUAGUAUUUAAUUUAUCUUAAAAGGAAAAACUUAGAAAACCAAAUAAAUAUUUUCUUGUUUUAAUUUACUGCAUUCUAUAAACAUGAAAACAAAAUAAAAAGAGUAGAUAAGUGUGCUUUAUUUUCCUGCUAAGUUUAAUCUCUAAAAAAAUCAAAAAAGAUGCAUGAUGGAAAUGAUGAACAGUUGCUCUGUUUGCUUACUUACAAGUACCAAGCUUUUAUAUUAAAAUUCUUCUAGGAAUUACUAAAACUGAUAUUACUAUCUUUGGGAAGCAUAAAACUAAAGUCUAGGUAAGAGAAAGGCAUGAUAUAAAGUUGAGCUACUGUUUAUCUUGUUCCUACUACACUAAGUUCUAGAGAUUUAUUUUGAAAACUUACAAAUCACAUGAUGAGUUCCUAGCAUAACAAACUACCUACUACAGCCAUACUUGCUAUAACAUCUUUUACUAUAUUCACAUUGAGUUUGAUCGAGCUGUGUAGACCCUUAGGAGCUUUUCAUGUGGUUAAAUUAAGAUAUUCACUUGCACACAUCUACCACAACAUCCAUUACCAUUCAUUAAAAUUGCUAAAAAUAUUAUCACUCACUGUCCCGAAUAUUGUUAUUCUCUCUCUCUAAAAAGAUUCAAUGCAGAAGAGGCAUGGGUUAUGCAAAAAUAUGCGAGGAAAUAAAAAGGGGCAAGUGCCCGGAACCUCGGAAAAGAAAGAAAAAGAGUGAGACGAGAGGUAAAAAUGGACAAGUGUCCGAAGUAGAAUUAGGGGUACAAAGAUGCCCACUUGAGCGGGAAAAAUGGACAAGUGUCCGACAGUAGAAUUAGGGGUAUCUACUACCCACCUGAAAAAAAAAAGAAAAGAAAAAUAUAGCCUAUGUUCUCCCAAAGCAAAGAUCAAAGAGGAGGAGAGAUAGCAGUAUGAGGAGCAAUGAGAACUAAGUUUUAUUAUCACUUAUGCAUUUUCACCAUCACUAUCAUUUACUCCAUCACACAUGCACAUCUUGAAUUAAUUAUAUGCUGAGUUCCUUUGGAUCCAUGGCUCGAUUAGACAACAUAUGUAUGAGCUGUUUUCCACUCCUAUGAGCUCCACUUAAAUAUUCCAUUAGCUAUAGGAAAGUGACAUUAUGGUAAGGAUCCACAAAUACCACAUAUAGAUAGACUUGAGAGAAUCAUUGCUGGGAACUCUGAGUUUUAUUUUGAAAACUUAUGAAAAACUCUAGAACAAAGGUGAAGAAUAAACAGGAGGAAUAGUGCUUGACUUAACUAUUUUGUCUUUCGAUUACUUAAGAUUUAAGUGCAGGUACUAAACUCCAUAACACUUCACUAUAAUCUGGAAGAAUUUUUAUGUAAAAGCAUGUGUGCCUGUCAGGAAAGAAAACAUCGAAGCAACUCCUGAUCCGUCUGAGUUUAGCUGUUUGCUCAGGGACGAGCAAAGAGUAAGCUUGGGGGAGUUUGUUGACGGUCCUUAAGUACUAAAAUUAAUAAUCAAAUAAACAUGAAAAGGAUCAAUAUGAAACAAACAUCUAGAAUUAGGGUUUUAUCUGACAGAAUUCCGCGAGCUUUGGUGUUUAUCUAUUUCUGCAGCGGUUUAUCAGAAAAUAGGGAGAGAAGGCCCACAUGUCAUGUUUACAACGAGAUAAUUACGUGCCGCGCAAUUUUCCUUGAUCUAGAAGGAUCCAGAAGCCACGGGAACGAACGGGACGCGAUUCGGGCUCGGGAGCUGGGCGGCCGCCCACCCCCCUUGGGCGCCCGCCCUGGCCAGGAAGCCAAUCAGGACUCUCUCUCGGGACAACUCUCCACCGACCUAAAGAAUCAAUCUAAACCAUACAAUCUAUGUCGGUUUGAUCCAAUGGCUCACGUUCACUUGAGGGGACUAUAAAACCAGACCCCCUGGCCCCUGGAGGAGAGAGGAGAAAUCAUUAUUCAGAGGUAGCCAUCAAAGUUAGGGUUUAGAUCUCUCUCCCACAGAGAAUUAGAAUUAGCUACUCCCAAAUCCUUCAAGUUUAGAGGUUGAUUAGAUAGCAAUUAGAGAAGUAGAGCACUACGCUCUGGAUUCGGAUCUUCGGUAAUAAAGAUUCGUAUUAUUCAUAUCUUUCUCUAAUUCUAUUGUUCUAACUGCAUUAUGUCUCUAAUUAUUAUGUUCUUAGUUUGUUCUAGUUCUAUAUUUGAUAUAGUUCUAAUUGAUAAUGAGUUUAUGUAUAAGUUUGCAAAGCGCUUAGCUCUUGACGCGAGGGAGUUAGGUGAUAGAUCACAUGUGAGCGUGGUGCUUAGAUGUUAUUUAUCUGCAAAUGUAUCCUAUUGGCCGAGUCAUGUGGUAGUUCGCGAUAGUGACAGCUUCGUUGAUUCUUAUAUAGUCCACCCUCCGUUGAUAGGACAGGCAGAACCGGUAUUGUGGAGUAAGUCAUGCGAUGUUGUGAUUUACUUUAUCAAUGUUCCUUAUACAUGAAUGAAGAGUCUUUUAUGCUAUAUAUGAUCUUGUAGAUAACUAGAGUAGAUUAUGACUUAGUAGUUAGUAGAUAACUUAGAAUCCAUUCUCUAGCUAAUCCGACAUCACCUACAUAUAUGAGGACUAGUCUAUUUUCUAAUCGUUGUGCUCUUUAUCCCAUGAACUUAUACUUUAUUAUCAUUAUCUUUAUGGUUUACCCCUGCAAAAGUAAGUGACUGUGUGACGAGUUUCUCAUUAGUAAUCAUGUUCUUGCAAGUCUAUCUCUAGUCUAUGCCUUGAUAGAUUUUGCCCCUUUGAUUUAAUUCCAUCUCCUUAGAUCCCUUGAGCAAAAUUAUAAAUAACGAUACCUGGAAUACUUAUCCUGGUGAAAUGCUACAAUGAGGUGUUUUAUCUGUGUGCUUGCGGAUAGAAUAGAUUAUUUUCUAGAGAGCCUUUACAUUUAUAAAUACCUUUGUACACUCUGGCGCCAUGCUAGGGAUGACAACCUAGUAUCUAAGUGGUGUUAGCUAGUGUCAACAGCCAUGUAUUCAUAAAGGUUAUGAUUUCAUAUGGGCAAUAGUAGAUCGGUUGACUAAAGUUGCUCAUCUUAUUCCGGUUAAGACCAAUUAUAAUGGACUAAGGUUGGCUUAAUGGUAUAUGGAAAAGAUAGUGUGUUUGCAAGGGGUCCCUAAGAAGAUAGUUUCUGAUUGAGGUACCAAGUUUAUGUCUCAAUUUUGGCAACAAGUGCAUACAUCUUAAGGAACCAAGCUGAAUUUCAGUACCGUAUAUCACCCUCAGACUAAUGGGCAGACCAAAAGAAUUAAUCAGGUUUUGGAAGAUAUGUUGGGAUCUUGUGCAUUAUAGUAUGGUACAAGUUGGGAUAAGAGUUUACCGAAUGUGGAGUUUUCUUAGGACAACGGAUUAUCAUUAGAGCCUUCAGAUGGUAUGUCUUUAAGCUUUGUAUGGACGGAAGUGUAGAACCCCAUUGUUUUGAAAUCAAAUAGGUAAAACACAAGUGUUUGGGCCAGAUGUUCUAGAGAUGCAAAACAACAAGUGAGAGUGUUCAUGGAUAACUUAUGGGUGGCACAGUCUCAACAGAAGAGAUAUGCUGACAACCGGAGAAAAGAAUAAGCUUUUGAAGUAGAAGACUAUAUGUAUUUGAAGGUGUCACCUAUGAGAAGUGUGAGAAGAUUUAAUAUGAAGGAAUGGUUAGCACCAAGGUAUACUGGGCCUUUCAAAGUGUUAGAAGAUGUGGUGAAGUGGCUAAUUAGAGCAUCUGAAAGUUUGGGAGGAAUGCAUGAUGUUUUCCAUGUGUCUUAACUCAAGAAAUGUUUGUGUGUGCCAUAGGAGCAGAACACAUUAGAGGAAUUGGCUGUUAAAGAGGAUCCUACAUACAAAGAGUACUAGUAAGAAUUUUGGAAACAACAGAAAGGGUUACCAAGAGUUGCAUUAUCAGGAUGUGCAAACUUCACUGGAACCAGUACACCGUAGAGGAGGCUAUUUGGAAAAGAGAAAGAAUAUUCAAUGUUAAGAGUAUCCACAUCUUUUUGGUAACCAUCUUCCGAAUCUCGAGGACGAGAUUCAUCUUAAGGGGGUAGAAUUGUAACACCCUAAAAUUUACUCCUUUCGAAAUAGAGUUAAAAUAAUUUGAUUAUAUACUCUUGUGCCUAUGAAAAUAUAGGAAACAUAAUAUUUUUCAUUAAAUUAAGAUUUAUCAUAAGGCUAAGCAACAUUGUUGUGCAUACAUGCUGUUGCAUAAGAUUUGAUGUAAUGUUUGAAUGUUGCUCCUUUGUGUGUUGAGAGUAAACAAAGUUUUUAAAACUUGCAUUUAGUAGAACGAUCUUCCUUGGUCGGUACAUCUUUAUCUUUAUCUACAACCAAAUUCUUUAUUUCUCAGCUCAUGUUUUUAUUAGAAGCUUCCUAAAAUCUUGUCUUUAUCAUCCAACUCACUCAUUUCAAUUCAUCGUUCAUCAAACAAUAUCUACAAUCUUAUUGGGAAUUUUUCUAGGUUUUUUUGAAAUUUGUUUCCACUUUUCUGUGAGCAUGAUCUAAUUUUUAGAUGCUCCAAACAAUCUUGUCAUGAGCUCCAAAAAAACUUUAUUCGGGUUCCCCAUGUUCUAUAAUAUCUCUGAGAAUUUUUCCCGAAUUUUCGGAGCUUUCGGAGUAUUUUUUGUGGCUUAACUACUAAUUAUGGACUUUUCUUUAAUUAUUUUAUCCAUGAAAAUAAUUAAUUCCGAAAAUAAUAAAUAUCUUACUAUUUUUCCAACGGCAAAGCCCAUUUGCAAUAAUCAUAAUAAAUCCCAAAGACCAUGUAUUUAUUUACUAAUGGGCUUUAAUAAUUAAUUAGGCCUACUAGUAAACAUGAAUGUUGUAAAUCAAUUAGUCCCAUAUCUCUAGUUGAUGUUAAUGUGGGGAGUUAUCCUUCUAUAUGUAUGUACCAACCUGUUAGACAAAUUAUACCAAAACUAUCUCAAGGGAAGCUCCUAGUUUGAGAAUCCCUGAUGAUGUGAAUUAAAAUUUUCUCCACUCCUUCUCAUGUCUUUCGAUUGCCACGUUAGGAGAGACUCGGCUGUUGCUUAUCCUGUCGUGCGCUGCCUUCUACAAGUCACCAAGUCUGUCGCCUGGUGUUGCCGGCCGCUGCAGAACCCGAACUGCACGCAUGGAAUUUCUGAUGCUGCCUAGUUCACGUUCACGCCCGAACAUGCCGCAGGACCAUCAAUGCUGAUCGUUCAUAGUUAUUUGUUGGUGAGCAUCCCCUUGUUUUCCAUCUUCUCUGUUAAUUACACCAUGCAGGCACGUUGUAUGUUUCCCUUAUUUCUUUGCUUCUUAUCCAUAUGCAGCCAUUGAUUGUAUGUAGCCUUCUGUCAAUGUGCCGCGGUUGCGUUUUUCCUGGUCGCCAUGGUUGUAACACCCCAAAAUUUGCAAUUUUCCAAAAUAGGGUAAAUUGUUAAACUGUGUAUUUUUGUGCCCACGAAAUAUAGGACAAAUAAUAUUUUUCUUUAAAUUAAAAUUUACCCUAGGAGCUAGCCACUUGUUUGAGCAUGCAUGUCUUUCCAUUUGAUUUUUGGUGAUGAGUGGUUUUGGCUAAAGCCCAAAAAUAUAUUUCAAGCAGAUUUUAAAAUAAAUUUGAAAUUGGCUUUGAAGAAAAACAAAAGAAAAAGAUUUAUCUUUUCCCCUCCCUCUUCAUGGAAAUCGGCCCGAAGGCCCAGAACCUUUCCCCCAAUCCUUCCCCUCGGCCCAGCGCGCGCAGGAGCCGCGGCCCAGCUUUAUUUCCUUCCCCCACUGCCUGCUUCCUUCUUCCCCCUCUCUUCUUUCCUUCCUACGCGGCCCAGAGUCUCGGCCCACGCUGGAUCGGCCCGUGAGCCGCGCUCUCCACCUCGCUGCUGCCGCUGACGAGCGGGUCCCGCGCCCAGUUUCGCUGCCAGGUGGGACCCAGAGGUCAGGACCGUCCCCUACCUCAGUCCGUUUAGGACACGAGCUCGAGUCGCACCCACCGCGCGCGAUUCUCGAGAGCAAUCCUUGCUCCGCACGUUCGCCCCCUUUAAAUAGCGGCCACCGCUUCCCCCGCAACCCCCUCAUCAAAUCCCAGCGCCAGCCGCCGCGUAGUUCUCGCCGAAAAGCGCCGACGAGAUCCGGGCCGAAGCCAAUCCGCCGCUGCAUCACGUUUUUGUCACCGUGAGCAGUUUGACGGUCUUCUCGCUACUCUUGCGAAGUCGCCGAACCUCUUCUUUCGCGAUUUCGUGUUUCCUAUGCGUAGCUAACCUCCGCCGAACCUUUUGCAGAGCCGCCGUCCGCCUCUCGCCGUCGCGAGCCCGAGUCGGCCUCACUCGGUCCUAAUCUCGGCACCAGGUUAGUUCGCGUUGAGCUUCUGUUGACACCGUUUUUGGGCACGUGUCCAGGCCGGCAGGAUAAGACGACAGUGUUUUGUUUACAGGAUGAGUUGCCGAUGAGGAUGGUUGCCGAUGAAGGAGAGGUUGAACGUGACUAUGUCUACAGGCGGUGAUGUGUCUAUGCCGAUGGCUAUGAUGAGGAAGUCUGCCGAUGACUAUGGCAAGGGAGUCUGCCGAUGAUACGAAGGGAGAGUUCGGGAGCCGCCGAUGGUUUGUGGAAGAGUUUCAGUUUGUCACGGGAGAUAGUUUUGUUAUUUCCUUAAUUAUUUAAAUCGUUUUGUAUACGGAUUCCGUGUAAUUUGAAAUUCGAAUUCUAAUCGUGUCUGGCUGUAGCUCUUUGAGCAGGGUAUAAAUAUAGACCCUAGGACCUUGUAAUGAGACAUCUAUCAAUCAAGCAAACACACGUUUUUACUCAUAUUCCAGCAUCUACUUUCUCGACGACUUCGUCAUACUUUUUUUCCUUUUCAUUACGAGUUCUUAGGAAUUCGUCGACUCAAGCUCGGCGUGUUCUCAAGUUCCGCGUGAGUACCUCUUAGCCGUGACAUCCGGGCGCAUCGCUGUUGUCAGGACUAAAGUAUUCGAGUUAUCACCUUUGCCGAUAGUAAGGUCAAAUCGGCUGGCACGCCUUAACAUUUGAAUUGGGUAUUAGCCCUUUGUGUUUGCAGACCAGCUUUUGCACGAACAAAUCUUUUGGCACGCCCAGUGGGACAGAUCCAAGAUCAAGAUCAACAUGUCAACUUCUGAGUUUGAUCAAGAGAACGUCAUCCCCGUGACAGAAGCCAAUCUUAAGGAUGAGCAGAAGCAAGCUAUUGCUAAAGCCAUGGAGGAUUACAAGCAGCAAUGCCUGAGGUCCUUCUGCAUGAACAGGAGCGGUGAGGUAAUUCAGAAGGAUGCACUACCGGCUCCUCAGCAGGUUACUUUUGAGUCCAAUCCUGGCAAGCUUCAAGAGAUGGUUGACAGUGCGAUCAACCGCGCUUUGAUCAAUCAAGCUGGUGUACUGUCUAAUACGGUUUUCAAUGCCGUGGCGAGAACUUUCAAGGAGGGACAACUGCCACCAGAUUAUGUGGGCCCCACUUAUCACCAGCCAAAGUCACCAGUGGUCACAGCUCCAUCGGCUGCUACGGCCGCUGCGGGUAUGGAGAUUCCUGUUCCACCAAGCACGUUAGGAAUCACCAAUGGACAGUCUAUGCCGAUGACAACUAAUCCACAAACUUCGGAUGGGCAGAUUAAACUUGCCACAGAUCUGUUAGCAUCGGCAAUGACAGGGUUAACCCCUCCUCCCAACUGGUGGGGUUAUGGCAUGCCUCCAGAGUUAACGCCGGGUACAUCACAGACGACUAAUAUGAGAGGCGAGACUCCUAUGGCAUCGGCACCUCCCAAUAUGCCGAUGAACCAGAGUCCCCAGUAUACUACAACUACUACUGCAAGACCUCACACUGGGAAUUCUCAAGCUCCAAUGUUCCAGAUGCCUAACGCAUCGGCAGACUCGAUACUGAUGCAACAGAGGUCUAUGGCUCAAUCAGGGUAUGUCAAUUCAACGAUGAUGCCCAAUUACCAGUCAUCGGCAGGGCCUAUGCCGAUGAACGCUAAUAUUGGAUGGCUUGGGCAGCAAGUCUUUCCGCAAACACCCCAACAGAGUCACCAGGCUACAGGGUUCCAGCAAGGACAGAUCUAUCCCGGGUUUCUGAAUCAGGGGAUCCCUAACCAGCCAGUGAAUCCCGGGCAGCAGUUCGUCGGACAGCAGAUUGGCGGGCAACAGCUUGGUGGCCCACAGGUGGGAGGCCAGAUAAUCAAUCCAAUGUUCCGUGCAGAUCGUGCACCGAACAGACACGUGGAGGCUUACCAGCAGGUGCCGGAUCCACAACCACCAAAUCGGCAAGAUGCCGAUGCGUACUGGGCCGAUAAGAUUGCUGAAGUAAUGAGGGAUCAAUUCGGGAUAAAACCCAAAGUCAAUACUUACUCUUAUCGGACACCGUAUCCUCCUGCAUACGACUUGAUCCCGCUUCCACACCGGUACAAGGUACCAGAUUUCACUAAGUUUUCUGGGCAGGAUGAUACGUCAACCAUGGAGCACGUCAACAGAUUCAUUAUUCAGUGCGGUGAAGCUGGUAACAGGGACGAAUUGAGGGUUCGUUUAUUUUCAUCAUCAUUGUCUCGGUCGGCUUUUACCUGGUUCAUAUCACUACCUCCCAACUCAGUGAUUACUUGGGCCGGUCUGGAAAAACAAUUCCACAAAUACUUCUUUUCUGGGGUCCAUGAGAAGAAGAUCACCGAUUUGGUCAAAUUAAGGCAGCGUAAUGAUGAAUCGGUUGAGGGUUUUGUGCAGAGGAUACGGGAAGUCAAAAAUAAAUGUUAUAGUCUGGUCCUAGAUGAUCGGCAGCUAGCAGAUUUGGCUUUCUAGGGUUUAUUGCCACACAUCAGGGAUAAGUAUGCUUCUCAGGAGUUUGAAAGCUUAAGUCAUUUGGUGCAGAGGAUUUCUGAUCAAGACAUCAAACCUUUCGAGCUCAAAAGAGCAUGGAACAAGAAGGUAUCAUUUGUUGAUGAGGCAACGAGCUUAGAUUCUGAUGAGGAACCAGUCAUUGGCUUGGUAGAGUGGGUAAAGAACAAGAAGCCGAUGUCUUGCCCUUUUGGGCAGAAGGAACUAGAGAAGUUCGCUUUUGACACCGCUAAUGCCGAUAGGAUAUUUGAUUUUCUACUUCAGGAAGGUCAGAUCAAACUGUCUCCUAAUCAUGUGAUCCCAUCGGCUGAGGAGUUAAAGAAGAUGAAAUAUUGCAAGUGGCAUAAUGCAACUUCUCAUGACACCAAUGAGUGCAAGGUUUUCACACAGCAGCUGCAAUCGGCUAUAGAGUCUGGGAGAAUCAAGUUUUACAGUUCCAAGACUCAGAAGCCGAUGAAGAUAGACCAACAUCCUUUCCCAACAAAUAUGUUGGAUGCUAAGGGAAAGGCUAAGGUCUUAACAUCAGAAGCAGCCGAGAGGAGUGCAUCGGUAGAUCCUCAACAUCAAGUUACUACUGCCGAUGCAAGAGGUAGGGGCCUGGUUCAGGAAGGAACCAGCUCAGGUAGGCCUCCCCGGUCUGGCAUCGUUAUAACUCAUAGAAGGCCUCGAGAUAACUGGCAGCAACGGGAAGAUCGGUAUCGGCGCCAGCAAGAAGAUUAUCGUCGGGAGGAAGAGAGACGCCGACAGGAGUGGGAUCGGCAUAGAGAUCACUGGAACUGUCCGUUCUUCAUCCAUUGUUGGGAGGAAAAUAUUAAGCUUCCCACUGUCAGAGACUGCCCUGAGUGCAAUGGUUAUGAUCAGUAUGAUAGGACUGAUCGGCGUUAUCAUGAUGACAAUCGGCGAUUUAAUGGGCCGAUCAGAGGAAGAGCAUCAGUUCAUGAUCGGCUGGGGGGCAGGCUCAAUGUGCACGAUAGGCUCGGUGAUCGUAUCCAAUAUUUUCCCAGGAACCGGCAAGAGUUCGAGGAGAUGGCUAAUGCACGAGUUCCCGAUGAGUUCAUAUUUUGCAGGGAUGCUAAUACGCAUCGGAUGGAGUCGAGAGAAAAUCGACGCCCAGCAGCAGGCAGAAGCCACUUCCUCCAUGGUGUCCAGAAGGGCUGACGAAGACACAUAAGAGGAGGUUGCAGCGUGAAAGGCAAGAAGGGCUAAGCAAGGGCGAAAGCUCUGGAAAAUCUGAGGAUCGACAACAACCAGAUCCUAAAGGGGAAGGUCCAUCGGCAGGUGUCAACAUGGUCUUUAUGUUGCCGAUGGAAUUCCUUGUGCCAUCCAGUGAUGAUGAGGUGGAGUUUUCCGAUCAAAUAGCUCAGUUGGCUCUAGAUCCGAUGACGGCUAUCUUCGAGAAGCCUGCCGAUGAUGAAAGACAGCAUCUCAAGGCUCUGUUUGUCAAAGGAAGGGUUGAUGGGCAGCUGAUGACUAAGAUCUUAAUUGAUGGAGGAGCUGCUAUCAAUAUCAUGCCAUAUACGGUGUAUCGGAAGCUUGGAAAAGGAGAUCAAGAUUUAAUCAAGACCGAUAUGAUGCUCAAAGACUUUGAAGGGAAUGUGUCUCCGGUCAAGGGGGCAAUAUGCGUAGAGUUAACUAUCGGCAGUAAAACAUUGCCGACAACCUUCUUCGUGAUCAGUGGAAAGGGUGCUUACAACUUGCUAUUGGGAAGAGAUUGGAUUCAUGCUAAUUGUUGCAUCCCAUCUACAAUGCACCAAUGUUUGGUUCAGUGGGUAGGUGACAAAAUUGAGAUUGUUCCGGGAGAUUCUUCUUAUGUCAUUGCGUCGGCCGAGGCAGACACCUAUGAGAGGACCAGGUGCAUUUCAGGAGAAGUUUGGGAGAAAGAUUUUCUGAAGGUUGCCGAUUACGAGAUUCCACCGAUCCAAGCAGUCGGUUCUGACGACGGUUUUUAAUGGAUAGGUUCGCCGAUGAUGGAAAGUUAGGCCAGGGAUUCACAUCGGCCGAUGAUUUGGUAGAAGUAGAUAUCGGUAGUGGUGAUAAGCCUAGACCUACUUUUAUUAGUGCUAAGUUAAAUCCUGAGUGUAAGCAGCAAUUAACCAAUUUGUUAAAGGAAUAUAAAGAUUGCUUUGCUUAGCAUUAUACCGAGAUGCCUGGUUUAGACCGAUCAAUUGUUGAACAUCGGUUGCCUAUCAAGUCUGGAUUUCGGCCACAUUAGCAACUAGCUCGCCGAUGUAAUCCUAAUAUUCUUCCUGACAUCAAAGCCGAAAUAACCAAACUUAUUGAAGCUAAAUUUAUUCGGCAGUGUCGGUAUGCCGAAUGGAUUUCCAAUGUUCUUCCGGUCUACAAGAAGAACGGGAAACUUCGGGUCUGCAUUGAUUUCAGGAACCUUAACAAAGCUACGCCGAUGGAUGGAUACCCAAUGCCAGUUGCCGAUCUGUUGGAUGACGCUGCGGCUGGGCAUCGACUUAUUAGGUUUAUGGAUGGUAAUGCAGGGUACAAUCAAAUAUUCAUGGCUGAAGAAGAUAUUCCAAAGACUGCGUUCAGAUGCCCUGGUCAUGUUGGAUUGUUCGAGUGGAUAGUUAUGACUUUUGGCCUCAAGAAUGCUGGUGCUACUUAUUAGAGGGCCAUGAAUUUUAUAUUUCAUGAGUUCAUCGGCAAACUGGUAGAAAUUUAUAUUGAUGAUGUGGUGGUCAAGUCCGGGGACUUCACAGAGCAUCUUGCCGAUCUACGAAAGGUAUUGGAGUGCACAAGGAAGCACAGAUUGAACAUGAAUCCCAAUAAGUGUGCAUUUGGUGUAUCGGCAGGGCAGUUUCUCGGUUUCAUGGUGCAUCAAAGGGGGAUUGAAAUUAGUCGAAGAUCUAUUGAUGCCAUCAAUAAAAUAGUAGCCCCUACCAACAAGACUGAGCUCCAGUCCUUGAUCGGCAAGGUAAAUUUUAUCAGGAGAUUUAUAUCUAAUUUGUCUGGUAAAAUUCGUGCUUUCAGUCCUCUUCUUAAGCUAAAAUCCAAUCAAGAAUUUAUUUGGGGGAAAGAACAGCAGUUAUCUCUGGAUGAAAUCAAGGAGUAUCUAGUAAAUCCUCCAGUUCUAAUUCCACCUCAGCAAGGAAAGCCCUUCAGAUUGUAUUUGUCUACCGAUGGGAUGGUUAUCGGUUCAGCUUUGAUUCAAGAAUUUGAAGGGAAAGAGCGUGUAAUUUAUUACUUAAGCAGGACGUUGAUUGAUGCUGAGACCAGGUAUUCGGCCAUUGAAAAACUAUGCCUAUGCUUAUAUUUUUCGUGUAUCAAGUUAAGGCACUACUUGUUAUCGGCCGAAUGCACUAUUGUUUGCAAAGAUGAUGUGAUCCGGUACAUGCUAUCUAUGCCGAUUAUGAGUGACAGGAUCGGUAAAUGGAUUUUGGCGCUGUCGGAAUUCGAUCUGCGUUAUGAAUCGGCAAAGGCAGUUAAAGGGCAGAUUAUGGCCGAUUUUGUGACUCAACUUUGCGGUGCAGUGGAGGCUUUGGAAAUGGUGCCCUAGACGCUUUUCUUUGAUGGAUCUACAUGUGACCGGGGGGCAGGGAUCGGCGUAGUAUUAGUUUCCCCUAAGGGGAGGAAGUAUGAAUUUUCCUUGCCGAUUGUUGCUACAUCAACAAAUAAUCAGGCUGAGUAUCAGGCUUUGAUAAAAGGAUUGGAGUUGUUAAGGGAAGUGCGUGCUGACGCUGUCGAAGUCUUCGGGGAUUCUAUGUUGGUUAUAAAUCAAUUGGCCGGGAACUAUGAAUGCCGAAGUGAAGUUCUCAUAACUUAUUACGAAAGGAGUAUGCAACUGUUAAAGGAAUUCAAAGAUUUCCGUUUAGAGCAUGUUCCCCGAUUGCAUAAUGAAGAGGCCAAUCGGUUAGCUCAGCAUGCCUCAGGAUAUCAGCCUAUAAUUAAUACAGUAUCGGCAAUCGAUGCCGAUGAUUGGAGGAAAGAAAUUAUUGAUUAUUUGAAAGUUCCAUCUAAGAAAGUUGAAAGACGAGUUCGAUUUCAAGCGACCAAGUAUGUGCUCCUCGACAAUGAAUUAUACUAUCGAACUAUUGAUGGAAUUCUUCUCCAAUGCUUAGGUGAUGAUGAAGCUAGGAGUUUGGUGGGAGAAAUUCAUGAAGGGGUGUGUGGAGCGCAUCAGUCAGCUUUUAAGAUGAAGUGGAUGAUUAGGAGGAAUGGAUAUUAUUGGCCGACUAUACUUGAGGAUUGCUUUAAGUAUUUCAAAGGGUGUCAAGGGUGUCAGAAGUUUGGUAACAUUCAAAGGGCACCUGCAUCGGCUAUGAAUCCUAUCAUAAAGCCUUGGCCGUUCUGAGGGUGGGCUAUUAAUCUGAUCGGCCAGAUUUAUCCACCAUCUAGCAAAGGGCAUAAGUUUAUUCUACUUGCCACUGAUUAUUUCACUAAGUGGAUCGAGGCUAUUCCUUUAAAGAAAGUCACAUCGGCCAAUAUGAUUGAUUUUGUGAAGGAGCAUAUCAUUUACCGAUUUGGAAUUCCUCAAACAAUUACUACCGAUCAGGGCACUAUGUUUACAUCAGGGGAGUUUGAUGAAUUUGCAAUUGGUAUGGGGAUUAAAGUGUUGAAUUCUUCUCCUUAUUAUGCUCAAGCCAAUGGGCAGGCCGAGGCGUCUAACAAAGGAAUUAUCAAGCUUAUCAAACGAAAGAUUGAAGAAAAUCCUAGACGGUGGCAUACAUUAUUAAAUGAAGCGUUGUGGUCCUAUCGGAUGGCUUGUCAUGGAUCAACCAAAGUGUCACCCUAUCAAUUGGUAUAUGGACAUGAUGCAGUGUUACCUUGGGAGAUUAAGGCUGGAUCUAGGUGAUUAUCUUUUCAAGAUCAAUUAGCUGCCGAUGAUUAUGCAACUUUGAUGACCGAUGAGUUAGAUGAUCUAGCGGGACAUCGGUUAAAGGCUUUAAUGAGUAUAGAAGAAAAUAAGAAGAGAGUUGCUAGAUGGUAUGACAAGAAAGUAAAGGCUAAGGAGUUUGCCGAUGGGGACUUGGUAUGGAAAUUAAUUUUACCAAUCGGGACUAAAAGUUCGAAGUUUGAAAAGUGGUCUCCUAAUUGGGAAGGUCCUUAUCGGAUAAGUCGAUCAGCUCCUGGAAAUGCCUAUAUUCUGGAAACUCUCGAAGGAGUUGAAUUUCCUAGAGCAUUAAAUGGCAAAUAUUUAAAGAAGUACUACCCCAGCAUAUGGGUCGAUGCAUAAAAGUUUAAGUGCCGAUAACACUCCUAUCGGCUGGAUUUAAAUGUUUGGGGGCAGGACUUAAUGUUUCAAAAGAUGCCGAUAACAGUCCUAUCGGCUAGACUAAAGGCUAAAAGAGCAGGAAAACACAAAUGUGUCGCUGAUGAGAGCUUCAUGUGUUCAGCAGCGCCUGGAUCGCUAAUAUGGCGCGUAGCCGGAUUUGGUUGGUUGCUUCUAUCUCCUUGAUAUCGUCAUCGGCAGAGCCUUCUAUCGGCUUCAGCUUCUUCUUCAAUUGUAGUGCCUUGCGACCGUGGACGUUCCGCUCAUGCUCAAGAAGCUUGAUGGUCUUUGGUAGUUGACUCUCUUCCUGUUGGGCUUGGGACAAGGCGUCCUCCACUUGUUUGAGUUCUGCCAACAGGGAUUCCCUUUUUGCCGAUAAGUCAGAUAUCUUCUGCUUCAGCAUGUCUCCUGAAGAUCUCAAGAUGCCGAUGUUCUUGUGCUUCUCAUCGGUCAGGAUCUUCUCUUUCCUCAUCUCUUCAGAAAGCUGAGUCUCAGCAGCUCUAUCGGCAAGACGCCGAGAAGCCCUCUGGUACUGCAGCUGACGACUCUCCAAAUGUGCGGCUUGGAAAAGGAUUUCUUCGACAUCGGCUGGGAUCUGGCCUCUGAGAGUCUUGAACAGAAUCUUGGCUGGGUCGGAGUCAUCGACCAAUUGCGCCGUGUCCUGGUGAAGGAGGGCCGACAGUUCUUCCAUCCUGGCCCUGAUCUCUGCCGAUGUAAUGCCAACUGUCUGGGAAGAGCUUGCUUCUUCACCUUCUUCUUCAGAGAGGUCGAUGGCGAAGGAGAAUAGGCUGUCGGGGGAAUCUUGUUCCUGGGAGGAAGAGCAAAGUUAGUUCAUAUUCGGAGAAUCGGCAAGUAAUGCUGAUAAAGAUUAGGUGACUUGCUUGUUUCAAGGCUAUUUCCUGCCUUUGACUGGAAGAUGCCGAUGGAGCCGUAGGUUGAUCGGCCAGAGUUGCCGAUGGAACGACAUCAACUGAAAGAAGACAGGAAGAGUUAUGAGGCUGAGUGAGAAUAAGUUCAUUGGUGGCAGUAUUAUUAAAAUAUGUUACCCGGAGGAGGAACGAUGAUUGUUUGAGUCGGGGGAACUGCCGAUGAUGUAAUUGGACCUGCCGGGCCAGUUGUUUGUCCACCCACGUCAGCUGAAGUACCUUCUGCUUGGGGUUCUUCCUGCUGGGGUUCGUCUGCUUCUGGUGCUUCCUGCGGAUGAGGGGGAGAUGGUGCUUGCUGGAUCUCUACAUUUGGAGGGGAGGGAGAAGAUUCCACCGGAAUAGGAGAUACCGAAGGAGGAGGAGGAGGAGGAGGAGUCGCCACUUUCUGGCGCUUUGUUCCAGCCCUGGUACCCUUGGCGCCCUUCCUCUUUGGCUGGCUGGACUGGGGGGCAUCGGCACCUUGACGUUUGGCUUUUCCCGAUGCACCGGUUUGCUGCAGCAACAAAAAGGAGUUUAUAAAUACAAUUGUAGCCGAUGUAAAGGUAAUCGGUAUAAGUAAAAGGGGUUUGACGAAUUACCUUGAAAGCCUGGGCCAGAGUGGAAGCAGCUACCGUUGGUGAUGUCUGAGUUCUCUUGGUGGUGACUUUCUUAAGGCGCGCACCUCGAUGAACAAUGGUGGCCAGAGUGGGAGCAUUGUGGCCGAUUGAAGAAAUUGGGCCUGGUGGAAACAGGUCAAUCGGCUUACCACUUCUGCUAACCGAUGGAGGGAUGUUGUCAACCUGCAAAAGGGAUACAAAGGUGAGUUACCGAUGGAAAUAAGAUUGAAAAAUUGGAACACCGGUUUGAAAUACUUACAGCGUCAUCGGAGACUUUGUACUCGGGGUCGAUCAUGCCGCGGUACGAAAGGGCUGAUUUGCAGAAUAGAUGCUCCUUCCAUUCUGCCCGCCAUAGCUUGUAUGCCUGAGUAAUGAAAGCGGCUGGAACCCACUCUGACAAAUCUGCAUCUGUAUCGGCAUUCGGAGGUAGUUGAGCUACUCGAAUCCACUCAAGAAAGUUGGUGAUGGGUUCCCUAGGUUUUAUCACAUCGGCAUAACAGAGUGCAAUCGGCAGCUGGCCAAAAGCUAAUUGACGAACUAAUUGUUGAUAUUUGGGAACGCAAUAAGGAAUUGAUCCGCAAGCGCACGGAUAUCGGUGAGCACUUCACCCGGGAGGUUAUCCAGAGUAUCGUAUUUAUUUUUUUACCACUAGGAGAAAGAGUGCAUCUGACUAACCGGUCUAUUACUACUAACCUUUAGGCACAAAGAAUGUCUUUCGAUGUGAGUGAUAAAUAGAGAAGACUGCAACCGUAGUCUCCUUCUAACCUUGGUAAGGAUGAUCUACUGUUCUAAUGGGGAGGCUAACGGAAUCUAGACACCACAAAGGAUGUUCAACCCGCACCUAUAAACCCUAUCCUUCCUGCUAACGAGAUGUGAUCUACAAAGGUAGCUCGGAAUUGUCACGUUCCUCACUACUACCACGGUCCAGCUAGUCAGGGAAUAUCUAUGAGUACCCCAGCCUAAACACCACGUUUACGCUAGCAAUGAUUACUCUAAACUCUACGCGAAGAGAUUAAAGUAAACUCAUAAACCAUAAGAACAAUAAAACAAGAACUUACUAGAAUUUAGAAGUCGAAUUACUGAAGAAUCCUAGGAGCAAGCUUCGGGUUAGGAGAACUUGAUCCCGCAGGUACAAGCUUGGAGUAGACACCGACAGGCCGGGCUUCCUCCACUCUUCACCUCCACUCUAUCUCUCUCAAUCUAGUAGAAACUAGAAGAUCUAUUUCUACCUUACAUUGAUUGCUAAGCCUAAAAAGAAAUAUUAAUUAGAGAAGAGGUUUUCCUUCGAGGGCACCCCUCAGUCUCUAUGAUAAUUUCUUCAUGUCUUCUCCAGGGGCCAGGGGGCCUUGCUUAUAUAGUCCUCCCCUUCUAUGCGUUUUUGGGUCGAUAGCCGAGGUGGUACUAUGUUUUUCUUGAUCCAAUAGGUCGGUGGAAUAUCCCGAGCGAAAGAGUCCUGAUUUGGCUCCAGCAGGGGGGCGGGCGCCCAGGCUCCAGGGCGGGCGCCCUGGGCCUGGCCCAGUUUUGCCUCCGCUUCGGUCUCGUGGCUUCUGGAGUCUUCUAGAUGAAGUAAAAUUGCGCGGUGCGUUGAUAUCUCUAUGUAAUCCCGACAUGUGGGCCUUUCUUCCUUAUUUCCUGAUAACCCCCUGUAGAAAUAGAUAAACCACAAAACUCGUAGAAUUCUGUCAGAUCAAACCCUAAUUCUAGGUGAUGGUUGCAUAUUGGUCCAUUCUCUUAUUUAUUUGAUAAUUAAAAUUGAUGUCACUUGGAGUUUUUGUAUAUUGUUGAAAGAAAGUUAGCAUACCUUUUGAUCCUCAUAGGUUCUCUCAGAUCACUCAUUAUCUUUUAUAUAUAUCUCACUGAGGCUGUUUUAUUUUGCAAAAAUUCUCAAGCAUACUUACUUUGCAUUUAUUGCCUGAUCGAAACGGGAUCCGAGGAGGGGAAUGUCAUACUCUUAGAUCAAAGACUUUGAAAAUUAAAAACUUUGUCAACUCUUGCUGGCAUAUUGCUUAUUAGAGGGACCAUGGGCUAUCAUAUUUUUUUAAGUGGAUACCGAGGUACCCCUAAUUCUACUGCCGGACACUUGCCCAUUUUUUUUCUGCGAGGUUGUCGAGCACUUGCUCCUUUUUAUUUCCUCAAAAUAUUUUUAUUUUUGCAUAGCCCAUGCCUCUAAUGCAUUAAUACUGAAAUAGUGUCUUGAUCUUGGGAGCAUGAUAAAUCUCUCAACAAGGGUCUAACUCAUUUUGAACAAACUCAAUACAGAGCAGAUAGCUUUUAUAAUCAUAAUUAAUAUUUUUAUUUUUAUCAGGCAUAUAAAACACUGAGGAUGGUAGCUAGAAUUUUGAAUAUUUUGAAAUAAAUUCUCCAAGCAACAAUGAUAUCAAGAAUAAGAAACUCAUACUCUACCAUCACAUAUUCCAUAUUGACUUAAGUAACACAGGGUUUUAAAAUGAUUUUAUAAUAAUUGUAAGUUUUCGGGGAAUAUCACAGAUUGAGAUUAAUCAUGAUUAGAAAUAUUUUAAUCUUUUUAUUUUAUCAUGUCAGAAACAGUAAUCUGCAUAAUCCAAAAUAAAUGUAUGUAUGAAGUAAAGUGUGCAGAGUGUGUACCUGAAUCGUGGAGUGGUGUAGUCGGAGUGUGUUUGGCAUGUUGAGGGAUCUCCCCCAUACUUGUUUUCUGCUUUCUUGCACAAAAAUAAAGUAGAGACACACAAGACAUAAUAAUAAUAAUAGUAGUACUCUUUAUUGAUCUUGAGGCAUUUAGUACAAAAGACUGAUAACAAACUGAUAGCAAACUAAUAAUAAUAGCAAACUUAAACCGAAUUUAAAGAUAGAUGACUAAGAUGCAUUGCCUCAAGGUCUAAUCUAGAUAACUUAGCGGCGCUCUAAUUCCUUGAUCUUCUUGUUGGCACUGGCAAGAUCCUGCCUAAGGCCUAGUAUAAUGGUGUUCUAGUUAGAGAGCUGCCUAGUGAGGGAAUUAACUGAGGACUGGAGGUCUAUGAUAAUUCUAUCUAGCCUGCGAACUUCCUCAUCAAUAUCCAUUAUAGUCUUGCGACGCUUGGGAGGUGUCUCAAAAGCAUUGAGAGAAUGCUUCGGGGCUGCCUUUGGAGGGAUGAAACGGACUUUGGCUGCUCUAAUCCCUUUAAAGUAAGGCCUUUCCUCCUCUGAAGUGUAGCGUACGCUGCUGAUCUCGCCGCUCCGGUUGGUCUUGACUCCAACGACCCUCUCAUUGGGUCUAGGUGGAAGGAUCCUUGUGCCGAUUGGCACCUUGAUAGUGGUCUUCGUCUUGGAUGAUGGUCCUUUGAGGAGUAGGGGUUGUGGUGGUGUGGUGAGAACUGGUUGAGCAUGGUAAGAUUGGGCGGAGCUACGUUGGCGUAAUGGCAUGGCUUCUAGCUGACGCUCUGUUUUGGCCGGGACGAGAGCACGGGCAUCGGGGUCUUCCACUGGCUCCAUGUACGUUGAGGUUGAAGGGGACGACUUCCCAAUCGUCGUGGUACUUGUCGGCCAUUGGAGUAGCAAGGAACUAAUAAAAUUUUAAUUGAAGUAGAGCUAAUUAAGCUCUAAUUAAAGGAGAGCUAAUCAAGCUCUAGUUGAAGGAGAGAAAGCUUGGUGGCUUGGUGUUUGAAAACUGAGGUCAGGGGUCUGUUUAUAUAGGGGUCAAAAGGAUACCUCUAUGGGUUGUUCGGGUUGCUCCCGUCGAUGUGCGUGCGAAACUUUCCAUCCGAGGGAUUAUUCGGAUCACCCUAAGUGCAUUUUCCAUAACAGAGAAAGUCGGGACCGAGGGGGAACAGGGGCUGGGCGCCCGCCCACUUGACCUGGGCGCCCGCCCUCUCUCUGGCUCCUCUGUGGGCCCACUUCUCCGAGCGCAUUUCUAGAUGCGAAAUUAUUUAGAAAAAUAUAUAUAUGACCCAAAACCAUCAGACCAAAAGUGUCGGGCUCUAAUUCUCCAUGGGAAGGUAAAAAUGGACUACGUCUAUUUCUUCAAAUUCCUCAUUGGGCUCUAAAAAUAAUUUAAGACAUUGACCAUUUACCUUGAAUAACGUACCUUCGCUGUUUUGAAGUGUGAUAGCUCCGUGGGAUGAUGAAUUGAUUACCUUGACUGGUCCUUCCCAUUUUCUCCGGAGUUUUCCAUGCCCAAAAAGCUUCACCCUGGAAUUAAAAAGGAAUACCUUAUCUCCGGGUGUGAACUCCUUCUUCUUGAUUCUCUUGUCAUGCCACCUCUUGACUCUUUCUUUGUAGAUCUUUGAAUUGUGAUAUGCCUUCUCUCGCCAUUCUUCCAAUUCUGAUAAUUGCAUUCUUCUAUAAUCUCCAGCAACAUCUAGGUCCAUAUUCCAUCUCUUUAUGGCCCAGUGUGCUUUGAAUUCUAGUUCAACAGGUAGAUGGCAAGUCUUCCCGUACACCAAUUGGUAUGGAGACAUUCCAAUUGGGGUCUUGUAUGCUGUCCGGUAUGCCCACAGUGCAUCGGGUAACUUGUCUUUCCACGCCGUUCCCAUUUCAUUUACUGUCUUCUGAAGAAUAUUCUUGAUUUGUUUGUUGGAAGUCUCUGCUUGGCCACUUGUCUGAGGAUGAUAAGGGGUAGCGACGUUGUGACGGAUUCCAUGUCUUGAUAGAUAUUGCUUGAAGCGUUUGUCGAUGAAGUGUGCUCCUCCAUCACUUAUCACUACUCUGGGGACUCCAAAUCUUGGAAAUAUAAUUUCUUCAAACAUCCUCUUUGAACUGACAUUGUCGGCAUGCUUGCAAGGUAAUGCUUCUACCCACUUGGAGACAUAGUCAACCGCCACCAAGAUGUACUCACACUUCUUUGAUGGAGGAAAUGGACCCAUGUAGUCUAUUCCCCAGACAUCAAAGAGCACAAUCUGAAGGUUGUUGGUGAGUGGCAUUGCAUCCCUUGUAUUUGUGUUUCCGUGCCUUUGACAUGGCCCACAUCUUCUGAUAUACUGUUUCGUGUCUUCAUACAUUGUAGGCCAAUAGAAUCCACACUGCCAGAUCUUUGAAUGUGUACGGAAUGCUCCAUAGUGACCUCCAUAUGGUGAUGAAUGACAUCUGUCGAUGAUCUUCCAUCCUUCCUCAGUGGUCACACAUCUCCUGAGUAAGCCAUCAGAGCAUACUCGGAAGAGGUAUGGCUCGUCCCAUAUAUGUGAACGACUUUCUUGAAUAAGCUUCUUCUUGUUUGCUCCUGGUGGUACAUACCCUGAAACCAUAAAAUUAACAAUAUCUGCAUACCAGGGGUCAGACCUGUUAAUCCCGUAGAGCAUGUCGUCCCGGGAUGAAUCAUUGAUGGGGGUUUCCUGUGGACUCUUAAAAUACAUUCUAGACAAGUGAUCAGCAACAGAAUUUUCUACUCCUUUUUUAUCUUUUAUUUCUAAGUCAAAUUCUUAGAGUAAUAAAAUCCAUGUAAUCAGGCGAGGUUUAGCAUCUUUUUUAUUGAGCAAAUAUUUUAGUGUAGCAUGAUCAGUGUAAACAAUUAUUUUAGCUCCAACUAAAUAAGAUCUAAAUUUAUCAAUGGCAAAGACAAUAGCCAGAAGCUCUUUUUCAGUGGUUGCAUAAUUAAGUUGAGCUCCUAUCAAAGUUUUACUGGCAUAAGCAAUUGCAUGAUGUUUCUUAUCUUUAGUUUGUCCCAAUACUGCCCCCACAGCAUAAUCACUAGCAUCACACAUAAUUUCAAAAGGCAACGACCAAUCAGGGGGUUGAAUGAUUGGUGCAGAGAUGAGUGCUUUCUUUAAUAAAUUGAAAGAUGUUAAACAUGCAUCAUCAAAUUCGAAAGGAGCAUCCUUGGCUAGCAAAAGAGUAAGUGGUCUAGCAAUAAAUGAAAAAUCUUUUAUGAAUCUACGAUAAAAACCAGCAUGGCCAAGAAAGCUCCGAAUUCCUUUUAUAUUCACAGGUGGAGGUAGUUGUUCAAUUACUUCAAUUUUAGCUUUGUCUACCUCAAUCCCUCUUUCAGACACUAAGUGUCCUAGCACUAUUCCUUCUCUAACCAUAAAAUGACAUUUUUCCCAAUUAAGGAUUAAGUGCUUUUCUUCACAUCUUUGCAAAACCUUAUCUAAGUUUUCAAGACAACUAUCAAAAGUUUUUCCAUAAACAGAGAAAUCAUCCAUGAAAACUUCCAUAAUCUCUUCAAUCAUAUCAAAAAAUAUAGACAUCAUGCAUCUUUGAAAAGAAGCUGGUGCAUUACAUAACCCAAAAGACAUUCUACGGUAAGCAUAAGUUCCAUAAGGGCAUGUAAAAGUGGUUUUGCUUUGAUCAUCAGGAUGGAUCGGGAUUUGAUGAUACCCUGAAUAUCCAUCUAAGAAACAGAAGAAUGAAUGGUUUGCUAACCGCUCUAGCAUCUCAUCUAUAAAAGGUAAAGGAAAGUGAUCUUUUCUCGUGGCUUUGUUUAGUUUUCUAUAGUCUAUGCACAUCCGCCAUCCUGUGACGGUGCGUUGCGGAAUUAGCUCAUUCUUUUCAUUCAUAAUAACUGUCAUGCCUCCCUUUUUGGGCACAACUUGGACUGGGCUCACCCACUCACUGUGCGGCACAGGAUAUAUAAUCCCUGCAUGCAGCAACUUUAUAACUUCCUUUUUAACUACCUCUCUCAUAGUGUUGUUAAGUCUACGUUGGGGUUCUCGAGAGGGUGUAACAGAAGGAUCUGUUGGAAUACGAUGGGUACAAAUCAUAGGACUGAUUCCUGUAAGAUCUUGAAGUGAGUAGCCGAAUACUGAGUGAUGUUUCUCAAGAAUGGUCAUUAAUCGCAGAGUUUGAUCCUGAGUGAGUUUAUCGCUAAUGAUCAUAGGGAACUCUGGAUUAUUGUUUAGGAAAGCAUAGGUAAGACCGGGUGGUAAAGUUUUAAGUUCUAUGGGGGGUCUAGGUGUUUCUGCAAACUCGUCUAAGGGUUCAGGCUCAGAAGGUUCGUCUUCUUCUUCUGUGAAGAAAGGAGUUUCGUCUUCUAAGUCUGAUUCAUCUAAAAGCUCUAGAGAUGCAGCCUUUACUUCCUCCAUAGGAUCAGGCAAAAGAUAUGACUCGGCCUUAUUAUUUAAGGAGUGUGAAAUUAUCAUUGGGAAUUGAAAAGUUUUUCCAAAAGAAAUGUGUAGCUUUCCAGUAUGACCUUCAUAAAGGAGUCUUCUAAAAGGUUGUCCUAUUAACAGGUCGAAGUCCCAUGUAUCAAAGAUAUAGAAGUUCAAAUGAACCAUGGAGCCUUCUACCGUAAGAGGUAGGACAUUAAUAAUUCCAAGACUGGGGAUUAAUCUUCCCGAAGAUUCCUUUAUGAUCUUUGUUGUGGGGGUUAAGACAAGAUUUUUAAAUAGUUCAAGUGCAAAAGAUUCAGACAUGAUGUUGAUCCCCACAACAGGAUUAUAAAGAGCAUUAAAUCGAUCAGAAUUAUAAGCACAACGUAUAGUUAUAGAGGGUGUGUCCAAACGGAUCACAUCAGAGGAAAGCUCUGAUUCCUCCAACCAUUCGCUACUCAUUACUGAGAUAAGCUCUCUCAAUUGAUAUUCACUUGGUAAAUAAAUGCUAAACUGGCCGUUUUGGGGUUUGUCAAUAGAAUGGUAGUUUGAAAUAUUUCCAAAAUCGGCAAAAAGAUCGGAUUCUAUAUCCAGCAUGAAGUCCGGUGGUGGAAUUUCUUCCUCUUGUGGCUCAGAACUUGGGAUAGCUAAAGUAGAUGAAGAAUUUGGCAGAGUGUCUACUUCGGCUUCGUAGGUUUCAUCAUGAAGGGUAUUAUCCAUCUUAGCUUCUAGGAUUCUAUCUAGGAUCACUCUUGCUUUAUCAGCAGGGAUGCGAAAGAAAGAACCUCUAGACAUUGUGUGCAGCAUUUGUUUGUGAUUUUUAUGAAGACCUCGAAAAAAGUGAAAUAAAAGAACGGGGUCUUCAAGAUUAAGGUUUGGACCAGAUUCUAAAAGAUCAGAAAAACGUUUCCAGGAUUUUCCCAAAGUUUCAUUAUCUUUUUGUUUAAAAGAUAGGACUUCGAGUCUAAGGUCGGCUAUACGGUCAAGGGAAUAGAAAUCUAGACAAAAGUUGGCUCUUAAAACUCCCCAUUCACCUUGUUGUUGACUUACCUUCUGACUGUACCAUUGUCUAGCUUCUCCCCUUAAGGAAAAAGCUUCCAACGUAAAGUCUUAUCAAAAAUGCCUUCAAUGCGAAGACAAUCACAUGUUUGCUCAAAAUCUCUAAUAUGAAGGUAAGGGUUUUCGUCUUCCUUUCCCGAAAAAGAUAGGUUUUGAAUCAUAGCAAUCAACCUAGAACUUAACUUAUACUGGGAUGUUUGGAUAGGCUGUGAUGAUUCCCAUGGUAAAAGGUCAGUUGCUAAAGGGAUUGCAGACUCAUGGAUCGAUUUAGAAUUUUGGUUUUCCAUAGGGUAAGAGUAAAGAAAAUAAAUAAAGGAUAUAAAAGAUAAGAAAAGAUAAAAGUAUAGAUACAAGCUAAUAGCAAGACACAGGUUAUCUCAGCAACCGUCUUUCUCCCCGGCAACGGCGCCAGAAAUGCUUGUUGAUAUUUGGGAACGCAAUAAGGAAUUGAUCCGCAAGCGCACGGAUAUCGGUGAGCACUUCACCCGGGAGGUUAUCGAGAGUAUCGUAUUUAUUUUUUUACCGCUAGGAGAAAGAGUGCAUCUGACUAACCGGUCUAUUACUACUAACCUUUAGGCACAAAGAAUGUCUUUCGAUGUGAGUGAUAAAUAGAGAAGACUGCAACCGUAGUCUCCUUCUAACCUUGGUAAGGAUGAUCUACUGUUCUAAUGGGGAGGCUAACGGAAUCUAGACACCACAAAGGAUGUUCAACCCGCACCUAUAAAUCCUAUCCUUCCUGCUAACGAGAUGUGAUCUACAAAGGUAGCUCGGAAUUGUCACGUUCCUCACUACUACCACGGUCCAGCUAGUCAGGGAAUAUCUAUGAGUACCCCAGCCUAAACACCACGUUUACGCCAGCAAUGAUUACUCUAAACUCUACGCGAAGAGAUUAAAGUAAACUCAUAAACCAUAAGAACAAUAAAACAAGAACUUACUAGAAUUUAGAAGUCGAAUUACUGAAGAAUCCUAGGAGCAAGCUUCGGGUUAGGAGAACUUGAUCCCGCAGGUACAAGCUUGGAGUAGACACCGACAGGCCGGGCUUCCUCCACUCUUCUCCUCCAUUCUAUCUCUCUCAAUCUAGUAGAAACUAGAAGAUCUAUUUCUACCUUACAUUGAUUGCUAAGCCUAAAAAGAAAUAUUAAUUAGAGAAGAGGUUUUCCUUCGAGGGCACCCCUCAGUCUCUUUGAUAAUUUCUUCAUGUCUUCUCCAGGGGCCAGGGGGCCUUGCUUAUAUAGUCCUCCCCUUCUAUGCGUUUUUGGGUCGAUAGGCGAGGUGGUACUAUGUUUUUCUUGAUCCAAUAGGUCGGUGGAAUAUCCCGAGCGAAAGAGUCCUGAUUUGGCUCCAGCAGGGGGGCGGGCGCCCAGGCUUCCAGGGCGGGCGCCCUGGGCCUGGCCCAGUUUUGCCUCCACUUCGGUCUUGUGGCUUCUGGAGUCUUCUAGAUGAAGUAAAAUUGCGUGGUGUGUUGAUAUCUCUAUGUAAUCCCGACAUGUGGGCCUUUCUUCCUUAUUUCCUGAUAACCCCCUGCAGAAAUAGAUAAACCACAAAACUCGUGGAAUUCUGUCAGAUCAAACCCUAAUUCUAGGUGAUGGUUGCAUAUUGGUCCAUUCUCUUGUUUAUUUGAUAAUUAAAAUUGAUACUUAAGAAUCGUCAACACUAAUGCCGAUGGGUUGUAGAAUUCAUAAGUCUGGGGAGAGGUUUUUGUGCUACCAAAGAAAUUCAGUGGUAUGGCUCUAGGAGUCAAAAUUGCCAUCAUCACCUCAUUAUCCCUGUCAAGAGCUUCAUCAAAUGGAUUGAAAACCAGAGGGAUCAUACUGUCUGGGUCAUCAUAGGCCAACCAUGGUCGUUCAUCUCUGGCCAAGCCCUCAUACAAAGUCUGGAAGAAUCGGCCGAUCUGAUCUGGAUUACCCCCUGAACCAGGCAAGACUAUGACGGCUUCGCCAAAGUUUAGGGGAGCGCGUGUUGCCGAUUCUUCUUCACCCAACACAUGAUUUUCAGUUAUAUCUCUUGGGAAACGCUAUGUAAAUAAGUUAAAGUUGAGGCGCUUGUACAGAUGCAGAUUAAGCCACAUAUUGAUAAACCACCAGGGGCCGCCUAAGUUGACAGUAGACUGGCCGAGCAGGAGUUUCUUGGCCACCUGAUGGAGGAGAUGGUAAGCAGCGCCAAGCAAGUAUCGGCCGAGAGGGAAUCGGCCACCGUUAGCCAGUCUCUCUGCUGCCGAUAGAUAGACGGAAGUCGGUCCUACCGAUCGACCACAGAACACAAACUUGUCCAGCCACAUGUUCAGAAAAGUGGUUUGUUCCUUUAUGCUGACAGGCCCCGUCCCACGAUACUUCUGAAUGUACCCUGACCAGCCGCCGAUGGAGCGAGUUUCCACUUUGGCACUAGGAGCGGUGUCAAAAAAGUGGGUGCUAUUGGUAGAAGAUAUAUCUAGACCGGUGAGCAUGGCUACAUCGGCAAGAGUAGGAGAAGCAGGGCUGUGGCCAAAGACAAAAGCGUUGAGGGUGUCUGACCAAAAGUAAGAUGCAGCUAUCAACAGUGACUCAUUCCUGUGCAUAUCGGCAAUGGACAAUCUAAUGCAUUGAUCUAGCUUUCUCUCGCCCCACUGGACUUCAUUGGAGUUGCUGACCCUCAAGAACCAGUCUUUCCACCCUACAGUAGGGCUGGGCCAAGAACGGAAGGUGUCUUUCCACAGAUCUAAAGAAAAAUUUUCGGUUCUGAAAGAGAUCCUGUUGGUUUUUGCGUUAAUAAGAUCGGUUGGAUCUGGAUCCCCUAGAGGGCCGAGGCAUUGGAGGUGUGGUUGAUCGGUAGGGAUGACAAUUUUGUUGGACAAUUCCUGGUGGUUUUGGAAAUAAAGAAAAGGAACACAAAGAAAAGAAAAAAAUAUUCAGUAAAAUGGAUUGCGGAUGAACGGGGAUGUGAGGAAAAAUACAGGAAAUGGAAUGAAGAACUGACCUCAGGGACGAUGAAGCUAAUGGCCAUCUUGCGACGAGGAGGUUCUCUGAGGGCUCCAGGGUUGGUGAGGAAGAGUCUUUGUCAGAGGUCUUGGAGAUUUUGAAUGGCGCCGCCGCUAGGAAAGUAAAGUUGGGAUGGUGGAAUGAUGUGAUGGAGAAGGAGUACCCGAGAAGGAACUAUUUAUAGGACAAAAUGGGCAAGGGCAAAUCUGACUUAUCUCCUUGCCGCAUCCGAGAAAUCCGAGGGUGCUCAGGUAGAUAUGGUAACUGUUCACACGAUAAUCAAGGGAUUGUGCAGGUGAUUUGACGGGAAGCGGUCAUUAUCUGGAGAUAUUUUACUGUGCGGGAUCUCCUGGUCGGUCCAUCGGCAGCGUCCUGUAACGGUCAUAUUGCCGAUGGGCGAGUAAAGUGAAGAUAGUCGUUUGUACGAACGUCCUGAUCAGUUCAUCGGCAGAUCUUUGUAACAGUAAUAUUGCCGAUGUGCGGUUGAGAAGGAAAUGCCCGUUUAGGAAGUUGAGGAUUUCGAGGAAUAUGCAGAAGAAUAGGAUCAGAGUUGUUCAGAUUGAGGUUGUCGGUUACCAGAUUAGGAGCAUUAAUUGCGGGAAAAGGCAUCAUUACUGCAGAGAAUUUCGGAGCAUUGAUGAUUUCGUACUCUGAAAUUGGGGGGCAUGUGUUGACACCGUUUUUGGGCACGUGUCCAGGCUGCCAGGAUAAGACGGCAGUGUUUUGUUUACAGGAUGAGUUGCCGAUGAGGAUGGUUGCCGAUGAAGGAGAGGUUGAACGUGACUAAGUCUACAGGCGGUGAUGUGUCUGUGCCGAUGGCUAUGAUGAGGAAGUCUGUCGAUGACUAUGGCAAGGGAGUCUGCCGAUGAUACGAAGGGAGAUUUCGGGAGCCGCCGAUGGUUUGUGGAAGAGUUUCAGUUUGUCACGGGGGAUAGUUUUGUUAUUUCCUUAAUUAUUUAAAUCGUUUUGUAUACGGAUUCCGUGUAAUUUGGAAUUCGAAUUCUAAUCGUGUCUGGCUGUAGCUCUUUGAGCAGGGUAUAAAUAUAGACCCUAGGACCUUGUAAUGAGACAUCUAUCAAUCAAGCAAACACACGUUUUUACUCAUAUUCUAGCAUCUACUUUCUCGAUGACUUCGUCUUACUUUUUUUCUUUUCAUUACGAGUUCUUAGGAAUUCGUCGACUCAAGCUCGGUGUGUUCUCAAGUUCCGCGUGAGUACCUCUUAGCCGUGACAUCCGGGCGCAUCGCUGUUGUCAGGACUAAAGUAUUCGAGUUAUCACCCUUGCCGAUAGUAAGGUCAAAUCGGCUGGCACGCCUUAACAUUUGAAUCGGGUAUUAGCCCUUUGUGUUUGCAGACCAGCUUUUGCACCAACACAUCUUUUGCCACGCCCAGUGGGACAGAUCCAAGAUCAAGAUCAACAUGUCGACUUCUGAGUUUGAUCAAGAGAACGUCAUCCUCGUGACAGAAGCCAAUCUCAAGGAUGAGCAGAAGCAAGCUAUUGCUAAAGCCAUGGAGGAUUACAAGCAGCAAUGCCUCAGGUCCUUCAGCAUGAACAGGAGCGGUGAGGUAAUUCAGAAGGAUGCACUACCGGCUCCUCGGCAGGUUACUUUUGAGUCCAAUCCAGGCAAGCUUCAAGAGAUGGUUUGGAACUAAAAGAAGGAUCUGAGUUUCGAGGCAAGCAUAGCAUGGGAUCAUCCUUGUUUCCUAAUAACUUUAAUCACACAAUUCAUAUUGCAUGUGUCUCCUUGAUAAGGAUUUCCUAGUAUUGAUCUUAUACCUUGUCACCUAUGGUUUUGCAUUGGGUAGCUUAUGCUAGUGCUCCACUAAACCAUGAUCUUGUAAUUUGAUUAAUGGAAUAUGCAAUAAACAUUAAAAGAGGACUUUUUAGCAACUUUGGUAUAGAGGGCUGGAGCAUUGGGCUAUCCUAUGGUGCUCUAGUUUCUCUCCAUAAGGACUUAUCUGUAUCUCACCAUCCGGGACAUACAGUACAACUGUGAGGGCUACAUGGCUCUGGCUUUAGCUCAGUAUGAGGACCUUUUCUAGCUUGUUAGUGGUUACCAUUGUGGCGCAAAUGGGGAAUAGCAGACCGUGGAUUCAUGCGGGUGAAUCACAUGGACUGACUAAUGAAACCAAGCGGCCCUAACUUGUUAGACGAACCUUUGAAAGGCUUCAUAGUGAACCCUGCCGGUCUUCCAUGGUAGUGGGCUAAGAGGUCGACGGGCCUCGGGCGAAAGGGUAAAUCAUGACUCACAGUGAAAGUGUACAACCUCUACAGAGUGUAAAACAGAUAUAUCAGUCGUGCUCACGGUCACGAGCGGCCUUGGACCAAUACAGAAUAAAUAAUCACUAAUGGCAAGUUAUUAAUGUUAUUAUUGUUAAUAUGUUGUUUAUGCUAUUCUUUAUUCACUUUACUUGAUCAUGAGUUUAUUUUGGGACUUGACAACUUGAUGCUACUCAUAUGCUGAAAUUAUGACAACUAAAAGCUACAUGCAGUUCAACUAGUGUCUAGCCUUUGAGCCUCAUGAACACUAUAUUAUUCUUGUUGAGUACAAGAUGUACUUACGCUUGCCUUUACAUUUUAUUUGGAUAAAAAUCCCGAAUGAGUACCAGAUUGCUAGUUUGGAGAAGAGUUUAGGCUUGUGCUCAACCAGUCAGUUGUCCCUGUGGAUUUGGAGCUUUCGCCUGAAGAACGGAGUGUCUUUCCACUGUUUGCUAUCUAAGGUUAUAUCUUUUAUACUAAGUUCGUUAUAUAAUAAGCAUUGACUAUUGAUAUUACCCUUAUUUGUGGCUAUAUGUGAGAUUUGACUUCCUGGGCUCACAUAUGGUGUGUAUCUGGUUUUGUUCUUAAAACCGGGUGCUACAAAGUCGUAUCAAAGCAAUGCUGUCUGUAGGACGCAAGCCUAGAUAGUAAUGGUCGUUUUAGUCAUCUUUGCUUCACUACAUUCAUGCUUACUAUCUCACCCUUGCUAUUUGCUAAAAUUCUUAUGCUUCUAUCAUCUAAUUCUAUUCUAAAAGUAUUGCUUCUAUUCUAACUUACUCUUGGUCUAAAUCCAUACAUGGUUCGUAACGAAAAAAUUGCUCGCAACAACUCUGGAAGACCAUGUUUGACUCGGGGAAUCUAUGGAUUAACGGAACCGGAAUAUGAGGAAGCUCGCCCUGUCCCAUCAAGACAUACUUGUUGGCGGAAUGAGUACUUUACCACAUCCUUUAGUGGCGAAGAUUUCUUUCACCCUCGGCUUGUGCGUAUACUACUAGACCACUAUCCUGAACAGCAAGCCAAGGAGGAAUAUAAGUGCACUAAGUGGACUCAUCCUAAGUAUGAGAGCCACUGGAGCACAGAAGCGCACAUCACAAGGUGGAAUGAGUUUACUGGUUCACACGUGGUGGAAUCCAUUCAUUCGUCUCUCAGUGACUGUUUCAGUAAGCAUGCUAGCAUAUCUGAUGCUGCCCAUCAAGCUCUUCUGGCAUAUCGUGGAAAGCACUACGAAGAGAGGAAGAAUGUCAAACAAAAGUAUCUUCCUUGUCGUCCACCAGGCACUUUGCAAUGUGUGAUGGCUGACCCCUACUUGGAGCAGAAUGAACAACUAAAGGAGAUGGCUUUGACUAUCCAAGUCAUGAAUCAAAAGCUAGAAGACAGUCAACUGGAAUAGGCGGAAGUAAGGCAACACUAUGAGGAAGCCCUUGAUGAGAUUGAUGAGUGGAGAAGUCGUGGUGGAUUACCUAAGAUCAAUGAGGUGAAGGACAUACAUCGCUUAACUCCACGCAAGAGAUGCUACCCUUGAUGCCGCUGCAGUCACACCGUGUUUAAGAAGUAGGAAGUCCCCCUUUGUAAUAAACGUUAGUAGCAAAAGCUGAGUCAAAUAUGUGCGCUUUGUGAAUCUUUAAUGUCUGGUUGGUUUGUCUUAGUGCUUAUGUUUGAGUUGGAAUUUUGUAAUGAGUGCAAUGAUCUUGUGGGUUUCUCCACAAUUUCAUUUAGUUUAUAGGUCUAAGAUACAAGGACUAGUGAAUAAAUAGAUGGGUUUUAGUUUCCCUUGUUUUCUCUGUCCUGUCUUUUGGGAGCAACUUAUCUUCAUCAGUUCAAAUCUCUAUUCUCAGGGGACCAUAAAAUCAUGUGAAAAUUCUGGGUGAGAGUAGACUUCAAGGUCCUUCUCUGACCACAAGAAUCACCCUCAUAGCUGUUAUGGUUUGGGAAUUACGAAAAUCACAAGAUGGAAUAGUUGAGCUGUCAGGAAUCAGGACCAGUUUCAGUUGCCUACUGUUUUGGACAAAAGUAACUCCGGAAUUUGGGAAAAGGUUCUAUAAUAAAGUUGUAGAUCAUUUGAUAAGCUUUCCAACGAUGCAAGCUGCAACUUUACCUGAUCAAUAGAACUUGAGUUAUGGCCUCUACAAGUUAAUGCUUCCGCACAGUUUCAAAAUCUGGACAGUUCUAGUUAAUUCCUACUUUUCAGCCAACUUAACAUCAGAAUCUGGAAAAGGGGGAUAUACAGAAGUUGUGGAGGACUUCAUAAGAUUUUCAACCAUGUAAGACUCGUCCCCGUAUGAUCUAAGUAGCUCGAGAUAUGACUUCUGUAAGUGGCUGUAUCGAUGCUGAGACAUUGUUAGGAUGGAUAUCAUGUUGGGCUGUUUUACCUAGGUUUAAAGACAGAAACUAAGGAAGCCUUCUAUAUGAAAGUUGUAGGGAAUUUGAUAAGGUUUCUAACGGUAUAAGCUAAGAUCUUAUUGGAUUGACAGAAAAGGAGGUAUGCCUAUUUUGCUGCGCUGGUGUCUUCGUAUCGUGAGGAAUUUCAGAUUUCUUGUACAUAUCAGUCCACAUGAGGUUCUCUUCGGUAUUAGAAGAUCUGAUGAUAAGAAACCCACUUGAAAGAUGGACUAAACUACCCAUUUAAGCACUAGUUUACCUUUUUUAAGGGGGGGUAGUCUUAUCAAAGGACUUACAAGGAGAAGUGUUGGAUCAUUGAUAAGGACCUCAAGUGUUUGGUAAAUUUAGGUUUUGACGCAAGAAAUAAGUUCCAUUGAAGUGUGCUAAUGGAGAUGUAGGUCAUUGCUGGUACUCAUAGCUUAGAAGUGGUGCUUAUGAGAAUCAGGUGACACCAAAGUCUAUGAAGUUAUACAUGGGAUGUGAGAGCGAAGCAAUUCAACUAAGAUAGAGGUACCAAUAGUUGGAACUUAGUGAUGAAACCAACUCCAGACCAUGAGACUUGGUACAGUGAAUUCGAAAGACUAUAUGAUGUGUAACAUCUAAACUGAAUAUGAGAGCUAGUCCGUACUGUCCCCCGACCUAUCUCAUCUUAAGGGGGGUAGUACCUUGUUAUGAUAGAUUAAUGCCCUUUCAAUUCACCAUGAAGUAAGAAGUGUUUCUGGAGAUAUCACAUGAUCAUAAUCAUCUAUCCUGGCUCAAGUUAGCGAAAUUAGUCACUUGACAAAUUAGGAAGAGGAUAAGCUACAUCUACUGUUGAUUCUACGGAGACUAAAAAGUCUUCAUUACUAAACGGAGCAUGACCAGUAUGUUCUAGUUGAUGGAAGUUCUCAUUUAGGAGAUGUCAUCUUUAAUUAUGGACAUGAGAAAGUUAAAGAUGCAAGAGUUGGAAACCACCAAAGGAAAGUGAAUGAGACUUAGAGUUUUAUAGAUAUGGCAAGAGUUAUCAUAGGUUUGCUGGGGCCAAUGUGAUCUUGACAUAAGAGUGAAUAAGAGUUUAGGCUUGUGCUCAACCAGUCAGUUGUCCCUGUGGAUUUGGAGCUUUCGCCUGAAGAACGUAGUGUCUUUCCGCUGUUUGUUAUCUAAGGUUAUAUAUUUUAUACUAAGUUCGUUAUAUAAUAAGCAUUGACUAUUGAUAUUACCCUUAUUUGUGGCUAUAUGUGAGAUUUGACUUCCUAGGCUCACAUAUGGUGUGUAUCUGGUUUUGUUCUUAAAACCGGGUGCUACAAUGGCUGGCGGUGGUGCUUUCCCUGUGCCCGAGCAGAUGGGGAAGCCAAGCGUUUGCUGCCUGUUGAGCCCUAAGGUCUGAGUUCCAAUUAGCUAGCAAGCUGCCAUGCACAUGUCUUGCAAAUCUUUUCAGGCCACCGCUAAUCAUCUGCUGCAAUUCAGUACUGAAAGUUCCAUCCAUGUACGUACUUACAUUGAAGGCUGCCAGCAAUAGCCAUCGACAAUUGAAGUUAAGUUCCAGACUUUGUGCUAAUCUUUUCUUUAUUCAUUGAGUCUAUAUAUGGAUCUCAUCGAGGUGCUGAGCUCGCUCGCCGCUGUGGUGACAGCUGUUGGAAACCUCUCCGCUGACUUGAGCAAGCCGUCAAGUUUCUUCACGUGGAGACCAUCGAGCCACCCCCAUCAAGCCGCACGCAUUCACUGAGACCGCCCCAUUCGCUACAAGCCUCUGCGUGAGUUCGCCAUAUCCCAAUAUAUCUACCGGUGCUUUUACCUUUGUAAUCAAAAGCCUCCAUGUUGUUCUCACCAAGCUUCGGCGAACUCCAUGGCCAACCACUGUGUUAGAGAUCCUGUGCCGUGCGUGCUUUGCCUUGCUCCGAUUACAUACAGUUUCCAUAGCGAACAUGAUGAGAUCAUGUUGAUGUCACCAUGACAUCAAACAAGUAUUAUUACCGUUUUCCUUUACAAAAAUAAAUCCAAAAAUACAAUAAAAAUACAUUAGCUUGUUUAGGUCAUAUUUUCUCUGUUUUAACUCCGAUUUGACCCAUUCAAAUUGCGUUAAGUCUGUAUUUGAAAGAUCUACAUGUUAGUAAUAUUGUUUUCUCAGUUUGAAACUUUUUUUAAAUUUCGUGACACUAUUGAAUUAAUUAUUUUUCUAUAGAAAAUCUUAGAAAAUUCAUAUUUUUUUUUGUUUUAGCUCCGAUUUUUAUGAUCUUUAUGUCUGUGUGAUCAUAGUGCGACGUAGAUUCAUUUUAUAACUUUAUAUCUUUAUUUUCUACUGUUGGUGUAUUGUUCUAAUUAUAGGUUUGUUUGUUUUGUAUGAUUGUCUCUGGAUGAUUGUUGAUGAUGUGAUGACUGAGUUUAGUCGGUGAGCUUUUAUGUCGUGAUCAAGAAGCAGUUUGUGGAAGGUUUGAAACUAAAAGAAGGAUCUGAGUUUCAAGGCAAGUAUAGCAUGGGAUCAUCCUUGUUUCCUAAUAACUUUAAUCACACAAUUCAUAUUGCAUGUGUCUUUUUGUUAAGGAUUUCCUAGUAUUGAUCUUAUACCUUGUCACCUAUGGAUUUGCAUUAGGUAGCUUAUGCUAGUGCUCCACUAAACCAUGAUCUUGUAAUUUGAGUAAUGGAAUAUGCAAUAAACAUUAAAAGAGGACUUUUUAGCAACUCUGGUAAAGAGGGCUGGAGCAUUGGGCUAUCCUAUGGUGCUCUAGUUUCUCUCUAAGGACUUAUCUGUAUAUGACCAUCCGGGACAUAUAGUACAACUGUGAGGGCUACAUGGCUCUGGCUUUAGCUCAGUAUGAGGACCUUUUCUAGCUUGUUAGUGGUUACCCUUGUGGCGCAAAUGGGGAAUAGCAGAUCGUGGAUUCCUACGGGUGAAUCACAUAGACUGACUAAUGAAACCAAGCGGCCCUAACUUGUUAGACGAACCUUUGAAAGGCUUCAUAGUGAACCCUGCCGGCCUCCCUAGGAAGAGGGUUUAAGAGAUUAGCUACCUCGGGCGAAAGGGUAAAUUAUGACUCACAGUGAAAGUGUACAACCUCUGCAGAGUGUAAAACUGAUAUAUCAGCCGUGCUCACGGUCAUGAGCGGCCUUGGACCAAUACAGAAUAAAUAAUUAAUAAUGGCAAAUUAUUAAAGUUAUUAUUACUAAAUAUGUGGUUUAUGCUAUUCUUUAUAAACUUCACAUGAUCAUGAGUUAACUUUGGGACUUGAUAACUUGAUGCAACUCAUAUGCUAGAAUUGUGACAACUAAAAGCUACAUGCAGUUAAACCAGUGUCUAGCCUUUGAGCCUCAUGAAUCCUAUGUUAUUCUUGCUGAGUACGAGAUGUACUUACGCUUGCCUUUACAUUUUAUUUGGAUAAAAAUCCCGGAUGGGUACCAGAUUGCUAGUUUAGAGAAGAGUUUAGGCUUGUGCUCAACUAGUCAGUUGUCUUGUGGAUUUGGAGCUUUCGCCUGAAGAACGAAGUGUCUUUCCGCUGUUUUCUAUCCAAGGUUAUAUCUUUUAUAUUAAGUUCGUUAUAUAUUAAGCAUUGUCUAUUGAUAUUACCCCUAUUUGUGGCUAUAUGUGAGAUUUGACUUCCUGGGCUCGCAUAUGGUGUGUAUCUAGUUUUGUUCUUAAAAUCGGGUGCUACACUCCACCUCGGGCUCGAGAGAGAGGAUGGGGAGGUCGUCCUAUUUUUUUAUGAGGAGUGGGGAGAGCGCUAGAUGUUUUUGUGGAGGCCGACGUGGGCAGCUCCUGGCCACACAAAGGGAAUCAGCCAAUCAGGCUAAGAUGGACCAAUAGGAGGGGGAGGAGGUGAGGUGGCAUUGAGGUGCGCCAAUGGCAGAUUUGAGGAGACGUGGCUGGGGUGGCGACACGGGGAGCAACUUAGAAUUGUUAGGGUAAAUUAGUCCAAAGAUUUUAGAUAUAAAAAUAAGAAAUUCGCAAGAUAAUAGAAGUGUAGUAGUUUCGAAAUUUAUACUAUACAAUCUGUAGUAAUUGAAAACUAUCUGGAAUUAUUUGCAAGCUAGUCGCAUGGAAAAACUAACCCUUUCAUGAAGUCCACAAUAUUAGCAAGGCAAAAUUGUAUCCAAAUCAAGUUGGAUGGUCAAUGUUGCAGAACAAGAUCCAGGGCCAAAUGAACACCCUCAGAAUUUGCAACAUCUGAGUUGUGUGCUACUUGGCUAAAUCAAAUUGAACAAACAUUGAGGAUGUUGCUUAUCUCCAUGCUGUGACAAGAAAGAGGGGACAAAGGGGAAGCAAAAACAAACCUCAGAGGAACUCAUAGCGGUGCUUAUCUCGUCCUAGGGUUUAUUCUUUUGAGUUUUAAAGUGUUUGCAACAUAAUUUAAGGAAAGGUCCAAUAGCAUUAGUUUGUUUCCAAUCAGAGAAUUGGGAACAUAAAUUGAAGAUGAUGCAAUCAAGUUCGACAGAUUUUUAAGAAUAUCUUCUAUUGUGUGUUGCCUUAAAUUUUGUUUUAUAGGAAAAAGAAAGUUGUUCAUGUACCUCAAGAGCACUAAAAUUUGCAUACAUAGGUAUUGAAAGGGAAUAAAGAAUUAAAGAAAACCCAGAUUACCUUGGUCCAGUAGUGGUUACACAAGAGGAAUCUGCAAGUCACCAAACCACAUCUAGAAAAAGAUAAGGAUACACUGACAUAGUUCAAUUUGAAGCAUAGAUCAUUGCAAAGAUCUAACAAAUAAAAUUAAGAUCUUUUGUAGACAAUAGAAGCAUAAUAGCUGGCAAAGUUAGACUGUAAACCUACAGUAAAUGAAAAAUAAAUAUAAUCUCCAAUUAAAACUAUUGGCAAGCCGGUAGCAUGGAAAAGUUAACCCUCAUGAUCCCACAACAUUAGCAAGGGAAAUUGAUAUUCAGAGCAAGUUCAAUGGUUAAAGCUACAACAAUUAGGUACAAGUAUAAAUUACUUUGUGUCUCUAUUUACCUUACAUAGGGAGAACGUAUAGUAUGCACAAAAGAAAUUGUUGGCAUCUCUUGGAUGAAGAUAGAAACUGAAGUUUUACAUGGUACUGAAAUUAUGAACAUAUCCAUUUUGUUGUGAUUGCUGCACAAACCAAUGUAGCACAGACCAGCGACUUUCAGCUGUCUCCAUAGCACCCAAAAUUAAUCUCAUGCAUACCGAAGGAAAAUAUGGCAAAUGUAAUAUAUAUACCGAAUAAAUAUACUGCCUACUGGUCUGAAGAGAACACUGUGAUUACCGUUGCAACCACAAGACUCGAUAGAAAAGGAUAAACAAUGUUUCUUCUUAUGAAGCAACAGGCAAGCAUCAUCAAGCACAAAAUUGAUGCCCAAAAACUCAAAGAAAUAGGAGAGGCAAAAGUGACCGUACACAACCAAAGUGUAUGGCAAUGUAAUCCUUGGAAAUAGGGCAUGUGCUCAGAAAUGAUAGUAUAUAAUUUGGCGUCACACGCAAUGAUCAUAGAUAAUGAACACGCAAAGGGGCAAAUCAUUAUAGGUAAUUGCAUGAAAACCACGGAUCUCAUAAGUAAGAGUGAAUCCAGCCGCAUAGUAUGUGACUAAACACACAAUAAGCAGUAGCUCUCAUUGGUGCAUUAAAACUGCACAAAAUAGAACAGCCAGGAAUGAAUACAAGGAAACAUAAUCAUACAAUUGACCAUUGCCUCUUGUAUUAUGGGACAAGCACAUAAAACAAAAACAUAAUUUCAGGUGCACACAUCAUAGCAGUAGCCCAUUCCCUUAAUUUUUAACGCAACAACAAUACGAAACCGUACUCAUCACUGCACAUGACUGGAAUGCAAAAAAUAAACAAAAGAACACCAGCGCUACAGUGGUGUCACAGAAAUGUCAAUGAUACGCUCAUGUGCUCAGAUCUUGGUCAUAAUACCUCUCUGCUCUCAUAUCUAGAAAACUGAGCAGAUCACGACCUACAGAACAAGAAUCUGCAGUAACCAUGUAGAUCGACAAGAGAAAAAGAGAACACCAUAUCUACGACAAAAUGGAGCCCUCGUUCAUGCAUAUGGCACAUCAGGAGAAAGGGGAGGGAAAGAGAGGGGAGGGGAGUAAACCAGUGAGCGGACAGAUCGAGGGAGAGCAGAGCCGCGCCGACUGUCUGCAAAGAGCUCGCACGGAGGCGGUAGGCGGCCGUGGCGCCGGCCAUGGCCGCCCGUGCCGUGCCGCUGCGCAGGGCCGUGCGUGUCUGUCGCGCCACACCGUGCCGUGGGACUCGCCCGCGUAGGGGUGGGGGGAAGGGAGGGACGCUGUCGCCUCGUGCACGUUGCCGCGACUGCCUGCAAGGAGCACGCUCAGAGGGGUAGGGCAGACGCGCCCGCCAGCAAUGGCCGCGCGCACCACGCCGCCGCAUAGGGCCGCGCGCGUUGGCCACGGCACGCCGUGCCACAGGGCCCGCCCGUGCGGGAGUAUGGGAUGGGAGGGACACCGCCGGCCUCCUCCUAUGCCGUCACGUCGCGCACGUCACCGCGGCAGCCUGUAAGGAGCUCACACGGUACCGCGCAAGGCCACGUGCGUCGGCCGCGCGAUGCCAUGCCGCAGGGCCUGCCCGUGUGGGAGUGGAGGCACGGGAGGGAGGCCGCCGAGCUCUGCCUAUGUCGCCGCCUCACGCACAUCGCUGCCUCGGGAGGGAACGAGAGAAGGAGAGGGAGAGAGAGAGGAAGGAGAAAGAGGAUAAGAUGGGAGGGCAUGGGAGGAGAUAUUUUUCUAUUGAAUUAGGGAUGCGGCAUGGACUGCUACAGUGAACCGUUUUUUUCCUCGUGAGAAGCCGUACAGGACACAUGGCUGGGCCGAUUUCCUGCCUAGCUUAGCCGGCUUAAUAGGAGCAAAUACGAAGGAUAAGCAUCAGAGUGAAAUGUACCACGCCAAGUUGACAACGCUUCUCCUGCAGAACCGGUGUCCCUCUCCGUGGCGCACUCCAGCAGACCCCUCCACUAAGCAAAACCAUAAGGCAAAUGUGAGUACGAAGAACAAAAAAGGAGCAAGCAAGAACAAAAUUAGUAAGUAAAAAUAAAUUCUCCAACAUAGGUUGCAAACCCCAACUGCUCCGACGUCACCUACUGUUGCGAUAGAUGAACACCCGAGAAAAGCCCCAAUGUGGCAACCAAAUCCCAAUGCACCCCGUGGGCGAGGCAGUCGGCCGUCCAUGGGGCCCCAGCGCCGCGUCCGCUUGCUGACCCAGCCCCAAAGCCCGCACGCCCACCCAAUAAAGCGCAGGGAGAAGAAGACAGCCCGCGCCCACCCAAACAAGCGUAGGGGAGAAGAACAUAGAGCCCUUGCACCCGGUACGUACGCGACACGGAAUGAAAAAGGUGCCGGGCUGGGCCGGGGCAUGGAAGCCGGAAGCGGUACCUGAGCUCGAUGUGGCGCGGAGAUGGAGCUGGCGGAGGGUUGAGGCCGGCCGCCGGCGAGACGACGGAGGCACCUGCAACGGCGGAAGGCGGGCAGCAGCUGCGGCGAGGCAGCGCGCGGCCGAUCGAUCGAUUGGGGUAAUCGGGGUUUUGCCGCAGUGACGACGGGAGGCAGUGAGCAGCGAGGUAGGCAGUAGGCACGCGUGUCGCAUAAGCAGUGGGCUAAUGGGUGUACAGUAAAUAUCAUUUUUGCCCUUUGUGUUAGUUGCUCUUUGGUACGGUACCGCACCCGCAACGGGGGAAGGCGGGCAGCAGCUGCGGCGAGGCAGCGUGCGGCCGAUCGAUCGAUUGGGGUAAUCGGGGUUUUGCCGCAGUGACGACAGGAGGCAGUGAGCAGCGAGGUAGGCAGUAGGCACGCGUGUCGCGUAAGCAGUGGGCUAAUGGGUGUACAAUAAAUGUCAUUUUUGCCCUUUGUUGGUUGCUUUUUGGUACGGUACCGUGAUCAUCAGCGGUGGGAUACAGAUUUUUCAAAGCAUAAUGUCCGUACGUUGUUAUAGUUUUAUUUAGAUAUAGGCCUAUUUUUGGUUCCCCUUGCUAAAGUUUAGCCAGCUAAAAUUAUUUUAGCUAUUCUUGGGUGACUAAUGGAACUAAAUUUUGUUAACUCUUUUUAGUCAAUGUGUUUGGAACUUUAGCUACAAAAAUGACUAAAGUUUAGCUAGCUAUAAUUUAGCAAGAGAAACCAAAUAGGGCCUACUUAAUAAAAUAACAAUAUAUUUUUUAUAGUUUAUAGUCUCAGAUAAUUACAUAUGAUAAUUAAUAUAAUAAUGACUAAGAAAAAGAACAAUAAAGACAUGUCUCAUAUAUUUAUACUAUAAAUAAGUUCUUAAUUGCUUAGUAGAUCUCAAAGCUCUUCAGGGAUAAUGUUUGCAUGUUCAUUUUGAUAACUUUGUAGAAUGUCCACCAAGCAUUCCGUCCUUAGCAAACGUCCACUCUGUGAAUGCCAGAUAGUAAGUUAACUUAUUAAUUUUCUAUGCACUCUACAAAAUUUACAUAGAGGAUAUAUAGUUUAUAUGCUUACAGGGUGGAUAGACAAUCUUUUUCCAUCCUACUAUUUUAAAUAACUAUAUACAAAGAAGCAUGGCAUUUCCCCGGAGAAGAGCAAGUGUUUAUUUGUGUUAGCUAAAUGACAUAGAAUAAUAUUACUAUAUAAUUUAAUUAAUAAUUGAGAACAUAAAUUAAGAAGAUAUUACUACUACAUAUUAUUUGGCCAAGUAAAAUAUUUGUAUCAUGGUGUCUAAUUUAACCCAUACCGAUGCACAAACAAAGAAGAUAUUGCUCCAUUAUUACCUUAAUCAAGUGUCUUUGAUAUUGCUCUAGCUUUUUUCAUUGCACAAUAUUCACGUUGCUUCCUAUUUCUUUCAUCUCUUUGUUCAGUGUUUUUCUCGGCCCUUUUACGAGCGCGGUAUUCACAUUGUUUUCUAUUCCUCCCUUCCCUCUUUAUUCUCUCUUCAUCUACCGAUGUUCUAUCAGUGGCUGUGAAAUAUAGUGUGUGUUAUUAGUUUCAGAUUUUGUUUGGGAAACUAACCAAUAUAGAUGGUCGCGAACAUACCAUGUCCGAUAGUGUUUGAUAUGUCGUAAAGUGUAGGGUGGGUUUGUCGCCGGACCUGUAGCAGGCCCAUCGAUGAUGGCAUUCAUGUUAAUCUACAAUAGAAAACACGAAGCAAGUAUACUUACUGUGUUCAUCAUGGCGUUCGUUGUCUGACCUAGUGCGUCAGCGUUUCCCCCUACGGGGCGCCCCUGUCCGCGUUUGACGUCACGCCCUGGCCGCGCUCCGGUGUCGCGUCCUGGCCGCGCGCCUGUUUGCGAGCCCCUGGCCGCACGUGGAGUCAGGCGGCCAGGGCGUGAAGUCUUGGCGGUGCCCCAACGAUCCUCUGGCCGCAAGCCCCUGGUCGCGCGCCCCGUCUGGCCCGGCAAGCCCAGGCCGCGGGCCCUCGUCGUGGACAGGAGAAUGCGAACAGAGGGAAGAUACACGGUCGUGCGUGAGAGGGAGGUGGGGGCGGACUGAGGGAUGAAUGAGGUGAGUGAUGAGUUUGAUCCAAGCCUUUAUGACCGUUGGAUGUGAUUGAGUUAGGGGAAUGAUAGAUUAGAGUUAAUAUUGUCCCUUAAUUUUGGGAGAUAGAUCUUCCUUGGUGGAAUUUUUCGUGUGUACUUAGUGUAGCUUAUAACUGUAGUAGUAGAUUAUAGGAUGCAUUUAGUUAAGUUCAUAACUGAUGGAUAAUAUAGUAGUGGAGAUUUGUGGUAUAUCUCAGUAACUACACCCGUGCCUUUUUACCUUAUACAAAUUAGAACUGAGGCUUGAUCACUAUGAUUUCGUGUUAAAUUAUGUUUUUAUGAUUUUUUUGUAUACAUAUAUGAUGGCAAUCCAACUUGAAUACCUCUCAUCCAAUUUGGUAUAUGUUGUUGACAACAACGAUCCCAUGUGGUCAGGAUGUUCGAAAACGAGAAAUCAGGUUCUUAGUUUUCUAGGAAGAGAAGAACUGAUCGGAGCCGCGUCUCCGACGGGGGAUGCUUGGGUGAGUGAUAGGAAUAACCCUCCAGCUGGAUAGGAAUCAAUUCGAAUCGCCGUCUCUCCUGGAUAGUGAGAACUUGACAGAGCAGCGGCAAACGUAGCAUCCACUAAGUACAAUGGUUCUUGAUAAUGAUAAUGAUGAUAGCAAAAAAGAUCAUAUGAUGAAUUUGAUAUGGUUAUUAUUGUUUAUAAUAAUCAAGUGAAGUGCUUAGUCUAGGUGCUAAUCUAGUGGUAGGCAAAAGAUGAUUAAUAUGAUGCCUUUACAAAUGGUGUAGUAUCUACUUAAGCUUUGGGCAAAUAUUGAGUCGAGCCAGCUACACUUUAUACUCAGCCUUGCAUGAUUCUUGGUGUCUUUUAUAUUUUACUAGACGGGUAAGUCUAGCUGAGUACAUCAUCGUACUCAGGGUUUAUUCCCACCUAUUGCAGAUGAUGUCUUUUAUGAUGGAUUCUGCAAGACCUGUCUCCAUCCCACUGGGGAUGAGGACUAAACCGUUGGGCACGGUUCUCUAACGACUUCAUACCCCGUUGCUUUUGGAUGGACGUGAUGAGACUAUGGCAAUAACAAGAACUUUGGAAUAUGUGUUGUAAACUAUUUUGCUUCCGCUACUGUGAACUUGUGUUGUAACAACUAAGUACUCCGAUGUGGUGCCGCUUCGUCGGCACUGAAUGACUAUGUAACAUUCGCUGUAUUAUGUUGAACUAUUACGAUAUUGUUUUGUUGCAAGUUGGUUUGAAAUCCUUCGUAAUUUCAGUUGACUACCAGGAUUAUAUGGGCUCAAGUCUAGAAACUUGAUUGCUAGUCGAUCGUUUCUACACUUGAACUCUUAUAAUUUGGUCGGUUCUGUGACAUGUGAUGGGGGUUGUAUUCUUGUGACAACGACCUUUUCUCCAAUCUACACAUGGUUAGAAUAAAUAAUAUAUAUGUAUACACAAACCUGUGAGAUGGCAGGGUUCCAGAAUGAUGGAUCUUGAAUGUUCAAGCACCCUGGGUUCUAAAAUCUUGUGGAAUCAUGUCGCAAGGUCGAAGUGGCAUCUGAUGUCAUGUCUAUUCCAUACUCAACAGAACAAAGGGGUAAUCCUACUAAAGCUAGUCAUACACAAUAGCAGACAUCAACAUCAUUAUUAGAAUCUUUACGCCAAUUGCUUUCCCGGCAACGGUGCCAAAAAUGCUUGUUGGCAUUUCUUAACACAAUCACCAAAGAUAGACAAAAAAUCCUAAUCCCCAGCAAUAGUGCUAGAAAUGCUUAAUGACAUUCGUUAGUGCAAAAAAAUAUAUAAAAUAUUCUGCAAGCGCAUAGAACAUCAUCGUAGCAUUUUACCGGGAGUAUUCCACGUAUCGUUAUUUGUAAUUUACCAUAGGGAAGCGGGGUUAAGAAUUUUGAUAAUUCACUUUCCUACAUCUACUAACUUAGAGUAUCAAAUAAACUAAAGGAUGGAUAAAUGACAUACUAUAAUAUAAAUGAAUAUGACUUUGUUCUACUUCAAUAUUAUGAACUAAAGGAGGAUUCUUGGUAAUUCUCUAAUUAUGCUUCUAAUUGUUCUUCUAAUUAUCUUUGUUCUUCAAUAUUAUGAAUAUGACUUUGUUCUACUUCAAUAUAUUGCUUAUGACUUUGCUCUACUUGCUUAUAUUCAAGAUUAUAUUGUUCUUAGUUUAUCAUAGUUAUGUACUUGGCUUAGUUAGAUUGGAUCUAUAUACAUGCUUACGAUCGUAUAGCGUUUAUCCAUCGGAUCCAUGGGUAAAUGAAAGAUAUUGUGUAGGCGUGGUGCUUAUACCGUAUUUAUCCGCGAUUGUACCCAAUAUGCCAGAUCGUGGGGUAGUUCGUGAUAGUGACAGCUUCAUUGAUUCUUAUAUAGUCCCCCUCUCGUGUAUUGGGCUGGCAGAGCAAUAUUAUUACAGGGGAGUGAUUGCUAUGUUUCUCAUUUACGUUGCUAAUAUCACUAUGGAUGGGCGUAGUCUUGUCUCGCAAUGAUUGCUAAGUAUGCUUGCACUAAUUAUGAUAAUGCUAGACUAUAUAGUUGAGGAUAACUUAGGAAAUAUUCUUGUAGUUCGUUCUAAUACCAUGCUAAUGACUUUCUAGAGUAUCUAAUUGAGGUGCUUAUCAUAUUUAUAUGUGGCUAAUCAGAUUAAUUAUCUUUGUCACUAUUCAUUAUUUUAUAUAUCCUUUAUGUGACACUUAUCCCUGUAUGAAAGAGUUAGAUACAAUGUUCGCAAUUAUACAUGCAAUGAUAGAUACUCAAUCUCAUAUUCUAUUCUGUAGUCAAUAUUGAUGAUUGUUAAUCCCUUCCCAGUGGUAAAAAUAUAAAUAACGAUACCUGGAAUACUUCCCGGUUAUAAUGCUACAUCGGUAUUAAUCUGUGCGCUUGCAGAUCCCAUUCAUUAUUUAUUUAGAAGAGCAAUUGCAUAUUUCAAUACCGCGUCUCUCAUGUCAUGCUGGGGAUGACAACUUGGCUUAAGUGGUGUGAGGGAUAGGUUUGGCAUUUUUGGCACCGUUACUAGAAUUAGAGAACUAAGUCUACUUUUGGUAAUGAUGUUAAGAAUACCCAACAAGCAUUUUUGGCGCCGUUGCCGGACAAGGUUGAUUACUAAUCAAGAAUGGAAUAAAGGAUUUUGAGUUAUCAUUCGCAUCACUAAUAUGAUUGAGCUUAUUAGUUCUCUCAUACAGUUUUACCCCGAUAUUUUUCAAUUUUAUCUUAUGCAGGGGAAUGUAUGAAUAGAAGACAUCUUUCAGGAAAUUUUGUUGACAAUCCCGAAGCCUUGUUCAAGAAGACAAGAGCCAAGCUCAAGAAGAGAUCAUCAAUGUAACACCCAAAAUUUGAUUUUCAAAUAAUAGGAUUUAAUUUAAUUUAUUUAAGUAUUGUUGUGGGCAUUUAAUCUAGUAAAUAAAUAAUUUUUGUCAAAUUAAAAACUCAUCAUAAGUUUAGAAACUUCAAUCUUGCAUUCAUGCUGGAGCAUAGUAUUUUUUUGUGUGUUGUUCCUAUUUUUAUUUUAUUUGUUUGUGCUUUCAAAAUGCUAUUUGGAAAAGGUUUUGGAAAAGAAAACAGAAAAGAAAUUGGAAAAAAAAGAGAAAGGGGGAAGCCCUCCCAGUCGGCCUGGCGGCCCAGCCAGCGCCUGGCCCAACGCGCUCUCAGCCCAGUGGCCAGGCCCGCACGCGCAGCGCUCCCUCCCCCUCCUCUCCGCUCGCUGACAUCCUGGGGCCGCAUGUCAGCGCUUCCAUCUCCCUCUGUUAGUAACCAAGCCGGACACGGCCGGGAGCCAAUCGAACCCGAUUUCUCGGGAUUACUUGCCAAACGCGUUAGCCGAGCCCCUAUAUAAUCCCUAGCAUCGCCCCCGCGCGUGUUUCCCAUCUUCGCCACGCGAAAUCCGUGCCCCUAUAUAAUCCCUAGCAUCGCCCCCGCGCGUGUUUCCCAUCUUCGCCACGCGAAAUCCGUGCCCUAGCUACAGCAGACGGGAUCUCGCCGCAAGCCGAGCGCCUUGCCACGCGCCGCGAGCUCCUCCCGUCGUUCUUCGGCCCCAGCAAAGCACCUCCUCGAGUUCGCGGUGAGCUCCUCGUUCCGAUGGUGUUUUUCUUUCUUGAAACGGUGAGCACCGGCCGGAUGAUGGCUCUGCGUGACCAGGGAGCCGCCCAGGAAGCCUGCCAACCGUUCAACCGAAGAUCAACGGCCAAGAUUAAAACAUACCCCUUCGCUGCGCAUUUUCGUUAAGAGUCCCUGGAGAUUUCGCUAUUCAACCCGCAGUCCCUAGCGCCCUGAGUAAAAUACGUUUUCUAAUGCCAAAGGCGUAUUCGUGACCGGUUAAUGGAAAAAUGCGCUUUCUGCUAUUUACAAGUUUGCCACUGAUAUUGUUUUGCUCAUAAAAUAUUCAUUAUAACUCCGUUUUUGUCCAUUCAAAUUUCGUUAGAUUCGUAUUUCCGAGCUCUACAUGUUAGAAUUAUUUAUUCUCUGUGUUGAAACUUUUAAUUUCCUGGUAUUAUUUAGUUAAUCAUUUCUCUAUAGGAAAUCUUAGAAAAUUCAUAUCUUUCUCGUUUUAAUUCCGAUUUUCGUGAAAUUUACGUUCGUGUGAUCGUAGCGCUGCGUAGAAUAUUUUGAUAAACUUUUAUAUUUGUUUUACCACUGUUUGGUGUAUUGUUCUAAUUAUAUCUUGUUUGCUUCGUGUAUAAUUGUCUACAUUGGAUUGCGUGUUGUUGAUUGAUGAUUGGGAUUAGACGGUGAGCCGUACGUUGGUGCUCAAGAUCAUGCAUUUGAAGACCAGCAGGCUCAGGAGAGCUUUGAUCAAGGCAAGUAUAACUUGGGAUCAUCCUUGUUACCUACACACAAUUAAUAUAACAUUUAUCAUAUGCAUGCUAUCACCUUGAUGACCUUAGCAAAAUCAUAGAUGAUUGUUACCCUGAAUUCCUUGUUACCUAUUUGGAUAUGCAUUUGGGUAGUUCUUGCUAGUGCUUGAUUAUUAAUCCAUGAUCUUGUAACAUGAAUAUUGAAUAUACAAUAAACAAUAAAAUAAGCUUUCCAGCAACUUGAAUAUAAAGGGUGGAAAGAACUCUAGCUUUUGCUAGAUUGAUCUUGACCCUCCAUAAGGACUUAUCCCUUGGCAAAAGCUGGGACAACUCAUACAAUCAUGAGGGCUAUAUGGCUCUGGCUUUAGCUCAGUAUGAAGAACUUUUCUAGCUUGUUAGAGGUUCCCCGAAAGGGUGGAGGGGCUGAACCGACACGGGUAUAGUGCGAGCCCCUGUCCCUAUGUGUAUAGGCUGCGCGUCAUUGUGCCAUUCGGAAGGGGGGUAUCUAUAUCUGCUCGCAAAGGAAACCUUGCGGCCCUAACAUGUUAGAUGAACUUUUGAAAGGCUUCAUAGUGAUCCCUGCCGACCUCCCUAGGAAGGGGGUUAAGAGACUAGCUACCUCGGGCGUAAGGGUAAAUCAUGACUCAUGGGUAAAGAUGUACAACCUCUGCAGAGUGUUAAAUCUGGUAUACUAGCUGUGCCCACGGAUACGGGCGGCCCGGAAAACUGAUGGAAUAGAUGGACACUGAUGAACAUGAUUAAUGAUAAUAAAGGAUGGUUUAUUAUGUUGUUUAUAUGUUUUAUUCUUAAUUCUUGUAUACAUUGAUCAUGUGGUUAUGGAAUUUAUUAUGCUACUUUGACAUUUGCUAUUCAAUGAUUAAAUAUGCUAUUCACAUAUAAAAGCUAAAUGAAGUCAAACCAGUGUCAGCUUAUUGAGCCUCAUGAACCCCUGGUUAUACUUGUUGAGUACGAUAUGUGCUCACUCUUGCAAUUUCCCAACACCUCAGGAUAUGAUAAUGAAGAUGACUGGAAUGAGGACUAUCGCUAUGAGUACUAGGUUUGGAGUCAACCAGUCAACAGUGUCCCUGUGUGGAGCUUCCGUUGAGAGCGUUGUUUAUUUCGUGCUAUCAUUUUUGUAUGAGACUAUGUGAUAUAUUAUAUUCCGCUAUGUAAUAAACACUGCAAUGGUACAUUUGAGAUUUGUCUACUUAUGUGUGCGACUAUUCCUGGGGCACAUAUGAGUCUUUUAUGCAUCCUGUUUUGUUCUUAAAAUAUGGGUGUGACAAAUUGGUAUCAGAGCUUUGUUGACUGUCGGACGCAAGCCUAGUUAUAAAUUGGCUGUCUUAAGGUUUUGAAAUUGCUAUAAAAUCCUUGCCCUAUAAACCUUGAUAUUUUCUUCUACACUAUAUCCUAUUCAUCCUCACCUUGUUGCUAAUUUUAAAGACUUGUUCUCAUCCCCACUUCUUGCUUUGAAUAUGCUUUUAGAACCUUCUCAUACCACCUUCUGGCAUCGUUGAAAUAGGAGUUAUAGGAUCUUUACCCUUAAUAGGAAGAGAACGUUAGUACCGCAAGUUGAGUCAAUGCUUGAAGUGUGAAACCUUUGAUGCUUGGUUUGGUUUGUUAUUAUGCUUAUGCUCGAUUUGGAUCUUUGUAAUGAGUGUAAUGAUCUUGUGGAUUUUCCCUACAAUUUCAUUUAGUCUAUAGGCCUAAGGCAUAAGGAUUAAUGGACUAAAUAGUCGGGUUUGGAUAAAAUUCUGUUUUUGUCCUUGCUGUGUUUCUGGAGCAGUCUGCAAUGAUUCUGGUGUAAAUCAAAUUCUGAUCGUGCAAUGUUCAUCAAAAUUUUCUCGGAACAAGUAGACUUUCAUAUCUUUCCAGUGCCUUAAGAAUGACCAUAUUAUCUAUUAUGAGCUGUGAGUUAUGACUGUUUAAAGUUGAGGUUUCUGCGCAGUCUGGAAUUCUAGAAUAGUUUCGGUUGUACCCAGUUUUUGAUUAACCUAACUUUGGAAUCUGGUAAUAUGAUCUAAAUGAAAGUUGUAGAAAAUUUCUUUAUCUUCCCAACGGUGUACAGCAAGUAUCCUUUUGAAUUCUGCAACUCGAGAUAUGACUGAUUUACUGCUCUGCUGAUGUCGGAUGAUACCCAGAAAAUUUUAGAUUCCGUUAACUCUUGUAAUUGUCAUGCUGGACAUUACUAAGACAUGAUUCUAUACCUUGGAAUGCAGAUGGCAGCAAGGGGAAGAGGCAGAGGCAGAGGCCGUGGCAAUGGUGACAAUGCCCCAAUUACUGUGGAGGAACUCAUGCAAACCCAAAAUGAGAUGAUGCACGUCUUCAUGCAGCACUUACAGCAGCAACCUCCACCAACACCACCACCUGUCCAUGUGAGAGAUAAGCGUGGUGAAUUUAUGAAGGGAAGACCUCCAGUGUUUACACACUCAGCUGAUCCUAUGGAGGCAGAUGAUUGGCUUCGUGCUGUAGAGAGGCAACUGAACAUAGCCCAGUGCAAUGAUAUGGAAAAAGUGUUGUAUGCUUCUGGACAAAUUCAGGGGGCAGCUCAGACAUGGUGGGAGUCAUAUCAAGCUGCUCAUCCUAACAAUGCUCCUCCUGUCACUUGGUUGGAAUUUUGCAGAGACUUUAGAGCGCGGCAUAUCAAUGAAGGAAUGAUGGAGCUCAAGCAGGAAGAAUUCAGAUCUCUUAGGAUGGGUUCUAUGUCUGUGGCGGAGUAUCAUGACAUGUUUGAGCAGUUGGCCCGCUGUGCCCCAAACGAAGCUAGAGAAGAUGCUGACAAACAACGUCUCUUCAUGAAAGGUCUUUACUAUGAACUCAGAUUGCAACUGGCUGGAAAUACCUACCCUACCUUCCAGGCUCUGGUGAACCGUGCCAUUGUGUUGGAUAACAUGCGCAAAGGUCAGGACAAGAAGAGAAGGAUGCUAGCCCAAGGUUCUGGAGGCAACAACCGCCAACGUUUCAAUUCUCAGCAGGGCGAUCAACAGAGGUACCAUGGACCAGUUAGUCAAGGGGAUCGCAACCAACAAUCUCAGCGUAAUCCUAAUCAACAACAGAGUGGACAACAGACUUCUCGCUCGGGAAAUUCAAAUGCCACCUCUAUGAAGAGAAGUGCUUCCAAUACCCCUACUAGGUGUUUUCGCUGUGGGAAAGAAGGUCAUUUGUCAUAUGAUUGCCCAGAGAGAUUCAACCAGCAGAACAACAAUCAAAAGUCUAAUUCUCAUGGAGCAAAGGUGAACCAUGUGGCUGCAGAGACAGUACAAGAGGGACUGGAGAUUAUGAUUGCUACGUUCAGUAUCAACUCUAUUCCCGCAACAGUUUUAUUUGAUUCUGGAGCUUCGCAUACAUUCAUAUCACAAGCAUUUGUUAGGGUUCAUAGCAUACCACUAGUUGCCCUGAAAACCCAUAUGCUAGUAAUCUCACCAGGAGGGACUAUACCAAUUUCAUAUUGUUGCCCCUCGGCAAGUCUUUCUUUAAGGGGGGUAGAUUUCCCUGUUAGUCCCAUGGUUAUGAGAACCUCAGGCAUAGAUGUGAUAUUGGGUUUGGAUUGGAUGAAGAAAUAUGCUACGGAAAUUAAGUGCAAAGCGAAAGUAGUAGUGGUGACAACACCCAAGGGGGAGAGAAUCAGUGUGGAUGUAGCAGUGCAGGCUCCACCCACAGCUAUAGUGAAUCAGCUGGAUGAUGGUGUUGAUCUUCAGGACUGGGUAGGGAAUAAAUUUUCAGAUAAGUUACCAGGUAUGUUACUUGACUAGAGACAUGAUUUUGCUAGUGCAAUGGAAUUGGUAUUUAGAGACACAAGCAACUUAGGAAAGAGAGAGUCAUUGGAGAGAGUCACAACCACAGUGGUUUGUUUAUGCACGGCUCAAUCUCGAGGACGAGAUUCUUUUAAGGGGGUAGAGUUUGUAACACCCAAAAUUUGAUUUUCAAAUAAUAGGAUUUAAUUUAAUUUAUUUAAGUAUUGUUGUGGGCAUUUAAUCUAGUAAAUAAAUAAUUUUUGUCAAAUUAAAAACUCAUCAUAAGUUUAGAAACUUGAAUCUUGCAUUCAUGCUGGAGCAUAGUAUUUUUUGUGUGUUGUUCCUGUUUUUAUUUUAUUUGUUUGUGCUUUCAAAAUGCUAUUUGGAAAAGGUUUUGGAAAAGAAAACAGAAAAGAAAUUGGAACAAAAAGAGAAAGGGGAAAGCCCUCCCUGUCGGCCUGGCGGCCCAGCCAGCGCCUGGCCGAGCGUGCUCUCGGCCCAGUGGCCAGGCCCGCGCGCGCAGCGCUCCCUCCCCCUCCUCUCUGCUCGCUGACAUUCUGGGGCCGCAUGUCAGCGCUUCCAUCUCCCUCUGUUCGUAACCAAGCCGGACACGGCCGGGAGCCAAUCGAACCCGAUUUCUCGGGAUUACUUGCCAAACGCGUUAGCCGAGCCCCUAUAUAAUCCCUAGCAUCGCCCCCGUGCGUGUUUCCCAUCUUCGCCGCACGAAAUCCGUGCCCUAGCUACAGCAGACGGGAUCUCGCCGCAAGCCGAGCGCCUUGCCACGCACCGCGAGCUCCUCCCGUCGUUCUUCGGCCCCAGCAAAGCACCUCCUCGAGUUCGCGGUGAGCUCCUCGUUCCGAUGGUGUUUUUCUUUAUUGAAACGGUGCUCGGAAACGAGAAACCAGCGGAUGCCGACGAGCUUCCGGGCGGUGGCCAUGGCGCCACUGAACCGGUGCCGAGCUCCGGCCGCAUGAUGGCUCUGCGUGACCAGGGAGCCGCCCAGGAAGCCUGCCAACCGUUCAACCGAAGAUCAACGGCCAGGAUUAAAACAUACCCCUUCGCUGCGCAUUUUCGCCCUGAGUAAAAUACGUUUUCUAAUGCCAAAGGCGUAUUCCUGACCGGUUAAUGGAAAAAUGCGCUUUCUGCUAUUUACAAGUUUGCCAUUGAUUUUGUUUUGCUCAUAAAAUAUUCAUUAUAACUCUGUUUUUGUCCAUUUAAAUUUCGUUAGAUUCGUAUUUCCAAGCUCUACAUGAUAGAAUUAUUUAUUCUCUGUUUUGAAACUUUUAAUUUCCUGGUAUUAUUUAGUUAAUCAUUUCUCUAUAGGAAAUCUUAGAAAAUUCAUAUCUUUCUCGUUUUAAUUCCGAUUUUCGUGAAAUUUACGUUCGUGUGAUCGUAGCGCUGCGUAGAAUAUUUUGAUAAACUUUUAUAUUUGUUUUACCACUGUUUGGUGUAUUGUUCUAAUUAUAUCUUGUUUGCUUCGUGUAUGAUUGUCUACAUUGGAUUGCGUGUUGUUGAUUGAUGAUUGGGAUUAGACGGUGAGCCGUACGUGCUCAAGAUCAAGCAUUUGAAGACCAGCAGGCUCAGGAGAGCAUUGAUCAAGGCAAGUACAACUUGGGAUCAUCCUUGUUACCUACACACAAUUAAUAUAACAUUUAUCAUAUGCAUGCUAUCACCUUGAUGACCUUAGCAAAAUCAUAGAUGAUUGUUAUCCUGAAUUCCUUGUUACCUAUUUGGAUAUGCAUUUGGGUAGUUCUUGCGAGUGCUUGAUUAUUAAUCCAUGAUCUUGUAACAUGAAUAUUUGAAUAUACAAUAAACAAUAAAAUAAGCUUUUCAGCAACUUGAAUAUAAAGGGUGGAAAGAACUCUAGCUUUUGCUAGAUUGAUCUUGACCCUCCAUAAGGACUUAUCCCUUGGCAAAAGCUGGGACAACUCGUACAACCAUGAGGGCUAUAUGGCUCUGGCUUUAGCUCAGUAUGAAGAACUUUUCUAGCUUGUUAGAGGUUCCCCGAAAGGGCGGAGGGGCUGAACCGACACAGGUAUAGUGCGAGCCCCUGUCCCUAUGUGUAUAGGCUGCGCGUCAUUGUGCCAUUCGGAAGGGGGGUAUCUAUAUCUGCUCGCAAAGGAAACCUUGCGGCCCUAACAUGUUAGACGAACUUUUGAAAGGCUUCAUAGUGAUCCCUGCCGACCUCCCUAGGAACGGGGUUAAGAGACUAGCUAGCUCGGGCGUAAGGGUAAAUCAUGACUCAUGGGUAAAGAUGUACAACCUCUGCAGAGUGUUAAAUCUGGUAUACUAGCCGUGCCCACGGAUAUGGGCGGCCCAGAAAACUGACGGAAUAGAUGGACACUGAUGAACAUGAUUAAUGAUAAUAAAGGAUGGUUUAUUAUGUUGUUUAUAUGUGUUAUUCUUAAUUCUUGUACACAUUGAUCAUGUGGUUAUGGAAUUUAUUAUGCUACCUUGACAUUUGCUAUUCAAUGAUUAAAUAUGCUAUUCACAUAUAAAAGCUAAAUGCAGUCAAACCAGUGUCAGCUUAUUGAGCCUCAUGAACCCCUGGUAAUACUUGUUGAGUACGAUAUGUGCUCACUCUUGCAAUUUCCCAACACCUCAGGAUAUGAUAAUGAAGAUGACUGGAAUGAGGACUAUCGCUAUGAGUACUAGGUUUGGAGUCAACCAGUCAACAGUGUCCCUGUGUGGGGCUUCCGUCGAGAGCGUUGUUUAUUUCAUGCUAUCAUUUUUGUAUGAGACUAUGUGAUAUAUUAUAUUCCGCUAUGUAAUAAACACUGCAAUGGUACAUUUGAGAUUUGUCUACUUAUGUGUGCGACUAUUCCUGGGGCACACAUGAGUCUUUUAUGCAUUCUAUUUUGUUUUUAAAAUUUGGGUGUGACAAUCAACACUUCAGCAAGAUGCUUCAUCCAAUCAAGAAGAUCACCGGAACUUGUCUUCAGAGUUCGAAGCCAUGGCGAACAAAUCGAUCCGUGAGUUCUCAGCUCCCACUACGGACAACAUCCGCACUGGACCUGCUGCACAGAUCGAUGGCAACUUUGAGCUCCAGCAUGGACUUAUCAACAUGGUGCAGUCCAAUUAGUUCUGUGGGAAGGCACACGAAGAUGCUAGUGCUCAUCUACAACACUUCCUGGAGAUUUGUAACACAUUCACCAUAUCAGUAGUUUCCAGAGAUGCUAUACUACUUCGCCUCUUCCCAUUCUCACCGUUAGGAAGAGCGAAGCAGUGGUUCUAUUCUACAAAGGAGAAGAAUACUACGUGGGCACUCUGCUCAACAAACUUCCUGGCUAAGUUCUUUCCCAUGGGCAAGACCAAUGCUCUCCGUGGGAAGAUUACAAGUUUUCAACAACAAAAUGAUGAAUUUGUUCCAGAAGCAUGGGAGCGCUUUCAAGACUACAUCCUAGAAUGUCCCCAUCAUGGAAUGGAGAGUUGGCUACUAAUGCAGACCUUUUAUCAUGGACUCGGCAAUAGUGCCCAAGAAACCAUGGAUGCUGCAGCUGGAGGAGCAUUUUUAUCACUUACUAUAUCACCAGCCAUAGCUCUUGUGGAGAAGAUGGUGUCCAACCAAGGCUGGAAUGAAGAGAGGACCCAGACACGCAAGAGAGGUGGAGGUAUGCAUCAGCUCAAGGAGGUAGACAUGCUGUCUGCAAAGCUAGACCUGCUCAUGAAGAAGCUCGAUGAUAAAGCAAGAGAUAAGAAGGAAGUUAUGCACAUCUACGACUCUCACAUGACUUGUGAGGAGUGUGGAGAUACUGGACACUCAGGCAAUCACUGCCCUGAGAUGCUUGAGGAUGUGAACUACAUCAACAACAACAACUACUACUACAACCGUCCUCAACAAAAUCAAGGAUAGGAAUCAACAGAGGCCUAACUACUCAGGUAAUUAUCAAGGUAACAAUUCUUACAACAAUAAUAAUUAUUUUCCACCUCUGAGAGAGUUAGUGUCUAAUCAAGGAAAGCUAAUGGAUAACCUAUCUAAGAAAUUGGCAUCUAAUGAUAAAAUGCUAGAAAAUAUAAAUAAUAGAAUGGAUAAUUUCUCUACUGCCAUCAAGAAUCAAAUUAGCUUUAAUAAAAUGAUUGAAUCUCAGUUAAAUCAAAUAGCUGCUGCUGUUCCUACUACUAACCCCGGUAUACCAUCACAACCGGAAGGAUUAGAAUCUGCAAAUCUCGUAGACAUGUUUGAUGCAGGUAAUUGGAGUAACCCCGUCACUGAAUUCACUACUGACCUUCUGCCGAUCAAGAGAGGCGAUCCAGGAUGCCCCGUCAUCCUGAUCUCCAUCGGCAUGGUGGACGUCCUAGAAGCACUCUGCGACUUUGGCUCUAGUGUCAACAUUAUACCCAGGAUACUCUAUGAAAAAUUCUUUAUAUAUCCUUUAUUAGUAACAACCAGGUGUUUGCAGUUUGCAGAUCAGAUAAUAAAUUUUCCAAAAGGAAUAUUGAAGAUCCUUUGUGUCCGAGUUGGUACCUUGUACGCCCCAGCAGACUCCGUGGUGAUAGAGACCGGUAAUGAUGAGAGAGCACCCAUCAUCUUAGGGAGGCCAUUCUUAAACACCUCGGGAGCUGUCAUCUACGCUAGUGCUGCCAAGAUCAGUUUCUACAUCAAAGGGAGUAAGGAGAUGUUUUUCUUCAAGAACAAGACUACACAAAUCCCAGAUCAAUCCAGACGUGAAUCAAGGAAGAGGACCAACAGGAGGAACAGGAACAAGCAAGUGUGGAUCGAGUCAGCUAAGAUGGUCGCUGCAGUUCAAGGAGGUCAAGAUCAUCAACUUAAGUCACUAUCUUUGACCAAGAAGGACGACCCAGGAAUGCCAAGCAUCUAUUGCUCCAUUAAUGGAUACAGCUUCUACAAGACGUUUUGCGACACUGGAUCGGGCGUCAACAUAAUGGCCGCAGUCACCUAUCGGCUCUUGUUCGGAACCAUGCCCCUAAAACCAACAUACAUUCAGCUCCAGAUGGCAGAUCAGACGUUUCGAGAAGUUGAAGGAACAGUAACUGAUGUCCCUGUCAAAAUAGACGAUCAUUUUGUCUACACAGACUUUCAGGUUAUUGACAUGGGAGAAGAUGAAUACGAUCCACCCAUCAUCCUUGGAAGACCGUUCCUCAGCACCGUUAAAGCAAUUAUCUACAUUGGAACCGGAGAAGUCCAUAUGCACUUCCCCUCGGAGAAGGUACGCCGUUAUUUUAUUGACCCUAACUAUAUCGUUGAAGAAUCUAAGCAGGUAAGAAAACGACGCAACCGCAACCAGAGGAGGCAAAUCAUCAAGGACGGAUGGGCAGACUACGUAGCAGUUUAAACAGAACUAUCCUGUGGAGACCGAAGCGAAGAGGAGGCACCGCCGAAAUACCGACUACGCGACCCAACGAAUCCCAGGACAAUUGAGAAAACGGAGAGUCCCGUUCGGAGGACUUAAAAACACCGAACGCCUUGCCAAGAGGUACACUUGGUAGUUAUACUUUCCCUUUCAAUUAUUUUGAAUAGUUUGCUUAGUUAAUCAUGUUCGUACUAUCUUAAAAAGAAAAUAAAAAUGUGAAAAACAGUAAGCCCCAUGUGAGUAUACGAGUGGCAUAAAACCCAUAAGUACAUUCACUGUGGUGGCAUAAAAAUAAAAAUAUUUCUUUUCUGCUUUAUAAAAUGAAAAUAUAAAAUAGGGAGUAAUAUUUAUUAAGGAGUCUCAACAUGAUAAAGGCUAGAUAUUUAUGCUAACACUUAAUCAGUUCCACAAGCUUUGUUGUCUAUUUGAGCUCCACAGAAUUUAAAAAUCAAGAAGACUAGCAGACGGAGGACAUUCUAAUCGCUGUCAGAAUGCUGUUGACUUUCAAAUACACCUCUGCCACCUGCUAGCUACAUCAAGAGAAAUUACGUCAAAAUUCAGCUUGGGGGAGAGCACCCCCAUUUAUCCGGAUAAGUAUUUCUAUCUAUCUUUAUACUUAUAUUAUAUUAGAAUAUAAAUAUAUAUAAUUAUGGAAAAACAAAUAAAGAUUUUUUGCUUAUAUAUAUAUCUUUUGCUUAGUGUGUUUAACAAAUAAAUAAAGUGGCUAUGCUAAACUGAAUCUUAAUGAUAAAACUCUAGCAUAGAUAUGAUGAAUAGUUGCUCUGCCUAAUUUUAAAAUUUUGAAGUUCACUCUCAAGUUUAGAUAUAACUGUUAUAAUUUAAAGCUUGCUCUAAAUCUAAACUUGUGGGAUGAAAACUUGAUCUGAAGUCUAAGUUGUUAAGGGAUAUGAUAUGGGAAGGUUGAGCUGCUAUUUAUCUGUUCUUAGAGAUGCUAGAAUUCUGGAGAAUUUCAUCUUUGAAAAUCUUUAAAAUAUUGCAUGAUGAGUUCCUGUAUGAUGAGAGUUUAAAUUCGUAACACAGCCAUAUAUACAUGCUUGCUAGACCUUGAGCCACACAUUUAUUAUUUACGGCUUAUGAGUAUUGAGUGUGGUCACGCUGUGUAGACCCUUAGGAGCUUGUCAUGUGGUUAAAUCAAGAUUUCACUUGCACGUUCACUCAUAUAUGCUACUUCUACUCUGGAAGUACGAUCCACAUAUAUCCACCCAUUCCAUCUCCAGAAUCAUCCAAAAAUAUUCUACUCCUAAUCCGGGAGAGAAUAACCAAAAAUAUUUCUGUUUUUCCUUUGUGAAAUAAAUGCUCAAGUUAUCUUGUUACUACCACUUGCUAUAUUAUCUCAAGAGACGAGUGCUCUGAAAAAAAGAUACGAGGAAAUAAAAAGGUGCAAGUGCCUGGAACCUCGAAAGAAAAGAAAAAGUGAGACGAGAGGUAACAAUGGACAAGUGUCCAACAGUAGAAUUAGGGGUACAAGAUACCCACCUGAGAGGAAAGAAAAAGAAGAGCAUCUCAUUCUCUUCAUAAAGUUUCAAAAAGCAAGAAAGGUAUAUAUCCUCUCAAAAGAGCAAAAGUAGAAUUAGACUUUCACCAUUGCUAUCACCAUCAUCACCGUACACCAUUCAUUCGCCACACAUGCACAUCUUGAUUUGACUUAAUGAUUUGUUUCGUUGGAUCCAUGGUUUGACUAUACAAUACAUGUCUUGUAAGUACGUAUACUUUAUCUCCCACCAAUGAGCUCCAGAUAUUAAAGCCUUAUUAGAGUAGGGUGAGAGAGAAGGCAAUGUCACUAUGCCUUAUACCACAAAUACCAUAUAUACAUUGAGAGAAGGCAUAUACAAUUACUGCCUUGUUAAGGAUCCAGAAAUACCACAAAAGAGAGAUUUGAGAGAAUCAUACAAGGAAUCUCUGAGUUUUAUUUGAAAAUCUGCAAAAACUUCAGAGCUAUAGCUGAUCAAGAAUAAGAGACAUGGCACUUGACUAGACUGUUCUAUCUUUUAAUACUCAAGACAGAAGUGACGGUUACAAGUCCCAUGGUGAAAGGUAAAAUGAAUAAGUUUUAAGUUUUGACAGUUUACUCUAACUCAGAGAUGAGAUCUUAUUUAAAAAGCAUGUGUACCGUCAAUUUUUAAAGAUAUUGCAACAAUUUCUAAUCCAUCGCUGAGUCUAUCGUUGCUCAGGGACGAGCAAGAGGUAAGCUUUGGGAGUUUGUUGACGGUCCUUAAGUAUCAAAUUUAAUUAUCCAAUAAACAAAGAAAAGGAUCCAAAUGAAAUCAACAUCUAGACUUAGGGUUUUAUCUGACAGAAUUCCACGAGUUUUGGUGUUUGUCUAUUUCUGCAGGGGGUUAUCAGGAAAUACGGAAGAAAGGCCCACACGUCGGGAUUACAUAGAGAUAUUAACGUGACGCGCAAUUAUCUUACAUCUAGAAGACUCCAGAAGCCACGGGAAGAAAGCGGAGGCCGAACGGGGCCAGAGGCAGGGCGCCCGCCCUGUUUCCCUGGCGCCCGCCCUCUGUUGGAGUCCAAACAGGACUCUAUUUCGUGGGAGAUCUCCACCGACCUAAAGGAUCAAGGAUAACCGUUCAAUCAAUGUUGGUUUGAUCCAACGGCCCAUAUUAACUUGAAGAGACUAUAAAACCAGACCCCCUGGCCCUUGGAGGAGGGAGCAUCUCAACCCUAAUUCAUUAUUCUCAAGGGAGAAGAAUCCUCUGAUCAAGAUUAGAGCCACCACAUCAAUUAGAUAUCUAGAUUAGCAUAGCUACAUAGGAUUAGAGUUAGAAGGAGUCAAUCUUCGAUUGGUUUCCGGAUCUGUCAAGAGGAUUCUUGGUAAUUCUCUAACUGUGCUUUUAAUUGUUCUUCUAAUUAUCUUUGUUCAUCAAUAUUAUGAAUAUGACUUUAUUCUACUUCAAUAUAUUGCUUAUGACUUUGCUCUACUUGCUUAUAUUUAAGAUUAUAUUGUUCUUAGUUUAUCAUAGUUAUGUACUUGGCUUAGUUAGAUUGGAUCUAUAUACAUGCUUAGGAUCGUAUAGCGUUUAUCCAUCGGAUCUAUGGGUAAAUGAUAGAUAUUGUGUAGGCGUGGUGCUUAUACCGUAUUUAUCUGCGAUUGUACCCAAUAUGCCUGAUCGUGGGGUAGUUCGUGAUAGUGACAUCUUCAUUGAUUCUUAUAUAGUCUCCCUCUCGUGUAUUGGGCUGGCAGAGCAAUAUUAUUACAGGGGAGUGAUUGCUAUGUUUCUCAUUUACCUUGCUAAUAUCACUAUGCAUGGGCGUAGUCUUGUCUCGCAAUGAUUGCUAAGUAUGCUUGCACUAAUUAUGAUAAUGAUAGACUAUAUAGUUGAGGAUAACUUAGGAAAUAUUCUUGUAGUUCGUUCUAAUACCAUGCUAAUGACUUUCUAGAGUAUCUAAUUGAGGUGCUUAUCAUAUCUAUAUGUGGCUGAUCAGAUUAAUUAUCUUUGUCACUAUUCAUUAUUUCAUAUAUCCUUUAUGUGACACUUAUCUCUGUUUGAAAGAGUUAGAUACAAUGUUCUCAAUUAUACAUGCAAUGAUAGAUACUCAAUCUCAUAUUCUAUUCUGUAAUCAAUAUUGAUGAUUGUUAAUCCCUUUCCAGUGGUAAAAAUAUAAAUAACGAUACCUGGAAUACUUUCCGGUUAAAAUGCUACAUCGGUAUUAAUCUGUGCGCUUGCAGAUCUCAUUCAUUAUUUAUUUAGAAGAGCAAUUGCAUAUUUCAAUACCGUGUCUCUUAUGUCAUGCUGGGGAUGACAACUUGGCUUAAGUGGUGUGAGGGAUAGAUUUGACAUUUUUGACACUGUUACUAGAAUUAGAGAACUAAGUCUACUUUUUAGUAAUGAUGUUAAGAAUACCUGCAUCCUCGUUUCUUCUUCUCCGCCGCUGCUAGCCCUAGCUUCGCCUUGUGCAGCCAUGUUUGGACGUCCUGGAGUAGAGUACGUCCGCCGCCGCUACUGCUGACGCUGUCCUUUUUAGCACUGUUCGUGACCCAUUGCUGAGUUCCACGUAGAGGUGAAGAAGCUGCACAAUCUUUUUUUUCUUUUUCUUUUCUCUGUUGUUUUCCAUUGUUCAGUCGCCGCAACUUUUGCCGUUGUUUGCUCCUCCGAUCCGCCGGUGCCUUUAGCCUCUGCCGGUCUCCCAAGCAAGGGAAGCCGUCAUCCGUGCCCAGAAGCACCAUGCCGUGGACGAGCUCUCCUAUAGUCUCCGGUAAACAUCUAGGUGAGUUCAUCAAGAGUUUCUCUAUGUUUCCAAAACCUUUCCAUCCAAACCCGAAUCAUAUAAGCCGUUCUCAUCAAACGCCGAUGAGCUCCUGGUCACCAGACAAUGGAGUCUGUCCAUACGUGUGCUCUGCUCAUUGCUAGCUUGAUGAUGUCAUGGUGACCAAAAGAUGACAUCACAAGAUUUUGUGGCCGUUUUUCUUUAUUACAAAAAUAAAUAUAGAAAUACAUAGAAAAUACACUAGUUUGUAUAGUCAAUAUUUUCUCCGUUUUAACUCCGAUUUGACCCAUUCAAAUUGCGUUGGAUUCGUAAUAAUAAGCUCUACAUGACAGUCUCACUUUUUCACUAAUUUGAAACUUUUUAUUUUCGUGACCCUAAUUAAUUAAUUACUUUUCUAUAUAAAAUCUUGGAAAAUUCAUAUCUUCUACGUUUUAGCUCCGAUUUUCGUGAACUUUACGUCUGUGAGAUCGUAGCACUGCGUAGAAUCUUUUUAUAAACUUUUCAUAUUGUUUUUGUAUGAUUGGUGUAUAGUUCUAAUUGUAGCUUUGUUUGCUUCGUGUAUGUUUUCUCCGAUUGUUUGUGUGAUCGAUGAUCAAGAUUAGACAAUGAGCAAUCCAUGGUGAACCAGAGUGCCUUGGACAAUUAGUAAGACCAGCAAGAUCAGCAAAAGCAUUUGGAUCAAGGCAAUUAUGGUAAUUUGGAUUUUAUUUCUGUGACCAUGAUCCAGUGGCUAGAUUAAUGUUAAGUAAUAAAUGAUAAAAAUGACUUUUUAGCAACUUAAUGAUUUGUCCGUACGUGAUCACCCGGGACAACAGUGCAACCAUGAGGGCUAUAAUGGCUCUGGCUUUAGUUAAGUUUGAGUAACUUUUCUAGCUCGUUAGCGGUUACCCGUUGUGGCGCAAUUGGGGAAUAGCAGACUGUGGAUUCCUGCAGGUGAAUCACACGGACUUAUUAGACUAACCUUUGAAAGACUUCAUAGUGAUCCCUGCCGACCUCCCUUGAGGGGGUUAAGAGAUUAGCUACCUCGGGCGAAAGGGUAAAUCAUGACUCAUGGGUAAAGAUGUGCAACCUCUGCAGAGGGUUAAAAACUAGUAUACUAGCCGAGCUCACGGUCAGGAGCGGCCUUGGGGACAUCUACAUUAAGGGUGAUGAUUCUUGUGUGUUAAAUAUGCUCAUUGUUUAUUGUUUAGUGCUUUACAUUAUUUAUGUCACAUUGAUCAUGAGAUUGUGGGAGCUAUACAAUCUAGUAGCUAUACUUGUGGAGUUCGACAUGGACUCACCCUUGCUAUUUCCCUCAAACCUCAGGAGAAGUUUAGGCUUGUGAUCAACCAGUCAGUUAGAUCCUGUAGAGUGAAGUUAAUACCUGAAGUUGGAGUCAUCUUCCGUUGUUUGCUGCCUAAGGUUAUCUCUUUUAUACUAAGUACGUUAUAUAUUUUUGCAUUGUCUUUUGAUAUUACCCCUUAUUUGUAGCUAUAUGUGAGAUUUGAUUUCUAAAACUCACAUAUGGUGCAUAUCUGGUUUUGUCCUUAAAAUCGGGUAUUACAAAGUGGUAUCAAAGCAAUGCUGGCUGUAGGACGCAAGCCUAGAUAGAAAUUGGUCGUCUUAAGGUUUUGGAAUUGUCAUGAAAUCCUUGCUCUAUAAACCUUGGUAUUUUCAUCCAUACUAUAUCUCUAUCCUUGCUAUUUGUCUCUACCUUGUUGCUUAUUUUAAAAAUCCUUGUUCUCACCUUCACUCUUUGCUUGAUAUGCUUUUGGAAUCUUGUCUUACCACCUGCUUACAUAGUUGAAAGAGAAUCUUAGGAUCCUUACCCUUAAUAUGAAGAGAACGAUAGUAUCGCAAGUUGAGUGAAGUGUGCUUAUUUGGUUUGUCAUUAUGCUUAUGCUUGAUUUGGAUCUUUGUAAUGAUUGCAAUGAUCUUGUGGGAUUUCCUCACAAUUUCAUAAGUUCAUAGGCCUAAGGCAUAAGGAUUAAUGACAUAAGUAGUUGGGUUUGGUUAUAUCCUGUUUCUAUCCCUUGCUGAGUUCUGGAGCAGUCUACAAUAAUUCUGGUGUAUCUCAAGUUCUGAUUGUGCAACGUUUAUCAAAGUUUUCUGGGAACAAAUAGACUUCAAUAUCUUUCUCAGACCGUAAGAAUAACCCUCAUAGCUAUUAUGGUUUGGAAGUUACAACAAUCACAAGAUGAUACAACUGUGCUGUCAAAAACCUGGACAGUUCUGGUUGCAUACUGUUUGAGACAAAUAUAGCUACAGAAUUUGGGAAAGUGUUCUAUAGAAAAGUUGUAGACAAUUUUCUAAGCUUUCCAACAGUAUAAGCUGGAACUUAUUUGUAUAAGUAUAGCCUGAGAUAUAACAUUUACACUUGGAUGUUUCUGUUGUGUUUCAAAAUCUGGACAGAUCUGGCAUUUCCUAUUUUCAGCCAAGUUAAAGACAUAAUCUGGGAAAAAGUUGUAUACCAAAGUUGUAUAGGAUUUUCUAAGCUUUUCAAAUAAGUAAUGAUCAUCUCCAUAUGAGUUAAGUAGCUUGAGACAUAACUUCUGGAAGCUACUGCACCUUUGCUGAUACAUUUUCAGGAUGGAUAUUACGUUUGGCUGUUUUACCUAAGCUUAAAGACAGAACCUAAGGAGGUCUUCUACAUAAAAGUGGUAGAGAAUUUCAUAAGUUCCUUUAACUGUAUAAGCUACAACUCUAUUGGAUUCACAGAAUAAGAGUUAUGUCUAUUUUACUACGCUGAUGUUUUUCAUAUCACGAGAAAAUUUCAGGAAUCCAUUUGUUCUCUUGCACAAAAGUUCUUUGGGAUGUCAGAUGUACUCAAUGUUAGUUAACUUGUCUGGAAAACAUGCAAGCUACCUUUCAUGGUCCCCUAGUUGGCUUUUCUUAAGGGGGGUAGCCCAAUUAAAGAGGUUACAAGAAGAAGAAGUGGUUAAGGACUGGAACAUUUAUAAGUACAUCAUGUGCUUGGUAUUUUGGUUCGUUUCAAUAUAUCAUUCUAUUUGGAGUGUGCUAGUACCAAUGGUGGUUUAUGUCAUUACUGAUACUCAUGGACUAAGGGUUGCGUACGAGGAUCAGAUGACACCAAAGUUUACAAAGCUAUAUGUACAAUGUGAGAGUGAAGCAACUUAACCGUGAUAAAGGUACCGCUAAUUGGAACUUAGUGAUGAAACUAACCUUGGAUCAAGAGACUCGGUACAGCGAAUUUAAAAGACUAUAUGAUGUGUAGCAUCUAAAAAGGGUAGGAGAAGUAGUCCCUAGUAUUCCCCAAUCAAUCUCGUCUUAAGGGGGUAGUACCCUGAUAUCAGUGGGUGAUGCAUUUUAAAACUAGCUUGAAGUGAUAAUUGUCUUCUGAGAUAUUCUAUGGUUAUGAUCAUCUAUCCUUACCGUGUUACUGACGUUGGUCACUUGAUGACAGGGAGUGUAGUGUCCCAUGAAUCCGGAGCACAAUAUGAUACCUCUCAUGGAUAGGUGGGAAGAUUAUGAUCAUCUUGCCUUUGAAGAAAGAUGCUAUGAGUAUGUCAAAGUUGAGUGUUAUCAAAAUAAUAAUAUGGAAGAGCAAGUUGACAAUGAAACAAACCAAAAUCCACAACGACGGAAGCGUAAAAGGAAAGCUUGUAAGAAGCCUGCUCUCGGAAAUAAAGUACAGCGAAAUUAUAUCAAUGGAAGACUGAACAAUGUGGAUAGGCAUAACAUUCAAGGAGCCACCAAAGUGGUGGGAGGCUAUACUCAAGUGGACUCAGUGCUAGUUUUUGCUCCGUUUGACCGAAGUGCUUCACAUUCUUUCAUAUCCGCCAACCUGGUAAAGACAAUCGAACGGGUGAAGUGUCCGACGAGAAAGCCUUUGUUAGUUCAAACCCCAAUGGGAGAAAUACAGGCAGAUCAGGUUUGCUCAAAUAUCAAUCUUGUCAUAGAGAAGGAAAACUUCACUGUAAACCGCAUUGUGCUAGAGUCACUCAAAAUUCCUUUGGUUCUUGGCAAUGGAUGGUUAUGUGCACUCAAGGCAGUGAUCUAUGCUACCCAGUGGAAAAUUUUCUUAACCGCACCAUCAGGGAAAAGAAUUGAGUAUCAAGGUGGUCCACUUUUACCUGAGGAGGCAUAUCCAUGCUAAGCUACCAUGUCCUUGAGUUGUAUAAGUCAAAAAGUUGGUAGUCAAGAUGGAUUUUAAUCAGCUAUGAAUAAUAGACAUUUUAUGGAAGUUUUGUUCACAAGUUGUAAUCCCGAGACAUAAGUGUUUACAUUGGAAUACAAGUUGUGAAGUUGAAAUAGGUAUCAAGAUCUUGUUCUUGUUUUCUCUUUUGGAAUCCGUGUCUCAUCCGAAUCUCGAGGACGAGAUUCAUUUAGGGGGGUAGAUUUGUAACACCCAAAAAAAUUUGCUCUUUUUAAAAUAGGAGAAUUUGAUUUAAUUGUGUAUUUUUGUGCUCAUGAAAAUAUAGGAAAAAUAAUAUUUAAAAAAAAAAUUAUAUAAGGCUUAACAACAUUGUUGGUGCAUUCAUGGUGUUGCAAUUGUUUUAUUAUUGUGUGUUGUUUUGAACUAAAACUAAACCGAUUUAAAAAUUCAAUUUAAAAUUGACUUUAAAAAAAAAAUAGAAUUUCUUCCUCUCUCUUGUGGCCAGGAGGAAAGCCCAGCAAGCCCACGCAGGUGCCCCUUCGUUUCUCACGCCUUGGAGCACGAUUUGGUCAUUGGAAAUCCAACGCGUCCAAUUCCGAUUCUUUCGGAUCGUAUGCUGAGCCGCCCUAUAAGAAUCCGGAGACCCUGUGCAUUCUCGUUUCUUCUUCUCCGCCGCUGCUAGCCUUAGCUUCGCCUUGUGCAGCCAUGUUUGGACGUCCUGGAGUAGAGUACGUCUGCCGCCGCCACUGCUGACGCUGUCCUUUUUAGCACUGUUCGUGACCCAUUGCUGAGUUCCACGUAGAGGUGAAGAAGCUGCACAAUCGUUUUUUUCUUUUCCUUUUCUCUGUUGUUUUCCAUUGUUCAGUCGCCGCAACUUUUGCCGUUGUUUGCUCCUCCGAUCCGCCGGUGCCUUUAGCCUCUGCCGGUCUGCCAAGCAAGGGAAGCCGUCAUCCAUGCCAAGAAGCACCAUGCCGUGGACGAGCUCUCCUAUAGUUUCCAUAAACUUUCCAUCCAAACCCGAGUCAUAUAAGCCGUUCUCAUCAAACGCCGAUGAGCUCUUGGUCACCAGGCAAUGGAGUCUCUCCAUACGUGUGCUCUGCUCAUUGCUAGCUUGAUGAUGUCAUGGUGACCAAAAGAUGACAUCACAAGAUUUUGUGGCCGUUUUUCUUUAUUAAAAAAUAAAUCUAGAAAUACAUAGAAAAUACACUAGUUUGUAUAGGCCAUAUUUUAUCCGUUUUAACUCCGAUUUGACCCAUUCAAAUUGCGUUGGAUUCGUAAUAAUAAGCUCUACAUGACAGUCUCACUUUUUCACUAAUUUGAAACUUUUUAUUUUCGUGACCCUAAUUAAUUAAUUACUUUUCUAUAUAAAAUCUUGAAAAAUUCAUAUCUUCUACGUUUUAGCUCCGAUUUUCGUGAACUUUACGUCUGUGAGAUCGUAGCACUGCGUAGAAUCUUUUUAUAAACUUUUCAUAUUGUUUUUGUAUGAUUGGUGUACUGUUCUAAUUGUAGCUUUGUUUGCUUUGUGUAUGUUUUCUUCAAUUGUUUGUGUGAUCGAUGAUCAAGAUUAGACGAUGAGCAAUCCUUGGUGAACCAGAGUGCUUCAGUGACUAAGAUCAGAGCCUUGGACAAUUAGUAAGACCAGCAAGAUCAGCAAGAGCAUUUGGAUCAAGGCAAGUAUAGUAAUUUGGAUUUUAUUUCUGUGACCAUGAUCCUGUGACUAGAUUAAUGUUAAGUAAUAAAUGAUAAAAAUGACUUUUUAGCAACUUGAUGAUUUGUCUGUACGUGAUCACCCGGGACAACAAUGCAACCAUGAGGACUAUAAUGGCUCUGGCUUUAGUUAAGUAUGAGUAACUUUUCUAGCUCGUUAGCGGUUACCAGUUGUGGCGCAAUUGGGGAAUAGCAGACCGUGGAUUACUACAGCUGAAUCACACGGAUUGACUAAUGAAACCAAGCGGCCCUAACUUGUUAGACAAACCUUUGAAAGACUUCAUAGUGAUCCCUGCCGACCUCCCUUGGAAGGGGGUUAAGAGAUUAGCUACCUCGGGCGAAAGGGUAAAUCAUGACUCAUGGGUAAAGAUGUGCAACCUCUGCAGAGGGUUAAAAACUAGUAUACUAGCCGAGCUCACGGUCAGGAGCGGCCUUGGGGACAUCUACAUUAAGGGUGAUGAUUCUUGUGUGUUAAAUAUGCUCAUUGUUUAUUCUUUAGUGCUUUACAUUAUUUAUGUCACAUUGAUCAUGAGAUUGUGGGAGCUAUACAAUCUAGUUGCUAUACUUGUGGAGUUCGACAUGGACUCACCCUUGCUAUUUCCCUCAAACCUCAGGAGAAGUUUAGGCUUGUGAUCAACCAGUCAGUUGGAUCCUGUAGAGUGAAGUUAAUACACAAAGUUGGAGUUAUCUUCCGUUGUUUGCUGCCUAAGGUUAUCUCUUUUAUACUAAGUACGUUAUAUACUUUUGCAUUGUCUUUUGAUAUUACCCCUUAUUUGUAGCUAUAUGUGAGAUUUGAUUUCUAAAACUCACAUAUGGUGCAUAUCUGGUUUUGUCCUUAAAAUCGGGUAUUACACUUAUUUUCCCUACUAAGGCCCUUAAAAAAGUGAAAUAGAAGAACUUGUUCUGGAAUACAAAGUUUUGGGCCAGUGAGAGUAAGGUCAAUAAAGUGGUCCCAUGAUUCGCCAAGAGAUUCUUCUUCUAGCUGUCUAAAAGAAAUAAUCUCACACCAAAGUUCCGCCACUCUAGAGAUUGGAAAAUAUUUUAAAAUAAAACUAUUAUGUAACUCCUUCCAAUCUCCAUGAACACUCCCUACUUUGAGUUUAUACCAAUGUCUAGCUUUUCAUAUUAAAGAGAAUGGAAAGAACUUCCAUUUAAGGGUCUCAUCGGACAUGCCUUCUAUGUGAAGGAGGUCACAGACUCGAUAAAACUCUCUUAGGUGUGUGUAUGGGUUUUCCUCACCUUCUCCUGAGAAAGGUUGUUUUUGAACAAAUUCUAUGUAUUCGGGGUCUAUCUCAAAACUAGAUGCUAUGAUAGGUUUUGAAGAUUUUGGUGGUUCGAGAUGUGUGCCCGUAGGUCUAUGAAAUUGAUAGAUAGACAUGUUUGCAUUCAUGAUAGACUAGAAAUCAAGGAUUAGAUAAGAAGAAAGAAUAGCAGAGAUGAGGAAAAGGAUAAAAGGAAAAAUAUAUUUUUUUAUUAUUUUUUUAGAAAAUGAUUAAGCUAGUUCGUAGUCAACUCAGCAACCGUCUUCCUGGCAACGGCGCCAAAAAUGCUUGUUGACACUUGCGAACACCACUUGAAUACUAGGUUGUCAUCCCCAGCAUGGCACUAGAGUGUACUAUGGUAUUUAUACGCACACAGAUAAAUCCGCAAGCGCACGGAUACCGUUAUAGCUUUUACCCAGUUAAAGGUUUUAUCGUAUCCACAGGGAAACGGGAGAACCAACUACGCUCUAACUUAACCAAGAUAAAUAGAUAAGUGUAAAUAGGAAAGAUGGUAGAAUUGAAUAAGAACAAUAUUAAAGGUAAGAUAACAAUGGGUGAUAAUAUGGGAAUAGAGAGUAGAGCAAUCUAGUAUAUGGGUGAUGGUAGCAGAAUAGAGAGGAUAACUAUGGUUUCUCUACUUCAAAGGGGUAUGUCUAUGUCUGGGACGAACCAUGCGAUAAGAAUAUACCACAAAGGAUGCUUAUCCAUAGGCCGAUAAACCCUACCCGUCCUGCUAACAGGAGGUGGACUACAGGGGACCAACGUAACUGUCACCUACGUGGCUUACCACACGAUCUAGCUAGACAGGGGAUAUCCACAAGUAAUCUAGGUCUAAGCACCUCGCUUACACCUAUACUACAACUCUAACCUAUAAGGUCCUAUAGAUUAGAAGUACUCAAAAGAGUUGUGAACCAGAACAUACAUGAUUAGUAAUUGCAUAAUGAAUUAGAAGUAGAUUACCAGAGUCAUCCCAUGAGCAAGCUUGAUUAGAGCUUGAUCAUGGGGAAGUACAACUGGAGGAAGAACCGACAGGCCGGCCUCUCCUCCAAUCCUCCCCCGCUCUCCAUCUCGCUACUAUCUAGAUCUACUCUAGUUUAGAGAUGAGAGGAGAGCUCUCAUCUCCAAAUCCUAGCUUUUGCUCUGUCUAAUAAUAAUGAAUAGGGAUCAAGGGGUGCCUUCUCCAAGGGCCAGAGGGUCUGCUUAUAUAGUCCUCUCAAGUGAAUCUGGCCAUCGGAUCAAACCGACAUUGAUUGAACGGUUAUUCUUGAUCCUUUAGGUCGGUGGAGCAUAAUCCCCGAAGAGAGUCCUGAUUGGACUUUGUAGCUGGGUGGGCGCCCAAGGGGGGAGGGCGGGCGCCCUAACCCCGAGCCCGCUCGGCUUCCCGUUCGUUCCCAUGGGUUCUGGAGUCUUCUAGAUGAUAGAAAAUUGCGCGGCAUGUUAAUAUCUCUAUGUAAACCCGACGUGUGGGCCUUUCCUCCAUAUUUCCUGAUAACCCCCUACAGAAAUAGACAAACACCAAAACUCGUGGAAUUUUGUCACAUAAAACCCUAAGUCUGGGUGCUGGUUGCAUUUGGAUCCUGUUCUUUAUUUAUUUGAUAGUUAAAUUUGACACUUAAGGACCGUCAACAGUGACCUCUUGACCUCUUUUGCUUAGGCUUUUAAAAAGUGCUUCACAAAAUGUUUGCAUGUCAAAAUUCUCUAAACCAAAGUUGUAGCAAAUUUUGUAAGGAACUAAAAUUGUUUUAGGGCCAUCUCAUGAAAAAAUGAUCACAACAUGCUCAAAAAGGGCUCACAAGUCGAUUUGGGUGUUGUUUGGACACUUAGAAAAUUUUCUAAGUCUUCUACUCGACAUAGUUUGCUCGAAGGAACUUUGGAGCUUUGCAUCUUUUCAUCUAGGCUGAUUUGGCUCUUGCUCCAAUUGACAAAGUUAUAGAUCUCGUUUAGUUACUCAAGUUUGUCAACUGCACCAUCUCCUAAUUCGCAAUGAUUUCGGAGUCAAUCAUCGUUGAAAUAGCUAUGUGAGUCGGUGUUCGAAGCCCUGAUGGCAUUCUUUAGGCACGCGUGUUGGCCGACCGUAGCAGACUCCGGCUGCCAUCUGGCCACCGUACGCUGUCAUUGGCCCCACCGGUCAUGUCGUUUGUGCCUUCAUGGCUACCACGCCACCCCACACUCGCCCAGCACCUCUCCCAGUCGCUCUGCUCUCUCUCUCUCUCACGCGCUCCCUGACGGUAGCGACGCCAUCGCCAUUGACGCCGAGCGUCUCAUGAGCUCCACGCGCCCUCAUCUUCACGCCGUGCCUCCUCUCCGAGCGUUAGCGAGUCCGCCACGAGCUCCUUCAUCUUCUCCAUCUCUCGGUUGCUCAAGAUCGACCCAAGGUAACCUACAUUUCUCGAGUUCGCCGUUGUCAAAUUCACGGCCGCCGCGACCCCUACUCCGGCAAACCUCGGCGCUCCCCUAUCCUUACCCUCUUCCUUCUUUCCAAGUCGCAUUAGGGCUUACUUAGGUCCGCGUCUUACCCUACGUCACAUCCUAUAGCUAAUGGUGACGCCACCGAGCGGAAACACGACCACCGUGCCACCGCGCUCACCGCCGGCGACCACCCCGCACGUCGGUAGGCUCACCGGAGCCCAUAGAGUUAGGCCUUUCCACCUAGGAAGCUCCGCGCUAACUCGCUAAUGUUGUAGCUGCCUCAUUCUGAUGCUCUACCAACCAGAGACGGUCGGUGUAAGCCGGGAUAGCCCCGCUGUGCUGCCAUGACCGAUGGUGACCUUGCUCUGUUACUCCAGCUCUCGCACCACCUGCUUCUAUCGACGCGGAAGGACUCAGGGAACACCCUGGUGCCCUUGGAUCCACCGGAAAAGCUCACCGUCAGCGAUCGUUUGCCGGCGAGCGUGUCCUCUGGCUUCUGUGUCACUGACACGCGGACCCCGCUGUCAGCGACCCCGUUUCCCUCCUUCCCAUUUAUUCAAAUUUCUAGAUUUUGCUCAAUCUUGCAAAAUUCAUAUCUCCUGUUUCUGAGCUCCAAAAUGUGUGAAACUAAUUUUGUGAUCUUCUCUGAGACGGAUAGUUUUUAUUAAAAUUAUAAAAUGUGCCAUGUUUUCUGUGAAAAAUAAUUAUUAUGAAUUAAUCUUGAUUAGUCAAAGUAAAUUCAUACCUUUCUGUGUAAGGCUCCAAAUGUGAUGAAAAUUUUAUGGAAGGCUUUGUAUGUUAGUAGUAUGCUCUGGUAAUUAUUUUAUAAUUUUUGGAUGUUGUAUGACUGGUAUGUAAUUUAUACUUGCUUGAUUGCUUAAAUCCUUGUAUAAAUCACUAUAAAUAAUGCAUGCUUGUGCUGGUGUUCUACUUUGGCAUGGUUGGUGUUCAUGAUAGUAGAAUCAUAAAGAUAAUCUGAAAUCUGUUGUUUGACACUGUUUAACCUAAGUUUCCAAAUUUAUGGUUAAAAGCACCUUGUCAAAUGAUAAUUAUAUAUCUAAAGUUCAGCAUAUGCAAUUGCCCUGAAACUUUUAUGGUGAUGAGUAGGUGCCAUGCAUAUGCUUCUGUAAUUGUUGUUGAGUUUUCUGAGUACUUAUGCAUAUGUUCCUUAAUUAUCCUCUUUUAUGGAAAUAUAUUAAUAAAUGCUAUAUAAAUAAUGGUUUGGUAAGUAACAUAUGGUUUUCUGUUAAUCUUGUAUCAUAUGUCUUCUGGUGAGUCACUUGGUUGACUCUAAAUAUACUUUUCCAUGUUAGUAAAUAAUUAAUUUAAGGUUAAUUAACCUUUCUGGACAUCAAAGGAGUAAUCUGGUAAUUGCUUGAUGCUAAGCAUGUUUUCUGGGGAACAUGUCUAUACAAAAGUUGUUGUAAACUUUAUGCUCUAUCUGUGGUUAAAUUUUGGUAGCAUUUGGCCAAGUGGCUUAAAAGUUAUAGCUGUUCUAAGUCAGGUUCCAGAAGAGGGUGUUCUCUGUUUGUCUCGAACAGAACCUGGAACUUUUUUUAUUUGACCUGUUUAACUUGUGAAUCAUGCUUACGUGUCUAAAGAUGAAAUGUAGAUAAUUUUAUAAGCUUUUCAUAAUGUCUUAAUUCAUGUUUGUAGGAUCUGUACAUCUCUAGUUAUGGUCUGUUCUCUGUGCUGCCUUACUGAGUAUAAAGUGAUGUUGGUUGGUGUAGCUAGUGUUUAUCUUUGUUAAGUCUUGUGGUGUUCUUAGGUAACCUUGUUGAGGAGUUUACUCUGUAAAUGAGUGUCUAGUGAGGGUCUAUGAUAGUAAUCAUGUGAUGCAUCCAUCAUUCCCUUGUAUGUACACAUCCUUUACUCAGUGCACGUACAUGCAAUAGGUGCAUCGAAAGUCGGAGCUUAGUACGAGAUCGAGAGGGUGAACCCGGAAGACCAGGAGAACACCCAGGACCCGGAGGCCCAGCCAGUAGGACCCAAGGAGCAUGAAGAAGAAGUCAAGUGUCCGAGUCACGAGCCCACAUCGUUCGUGAUAGGCAAGCCCCGGAGCAUUAUAAGUCUCCUAUUUAUUUUACCAAGCAUGAGUAAAUAUGUUAAUAUCUAUUGCUGCAUUACGUAUAGAAGUUGUAUUAAACCCUUGCUGCAUUAUAUCUUUCCUUGUCUAGAUAUCUUAACUUACCCUGGUAUAGAGUCAGGAUCGAGUAGUAGCUAAGGCAUGCUUAAACCGGUAGAAGCUGGGUGAUGUCCUGACACCUACGAGCUAUAGGGUCUGAUAAUACAUCACGAUUGGCUAUAUUUGCUAUCAUGGAAAAGAACCUAGCUAAAAUGACUUAGGCCAGGCGGAGUUUUGCAAGGUGGUAGUAACUCCAUCUAUGGCAGCUAAGGACCGAUCGUUGUAUGUCCUCUUGUCAUGUUGAACGCAUGCCUGACACUUAGUUGGCCGGAUAACUCGUUCCGACCAUGAAGCCUAGUAGUAUGACUCAGGCUGAGGCCGGAAGACCGGCAAGUAUAAAGUGCGCACUACCGGAGGAAGUGUGAUGUGCGGCGGGGCAUUGGCGUAAGACCAAGGGUGUAACACUCCUAGUGUUAGCUUGCAUGUUAACCAUGAGCAUUGCAUUAGCAUAAGCAUCAUCAUGAUCACUCAUGAGCAUCAUACCAUGAUCACAUGCCAUUUGCUUUAUGCACUACAUGAUUAAAUUGCAUGUGUGACUUGAAUUGGGUGACUAUAAGGGGUAGCCAAUGCAAACAAUUGUACAUUGUCUUCCAAAAUACCUCAAUCAUGUUUAGAAUAUCAUUUGGAACAAUGUUCAUGUUGAAGGUUUUGGCCAAAAAUGCCCCUAAGUCAUGGUUAACCCUAGAAUGACCUUUUUGACCCUCCUAGACCUCUUUUCAAAGUUGUUUUAUGAAACUGGUGUUAGAAUCUUGCAUGUCUUUGACACCUGAAACAAAGUUGUAGAGCAUUUCAUAAGCUACAAAAGUUAUGUAGAUGACUUUUUAUGAAAAAGCUUAGAACACAUCCAAAAAUUGCUCACAAGCCAAAAAUCAGGGCUGAUUUCACACUUAGCCGAAUUUGGCUAAGUGUUGGAUCACGCAGUUUCGACCAAGGGUGAUUGGGAUUCUUGUAGUUUGAAAUUCAGACUGAGUUAGACCUUGAUCUUGUAAUCAAAGUUGUAGAACUCGUGUAGCUCUGUCCAGAGGAUCAAAUCCCAGCCAAAACCAUCGAUUGAGCUGAGAGUAAAACGUUGACAAAGUUCGAGUUUCAGUCACUGUUGGCGACGACUGAAUCGCGUGAUUCAGUUUCGUCAGAAACCGUCCGCCACCGCGUGUCCGGCCAGGUGUCGGCCGUACGCCAUCGACGACCCCGCCUGUCAGCUCCCACGGCGUCCCUAAGUUGACACGCACCGAGUGGACGCCUCAGACACGCUCUCCACUCGCUCAGCGCUGCACAUUUCGCUUCGUCGUCGCCUCAGGAAGCUCCGCCGCGCUUCGGCGAGCUCCUCCGGUCGUUCCACCGCGUCUCCGGCCAAGCCACUCCGCCCAGAGCUCCGCCUUGACGUCCUCUACCUCGACGUCCACUCCAUUCCCUUAGCCGAGCACCGGUGAGGUCACAUUGUCAUCUCCGUCGCGAGCUCCACCUCGCCGGAGUUCACAGAGAUCACCGGCAACGUGGCCAGACCUCUCUGGUUCACAUCUGGCCGUGAUUCUUCUUCCUAUAGCUUCGCCUUGAGCCGCUCUUGCUCGUCCGCAACCUCUACUGCGUCGCCAUUGCCUGGAUCCGCCGGCGUAUCGCCGCGCAGUGCCGCCGCUUCGCCAUUCCCGUCGGCGAGCACCCUAGAGUCCAGUAGAGCGCGCGUAAAGUAGGUCAACAGAGUCGCCUUGAGGAGAGGAACACGUAGGUGCCCUUGGAUCCGGCCGAGACCUCGUCGUCGUUGAGCUUCGCCGGCGACGAGCAUCUCCCCUGCCUCUGUCUCACUGACACGCGGGUCCCGGAUGUCAGCCUCUCUGUGUCACCCUCUCUGGUUCACUAUUGUGCAGAGCUAAAGCUGUUUUUGUAAAAUUCAUAUAUGGCGUUUUAGAGAUCCAAAUGUGGUGCUUCCAAUUUUGCUAGGUUCCAGCUUAAUCCUAGUUUUUAAUAAAAUAUGAAACAUGCUAUGUUUUUGCAGAAAUAAAUAGAUAUAAAUUAAUCUUGGAUUUUUAGUGGGUAAUUUUAUCUUGAGAUCUAUUGAUCUGCUGGCCAUGCAAAUUUAGGGAGUUGUUACUUAUGUUAUGAAUAGGCUCUGAUAAUUGUUUCAUGAUUUUUGGAAGCCUAGUUAAGAAGUUAAAAAUAAAUAUUGCUUAAAUAGGAGUUUCUUGUGAUAUUUUUAGUAAUUAAGUUAUAACUCCUUUUGUGAUGAAACUUGCUGAGUGUUGCACUUAUGUGUGGGCAAAGAUAGGAAAAAUCUGAAAUCUGUUGUUUGACACUUUUUGAUAGGGUUUCACAUUUAUGCCUUGCAUGCCUUUACUAGCUUGUUAUUUUUAUACCUCACAAUGUGUAUGUGCAAAUGAUCUGAAAAUUUUACAGUGAUCUUAUGUUAGCAUAAUUAGCUUGCUGUAAUUUUCUUAGGAUUUUUGGAACACUUGAAGUAUAUGUUCAUUAAAUCAUCUUAAUAAUUAAAUAAAUAGAAAAGGUGAUGAUAGAAAUAGUUUUAGACCUUGCCAUGGUGUUUUCUGGUGUUCCUUAGAUAUGUUAUAUCUGUUGGUGCAAUUGGUUUAUCCCUGUGGUACAUUCUCAAUAUAUGCAAAAUAUUAUUUUAGCUAUUAUUGCCUUUCCUAGAGCAUUUCUGUACAGCUGAUAGCAAAUGAUUAAGAACUACUUGAAGAUUGUGUUUUCUGGGAAACUUGUCUACAACAAACUUGUAGCUAACUUACUGAUCCUUUUCGUGUCCAAAUUUCAUGACAAUUGGUUGAGUAAUUUAAAAGUUAUGCAUAUUUCAAGUAGCUGCUGCAAAGUGCUUGCUCUCUGGAAUUUCCAGAGCAGCCAGCCAACUUUGUAUGUUUUAGCAUAUUUCGGUUGGGAAUCAUACUGAGAUGUCUAAAAGUAAAUUGUAGACAAUUUGUUAAGGUUUCCAGAAAGUGCUUACUUGCUUAAUUUUGUUAAGUGAUACUCGAGUUAUAGCUGAAACUUGUGACUGGUUGGUUUGCCUACUAAACCAGUGACUGGGUAAGAGUAGCUAGGACUUGUUUAACUUGUCUAUUUAGUCUCUCUACCACAAAAGAAGUAUGCAUUUACUUGUUAUUCCAUGACUCACUUAUUCUUAGAAGUUUAUGCUCAUGUUAUACCUUGUUUAUGUCCCUUUGGCUCUUCAUCAUGACAUCAUGCAUCAUAUGUGCAUUCUCUAUAUUCAUCUCCUUGUCAUGCAUACAUAGGUGUACCCAAGGGAGUAACGGUGCUGGAGUUCGAGCUGCUGGAGCCGGAAGGACAGCAAGGGGAACUACCUCAAGGAGUUGAGGAGGAGGAGGACUUGCCGGAGUGCCCCGACCAUCGUCCCUCUACUUACGUCGAAGGCAAGCCCCGGAGCAUUAUAAGCCUCCUACUAUUUUAUUAUCACAAUCAGCUAUCAAAUGACUAUGGUUAUAUAUUAUUGCAUUAAGUGGUAGGCGUUGAUAUGACACCCUUGCUGCAUAAUGACUACCUUGUCCACCUUAAACAUUACCGAAGUAGGUCCAGGAUCGAAGUGAUGCUUAGCCAUGCUUAGCUCGGUAGAAGCCGGGUGAUUUCCUGUCACCUGCAAGAGUUAGGUGGAUGAUGAUCACGGUUGGCUAUAAUUGCUAUCGUGGAGAUAACCAGGUGUUAAAAAUGAACUUGAGACUGGGCGGGAUGACGAUAGUGCAGCAACAAGGCAUGGAGGUCUUGGGUGUGAAUCUAUCCCCGUCUGGGUCGUUUAAGGACCGAAUCGCUGUACGUCCCCGUGUCAUGUUGAACGCAUGCCUAUCACUUAGUUGGCCGGAUAAGUCAUUCCGACCGCGAAGCCUACGAGUGCAACUCAGGCCGGAUACCCCGUUCUGUAUGAGUGCGCAUCCCGGUUGGUAGCAAGGAUGUGCGGGGAGUCAAUGGCGUAAGACCGAGGUGUCAGGUUAGAGUCCUGACCCUGGCAGAUUGGCGGUCCCUAGGGGUGCGGCGCUGGACGGACCCGCGAAUUGGUCCGGAGUUGUGCUAAAGGUGAUCCGAGCUGCCGUCAUGAAGUAUGCUUGGGUGUGUGUUAGGAAUACCCCUCCAGCUGGAUAGGAAUCGAUUCGAAUCGCCGUCUCUCUCGGAUAGUGAGAACUUGACUUGGGCAGCGGCAACGUAGAACUCACUAAGCAAACAUAGUGGUUAUGAUGAGAAUGUUGAUAGCAAAGUGAUAAUCCUGAUAUGGUUAUUAUUGAAUUGAUUAAUUACUCAAGUGUAUGCUUAGCACAGGUGCUAAUCUAGUGGAUAGCUGCUAAGUAAUGAACUUGCUGCUGAAAUAUGAAUAAAUGAAUUACUUAUAACAAAGGCUUUUAUGCAAAAAGUGAGUCAAACCAGUCCACUAAGAUCAGCCUUGCAUACUCCUUGGUGUCACUUUAUUUCUGGUUUAUGACGGGUAAGUCUAGCUGAGUACAUUCUCGUACUCAGGGUUUUUAUUUACCCCUGUUGCAGAUGAUGUCGUCUAUCACGGCUAUUGUGCUAACUGUCAUCACCCAGCUGCGGAUGAUGAAUAGAUCAUGGCCGUGAUCACUCUUCUACCUUCAGUUAUGCUUUUGUGGGGAUUGACCAUGGAACUGGCAUGUAUUAAGAACUGAGUUGGAGUUGUUUCAAAACUACUUUGUCUUCCGCUACUGCUAUGGUUUGUAAUAACCUUUUCAAACUCUGAUGUGAUGUAAAACUGUGUUCUGUGUUGAAUGUUGUAAUCUGUGAUGGUGAUGCUUGAUCAUGUACGAUCUUGGUUGUAUGUUGGUUGGAUCGAGGUCUGUUGAGAUUUCGUCGGACUACCGGGUUUAUAUGGGUUCAAGUCCAUUGGCUUGACUGCCUCAGUGGUCGCUAAUUCACUUGAAUUCUUAUAAAUUGGACGGUUCUGUUACAGCUAGUAUCAGAGCAAGGAUUAAGUAUAACCAUCAUAGAUGUAUUUGAAAACAAAUGAAUUUGGUUUUCUCAAACUAAUUUGGCAAAUUAGGUUAUAAAUAGGGUUGUUUUAAAAAGGUUUUGAUAACUUAUACCAUGCCAGUGGUCAUGCCCUUUAUGCCCACAUAAGGACUUCUAGGUGGCUUAUUAUUACUAACAUGGGGGUUUUCCUUUCGUCCUCCAUAUGGCGUGCAAUUAUAUGGAUACCGCUUACGUAAGUGGUAAUGAAUGGAUCACAUACCGCUACGCCAUGGUAAGCAUUGUUUGUUUUCUUUCGUCGUCCAUACGGUGUGAAAUUGUAUGGAUGCCACUUGCUUGAGUGGUAAUGUAUGGAUCUGUAUGCCUCUACGCUACGGUAAGUGUGAGCUGUGAGGGCAUGACCGUCCAACCGUCGGUCUAGGGGAGUGUUAGCUGUGGUUACUAGAAUAUUUACAUGUUUCACACAUGUAUAUAUGAAGGUACUUAAUUGUGGGUAGUAAGUGCAGCCAUGUGUACAUAUUUGAUGUAUAUGUGGGUGUACCCCAAAUGGGUAGUGUGCUACGGUAUAUGUUCGGGAAUAUAUACCGGAGUACCUAGCUUGAUUGAUUGUUGUUUGGAUCUACAUUUUUGCACUUAUACUACUGUGGGGCUGGGCUGAAAUGAAAUCUUCUACAGGUACACUAACAACGAAACGUGUAGACCGAGUAGUUGCGUAUAAAGAGUGCACAUAUGUAUGCCACCGACUAUACCGUUAGAAGUUUCUUCUAAGUUUGGAAAGGACGUAUGGAACGUGCAUGCAUCAUGAAUCAUUCAUACAUUCUUCAUGCAAUACUUGGGUAUUAAAUUCUGAAAAUACGAUUCUUUAUCUCUCCUUGUAAUUAAUCUCCCUUACUCAAAUGUGGUCUUUCUACAGAUGGCAGCCCCACACGCGAGUGAGACUUUCCUGGACAUGUUUGGCACUCCUACUUUGUUGUAGAGGGUGCUAAGUUCAGUUGGAUAUGAGGAACCACCUAAGUACACUUGGACCGAGGCUGAGCAUGCAGGGGCCUUACCUUGGGUAGAUGUCCAAAUUACAGUUCCCCCUUGUCCAAAUAACCCACAGUGGCUAGGUUGGUUAGUUGACUGUGAUGGCCAAACUCCUUGGGAGGGUGCCCAAGUAGCAGCCCUGGAGGUUUUGCUAGAGAUUUGCCAAGAGCAUGGUGAUGAGCUUGUGAAUGGCCCAGCGGGAUCCGUUCCCAGAGUGAGUGUGACUGACACAUUUGUGUCCCAGGUUGGGAAUGAGUCUUUAGAGAUGAGAGAAACCUUGCUAGGAUAUAGUUCUAGCCCUGCCAUGAGUGCCAUGCUAGCGGUACUUAAGCUGUACUAUGUACGCCAGGACACCAACAUAGAUGCCAUGCUAGCGCUUCAACAAGCACAAGUUGCGCAGCGCAAACUGCGCAAGCGUGUGCGCAAGCACCGCAAGGCUUUUAUGGACGCACAAGCUGAAAUCCAAAACUAUCACACCGCCUUGCAAGCCCGCCGCAACCAAGUUGAGAAUGCAGUUAGAGAGCGCAAUGAGGCACAAGCCCGCAUGAUGCAAAUGACUAGAGAGAGAGAUGAGGCUAUGCGCUUGGCUGAAAAUAGAGAAGCUGCUAGAGUUAGAGCCUUGUUCCAUGCUGAAAUGAGAGAGGAAGAACUGAUUACUAGGAUUGCUGAGCUGCAGUUGGAUGUCCAUCGUUUAAAUAACAUUAUAAAUCCUAUCCCACAACCAGCCCCUUUUAAUAAUGAAGAAGCUCCUAGUGAGGAAGAUCAGCACGAUGGCAUCAUUUAUAAUGGAGAGUCUGAUGAAGAUAUGUAGCCUAGCAAUAAUUCUAUGAUCAUGUGUCAAUUUCCAUCUCUUUAUGUAAUGGACAUGUAAUCUGAAUUUUAGUUGAAGACUCUAUGUAUUUGGCCAUGGUGCCCCUCCUGUAAAACUUAAGUGUGGCAAUGACUCUAUGUAACCUUAUGCACAAUGUCGUUAAUCCUUGAGAAAUUGUGGUUGUGAAUGAACGCGAGAAUAACCAAGUAUCAUGGAAGAUAUUCUCUUAUUGUACAUGGAUUAUUGUGCCUUAAUUUCUGUGAAUUUACUUCAUUAAAUUCCGUAUGGCAGCAAUUGAAGUUCAUGACAAUUAUAUCCAUUGCCUGAAACAAUCGCUUGGUAUGCCUUGUGCAGAUGGCUCGCAAUACUCGCUCCGGUCACAACGAGGUGCCGCCACCACCACCUCCUCCCCCGCCUACGCCUACUGAGCUAUUGGCAGCUCUUGUUGAGGACCAGCGUAUGCUCAAUGAGGCCAUGCAAACUAUGGCGCAACAGAACCGGGGUGGUCGCCAUGCUCGCCAAGGCGGAGAGGCAAAUCAGUAUAGCAGUUUCAAGGAUUUCUAGGACACCAAGCCGCCGCUGUUCAAGGAGGCUAUUGAACCUCUAGAAGCUGAUGAGUGGCUUAACACUCUUGAACAGAAAUUCCGUUUGCUAAGGUUAACCGAAGAGCUAAAGGCGGAAUAUGCAGCCCACCAGUUGGAGGGCAAAGCAGGUGUUUGGUGGAGUCAUUACAGGACUAGCUUGCCCGCCAAUGCUGUUGUAACCUGGGACCAGUUCCAAACUGCUUUCAGGAACACUUAUAUCCCACAAGGCUUAAUGACUAUCAAGCACACUGAGUUCAUGAAUCUGACGCAAGGCACUAAAAGCUUGACUGAGUAUCUUCAUGCUUUUAACAAUUUGUCUCGCUAUGCUCCUGAGAUGGUUGACACCGAAGUCAAGAAGCUCGCUAGUUUCAAGAGAGGGUUGGGACCCAAGUUGUCCAAGAACAUGGCUGGUAACAAGAGUACCACCUUUAAUGAGUUUGUGAGUGACGCAUUGACUCAAGAGAACUCCAAUGCUGUGUAUGCCGCGUCCAAAAACCGCAAGAGGGCCUAUGAGGCAGGUGCUUCACAAUCCAAGGCUCCAGUGACAAGUAAACCGGCCUAUCGCCCACCCAAUGCUAUGACAAGGUACAGGCCGCCGCAGAAAAAGUCAAAUGUGAAGACGGGAGUGCGCAAGUCCUUCACCGUUGCUCUCCCAAGAGGUGCCACAGGUCAAGGAAGUCCCAAGACUCCUCCUGAUAACCGUCCCUGUUUCAAUUGCAAGCAAGUUGGUCACUGGGCGAGGGAUUUCCCUUAUCCUAAGAGGAAUGCUGCAGCUGGAGGCAAUAACCGUAUGGGCCGAGUAUACUAUACCACCAUAGAAGAAAUUCCUGAAGGUGAAGUAGUCACGGCUGGUAUGUUCCUUGUAAAUCAACACCCUGCAGUUGUCUUGUUUGAUUCUGGAGCUUCACAUUCAUUUAUGAGUCAAGCAUUCGCAUCUAAGCAUGGGCAACAUGUCAUCAACCUUGAUAGUGGCAAGUUUUGGAUUAGUGCUGCUGGUAAUCAAAUUGCUACAAACCAAGUAGUGAGGGAUGUACAAAUUACCAUAGAAGGGCGUAAUUAUUCAGCAAAUCUUGUGAUUUUACCGGGCUUGGGAAUAGAUGUUAUCCUAGGAAUGAAAUGGAUGAGUGAUCAUGGAGUGUUAAUAGACACUUCAACUAGGGUCAUCAUGUUGAGGGAGCCUGAUAGUAAGAAAGCUUUCUUAGUUCAACUCCCUAGAAGCAAUGACAUCCGUCACGCGGCCAAUGCUAUUCGACCACUCACUAUAGCAGAAAUUCCGGUAGUGUGUGAGUUUCCGGAUGUUUUUCCAGAGGACCUGCCCGGGUUGCCGCCGGACAGAGACAUUGAAUUUAAAAUUGAUCUAAUUCCGGGUACCGCACCUAUCUCUAGAAGGCCAUAUCGAAUGCCACCCAACGAGUUGGCAGAGUUGAAAAAGCAAUUGCAAGAACUGCUUGAGAAAGGUCUUAUUCGGCCUAGUUCUUCUCCAUGGGGUUGUCCGGCUCUCUUUGUCAAGAAGAAGGACAAGUCUCUGCGUAUGUGUGUAGACUAUCGUCCGCUCAACGGUGUGACUAUUAAAAACAAGUACCCAUUGCCUCGCAUUGAUAUCCUGUUUGAUCAAUUAGCCAAGGCUAAAGUAUUCUCCAAGAUUGAUCUGAGAUCUGGGUAUCAUCAAAUCAAGAUCUGACCUGAAGACAUUCCUAAAACAGCUUUCUCUACCAGGUAUGGGUUGUAUGAGUAUUUAGUCAUGUCCUUUGGUCUGACUAAUGCCCCUGCUCAUUUCAUGUACCUGAUGAAUUCGGUGUUCAUGCCCGAACUGGAUAAGUUUGUGGUGGUGUUCAUCGAUGAUAUAUUGGUAUACUCUGAAAAUGCACAAGAACAUGAGGAGCACCAUCGGAUUGUACUCACUAGAUUGCGAGAACACCAGCUUUAUGCCAAGUUCAGCAAAUGUGAGUUUUGGCUGACGAAGGUGCCUUUCCUAGGCCAUAUUUUAUCCGAAGAGGGUAUUUCUGUUGACCCGUCAAAGGUGUAGGAGGUUCUAGACUGGAAGGCCCCGACUUCAGUGCACGAAGUCUGGAGUUUUCUCGGUCUAGCGGGUGAUUAUCGGCGCUUCAUUCCAGACUUUUCCAAGAUAGCUAAACCUAUGACCAAGCUACUACAAAAAGAUGUGAAGUUUGUGUGGUCCGAAGAGUGUGAAAUUGCUUUCACCACUUUACGCCAUUUGCUGACCCCCGCUCCCGUUCUGGUACAGCCUGACAUUGAAAAGCCAUUUGAUGUCUUUUGUGAUGCAUCUGGCACUGGCCUAGGUUGUGUGCUUAUGCAAGAAGGCCGAGUUAUUGCCUAUGCUUCUCGGCAACUGUGGAAACACGAAGCCAACUACCCUACUCAUGAUCUAGAGUUAGCAGCAGUUGUACAUGCAUUGAAACUCUGGAGACACUAUCUGUUGGGUAAUCUUUGUCACAUUUACACUGACCAUAAGAGCCUCAAAUAUAUAUUCCCUCAGCCCGAAUUGAACAUGAGACAGAGGAGAUGGUUGGAGUUGAUAAAAGACUACAAUCUAGAAGUACACUAUCAUCCCGGCAAGGCCAAUGUUGUAGCUGAUGCUCUCAGUCGGAAACAACAUGUUAGACCUCUCUUAGAGGAAGGCUUCAAUUUAUUGCAUCCUGCGGUCCUGCACAACAUUAUAGUCAGUUGCUCAUUAGAGAGUCAAAUCAUAGAGCUCCAAAAGUCUGAUCCUGGUAUUUUUCAUAUCAAGAGAAAGAUGCAAGAGCAAGACACCAAGCAUUUCAGGGUAGAUGAGAAAGGUGUACUGUGGUUUGACGAUCGACUAGUUGUACCUAAAGACCGUGACCUACGAAACAAAAUCCUAGACGAAGCUCACUCUUCCAAAUUGUCCAUUCAUCCGGGGAGUAGCAAAAUGUACCAAGACUUGAGACCUCGUUUCUGGUGGACCAAAAUGAAGAAGGAGAUAGCAGCUUAUGUUGCUAGGUGUGAUACUUGCUGCAGGGUAAAGGCAGUUCACCUCAAACCUGCAAGUUUAUUGCAACCUUUGUCGAUUCCAGGUUGGAAGUGGGAAGAAAUCAGCAUGAAUUUCAUUGUGGGACUCCCCCUUACUCAAAAAGGACACAACUCUAUAUGGGUGAUUGUUGACCGUUUGACCAAGUCAGCUCAUUUUAUUCCUGUACACUCUACAUACCGGCCAUCCGACUAUGCUGAGUUGUACUUCUCUCAGAUAAUUAAACUGCACGGAGUGCCUCGCACUAUUAUCUCUGAUAGAGGUCAUCAGUUCACCGCUCGCUUUUGGGAGCAUCUGCAUUCACUCCUUGGCACAAAAUUGGUUCGCAGUUCAGCCUAUCAUCCUCAAACCUCCGGUCAAACUGAGCGUGUGAAUCAAAUUUUAGAGGAUAUGUUGAGGGCUUGUGUUAUAUCUUCCAAGGGUGCAUGGGAGAAAUGGCUACCGUUAGCUGAAUUCUCUUACAAUAAUAGUUAUCAAGAAAGCAUCCAAAUGGCCCCUUUCGAAGCUUUGUAUGGCCGCAAAUGUAGAACUCCUCUAAACUGGGUCGAACCAGGUGAAAGGAGGUACUACGGGAUUGACUUUGUCAAGGAAGCCGAGAAACAAGUUCUCACUAUUCAGCAACAUAUGAGAGCCGCCCAGGCUAGGCAGAAAAGCUAUGCUGACCGAAGAAGAAAGCCAAUUGAAUUCGAAAUAGGUGACUUUGUGUACAUAAAAGUAUCGCCCAUGAAAGGAGUAAAUCGCUUCGGCGUUAAAAGAAAGCUUGCCCCUAGGUAUGUGGGUCCCUACCGAAUCAUUGAGAAGAGCGGCAAGGUAGCUUACAAAGUACAACUACCUCCCGAAAUGAGAGCUAUUUUCCCUGUAUUCCACGUGUCUCAACUCAAGAAGUGUCUUCGUGUGCCCGAAGAGAGAGUUGAAACAAGAGAUAUCAAGUUGCAGUCAGACCUAUCUUAUGAGGAAUAGCCUGUACAAGUUCUUGAUGUUAAAGAACGGGUUACUCGUGGGAAGGUAAUCAAACUUUUUAGAGUAUUGUGGAACCGUCAAAAUGAGAGAGAUGCCACUUGGGAAAGGGAAGACUAUUUACAAGUAACUUAUCCCACAUUCUACGAAAAAUGGUACGUCUUUCAAAUCUCGGGACGAGAUUUUUGUAAGGGGGGAGGGCUGUAACACUCCUAGUGUUAGCUUGCAUGUUAACCAUAAGCAUUGCAUUAGCAUAAGCAUCAUCAUGAUCACUCAUGAGCAUCAUACCAUGAUCACAUGCCACUUGCUUUAUGCACUACAUGAUUAAAUUGCUUGUGUGACUUGAAUUGGGUGACUAUAAGGGGUAGCCAAUGCAAAAAAUUGUACAUUGUCUUCCAAAAUACCUCAAUCAUGUUUAGAAUAUCAUUUGGAACAAUGUUCAUGUUGAAGGUUUUGGCCAAAAAUGCCCCUAAGUCAUGGUUAACCCUAGAAUGACCUUUUUGACCCUCCUAGACCUCUUUUCAAAGAUGUUUUAUGAAACUGGUGUUAGAUAUCUUGCAUGUCUUUGACACCUGAAACAAAGUUGUAGAGAAUUUCAUAAGCUACAAAAGUUAUGUAGAUGACUUUUUAUGAAAAAGCAUAGAACACAUCCAAAAAUUGCUUAAAAGCCAAAAAUUAGGGCUGAUUUCACACUUAGCCGAAUUUGGCUAAGUGUUGGUUCACGCAGUUUCGACCAAGGGUGAUUGGGAGCCUUGUAGUUUGAAAUCCAGACCGAGUUAGACCUUGAUCUUGUAACAAAAGUUGUAGAACUCGUGUAGCUCUGUCCAGAGGAUCAAAUCCCAGCCAAAACCAUCGAUUGAGCUGAGAGUAAAACGUUGACAAAGUUCGAGUUUCAGUCACUGUUGGCGACGACUGAAUCGCGUGAUUCAGUUUCGUCAGAAACCGUCCGCCGCCGCGUGUCUGGCCAGGUGUCGGCCGUACGCCGUCGACGACCCCGCCUGUCAGCUUCCACGGCAUCCCUAAGUCACCACGCACCGAGUGGACGCCUCAGACGCGCUCUCCACUCGCUCAGCGCUGCACAUUUCGCUCCGCCAUCGCCUCAGGAAGCUCCGCCGCGCUUCGGCGAGCUCCUCCGGUCGUUCCACCGCGUCUCCGGCCAAGCCACUCCGCCCAGAGCUCCGCCUUGACGUCCUCUACCUCGACGUCCACUCCAUUCCCUUAGCCGAGCACCGGUGAGGUCACAUUGUCAUCUCCGUCGCGAGCUCCACCUCGCCGGAGUUCACAGAGAUCACCGGCAACGUGGCCAGACCUCUCUGGUUCACCUCUGGCCGUGAUUCUUCUUCCUAUAGCUUCGCCUUGAGCCGCUCUUGCUCGUCCGCAACCUCUACUGCGUCGCCAUUGCCUGGAUCCGCCGGCGUAUCGCCGCGCAGCGCCGCCGCUCUGCCAUUCCCGUCGGCGAGCACCCUAGAGUCCAGUAGAGCGCGCGUAAAGUAGGUCAACAGAGUCGCCUUGAGGAGAGGAACACGUAGGUGCCCUUGGAUCCGGCCGAUCUCCCCUGCCUCUGUCUCACUGACACGCGGGUCCCGGAUGUCAGCCUCUCUGUGUCAGCCUCUCUGGUUCACUAUUGUGCAGAGCCAAAGCUGUUUUUGUAAAAUUCAUAUCUAGAGUUUUAGAGAUCCAAAUGUGGUGCUUCCAAUUUUGCUAGGUUCCAGCUUAAGCCUAGUUUUUAAUAAAAAUAUGAAACUUGCUAUGUUUUUGCAGAAAUAAAUAGAUAUAAAUUAAUCUUGGAUUUUCAGUGGGUAAUUUUAUCUUGAGAUCUAUUGAUCUGCUGGCCAUGCAAAUUUAGGGAGUUGUUACUUAUGUUAUGAAUAGGCUCUGAUAAUUGUUUCAUGAUUUUUGGAAGCCUAGUUAAGAAGUUAAAAAUAAAUCUUGCUUAAAUAGGAGUUUCUUGUGAUAUUUUUAGUAAUUAAGUUAUAACUCCUUUUGUGAUGAAACUUGCUGAGUGUUGCACUUAUCUGUGGGCAAAGCUAGGAAAAAUCUGAAAUCUGUUGUUUGACACUUUUUGAUAGGGUUUCACAUUUAUGCCUUGCAUGCCUUUACUAGCUUGUUAUUUUUAUACCUCACAAUGUGUAUGUGCAAAUGUUCUGAAAAUUUUACAGUGAUCUUAUGUUAGCAUAAGUAGCUUGCUGUAAUUGUCUUAGGAUUUUUGGAACACAUGAAGUAUAUGUUCAUUAAAUCACCUUAAUAAUUAAAUAAAUAGAAAAGGUGAUGAUAGAAAUAGUUUUAGACCUUUCCAUGGUGUUUUCUGGUGUUCCUUAGAUAUGUUAUAUCUGUUGGUGCAAUUGGUUUAUCCCUGUGGUACAUUCUCAAUAUAUGCAAAAUAUUAUUUUAGCUAUUAUUGCCUUUCCUAGAGCAUUUCUGUACAGCUGAUAGCAAAUGAUUAAGAACUACUUGAAGAUUGUGUUUUCUGGGAAACUUGUCUACAACAAACUUGUAGCUAACUUACUGAUCCUUUUCGUGUCCAAAUUUCAUGACAAUUGGUUGAGUAAUUUAAAAGUUAUGCAUAUUUCAAGUAGCUGCUGCAAAGUGCUUGCUCUCUGGAAUUUCCAGAGCAGCCAGCCAACUUUGUAUGUUUUAGCAUAUUUCGGUUGGAAAUCAUACUGAGAUGUCUAAAAGUAAAUUGUAGACAAUUUGUUAAGGUUUCCAGAAAGUGCUUACUUGCUUAAUUUGGUUAAGUGAUACUCGAGAUAUAGCUGAAACUUGUGACUGGUUGGUUUGCCUACUAAACCAGUGACUGGGUAAGACUAGCUAGGACUUGUUUAACUUGUCUAUUUAGUCUCUCUACCAGAAAAGAAGUAUGCAUUUACUUGUUAUUCCAUGACUCACUUAUUCUUAGAAGUUUAUGCUCAUGUUAUACCUUGUUUAUGUCCCUUUGGCUCUUCAUCAUGACAUCAUGCAUCAUAUGUGCAUUCUCUAUAUUCAUCUCCUUGUCAUGCAUACAUAGGUGUACCCAAGGGAGUAACGGUGCUGGAGUUCGAGCUGCUGGAGCCGGAAGGACAGCAAGGGGAACUACCUCAAGGAGUUGAGGAGGAGGAGGAGGACUUGCCGGAGUGCCCCGACCAUCGUCCCUCUACUUACGUCGAAGGCAAGCCCCGGAGCAUUAUAAGCCUCCUACUAUUUUAUUAUCACAAUCAGCUAUCAAAUGACUAUGCUUAUAUAUUGUUGCAUUAAGUGCCAGGCGUUGAUAUGACACCCUUGCUGCAUAAUGACUACCUUGUCCACCUUAAACAUUACCGAAGUAGGUCCAGGAUCGAAGUGAUGCUUAGCCAUGCUUAGCUCGGUAGAAGCCGGGUGAUUUCCUGUCACCUGCGAGAGUUAGGUGGAUGAUGAUCACGGUUGGCUAUAAUUGCUAUCGUGUAGAUAACCAGUUGUUAAAAAUGAACUUGAGACCAGGCGGGAUGACGAUAGUGCAGCAACAAGGCAUGGAGGUCUUGGGUGUGAAUCUAUCCCCGUCUGCGUCGUUUAAGGACCGAAUCGCUGUACGUCCCCGUGUCAUGUUGAACGCAUGCCUAUCACUUAGUUGGCCGGAUAAGUCGUUCUGACCGCGAAGCCUACGAGUGCAAUUCAGGCCGGAUACCCCAUUCUGUAUGAGUGCGCACCCCGGUUGGUAGCAAGGAUGUGCGGAGAGUCAAUGGCGUAAGACCGAGGUGUCAGGUUAGAGUCCUAACCCUGGCAGAUUGGCGGUCCCUGGGGGUGCGGCGCUGGACGGACCCGCGAAUUGGUCCGGAGUUGUGCUAAAGGUGAUCCGAGCUGCCGUCAUGAAGUAUGCUUGGGUGAGUGUUAGGAAUACCCCUCCAGCUGGAUAGGAAUCGAUUCGAAUCGCCGUCUCUCCUGGAUAGUGAGAACUUGACUUGGGCAGCGGCAACGUAGAACUCACUAAGCAAACAUAAUGGUUAUGAUGAGAAUGUUGAUAGCAAAGUGAUAAUCCUAAUAUGGUUAUUAUUGAAUUGAUUAAUUACUCAAGUGUAUGCUUAGCACAGGUGCUAAUCUAGUGGAUAGCUGCUAAGUAAUGAACUUGCUGCUGAAAUAUGAAUAAAUGAAUUACUUAUAACAAAGGCUUUUAUGCAAAAAGUGAGUCAAACCAGUCCACUAAGAUCAGCCUUGCAUACUCCUUGGUGUCACUUUAUUUCUGGUUUAUGACGGGUAAGUCUAGCUGAGUACAUUCUCGUACUCAGGGUUUUAUUUACCCCUGUUGCAGAUGAUGUCGUCUAUCACGGCUAUUGUGCUAACUGUCAUCACCCAGCUGCGGAUGAUGAAUAGAUCUUGGGCGUGAUCACUCUUCUACCUUCAGUUAUGCUUUUGUGGGGAUUGACCAUGGAACUGGCAUGUAUUAAGAACUGAGUUGGAGUUGUUUCAAAACUACUUUGUCUUCCGCUACUGCUAUGGUUUGUAAUAACCUUUUCAAACUCUGAUGUGAUGUAAAACUGUGUUGUGUGUUGAAUGUUGUAAUCUGUGAUGGUGAUGCUUGAUCAUGUACGAUCUUGGUUGUACGUUGGUUGAAUCGAGGUCUGUUGAGAUUUCGUCGGACUACCGGGUUUAUAUGGGUUCAAGUCCAUUGGCUUGACUGCCUCAGUGGUCGCUAAUUCACUUGAAUUCUUAUAAAUUGGACGAUUUUGUUACAAAAGGUAGGUCAUUUAAAAGUCCUAAUUGUCAUGGCAGAGUGGCAGCCCUGGGAGUGCGGCGUUGAUCGGAGCCGCAAUUCCUGAGUCAUACCAAAGGUGACCUGCUUGCUCUCCAACGGGAGAUGCAUGGGUGAGUGCUAGGAAUAACCCUCCAGCUGGAUAGGAAUCGAUUCGAAUCGCCGUCUCUCUCGGAUAGUGAGAACUUGACAGAGCAGCGGCAAACGUAGCAUUCACUAUGUACUCAAUGGUUCUAAGACGAUGAUAAUGAUGGCAAUAAUGAACAAUUUGAUAAAACCUGAUAUGGUUUUUAUUGUGUGAUGUUAAUCAAGUGAGUGCUUUAGUAUAGGUGCUAAUCUAGUGCCAGGUUAAUGAUAAUUAACUUGAGGCUAAUAAGAAUGGUUUAUUUAUCCAACUUAAGCUUUUUAUGCAAAAACAUGUCAAGCCAGCUCCACUAUUUAAAGUAAGCCUUGCAUGACUCUUGGUGUCCUUGUAUUGGUUAGAUGAGUAAGUCUAGCUGAGUACAACCUUGUACUCAGGGUUUAUUCCCACUUAUUGCAAAUGACAUCUUCUAUGACAGUUUCUACAAGACCUAUCUUCACCCUGCUAGGGAUGAUGACUAACCGUUGGGCGUGGUUCUCUAAGACUUCGUACCUAACUUGCUUUUGGUGGAUGUGAUGAGACACUGGCUGCAACAAUAAACUUGUGAUGUUGGAUUGAAAACUAUGUUGCUUCCGCUACUAGGAACUUGUUUUGUAAUAACUUAAGUGAACUCUGAUGUGCGUCGCUUCCUCGACCUUGUAUGAAAUGCUAUAACAAUCGAUGUAUUAUGCUGAACUCAUUACAAUCUUGGUUUGUUGCCAAGUUGGUUAGAAAUCCUUCAAGAUUUCGGUUGACUAUCAGGAUUAUAUGGGCUCAAGUUUGGAAACUUGAUUGCUCUGGUGAUCAUUUCUACACUUGAGCUCUUAUAAUUUGGUCAGUUCUAUGACACCCUAUGGGUUCAUGUACAUGUAGACAUGGGCCAAGUACUCCUACUCGCCCAACAGUUGACAGCGGCCUCUAGCAAGGUGUGACAACUCCUAUACGCAUGCAAGGAUCAUAUCAAACAAACCACUACAUACAUAUACAUUUUAUUCCCUUGCCACAUGAUAUUUGGUCCAACUCGUGGGUUAACACUUAACCCAAGCAUGGCCAUGCAUUUAUUGAUCCAAUCACUUGAGUGAUCUAGUGAUAUCUCUCUCACAUAGAGAGGGGCAAGUUUCAUCUUGAUCAUCUAUGUCUCACAGCAUGUUCCCCGACAAACCCGAAGACAACCUUUGUAACUACCCUAUUACAGAGCAGCGUUUAAUAGUCCCUAAGUAGGUCGUUUCACAUUUGAUAACAUACGACAAUCUCAGGUCUAAUGACAUAAUGUACAUGAUGUAUAAAGAGAUAAUAAGAACAUCUCAUGUUGGGUCAGUCCAGCCCCAUGUCAUACAUGUGCCCACAUUAUUAGUUUGACAUCUCUAUGUCUAUGACUUGUGAAACAUAGUCAUCAACUAAUACAUGUGCUAAUCUAAUAUUCAUGUAUGUCCUCACACGAACUCUGAUUAGGGACAACUUUAGAAUAAUCAUAUAAGUAAAAGAGUUUCACAAAUAAUUAACAUAAUUAUCAAUCAAUACAAGUUUUUCUAUAAUAGAUAUUCAUCGAACUCAUAAUAGAUUUCAUGGAUACAACCGUAAUAUCAUAAUCUCUAUGAUUACCUCUAGGGCUUAUUCCCAACAGUGUGUUAAUCCCAAAUUUUGGUGAGACAAGGAACUGCCUGUGGGCCCGCUUCAUGGGAAGGAGGAACGGCCAGAUAGUGGAUUGACUAAAUAGAAGUGUGGAGGAAAGUAGUCGAUCAAGGGAUGUCAAACCAAGGCAAGAUAGAAGAAGACGUGUCAGGUUUUAUUACAAAGAAGGAAUUGGAGUCCGAAUUACCUUUUUGAAUAGUCGUGUAAUAUUAGGACAUAUGACUAGGUUCUAGGGCUAUAAAUAUUAGAACUCGAUCCUUGUAAUGAUAUAAUCAACCAAAAAAUACAAACACUUUUCAGCUCCGGCCACCAACCUUAGGAGUAGGAGUAAGAGUAGAUCUCGACAAGAUCUUCGAUAAAUCGAGUUGCAUCAGUUGAUUUUGACCAUCGGUUUGCUUGUGAGUAUUGUCAUGGUUCAUGUUUAGUUUAUCACGACUGCAUCUUUCAAACUCGUGUUAAGCUCAAUUUGAACUAGUUAUCGACUUAGAUCUUAUUUGUAAGGCUGCAUUAUUUUAAUCUCUUACAAAGACCGAUUUAAGUUAAUUUUUGGCUCUAUUGAAUUGACAAUUUAAUAGAUUCAGUAAGUUAUCAAUAUUGUUUAACGUUUAACGUUUUGUUCAUUAUAGCAAUAUUCUGCCCAAUCAAGAUUCAGCAGAUUAGUUCAAGCUUUAAACAUAAACACUUGUUGCAAAGUUUAAAUAAAUAAUGAUUAUCAAGUAAAUUUAAGAUAACUAAUAUGUUGUUCUUGAUUGUUGAAUGUUAUGUGUUUGGGAUAUUUAUUUAAUCAUGAUUAAUUUGGUAACAAAACCAAAUUUACUUAUGGCGAAGUAAAUAGAUCUCGUUCGUGUUUCAUGGAUCCUAUAUCGACUAAAUAGCCGAUCUAGUUAAGCUUGAACGAAUAGCGCAUAUGUGUAAACCCGACUAUAGAAUUAAAUAAAUUAGUAAAUUGUGUUAAAUUUAUUGUAGCCUGCUGGACUUUCGAGCAGGUGAAUAUAAAUUUAAUAUGUUUAUGAAAGUAACUUAUUAAGACCUUAGUCCUUCAGACCAGUGUUGACGGUCGAUAACGUCAACUUUUAUUAGAACUUUAAACCCGAAGGACAACAUGAUUACACACUAUUAUAGGGUUUAAACUAACAUUUUGCAUGAGUUUUGCAUAUUCUAUGUUUUCUAGGGUUGAUUUCACACUGAAAAGAGGGAUUCUAGUGCAUAUUUACCACGAAACUCAUCCGCGGCAGAAAAUAUCAUCAUCAGGCUCAAAAAGGGUCUAGAAAACACCCGAAGAAACGAGAGCCGUGGAAGAGGAAAGGUGGAGCCAGCAGGCCCCACCCUAGGACUAGUCGGCGCCCUGUUUUGCUCGUUGCCCGCCGCCUUCUGGAGUCUUCCUCCUAUGCAUCCUUGGAAGCCAAGCAAAGUAUCCAUCCAUCAAUUUUAAGACAGUUUGAUCCGACGGUGCACACAAGACGAAGACGCGGAUCGCUGACGUGGUGGUUCUUUGCCCCCUACUCCACCUCGACCUAUAUAAUGACGCCCAAAGCUCCCCUCAAGAGGCAUUCUACACCCCGACGCUUCAUAUUCUCUACAUAAUUAGGGUUAGGGUCCCUCUAGUUGUUCUAGUUCUAGUUCAUCUAGAUCUAGUUCAUCUACAUGUAGCAAUUAGUUGAGACUAGUUCUUCUAGAUCUAGUCUUGUUUAGAGAUUAGAGAGAUUUAGUAGAGUAGAGAUUCUAGAGGAGUUCUGGCCUAUCGGUGCUUCUUCAUGGUUGUAUUCUUCUGGAUCCAGUUUCUCUCGCCCGGAGCUGCGUUCUUAGGUACUUUUGUACUUACCCUUCUGGUAUAAGUAAGCAUCUUGUUCUUAUUUAUUCUUUGGUUCACAACUCAUAUUGAGUGCUUUGACAUUGAUCGUAACUUGGUUGAAGUAGUGUUUUAUAGUGUACGCGUGGUGCCUAGGCUAGGUUUACUUGUGAAUAUCCCCUAAUCAGCCGGAUAGUGGUAGUUCGCGUAGGUGACUUUAUAGCUACGUUGAUUCCUCUAUAGUCCACUUCCCGUUGAUAAGAUUGAUAGGCUUAUAGAUGCCUGAUAUGGGGUUACACUGAUUCUCCCCCUAUUCGUGUUACUUGCCCUAUAAGACGGUAUUAUACAAAGUUUACCGGAGUCGGAACCAGAGUGCAUUGAUAUUUACUUUUUCUUGAUAUGAUCUAGCCUAAUUGUAGGGUUAAGUCUAUAUACUUUGUCAUCAUCACAACUGUUCCUUGUGGAUUCGAUAUUUAAAACCUCUAGGUAAAAUGUGAUGCUGGUAUGAUAUAUUUGCGCUUGCGGAUAAUCCUAUUUAAAUCUAUUUAAAUGGAGUGUAGUUAAUUUAUACCAACAAGUAUUUUUGGCGUCAUUGCCAGGGAACAAUUUGUUGGUUUUGAUUUAGUCUAGCUUACUCUUGUAUUAUACUUUUAUAUUUUCCUGUUUUUAUCCUAGUCUCUUCAUUAUUUUUGUGUUCAUCCUUAUAGAUGUUUUUAAUUAUAUUGCUAUUUAUCUUUAUGGCAUGUGCAAAAGCUUAAAGCAUAAACCUUAUCAUAAUAUCUAUAAGCUAUGCCCAUAUCUACAUAAUAUAAUAAACCCUUCUCAAUUAUAUCAUGGGAUCAUUAAUCCUCACCUUGGUUUGCUGGGCCCCAUGUUUAUUCAACAUUUAGGAUCCUACCAAGAGUUACAUGAAAUCCCUUGAUUUAUCUUCUCGAGAGUUCUUUCUUAUCUUUUAAAAAGCAAGAUAUUAUGCUCAAAAGAGUUGCUCUAUCUAUUUCUGAACUCCCCAAAAGAAGAAAAGAAUUUAUUAUCUAAACUAAAAAUAGAAGUCUUGAUAACUAAAAUACAAUCAUAUCUUUCUUAAGAUUUAGCUAUCAAUCCUAAAUCUUCAAAAUUCCACUUUAAUGAUUUAGAUUUACAAUUAGCUAAGAUGCUCAUAAAUUAAUGCAUAUCAGAUCUUCUUAGAAGAGUAUCUUGGAAAAAGCAUCAUCAAUUUCCUUUCCUUCCUAAAAAGACAUUGGGACAAAUUCAAGGAUGGCAUGCCAAGUGAUGCCAUAGAAGGAGAGCCAAGCCACUUAGAAAUAGAUUCUAUCUUCUCCCCUUCUAUGGCCAUAAACCCAUCUCUAAACCCAUCCUUGACCCCAAUGAAUCUUUUUAUGCUCCUUCUACUAAUCUUCAUAAUGACCAUAGAAAUCCAUCCAGACAUCCUAAGAAUAGGAGUCAUGAAAAUUAUAGGAAUACCCAAGAAGAGCAACAGCAAUAGUAGGAACACAUAGAACAUAUUAGAAAUACCUAUGCUAUUGUCAAAGAAUGGAAGAAGAUGAAGUUUUAACACUAGCAUCUAAACUUGGUCUAAAUUCAAAUGUUAAUCUUAAAUUAAUUUCUUUGAUAAAUAAAACUCACCCCAGUUUAGAGAAAGCUUUAGAUGAGACCAACCUUAUGGACAUCAAUUCAUGGGAAAUCCUAGAAAAUAAAAUAUCUAAUAAAUGUCAUAGGCAUGAAAUAAUAGAGACAAACUUAUUGCCUGUAGACAACCAUGAAGAGACACCCUUGGAGUUUGAAAAGGGAGAUCAUAUUGUCGAGCAUAUGAAUUAUUUCAUUAAACACCCUAUCAGACCCAUGCUCAUAUGAGAGAUCUCCUGGAUCAAUUAGUAUCUAAUAUUAAGCUCCAUCAUUCCUUCAUUGAUAUGUCAUGCUCUGAAAUCUCUGCAAAAUUCUUGUCAGGUGACAGGAGGAGCAUUGUUGGGACGAGAAACUUGAUAUGACUCCCAUCAGGUCUGAGCUGCUCCCUGAAGUUAUCCAUAAGCAUAUAACACCUUUUCCAUAUCAUUGCAUUGUGAUAUAUUCAGUUGUCUCUGCAUAGCACAUAGCCAACCAUCUACCUCCAUAGGAUCAACUGAGUGAGUAAAUACCAAAGGUCUUCCCUUCAUAAAUUUCUCAUGCUUAUCUCUCACAUAAACAGGUAGUGGGGUGGUGGUGGUUGUUGACACUAGCUAACACCACUUAGAUACUGGGUUGUCAUCCCUAGCAUGGCGCUAGAGUGUACAAAGGUAUUUAUAAAUGUAAAGGCUUUUUAGAAAAUAAUCUAUUCUAUCCGCAAGCGCACAGAUAAAACACCUCAUUGUAGCAUUUCACCAGGAUAAGUAUUCCAGGUAUCGUUAUUUAUAAUUUUGCUCUAGGGAUCUAAAGAAGAUGGAAUUAAAUCAAGGGACAAAAUCUAUCAAGGCAUAGACUAGAAAUAAACUUGCAAGAACAUGAUUACUAAUGAGAAACUCGUCACACAGUCACUUACUUUAGCAGGGGGUAAACCAUAAAGAUAAUGAUAAUAAAGUAUAAGUUCAUGGGUAGAUAACACAGCGAUUAGAAAAUAGACUACUCCUCAUAUAUGUAGGUGAUGUCGGAUUAGCUAGAGAAUGGAUUCUAAGUUAUCUACUAACUACUAAGUCAUAAUCUACUCUAGUUAUCUACAAGAUCAUAUAUAGCAUAAAAGACUCUUCAUUCAUGUAUAAGGAACAUUGAUCAAGUAAAUCAGAGCAUCGCAUGACUUACUCCACAAUACCGGUUCUGCCUGUCCUAUCAACGGAGGGUGGACUAUAUAAGAAUCAACGAAGCUGUCACUAUCGCGAACUACCACAUGACCCGGCCAAUAGGAUACAUUUGCAGAUAAAUAACAUCUAAGCACCACGCUCACAUGUGAUCUAUCACCUAACUCCCUCGCGACAAGAGCUAAGCGCGUUGCAAACUUAUACAUAAAAUCAUUAUCAAUUAGAACUAUAUCAAAUAUAGAACUAGAGCAAACUAAGAACAUAAUAAUUAAAGACAUAAUGCAAUUAGAACAAAGAAUUAGAGAAAGAUAUGAAUAAUACCAAUCUUUAUUACCGAAGAUCCGAAUCCAGAGCGUAGUGCUCUACUUCUCUAAUUGCUAUCUAAUCAACCUCUAAACUUGAAGGAUUAGGGAGUAGCUAAUUCUAAUUCUCUAUGGGAGAGAGAUCUAAACCCUAACUUUGAUGGCUACCUCUGAAUAAUGAUUUCUCCUCUCUCCUCCAGGGGCCAGGGGGUCUGGUUUUAUAGUCCCCUCAAGUGAACGUGAGCCAUUGGAUCAAACCGACAUAGAUUGUAUGGUUUAGAUUGAUCCUUUAGGUCAGUGGAGAGUUGUCCCGAAGCAGAGUCCUGAUUGGCUUCCUGGCCAGGGCGGGCGCCCAAGGGGGGUGGGCGGCCGCCCAGCUCCCGAGCCCGAAUCGCGUCCCGUUCGUUCCCGUGGCUUCUGGAUCCUUCUAGAUCAAGGAAAAUUGCGCGGCACGUAAUUAUCUCGUUGUAAACAUGACAUGUGGGCCUUCUCUCCCUAUUUUCUGAUAAACCCCUGCAGAAAUAGAUAAACACCAAAGCUCGUGGAAUUCUGUCAGAUAAAACCCUAAUUCUAGAUGUUUGUUUCAUAUUGAUCCUUUUUCAUGUUUAUUUGAUUAUUAAUUUUAGUACUUAAGGACCGUCAACAAACUCCCCCAAGCUUACCCUUUGCUCGUCCCUGAGCAAACAGCUAAACUCAGACGGAUCAGGAGUUGCUUCGAUGUUUUCUUUCCUGACAGGCACACAUGCUUUUACAUAAAAAUUCUUCCAGAUUAUAGUGAAGUGUUAUGGAGUUUAGUACCUGCACUUAAAUCUUAAGUAAUCAAAAGACAAAAUAUUUAAGUCAAGCACUAUUCCUCCUGUUUAUUCUUCACCUUUGUUCUAGAGUUUUUCAUAAGUUUUCAAAAUAAAACUCAGAGUUCCCAGCAAUGAUUCUCUCAAGUCUCUCUAUAUGUGGUAUUUGUGGAUCCUUACCAUAAUGUCACUUUCCUAUAGCUAAUAGAAUAUUUAAGUGGAGCUCAUAGGAGUGGAAAACAGCUCAUACAUAUGUUGUCUAAUCGAGCCAUGGAUCCAAAGGAACUCAGCAUAUAAUUAAAUCAAGAUGUGCAUGUGUGAUGGAGUAAAUGAUAGUGAUGGUGAAAAUGCAUAAGUGAUAAUAAAACUUAGUUCUCAUUGCUCCUCAUAUUGCUAUCUCUCCUCUUCUUUUUGAUCUUUGCUUUGGGAGAACAUGGGCUAUCUUUUUUUUUCUUUUUUCUCUUUUUUUUCAGGUGGGUAAUAGAUACCCCUAAUUCUACCGUCGGACACUUGUCCAUUUUUUCCGCUCAAGUGGGCAUCUUUGUACCCCUAAUUCUACUUCGGACACUUGUCCAUUUUUACCUCUCGUCUUACUCUUUUUCCUUCUUUUUUUUUGAGGUUCCGGGCACUUGCCCCUUUUUAUUUCCUCGUAUAUAUUUUUGCAUAACCCAUGCCUCUUCUGCAUUGAAUCUUUUUAGAGAGAGAGAAUAACAAUAUUCGGGACAGUGAGUGAUAAUAUUUUUAGCAAUUUUAAUGAUUGGUGAUGAAUGCUGUGGUAGAUGUGUGCAAGUGAAUAUCUUAAUUUAACCACAUGAAAAGCUCCUAAGGGUCAACAAAGCUCGAUCAAACUCAAUGUAAAUAUAGUAAAAGAUGUUAUAGCAAGUAUGGCUGUGGUAGGUAGUUUGUUAUGCUAGGAACUCAUCAUGUGAUUUGUGAGUUUUCAAAAUAAAUCUCCAGAACUUAGUGUAGUAGGAACAAGAUAAACAGUAGCUCAACUUUAUAUCAUGUCUUUCUCUUACCUAGACUUUAGUUUUAUGCUUCCCAAAGAUAGUAAUUUUAGUUUUAGUCAUUCCUGGAAGAAAUAUAAAAGCUAGGUACUUGUAAGUAAGCAAACAGAGCAACUAUUCAUUAUUUCCAUCAUGUAUAUUUUUGGUCUUUUUGUUUUUCUAGAGAUUAAACUUAGCAGGAAAAUAAAGCACACUUAUCUACACACUCUUUUUAUUUUGUUUUCAUGUUUAUAAAGUGCAGUGAAUUAAAGCAAGAAAAUAUUUAUAUGGUUUUCUAAGUUUUCUUUUAAGGUAAAUUAAAUACUAGAAUAGAAAAUAAUAAAUAAGAAGAGCAAAUAAAAACUUACUUGAUAAAUUAGGGAGGAACUCCCCCAAGCUGGAUGUUGACGUGGGUCUUACCCGAUGUUCCAGAACCGCAUCAUGGUUGUGAUGUUGUCGUUCAUUGUUGUUGUAUCUUGUCUCAGCUCUUCUACUACAGCGGCAUGGUCCUAGUUCCAUUUUUGUUGUUCUUUCAGGAGUCUUCCAUGUUCUGCUUGCGUGUUCUGGAUGUCGAGGAGGGUGUUGUCGGUACGAGUGAAGAAAGCACCGGCCUCUUGAUAGUAGUCAUUCGUGAAAGCGUAGGAGGCGUCGGAGUAUCGUCCUGUAUCAAAUUGGGGCGAAGGUCUGGAUCCUGAAGAUCCAUAUGGAUCAGAGGAGUACCUGCCCGUAUGAAAAGGCGGGUUUGUCCACUGGUGAUCUUGGCUCUCCGGCCAUGUCUCCUCUGUUGGCUCUUGUGGUUGCGCAUGUCGAGCCCAUGGGUCUCGAAGGACUUGUGGAUUGUAAUCGCAAUAAUGCAGGUGUGCUGCUUCUUCUGGUCCAGGGUCAGCUCCAUACCAAGUGCGUUCUCGGUUGUCACACCCAUAUUUUAAGAGCAAAAUAGGAUGCAUAAAAGACUCAUAUGUGCCCCAGAAACAGUCGCACACAUAAGUAGACAAAUCUCAAAUGUACCAUCGCAGUGUUUAUUACAUAGCGGAAUAUAAAAUAUCACAUAGUCUCAUACAAAAAUGAUAACAUAAAGUAAACAACGCUCUCAACGGAAGCUCCACACAGGGACACUGUUGACUGGUUGACUCCAAACCUAGUACUCAUAACGGUAGUCCUCAUUCCAGUCAUCUUCAUUAUCAUAUCCUGAGGUGUUGGGAAAUUGCAAGAGUGAGCACAUAUCGUACUCAACAAGUAUAACCAGGGGUUCAUGAGGCUCAAAUAGCUGACACUGGUUUGACUGCAUUUAGCUUUUAAUAGUGGAUAGCAUGUUCAUAAUUAAAUAGCAAUUCUCAAGGUAGCAUAAAUAAUCAAUUAAUCCCAUGAUCAAUGUAAGCAUAAUUAACUCAUAGCAUAAACAAUAAUCAAAUGAACAUAAUAACAUAACAAGCUCAUCAUCUUAAUGUAGAUGUCCCCAAGGCCGCUCCUGACCGUGAGCUCGGCUAGUAUACCAGUUUUACACUCUGCAGAGGUUGUACAUCUUUACCCAUGAGUCAUGAUUUACCCUUUCGCCCGAGGCCCGUCGACCUCUUAACCCACUACCAAGGAAGGUCGGCAGGGAUCACUAUGAAGCCUUUCAAAAGUUCGUCUAACAUGUUAGGGCCGCAAGGUUUCCUUUGCGAGCAGAUAUAGAUACCCCCCUUCCGAAUGGCACAAUGACGCGCAGCCUAUACACAUAGGGACAGGGGCUCGCACUAUACCCGUGUCGGUUCAGCCCCUCUAGCGCCCUUUCGGGUAACCUCUAACAAGCUAGAAAAGGUCUUCAUACUGAGCUAAAGCCAGAGCCAUAAUAGCCCUCAUGGUUGCACUGUUAUCCCGGGUGAUCACGUACAGACAAGAUCUCAUGUCGUUAUUUGUCAUUCUUUUAUGUUCAUUGCAUAGCUAUUAAUCAUCUUACAAGAUCAUGGAUUAUAUCAAGCACUAGCACAUCUACUCCAAAUGCAUAUCAAGUAGGUAGCAAGGAAUCCAGGUAACAAUCAUCUAUGAUUUUGCUAAGGUCGACAAGGUGAUAGCAUGCAUAUGACAUAUAUGUGUAGUUAUAAGUGAAUAGGUAACAAGGAUAAUCCCAAGUUAUACUUGCCUUGCUCAAAGCUCUCCUGAGCUUGCUGGUCCUCAAAAGCUUGGGCUUGGUCACCAACGUACGGCUCACCGUCUAAUCCCAAUCAUCAAUCAACAACACGCAUUCCAAUGGAGACAAUCAUACACAAAGCAAACAAGGUAUAAUUAGAACAUUACACCAAACAGUGGUAAAACAAAUAUAAAAGUUUAUCAAAAUAUUCUACGCAGCGCUACGAUCACACAAACGUAAAGUUCACGAAAAUCGGAAUUAAAACGUGAGAGAUAUGAAUUUUCUAAGAUUUCCUAUAAAGAAAUAAUUAAUUAAAUACUACUGCAGAAUUAAAAAGUUUCAAAACAGUAAACUAAUAUUUCUAACAUGUAGAGAUCGUAAAUACGAAUCCAACGGAAUUUGAAUGGAUAAAAACGGAGUUAAAACGAAUAUUUUAUGAGCAAAACAAAAUCAGUGGCAAACUUGUAAAUAGCAGAAAAAGCAUUUUUUUUUUAAGCGACCGUCACCAGCUCCGGUGCGGUGGCCACCAUGGCCGGAGAGCCGAAGCUCGCCGGAGCUCCUCGACUUCUCCUUUCCGAGCACCGUUUUUUGAAAGGAAAAUACCGGGAUGAAGAGGAGCUCACCACGAUCUCGUCUAAGCGCUUGGUUGGGUCCGAGAGAGAACGGAGAGGGCUUGCCACGGAGAGGAACAAGAUCGGCCACGCCGAGAUCCGAACUCCAGAGAAUACGGCGACUAGGGCUCGGUUUCACAACUUGGAUGCAAAGAGGGAGCCGCGGGGUUUACCUAGGGCUUUAUAGGGGCUUGAUUUGCACAAAAGGCAAGAGAAUCCCGCUGUUCCCGGGAUUGAGUCGGCCGGUUCGUGAGUCCGGGUCGACUACGAACAGAGGUAGGGGACGAGCGUUUUUUUUUUUUUUUUUUCUCAAAUCUUUUUUUCAAAAAGGAUUUUGGGGACAAUUAAAUACAAACCAAAUACAAUCAACACAAAAUAAACUAUGUCUCAGCAUGAAUGCACAUAAUCAUGUUACUAAGCUUAUGAUAAUUUUUAAUUUUCACAAAAAUUGUUUAUUUGCUACAUUAAAUGCUCACUAAAAUUCUUAAAUAACUCAAAUUAAAUCCUAUUAAUUCCAAAUCAAAUUUUGGGUGUUACAAACUCUACCCCCCUUAAAAGAAUCUCGUCCUCGAGAUUGAACGGUGCUUACUCGAACAGAUAUGAGUAUGACUUCCUCAGAUCAUCCUCUCUUUCCCAAGUUGCCUCCGCUUCCGAAUGCCGAUUCCACUGUACUUUGCACAUUCUGAUGACCCGACUUCUGGUGACUCUCUCUGCUGUCUCCAAUAUUUUGACCGGAUGCUCUUCAUAAGUGAGGUCACCUUUAACGGAAAGUUCUUCCAAUGGUAACUGCCCCUCAGGUACACGCAGACACUUCUUGAGUUGUGACACAUGGAACACAUCGUGCACACCAGAUAAACUUUCCGGCAAUUCUAACCGAUAUGCUACUUCUCCACGCCUUUCUAAAACUUUAAACGGACCAACAUACCUUGGAGCUAGCUUUCCCUUCAUAUUAAACCUCUUCACACUCCGCAUAGGUGACACUUUCAGAUAGACAUAAUCACCCACUUCAAAAGCCAGCUCUCUCCUACGCGUAUCUGCAUAGCUUUUCUGACGAGAUUGAGCAAUUCUCAAGUUAUCCCGAAUAGUCCGCACUUGUUGUUCUGCAUGUCUAAGCACAUCUGUCCCAAACACCUGAGUUUCUCCCGUCUGAUUCCAAAACAAAGGUGUCCUGCACUUCCGACCAUAUAGGGCCUCGAACGGUGCCAUCUUCAGACUUUGCUGAUAGCUGUUGUUGUAGGAGAAUUCUGCAUAUGGCAAACUCUUGUCCCAACUAGCCCCAUACUGCAAAGCACAAGCUCUCAACAUAUCCUCCAAUAUCUGAUUGAUCCUCUCAGUCUGUCCAUCUGUCUGUGGAUGAUAUGCUGUGCUGAAAUUCAACUUGGUUCCCAAUGAAUCAUGCACUGCUUUCCAAAAGUGAGAUGUGAAUUGAGUACCCCUAUCUGACACAAUCUUCUUAGGUACCCCAUGCAAACAAACAAUUCUCUCCAUAUACAGCUCAGCUAGGCGUUCUCCAGUGUACUUAGUUUUAACGGGUAUGAAGUGAGCAACUUUGGUCAAACGAUCUACUAUCACCCAUAUUGAGUCAUACCCUCUCUGUGUACGUGGUAAACCCACUAUAAAAUCCAUACCCACUUCUUCCCACUUCCAUUCCGGAAUCUUCAUUGGUGCAACAGUCCAGNNNNNNNNNNNNNNNNNNNNNNNNNNNNNNNNNNNNNNNNNNNNNNNNNNNNNNNNNNNNNNNNNNNNNNNNNNNNNNNNNNNNNNNNNNNNNNNNNNNNNNNNNNNNNNNNNNNNNNNNNNNNNNNNNNNNNNNNNNNNNNNNNNNNNNNNNNNNNNNNNNNNNNNNNNNNNNNNNNNNNNNNNNNNNNNNNNNNNNNNNNNNNNNNNNNNNNNNNNNNNNNNNNNNNNNNNNNNNNNNNNNNNNNNNNNNNNNNNNNNNNNNNNNNNNNNNNNNNNNNNNNNNNNNNNNNNNNNNNNNNNNNNNNNNNNNNNNNNNNNNNNNNNNNNNNNNNNNNNNNNNNNNNNNNNNNNNNNNNNNNNNNNNNNNNNNNNNNNNNNNNNNNNNNNNNNNNNNNNNNNNNNNNNNNNNNNNNNNNNNNNNNNNNNNNNNNNNNNNNNNNNNNNNNNNNNNNNNNNNNNNNNNNNNNNNNNNNNNNNNNNNNNNNNNNNNNNNNNNNNNNNNNNNNNNNNNNNNNNNNNNNNNNNNNNNNNNNNNNNNNNNNNNNNNNNNNNNNNNNNNNNNNNNNNNNNNNNNNNNNNNNNNNNNNNNNNNNNNNNNNNNNNNNNNNNNNNNNNNNNNNNNNNNNNNNNNNNNNNNNNNNNNNNNNNNNNNNNNNNNNNNNNNNNNNNNNNNNNNNNNNNNNNNNNNNNNNNNNNNNNNNNNNNNNNNNNNNNNNNNNNNNNNNNNNNNNNNNNNNNNNNNNNNNNNNNNNNNNNNNNNNNNNNNNNNNNNNNNNNNNNNNNNNNNNNNNNNNNNNNNNNNNNNNNNNNNNNNNNNNNNNNNNNNNNNNNNNNNNNNNNNNNNNNNNNNNNNNNNNNNNNNNNNNNNNNNNNNNNNNNNNNNNNNNNNNNNNNNNNNNNNNNNNNNNNNNNNNNNNNNNNNNNNNNNNNNNNNNNNNNNNNNNNNNNNNNNNNNNNNNNNNNNNNNNNNNNNNNNNNNNNNNNNNNNNNNNNNNNNNNNNNNNNNNNNNNNNNNNNNNNNNNNNNNNNNNNNNNNNNNNNNNNNNNNNNNNNNNNNNNNNNNNNNNNNNNNNNNNNNNNNNNNNNNNNNNNNNNNNNNNNNNNNNNNNNNNNNNNNNNNNNNNNNNNNNNNNNNNAUCAAUAGUGUCUCCAAAUCUUCAAUGCAUGAACCACAGCUGCUAACUCCAAAUCAUGAGUAGGAUAAUUCAGUUCAUGUUUCCUCAAUUGUCUAGAUGCAUAAGCAACAACUCUACCUUCUUGCAUGAGAACACAACCCAAACCCAGACGAGAAGCAUCACAAUAGAUAGAGAAACUCUUACUCAGAUCUGGCAAAACCAACACAGGUGCAGUAGUCAAUCUCUUCUUGAACUCCUCAAAACUAGCUUGACACUUAUCAGACCAUACAAACUUAGCAUUCUUCUCUAACAGAGCUGUCAUAGGCUUUGCAAGUUUUGAGAACCCUUCAAUGAAUCUACGAUAAUAACCAGCCAAACCAAGAAAACUGCGUAUUUCACUUACAUCAGUAGGUGGUUUCCAAUUCAACACAUCUCUCACCUUACUAGGAUCCACUGCAAUACCACCAUUAGAGACAACAUGACCAAGAAAAGAAACUUCCUCCAACCAAAACUCACAUUUACUACGCUUAGCAUACAACUUAUGUUCUCUAAGUUUCUGUAAGACCAAUCUCAGAUGUUCAGCAUGUUCUUCCUUGGUUUUAGAGAAUACCAGAAUAUCAUCAAUAAAGACCACCACAAACUUAUCAAGAUACUCCAUAAAUACUUUAUUCAUCAUGUACAUAAAGUAAGCUGGUGCGUUGGUCAAACCAAAGGACAUAACUGUAUACUCAUAUAACCCAUACCUUGUUGUGAAAGCUGUCUUUGGUAUAUCUGAAUUCCGAAUCUUCAAUUGAUGAUAACCGGAACGCAAAUCAAUCUUAGAGAACACACAAGCACCUCUUAACUGAUCAAAUAAGUCAUCGAUCCUAGGCAAGGGAUAUUUAUUCUUGAUAGUGACCUCAUUAAGUGACCGAUAGUCAACACACAUCCUCUGACUACCAUCCUUCUUAUCAACAAAGAUAACUGGUGCACCCCAUGGUGAUGAACUAGGACGAAUGAACCCUUUAUCUUGCAAUUCCUUAAUUUGUUUCUUAAGUUCUUCUAGUUCAUUAACCCCCAUUCUAUAUGGUCUUUUAGCUAUGGGUGCAGUACCAGGUAGUAAUUCAAUAAUAAAUUCAAUGUCUCGGUCAGGUGGCAUACCUGGCAAUUCAUCUGGAAAGACAUCCGGAAACUCAUCCACUACCAAAUUCUGAGGAUCAACAUCUUCAUUCAGUUGGUUCACCUUGGCUGUGAGUGGUGCUUGCACUGUUACAUUAACACUGAUUCGUUCUCCCUUUGGUGUUGUCAGAGCCACUACUCUCUCUUUGCAAUUAAUAUUUGUUUCAUGUUGCUUCAUCCAAUCCAAACCCAAGAUCACAUCUAUGCCUGAAGUUCUCAUAACCAUGGGACUGAUAGGAAAAUCUACCCCCCUUAACGAAAGACUUGCCGAGGGGCAACAUAAAGAAACUGGUAUAGUCCCACCCGGUGAAUUAACUAGCAUAGGAGUUUUCAUUGCAACUAGUGGAAGGCUAUGAACUCUAACAAAUGCUUGUGAUAUGAAUGUAUGCGAAGCUCCAGAAUCAAAUAAAACUGUAGCAGGGAUAGAGUUGAUGCUGAACGUACCCAUCAUGAUUUCGGGUCCCUCCUGAACAGUUUCUGCUGCCACGUUGUUCACCUUUGCUGAAUUAGGAGUGGAUCUCCGGUCGUUGUACUGCGGAUUAAACUUCUCUGGGCAAUCAUAGGACAUAUGUCCUUCUUUCCCACAACGGAAACACCUGGUAGGAGUGUUAGAGGCACUUCUUUUUGUGGAGUUGGCAUUUGGGUUCCCUGGGCGAGGUGCCUGCUGGCCAUGCUGCUGUUGAUUAUGGUUACGUUGUUGGAAUGGAGGACGUUGGUUCCCACUCUGUGACUGAUUCUGGAAACGCUGGGGUUGUUGGUUGCGGUUCCACUGACUAACUAGUCCCUGGAACCUCUGCUGAUGACCUUGAUGAGAACUGAAACGCUGACGGUUGUUGCUCCCAGAACCUUGUGCCAGCAUCCUUCUCUUCUUAUCCUUACGUGCAUCACAGUUAGAAGCGCGCCGCACACGAUUCACAAGAGCCUGGAAGGUAGGAUAGGUGUUUCCAGCCAACUGCAACCUGAGUUCAUAGUACAAGCCCUUCAUGAAUAGACGCUGCUUAUCAGCAUCUUCCCUGACAUCAUUCGGAGCAUAGCGAGCCAACUGUUCAAAUGUGUCAUGAUAUUCUGCCACAGUCAUGGAGCCCAUCCUGAGUGAUCUGAAUUCUUCUUGUUUGAGCUCCAUCACUCCUUCAUUUAUAUGUCGAGCUCUGAAGUCCCUACAGAAUUCCAGCCAUGUGACAGGAGAAGCAUUGUUGGGGCGAGCAGCUUGAUACGACUCCCACCAUGUCUGAGCUGCACCUUGAAGCUGUCCAGAAGCAUACAACACCUUCUCCAAGUCGUUGCACUGUGCUAUGUUUAGCUGCCUCUCCACAGCACGUAACCAAUCAUCUGCCUCCAUGGGAUCAGCUGAGUGUGUAAAUACCGGAGGUCUUCCCUUCAUAAACUCUCCACGCUUGUCCCUCACAUGAAUAGGUGGUGGUGUCGGUGGAGGUUGUUGCUGCAGGUGCUGCAUGAAAACGUGCAUCAUCUGAUUUUGGGUUUGCAUGAGUUCCUCCACGGUGAUUGGGGCAUUGCCACCAUUACCAUUGUCAUUGCCAUUGCCACGGCCUCUGCCUCUGCCUCUUCCUCUUGCUGCCAUCUGCAUUCCAAGGUAUAUAAACACAUCUUAGUAAUGCCCAACAUGACAAUUACAAGAGUUAACCGAAUCUGAAAUUUUCUGGGUAACAUCCAACGUCAGCAGGUCAGAAAAUCAGUAAUAUCUCGAGUUCCAGAAUUCAAAAGGAUACAUACUGUACACCGUUGGAAAGAUAAAGAAAUUGUCUACAACUUUCAUUUAGAUCAUAUCACCAGAUUCCAACGUGAGAUUAACCAAAAACUGGGUACAACCGAAACUGUUCCAGAAUUCCAGACUGCGCAGAAACCUCAACUUUAAACAGUCAUAACUCACAGCUCAUAAUAGAUAAUAUGGUCAUUCUUGCGGCAUUGGAAAUAUAUGAAAGUCUACUUUUUCCCAGAAAAAUUUGAUGAACAUUGCACGAGCAUAAUUUGAUUUAUUCCAGAAUCAUUGCAGACUGGUCCAGAAAACAGCAAAAGACAGAAACAGGAUAUGACCCCAAACUACUAUUUAUUCAUGUUCUUACUUAAGGUUCUUAAUUAGAGAACUUGUGGACAUGCCCACAAAUUCCCAGCACUCAUUACAAAAAUCCAAAUCACACAUAUUCAUAAUAACAAAUCAGCAAGCACACCAAGUUCACACCACACUAGCAAAAGACUCUAAAUAACUCGCAACUACUAACGUUACUAUUACAUAUGGGUUCUUUUCUAUUCUUCGGGUGCAGCAUCCUUCAAGAUGGGUUCAACAUGCAGCCUCUUAUGAAGUUUGGGGCGGCCUAACUCCGCUCGAAGGUCAUCCGCUUCCCUUUGCUCUUUCUCCAGCAGCUUCCUCUCACGGUGUAGUUCAUUCUCCAACUCUAUCACCUUGAGUGUCAGCUCAUAAGUCAACUCCACUUGUGCUUGAAGCUUUGGUUGUGAAGCAUCUGCAACUUCUAUGGCCCAAGUCAUCUUCUCUGGUACAAAGCGAGGAUAGUGGUAUGUUGCAUUGUACUGAACAUCCUCAAAGCGUCUACCACGGUAAAAGAUCAAUGCCUGGUAAGCUGCAUCUGCCAUGCUCUCUCUCAUCGUGUCCCGGCUGAUUCGAGCGAGGUGUUUUGAUUCCACCUUUCGAAUCCCCUUGGUGGCAUCCAGUGUCUUGACUAUCAGCUCUGCAACCCAAAGUGAUCUCUUCAGCGGGUGUUUGUGCUCAGUGCAGUUAUACUCCAGUGUGGCCUGCAAAUCCGGGUAAUGGUGUUUCAAUGUCAACACCAAAUUCUCAUGGANNNNNNNNNNNNNNNNNNNNNNNNNNNNNNNNNNNNNNNNNNNNNNNNNNNNNNNNNNNNNNNNNNNNNNNNNNNNNNNNNNNNNNNNNNNNNNNNNNNNNNNNNNNNNNNNNNNNNNNNNNNNNNNNNNNNNNNNNNNNNNNNNNNNNNNNNNNNNNNNNNNNNNNNNNNNNNNNNNNNNNNNNNNNNNNNNNNNNNNNNNNNNNNNNNNNNNNNNNNNNNNNNNNNNNNNNNNNNNNNNNNNNNNNNNNNNNNNNNNNNNNNNNNNNNNNNNNNNNNNNNNNNNNNNNNNNNNNNNNNNNNNNNNNNNNNNNNNNNNNNNNNNNNNNNNNNNNNNNNNNNNNNNNNNNNNNNNNNNNNNNNNNNNNNNNNNNNNNNNNNNNNNNNNNNNNNNNNNNNNNNNNNNNNNNNNNNNNNNNNNNNNNNNNNNNNNNNNNNNNNNNNCACAUUAGUUAGCUCAACAGUCACAAAGCAAACAAGGUAUAAUUAGAACAUUACACCAAACAGUGGUAAAACAAAUAUAAAAGUUUAUCAAAAUAUUCUACGCAGCGCUACGAUCACACAAACGUAAAGUUCACGAAAAUCGGAAUUAAAACGUGAGAGAUAUGAAUUUUCUAAGAUUUCCUAUAAAGAAAUAAUUAAUUAAAUACUACUGCAGAAUUAAAAAGUUUCAAAACAGUAAACUAAUAUUUCUAACAUGUAGAGAUCGUAAAUACGAAUCCAACGGAAUUUGAAUGGAUAAAAACGGAGUUAAAACGAAUAUUUUAUGAGCAAAACAAAAUCAGUGGCAAACUUGUAAAUAGCAGAAAAAGCAUUUUUUUUUUUAAGCGACCGUCACCAGCUCCGGUGCGGUGGCCACCAUGGCCGGAGAGCCGAAGCUCGCCGGAGCUCCUCGACUUCUCCUUUCCGAGCACCGUUUUUUGAAAGGAAAAUACCGGGAUGAAGAGGAGCUCACCACGAUCUCGUCUAAGCGCUUGGUUGGGUCCGAGAGAGAACGGAGAGGGCUUGCCACGGAGAGGAACAAGAUCGGCCACGCCGAGAUCCGAACUCCAGAGAAUACGGCGACUAGGGCUCGGUUUCACAACUUGGAUGCAAAGAGGGAGCCGCGGGGUUUACCUAGGGCUUUAUAGGGGCUUGAUUUGCACAAAAGGCAAGAGAAUCCCGCUGUUCCCGGGAUUGAGUCGGCCGGUUCGUGAGUCCGGGUCGACUACGAACAGAGGUAGGGGACGAGCGUUUUUUUUUUUUUUUUUUUUCUCAAAUCUUUUUUUCAAAAAGGAUUUUGGGGACAAUUAAAUACAAACCAAAUACAAUCAACACAAAAUAAACUAUGUCUCAGCAUGAAUGCACAUAAUCAUGUUACUAAGCUUAUGAUAAUUUUUAAUUUUCACAAAAAUUGUUUAUUUGCUACAUUAAAUGCUCACUAAAAUUCUUAAAUAACUCAAAUUAAAUCCUAUUAAUUCCAAAUCAAAUUUUGGGUGUUACAUCGGUGAGUGGUUAUCCUUUCAGAUGCCACUCGCUGUGGAGUUCUCUGGUUCACUGGUGUUGCUGCAAUCUCAAUCAAAAAUUUUUGCACAGAGUAGAGGCUAAGGUUCGGGUUAGGUAACCGAAUCUUGCCUUUAUCAUCAUACAACAUGUACAUUAUAUUUCCCUCUUUCUUUAACAUCCGAGCUUGUCUAAAUGUGUCAUAGCCAUGAUAAAUUCUUAAUUCUUCUAUGAAGUCCAAUGAUGAGUUUUCUAGUAAGUGAAGAUUAGUGGCUAGACGAGUGAUAAGUGAAGUACACCCUACUGGUCCCUGCAGACUAGGUAUACUAAGCCAAUGUGAAACUAAUAGUGUAACAGGUGAAGUGGGUACUUUACUAAUAGCAGCAUAUAAAAGUUGUAAAUCUCCUACUCUUAAUUUCCUAAUAUCGUCACGAUAGAAAAGAUUGUACCCAAGCCAUUUGUGAAACAUCGUGAGAGUGGGGUGUUCCAUGUCACUGGUUCGGGCUUGACUGUAAAAAUUAUCUCUAGAUAUUUCUCUCCAAAACUGGUGUCUCUCAAAGUUGGGUAAAUCGGAGUCAAUGUUCAGGAUGCAUCUUGAAGAGAAACCAAAAUGGUCACUCAGCUCUCUCCAAGACAACAUAAUUUCCUGUUUGAACAUCCGAAAAACAAUUCCCCCCUCAUAGUAUUGUAAGGUGCAAAGAAAUUCGAGGGUGAGAAGACGAGAACCUAGCUCAGUUAUAUUCCAAAAAUUUGUCCAACCCAUCAUUUGAAAAAUUAAGUCAAAUUCAGUGUCCAUACCUGUUUCUCGUAGUAGGAUUGGAUCGAUAGUAGGGGUGUGAAUGAAAUCCUUGUUCUUCAGUUGCUGAUAGACUUCCUUCUCUCUUCGGGUCUUCAGUCCUAGGUCUCCUAUCUUGAGAAGGACCUUAACUUGCUGACCUGAUGAAGAUGAUGGAGCUUGUGUGGGUGUCGGGUCGACGUUCAUCUCUGAUGGCUGUGAGGAGUGUCGGGAUGAACUCCUUGUACCAAGGUUCUUGAUAGCCUUCCCUGCAUUCUUCACCUUCUUAAACAUCCUGCAAAAUUUGGCAAAAACACAACUGGUGGAAAAUGUAAGAUAAAAUGUUAGUGGUUAGCUGUCCGGAGUGUCAGUAGUCCAGGGGUUAAUCGUUCAAGACAAGUUUCUAUUUUGGUAUAGCCUCCCCCUAAACAACUUUUACUUCCGCUUAGACAGCGGGAUCACUACUUGCUAGGUGACAAUCACUCUCUCAAAAGAACUCCAACCUUCCCUUCCACUCUCCUCUUUCUCUCUACCCUAUUCUCUUUACUACAAAAGUUCCUCCUCAGGAAACUGAGAUUUGUGUGGUUUUCUGAAGUGUUUGUGUGAAGAGAAGGGAAACUGGAGGUGACCUUUUAUAGGCUAAGCAGGGGACAGGGCGGGCGCCCAAGGUAGGUGGGCGGGCGCCCACCCCUGGUGUCCAUCCUGGGUGUGCCUCCUCCAUAUGCUUCCUUGCUUUGAUCUCACGCAGAAUAAUGUUGUGUUGGUGGUGGUUGGACGGUGGAAAGAUGUCAGGUGAGUGGAAACAUAUUGGUGGAUGAAAUUAUGUGAUGGGAUAUAUGUGAGAUGAAGUGUAUGACAUGUUGGACCCAAAGAGUGUGGGUCAUGCUUCUAGAAGAUCAAUAUAAAUAAAUAUAAUGCAGGAAAAUCUAUGAGAAUUGAAACUUAAUGAUAAUGGAAAAUAUUUUUGUGCCUCCACAAUAAUUAAUAAAUAUGGGUUGUUACACACCACGAAUAUUAUUUAUAUGGGGCUUUUUGAUUAUUAUAAUUAUGCUAUGACUAAUGCAAGAAUUAAUUAUGCAAGAAUUUAAAUAUGAGAAAAUUAAUAAUGCGGGUAAAUACCGAUUUACCUCCCGGUGAGGGUUUGGGAUUUUUAGGUCCCCCAAGGUGGACCUCCAAAUCUUUUAAUCUUCUGAGUUUCCUUCCUCCGGAGAUGGUGUCUCCAGUGGUUCUUCAUGAACUUCCUUCACUGUAGAGUCUCUCUCUGGUCUGGGUUUGAAUGUGAAGUGUUCUUCUUGACCGUUUAUGUUGAACUUGAUUUCUCCUUUCCCGACAUCAAUGUGGGCAUUGGCAGUGCUUAGAAAUGGCCUUCCAAGGAUGAUGGACACUUUUGAGUCAGGACUCAUGUCCAGUACUACGAAGUCUACUGGCACCAGGAAAUCUCUGAUCUUGACUGAAAUGUUCUCGGCGAUGCCCAGCGGGUGUCGAACCGAUUGAUCCGCUAGUUGUAGGCACAUUGAUGUUGGUUCUAAGGUUGCAUGCUCAAGCUUUUUGUAGUCUGAUGCUGGCAUCACACUGACACUUGCUCCGAGAUCACAAAGUGCAUUGUUGAAGUGUUGGUUUCCGAUCGAGCAAUCAAUAGUGGGGCAUCCUGGAUCUUCCUUCUUUUUUGGUAGUUUGUUGAGGAUGGCCGCACUACAUUCUUCUGUCAGCUUGAUAACCUCAGUGGCGGGCAGUGGCCUCUUCUUGUUAAGAAUAUCCCUGAUGUACUUUGCAUAUGUAGGUACCUGUAUGGCAUCGAGCAGAGGUAUGUUGACAUAUAAUUUCUGAAUGACCUCUACAAACUUACCAAACUGCUCAUCCGACUGCAGUCCUCUGUUUCUUCUAGGAAAUGGCAAAUAGUUGGUGUCGUAAAAAUCUUUCCUCAUUUCUCCAGUUCUUGGUGGUUGUAGCAGAUCUUCUGCUUCAACUGGGCUUUCUUCUUCUAUCACUGCUGGUUGCACUGGUGCUGAUGUUCUUUGUUUCUCUUUUGGGUAUGGUGGAUCUCUGGUAGCUUUACCUCCUCUAGUAGUUAUAUUCUUUACCUGCUCAAGGUUAGUAGCAACAGGCAGUGCAACAGCUAAUUUUAUCAAUUUAAGCUCUACCCUUUUAUUAAGAGUGUUUUGCUCAUCAAAGGCAGUUAGUAGAAAAUCCAUUUUAUUGUGUAUAUUUUUUAGAGAUGAUUCAUUUGUAUCUAGCCUUUGUUUAACUUCAUCAUUAAUUUUAGUUUGUUGAGCAAUUAUCUCUUUUAGUGAAAGUUGCUUGAAAGUAUUACCUGAAUUCAUACCUUUGCUAUUGGGUUCACUCGAAGUUGGUUGAUAUUUGUAUGCUGUCUCAAUGGCCCUUUGAUCUUCUUUGAACUUGGCCCUCUGGUCAAUCCAAUGGAGCAAAUUUUCCAUCUUAGUUGAUAAUGCUUUUACUUCUUCUGGUAUUUCUUCAGUUUGAUGACAUUGUUGAGCUUUAUCUUGGAACCAGCUUUGGUUUUCUGCUAUCUUAUCCAAAAGUAUCUCUGCUUUUCCAGUUGUAAGCUCCAAGAAUGAUCCUUUAGCAGAUGCAUCUAGGCACUCACGAGCCUUCUGGGUUAAUCCAUGGUAGAAGGUCUGCAUAAGUAACCAUGUGGCCAUUCCAUGGUGAGGACAAUCUGAUACGUAUCCUUGAAAACGCUCCCAUGCUUCUGAAAUGGCUUCUGUCUUCUGCUGUUGGAAACUGACAAUAUUUCCUCUUAAGGCAGUUGUUUUGCCUAUAGGGAAAAACUUUGAUAGAAAGGCAUCUGACAAGUUCGUCCAGUUGUUGAUAUUAUCUUGAUGAGUGUAGAACCACAUCCUCGCUUUCCCUUCUAGUGAGAAUGGAAAAAGACGAAGCAGUAUGACGUCUUUGUCAACUCCGUUGAUGUGGAUUGUGCUUCCAAUCUCUAAGAAAUUCUGCAAGUGUGCACUGGCAUCUUCAUGUGCCUUUCCACUGAAUUGUGUAGCUUGCACCAAAUUGAUGAGGCUUGACUUGAGCUCAACCUCGGGUAUUCCUUCUUCUACUACAAAUCUUGGACCGGUUGGAAUGUUGUCAAGACUUGGAGCAGAGAAUUCUUGCAAGGUCUUUUGUGCCAUAGCUUCAGCAAUUGGUAUCUAGCUUCUUCUUCUCUAGAUUGCUUUGGUUCUGAUGAUGAAGAGUUGAAUGUACCCAAAGUCAAUCCUGUUAUACCCUGUAUAAAAAUAUAAACAUAGAAAAACAACAGGGUGAACCUGCCAAAGCAGCGGUGCCUUGUUAUGAUUUCUCACUUAGUAGUUGUUGUAUGCAAUUAUUUCUCUAUAGUUUAGUCUAAAAUUUUAUAUGAAUAACCUUGAUUGAUUUUCUGGAUUUCCUUAAUAAUACCCUUCUGUUCCCUUUUAUGACUUAUUCCUGAGGCUCAUAUAAUUCCUAUAAUGUUCUAUAAUUCCCCGGCAACGGCGCCAGAAUUGCUUGUUGACACUAGCUAACACCACUUAGAUACUAGGUUGUCAUCCCUAGCAUGGAGCCAGAGUGUACAAAGGUAUUUAUAAAUGUAAAGGCUCUUUAGAAAAUAAUCUAUUCUAUCCGCAAGCGCACAGAUAAAACACCUCAUUGUAGCAUUUCACCAGGAUAAGUAUUCCAGGUAUCGUUAUUUAUAAUUUUGCUCUAGGGAUCUAAAGAAGAUGGAAUUAAAUCAAGGGACAAAAUCUAUCAAGGCAUAGACUAGAGAUAAACUUGCAAGAACAUGAUUACUAAUGAGAAACUCGUCACAUAGUCACUUACUUUAGCAGGGGGUAAACCAUAAAGAUAAUGAUAAUAAAGUAUAAGUUCAUGGGUAGAUAACACAGCGAUUAGAAAAUAGACUACUCCUCAUAUAUGUAGGUGAUGUCGGAUUAGCUAGAGAAUGGAUUCUAAGUUAUCUACUAACUACUAAGUCAUAAUCUACUCUAGUUAUCUACAAGAUCAUAUAUAGCAUAAAAGACUCUUCAUUCAUGUAUAAGGAACAUUGAUAAAGUAAAUCAGAGCAUCGCAUGACUUACUCCACAAUACCGGUUCUGCCUGUCCUAUCAACGGAGGGUGGACUAUAUAAGAAUCAACGAAGCUGUCACUAUCGCGAACUACCACUCGACCCGGCCAAUAGGAUACAUUUGCAGAUAAAUAACAUCUAAGCACCACGCUCACAUGUGAUCUAUCACCUAACUCCCUCGUGACAAGAGCUAAGCGCUUUGCAAACUUAUACAUAAACUCAUUAUCAAUUAGAACUAUAUCAAAUAUAGAACUAGAGCAAACUAAGAACAUAAUAAUUAAAGACAUAAUGCAAUUAGAACAAAGAAUUAGAGAAAGAUAUGAAUAAUACCAAUCUUUAUUACCGAAGAUCCGAAUCCAGAGCGUAGUGCUCUACUUCUCUAAUUGCUAUCUAAUCAACCUCUAAACUUGAAGGAUUAGGGAGUAGCUAAUUCUAAUUCUCUGUGGGAGAGAGAUCUAAACCCUAACUUUGAUGGCUACCUCUGAAUAAUGAUUUCUCCUCUCUCCUCCAGGGGCCAGGGGGUCUGGUUUUAUAGUCCCCUCAAGUGAACGUGAGCCAUUGGAUCAAACCGACAUAGAUUGUAUGGUUUAGAUUGAUCCUUUAGGUCGGUGGAGAGUUGUCCCGAAGCAGAGUCCUGAUUGGCUUCCUGGCCAGGGCGGGCGCCUAAGAGGGGUGGGCGGCCGCCCAGCUCCCGAGCCCGAAUCGCGUCCCGUUCGUUCCCGUGGCUUCUGGAUCCUUCUAGAUCAAGGAAAAUUGCGCGGCACGUAAUUAUCUCGUUGUAAACAUGACAUGUGGGCCUUCUGUCCCUAUUUUCUGAUAAACCCCUGCAGAAAUAGAUAAACACCAAAGCUCGUGGAAUUCUAUCAGAUAAAACCCUAAUUCUAGAUGUUUGUUUCAUAUUGAUCCGUUUUCAUGUUUAUUUGAUUAUUAAUUUUAGUACUUAAGGACCGUCAACAGUGGUGCAGGUUGAUGCUGAAGGUGCUGCAUAAAAGCAUGCAUCAUCUCAUUCUGAGUCUGCUUGAGCUCUUCCACAGAAAUUGGGGCAUUGGCAGCCCUACCACGGCCUCUGCCUCUGCCUCUUCCCCUUGCUGCCAUCUGAAUUCCAAGGUACAGAAACAUAUCUCAAUAAUAUCCAACAUGUUGAAUCUGAAUUUUUGUAGGCGAUAUCCAACAUUAGCAGUUCAGAAAAUCAGUCAUAUGUCGAGUUCCACGACUCAAAAGGAGACGUUCUUUACACCGUUGGAAAGAUAAAGAAAUUAUCUACAACUUUCAUUUAGGUCAUAUUAACACAUUCUGUGGUUAAAUUAGCCAAAAUAGGGUAUAUCCGAAACUGUUCCAGAAUUCCAGACUGUGCAGAAACCUCAACUUUGAACAGUUAUAUCUCACAGCUCUUAAUAUGUAAUAAUUUCAUUCUUGCGGCAUUGGAAAGAUAAUGAAGUCUAGUUGUUCCAAGAAAAUUGUGAUGAACUUUGCAUGAACAGAAUUUGAGGUAUAUCAGAAUUAUUGCAGACUGCUUCAGAAAUCAGCAAGACACAGAAACAGAAUUUUGACCAAACCCAACUAUUUAGUUCAUUAAUCCUUAUGCCUUAGGCCUGUAAACUAUAUGAUUGUGGAGAAAAUCCACAAGAUCAUUACACUCGUCACAAAGAACCAAAUCAAGCAUAAGCAUAAUAACAACCAAACCAAGCAUUAAAGGUUUACACUUCAAGCAUUGACUCAACUUGCGGUACUAUCGUUCUCUUCCUAUUAAGGGUAAAGAUCCUAAAACUCCUAUUUUAAUGACGCGAAAAAGUGGUAAGAGAAUGUUCUAAAAGCAUAUCAAGGCAAGGAGUGAAGGUAAGAACAAGUCUUUUAAAAUAAGCAACAAGGUAAAGAUGAAUAGUAGGGAAAAGAUAUAGUGUAGGAUAAAAUUUAAAGGUUUAUAGAACUAGGAUUUUAUAGCAAUUUUGAAAACUUAAGAUGGCCAAUUUUUAACUAGGCUUGCGUUCAAUAGUCAAUAAAGCUUUGAUACCAAUUUGUCACACCCAAAUUUCAAGAACGAAAUAGAGUGCAUAAAAGAUUCAUGUGCGCCCCAGAAACAGUCGCAGAAGUUGACAAACCUCAAAUAGUACCAUCACAAUGUUUAUUACAUAGCGGAAUAAUAAUUAUUACAUAGUCUCAAACAAAUAAAGAUACUCUCAAUGGAAGCACCACACAGGGACACUGUCAACUGGUUGACUCCAAGCCUAAUACUCAUAACGGUAAUCCUCAUUCCAGUCAUCUUCUUUAACAUAUCCUGAGGUGUUAUGAAAUAGCAAGAGUGAGCACAUAUCGUACUCAACAAGUAUAACCAGGGGUUCAUGAGGCUCAAUAAGCUUAUACUAGUCUAAUUGCAUUUAGCUUUUAUAUGUAGAUGGCAAGUUUAUAUUUAGAUAGCAAAUGAAAAUGUAGCAUAAUUAAAUCCCAUAACCACAUGAUCAAUGUAUACAAGAAUUAAGAAUAACACAUAUAAAAAACAUAAUAAACCAUCAUUUAUCAUCAUUAAUCAUGUUUAUCAGUGUCUGUGGGGGUAUAAACCCCUACACCCUCACGGCUAGACUUGGGCCAGGAGGCUUGGCCCAUUACGAGACAAGUUCGAGGCUUGAUCCAACCAUUUGGAGUUUUGCGCAAGGAAACAAGACGUGGAGAUCAAGCAGGAUUCUAUUCGGUUAGAAUAGGAAUUGAUAUCAAACUAUCUAUGGCAAUUGUAACCGACUAGGAUUAGUUUCCAGAUCUGUAACCCUGCCCUCCAGACUAUAUAAGGAGGGGCAAAGGACCCCCCUAGAAUAUACUAUUAUCUCAACACAAAUCAAUACAACAAGACGCAGGACGUAGGUAUUACGCGCACACGGCGGCCGAACCUAGAUAAAAAGCUUGUCCGUGUCUUGCGUCACCAUCAAGUUCGUAGCUUGCGCACCGUCUACCGAUAAACUACUGCCGUGGGUAUACCCCAAGGCACACUGCCGACUAGCUUUCGUCGACAGUGGCGCGCCAGGUAGGGGGUGUGCGUACAGCUUUUCCGGCGAACAAGAUGGUCAUCGUUCCAGCUUCCGCGGCCGUGCCUGAAGGCCUCACGUUCACUGUCGGCCAGAUUACGUGGACGAGUCACGGCGGCGGUCUCACGACCACGGCUUCGGAAGAAACCCAGAUCCGAUAUGGGACCACGACGACAUCGGCUCCGACCACACUGACACCGAGCACUCGACCACCGCUUCCUCGUUACAAGGGAAAGAAGGUCGACGGCUCGGAUCUCUUCCGGGCCCUUGAUCGCGCCGAUCUCAAGCUUCUCGAAGCUUCCCAACUAGUGGAAGGGAUCUCGCGCCAGUCUGAUCAAGCCGCGCUAAUGGACUUUUUCAACUCCUACCGGCCAACUCGUGUCGUCACACACGAAUCGCUGGGAACGUCUCUAACGAUAACUUCCACCCCCUCAGGACGGUCCGUCGAACUCAAGGCUUAUCCAGAUCAAGGUUCCCCUUACGGGCUAAACAACUCAGUCGUUCACUAUUCAUGGCACAUCCAAUCCCUUUUCAACGAGGCAGGUUGGUUGCCAAAAUGGAGCGGUCGACCAGCUCGUCACUACGUCAACAUGGUGACGAUCCGAGAACUACGGGACGGCUAGGCUUCCAGCACAAAUUCCCACAAUAGAUCCGUUCCCACCGAAGUUAUAAACUCUGAGGACGAAGACUACGACCUGGAUUUACCACCGUAUCCUCUGGGUUUCUCUCGCUUCCCGGUCUUCCCACCUCGGCGAGGAGACCUCGUCUUCAAUGUCAGCGGCGAUGAACCAGUCGUCGAUGGAGAGACAGAUGAGCAGAGGUAGCUCCGCGAGCACCGCAAUGCCGACCGCGCCCGACGACGCGUGGACGAGGAAUGACAACUCCUGCCGCAUAACCUCAGCGACGCUUUUGACAUGGUCGGGGAUCAGCAAGUCUACAAAACGUUAAAGGGACCAUGCCAACUGCAUCCAAAGUUCAACCACACCAUGGAGGUAUGUCGCGUCCUCAAAAGCAUCUACACGCGGCGGGCUGCUCAAGACGACCCCGCCAAGAAAAACAGGAAACAGGACGGGCGCGACCACGAAGAUGAGGACGAGGACCAGGAUAGGGACCCACGACACCAGUAUGUCAGUCCCACCGACGUGGUCCACUCCAUCUUCAGGGGCAAGGUUUCCAUCGAGUCCAACCGAGAAAGAAAGCUCCUAAAGAGAGCCUGCCUCAACAUAGACCGCACAGAUGGUCUGAUCGCCGAUCCGAAAUUUCCUCCCUGGUCGCACAGGGAGAGCUCCUUCAGCAGGAAGGAUCAGUGGGCUGCCAUCCCGGAGCCAGGACGUUUCCCUCUAAUCCUGGAUCCUUGCAUCAACAGCAUCAGAUUCGAGCGUGUGCUCGUCGACAGGGGAAGCUCCAUUGACAUCCUCUUUCGUAAUAGCUUGCCUGCUCUCAAGAUAACUCCGGCACAGCUAAAGCCCUACGAUGCUCAAUUCUAGGGAGUUUCGCCAGGUCAAAGCUCAGUACCCCUCGGACAGAUAACAAUGCCUGUCCAGUUCGGAACGUCUGACCACUUUCGAACAUAGUUCGUCAACUUUGUGGUCGCCGACUUUGAUGGAACUUACCAUGCAAUACUUGGCCGACCAUCGCUGACAAAGUUCAUGGCAGUUCCACACUACUCAUACUUGGUCCUUAAAAUGCCUACAGAAAAGGGCGUUCUAAUUGGCAGGGGCAAUGUCUACACCGCAUACACUUGCGAGGAGGAAAGCUUCAAGAUCACUGAAGCAAUUGAUCUUUCAAUCCGCAUGGCAGAAACAGCAGCCCAAGCUGCACAGAUCCACCCCGACCAGCUCCGAGUACCCGAGCAGGAGACUGUAAGGAAGAAUUCAAAGUCCAAAGAACACAAGGAAGUACAACUGGUCGAUGGUAGCCCUGAGAAGACAGCCCUCAUCGGGGCCAACCUAGACCCUAAAUAGGAAGACGCGCUCGUUAGGUUUCUAUGAGACAACGUGAGCGUUUUCGCAUGGAAACCAGCAGACAUGCCCGGCGUCCCACGAAACCCAAUCGAGCACUCCUUAAACGUCUCGAAGACCGCAAGACCCAUUAAGCAAAAGCUACGAUGGUUCGCUCGUGACAAAAAGGAGGCUAUUAGGACAGAAAUAACACAGCUUCUAGCAGCCGGAUUUAUCAAAGAAGUGUAUCAUCCCGAUUGGCUCGCCAAUCCGGUUCUUGUACGCAAAAGAAUAAUGAAUGGAGAAUGUGCGUUGAUUACACUGAUCUCAAUAAACACUGUCCUAAAGAUCCUUUUGGUCUCCCUCGCAUCGACGAGGUGGUCAACUCAACGGCCGGAUGCGAACUCCUCUCUUUUCUAGACUGCUACUCUGGUUAUCACCAGAUCUCGCUAAAGGAAGAUGAUGAGAUCAAAACAUCUUUUAUUACUCCUUUCUGCGCAUAUUGCUACACGACCAUGUCCUUUGGACUCAAAAAUGCCAGAGCCACCUAUCAACGGGCCAUCCAACAAUGCCUCCACGACGAGAUUCGCGAUGACCUCGUCGAGGCUUAUGUAGACGACGUCGUCGUCAAAACAAGGGAUGCAGGCAGUCUAGUCGACAACCUAGACCGAACCAUUAAGGACCUAAAUAAAUACAAGUGGAAGCUUAACCCCAAAAGCUGCAUCUUUGGGGUCCCCUCUGGUCUACUACUCAGCAACAUCGUCAGCCGCGACGACAUACGACCGAAUCCUUCAAAAGUAAAAGCAGUGCUCGACAUGCGACCACCUAAGAAAGUCAAGGAUAUUCAGAAACUCACCGGAUGUAUGGCCGCUCUCAGUUGCUUCAUCUCAAGACUGGGAGAAAAAGGCCUCCCUUUCUUCAAACUCUUGAAGGCAUCGGAAAAAUUCUCCUGGACAGAGGAAGCUGACGCCGCCUUCACCCAGCUCAAGACUUCCCUCACCUCACCGCCUGUUCUCACAGCACCUCAGCCCAAUGAAGACCUACUCCUCUACAUUGCAGCGACCGACAGGGUUGUCUCCACGACAAUAGUGGUCGAGCAAGACGAGCCAGGUCACGUCUACAAGGUCCAGAGACCCGUUUAUUUCAUAAGCGAAGUCUUAAACGAGUCCAAGACUAGGUACCCACAGAUACAGAAGCUCAUAUACGCCAUCCUGAUAACGUCCAGGAAGCUUAAACACUACUUCGACGGCCACCGGGUCUUGGUAACCACCAGUUUCCCUCUGAGGGACAUUCUGCGCGACAAGGACGCCAACGGCAGAAUUGUAAAAUGGCCAAUGGAAUUAUGCCCAUUCUCCCUAGAUUUCCAGAGCCGCACUACCGUCAAGUCUCAGGCCCUGGUCGAUUUCAUCGCAGAGUGGACGGACCUCAAUGAACCUUCUGUCUCCGACAUCUCCGACCACUGGUCAAUGUUCUUCGACGGGUCCUUGAACAUCAACGGUUCCGGCGCCGGGAUACUCUUUGUGUCGCCUAACAAGGACAAACUACGCUACGUCCUUAGAAUCCUCUUUCUAGCGUCAAACAAUGUUGCUGAGUAUGAAGCAUGCCUACACGGCAUACGACUAGCCGUCGAACUGGGAGUCAAACGCCUCUACGUCCACGGCGACUCUGUCUUAGUUAUCAACCAGCUCAACAAGGAAUGGGACACAACCCACGAGAAGAUGGACCUCUACUGCAAAGAAAUCCGCAAAUGGGAAUCCAACUUCUACGGCAUAGAAUACAUCCACGUGGUCCAGGAUAAGAACCAGGCAGCGGAUGCGCUGUCAAAGUUAGGGUCAUCUCGGGCCCAGAUCCCGCAAGGCGUUUUCGUUCAGGACAUCCACGCGCCAAGUGUGGGCACAGACCUGGUCGAAAGGCAACCUAAUGAGGCAAUGCUCAUAGACGACGCUACUCCGACAACCAGCAACAGUGACUGGCGCACCCCUUUCAUCAGGUAUAUAUCAGUUGGGUCGGGCUUUCAGGAUAAAACGGAGAACGAGCGCCUCAUUCGACAAUCCAAGAAUUCCAUACUGGUGGAUGGCAAACUUAUGCGAAAGAACGCAAGUUCUGAAGUGCUGCUCAAAUGCAUAUCCCAAGAUGGCGGCAUCAAGCUCUUGGAUGACAUACACGCCGGAUCCUGCGGCAACCACGCGGCCUCCAGAACACUGGUCGGGAAGGCCUUCCGAGUAGGUUUUUACUGGCCAACCGCGGUCGCCGACGCCGAGAAACUGGUCCGACAUUGUGAAGGAUGCCAGUUCUUUGCCAAGAGGACCCACGUACCUACUCACGAGAUUCAAACUAUUCCGUCUUCCUAGCCUUUCGCCUGCUGGGGCCUCGACAUGAUCGGGCCAUUUAAACCGGCUCCCGGCAACUUCAAGUUUGUCUUUGUGCUAAUCGACAAAUUCUCGAAGUGGAUCGAAUACAUGCCACUGGUCAAAGCAACCUCCGAGAAAGCUAUGGAGUUCCUUAAUCAAAUCAUACACAGAUUCGGGAUCCCCAACAGUAUAAUCACUGACCUGGGCACUCAGUUCACUAGCACUACGUUCUGGGACUUAUGCGAUGACAGGGGCAUAGUGAUAAAGUACGUGUCAGUAGCUCACCCACGGGCAAACGGUCAAGUAGAGCGCACGAACGGAAUGAUUAUUGAUGCCCUAAAGAAAAGGUUGUACACCGAGAAUGACAGAGCACCUGGUCGAUGGAUGAAAGAGUUACCGGCCAUGGUCUGGGGUCUCCGAACACAGGCUAGUCAUAAUAUAGGCGUGUCACCCUACUUUAUGGUUUAUGGCUCCGAGGCAGUGCUCCCAUCUGAUGUAACCUUCGGAUCUCCAAGAGUUGAAAACUUCGACCAGUCAACGGCUGACAACACCAGGGAGCUCGAAAUCUACUGCAUGGAGGAAAAGCGUCUAAUUUCAUGUCUUCGAACAGCAAAGUAUCUUGAAGCCAUCAGGCGGUACCACAAUAGGAACGUCAAAGACCGUUCCUUCGUGGUCGGUGAUCUGGUACUCAAGUGGAAAACAAGCCAGGAAGGAACGCACAAGUUAUCCACACCUUGGGAAGGACCCUUUUUGGUCGCCGAAGUCACACGCCCUACAUCCUACAGACUGGCGUAUCCAGACGGAACACGCCUGCCUAAUUCAUGGCACAUAGACAAACUGCGUCAUUUCUAUCUAUAAAUUCCAGCACCUUCUGCUUGUAAGUUUCUUAUAAUUAGCAAUAAUAAAAGUUCUCUUUUUUGCUAUAUAUUUUUUAUACGCAGAGCUUUCGACGAACACAACAAUCUUCCUCUGGGGCGAAGAUCCUUAACGAUUAUUAAUCAAACACAGUGAUACAUCACUCAGAUAACAUUGCAGCGCUCAAAAUCAUGGUCAUGAUAAAAUCAAACUUUAUUACAAAACUUUACAUACAGAGUUUACAAUAAACACCCUGUUGGGCGGUUCCUAGUCUACUCCUACAGACUAUACUACAGGCCUACUGCUCGGGCUGAUCACCCGCUUGGCAUUGCUGCCCAGACGGAGGGGUUGGGGCCACAGGCGCAUGGCUGGUAGAGACCGCAGGCGUCGACCGCCCAUCUCCGGCAAUGGACACUCCCGACAACUCUCUAGCCGAUCUGUCUGACCCCGGCUGGUCGGGGGGAGUGGCUGUCCCACAGAGGUUGAUAUCGUCGAUCACCGUCGACGACAAGUCAAGCAGGCCAACACGAAGGUCGUCUGCCUCCUGCGGACCAACCUCCUUGGGGUACCCCCUCUCCAGUCUGGACAGGUCGACCAGAGGAUAGUGGGCGCGCACCAUGCUGAGGACGUGCGCACCGGCGAAUUCCCCGGCGUCCUUGACAAACUGCUGGAGCCAGUCCCACGCCCGUUGUGCCUUCUCGACUGGCGUUAGUCUCGACGCACGAGGUUGGUCAUCAGGGAGCUCAGGGCUGAUCAAGUCAAGAACCGGGGCCACUCCUUUCCAAAGCUUGAUGCAAUUGGUCUUCCAGGAGUCCCGGUCCUUGAUCAGCUCGUCUAAAUGCUUCUUGGUAUUCACCUUGAGCACUACAAACCAAGCAGGAGGUCAGUUCGCAAAUAAGAAAAGGAACGCUGAGCAACCAAAGAAAAAAGGGGUAGCACGAUUAUCACUAGACAACUCCCGAUUCCUGUUGCUUAGCUCCUCGCCAGCUCGGCGCUCGGUCUCCAGCGCCCCGGCAAGCUCUUGGCUGAGCUACUCCUUCUCUUGCCAGAGGCGUGCAACCUCCUCCUCUAAGUCAGCAGGAACAAUCCCUGGUCAACAAAACUGACCACGUGGCUACAUACAGCUGCUCGGAAUACGCGACUGACCUCUCCUUUGCCGAUCCUGGUCGGCUAACCGCCGAUUGAGGUCGAGAAGGUGCUCUUCCUGCGCACUCAUCUCGACCGUCUUCUCCCCGGCUUCCGACCGAAACCGAUCCACCUCCGCGGACAGGGCCUUGUUCUCGGCCACAAUGCCCUCAAUUUGGUCGAAGCACCUUUUCCGGUACUUCACCGUUUUCAUUGCGCCCUGCAAGAAGAAUACAUGCUGAACCCAGGAACAUCGCACAUAAGCGUUGAGCAGUGCAAAGGACUACCUUAACUUCGUCCACAAGACGCUUUGCCGCGCGCUCCACCCUCGCGGCCUCCUCCGUCUCCGCGAGCUCCUCAUGUCCGAUGAUGUGUUCCCCGCGUUGGUGCCACACGUAGACAUGCUGGCGGCCAUCACGGGGACGACCUUGGAUCUCCUCUACGUCAUCGUUGGGGCCGUCCGGGACUCCUCGUUCGCCGCACUGCCACCGGCCGUGGUCGCAGGCAUCACUGGACCCUGGUCCAGGCCAGGGGAGCCUACGGGCGAAGAGGCCCCUGCUCGGGGCGGGAUUGGGACUCCCCUUUCUUCGGCUGGUGGAGGAGUCAGGGAUCUGCUUUCCUCCUCCACAACGUUACUCGGGGGAGGCGUCCUUGUAGCCUCCUCAUUCCUCGUCGGGGUGCUCGCCGCGGCCCUUGCCGGGGCCGGAUGCUCCUCGGCACUCUCAGCCGCGGUUGUCACCGUGGGCUGAUCUGUGGUCUGCGGCAUGGCGUCCCCAACGACAGCGACGGGCUCGGCUGCCUUCUGGCCAGCAACGCGGUCCGGGUCGACGUCCGACGCCGCGCUAACAACAAAGCGACAUUUUACCAACAUCAAAAGCAGUAGCAAAAACACAAAUUGAAGUACGAGAGUAAGAUUGAACAACUUACAGGUUGGAGCGCCUGUGCGUCACGGUGAAGAACCUCCUCCUUGUCCUACCGGUCGGCGCCUGCACCCCCGUCUCUACGACGCGCGUCGGCUCGACGUGCGGGGCAGGAGGGUCACUGGUCAUCCGACCAGCGGUGGCCGGCGCAACGUCCGGGCGACUACGCGGCCUCCGAACCAGAGAAGGCGCGGCCUCCUCCUCGUCGUCGUCGUCGUCGGUGAUCCGGACGAGCCGACGGCGCUUUGGUGCCUUGCUGCUCUCCGCCGGCAGCGUCUCCGCAGGAGAUGGAUCCGCCACCAGCGGCCUUUUCCCCCCACUCUGUCUUCGGUGGUCGGGGCGGGGCGGUUCUGCUCCUCCUCGCUGCUGGUGUAUCGGGGACACUCAGCAGCGUCGUCCUCUGGCGGGUCUAUUCCCGCGGGACUCUCCAUGCCAGGUGCCGGUGAUAUGUACACCGCGCACCGGUCAACGUCUCCAAUCUACAGCAACAUCAAAGAUAAGUCAAUAGCUGGGAGAACAAGUACUCAGGAAGUAAAUUCAGUCAGAAAUAUUACCUUAGGAGCUGGUCGUCCAAGCUUGAAGGCCUGCAUCCGAUCACCACUCCGGACAAAGCUGUCAUCUGCAAAGUUGAACAGCUCGUUCAGCAGCUGUUGCACUUCUGCCUUCUCCAAAACUUCAGGACUCAUCCUGGUCGGGUCCUGGCUCCCAGCGUAUUCGUACGCCGAGUGAACCCUCUUCUGGCAGGGCAUCACCCGACAACAGAUGAAGUUGACGACCACUCCUGGCCCGUCUAAACGGGACCAGUCAAUCAGCUUCAUCAGGUCUUCCACCUGACCAGUGAACUGCGGGUGGUCCGUCCAGCUGACCGUCUUCUCGGGAAUGUAGCCCACGUCGCAGAACGUGGAGCUGCCUGGCUCUUCCCUGACGUAGAACCACUUCUUGUACCAUUCGGUGAGAGAAGUAUUCCACGGGCAGUUGAAAUACUGGUUCUUCAUCCCGUUACGCAGAUUGAGGUAUACUCCACCUGCAAUCUUGGAGCCUCCAACUACUCCUCUUUUCCUCAAACUGGAAAAGGUAGCGAUAAAGAUCGAAGUGCGGCUCUAUCCCAACAUAGGCCUCACACAGAUGGAUGAAGGUAGAAAUGAGAAGGAUGGAGUUCGGGUGCAGAUUGCAGAUCCCGAUCUCAUAGUAAAGAAGAUCCUGGAGAAAAGGAUGGACAGGAAUCCCAAAGCCCCUCUUGAAAAAAAUCUUCGAAAACCACGAUCUCACCGGCACGAGGGUCUGGGUAGCUCUCCCCUUCUGGCGCCCUCCAGCCGUCGAGCUCUUGGCUGUGCAGCAGCCCCAUGCCGACGAGGUCGUUGAGGGACCUCGCAUUGCUCCGGGACUUCUUCCACUCUUUCGCCAUCAGCUCGGCCCUUUUCUUGGAGUCACUCUUCGCCAUUGAUGCUGAGGGAACGAAUGCGAGAUGGGAGAGGUGGUGGUGAUUGCAAAAGGCAGGAAUGGCAAUAAUGGAAAGCUAGAAGGCAAUGGAAGGGUAAAGAAUACUGGGGCAAUGUCAAGCCUUUAUAAGCAACAGCUCCACCCUUCUCACUUCCCGCAUUCUUGGGAAGUGGGCGGGCCCAGCGGCGGAUGCGGCGUUUCGGUUUUCAACAAUUACCGGCAAUUAAUACGGCGGCUUUUUUUUGUAUAAUUGAUGGUUUCCUUUUCUGGAACCGCGCUAAGAGCGGCUGCACAGUUACCAGGCGCACCUUUUCACGCAGCCAUCUGACAACACGUCAGGAUGUCUCGUCACAUCACACAUUAAUGUGGUAAGAUGCUUUUUUUCAAAAUAACAGACAAAAAUUGGUGGAGGCUCAAUGUUCCUGGGGACUGCACCGACCACCGAGCAUUGUGUGCUCGGGGACUGGUUGACCAGUCUGCCAGUUCGGAGAUCUGGGGACUGCACCGACCACUAAGCAUUGUGUGCUCGGGGACUGGUCGACCAGUCAGCCAGUUUGGAAAUCUGUGGACUGCACCAACCACCGAGCACUAUACGCUCAGAGACUGGUCGACCAGUUUGCUAGUUUGAAGAACUAGGGACUGUACCGACCACUAAGCGUUAUAUGCUCGGGGACUGGUUGAUAAGUCCAUACGAUGGCAAAUGGGCAUGAUAUGCUCGGGGACUGGAUAAUUCUAAUUUUUUAGACCUUGCUACAAGGCUCAUACUUCGCCUUCCAGCAAGCUCGGGGACUACAUCGGUACGAUGCAUCUGGCGAUGCAUCUCAGUUUCCGAAUUAUUUUGAAAGCUUUUCUUUUGACCCUGGCACCACGUGCCUACAUCGCCUACUACCAGGCUCGGGGACUAAGUGGGCUCACUUCACCUAGCGGUGAAUAUGCUUGUUUUUUGGAAAAUUAUACUUUUCAUAAAAGUAAAGUGGGCACACUUCACCAGGAAAGAAUUUUUUUUUAUUAAGAGCACCAUGCAUUCUUCGAACAACCUGCUUCUUCGAUGUCAAUGAUGAUCAAUAGUCUUUUGAGUUGGUCAAAAUACCGUUGCAACUGUUUGGGCGACUUUGCUGCUUAUUGAAGACGUCAAGCCUCACUGAUCGAAGAAGCUCAAGACGGCGUGUUACAUCACAAUACAUGGUGCUCGGGGACUAGCUGUGGGGGUAUAAACCCCUAUAUCCUCAUGGGCCUAUAUGGGCCGCACCAUCAGAGGUGGCUCAGCCCACAGGAUGAAGACGUGCGGCGCACGACUGGUCGGCGUGCACCGCAAGGCUACAAGAUAUUGUACCAAAUAGGAUACUUUGCUUGUAACUCUGUCCCUUCAGGAUAUAUAAGGAGGGGCAGGGGUCCCCUAGAGGACAAGUCAUACAUCAUUAUUCUCUCAACACAAAUCAAUACACCAGACGCAGGACCUAGGUAUUACGCCAACUCGGCGGCCGAACGUGGAUAAAAAGCUUGUCCGUGUCUUGCGUCACCAUCGAGUUCGUAGUUUGCGCACCGUCUACCGAUAAACUACUACCGUGGGUAUACCCUAAGGUAGACUGCCGACUAGCUUUCGUCGACAGUGUCCAUACAUUGUUAUAGUUUUAUUUAGAUAUAGGGCCUAUUUUUGGUUCCCCUUGCUAAAGUUUAGCUAACUAAAAUUAUUUUAGCUAUUCUUGGGUGACUAAUGGAACUAAAUUAUGUUAACUCUUUUUAGUCAAUGUGUUUGGAACUUUUGCUACUAAAAUGACUAAAGUUUAGCUAGCUAUAAUUUAGCAAGAGAAACCAAACAGGGCCAUACUUAGGCCUUGUUUACUUCUAAAUUUUUUUGCAAAAUAUGAAUAGUAGCAUUUUCGUUUGUAUUUGAUAAAUAUUGUCCAAUUAUGGACUAACUAGACUCAAAAGAUUCAUCUCGCAAAUUAUAGAUAAAUUGUGUAAUUAGUUAUUUCUUUUAUCUAUAUUUAGUGCUCCAUGCAUGUGCCGUAAAAUUCGAUGUGAUGGAGAAUGUGAAAAAUUUUGCAAAAUAUUUUAGGAACUAAACAAGGCCUUAAUAAAAACAACUAUUUUAAACAAAAUAACAAUAUAUUUUUCUUAGAUUAUAGUCUCAGAUAAUUACAUAUGAUAAUUAAUAUAAUCAUGACUAAGAAAAAGAACAAUAAAGACAUGUCUCAUAUAUUUAUACUAUAAAUAAGUUCUUAAUUGCUUAGUAGAUCGCAAAGCUCCUCAGGGAUAAUGUUUGCACGUUCAUUUUGAUUACUUUGUAGAAUGUCCACCAAGCAUUCCGUCCUCAGCAAACGUCCACUCUGUGAAUGCCAGAUAGUAAGUUAACUUAUUAAUUUGCUAUACACUAUACAAAAUUUACAGGAUAUAUAGUUUAUAUGCUUACAGGGUGGAUAGACAAUCUUUUUCCAUCCUAUUAUUUUAAAUAACUAUAUAUAAAGAAGCGUGGCAUUUCCCUGGAGAAGAGCAAGUGUUUAUUUGUGUUAGCUAAAUGACAUAGAAUAAUAUUACUAUAUAAUUUAAUUAAUAAUGGAGAACAUAAAUUAAGAAGAUAUUACUACUACAUAUUAUUUGGCCAAGUAAAACAUUUGUAUCAUGGUGUCUAAUUUAACCCAUUCCAAUGCACAAACAAAGAAGAUAUUGCUCCAUUAUUACCUUAAUCAAGUUAGGGGAAUGAGAGAUUAGAGUUAAUAUUGUCCCUUAAUUUUGGGAGAUAGAUCUUCCUUGGUGGAAUUUUUCGUGUGUACUUAGUGUAGCUUAUAACUAUAGUAGUAGUUUAUAGGGUGCAUUUAGUUAAGUUCGUAACUGAUGGAUUAUAUAGUAGUGGAGAUUUGUGGUAAAUCUCAGUAACUACACCCGUGCUUUUUUACCUUAUACAAAUUAGAACUAAGGCUUGAUCCCUAUGAUUUCGUGCUAAAUUAUGUUUUUAUGAUUUUUUGUAUACAUAUAUGAUGGCAAUCCAACUUGAAUACCUCUCAUCCAAUUUGGUAUAUGCUGUUGACAACAACGAUCCCAUGUGGUCAGGAUGUUCGAAAACGAGAAAUCAAGUUCUUAGUUUUCUAGGAAGAGAAGAACUGAACUUGGACAAUGGAUUGGAAUUGGGCAGAAAUGGUGAUAUUUAAUAGUUAAAAACCCAACUCCAAUCAUAAAUACAUACAUGUCACUUUGGGCCUUGUUUAGUUCCGAAAACUUUAACACUUUCGUUUUUAUUUGACAAAUAUUGUUAAAUUAUGGACUAACUAGAUUCAAAAGAUUCAUCUCACGAUUUACAGAUAAACUGUGCAAUUAAUAUUUGUUUUCAUUUAUAUUAAGUGCUUCAUACACAUGCUGCAAGAUUUGGUGUGACAGGAAAUCUUAAAAAGUUUUUCGUUUUUAGAAUGAACUAAACAAGGCCUUGGUCAGUGGGGCGAAAUGCCUACUUGUAGUGACGCAAUUGUAGAAUGACUAGUAGGAAGCGCGCCCCCUGGGCGCGAGUUGUCAUGUAUUUCUAAGAUUAUACAGGUAAGCUACACAUGUUGCAUACAAUGGCCAUGUAUAUGAUUGAGGUCUAUUGAUGCAUACAAAGUUAUUAGAGGAUGAAUACAGUGGCCAUCGAGGGCAGAAAUAAUAGACAAAUUCUGGGGCAAAAGAUGCAUGUUUAGUUUUAGCAUGGUAAUAGGAAUAUAGGAUCAGAGAACGGAAACGAACACGGUCAUAUUGCCUAUGGUGUUAUAUGUACCAUACAAAGGCAUUACACAAGCUUAUCAGUAUUUUAUACAUUGCUUCGUCAGUGGCAAUUUACAAAAGUUUAGGGGCAUUGAAGGUUCACUUUCUAAUGACAUGGACAUAUAUAGCUGGCUUUCUUGUUGGCUGCGCUGCCAAUUGUGACAAGAAAUUGCUGCAUCUACAUCCUGAGUACCUGCACGGGGAGCAAAUAGACUGUUUAGUCUCAUAAAGAAACAAUUAUUGUCUGGAAUACCUGUAAGUAGGGGAGUAUAUUUUUUUGGUCUACUAUGUAUACACAAUACACACAACAGUGAUGCAUCACCAGACACAAUAGAAGCAAAUACUUCUUUAUAGACGACCUUUUUUUCAUUUAUACAACGGCCAUCCUCGGCUUCUAUGAAAUGGCUGUCACUACCUGAAACAUCCAAGUAUCAAUGAGAAAGAUGUAGUUGGUAGACUCGGUAAUCACCGGCCUAACUUGCCAGCCAAUGAAUGUAGAGAAAAGAACAUCUUGAUGCAAAAAAAAUUAUAAUUUAACAAUGAAUGGACAUACAUAUCAGAAAUAUCUCUGUAAAUUCUUUUUUUUUCACACAUGCAUACAAGAUUGAACUUAGAUAUAUAACAUAGACUGUAUUGGAAAGAUUAACUAGAUAUAUCUAAAAUAUAUUCAAUUUUGCUCAUGCUCUAUGCACCAGACAUCUUGGUAUGGACAAAUAGAUCUGCUGCGUGAGCAGGACUCUGAAAUCCAAAAGAAGGUAUGCAAGGCUGAAAACUAACAAAGGAAGCUGAACUAAACACGACAGGAGAAGGUAAUAUUUAUGUGGCAACUACUGAGCAUUCAGACCAUCAAGUUCUAUUUUUCAAAGCAUCAAGUCCUAUAUUUAAGGGAAAGUUGUCAAACAAAAAUGUGGCCUGCACGAAUAUUAUCACCUGCAAGGGAGGCAUGAAGCCUAUCCCAUCUCAUAAUUGAAGAGCAUGAGUCCACCCAAUUUCCCCAGUGAUCGUGGAUACAAAGAAUAAGUUGUUAUGCUAAACCAAAACAUAGAUGACUUUCCAAGUGUGCAGCCUGCAUAGUAAAAUAAGAAAGAAAAAUCAUAUUUUUGACCAGUUCUCCAUUUUAUUUUGUAUUUUGAAACAUCUUUUCUUUUGAAUAACUUACUGAUAUAUCACGGUAAAUUAGAGAUAUCAUUCCGUAAAAAUCAAUUAAAAGAACUGUAAGCUGAGGAGAAAAGAACUGCACUUCCAGUGUCAUAGCUCGUGCUGCUUGUCCACUGCAUUCACAUCCCUUACCUGAUGAGUAUGGAUGCACGAACGAAUUCGAACGAACCAACCUGCGGGCUAAACAAGGUAAUGAAACAAAAAGAAACACAGGAAUAUAAAUACAGAAGCAAAUGGGAAGGAGAGCUCUUUGAAUUUUAUAAUAUAUUCUACAAUAGGAAUGAACCAUCUACGAAAUAAAUUCAGGACAAGUCAUUCUCAUGCAUGAAGACUUUCUAUUUUAAUUAAAUGAAAUAAAUUUGCACUAUUCAUUUCAGACUUAGUCGACAAUUCAGGCUCCUGCUCAGUAGUUACACACCUGAGAACAAUCCACCAGCCCAACAAGCUGAAACCAUAGCAACUCAGCCAAGAAUAUUUUAGAUGAAAGUAAAUAUUUUUAGUCAAUAAGAAUACAUAUAUCAGACACAAGAGGUAGUCAUAUCCCCUUAUGAUUCCUUGUGCUUUGGCACCAUCCUGAUUCUCCCAAGAGGGCUUGGCUUGUUCAAAUUCCUCAAACUGCAUUUCUCUGAGCUUCGUAUGUAGGCCUUCUUUAUCCAUGUCAAAUAAUUUGAUUUCUCCAGUUCGAACAGCUUUAAUAAAUCUAAGUUUGUUCUAUGCCAUUUUCAAGUCGCGGCCAGCCAUUUCCACUAGCUUUUGCUGCAUAUUGACAAUUACUAAAUCUGAUAUCAAAUAGUCCAAAGAAUAUGUGCCAUUCAAUUAUUAAAUGGAAACGUACCUUUCUUUUCUCAUAAAAAGCAAGCCUGAAGUCAUAGAAUUCCUUAAGUACUAAAAUAAAUGACACAAUUUAGUUACAAUACGACAAAAGAAAUAAAAAAUGAAGGUCUUGUAGCAUAAAGGUAGUACAUACUUUGCUCUGGACUGUCAUACUUUUUAAUUAUGCCAUUUGAAUCCAACAAAUGCAUAUUUGAUGUUCCUAUUGAUGUUCUCAGUUCAAACUUUCUCUGAAGAUCUACUUCAUUGGCUUGCGCCAAAUUCUCAGAAUUCUCAUGCAAGUGUAUCAUAAUUUCAACAUCAUUGCCGCCUCUCUUUUUUUCAUAACUCUGUAAAAUUAUUAUGAUUAAAAACUAAUGGACAACAAUCAUUUCAUGAUUAAAACAUACUAUGUAAUCAAUUACCUUGAUGAAUUUGUCUUCUCUGUCCAUAAAAGUUUUAAGCUUCUUUUCAUAAUUCUCCAUCGAGAUCUUCACUGGGAGCUCACUUAGUUUUAGUGUUGUUUUGUCAACAACCUUUAUGAUACCACUAGCGGUAUAGGUAACACCUGAUUUCUUGGUCUUGGUAGUUUCGUUUUUGACACUCACUUCUCCCUGUUGGUUCAUGUACAGAAAAUGAAACACCAACAUUAGAUUUUUUUAAGACAAAAAUAAAAACAGAAUUGUAAAAAAAAGCAUGUAUUACUAACGUUGAAAUGUCUAAACCACAGUUUCAUUUCUUCCAACGUCUCUGAUCCCUGUAUCAUUAGUUUCAAAUUGUGUACAAUAUCUUUGGGAUUGUAACAAGGAAUCUUUGUGCUCCAUCCGGUACCAAUUCCUUCAGCUCCAUUAACUAAAUCAUUGGAAGGAUUGACAAAUACCUAAAAAGUGACAACCAGGCCUUAGCUACUUAUUAUAAAGGUCAAAUUGCUGAGGAUGGAUGAAGCAAGUGGUGCCUAGUUAUUACCAUGAAGGUUCAAUUGAUUGCCCAUCUUCACGCAAAUAUUCGAGCAAAAUAUCAUCAUUUUCAUUAAAUAUCCUGCGAGUGAUACUGGAUAACUCAGUGAAGAUAUAUCUAGCACUAGCAGCAUCUUUGCCUCCCUAAAAUGAAAAACAAGCAUGAAUAAAAUGUUUAACAACUAGUUUUCUCAUAGUGGCUUGAUAACUCACCUCUAAUCUUGUACCAAAUUGUCCAUUGGGACGCAAAAGAUUGAUAUUGUUGCUUCCAACAAAAUCUUGAGCCAUUCUUACUAUUGUGUUUGAUAGAUUUUCUUCACCGUGAUGAUAAGCAGAACAUUCUGCCACAGACGCGGCGAACUGUGCCACCUGUGAUCAAGUAGUAAAUUAGCAAUAUUAUAAGGCUAAUUUAGAGAGAACAUGACACAUAAAUCAUAAUAUGGCAGCCCAACCAGAGGCUCAACCCUUUUCUACUUAUAAGUUAGGACAGAAGCUUUGGAGUGGAUAUGAUUCUCAUCAUCAUAGACUAUCUGGAACAAGAUUGAGAUUGACCACCCACAAGACAAAAGUUUCAAGCAAGCUAGUCUACCUUUAUAUAUUUAGGUGCCAGUAUACAUAAGGAAACUAAAACUAAAUAUAAAAUGGCAAUACAAUCUAAAGAAACUAUGGAAUACAAAAGAUCGAAGCCUACCAUAUUCUCGGCCAUAGCGUCGACUAAUAUCAAAAUAUGUGGAAAAGAUUCAUAUUAGAAAAAACAAAUGAUAGUUGGGAUGCCAUACCUUUGUUUCCUUGUUCAAAUUUUUCUUAAAUGCGCUGAACAUUAUCUUUCUCUGCCCUUUCUUAAAUCCAUCUACAUUUGCGGCCAUACAAAGCUUCAAAAGGAGCCAUUUGGAUACUUUCUUGAUAACUAUUGUUGUAAGAGAAUUCAGCUAAGGGUAGCCAUUUCUCCCAUGCACCCUUGGAAGAUAUCACACAUGCCCUCAACAUAUCCUCUAAAAUUUGAUUCACACGCUCAGUCUGACCGGAGGAUUGAGGGUGGUAGGCUGAACUGCGAACCAACUUUGUACCAAGGAGUGAAUGCAGAUGCUCCCAAAAGCGAGCAAUAAACUGCGGACCUCUAUCAGAAAUAAUAUUGCAAGGCACUACAUGCAAUCUAACAAUCUGAGAGAAGUAAAACUCAGCAUAGUCGGAAGGUCGGUAUGUAGAACGUACGGGAAUAAAGUGAGUUGACUUGGUUAAACGGUAAACAAUCACCCAUAUGGAAUUGUGUCCCUUUUGGGUAGGGGGAAGGCCAACAAUGAAAUCCAUGCUGAUUUCUUUCCACUUCUAGCCCGGAACCGACAACGGUUCCACUAAACCUGGAGGUUUAAGGUGAACUGCCUUUACCCUGCAGCAACUAUCACACCUAGCAACAUAAGCUGCUAUCUCCUUCUUCAUCUUGGUCCACCAGAAAUGAGGUUUCAAGUCUUGGUACAUUUUGCUACUACCAGGACGAAUGGACAACUUGGAAGAAUGAGCUUCAUCUAAAAUUUUGUUGCGUAGGUCACGGUCUUUAGGUACAACUAGUCGAUCGUCAAACCAUAGUACACCCUUCUCAUCUACCCUAAAUUGCUUGGUGUCUUGCUCUUGCAUUUUUCUUUUGAUAUGGAAAAUACCACGAUCAGACUUUUAGAGCUCUAUGAUUUCACUCUCUAACGAGCAGCUGAGUACGAUGUUGUACAGGACCACAGGAUGCAAUAAAUUGAAGCCUUCCUCUAGGAGAGGUCUAACAUGUUGUUUCCGACUGAGAUCAACAGCUACAACAUUGGCCAUGCCCGGAUGAUAGUGUACUUCUAGAUUGUAGUCCUUUAUCAACUCCAACCAUCUUCUUUGUCUCAUGUUUAGCUCGGGCUGAGUGAAUAUAUAUUUAAGGCUCUUAUGGUCAGUGUAAAUGUGACAUAGAUUACCCAACAGAUAAUGCCUCUAGAGUUUCAACGCAUGUACCACUGCUGCCAACUCUAGAUCAUGAGUCGGGUAGUUGGCUUCAUGUUUCCUCAACUGUCGAGAGGCGUAGGCAAUAACUCAGCCUUCUUGCAUAAGCACACAACUUAGGCCAGUGCCGGAAGCAUCACAAAAGACGUCAAAAGGCUUUUUAAUGUCAGGCUGUGCCAGAACAGGAGCGGUGGUCAGCAAAUGGCAUAAAGUGGUGAAAGCGACUUCACAUUCCUGGGACCACACAAACUUUACAUCUUUUUGCAGUAGCUUGGUCAUAGGCUUAGCUAUUUUGGAGAAAUUCGGAAUAAAGCGACAAUAAUGUCCAGCUAGACCGAGAAAACUCCGAACCUCGUGCACUGAAGUCGGGGCCUUCCAGUCUAGAACCUCCUGCACUUUUGACGGGUCAAUAGAAAUACCCUCUUCGGAUAAAAUAUGGCCUAGGAAAGGCACUUUCUUCAGCCAAAACUCACACUUGCUGAACUUGGCGUAGAGCUGAUGUUCUCGCAAUCUAGUGAGUACAAUCCGAAGGUGCUUCUCAUGUUCUUGGACAUUUUCAUAAUAAACCAAUAUAUCAUCAAUGAACACCACCACAAACUUAUCCAGUUCAGGCAUGAACACCGAAUUCAUUAGGUACAUGAAAUGAGCAGGGGCAUGAGUCAGACCAAAGGACAUGACUAAGUACUCAUACAACCCAUACCUGGUAGAGAAAGUCGUUUUAGGAAUGUCUUUGGGUCGGAUCUUGAUUUGAUGAUACCCAGAUCUCAGAUCAAUCUUGGAGAAUACUUUGGCCUUAGCUAAUUGAUCAAACAGGAUAUCAAUGUGAGGCAAUGGAUACUUGUUUUUAACAGUCACGACAUUAAGGGGACGAUAGUCUACACACAUACGUAGAGACUUGUCCUUCUUCUUAACAAAGUGAGCCGGACAACCCCAUGGAGAAGAACUAGGCCGAAUAAGACCUUUCUCUAGGAGUUCUUGCAAUUGCUUCUUCAACUCCGCCAACUCGUUGGGUGGCAUUCGGUAUGGCCUUCUAGAGAUAGGUGCGAUACCCGGAAUUAGAUCAAUUUUAAACUAUAUGUCCCUGUCCGGUGGCAGACCGGGCAGAUCCUCUGGAAAGACAUCCGGAAACUCACACACUACAGGAAUAUCUGACACAGUGAGUGGCCUAAUAGCAUUGGCAGCGUGACGGAUGUCAUCAUUCUUGGGAAGCUGGACUAAGAAGGCUUCUUUGCUAUCAGGCUCUCGCAACAUGACUACCCUCGUGGACGUGUCUAUUAGCACCCCAUUAUUGCUCAUCCAAUUCAUCCCUAAGAUAACAUCUAUUCCCAAGCCCGGCUCACUUUGUUUGUGGAAAUUUGGUUCCCAGCAGCACUAAUGCAGAACUUGCCACUGUCAAGAUCAACUACAUGCUGUCUAUGCUUAGAUGCGAAUGCUUGACUCAUAAAUGAAUGCGAAGCUCCAGAAUCAAACAAGACAACUGCAGGAUGUUGAUUGACAAGAAACAUACCAGCGGUGACCACUUCACCUUCAGGAAUUUCUUCAACUGUGGUGUAGUGCACUUGACCAGUACGGUUAUUACCUCUUGCUGCAGAAUUCCUCUUGGGAUAAGGGCAAUCUCUCGCCCAGUGACCAACUUGUUUGCAAGUGAAGCAAGGGCGGUUGUCAGGGGAAGUCUUAGGACUUCCUUGACCCGUAGCACGCCUAGGAAGAGCAACUGUGAAGGACUUACGAACUCCUGUCUUCACAUUUGACUUUUUCUGCGGCGGCCUGUACCUAGUCACAGCAUUGGGUGAGCGAUAGGCUGGUUUGUUUGUCACCGGAGCCUUGGACUGCGAAGCACCUGCCUCAUAGGCCCUUUUGCGGUUCUUGGACGCGGCAUACACGACGUUGGAGUUCUCUUGAGUCAACGCAUCACUCACAAACUCAUUAAAGGUGGUACUCUUGUUACCAGCUAUGUUCUUGGACAACUUGGGUCCCAGUCCCCUCUUGAAACUUGCAAGCUUCUUGGCUUCAGUAUCAACCAUUUCAGGAGCAUAGCGAGACAAAUUAUUAAAAGCAUGAAGAUACUCAGUCAAGCUUUUAGUGCCCUGUGUCAGGUUCAUGAACUUGGUAUGCUUGAUAGUCAUUAAGCCUUGGGGAAUAUAAGUGUUCCUGAAAGCAGUUUUGAACUGAUCCCAGGUUACAACAGCAUUGGUAGGCAAGCUAGUCCUGUAAUGACUCCACCAGACACCUGCUUUGCCCUCCAACUGGUGGGCUGCAUAUUCCGCCUUUAACUCUUCAGUCACCCUCAACAAGCGGAACUUCUGCUCGAGAGUGUUGAGCCAUUCAUCAGCUUCUAGAGGUUCAACAGCCUCCUUGAAAACCAGUGGCUUCGUGUCAUGGAAAUCCUUGAAGCUACUAUGCUGAUUUGCCUCUCCGCCUUGACGGGCAUGGCGACCACCCCGGUUCUGCUGCGCCAUCGUCUGCAUAGCUUCAUUGAGCAUUCGCUGGUCCUCAACAAGAGUUGCCAAGAGCUCAGCAGGCGUAGUCGGGGGAGGAGGUGGUGGUGGCGGCACCUCAUUGUGACCGGAGCGAGUAUUGCGAGCCAUCUGCACAAGGCAUACCAAGUGACCGUUUAGGACAACAGAUAUAAUUGCCAUGAACCUCAAUUGCUGCCAUACGGAAUUUAAUGAAGUAAAUUCACAUAAUGCAAGGCACAAUAAUCCAUGUACAACAAGAGAAUAUCAUCCACGACACUUGGUUAUUCUCGCGAUCAUUCACAGUCACAAUCCACAAGGAUUAAAGACAUUACAGAAGAUUAUUUAAGCUCAAUAUAAACAUAGAGCAUCAAAAUAAGUGCAUAGGGUUACAUAAAGUUACUGCCACAACUUAAGUCUUACAGGAGGGGCACCAUGGCCAAAUACAUAGAGUCUCAGCUAAAAUUCAGAUUACAUGCCCAUUACAUAAAGAGAUGGAAACUGAUACAUGAGCAUGAAAAUCAUUGCUAGGCUACAUAUCUUCCUCAGAUUCUCCAUUAGAAAUGAUGCCAUCAUCCUGAUCUUCCUCACUGAGCUUCUUCAUGAUUAAAGGGAACAGGAUGUGGGAUAGGAUUUAUGAUAUUAUUUAGGCGAUGGACAUCUAACUGCAGCUCAGCAAUCAUAGUGAUCAGCUCUUCCUCUCUAAUUUCAGCGUGGAACAAAGCUCUAACUCUAGCAGCUUCUCUAUUCUCAGCCAAGCACAUAGCCUCAUCCCUCUCUCUAGUCAUUUGCAUCAUGCGGGCUUGCACCUCAUUGCGCUCUCUAACUGCGUUUUCAACUUGGUUGCGACGGGCUUGGAAAGCGGUGUGAUAAUUUUGGAUUUCAGCUUGUGCAUCACUAACAGCCUUGCGGUGCUUGCGCACACGCUUGCGUAGUUUGCGCUGCUCAACUUGAGCUUGUUGGAGCGCUAGCAUAGCUUCUAUGUAGGUGUCCUGGCGUACAUAGUACAACUUAAGUACCGCCAGCAUGGCACUCAUGGCAGGGCUAGAGCUAUAUCCUAGCAUGGUUUCUCUCAUUUCUAAAGGCUCAGUUCCUAUCUGAGACACAAAUGUGUCAGUCACACUCACUCUAGGAAAUGAUCCAGCUGGGCCAUUAGUUAACUCAUCCCCAUAGUCUUGGCAUAUUUCUAGCAAUACUUCUAAGGCUGCUACUUGGGCACCCUCCCAAGGAGUUUGACCAUCGGACUCUACUAUCCAGCCUAGCCACUGUGGGUUAUUUGGGCAAGGGGGAACUGUAAUUUGAACAUCUACCCAAGGUAAAGAUCCCGCAUGCUUGGCCUCUGUCCAAGUGUACCGAGGUGGUUCCUCAUAUCCAACUGAACUUAGCACCCUCCACAACAAGGUAGGAGUGCCAAACAUGUCUAGAAAAGUCUCACUUGCGUGUGGGGCUGCCAUCUGUAGGAAGACCACAAUUGAGUAAGGGAGAUUAAUUACAAGGAAAGGUAAAUAGAUAUAUUUUUAGAAUUUAAGACUUAAGUAGUGCAUAAGGAAUGUAUGAAUGAUUCAUGAUGCAUGCACGUUCCAUACGUCCUUUCCAUUUCUAGAAGAAAGUUCUAACGGUAUAGUCGGUGGCAUACAUACGUGCACUCCUUAUACGCAACUACACGGUCUACACGUUUCGUUGUAAGUGUACCUGCAGAAAAUUUCAUUUCAGCCCAACCCCACAAUAGUAUAUGUGCGGAAAUGUAAAUCCAAUCAUCAACAAUCAAGCUAGAUACUUUGAUAUAUAUUCCUGAACAUAUAUCGCAGCACACUACCCUUUUGGGAUACACCCACAUAUACAUCAAAUAUGUAUACAUGGCUGCACCUACUAUCCACAAUUAAGUACCUUCAUAUAUACAUGUGUAAAACAUGUAAAUAUUCCAGUAACCACAGCUAACUCUCCCCUAGACCGACGGUUGGACGGUCAUGCUCUCACAGCUCACACUUACCGUAGCGUAGAGGCGUAUAGAUCCAUACAUUACCACUCAAGCAAGUGGUAUCCAUACAAUUUCACGCUGUAUGGACGACGAAAGAAAACAAUCAUUGUUUACCAUGGCGUAGAGGUAUGUGAUCCAUUCAUUACCACUUAAGUAAGUGGCAUCCAUAUUGUUGCACGCCAUAUGGACGACGAAAGUAAAAACCCCCAUGUUAGUAAUAUUAAGCCACCUAGAAGUCCUUAUAUGGGCAUAAAGGGUAUGACCACUGGCAUGGUAUAAGUUAUUGAAACAUUUUUAAACCACCCUAUGUAUAUCCUAAUUUUCCAAUUAGUUUUAGGAAAAACAAAUUCAUUUGUUUUUAAAUACAUCUAUGAUGGCUAAAUGCUUAAUCUUGCUCUGAUGCCAGCUGUAACAGAACCGUCCAAUUUAUAAGAAUUUAAGUGAAUUAGGGACCACGGAGGCAAUCAAGCCAAUGGACUCGAACCCAUAUAAACCCGGUAGUCUAACGAAAUCUCAAAAGACCUCGAUUCAACCAACAUACAACCAAGAUCAUACAUGAUCAAGCAUCGCCAUCAUAGAUUACAUACAUUUAUCACAGAACAUAGUUUUACAUCACAUCAGAGUUUAAAAGAGGUUAUUACAAACCAGAGUAGUAGCGGAAACAAAGUAGUUUUAAAACAUCGCACACUCAGUUUAAAUUACAUGCCAGAUCCAUGGUCAAACCCAACAAAAGCACAACUGAAGAUAAAGAGGGUGAUCACGCCCAUGAUCUAUUCAUCGUCCGCAGCCGGAUGAUGGCAGUUAGCACAGUAGCCGUGAUAAACGACAUCAUCUGCAACAAGGGUAAAUAAACCUUGAGUACCAGAAUAUACUCAGCAAGACUUACCCGUCAUAAACCAAAAAUAAAGUGACACCAAAGGAGUAUGCAAGGCUGAUCUUUGUGGACUGGUUUGACUCACCUUUUGCAUAAAAAGCUUUAGAUGUAAGUAAUUCAUUUAUAACAUUUUAGCAGCAGGUUCAUCACAUAACAACUAUCCACUAGAUUAGCACCUGUUCUAAGCACACAAACUUGAGUAAUUAAGCAAUUCAAUAAUAACCAUAUCCGGAUUAUCACUUUGCUAUCAACAUUCUCAUCAUAACCAUUAAGUUUAUUUAGUGAAUUCUACGUUGCCGCUGCCCAAGUCAAGUUCUCACUAUCCGGGAGAGACGGUGAUUCAAAUCGAUUCCUAUCCAGCUAGAGGGGUAUUCCUAACACUCACCCAAGCAUACUUCAUGAGGGCAGCUCGGAUCACCUUUAGCACAACUCCGGACCAAUUCGCGGGUCCGUACAGCGCCGCACCCCCAGGGACCGCCAAUCUGCUAGGGUCAGGACUCUAACCAGACACCUCGGUCUUACGCCAUUGACUUCCCGCACAUCCUUGCUACCAACCAGGGUGCGCACUUAAACCGAAUGGGGUAUCCGGCCGGAGAUGCACUCGUAGGCUACGCGGUCGGAACGACUUAUCUGGCCAACUAAGUGAUAGGCAUGCGUUCAACAUGACACGGGGACGUAUAGCGAUUCGGUCCUUAACCGACACAGACGGGGAUAGAUUCACACCCAAGACCUCCAUGCCUUGUUGCUGCAUUAUCAUCUUCCCGCCCGGUCUCAAGUUCAUUAUUAGCACAUGGUUAUUUCCACGAUAGCAAAUAUAGCCAACCGUGAUCAGCAUCCACCUAUCUCUCGCAGGUGAUAGGAAAUCACCCGACUUCUACUGAGCUAGCAUGGCUAAGCAUUAUUUCGAUCCUGGACCUACUUAGGUAAGGUAUAAGGUGGACAAGGUAGUUAAUCAUGCAGCAAGGGUGUCAUAUCAACGCCUAAUACUUAAUGCAACAAUACAUAACCAUAGUCAAUUGAUAGCUGGACAUGAUAACAAAAUAGUAGGAGGCUUAUAAUGCUCCGGGGCUUGCCUUCAACGUAGGUGGACGGGCGAUGGUCGGGACACUCCGGCAAGUCCUCCUCCUCAGCUCCUUGAGGUGGCUCCCUUUGUUGAUCUUCCGGCUCCGGCAGCUCGAACUCCAAAACCGUCACCCCCUUGGGUACACCUAUGUAUGCAUGACAAGGUGAUAAACAUAGGGAAUGCACAUAAGAUGCAAUAUGUCAUGAUGCUGAGCCAAGGAACACACAACAAGGUAUAAACAUUAGCAUAAACUCCUAAAAUUAAGUGAAUCAUAGAAUAACAAGUAAGUGCAUAUUUCUUCUCUGGUAGAGAGGCUAACUAGACAAGUUAAUCAACCUUAGCUACUCCUACUCAGUCACUGGUUUCAUAGACAAACCAACUUGUCACAAGUUUCAGCUAUAACUUAAGCAUCCUUUGGCCAAACUAAGCAAGUAGAUACUCUUUGGAAAGCUUAGCAAAUUGUCUACAAUCGACUUUUAGACAUCCCAGAAUGAUUCCCAACCGAAAUAUGUUAAAACAUACAAAGUUGUCUGGCUAUCCUGGAAAAUCCAGAGAGCAAGCACUUUGCAGCAGCUACUUGUAACAUUCAUAACUUAUAAACUACUCAACCAAAUGUCAUGAAACUUGGACACGAAGUAUAUAAGCAAGUUAGCUACAAGUUUGUUGUAGACAAGUUUCCCAGAAAACAUCAUAUUCAAUUAGUUCUUAAGCAAUUGCUAUCAGCUACACAGAAUUGCUCUAUGAAAGGCAUAAAUAGCAAAAAGAAUAUUUUGCACAUAGCAAGAAUGUAUCACAGGGUCAAUCCAAUUGCACCAGUAGGUAGAACAUGACUAAGAAACACUAGAAAACAUCAUGGCAAGGUCUAAACUCAUUUCUAUCAUCACCUUUUUUAUUUAUUUAAUUAUUAAGGUGAUUUAAUGAACAUGCAUACCAAGUGCUCCAAUAAUUCUAAGACAAUUACAGCAAGCUACUUAUGCUAACACAAGGUUACUGUAAAAUUUUCAGGGCACUUGCGCAUACAGAUUGUGAGAUACAAAAAUAACAAGCUAGCAAAGGCAUGCAAGGCAUAAAUGUGAAACCCUAUCAAAAAGUGUCAAACAACAGAUUUCAGAUUUUUCCUAGCUUUGUUUACACAUGAGUACAACACUCAGCAAAUUUCACCACAAAAAGAGUUAUAACUUAUUUAUUAAAAAUACCACAAGAAACUCUUGUUUGAAAAAGAAAUAUUUAUAACUUCACAAUCGAACCUCCAAAAAUCAUGAUAAAUUUAUGAGAGCCUAUUCAUGUCAUAAGUGACAACACCCUAAAUUUGCAGGGCCACCAGAUCAACAGAUCUCAAGAUAUAAUUGUCUCCUAUAUACUCAAGAUUAAAUCAUAUAUAUUUAUUUCUGCAAAAACAUGGCAAGUUUCAUAUUUUUAAUGAAAACUAGACUUAUACAGGAACCUAACAAAAUUGGAGUCACAUCAUUUGGAUCUAUAAUACUCAAGAUAUGAAUUUUACAAAAUCAACACAGGAUCUGCAAAACAGUGAACCAGGGAUGUGUGAGAGAGAGACUGACAGGUGGGAUCCGCUGACACACGGGACCCACGCGACAGAGAGACAGAGACAGGGGAGAUGCUCGUCGCCGGCGAAACUCGACGACAACGAGGUCUCGGUCGGAUCCAAGGGCAUCUAUGUGUUCAUCUCCUCAAGGCGACUCUGUUGACCUACUUCACUCGCGCUCUACUGGACCCUAGGGUGCUCGCCGUCGUGAAUGGCGGAGCGGCGGUGCUGCGCGGCGUUAUGCCGGCGAACCUAGGCAACGGCGACGCGGUAGAGGUUGCGGACGAGCAAGAGUGAAUCAAGGCGAAGCUAUAGGAAGAAGAAUCACGGCUAGAGGUGAACCAGAGAGGUCUGGCCACGUUGCCGGUGAUCUCUGCGAACUCCGGCGAGGUGGAGCUCGCGGCGGAGUUGGCAAUGCGACCUCACCAGUGCUCGGCGAAGCGAAAGGAGUGGACGUCAAGGUAGAGGACGUCGAGGCAGAGCUCUGGACGAACUGGCUCGGCCAGAGACGGGGAGGAACGGCCGGGAAAGCUCGUCGAAGCGCGGCGGAGCUCGCCGAGGACGAAGGCGGACGCAAUGUGGCGCUCUGAACGAGGGGAGGUCGCGUCUGAGGCGUCCACUCGGUGCGUGGCGACUUGAGGACGCCGUGGGAGCUGACAGGAGGGACCGUCGACGGCGUACGGCCGACACCUGGCUGGACACGCGGCGGCGGACGGCGACUGUCCAAACUGAAUCAUUUUCUAAAUCGCCCGAUUCCGACGACUGAAACCCGAUCUUCAGCAACGUUUUACUCUCAGUUCAAUCAAUGGUUUUGGCUCGGAUUUGAUCCUUUAGAUAGAGCUACACAAGUUCUACAAGUUUGCUUACAAGAUCAAAGUCUAACUCGGUCUGGAUUUCAAUCUACAAAGCUCCCAACAACCCUACCGCGAAACUGUGAGAUUCGAGACUUAGCCAAAUUUGGCUAAGUGUGAAAUCAGCCCUGAUUUUUGCCUUGUGAGCAAUUUUGGAAUGUUUCCCAAGCCUUUUUAUGAAAAGUCAUCAACAUAACUUUUGUAUCUUACAAAAUAUACUACAACUUUGCUUUAGGUGUCAUUUACAUGCAAGGUUUCUAACAUCAGUUUCAUAAACCAUCUUUGAAAAGAGGUCUAGGGGGUCAAAUAGGUCAAUCUAGGGUUAACCAUGACUUAGGGGCAUUUUUGGCCAAAACCUCCAACAUGAACUUUGUUCAAAAUGUUGUUCUAAACAUGACUAAAGUAUUUUGGAAGACAAUGUACACUUGUCUGCAUUGGUCACCCACUAAAGUCACUCAAAUCAAGCCACACAAGUAAUUUAAUCAUACAUGGGACACAUAAGAUGACAUGUGAUCAUGAUGUGUGCUUAUGGAUGAGCAUGAUGAUGCUUAUGUUGAUGCAAUGCUCAUGGUUAACAUGCAAGCUAACACUAGGAGUGUUACACUGUUGAUUCAAGGAUCCAGGAUCAGAGGGAAACGUCCUGGCUCCGGGAUAGCGGCCCAUUGGUCCUUCCUGCUGAAGGAGAUCUCCCUGUGCGACCAGGGAGGAAAAUUCGGAUCGGCGACCAGACCGUCUGUGCUGUCCACGUUGAGGCAGGCUCUCUUCAAGAGCUUUCUUUCUUGCUUAGUCUCGAUGGAAACUUUGCCUCCGAAGAUGGAGUGGACUACGUCGGUGGGACUGACAUACUGGUGUCGUGGGUCCCUAUCCUGGUCGUCGUCCUCGUCUUCAUGGCCACGCCUGUCCUGCUUCCCAUUUUUCUUGGCGGAGUCGUCUUGAGCGGCCCACUGUGUGUAGAUGAUUUUGAGGACACGGCAUUCUUCCACUGUGUGACUGGACUUGGGAUGGAGUUGGCAUGGUCCUUUCAAUGUCUUGUUGUAAUCUUCUUAGUAGUCUCGUCGCCCAUUGGGGCGCUUGACCGUAUUCACCUCGUGGCCAUGGUCACGAGGGCGCUUGCCCCAGAAGUCAUCACGGUUGUCACGCCGCCUGUCCCAACCUUCUCUAUGGUCAUGGUUGUCAGUGCGACGAUGGAUCCUAUUGUCAAAGUGUCCACGACUGUCGUCUCGUCGAGGAGGCUGGUCGGGACCUCUCGCAUCCUCUCGGAUGAGCUUUUCUGCGUCAUCAGCGUCAGCGUAGUUUUUUGCCAUGGCGAGGAGCUCGGCCAUCGUGGUCGGCCUUUUGCGCAGUAGCUUAUUCCUUAGUGCUUCAUGGAAGCAUAGCCCUUUGAUGAAGGCUGAUAUGGCCUCGUCAUGAGAAAUUUUUGGAAUUUUAAGACGCAUAUCCGAGAAUCUUCGGAUGUAAUCACACAGAGGCUUGUUUUUCCUAUCCCUUAUUCUCUCGAGGUCGUACUUGUUCCCAGGCUGCUCGCAGGUAGCGAUGAAAUUGUCAAUAAACGCCUGGCAUAGUUCUUCCCAAGAGUCAAAAGAGUCCUCGAGCAGGCCGAGGAGCCACUGAUGGCCAGCCUGGUCGAGGACGACUGGGAAGUAAUUUGCCAUGACAUGCUCGUCUCCUGCUGCCGACCGAACGGCAAUCUCGUAGAGAGUGAUCGAGUUUUCUGGGUUUUCCUUGCCGUCAUAUUUUUUAAGCUUCUCAAGUUUAAAGUUGCGGGGCCAUACGACUUGGCGAAGGUGUGAAGAAAACUGUCUUAGGCCGGGAGGGCCGUGCGCGGCAUCGUACUCAAUGCGUCGCAAGUUUUCGUGUACCGCUAUUUCCGUGGCGCGCCGGUUGAUGCAGUCGCGGGCGUCCUUGGGAGGGAUGUUGUAUCGUAGAUCCCUGUCCUGGUUUAAUUCCUGACCACACCCACGCUUCUACUCGCGGUAGCAGCCGGUGUCCCGACCACGGUUGUCGCGCCCCAUAUCUUUCCUGUGGUUGUUGGGAGAGCAGCUACGAUGGCGCUCGCUGGGUGAAGUCCGACUGCGAUGGGUCUGGUCGGAAGAGACCUCUGUGUAGGAGAUGGCUUGGACCCUUUUGAGUAAGGUGGCUGUCUGUCCCAUCGCGGCGAUCAGGUGUGCGCGUAUGCUGGACCGAACACCCUGGCACUCAAGGGUAUCAGUGAAUCAGUCCAGGUUUGCCAUAGCAACAGCCACGUUAGCACUCAGUGUCUUGUAGACUGGCUGAUCCCCAACCAUGUCGAAAGCAUCACUGAGGUUAUGCGGCGCAAGUUGUCGUUCUUCAUCCGCGCGCCGCCGAGCGCGGUCGGCAUUGCGCUGUUCGCGGAGCUGCUUCUGCUCGUCUGUUUCUCCAUCGACAACCGGUUCAUUGUUGCUAGCAUUGAAGAUAAGAUCUCCCCGCCGAGGUGGAAAGACUGGGAAGCGAGAGAAGCCUGGAGGAUACGGUGGUAAAUCCAGGUCGUAAUCUUCGUCCUCGGAGUUUAGAACCUCGGUGGGGAUAGACCCUGUGCUGGAGUUAGUACUGGCAGCAUUGUCGUUCGGUAGUACUUGGAUUGAUACUGUUGACGGUUCUUAAGUAUCAAUUUGAAUUAUCAAAUAAACAAGAGAAAGGACCAAUAUGCAACCAACACCAAGAAUUAGGGUUUGAUCUAUCAGAAUUCCACGAGUUUUGUUGUUUAUCUAUUUCUGUAGGGGUUAUUAGGAAACAAGGAAGAAAGGCCCACAUGUCGGGAUUACAUAGAGAUAUCAACGCACCACGCAAUUUUCUACCAUCUAGAAGACUCUAGAAGCCACGGGAACAAAGUGGAGGCCGAAAGGGGCCUGGCCCAGGGCGCCCGCCCCCUCCUGGAGUUGGAUCAGGACUCUUUUCGCGGACGACGCUCCACUGACCUAAAGGAUCAAGGAUAACCGUCCAAUCAAUGUCGGUUUGAUCCAAUGACUCACGUUCACUUGAGGGGACUAUAAAACCAGACCCCCUGGCCCCUAGAGGAGACAAGUUCAUCAUAGAGUUGAGAGGAGCCCUCGAAGGAAAACCUCUCCUCUAAAUAAAAUUUCUUUUUAGGCUUAGCAACCAAUGUGAGUAGAAAUAGAUCUUCUAGUUUCUACUAGAUUGAGAGAGAUAGAGUGGAGGUGUAGAUCGGAGGAUGCUCGGCCUGUCGAUGUCUACUCCAAGCUUGUACCUGCGGGAUCAAGUUCUCCUAACCCAAAGCUUGUUCCUAGGAUUCUUCAGUAUUUCAACUUCUAAAUUCUAGUAAGUUCUUCUUUUAUUGUUCUUUGGUUUAUGAGUUUACUUUAAUCUCUUCGCGUAGAGUUUAGAGUAAUCAUCUCUAGCGUAGACGUGGUGUUUGGGCUAGGAUACUCAUAGAUAUUCCUUGACUAGCUAGACCGUGGUAGUAGCGAGGAACGUGUCAUUUCUGAGUUACCUUUGCAGACUAUAUCUCGUUAGCAGGAAGGAUAGGGUUUAUAGGUGCGGGUUGAACAUCCUCAGUGGUGUCUAGAUUCCAUAAGCUUCCCCAAUAGAACAGUAGAUCAUCCUUACCAAGGUUAGAAGGAGAUUACGGUUGUAGUCUUCUCUAUUUAUCACUCACAUCGAGAAACAUUCUUUGUUGCCUAAAGGGUUAGUAGUAAUAGACCAGGUUAGUCAGAUGCACUCUUUCUCCUAGUGGUAAAAAAAUAAAUACGAUACUCUAGAUAAUCUCCCGGGUGAAGUGCUCACCGAUAUCCGUGCGCUUGCGGAUCAAUUCCUUAUUGCAUUCCCAAAUAUCAACAAGCAUUUCUGGCGCCUUUGCCGGGGAGAAAGGUGGUUUGCUGAGAUAACCUUGAGUCUUACUACUAGCUUGUAUGUAUACUUUUAUCGUUUCUUAUCUUUUAUAUUCUGUAUUUAUUUUCUUUACUCUUACCUUAUGGAAAACCAAGAUUCUAAAUCAAUUUACCAAUUUGCAACACCUUCAGAAACUGACCUUUUACCAUGGGAGUCAUACAGCCUAUCCAAACAUCCCAGUAUAAGUUAAGUUCUAGGUUGAUUGCAAUGAUUCAAAACCUAUCUUUUUUGGGAAAGGAAGACGAAAACCCUUACCUUCAUAUUAUAGAUUUUGAGCAAACAUGUGAUUGUCUUCGCAUUGAAGGCAUUUUCGAUAAAACUUUUACGGUGGAAGCUUUUUCCUUUUUCCUUAAGGGGAGAAGCUAGACAAUGAUACAGUCAGAAGGUAAGUCAACAACGAGGUGAAUGGGGAGUUUUACGAGCCAACUUUUGUCUAGAUUUUUAUUCCCUCGACCGUAUCGGCGACCUUAGACUCGAAGUCCUAUCUUUUAAACAAAAAGAUAAUGAAACUUUGGGAAAAUCCUGGAAACAUUUUUCUAAUCUUUUAGAAUCUGGUCCAAACCUUAAUCUUGAAGACCCUGUUCUUUUAUUUCACAUUUUUCGAGGUCUUCAGAUAGAUCACAAACAAAUGCUACAUACAAUGUCUAGAGGUGCUUUCUUUCGCAUCCCUGCUAAUGAAGCUAGAGUGAUCCUAGAUAGAAUCCUAGAAGCUGAGAUGGAUAAUACCCUUCAUGAUGAAACCCACAAAGCCGAAGUAGACACUCUGCCAAAUUCUUCAUCUACUUUAGCUAUCCCAAGUUCUGAGCCACAAAAGGAAGAAAUUCCACCACCGGACUUCAUGCUGGAUAUAGAAUCUGAUCUUUUUGCCAAUUUUGGAAACAUUGCAAACUACCAUUCUACUAACAGACCCCAAAAUGGCCAUUUUAGCAUUUGUUUACCAAGUGAACAUCAAUUGAGAGAGCUUAUCUCAGUCAUGAGUAGCGAGUGGUUGGAGGAAUCAGAGCUUUCCUCUGAUGUGAUCCGUCUGGACACGCCCUCUAUAACUAUACGAUGUGCUUAUGAUUCUGAUCGAUUUGAUGCUCUUUAUAAUCCUGUUGUGGGGAUCAACAUUAUGUCUGAAUCUUUUGCACUUAAACUAUUUAAAAAUCUUGUCUUAACCCCCACAACAAAGGUCAUAAAGGAAUCUUCAGGACGAUUAGUCCCCAGUCUUAGAAUUAUUAAUGUCCUACCUCUUACGCUAGAAGGCUCCAUGGUUCAUUUGAACUUCUAUAUCUUUGAUACAUGGGACUUCGACCAGUUGAUAGGACAGCCUUUUAGAAGACUUCUUUAUGAGGGUCAUACUGGAAAGCUACACAUUUCUUUUGGAAAAACCUUUAAAUUCCCAAUAACAAUUUCUCACUCCUUAAAUAAUAAGGCUGAGUCAUAUCUUUUGCCUGAUCCUAUGCAGGAGGUAAAGGCUGCAUCUCUAGAGCUAUUAGAUGAACCAGACUUAGAAUACGAAACUCCUUUCUUCAUAGAAGAAGAAGUUGAAUCUUCCGAACCUGAACCCUUAGAUGAGUAUGCAGAAACACCUAGACGUACCAUAGAGCUUAAAACUUUACCACCCGGUCUUAUCUAUUCUUUCCUAAACAAUAAUCCAGAGUUUCCUGUGAUCAUUAGUGAUAGACUCACUCAGGAGCAAACUCUGCGAUUAAUGACCAUUCUUGAGAAACAUCACUCAGUUUUCGGCUACUCACUCCAAGAUCUUACAGGAAUUAGUCCUAUGAUUUGUACCCAUCGUAUUCCGACAGAUCCUUCUGUUUCACCCUCUCAAGAACCUCAACAUAGACUGAACAACACGAUGAGAGAGGUAGUUAAAAAGGAAGUUAUAAAGUUGCUGCAUGCAGGGAUUAUAUAUCCUGUGCCGCAUAGUGAGUGGGUAAGCCCAGUUCAAGUUGUGCUUAAAAAGGGAGGCAUGACUGUUAUAAUGAAUGAAAAGAAUGAGCUAAUUCCGCAACGCACCGUCAUAGGAUGGCGGAUGUGCAUAGACUAUAGAAAACUAAACAAAGCCACAAGAAAGGAUCAUUUUCCUUUACCUUUCAUAGAUGAGAUGCUAGAGCGAUUAGCGAACCAUUCAUUCUUUUGUUUCAUAGAUGGAUAUUCAGGGUAUCACCAAAUCUCGAUCCAACCCGAUGAUCAAAGCAAAACCACUUUUACAUGCCCAUAUGGAACUUAUGCUUACCGUAGAAUGUCUUUUGGGUUAUGUAAUGCACCAGCUUCUUUUCAAAGAUGCAUGAUGUCUAUAUUUUCUGAUAUGAUUGAAGAGAUUAUGGAAGUUUUCAUGGAUGAUUUCUCUGUUUAUGGAAAAACUUUUGAUAGUUGUCUUGAAAAAUUAGACAAGGUUUUGCAGAGAUGUGAAGAAAAGCACUUGGUCCUUAAUUGGGAAAAAUGUCAUUUUAUGGUUAGGGAAGGAAUAGUGCUGGGACACCUAGUGUCUGAAAGAGGUAUUGAGGUAGACAAAGCUAAAAUUGAAGUAAUUGAACAACUACCUCCACCUGUGAAUAUAAAAGGAAUUCGAAGCUUUCUUGGCCAUGCUGGUUUUUAUCGUAGAUUCAUAAAAGAUUUCUCAUUUGUUGCUAGACCACUUACUCUUUUGCUAGCCAAGGAUGCUCCUUUCGAAUUUGAUGAUGCAUGUCUAACAUCUUUCAAUUUAUUAAAGAAAGCACUCAUCUCUGCACCAAUCAUUCAACCCCCUGAUUGGUCGUUGCCUUUUGAAAUUAUGUUUGAUGCUAGUGAUUAUGCUGUGGGGGCAGUUUUGGGACAAACUAAAAAUAAGAAGCAUCAUGCAAUUGCUUAUGCCAGUAAAACUUUGUCAGGAGCUCAACUUAAUUAUGCAACCACUGAAAAAGAGCUUCUGGCUGUUGUCUUUGCCAUUGAUAAAUUUAGAUCUUAUCUAGUUGGAGCUGAAAUAAUUGUUUACACUGAUCAUGCUGCACUAAAAUAUUUGCUCACUAAAAAAGACGCUAAACCUCGCCUAAUUAGAUGGAUCUUAUUACUCUAAGAAUUUGACUUAGAAAUAAAAGAUAAAAAGGGAGUAGAAAAUUCUGUUGCUGAUCACUUGUCUAGAAUGUAUUUUAAGAAUCCACAGGAAACCCCCAUCAAUGAUUCACUCCGGGACGACAUGCUCUACGGGAUUAACAGGUCUGACCCCUGGUAUGCAAAUAUUGUUAAUUUUAUGGUUUCAGGGUAUGUACCACCAGGAGCAAACAAGAAGAAGCUUAUUCAAGAAAGUCAUUCACAUAUAUGGGAUGAGCCAUACCUCUUCCGGGUAUGCUCAGAUGGCUUACUCAGGAGAUGUGUGACCACUGAGGAAGGAUGGAAGAUCAUCGACAGAUGUCAUUCAUCACCAUAUGGACGUCAUUAUGGAGCAUUCUGUACACAUUCAAAGAUCUGGCAGUGUGGAUUCUACUGGCCUACAAUGUAUGAAGCCACGAAGCAAUAUAUGAGAAGAUGUGGGUCAUGUCAAAGGCACGGAAAUAUAAAUACAAGGGAUGCAAUGCCACUCACCAACAACCUUCAGAUUGAGCUCUUUGAUGUCUGGGGAAUAGACUAUAUGAGUCCAUUUCCUCCAUCAAAGAAGUGUGAGUACAUCUUGGUGGCAGUUGACUACGUCUCCAAGUGGGUAGAGGCAUUACCUUGCAAGCAUGCCGACAACAUCAGUUCAAAGAGGAUGUUUGAAGAAAUUAUAAUUCCAAGAUUUGGAGUCCCCAGAGUAGUGAUAAGUGAUGGAGGAGCACACUUCAUCAACAAACGCUUCAAGCAAUAUCUAUCAAAACAUGGAACCCGUCAUAACGUCGCUACCCCCUACCAUCCGCAGACAAGUGGCCAAGCAGAGACUUCCAACAACCAAAUCAAGAAUAUUCUUUAGAAGACAGUUAAUGAAAUGGGAACGGCAUGGAGAGACAAGUUACCCGAUGCACUCUGGGCAUACCGGACAGCAUACAAGUCCCCAAUUGGAAUGUCUCCAUACCAAUUGGUGUACGGGAAGACUUGCCACCUACCUGUUAAACUAGAAUUCAAAGCACACUGGGUCAUAAGGAGAUGGAAUAUGGACCUAGAUGUCGCUGGAGAUCAUAGAAGAAUGCGACUAUCAGAAUUGGAAGAAUGGCAAGAGAAAGCAUAUCACAAUUCGAAGAUCUACAAAGAAAGAGUCAAAAGGUGGCAUGACAAGAGAAUCAAGAAGAAGGAGUUCGCACCCGGAGAUAUGGUGUUGAUGCAAAAGUGGAUCUGCAAACAGAAAGAGCUAAUACCCGAUUUCAAACAUUAAGGCGUGCCAGCCGAUUUGACCUUACUAUCGGCAAAGGUGAUAGCUGUAACAUCCGUGAUGUUACGAACACUAAAACUAGAUCAUGUCAUCAUAAGCAUUGCAAAGCAUAUUCGUUAAGCACAUCAUUAUGCAUCAACUUAAAAUAAGUUUAUUUUUGUUGAUUGUGCUUAGGGAAUUAAAGUGUGUUUAUCUUGUGAAGUGAUGCUUGUGAUGGUUGUUUAAUCCCUAGUUAAGGAGGUUUGUAAGGAGGCAGCUAAGAAAAACCCCUAAUUUCAACCCUAGUUUUUACCCCCGUUUGUGUAACUUAAAAACUAAGCAAAAUUUGGGGAUGAGUUCAAAUGCAAAGUUGUAGAUCUUGUCAAGGUGUACAACUUUGGUGUUUCGAGUUUUUGAAGUUUCAAUACAAAAUUGAAAGUAAUUUUGAAAAUACAGAUUUCCAGAAAUUGUCCCCUUUUCCAAUUUUAAUUCCUAAUUCAAAACCUAUUUGGAAUCUUGAAAAGGGAUCAAAAUAAAAGUUGUAGGGCUCAUCAAAAUGAACAACUUUUAUUUUGGGAGUUUUUCAAGUUGUUGAGAAAAAUCAAAAGUAAUUUUAGAAUUUCUAUUCUGCCCCAAUUAAAACCAGUUUUGCCCCCAAAUUUAAAUUUUUGAAUUUCAAACUGUUUGGCUCAAAUUCGUCCCUCUAUAUUCAAAAUUUGUUUUGGGUCAUUAAAUAUGAUUUGUAGAGUUCAAAAUUCUUAACAAAUGUUGUUUUGGCUGAAAUUUGAGUGGUAUUCGAAUUUUGGGAAUAAUUUUGGAAAUUGAAGAGAGGGGAUAAGCACUGCUUGCUACAGUCACCAAUGGCUGACAGCCAACUCCGGCACCCUAGCGCUGCCGAGCUCGCGCUGGCACUCUGAAUGAGAGCCCAUGCAGCUGCCUGCUUGCUUAUUGUCUCGACCUCAACUGGAGCCAUCCUCAUCCACUGAACCCAAGCCGCCAUUCUUCCUGCUAACUGCCGCCGCCGUGUUUUGCUGUCGUCACCAUAGCACGCCGCCCACACUCUCUAUCGAGAACCAGCAGCUCCGCCAUCCUCUUGCGACGCGAUAGCGUCCACUCAAGCAUGCUCAACCCUCUCCAAUUCCCUGGCCGGCUCUCUUCUUCCCCGGAGUCGGCAGAAACGUCGCCGCAACCUCGCCACCAUGGCCAGCCCUCCUCCGUGCUUCUCCACCAUUUCUGAGCAGCUUGACAAAGUCGUGGUGAGUCCCUGAUGCUCCCCAACUCUUCCCCUCGCCCCCAACGAACGUCAACAGGCCGGAAAUCAGGUUUCGUCCAAUAUCCUCUGCUCUCGAUUCGCGACCAGGGACUUCGCGCAACAAUUUGAAGUUCUCCAGGGGUCUAAUUGCACAGACUGUGACUCAGGUGAAUAGUGCUAUAAGGACUUGUUUGUAGAUGUUUUGUUGAAUCUUUGAAAAUUCAUAUCUGGAGUUUGGUAACUCAAAUUUUCGUGAAACAAAUUUUGUUGUCCUCCUUAAGUUGUCUAGUUUUUAUUAAAAAUAUAUAACUGACCAUGUUUUGUAGUAAAAUAAUUGAUUAUGAUUUAUGCCUUUUAAUUAUGUUUAAAAAGGAGAAAUUCAUAUCUCAUUCUGUGUAGCUCCUAUGGGCCUGAACUUUUUAUUAUGUUCUCAUGAUGUUAUGUGAGUGUUGCAGUAAAAAUUUCAUGUUUAGUAGAUGAUAUAUGGUGAAGUUAUUAUUUUAUCUUGUUUAGUGCUUAUUAAAUAGUUUAUAAUUAAACUAAAAAUUAAUAAAUAUAAAAUAUGGUUCCUGUACCCUUAUAUGAGGUUGUUAUAUCAUAUAGAUACAUAAUUUAGCCAUGUGUUUGUAGAAAAUGUCGAGUUUCUUAUUUAUCUUUUUGUUACAUCCUUCCUUGUAAUGGAAAUUUAUCUUUUUCAUGGAAAUUGCUAUACUUUUCCAAAUGGCAUGAAAUUUAUACAGUAGACUUUGGAGAGCAUAUAUGAGCUUCUGUAGUUUUCUCAGAAUUUACUGUGUACUUUUGAUAUAUGGUUAUUACUUUGUCUAUUUAUCUAAAUAAAUUAAUAAAGACAUGAAAGGUAUUUAUUUAGGGAUGGCCAUGAUGUUUUCUAGUAUCUCUUUGAUGUAUUUCAACUGUUGGUGAGCUGGGUUUUGCCCAGGUUCAAGUUUGGAACAUAAAUGAAAUAUGAUUUCUCUAUAAUUCAAAUGUUAGUGGUUUCUCGACAAUUUCUGGAGCAUUAUGAAUUGCUCUAGGUAAAUAAUGUUGGAUAUGAAACUUGUCUAUAACAAAGUUGUAUAGAAUUCAUGUAUCUAGCUGGUGUUAAAUUUUGGUGGCAUUAGUCCUUGUAGUUUCUGAAUUAUGCCUGUUUAAAUUCAAGUUUCAGAAAUGGUUCCCUCUGUCAAAUCCUGGAUCAGUUUCUGUAGUUGUGCAAUUUCGACCUACUAAACUUAUGAAUCAUGCUUUCAUGAUAAAAGAUGAAUUGUAUUGAUUUUCAUAAGCUUUCCAAAAUGUUAUGGAUCAUGAAUUUUGGUGAUCUAGAACUCUGGUUAUAGAUGUAUGAAGCUUAAUGUCUGAUUCUGUCCAAGGUCUGGACAGAAUUGUUUAUUCAUACUGUUUGGCCAUUUUAUCUAUUAAAUCAGUUCUCGAAGAUGAUAACAAAGUUGCAGAAAAUUAUAUAAGCUUUCCAGAAAGUCUAAUAUCACCUUUAUUGGAUGCUUGGAUCUCUAAUUAUGGUUGAAUGAAGUUGUGUAUAUGCUGCUGUCCUGGUUAUGUGUGCAAAUAGAGUUGAUUGUUUUUAGCUAGCCUUUACUUAAACAAUGAGUAGCUUAAUUUCCAAAUUAGAAUUUGAGUGAUUUUGGAAUUGUGUGAUGACCUGAGGUCAUUAAUCUUAAUGACCUUUGGCAUUUAAUUAUUGUUUGGUAUUAAUACUUAAUUACUGUCACUAAUACUUAAUUAAGAAUUAAUUUAGAUAAAAAGGACUAAUAAUUAGUUAACUAAGACUAAUUGUAAAUUAAGGAAAGUCUUAGCUUACUGAUGCAACCUCUUGGGUAAGAACAUUAAAAUGAUAAAUAACUUUAGUUACUGUUUAGCCUGUUUUUGCACCAAGAAGGAAAGUUGUACUCAACUCGGUCCUUCUUAAAUAUCUGUCAUAUGCAUAUCAUGAGCAUUCAUCAUUUUGCGUAUAGUGCACGUGACCGAAGGAGCGACCGUUAAACCAAGCCCCGAGGUCGGUGCUCCGUUCGAGGAAAUAGGAUCCGAGACUUGGGAAGUCUUCGAGGGUCUCUCUCAGCUCUGCAACCAAGGCAAGCCCCGGAUGCAUUAACCCCUCCUUGAAUGUUUUAAAUCUUUUAUCACUUAUGAAUUGAAAAUGCUGCAUUAGGUAGUCGAGAAUUGGGUUAACCUACUUGCUGCAUUUACUACCUUGAUAUUUGUUAUCUUGUCCUUGGCACCUGUUUUAUUUUAAAACUGGUGAUGCUUAGCGCUGCUACUAGAUAGGAUUUCAAACAAGAAAGUUUGAAGGGUUGUUGUGGAAUACACUUAUGGUCAAUGAUGUUUCAACUUGAGACCGGUCGGUGGACUUGCUUUAAGAAUAGAGUAUUAAAGUAGUGUCUCCAACUGUGUCGGUUAAGGACCGGUCCGUUGAUGGCCCGCUGGGUUGAGAAUUUAUAGUACUAGCCACUUGCCCUCGGUAAGCCCGGUCUUGUGAUCCCUCGACGCGAACAGCUACUCGCGCACUGGGCGUGGAGCGAUGGCGAGAGUAGUGUGUACCCUCCUAGCAAAUGGGCUGGAUGGUGGGGUACUGUGCUCUCGGGUGCCGCGAACCUGGUCAAAUUUGGGGAGAGCUCGAUUUGGGUUGACAUAUGCAAGAUUUGGUUCUACAUAUGUCGGGUGGUUAGGAACUCCAGCUGGAUUGCUAAGUGGUUCGAAUCGUCGUUGCUCCCUGAUUGGGAGACUCAAUCCACUGACCCUCAUCGUAGUUAAAUAUGCAACUAAGUGAUAAAAUGAGAAAGGGGGUAAUGUCCCAUGAGGUUCGGAUCCCAAUUCCCGGACUCAGAGUGACAUGAAGCUAUGGCCGUUGGAUAGAUAAUACUUUGAUUAAGGAAUAGGAACUUACAGACUUGUCUGUGAGAAGCAACUAGACAGAGUGUCCUCGAACUCCUCGACCUCUUAAGGAGAGGAAUUCAUGGGUAAAACUUGAAAGUAAGGAUGCACUAUUAGUAAGCUUUUUGGCAAAACAAUUUGGCUCCUUGCUCAUCCACUCCUUGUCUACCCUAAGCCUGCAUUCCUAAGUUCUCCUCUUUUUCCGCCGGGUAAGUCUUGUUGAGUACUCCCGUACUCAGGGUUUUAUAACCCCCAUUGCAGGUGCUGACUUAGACUGCUAAUGGAGGUCUUGUCGGUGGGCGCGACAUGAUUUAUCCACCUCUUCUACCUUAGAAGCUUCACCUAAGAUGCUUCCGCUACUCUACACACCUUUUGAAAAUUUAGUUGUUUAUAUUCCAUCAUAUGUUGUAAGUUGAGUUAUAGAUCUUCCGCACACUGAUUUAAGUUAUUUUUGUAACAAAUGUUUUAAUAUUGUGGUAACUCCAUGUUGAUCCUGUGUGAGUUAAAAUGUGGAUGAUUCGGGGUCCUCCGAGGGCACCCGACACACUAUCCAAGUUAUAUGACUCUCAUGUACAGUAGUCAGAGGUCUAAAGGACAAUGUCAAGUGCAUGUGGGCCAUAUAAUUCGGGUGGUUCUGCCACAGAGUGGUAUCAGAGCUCAUACAUGGAUCUUCUGCAACAUUACUUGUGAAAAACUUCAAAAGGAAUUUACAAAUUAAAAGUUUUGAGGAUAACAACUUGUAAAUGCUCCUUAACUUUUCUUGUGCUUGCUGUCCGGGUUCUACGAAGACUUUCUGCUGACUCAAAUAGAAGACAUUGAAAGAGGCUUCAAGUCUUUGGCAAGCCAAGUGAAGAAUCAAACCAAGUGAAUAAGUCUUUGGCAGGUUAAUGAUAAUUAACUUGAGGCUAAUAAGAAUGGUUUAUUUAUCCAACUUAAGCUCUUUAUGCAAAAACACGUCAAGCCAGCUCCACUAUUUAAAGUAAGCCUUGCAUGACCCUUGGUGUCCUUGUUUUGGUUAGACGAGUAAGUCUAGCUGAGUACAACCUUGAACUCAGGGUUUAUUCCCACUUAUUGCAGAUGACAUCUUCUAUGACAGUUUCUACAAGACCUGUCUUCACCCUGCUAGGGAUGAUGACUAACCGUUGGGCGUGGUUCUCUAAGACUUCGUACCUAACUUGCUUUUGGUGGAUGAUGAGACACUGGCUGUAUUAAUAAACUUGUGAUGUUGGUUUGAAAACUAUGUUGCUUCCGCCACUAGGAACUUGUUUUGUAAUAACUUAAGUGAACUCUGAUGUGUGUCGCUUCGUCGACCAUGUAUGAAAUGCUAUAACAAUCGAUGUAUUAUGCUGAAUUUAUUACAAUCUUUGUUUGUUGCCAAGUUGGUUGGAAAUCUGUAACACCCUAAAUUUUGCUUCUUUGAAAAUAGAGCUAAAAUAAUUUAUUUUGUAUUUCUGUGCUCAUGAAAAUAUAGUAAAAUGAAAUUUUCCUUAAAUUAAAAUUCAUCAUAGGGUUUAGCAACAUUGUUGUGCAUACAUGCUGGUAAAUAUGUUUUAUGUGAUGUUUGUUUGUUGCUCCUUUGUGUGUUGAGAGUGAACAAAGUUUUUAAAAUGCGUUUAGUAGAUCGAUCUUCCUUAACCGGUACAUCUCUAUCUUUAUCUCCGAUCAAAUUCCUUGUUGCUCAGCUCAAGUUUUUAUUAGGAGCUUCCUAAAAUCUUUUCUUUGUCACCCAAAUCGCAUCUUUUGAUUUCUCAUUCAUCAAGCAGUCUCUACAAACUUUUUUGGAAUUCUUCAGAUUCCGUUCUCACUUCUCUGUAAGUAUCAUCUAAUUUUUAGAUGCUCCAAAAUAAUCUUAUCAUGGACUCUAAAUACUUUAUUUGAGUUCCUCAUGUUCCAUAGUGUCUCUGAGAAUUUUCUCCGAAUUUUCAGAGCUUUCAGAAUAUUUUUCACAGUUUAAAUAAUAAUUCUAGACUUUUCUAGAAUUAUUUUAUCCAUAAAAUUAAAUAAUUCUGAAAAUAAUAAAUCCUUCAUUUUACCACAAUGCUCAGCUCAUGAUCUCAAAGGCCAAUAUAUUUAUUUACUAGUGGACUUAAAUAAUUAAUCAGGCCUAUUAGUAAAGAUGGAGAUUGCAACACAGUUAGUACCAUAUUGCUAAUUGAUGUGGAUGUGAAGAGUUUUUCUUGCUAUAUAUAUGUACGAACUCCUUGGGUUAACACCAAAACUACCAUAUGGGGAGCUUCUAGUUUGAAAAAUCGCUCGUAUAGUAAAAUUAUAUUUUUCUUCUUUUGCCGUCGGGCAGCCAUCGUGGACGCUUCUAUGCCCCGCACAAGCCGGAGCUUCCUGCCGUGACCAUAGUUCUAUCUACGGUAGCUACCUCUCCGGCCAUCGUCCGUCUCCGUUGGUGAGAAAUCCAGCAUACAGCUCCUUCGUCUCUCCUUUACAUGAUGUGCACAGCUCACAGGUCAGGCAAUCCUACAGGUUUUGUUCCGGUUGGACAACUUGCAAGCGUCUCGCUCCGGUAUUUUUUUUAUCUAAAGAACCAUGCAUAUCCACCAAAUCUGAGCACAUGACGUGAUUGAGUUUAAGAUCUGUAUGUGCACCCUUGAAGUCGAGCUGCCUCCACUGUAAUCCUACAAAUCUUUGUCGUUGCCAAUAGCUUGUGUCUUCAAUCUGUUUCCAGAUGGCAAGCUAACUUGGUAAGUGUCUCGAUGUUCGUAGUUUUUUUAUUGAGCUUGUACUGACGUAAUAUACAUCGUAGUAACUAUGUUUUCUAUUAUCAAGUAUCUCUAAAUUUUAUAUUUUAAAUAGUAAUAUGAUUAAUAUGCACACAAGUAGUUUUAUAAUUAACAACCACAUAAGCAUAAUACUUUGAUAUCUUAUACAUAUAUAUCUUAAUAUGUUUAAUCGCUAUCACCAUGUUUUUGAAUUCUAAAUUGUUUAGUUUAAACCCACAUCACAAGCGUUUCGCUUGUCCUUUUAAUUAGCAAAGUUAGUGUUUAAUUUAUUCAAAUAUACAACAAUAUUUAUAUGUAAAAUAUGACUAGAUUUAACUUAGCUUUUAAAUUAAAUUAAGAUUUAUCUGAUCUAAAUUAAAUGUCUCUAUGAUUUUGUUUAACUAACAUAAAAUAAAUCAAACUUGUAGUUGUUUCUUUUAUAAUAAAAAUAUAAACCUUUUAGUAGUCGUUUCUUUUUAUCAUAGCCCUCGGUGUUUCUAGCGUUCUCAUCACCAUAGUAAUUAUUUCUCUCUUAAUACGUUAUUUUCUUUUGUGCAGUGUAUUGUUCUUAGUUUCUUUUAUUUAUUCCUUGUAUGUUUGUCUAUGUGUGGUGUUUGGUAUGAGUAGAGAAUGUGAACCAUUUUAUCGACGUUGAAGAUUAAGAGGGCAUGACUAGAAGAUAAUUGAAGGUUCUAUAAAGGAGUUGCUCUAGAUAUUAAGCAAUUGGAUCAAGGCAAGUAUAGCAUUUGGAUUUUAUUUCUGUGACCAUGAUCCUGUGACUAGAUUAAUGUUAAGUAAUAAAUGAUAAAAAUGAUAUUUUAGCAACUUGAUGAUUUAUCUGUACGUGAUCACCCGAGACAACAGUGCAACCAUGAGGGCUAUAAUGGCUCUGGCUUUAACUCAGUAUGAAAACCUUUUUAGAGGUUACCCGAAAGGGCGCUAGAGGGGCUGAACCGUUUUGGGUAUAGUGUGGCCUCUGUCUGUAUGUGUAUAGGCUGCGCGUCAUUGUGCCAUCGGAAGGGGGGCUCUAUAUCUACGCGCGAAGGAAACCUUGCGGCCCUGUCACACCCAUAUUUUAAGAACAAAAUAGGAUGCAUAAAAGACUCAUAUGGGCCCCAGAAACAGUCGCACACAUAAGUAGACAAAUCUCAAAUGUACCAUUGCAGUGUUUAUUACAUAGCGGAAUAUAAAAUAUCACAUAGUCUCAUACAAAAAUGAUAGCAUAAAGUAAACAACGCUCUCGACGGAAGCUCCACACAGAGACACUGUUGACUGGUUGACUCCAAACCUAGUACUCAUAACGGUAAUCCUCAUUCCAGUCAUCUUCAUUAUCAUAUCGUGAGGUGUUAGAAAAUUGCAAGAGUGAGCACAUAUCGUACUCAACAAGUAUAACCAGGGGUUCAUGAGGCUUAAAUAGCUGACAUAGGUUUGACUGCGUUUAGCUUUUAAUAGUGGGUAGCAUAUUCAUAAUUAAAUGGCAAUUGUCAAGGUAGCAUAAAUAAUCCAUUAACCACAUGAUCAAGUGUAAGCAUAAUUAAUUCUUAGCAUAAACGAUAAUCAAAUGAACAUAACAACUUAAUAAGCUCAUUGUCGGCGCAGCAAGAACCCCCAAGGCCGCUCAUAACUGUGAGCACGGCUAGUAUACCAGUUUUACACUCUGCAGAGGUUGUACAUCUUUACCCAUGAGUCAUGAUUUACCCUUUCGCCCGAGGUAGCUAAUCUCUUAACCCCCUUCCUAGGGAGGUCAGCAGGGAUCACUAUGAAGCCUUUCAAAAGUUCGUCUAACAUGUUAGGGCCACAAGGUUUUCUUUACACGCAGAUAUAGAUACCCCCUUCCGAAUGGCACAAUGACGUGCAGCCUAUACACAAAGGGACAGGGGCUCGCACUAUACCCAAAACGGUUCAGCCCCUCCGCCCUUUCGGGUAACCUCUAACAAGCUAGAAAAGUUCUUCAUACUGAGCUAAAGCCAGAGCCAUUAUAGCCCUCAUGGUUACACUGUUGUCCCGGUGAUCACUUACAGACAAAAUCUCAUAUAGUUAUUUGUCAUCAUUUAACGUUCAUUGCAUAGCUAUUAAUCAUCUUACAAGAUCAUAGAUUAUAUCAAGCACUAGCACAUCUACACCAAAUGCAUAUCAAAUAGGUAGCAAGGAAUCCAGGUAACAAUCAUCUAUGAUUUUGCUAAGGUCGACAAGGUGAUAGCAUGCAUAUGAUAUAUAUGUGUACUUAAGUGAAUAGGUAACAAGGAUGAUCCCAAGUUAUACUUGCCUUGAUCAAAGCUCUCCAGAGCCUGCUGGUCUUCAAAAGCUUGGUCUUGAUCACCAACGUACGGCUCACCGUCUAUUCCCAAACAUCAAUCAACAACACGCAAUCUAAUGGAGACAAUCAUACACAAAGCAAACAAGAUAUAAUUAGAACAUUACACCAAACAGUGGUAAAACAAAGAUAAAAGUUUAUGAAAAUAUUCUACGCAGCGCUACGAUCACACAAACGUAAAGUUCACGAAAAUCAGAAUUAAAACGUGAAAGAUAUGAAUUUUCUAAGAUUUCCUAUAGAGAAAUAAUUAAUUAAAUACUACUGCAGAAUUAAAAAGUUUCAAAACAGUGAAAUAUUACUUCUAACAUGUAGAUCUUGUAAAUACGAAUCUAACAAAAUUUGAAUGGUCAAAAACGUAGUGAAAAUGAGCAUUUUAUAAGCAUUAUAAAUUCAGUGGCAAAACUAUAAAAUGGCUGAAAACGCCUUUGAUCUCAACCAGACACGAGUACGCUUUCGCAAUAGGAAAAUGUAAUCUGGUGCAGGGCGCCAAGGACCGCGGGCAAAAUACAAAACUAACAAGGGACUCUUUAUCAAAAACCGCAGUGAAAGGGUAUGUUUAAAUCGUGGCCGUUGAUCUUCGGUUGGACAGCUGGCAGGCUUCCUGGGCGUGCAGAGCCGUCGUCCGGCCGGAGCUCAGCACCGGCUCGGUGGCGCCAUGGCCACCGCCGCAAAGCUCACUGGCGUUCGCGGGUUCCUCGUUUCCCAACACCAAACUCCAAAAUAAAAAUACCAACGCGUGGAGGAGCUUACCGCGAACUCGCUAGUAUGGUUAGCUCGAGCUGAGAAGGCACCGAGAGGAGCAGCUGCGCGCGGCGGCGGUUAUCUCCCUCGACGAGUGCGAGUUCAAGGCGGCUAGGGCUCUGUUUUGUGACUUAGAUGCAAAAGCACGACGCGGGGCAUCGCGAUUCGCGAUAAGGGCAAGGAAAUCCCGAGAUUUUGGGAUUGAUUCGGUAGGAGGUUUCCUGCUCGGUUACGAACAGGGAAGAGGAUGGGGAAGACGCCACUUCGGAGGGUCCCACUUGGCGGUGAGAGAAGGGGACGGCCCCAACUGUCGGCCAGAGAGGGAAGGGAGGGGAAGGUCAGCGCGUUGCUGAUCGGCAUGGGCCGCGGCUUGCUGGGCCGCGGGGAGGAGGAGGCGCGGGGGGGGGGGGGGGGAAAGAAAGGCAGGCCAGGGAGGGAGUGGGCCUCGGCCAGACGCAGGGGUUGUUUCCCCUUUUUUUCUGUUUUUAUUUUCCAAAACAUUUUCCAAAGCAAAUUUUGAACAAAAAUAAAAGAUAAAAACAGAAACACACAACACAAAAUGAAUGCUAUUCUCAGCAUGAAUGCAAAAAGCAUGUUGCUGCCCUUACGAUAAAUUUUAUUCUCCAUAAAAUUAUUUAUUUGCUUGGUUCAAAUGCUCCCAUAAAUUCUUAAAUAAAUCAAAUAAAGUCCUAUUAAUAUAAAUCCAGAUUUUGGGUGUUACAAACUCUACCCCCUUAAAAGAAUCUCAUCCUCGAGAUUGAACGGUGCUUACUCGAACAGGUAUGAGUAUGAUCUCCUCAGAUCAUNNNNNNNNNNNNNNNNNNNNNNNNNNNNNNNNNNNNNNNNNNNNNNNNNNNNNNNNNNNNNNNNNNNNNNNNNNNNNNNNNNNNNNNNNNNNNNNNNNNNCACAUCAUGCACACCAGAUAAGCUUUCAGGCAAUUCUAACUGGUAUGCUACUUCUCCACGCCUUUCUAAUACUUUAAACGGACCAACAUACCUUGGAGCUAACUUUCUCUUCAUAUUAAACCUCUUCACACUCCUCAUUGGUGAUACUUUCAGGUAGACAUAAUCACUUGCUUGAAAAACCAGCUCUCUCCUACGUGUAUCUGCAUAGCUUUUCUGACGAGAUUGAGCAACUCUCAAGUUAUCCCGAAUAGUCCGCACCUAUUGCUCUGCAUGUCUAAGCACAUCUGUACCAAACAUCUGUGUUUCCCCUGUCUGAUUCCAAACAAAGAUGUCCUACACUUCCGACCAUACAGUGCCUCGAACGGUGCCAUCUUAAGACUUUGCUGAUAGCUAUUGUUGUAGGAGAAUUCUGCAUAUGGCAAACUCUUGUCCCAACUAGUCCUAUACUGCAAAGCACAAGCUCUCAACAUAUCCUCCAAUAUCUGAUUGAUCCUCUCAGUCUGUCUAUCUGUCUGUGGAUGAUACGCUGUACUAAAAUUCAACUUUGUUCCCAAUGAAUCAUGCACUGCUUUCCAAAAGUGAGAUGUGAAUUGAGUACCCCUAUCUGACACAAUCUUCUUAGGUACUCCAUGCAAACAAACAAUUCUUUCCAUGUAUAACUCUGCCACUCGGUCUCCACUAUAUGAAGUUUUGACAGGUAUAAAAUGAGCAACCUUAGUCAAUCGAUCCACUAUCACCCAUAUUGAGUCAUACCCUCUCUGUGUUCGUGGUAAACCCACUAUAAAAUCCAUACCCACUUCUUCCCAUAUCCAUUCCGGAAUCUUCAUUGGUUGUAACAGUCCAGCUGGCCUCUGAUGUUGCGUUCACUCGUUGACAAGUAUCACACAAAGCAACAUACUCAGCUACAUCUCUCUUUAAACCAUACCACCAGUACUUCUGUUUUAGAUCUAGAUACAUCUUAGUGCUACCAGGAUGAAUGGAAUAUGCUGACUCAUGAGCCUCUCUCAGAAUCAUAUCACGAAUAGCCUUUACCAGGAACACAUAUCCUUUUUCCAAACCACAGUACACCAUUGUCAUCUAUUUUGAAUCCUGGUGCUUUGCCUAGUACCACAUUCUGUGCUAUCUCCUUUAGUUUCUCAUCUUCCAACUGUCCUUUCAAUAUCUCUUCCUCUAGUGUAGGAGUGAUCUCAAUUUCCAUAGCAUUCACUACAAUUCCCAAGUUCAAAUAUGCAAAUUCAGCACACAACUCCUCAGAUUCAGGUGUCGCCCGAAGCUCAUUAGCAUAUUUCUUUCUGCUAAGUGCAUCAGCUACGACGUUUGCCUUUCUAGGAUGAUAAUGCACUUCCAAAUCAUAAUCCUUUAUCAGUUCCAACCAUCUUCGUUGCCUCAAGUUCAGGUUGGCUGGGUGAAGAUAUACUUCAAACUCUUAUGAUCAGUGUAUAUGUCACUCUUAUGCCCAAUCAAAUAGUGUCUCCAAAUCUUCAAUGCAUGAACCACAGCUGCUAACUCUAGAUCAUGAGUAGGAUAAUUCAGUUCAUGUUUCCUCAACUAUCUAGAUGCAUAAGCAACAACUCUACCUUCUUGCAUAAGAACACAACCCAAACCCAGACGAGAAGCAUCACAAUAGAUAGAGAAACUCUUGCUCAGAUCUAGCAAUACCAACACAGGUGCAGUAGUCAAUCUCUUCUUAAACUCCUCAAAACUAGCUUGACACUUAUCAGACCAUACAAACUUAGCAUUCUUCUCCAACAGAGCAGUCAUAGGCUUUGCAAGUUUUGAGAACCCUUCAAUGAAUCUACGGUAAUAGCCAGCUAAACCAAGAAAAUUGCGAAUUUCACUUACAUCUGUAGGCGGUUUCCAAUUCAACACAUCUUUCACCUUACUAGGAUCCACUGCAAUACCACCAUUAGAGACAACAUGACCAGGAAAAGAAUCUUCUUCCAACCAAAACUCACAUUUACUACGCUUAGCAUACAGCUUAUGUUCUCUAAGUUUCUGUAAGACCAAUCUCAGGUGUUCAGCAUAUUCUUCCUUGGUUUUGGAGAAUACCAUAAUAUCAUCAAUAAAGACCACCACAAACUUAUCAAGAUACUCCAUAAAUACUUUAUUCAUCAUGUACAUAAAGUAAGCUGGUGCAUUGGUCAAACCAAAAGACAUAACUCUAUACUCAUACAACCCAUACCUUGUUGUGAAAGCUGUCUUUGGUAUAUCUGAAUUCCGAAUCUUCAAUUGAUGAUAACCAGAAUGCAAAUCAAUCUUAAAGAACACACAAGCACCUCUUAGCUGAUCAAAUAAGUCAUCAAUUCUAGGAAAGGGAUAUUUAUUCUUGAUAGUGACCCCAUUAAGUGACCGAUAAUCAACACACAUCCUCUGACUACCAUCCUUCUUAUCAACAAAGAUAACUGGUGCACCCCACGGUGAUGAACUAGGACGAAUGAACCCUUUAUCUUGCAAUUCCUUAAUUUGUUUCUUAAGUUCUUCUCGUUCAUUAACCCCCAUUCUAUAUGGUCUUUUAGCUAUGAGUGCAGUACCAGGUAGUAAUUCAAUAAUAAAUUCAAUGUCUCGGUCAGGUGGCAUACCUGGCAAUUCCUCUGGAAAGACAUCCGGAAGCUCAUCUAGUACCAGAUUCUGAGGAUCAACAUCAUCAUUUAGUUGGUUCACUUUAGCUGUGAGUGGUGCUUGCACAGUCAAAUCAACACUGAUUCGUUCUGCUUUUGGGGUUGUUAGAGCCACUACUCUCUCUUUGCAAUUAAUAUUUGUCUCAUGUUGCUUCAUCCAAUCCAAACCCAAGAUCACAUCUAUGCCUGAAGUUCUCAUAACCAUGGGACUGAUAGGAAAAUCUACCCCCUUAAAGAGACACUUGCUGAGGGGCAACAUAAAGAAACUGGUAUAGUCGCACCCGGUGAAUUAACUAGCAUAGGGGUUUUCAUUGCAACUAGUGGAAUGCUAUGAACCCUAACAAAUGCUUGUGAUAUGAAUGUAUGCGAAGCUCCAGAAUCAAAUAAAACUAUAGCAGGUAUAGAGUUGAUGCUGAACGUACCCAUCAUGAUCUCUGGUCCCUCCUGAACUGUCUCUAUAGCCACAUUAUUCACUGUUGUCGCAUAAGCAGUAGACUUCUGGUUGUUGUUCGGCUUGUUGAGCUUCUCCGGGCAAUCGUAUGACAUAUGUCCCUCCUUCCCACAACGGAAACACCUUGCAGGAGUGUUAGAAGCACUUCUUUUUGUGGACUUGGCAUUUGAGUUCCCUGAGCGAGGUGUCUGCUGACCAUGCUGCUGUUGAUUAUGGUUACGUUGUUGGAAUGGUGGACAUUGGUUCCCACUCUAUGAUUGAUUUUGGAAACGCUGGGGUUGCUGGUUGCGGUUCCACUCACUAACUGGUCCCUGGAACCUCUGCUGAUGGCCUUAAUGGGAACUAAAACGCUGACGGCUGUUGCUCCCAGAACCUUGUGCCAGCAUCCUUCUCUUCUUAUCCUGACUCUUCAGCAUAUUAUCAAGCACAAUAGCACGAUUCACAAGAGCUUGAAAGGUAGGAUAGGUGUUUCCAGCCAACUGCAACCUGAGCUCAUAGUAAAGACCUUUCAUGAAUAGACACUGCUUAUCCGCAUCUUCCCUAACAUCGUUCGGAGCAUAGCGAGCCAACUGUUAAAAGGUGUCAUGAUAUUCUGCCACAGUCAUGGAGCCCAUCCUGAGUGAUCUGAAUUCUUCUUGCUUGAGUUCCAUCAUUCCCUCAUUUAUAUGUCGAGCUCUGAAAUCUCUAUAUAAUUCCAGCCAUGUGACAUUAGGAGCAUUGUUGGGACGAGCAGCUUGAUAUGACUCCCACCAAGUCUGAGCUGCCCCCUGAAGCUGUCUAGAAGCAUACAACACCUUCUCUAAGUCAUUGCACUGUGCUAUAUUCAGUUGCCUCUCCACAGCACGUAACCAAUCAUCUGCCUCCAUGGGAUCAGCUGAGUGUGUAAAUACCGGAGGUCUUCCCUUCAUAAACUCCCCACGCUUAUCCCUCACAUGAACAGGUGGUGGUGUUGAUGGAGGUUGCUGCUGUAAGUGCUGCAUGAAGACGUGCAUCAUCUCAUUUUGGGUUUGCAUGAGUUCCUCCACGGUGAUUGGGGCAUUGCCACCAUUGCCAUUGCCACGGCCUCUGCCUCUACCUCUUCCCCUUGCUGCCAUCUGCAUUCCAAGGUAUAUAAACACAUCUUAGUAAUGCCCAACAUGACAAUUACAAGAGUUAACGGAAUCUGAAAUUUUCUGGGUAACAUCCAACAUCAGCAGAUCAGAAAAUCAGUCAUAUCUCGAGUUCCAGAAUUCAAAAGAUACAUGCUGUACACCGUUGCAAAGAUAAUGAAAUUGUCUACAACUUUCAUUUAGAUGAUAUUACCAGAUUCCAGAGUUAGUUUAAUCAAAAACUGGGUACAACCGAAACUGCUCCAGAAUUCCAGACUGCGCAGAAGCCUCAACUUUAAACAGUCAUAACUCACAGCUCAUAAUAGAUAAUUUGGUCAUUAUUACGGCAUUGGAAAGAUAUGAAAGUCUACUUGUUCCCAGAAAAAUUUGAUGAACAUUGCACGAACAGAAUUUGAUUUAUACCAGAAUCUUUACAGACUGCUCUAGAAAAACAGCAAAAGACAGAAACAGGAUAUGACCCCAAACCACUAUUUAUUCAUGUUCUUACUUAAGGUUCUUAACUAGGGAACUUGUGGACAUGCCCAAAAAGUCUCAGCACUUAUUACAAAAAUCCAAAUCACACAUAUUCAUAAUAACAAAUCAGCAAGCACACCAAGUUCACACCACACUAACAAAAUACUCAAAAUAACUCGCAAACUACUAACGUUCCUAUUACAUAUGGGUUCUUUUCUAUUCCUCGGGAGCAGCAUCCUUCAAGAUAGGUUCAAGACGCAGCCUCUUAUGGAGCUUGGGAUGGCCUAACUUCACCCGAAGGUCAUCUGCUUCCCUUCGCUCUUUCUCCAGCAGCUUCCUCUCACGGUGCAGUUCAUUCUCCAACUCUAUCACCUUGACGGUCAGCUCAUAAGUCAACUCCACUUGUGCUUGAAGCUUUGGUAGUGAAGCAUCUGCAACUUCUAUGGCCCAAGUCAUCUUCUCUGGUACAAAGCGAGGAUAGUGGUAUGUUGCAUUGUACUGGACAUCCUCAAAGCGUCUACCACGGUUAAAGAUCAAGGCCUGGUAAGCUGCAUCUGCCAUGCUUUCCUUCAUCGUGUCCCGACUAAUUCGAGAGAUGUGUUUUGAUUCCACCUUUCGAAUCCCCUUAGUGGCAUCCAGUGUCUUGACUAUCAGCUCUGCAACCCAAAGUGAUCUCCCCAGAGGGUGUUUGUGCUCAGUGCAGUUAUACUUUAGUGUGGCUUGCAAAUCCGGGUAAUGGUGUUCCAAUGUCAACACCAAAUUCUCAUGGAAGAAAGCCUGGGGAUCUGCUUCUGGAAUCCACAGCUCAGUAGUCCAUCCCAUCCCUGCAUUAGCAGACUGUGGUGGAGGUGGAUCUUGCAUCUCCUCAUCUUCAGGCACUUCCUUAUGAGCUUCCACCCUUGAUUCCUCAUCUUCUAGCUCAGGAACUCCAUCCACAUGCUGUCCUCUUGGGUUGAACAUGGCACGGUACUCCUCAGUAGCCAUACGUGCAGCAUUACGGGUACGGGGUGGCUUCUACAAAAAAUUUUUAGACAUAGAUCAGAUGGAUGUAAUAAUUUCACAAUAGAGCAAGAUAGAGAAGCAUAAAACUUUUAGCAAAUAACAAGGCCAUAGUGGGAAGCAUGAAGUAAGCAAAAUAAGGGACCUAAAUUUUUGACCAUUGCUAUCUAGGUUUGCGUCCUACAGUCAACAAAGCUUUAAUACCAAUUUGUCACGCCCAUAUUUUAAGAACAAAAUAGGAUGCAUAAAAGACUCAUAUGUGCCCCAGAAACAGUCGCACACAUAAGUAGACAAAUCUCAAAUGUACCAUUGCAGUGUUUAUUACAUAGCGGAAUAUAAAAUAUCACAUAGUCUCAUACAAAAAUGAUAGCAUAAAGUAAACAACGCUCUCGACAGAAGCUCCACACAGGGACACUGUUGACUGGUUGACUCCAAACCUAGUACUCAUAACGGUAAUCCUCAUUCCAGUCAUCUUCAUUAUCAUAUCCUGAGGUUUUGGGAAAUUGCAAGAGUGAGCACAUAUCGUACACAACAAGUAUAACCAGGGGUUCAUGAUGCUCAAAUAGCUGACACAGGUUUGACUGCGUUUAGCUUUUAAUAGUGGGUAGCAUAUUCAUAAUUAAAUGGCAAUUGUCAAGGUAGCAUAAAUAAUCCAUUAACCACAUGAUCAAGUGUAAGCAUAAUUAAUUCUUAGCAUAAACGAUAAUCAAAUUAACAUAACAACUUAAUAAGCUCAUUGUCGGCGCAGCAAGAACCUCCAAGGCCGCUCAUAACCGUGAGCACGGCUAGUAUACCAGUUUUACACUCUGCAGAGGUUGUACAUCUUUACCCAUGAGUCAUGAUUUACCCUUUCGCCCGAGGUAGCUAAUCUCUUAACCCCCUUCCUAGGGAGGUCGGCAGGGAUCACUAUGAAGCCUUUCAAAAGUUCGUCUAACAUGUUAGGGCCACAAGGUUUCCUUUGCGCGCAGAUAUAGAUACCCCCUUCCGAAUGGCACAAUGACGCGCAGCCUAUACACAUAGGGACAGGGGCUCGCACUAUACCCAAAACGGUUCAGCCCCUCCGCCCUUUCGGGUAACCUCUGACAUGCUAGAAAAGUUCUUCAUACUGAGCUAAAGCCAGAGCCAUUAUAGCCCUCAUGGUUACACUAUUGUCCCGGUGAUCACUUACAGACAAGAUCUCAUAUAGUUAUUUGUCAUCAUUUAACGUUCAUUACAUAGCUAUUAAUCAUCUUACAAGAUCAUGGAUUAUAUCAAGCACUAGCACAUCAACACCAAAUGCAUAUCAAAUAGGUAGCAAGGAAUCCAAGUAACAAUCAUCUAUGAUUUUGCUAAGGUCGACAAGGUGAUAGCAUGCAUAUGAUAUAUAUGUGUACUUAAGUGAAUAGGUAACAAGGAUGAUCCCAAGUUAUACUUGCCUUGAUCAAAGCUCUCCGGAGCCUGCUGGUCUUCAAAAGCUUGGUCUUGAUCACCAACGUACGGCUCACCGUCUAUUCCCAAACGUCAAUCAACAACACGCAAUCCAAUGGAGACAAUCAUACAUAAAGCAAACAAGAUAUAAUUAGAACAUUACAUCAAACAUUGGUAAAACAAAUAUAAAAGUUUAUGAAAAUAUUCUACGCAGCGCUACGAUCACACAAACGUAAAGUUCACGAAAAUCAAAAUUAAAACGUGAAAGAUAUGAAUUUUCUAAGAUUUCAUAUAGAGAAAUAAUUAAUUAAAUGCUACUGCAGAACUAAAAAGUUUCAAAACAGUGAAAUAUUACUUCUAACAUGUAGAGCUCGUAAAUAUGAAUCUAACGAAAUUUGAAUGGACAAAAAAGGAGUUAAAAUGAGCAUUUCAUAAGCAUUAUAAAUUCAGUGGCAAAAUUGUAAAUAGCUGAAAACGCCUUUGAUCUCAACCAGACAGGAGUACGCUUUCGCAAUAGGAAAACGUAAUCUGGUGCAGGGCGCCAAGGACCGCGGGCGAAAUACAAAACUACACAGGGACUCUUUAUUAGAAACCGCAGUGAAAGGGUAUGUUUAAAUCGUGGCCGUUGAUUUUCGGUUGGACGGCUGGCAGGCUUCCUGGGCGCGCAGAGCCGUCAUCCGGCCGGAGCUCAGCACCGGCUCGGUGGCGCCAUGGCCACCGCCGCAAAGCUUGCCGGCGAUCGCGGGUUCCUCGUUUCCCAACACCAAACUCCGAAAUAAAAAUACCAACGAGUGGAGGAGCUUACCCCGAACUCGCUUGGAUGGUUAGCUCGAGGCGGCGGUUAUCUCCCUCGACGAGAGCGAGUUCAAGGCGGCUAGGGCUCGGUUUCGCGACUUAGAUGCAAAAGCAUGACGCGGGGCAUCGCGUGGUACUUUUAUGGGUCUCGAUUCGCGAUAAGGGCAAGGAAAUCCCGAGAUUUCGGGAUUGAUUCGGUAGGAGGAUUCCUGCUCGGUUACGAACAGGGAAGAGGAAGGGGAAGACGCCACUUCGACGGGUCCCACUUGGCGGUGAGAGAAGGGACGGCCCCAGCUGUCGGCUAGAGAGGGAAGGGAGGGGAAGGUCAGCGCGCUGCUGAUCGGCAUGGGCCGCGGCUUGCUGGGCCGCGGGGAGGAGGAGGCGCAGGGGGGAAAGAAAGGCAGGCCAGGGAGGGAGUGGGCCUCGGCCAGAUGUAGGGGUUGUUUCCCCUUUUUUUCUGUUUUUAUUUUCCAAAGCAAAUUUUGAACAAAACAAAAGAUAAAAACAGAAACACACAACACAAAAUGAAUGCUAUUCUCAGCAUGAAUGCAAAAAGCAUGUUGCUACCCUUAUGAUAAAUUUUAUUCUUCAUAAAAUUGUUUAUUUGCUAGGUUCAAAUGCUCCCAUAAAUUCUUAAAUAAAUCAAAUAAAGUCCUAUUAAUAUAAAUCCAGAUUUUGGGUGUUACAGGCCCUAACAUGUUAGACAAACUUUUGAAAGGCUUCAUAGUGAUCCCUGCCGACCUUCCUUGGUAGUGGGUUAAGAGGUCGACGGGCCUCGGGCCAAAGGGUAAAUCAUGAUUCAUGGGUAAAGAUGUACAACCUCUGUAGAGUGUUAAAAACUAGUAUACUAGUCGAGCUCACGAUCAGGAGCGGCCUUGGGGACAUCUAGAUUAACGGUGAUGAAUCUUGUGUGUUAAAUAUGCUCAUUAUUUAUUAUUUAAUGCUUUACAUUAUUUAUGUCAUAUUGAUCAUAAGAUUGUGGGAUCUAUACAAUCUAGUUGCUAUACUUGUUGAGUUCGACAUGGACUCACUCUUGCUAUUUCACCCAAACCUCAGGAGAAGUUUAGGAUUGUGAUCAACCAGUGAGUUAGAUCCUGUUGAGUGAAGUUAAUACACGAAGUUUGGAGUUGUCUAUCCGCUGUUUGUUAUCAAAGGUUAUCUCUUCUAUACUAAGUAUGUUAUAUAUUUAUGCAUUGUCUUUUGAUAUUACCCUUUAUUUGUAGCUAUAUGUGAGAUUUGACUUCUAAAACUCACAUAUGGUGCGUAUCUGAUUUUGUUGUUAAAAUCGGGUAUUACAAAGUGGUAUCAGAGCAAUGCUGACUGUAUGACGUAUGCCUAGUUAGAAAUUGGUGAUCAUAAGGUUUUGAAAUUGCAUAAAUCCUUGUUCUAUAACCCUUGAUACUUUUCUCUACACUAUAUCCUUUCCAUUUCUAUUUGUCUCUACCUUGUUGCUUAUUUUAAAAGUUCUUGUUCUCACCUUCACACCUUGAGUUGGAUGCUUUUAGAACCUUCCCUUAUCAUCUUCUUGCGUCUUUGAAAUAUAAGUUUUAGGAUCUUUACCCUUACUAUGAAGAGAACGAUAGUAUCGCAAGUUGAGUGAAGUGUGAACCUUCAAUGCUUAAUUGGUUGUCAUUAUGCUUAUGCUUGAUUUGGAUAUUUGUAAUGAGUGCAAUGAUCUUGUGGGAUUCCUCCACAAUUUCAUUUAGUUCAUAGGCCCAAGGUAUAAGGAUUAAUUAAAUAAGUAGUUGGGUUUGGCUAUGUCUUGUUUCUAUCCCUUGCUGAUUUCUGGAGCAGUCUACAAUAAUCAUGGUGUAUCUCAAGUUCUGAUUGUGCAAAGUUUGUCAACUUUUUCUGGGAACAACUAGACUUCAAGAUGUUUCUCUCACCGCAGGAAGCACCCUCAUAGCUAUUAUGGUUUGGAAGUUACAAAAAUCACAAAUGAUACAGAUGGGCUGUCAAGAAUCUGGAAGAGUUUCAGUUGAUUACUGUUUUAGACAAAUAUAACUAUAGAAUUUGGAAUAGUGUUCUAUAGAGAAGUUGUAGACAAGUUUCUUAGCCUUUCAACGGUGUAAGCUGGAAGUUAUUCGGAUAAGUAGAACCUGACAUAUGAUAUUUACACUUGGAUGUUUCUGUACUCUUUCAAAAAUUUGGACAGAUCUGGUAAUUUCCUAUUUUCAGCCAAGUUAAAUUCAUAAUCUGGGAAAAAAUUGUAUAUAAAAGUUGUAGAGGCUUUCGUAAGCUUUUCAAAAAUAUAAGGAUCAUCUCCAGAUGAGUUAAGUAGAUCGAGAUAUAACUUCUGGAAGUUACUGCACUUUUGCUGAGACAUUGUCAGGAUGGAUUUUAAGUUUGGCUAUUUUACCUAAGCUUAAAGACAGAACCUAAGGAGGUUUUGUACAUGAAAGUUGCUGGGAAUUUCAUAAGUUUUCUAACGGUAUAAUCUACAACUCCAUUGGAUUAACAGAAUAAGAGUUAUACCUGUUUUACUAUGCUGGUGUUUUCAUAUCAUUAGAAUAUUUCAGCAUACCUGUUUGCUCUCUUGCACAUGAGUUCUUUGGGAUGUCGGAAGUUCCCAAUGUUAGUUCACUUGUCUGGAAAACAUGCAAGCUACCUUCCUUGUAUUCCCUAGUUGACCCUUUUAAGGGGGGUAGCCUAGUGAAAGGAGUUACAAGGAGAAUGAUUGGUAAAAGCUAGAUCAUCUAUAAGUACAUCAAGUGCUUGGUGAAGUUGGUUUUUGGAUUCAAGAUAUCAUCCCAUUAAGAGAGUAUUAAUAGAGAUAUAAAUCUUUACUGAUACUCAUAUCUUGGAAGUGGUGCUUAUGAGGAUCAGAUGACACUAAAGUCCAUAGAGUUAUAUGCGAGAUGUGAGAGUGAAGCAACUCAACUGUGAUAAAAGGUACCAAUAGAUGGAACUUAGUGUUCAAACCAACCUUGGAUUAAGAGACUUGGUACAAGGAAUUUAAAAGACUAUGAUGUGUAGCAUCCAAAAAGGAUAGGAGAACCGGUCCUUGUCCCCCAAUCAAUCUCGUCUUAAGGGGGGUAGUACCUUGAUAUCACUGGGUGAUGCAUUUUUUAAAUCUAUCAUGAAGUGAUAACUGUCUUCUGAGAUAUCUCAUGGUUAUGUGCACAUGAAGGAGUGAUCUAUGCUACUCAGUGGAAAAUUUUCUUAACCGCAUCAUUAGGGAAAAGAAUUGAAUAUCAAGGUGGCCCACUCCUACCUAAGGAGGCAUAUCCAUGCUAAGUUAUUAUGUCUUUGAGUUGUAUGAGUCAAAAGCUGGGAGUCAUGAUGGAUUAGAUAUUCUACGGAAAAAUUUGUCCACAAGAUAUGACUAUAAGACAUAAGUGUUUAUCUUUGGAGUGCAAGUUGUGAAGUUGAAAGAGUUAUCGAGAUCUUUAUCCUGUGUUCCCUCAGAGGAGCCGUGUCUCUUCCGAAUCUCGAGGACGAGAUUCAUCUUAAGGGGGGUAGAAUUAUAACACCCUAAAUUUUGCUUCUUCGAAAAUAGAGCUAAAAUAAUUUAUUUUGUAUUUCUGUGCUCAUGAAAAUAUAGUAAAAUGAAAUUUUCCUUAAAUUAAAUUCAUCAUAGGGUUUAGCAACAUUGUUGUGCAUACAUGCUGGUACAUAUGUUUUAUGUGAUGUUUGUUUGUUGCUCCUUUGUGUGUUGAGAGUGAACAAAGUUUCUAAAAUGUGUUUAGUAGAUCGAUCUUCGUUAACCGGUACAUCUCUAUCUUUAUCUCCGAUCAAAUUCCUUGUUGCUCAGCUCAUGUUUUUAUUAGGAGCUUCCUAAAAUCUUUUCUUUGUCACCCAAAUCGCUUCUUUUGAUUUCUCAUUCAUCAAGCAGCCUCUACAAACUUUUUGGGAAUUUUUUAGCUUCCGUUCUCACUUUUCUCUAUGUAUAAUCUAAAUUUUAGAUGCUCCAAAAUAAUAUUAUCAUGGACUCUAAAUACUUUAUUUGAGUUCCUCAUGUUCCAUAGUGUCUCUGAGAAUUUUCUCUGAAUUUUCAGAGCUUUCAUGAUAUUUUUCACAGUUUAAAUAAUAAUUCUAGACUUUUCUAGAAUUAUUUUAUCCAUAAAAUUAAAUAAUUCCGAAAAUAAUAAAUCCUUCAUUUUACCUCAACGCUCAGCCCAUGAUCUCAAAGGCCAAUAUAUUUAUUUACUAGUGGACUUAAAUAAUUAAUCAUGCCUAUUAGUAAAGAUGGAGAUUGCAACAUCAAUUAGUAUCAUAUUGAUAAUUGAUGUGGAUAUGAAUAGUUUUUCUCCAUAUAUAUGUACCGAGUUAAGUACACCAAAACUACCAUAUGGAGAGCUUCUAGUUUGGAAAAUCCCUCGUAUAGUAAAAUUAUAUUUUUCUUCUUUUGCCGUCGGGCAGCCAUCGUGGACGCUUCUAUGCACUGCACAAGCCGGAGCUCCCUGCCGUGACCAUAGUUCUAUCUACGGUAGCUACCUCUCCGGCCAUCGUCCGUCUCCGUUGGUGAGAAAUCCAGCAUACAGCUCCUUCGUCUCUCCUUUACAUGAUCUGCACAGCUCACUAGGUCAGGCAUCCGUAAUUAAGCUAUAGGUUGGACAACUUGCAAGCGUCUUGCUCCGUUAUUUUUUUAUCUAAAGGACCAUGCAUAUCCACCAAAUCCGAGCACAUGACGUGAUUGAGUUUAAGAUCUGUAUGUGCACCCUUGAAGUCGAGCUGCCUCCACUGUAAUCCUACAAAUCAUUGUCGUUGCCAAUAGCUUGUGUCUUCAAUCUGUUUCCAGAUGGCAAGCUAACUUGGUAAGUGUCUCGAUGUUCGUAGUUUUUUUAUUGAGCUUGUACUGACGUAAUAUACAUCCUAGUAACUAUGAUUUCUAUUAUCAAGUAUCUCUAAAUUUUAUAUUUUAAAUAGUAAUAUGAUUAAUAUGCACGCAACUAGUUUUAUAAUUAAUAACCACAUAAGCAUAAUACUCUGAUAUUUUAUACAUAUAUAUCUUAAUAUGUUUAAUCGCUAUCACCAUGUUUUUGAAUUGUAAAUUGUUUAGUUUAAACCCACAUCACAAGCGGUUUGCGUAGGUGUUUCGCUUAUCCUUUUAAUUGGCAAAGUUAGUGUUUAAUUUAUUCAAAUAUACAACAAUAUUUAUAUGUAAAAUAUGACUAGAUUUAACUUAGCUUUUAAAUUAAAUUAAGAUUUAUCUGAUCUAAAUUAAAUGUCUCUAUGAUUUUGUUUAACUAAUAUAAAAUAAAUCAAAAUUGUAGUUGUUUUUUUUAUAAUAAAAAUAUAUACCUUUCAGUAGUCGUUUCUUUUUAUCAUAGCCCUCGGUGUUUCUAGUGUUCUCGUCACUAUAGUAAUUAGUUCUCUUUUAAAACGUUAUUUUCUUUUGUGUGGUGUAUUGUUUUUAGUUUCAUUUAUUUAUUGCUUGUAUGUUUGUCUAUUUGUGGUGUUUGCUAUGAGUAGAGAACGAGAACCAUUUUAUCGACGUUGAAGAUUAAGAGGGCAUGACUAGAAGAUAAUUGAAGGUUCUAUAAAGGAGUUGCUCUGGAUAUUAAGCAAUUGGAUCAAGGCAAGUAUAGCAUUUGGAUUUUAUUUCUGUGACCAUGAUCCUGUGACUAGAUUAAUGUUAAGUAAUAAAUGAUAAAAAUGACUUUUUAGCAACUUGAUGUUUUAUCUAUACGUGAUCACCCGGGACAACAGUGCAACCAUGAGGGCUAUAAUGGCUCUGGCUUUAGCUCAGUAUGAAGACUUUUUCUACCUUGUUAGAGGUUACCCGAAAGGGCGCUAGAGGGGCUGAACCGUUUUGGGUAUAGUGUGGCCUCUGUCUGUAAGUGUAUAGGUUGCGCGUCAUUGUGCCAUCGGAAGGGGGGCUCUAUAUCUGCGAGCGAAGGAAACCUUACAGCCCUAACAUGUUAGACGAACUUUUGAAAGGCUUCAUAUUGAUCCCUGCUGACCUUCCUUGGUAGUGGGUUAAGAGGUCGAUGGGCCUCGGGUGAAAGGGUAAAUCAUGACUCAUGGGUAAAGAUGUACAGCCUCUGCGGAGUGUUAAAAACUAGUAUACUAGCCGAGCUCACGGUCAGGAGCGGCCUUGGGGACAUCUACAUUAACGGUGAUGAAUCUUGUGUGUUAAAUAUGCUCAUUAUUUAUUAUUUAAUGCUUUACAUUAUUUAUGUCACAUCGAACAUGAGAUUGUGGGAUCUAUACAAUCUAGUUGCUAUACUUGUUGAGUUCGACAUGGACUCACUCUUGCUAUUUCACGCAAACCUUAGGAGAAGUUUAGGCUUGUGAUCAACCAGUCAGUUAGAUCCUGUUGAGUGAAGUUAAUACCCGAAGUUUGGAGUUGUCUAUCCGCUGUUUGUUAUCAAAGGUUAUCUCUUCUAUACUAAGUACGUUAUAUAUUUAUGCAUUGUCUUUUGAUAUUACCCUUUAUUUGUAGCUAUACGUGGGAUUUGACUUCUAAAACUCACAUGUGGUGCGUAUCUGAUUUUGUUCGUAAAAUCGGGUAUUACAAAAUCCUUCAAGAUUUCGGUUGACUAUCGGGAUUAUAUGGGCUCAAGUUUGGAAACUCGAUUGCUCUGGUGAUCAUUUCUACACUUGAACUCUUAUGAUUUGGUCAGUUCUAUGACACCGUAUGGGUUCAUGUACAUGUAGACAUGGGCCAAGUACUCCUACUCGCCCAACAGUUGACAGCGGCCUCUAGCAAGGUGUGACAACUCCUAUACGCAUGCAAGUAUCAUAUCAAACAAACCACUACAUACACAUACAUUUUAUUCCCUUGCCACAUGAUAUUUGGUCCAACUCGUGGGUUAACACUUAACCCAAGCAUGGGCAUGCAUUUAUUGAUCCAAUCACUUGAGUGAUCUAGUGAUAUCUCUCUCACAUAGAGAGGGGCAAGUUUCAUCUUGAUCAUCUAUGUCUCACAACAUGUUCCCCGACAAACCCGAAGACCACCUUUAUAACUACCCUAUUACAGAGCAGCGUUUAAUAGUCCCUAAGUAGGUCGUUUCACAUUUGAUAACAUACGACAAUCUCAGGUCUAAGAACAUAACAUACAUGAUGUAUAAAGAGAUAAUAAGAACAUCUCAUGUUGGGUCAGUCCAGCACCGUGUCAUACAUGUGCCCACAUUAUUAGUUUGACAUCUCUAUGUCUAUGACUUGUGAAACAUAGUCAUCAACUAAUACAUGUGCUAAUCUAAUAUUCAUGUGUGUCCUCACACGAACUCUGAUUAGGGACAACUUUAGAAUAACCAUAUAAGUAAAAGAGUUUCACAAAUAAUUCACAUAAUUAUCAAUCAAUACAAGUUUUUCUAUAAUAGAUAUUCAUCGAACUCAUAAUAGAUGUCAUGGAUACAAUCGUAAUAUCAUCAUCUCUAUGAUUACCUCUAGGGCUUAUUCCCAACAAUGUGUUAAUCCCAAAUUUUGGUGAGACAAGGAAAUGCCAGUGGGCCCGCUUCAUUGGAAGGAGGAAUGGCCGGAUAGUAGAUUGACUAAAUAGAAGCGUGGAGGAAAGUAGUCGAUCAAGGGAUGUCAAAUCAAGGCAAGACAAAAGAAGACGUGUCAGGUUUUAUUACAAAGAAGGAAUUGGAGUCCAAAUUACCUUUUUGAGUAGUCGUGUAAUAUUAGGACACAUGACUAGGUUCUAGGGCUAUAAAUAUUAGAACUCGAUCCUUGUAAUGAUAUAAUCCACCAAAAAAUACAAACACUUUUCAGCUCCGGCCACCAACCUUAGGAGUAGGAGUAAGAGUAGAUCGCAACAAGAUCUUCGAUAAAUCGAGUUGCAUCUGUUGAUUUGACCAUCGGUUUGCUUGUGAGUAUUGUCAUGGUUCAUGUUUAGUUUAUCACGACUGCAUCUUUCGAACUCGUGUUAAGCUCAAUAUGAACUAGUUAUCGACUUAGAUCUUAUUUGUAAGGCUACAAUAUUUUAAUCUCUUACAAAGAUCGAUUUAAGUUAAUUUUUGGCUCUAUUGAAUUGAUAAUUUAAUAGAUUCAGUAAGUUAUCAAUAUUGUUUAAAGUUUAACGUUUUGUUCAUUAUAACAAUAUUCUGCCUAAUCAAGAUUCAGCAGACUGUAACACCCUAGGUGUUAAGCAUGCAUUUAGUCCCCUCACAACAUGCAUAAGCAUCCUCAUCAAUCAUAAGCAUCACGAGCAUGUCAUUCUCUUCAAGUAUGAUUUUAUGUGCAUCAUUUCAUGAGUUUUAAACAUGUUAAAAAUGUGAUGCUUGCUUUAAAAAUUGGGAAAUAUUCAAACUAGGUUGGUUUAUGUGUAAGAAGAAUUGAGAACAUUUUUGUGCAAUUUUUGGAGCCAGGGAAAUUGAGAAAUGGAAUUUAUACAAAAAUAUCCAAAAAGAAUUUAUUUGAAAACCUAGAACUAGUUUUGUUUUGCAAUUCAAAUUCUACUGGGAAUUUGAUUUGGCUUAUUAAAGCAAAGUUGUAGAGUUUUUAUUUUGGAACAAUUUUGUUUUUGGGAGCAAGAUGUGAAAAUGCUUUUUGGCUGGUCCAAAUAAUUUUAGAAAGGAAUUUGGAAAAAAGAAUUUAAAAAAAAAAGAAAGGCGGAGCAGUUCACUGGCGAGCCGGCGCCAACCAACCGGUUCAGUCAACGAAGUCCAUCCCAGGACGAUCGCCCUGCGACCACACCCUUGNNNNNNNNNNNNNNNNNNNNNNNNNNNNNNNNNNNNNNNNNNNNNNNNNNNNNNNNNNNNNNNNNNNNNNNNNNNNNNNNNNNNNNNNNNNNNNNNNNNNNNNNNNNNNNNNNNNNNNNNNNNNNNNNNNNNNNNNNNNNNNNNNNNNNNNNNNNNNNNNNNNGCGUGCUCGGACGUAGUUUCUUCGCGCAGGUAAGCGGUUCUAGCGAGCCGAAUCGCUCGCCGGAGAGUCCGCGGCCUCGCCGGAGCUCUCCGCGGCGUCGGCAUCGCUGGUUUUCCCCCUCCCGAACCUCUCUUGCCUCGCUAGCGCGCGCAUUAUGGUCGUCGUGGCUCCCUGAGUCGCGAGAAGCCGCACUCGAGCGCUCUACCGGAACGUGGUGGCCGGCACCGCUGCGGCAGCACCGCCGGUCCGCCAUUGCCGGUGGCUAACUCGCUGUGCGGGGUUUCAGGGCGAGUAAAGGGGUGGGAUCGAGUCGCAAGAGGGAGGCGAACGUGUUGGUGCCGUUGGUUCCGGCCGAGAGGCAUCACCGGCGGCGAGCCGUCGUCGCGGAUCCUCUCCCCUCUCGGUGUCCUAGCCAGCGGGCCCGGCUGGCAGGCGGGUCCGCUCGUCAGCGGCCGCGGGUGCACUGCACCGGGUGCACCUAGCAGGUCUCGGGGUGGAUUUGAUUUGUUUUCAGAAAAAAAUAAUUUCCAGGAAAUGAUUUAAAUGUUUAAAAAUCCAUAUCUUGAUGAAUAUAGCUCCAAAAAUUGUGAAAUAAAUUUUGGUGUAUUCCUUAUUUCCAGAUCUAUAGCCUAGUAUGUUUGCAUGUCGUGACUAAGUAACUUUUCUGUGUAAGUAUAUUUAAUCCAUGUUUUUGUCAAACUUGGAAAAUGCAUAGUAAACGAAAUAGGGCUCUGAAAAAUGUAAAAUUUGUUUUGCUGGCUCUGCAUGUGUGUUUAAUCACUGAGAAAAUAUUGUUACAUAUUAUUUGGUGUAUAAAUGAAUUUAUGAUAAUUUAAAUGCUUGCAUGGCAGUACUUUAUGAUUUUUAAUAAUUAAAUGGGUCAUGCAAUAAAUCUGGAAAAUUUUGUGGGUGUUUCUUAUGAUAUUAGACAAAUUGUAAAAAUAUGAAAUCUGUUGUUUGACACUUAUAUCAUAGUAGGGUGAUUAUACUUACUUUAUUACUUAAUCUUGUGAUUUUUGUGGCUCAAAAUAAGUAACCAAAAAUUAUGAAAAAUUUUCAGUAAACUUUAUGCUUAGCUGGAAGUCUCCUGUAAUUUUUGUGGAAUUUAUUGAUGAACAGAAUUGCAUGUCAUUUUUAAUGGGCUUAGAAAUGAAUAAAGAAAACUAUGAAUGGUUGUAUAUAUAGGUUGAAUGGAAUAAGUUGGGUUUGGUGUAUCUUUGAAGCAUCAUGGAGGUUGCUGGUUGCAUUUGAAAAAUAAUUAUAGAAGAGAAUGUAAUAGAUGUUUGAUUCAAUUGUUUAUUCUUGGAUGAUGUUGACUACCUUGUAAUAAGCAUGACCAAGUGCAUUACCUAUGCAUCGUAACAUGACUCCUUUGGUACUCUCUCAUAUAAGCAUCCACUCGGGCAUCUCGCACUCCACUCAUGAGCAUAUAUGCAUCAUACAGGCUCGCAGGAGAACGAGGUGGGAACCAAGGAACCCGAGGAGCUUCAGGAGCAGGAACCUCCGGAAGCACAUGAACCCGGAGAGGAACUGCAGGAGUGUCCGGAUCACCGACCCAGCACGUUUGAGAAAGGCAAGCCCCGGAGCAUUCUAAGUCUCCCUAUUCUCGCUAACUUAUGUGAUGCACUAUACUUGUUCUACUACUGCAUUUAAGUGGUAGGAGUUGCCUGAUACCGUUGCUGCAUAUGUACUCCUUGUUAUCCAUACUCGUUUAUCUACCUUGUCCUAUGUAGAUAGGCGCGGAGUCUAUGCUUAGCUUGCUUAGUCCGGUAGAAGUCGGGUGAUGUCCUGUCACCUGCGAGAUAUAGGUGGAUAUCUGCUUGAUUAAGCAGUGGUUGCUUGGGGAAAGAAAUAACCAAGUGUGGAAUGUAAUUGGAGACCGGGCAGGGUCUUAUGGUGGGUUUCCCAUAGUGCCCCUGCCUGUGUCGAUUAAGGACCGAUCGUUGACGGCCCUCUUGUCAUGUUGAACACAUGCCCCACACUUAGCUGGAAGGAUAAGUCGUUCCGACCGCGAAGCCUGAACACUAUCCGGGCCUGGAAUCGAGCCGCCAUGCCCUGUAAUGGUGGUGGUUGAGGAGAACGACGAGGGCGCGGCGCGCAACCUUGGUAUACCUUGGAUACCUCGGUCGCCGGAACGGUCCUCGGGUACUGGCGGUGCCUGCCGAACCCGCGAAUUGGUCCUGGAUAGUGUAAUACGGUGAUCUGUAUCUCACUUGAUCAGUGAGUGUGGUUUGUGUGGGGAAUACCUCGCCAGCUGGUUAGAAAUCGAUUCGAAUCGCCAUCGCUCCUGGAUAGUGAGCACUUGACAUGAGCCCUGUCCUCGUAGUAAGGACUAUGGAACACUUGGGUUAUAAUGAAACGGGUUUAUGACUGCUAUGAUGAGGUACUAUCAUAGUCUCAUACUUGCUUGUAAUAGCACAGGAGCAAACCUAGAUAAUAGGUAAUGAUACUUUCAACUUGAGCAGAUUAAAAGAAGAAAAGAUUUAUGUAGGUUAGGGUAAUAAAACCUUGCGGUCUUUGCAAAAUGGUUGUCAGCUACCCCAAUAAAUAGCCUUCAUGAUCCUUGAUGAGUCUUUAUUUUAAGUUAUGACGGGUAAGUCUAGCUGAGUACCUUCUCGUACUCAGGGUUCUACUCCCAUGUUGUUUUGCAGAUGGUCAAAUGUACUAUGGUUAUUGCAUCCUCUGACUGUACCCAGCUAUGGGUGAUGACUAGACCAAGGGCGAUGGUCACUUCGUCUCUUCUUUUGCUUUUGUGGGAAUGACCGAACUAUGGCACUGUAUCAGACUUAUCGUGUGUGUUGUAUUUUCGAACUAUGAAGCUUCCGCUACUUGAAGAAUUUGGUUUGUAAUAACUUAAGUACUCCGAUGUGUUUCAUGAAUGUUGUAAUCUGGAUGUACUUGUGGAUGGCGGCCGCUAAACUUAUUACGAUCUUGGCUGUUAUGCGAUGUGUGGUUUGAAAUCCUUCGAGAUUUCACGGACUACCGGGAUUAUAUGGGCUUAAGCGUGAUGGUUCGACUAUGCAAAUGGUCACUAUUAGGCUUAAUCUCUUAUAAUUUGGUCGGUUCUGUUACAGCUGGCAUCGGAGCAAGGUUUAGCGAGUUACUGUUCAUAAGUACGUUCUAAACAAAUGUCUAAACCGGUUUAAUGAAAGAUUUUAGUAAUUAAUAAAGAUCAAGGUGUUAAACUAAGUUUUGGAAAACUAUCUAGUGUGCCAUGGUCAUAUCCUUUAUGCCCAGUUAAGGACUCUAAGGUGGCUAGCUAAGUACUGACUUGGGGGUUAAUGCAUCAUAUUUUUAGUUCGUCGCUCAUACGGCGUGCAAUAGUAUGAGUGCCAUUCAUUUGAGUGGUAAUGUAUGGAUCAAUUCUUCCUCUACGCCAUGGUAAGUGGGAGUUGUGAGAGCAUGAUCGGAUACACUGCCGGUCUAGGGAAGUGUUGUCAGGUGCUGUGUCAUGCACACAUGUUGGUGUGUCUUGGGAACAGUACCGCAUGCUGGGAAUUCCGUCCUGAGAGGCGAUGCCGUCAAUAGGGCGAUGAUGUGGGUAGUGGCACGUCACUUGCAUGGACGGGUGUCUGUGUAUGUGAAGUGCAUGGUUUUAAAUUCUUACUCUGCAUGAUCAUAUUAUGGGUGGGCUGAAAUGAGUUUUCUGCAGGUACACUAACCACGUUCUCGCUUAGAACGCUAGUUACGUUAUGAGAGAACGUUGUGUGCCACCGCAUAUACCGCUUAGUGUUAACCCUUGUUUCUAAGUUUGUGAGAUCGUAAGUUCGUGCAUGCAUCAUGUUCAUUUCAUAUCAUUGCUUACUUUCCCCCUUAAUUUAAUCUGUCCCAAUUCUAAAUAAAAUAAUUAAAGGUAAUCCUCGCUCUUACCCACGGUAUUCCAUUUGCAGUAGAUGGCACGCACUAGGCUCACCGCUCGCAAGUCCACUGGUGGGCGGGCCCCUCGCCAUCCGUUGGCAGCUAGGAGCUCGCGACAUAAGAGCAAGUUCCUAGAGGAGUUUGGGAUGCCCACUUUGCUUUGGAGGGUGCUCAGUUCGAUGGGGUAUCCCGAAGGAAGGGAGCCUCGCUACUAUUGGGAUAAGGAGCCGCUUGGUGACGGGACCCUGGUGGGGAUCGAGGCAGUUGUCCCUACCAGUGGAGGAGACCCUGCUUGGGGCGGUUGGGUGUACGAGUCCCGAGGUGUCACACCUUUCCACGGUGCCAGCAGGGCAGCUUUCGCAGUUUUGAGGGACCUCAUGGAGAGGUUUCCACAGGAGCUGGCCCACGCCUUCGCUGGGGUGUUUCCCCGGGGUGACCCUUACACUUCGGUGUGGGAUCAGUCCGAGGUGAAUGCUCUAGAGAGGAGUGCGGAUGAGGACCAGCACAGUGACAGUGCAGCUAUGAGUGCCAUGUACGCGUUGAUGAAGACCUAUGGAGGCCUGGAGCGUUGUUUGGGUCGCCUGUCCGGGUCUCUUCUCACCGUCCAGGAUGAGAAGCGUCAGUUGCAGCGUGAGUUUGACUUUGAGGUUGAGAGGCUACAGGCAGAGUUGGCUCGUGUGACCGGAGAGAGAGACCGGGCAGUCCAGAAGAACAGUGAGCUGAGUCAGGACCUGCUUGCAGUACGGGACCAGAAGGACAGGGUGACUACUGCUCACAGGAACUGCGAGCGCAUGCUAGUCCAUGUGCUUGGACAGAGGAAUGAAGCCUGGCACGAGGAGGACACUUUGAGGGCCCGACAGCUGGAGCUAGAGCAGCAGCUAGCUAAUGCCGAGGAGUACAAUGAGAACUUGCAUGAGGAGAUCCACCAGCUGCAUAACCAGCUCCACCCUCACCACCUGCCUGGAGCAGCUGAGCUAGACUCUGAGGACGAGAUGGACGCGGAUCCCGAGAUAGGAGCAGCUGCUAGUGAGGAUGAGGAUGGCUCCAGCAUGGACAGUGACCAUAGCGAGUAGAUGCUAGGGUUCUAGAGCUAGUCCUUCUUCUUAUGUUGUUGUACGUUGCAUGGCAUGUCGUGUACUUUUGGAUCUGGGCUGUGUAAGACUUUAUGAGUUGGUGCUGAAAGUCCAGUGUAUGUAUGCUGGCAAGUUGGAUGUACGCGAACCUUGUUGCGUGAAUGUUAAGUAAUCUGUUAGUGAUGUUGUGCGUGGAUGAUGAGUUGUUGUGCCUUUGUUUAUUGUGUGAAUUUAUUCCCUCAGUAAAUUCAGUAUGGCACGAUUUUACACAUUUUCUACCGGUUGAUGGCAACUCCUAACGAUUGCUUAUCAUUGGCGUAUGCAGAUGGUGCAAACACGUGGCGGGGGUAACAGCAAUCCGGGUCUUGGAGCAGGUACAUCUGGAGGUGGGGCUCAAUGGAAUGAGGACCGAGCACCAACACCACCACCACCACCACCUCCCCCGUACACUGCGGACGUGUUUUUCGCGCAGUUUCUGGGAAGCCAACGCAACAUGGAACAGAUGCAGCGCAACAUGGAAGAAGCUUUGCGCAACAUAGCUGACAACACCCGUCGUGGAGAUAAUCAGGGUGGCCGGGAGGUCAACCAAUACAGUUCGUUCAAGGACUUCAUGGAUACCAAGCCACCAAUCUUUAAGGAGGCCUUGGAACCGCUCAAAGCAGAUGAGUGGAUCAACACCAUGGAGCAGAAGUUUCGUCUUCUCUGAAUGACAGAAGAACUCAAGGCUGAGUAUGCGGCACAUCAGUUGCAAGGACCCGCUGGGAUUUGGUGGUCCCAUCACCGUACCACCUACCCAGAGGGGACACCAAUCACCUGGAACUGCUUCACCACCGCUUUCCGGGGAAAUUACAUUCCUCCUGGUGUGGUUGAAAUGAAGGUUGGGGAGUUCAUGAGGCUGUCCCAGGGGACGAAAUCUGUGAAAGAGUAUCUACAUGCCUUCAAUAAUCUCGCUCGAUAUGCCCCUGAGUUUGUAAACACGGAGGCCAAGAAGAUUGCCAGUUUCCAGAGGGGCUUGAAUCCAAAGAUGCUGAAGACCAUGGGUACAGGGGCCAGGGCUACCUUCAAUGCUUACAUCAGUGUCUGUCUCACCCAGGAGAAUAACAACAACAACUACAGUGCAUCCAAGUCACGUAAAAGGCCUUUUGAAGCUGGAUCAUCCCAGUCCAGGGCACCAGUGACAGGGCAACAGCAGUAUCGUCCCCCUGCCCCAGGUGCUAGGUUCCGACCGCCGCAGAGAAGGAACACCGGACAUCCAACACAGCAGAAGCCGUACAAGGUGGCGAUAGCCCCUGCCAAGCCAAAGGCAAUUCAAGCUGCCGCACCUGCCGUCAACAAUGCGCCCAAGGGUCCGUGCUAUAACUGCCACAAGAUGGGGCCCUUUGCUAAGGAAUGUCCCUACCCCAAGAGGCAGCAGCCAACCUAUCCAGCUCGUGUGCACCAUACCUCGAUCGAGGAAAUCCCGGAAGGAGAACCGGUGACAGCGGGUAUGUUUUCUGUCAACCAACAUCUUGCAGUUGUUUUGUUUGAUUCUGGAUCGUCGCAUUCAUUCAUGAGCCAAGCAUUUGCACAAAAGCAUAAUCAACUAGUUACAGAUCUGGGCUAUGGCUACCGCAUCAGCUCAGCAGGGGCAGAUGUGUUGACCAAUAGAGUGGUCCGAGGGGCAACCCUAGAUGUAAGUGGCCGAGUUUUUCGGGUAAAUCUAGUGGUCAUGCCUGGGUUAGUUUUGGAUGUUAUCAUGGGCAUGAACUGGAUGAGAGAAUGGGAUGCUGUCAUAGAUACUGGAAAGAGGAUGUUAUCUCUCAGAGAACCACAGGGCAGUAACUCUUUUCAAGUACCUCUGCCCCGUCAUCUUGACUUUGCUAGCAUCUCCUGUGCUACGCACGUGGUUCCUUUACCACAGAUCCCAGUCGUCUGUGAGUUCCCUGAUGUUUUUCCCGAGGAAUUGCCAGGACUUCCCCCAGAUAGGGAGGUAGAGUUUGCAAUCGAGUUGAUACCAGGUACAACACCAAUAUCUAGAAGGCCGUACCGGAUGCCACCAAACGAACUCGCAGAGCUGAAGAAGCAACUGAAUGAGUUACUAGAAAAAGGGUUCAUCCGGCCAAGCUCGUCGGAAUGGGGUUGUCCAGCGUUGUUUGUGAAAAAGAAGGAUCAGUCGUUGCGCAUGUGCGUGGACUAUCGUCCACUCAAUGCAGUGACAAUCAAAAAUAAGUAUCCCUUGCCAAGGAUUGAUAUCCUGUUUGAUCAGUUAUCCAAGGCAAGAGUGUUUUCUAAGAUAGAUUUGAGAUCUGGGUAUCACCAAAUCAAGAUUCGUCCGCGAGAUAUCCUGAAGACUGCUUUUUCCACCAGGUAUGGGUUGUAUGAGUAUCUUGUCAUGUCCUUUGGGUUGACAAAUGCUCCUGCAUACUUUAUGUAUCUGAUGAAUUCAGUCUUUAUGCCGGAAUUGGAUAAGUUUGUUGUGGUGUUUAUCGAUGAUAUCCUGGUGUAUUCAGAAAAUGAGCAAGAUCACGCCGAACAUCUGAGAAUCGUGCUGACACGAUUACGAGAGCAUCAGUUAUAUGCCAAGUUCAGCAAGUGUGAGUUCUGGUUGAAGAAAGUUCCGUUCCUAGGGCACAUUUUGUCUGAAGAAGGGAUUGCCGUGGAUCCAUCAAAAGUGCAGGAAGUCAUGGACUGGAAGGCACCAACUUCUGUCUCGGAAGUUAGAAGUUUUCUUGGUCUGGCCGGGUAUUAUCGUCGUUUCAUACCUGACUUCUCCAAGAUUGCUAAGCCAAUGACAAGUUUGCAACAAAUGGACCAUAAGUUUGUCUGGACGGAAGGGUGUGAGUUAGCCUUCCGCACCUUGCAAAAGUUGCUAACCACUGCUCCCGUUUUGGCACAACCUAAUAUAGAGAAGCCUUUUGAUGUGUUUUGUGACGCAUCGAAGAGUGGCCUGGGGUGUGUGUUGAUGCAAGAUGGCAGGGUGAUAGCUUAUGUUUCCCGACAGUUGAGAAAGCAUGAAGUCAACUAUCCAACGCACGACCUUGAGUUAGCAGCAGUGGUACAUGCUUUGAAGAUCUGGAGACAUUAUCUGCUAGGAAAUAAGUGUCACAUUUACACCGAUCACAAGAGUUUGAAGUACAUCUUCACUCAGUCUGAGCUGAAUAUGAGGCAACGACGGUGGUUAGAGCUAAUCAAGGAUUAUGACCUGGAAGUUCACUAUCAUCCAGGCAAAGCUAAUGUGGUCGCAGAUGCCUUGAGUCGCAAACCGCACUAUCAAAUGGUUCAACCGUUGUUUGAAGAUGGGUUCAAUCUUAUGCAUCCUGAGGUCUUAUGUCAUAUACAACUCAGUUGUUCACUCGAGAGUCAAGUCAUUGAAGGUCAGAAAACAGACAAGGGUAUUUUCCACAUCAAAGAGAAGAUCAAAGAUGACCCAAAGACUCAGUUUCGGGUUGAUGAGAAGGGGGUACUGUGGUUUCAACAGCGGUUAGUGGUCCCGAAAGAUCUGGAGUUGAAGAAUCGCAUCAUGGAUGAAGCCCAUCUCUCUAAGCUUUCUAUUCAUCCUGGCAGCAGCAAAAUGUAUCAAGAUCUAAGGCCCCACUUUUGGUGGACCAAGAUGAAGAAAGAAAUAGCCGCUUAUGUGGCCCGUUGUGACACGUGUUGCAGAGUUAAGGCCAUCCAUAUGAAACCUGCAGGUCUGUUACAACCGUUAUCAGUUCCGGAGUGGAAAUGGGAAGAGGUCAGUAUGGACUUUAUCACAGCUUUACCAACCACAAGGAAGGAGAAUGACUCGAUUUGGGUAAUCAUAGAUCGAUUGACCAAAUCGGCCCAUUUCAUCCCUGUGAAGACUCGUUACCGACCUACUGAGUAUGCCGAUAUAUAUAUGGCUGAGAUUGUCAAAUUGCAUGGUAUUCCCAAAACCAUCAUAUCGGAUAGAGGACCGCAGUUCACUGCUCACUUCUGGGAGCGCAUGCAUAAAAGUUUGGGGACCAGUUUGAUAAGAAGCACGGCCUAUCAUCCCCAGACUUCAGGCCAAACUGAGAGGCUAAAUCAAGUGUUAGAAGAUAUGCUGAGGGCCUGUGUGCUAUCAUCCAGGGGAUCGUGGGAAUCAUGGUUACCUUUGGCUGAGUUCUCAUACAAUAAUAGUUAUCAAGAGAGCAUCAAGAUGGCCCCGUUCGAAGCUUUGUAUGGGCGGAGAUGUCGAACUCCGUUAAACUGGGUUGAACCUCGUGAAAGAAGAUACUAUGGUAUCGACUUCGUGAAUGAAGCAGAGAAAAAGGUGCAGAUCAUACAGCAACAUAUGCAAGCGGCACAGUCACGACAAAAGAGUUAUGCUAAUAAGAGAAGAAGGCCACUUGAAUUCAACAUAGGUGACUAUGUGUACCUCAAGGUUACGCCAAUGAAGAAAGUUCAACGUUUCCGAGUUCGAAGCAAGCUUGCACCCAGAUAUGUGGGACCGUACCAAGUGCUAGAGAGGAAAGGCCCAGUGGCCUAUAAGAUUCAGUUACCUGAAGAGAUGAGCUCGAUCUUUCCGGUCUUCCAUGUGUCGCAACUACGGAAAUGUUUGAAAGUGCCUGAGCAAAGAAUUGAACCUCGAGGGAUCAAAAUAAAAGCAGACUUAGAGUAUAAAGAGCAGCUAGUGGGAAUUGUGGAUACCAAGGAGCGAGUAACCCGAAACAGAGUUGUUCAAACAUACAAAGUGGUGUGGAGUCAUCAUGACGAUAGGGAUGCCACUUGGGAAACAGAGAAUUACUUAAAAACAGUUUAUCCAAAAUUUCACAAGAAAUGGUUAGUAACCCAAAAUCUCGGGACGAGAUUUCCCUAAGGGGGGAAGGGCUGUAACACCCUAGGUGUUAAGCAUGCAUUUAGUCCCCUCACAACAUGCAUAAGCAUCCUCAUCAAUCAUAAGCAUCACGAGCAUGUCAUUCUCUUCAAGUAUGAUUUUAUGUGCAUCAUUUCAUGAGUUUUAAACAUGUUAAAAAUGUGAUGCUUGCUUUAAAAAUUGGGAAAUAUUCAAACUAGGUUGGUUUAUGUGUAAGAAGAAUUGAGAACAUUUUUGUGCAAUUUUUGGAGCCAGGGAAAUUGAGAAAUGGAAUUUAUACAAAAAUAUCCAAAAAGAAUUUAUUUGAAAACCUAGAACUAGUUUUGUUUUGCAAUUCAAAUUCUAUUGGGAAUUUGAUUUGGCUUAUUAAAGCAAAGUUGUAGAGUUUUUAUUUUGGAACAAUUUUGUUUUUGGGAGCAAGAGGUGAAAAUGCUUUUUGGCUGGUCCAAAUAAUUUUAGAAAGGAAUUUGGAAAAAAGAAUUUAACAAAAAGAAAAAAAAAGAAAGGGGGAGCUGUUCACUGGCGGGCCGGCGCCAACCAACCGGCCCAGCCAGCGAAGCCAGCCCAGGCCGACCGCGCCGCGUCCACCCCCUCCCCGCGCGCGCUCGGACACGGCCGCGCCGCGCGCGCCCGAGCGCGUCAGGCCGACGGCGCCGCGUGGACGGCAUGCGCUGCUCGCCGGCGCCACGACCCCCCCCUCCGCUGCGGACAGCGCCACCUCCCUCGCCAUUCUCUCCUCCACCCGGUGCGCGCCCCCUCGCUCUCUCUCGCGCUCUCCUGCCUCCUCUCCGCGCGCACCGUGCCGCCGCUCGCCAUUGGAGCUCCCCGAGCUCCGCUCGCCGUGUUCCCGGCACUCCGUCGCCUCUCAGCGCCUCCUUCCACCUCUCCGAGCUCCGCAUUCGUCUCCGCGUGCUUGGACGUAGUUUCUUCGCGCAGGUAAGCGGUUCUAGCGAGCCGAAUCGCUCGCCGGAGACUCCGCGGCCUCGCCGGAGCUCUCCGCGGCGUCGGCAUCGCUGGUUUUCCCCCUCCCGAACCUCUCUUGCCUCGCUAGCGCGCGCAUUAUGGUCGUCGUGGCUCCCUGAGUCGCGAGAAGCCGCACUCGAGCGCUCUACCGGAGCGUGGUGGCCGGCACCGCUGCGGCAGCGCCGCCGGUCCGCCAUUGCCGGUGGCCAACUCGCUGUGCGGGGUUUCAGGGCGAGUAAAGGGGUGGGAUCGAGUCGCAAGAGGGAGGCGAACGUGUUGGUGCCGUUGGUUCCGGCCGAGAGGCAUCACCGGCGGCGAGCCGUCGUCGGGGAUCCUCUCCCCUCUCGGUGUCCUGGCCAGCGGGCCCGGCUGGCAGGCGGGUCCGCUCGUCAGCGGCCGCGGGUGCACUGCACCGGGUGCACCUAGCCGGUCUCGGGGUGGAUUUGAUUUGUUUUCAGAAAAAAAUAAUUUCCAGGAAAUGAUUUAAAUGUUUAAAAAUCCAUAUCUUGAUGAAUAUAGCUCCAAAAAUUGUGAAAUAAAUUUUUGGUGUAUUCCUUAUUUCCAGAUCUAUAGCCUAGUAUGUUUGCGUGUCGUGACUAAGUAACUUUUCUGUGUAAGUAUAUUUAAUCCAUGUUUUUGUCAAACUUGGAAAAUGCAUAGUAAACGAAAUAGGGCUCUGAAAAAUGUAAAAUUUGUUUUGCUGGCUCUGCAUGUGUGUUUAAUCACUGAGAAAAUAUUGUUACAUAUUAUUUGGUGUAUAAAUGAAUUUAUGAUAAUUUAAAUGCUUGCAUGGCAGUACUUUAUGAUUUUUAAUAAUUAAAUGGGUCAUGCAAUAAAUGUGGAAAAUUUUGUGGGUGUUUCUUAUGAUAUUAGACAAAUUGUAAAAAUAUGAAAUCUGUUGUUUGACACUUAUAUCAUAGUAGGGUGAUUAUACUUACUUUAUUACUUAAUCUUGUGAUUUUUGUGGCUCAAAAUAAGUAACCAAAAAUUAUGAAAAAUUUUCAGUAAACUUUAUGCUUAGCUGGAAGUCUCCUAUAAUUUUUGUGGAAUUUAUUGAUGAACAGAAUUGCAUGUCAUUUUUAAUGGGCUUAGAAAUGAAUAAAGAAAACUAUGAAUGGUUGUAUAUAUAGGUUGAAUGGAAUAAGUUGGGUUUGGUGUAUCUUUGAAGCAUCAUGGAGGUUGCUGGUUGCAUUUGAAAAAUAAUUAUAGAAGAGAAUGUAAUAGAUGUUUGAUUCAAUUGUUUAUUCUUGGAUGAUGUUGACUACCUUGUAAUAAGCAUGACCAAGUGCAUUACCUAUGCAUCAUAACAUGACUCCUUUGGUACUCUCUCAUAUAAGCAUCCACUCGGGCAUCUCGCACUCCACUCCUGAGCAUAUAUGCAUCAUACAGGCUCGCAGGAGAACGAGGUGGGAACCGAGGAACCCGAGGAGCUUCAGGAGCAGGAACCUCCGGAAGCACAGGAACCCGGAGAGGAACUGCAGGAGUGUCCGGAUCACCGACCCAGCACGUUUGAGAAAGGCAAGCCCCGGAGCAUUCUAAGUCUCCCUAUUCUCGCUAACUUAUGUGAUGCACUAUACUUGUUCUACUACUGCAUUUAAGUGGUAGGAGUUGCCUGAUACCGUUGCUGCAUAUGUACUCCUUGUUAUCCCUACUCGUUUAUCUACCUUGUCCUAUGUAGAUAGGCGCGGAGUCUAUGCUUAGCUUGCUUAGUCCGGUAGAAGUCGGGUGAUGUCCUGUCACCUGCGAGAUAUAGGUGGAUAUCUGCUUGAUUAAGCAGUGGUUGCUUGGGGAAAGAAAUAACCAAGUGUGGAAUGUAAUUGGAGACCGGGCAGGGUCUUAUGGUGGGUUUCCCAUAGUGCCCCUGCCUGUGUCGAUUAAGGACCGAUCGUUGACGGCCCUCUUGUCAUGUUGAACACAUGCCCCACACUUAGCUGGAAGGAUAAGUCGUUCCGACCGCGAAGCCUGAACACUAUCCGGGCCGGGAAUCGAGCCGCCAUGCCCUGUAUUGGUGGUGGUUGAGGAGAACGACGAGGGCGCGGCGCGCAACCUUGGUAUACCUUGGAUACCUCGGUCGCCGGAACGGUCCUCGGCUACUGGCGGUGCCUGCCGAACCCGCGAAUUGGUCCUGGAUAGUGUAAUACGGUGAUCUGUAGCUCACUUGAUCAGUGAGUGUGGUUUGUGUGGGGAAUACCUCGCCAGCUGGUUAGAAAUCGAUUCGAAUCGCCAUCGCUCCUGGAUAGUGAGCACUUGACAUGAGCCCUGUCCUCGUAGUAAGGACUAUGGAACACUUGGGUUAUAAUGAAACGGGUUUAUGACUGCUAUGAUGAGGUACUAUCAUAGUCUCAUACUUGCUUGUAAUAGCACAGGAGCAAACCUAGAUAAUAGGUAAUGAUACUUUCAACUUGAGCAGAUUAAAAGAAGAAAAGAUUUAUGUAGGUUAGGGUAAUAAAACCUUGCGGUCUUUGCAAAAUGGUUGUCAGCUACCCCACUAAAUAGCCUUCAUGAUCCUUGAUGAGUCUUUAUUUUAAGUUAUGACGGGUAAGUCUAGCUGAGUACCUUCUCGUACUCAGGGUUCUACUCCCAUGUUGUUUUGCAGAUGGUCAAAUGUACUAUGGUUAUUGCAUCCUCUGUCUGUACCCAGCUAUGGGUGAUGACUAGACCAAGGGCGAUGGUCACUUCGUCUCUUCUUGUGCUUUUGUGGGAAUGACCGAACUAUGGCACUGUAUCAGACUUAUCGUGUGUGUUGUAUUUUCGAACUAUGAAGCUUUCGCUACUUUAAGAAUUUGGUUUGUAAUAACUCAAGUACUCCGAUCUGUUUCAUGAAUGUUGUAAUCUGGAUGUACUUGUGGAUGGCGGCCGCUAAACUUAUUACGAUCUUGGCUGUUAUGCGAUGUGUGGUUUGAAAUCCUUCGAGAUUUCACGGACUACCGGGAUUAUAUGGGCUUAAGCGUGAUGGUUCGACUAUGCAAAUGGUCACUAUUAGGCUUAAUCUCUUAUAAUUUGGUCGGUUCUGUUACAGCAGAUUAGUUCAAGCUUUAAAUAUAAACACUUGUUGCAAAGUUUAAAUAAAUAACGAUUAUCAAGUAAGUUUAAGAUAACUAAUCUGUUGAUCUUGAUUGUUGCAUGUUAUGUGUUCGAGAUAUUUAUUUAAUCAUGAUUAAUUUGGUAACAAAACCGAAUUUACUUAUGGCGAAGUAAAUAGAUCUCGUUCGUGCUUCAUGGAUCCUAUAUCGAUUAAAUAGCCGAUCUAGUUAAGCUUGAAGGAAUAGCGCAUAUGUGUAAACCCGACUAUAGAAUUAAAUAAAUUAGUAAAUUGUGUUAAAUUUAUUGUAGCUUGCUGGACUUUAGAGCAGGUGAAUAUAAAUUUAAUAUGUUUAUGAAUGUAACUUAUUAAGACCUUAGUCCUUCAGACCAGUGUUGACGGUCGAUAACGGCAACUUUUAUUAGAACUUUAAACCCGAAGGAGAACAUGAAUACACACUAGUAUAGGGUUUAAACUAACAAUUUGCAUGAGUUUUGCAUAUUCUAUGUUUUCCAGGGUUGAUUUCACAGAGAGCUGAAAAGAGGGAUUCUAGUGCAUAUUUACCACGAAACUCAUCCGCGGUAGAAAAUAUGGUCAUCAGGCUCAAGAAGGGUCUAGAAAACACCUGAAGAAACGAGAGCCGUGGAAGAGGAAAGGUGGAGCCAGCAGGCCCCACCCUAGGACUAGUCGGCGCCCUGUUUUGCUCGUUGCCCGCCGCCUUCUGGAGCCUUCCUCCUAUGCAUCCUUGGAAGCCAAGCAAAGUAUCCCUCCGUCGGUUUUAAGUCAGUUUGAUCCGACGGUGCACACAAGAUGAAGACGCGGAUCGCUGACGUGGUGGUUCUUUGCCCCCUACUCCACCUCGACCUAUAUAAUGACACCCAAGGCUCCCCUCAAGAGGCAUUCUACACCCCGACGCUUCAUAUUCUCUACAUAAUUAGGGUUAGGGUCCCUCUAGUUGUUCUAGUUCUAGUUCAUCUAGAUGUAGCAAUUAGUUGAGACUAGUUCAUCUAGAUCUAGUCUUGUUUAGAGAUUAGAGAGAUUUAGUAGAGGAGUAGAGAUUCUAGAGAAGUUCUGGCCUAUCAGUGCUUCUUCGUGGUUGUAUUCUUCUAGAUCCAGUUUCUCUCGCCCGGAGCUACGUUCUUAGGUACUUUUGUACUUACCCUUCUGGUUUAAGUAAGCAUCUUGUUCUUACUUGUUCUUUGGUUCACAACUCAUAUUGAGUGCUUUGACAUUGAUCGUAACUUGGUUGAAGUAGUAUUUUAUAGUGUAGGCGUAGUGCCUAGGCUAGGUUUACUUGUGAAUAUCCCCUAAUCAGCCGGAUAGUGGUAGUUCGUCUAGGUGACUUUAUAGCUGCGUUGAUUCCUUCUAUAGUCCACUUCCCGUUGAUAAGAUUGAUAGGCUUAUAGAUGCCUGAUAUGGGCUUACUCUGAUUCUCCCCCUAUUCGGGUUACUUGCCCGAUAAGACGGUAUUAUACAAAGUUUACCGCUGUCGGAACCAGAGUGCAUUAAUAUUUACUUUUUCUUGAUAUGAUCUAGCCUAAUUAUAGGGUUAAGUCCAUAUACUAUGUCAUCAUCACAUCUAUUCCUUGUGGAUUCGAUAUUGAAAACCUCUAGGUAAAAUGUGACGUUGGUAUGAUAUAUGUGCACUUGCGGAUAAUCCUACUUAAAUCUAUUUAAAUGGAGUGUAGUUAAUUUAUACCAACAAGUAUUUUUGGCGUCAUUCCCAAGGAACAAUUUGUUGAUCUUGAUUUAGUCUAGCUUACUCUUGUAUUAUACUUUUAUAUUUUCCUAUUUUAUCCUAGUCUCUUUAUUAUUUUUGUGUUCACCCUUAUAGAUGUUGUUAAUUAUAUUGCUAUUUAUCUUCAUGGCAUGUGCAAAAGCUUAAAGCAUAAACCUUAUCAUAAUAUCUAUAAGCUAUGCCCAUGUCUACAUAAUAUAAUAAACCCUUCUCAAUUAUAUCAUGGGAUCAUUAAUCCUGACCUUGGUUUGUUGGGCCCCAUAUUUAUUCAACAUUUAGGAUCUUACCAAGAGUUACAUGUAACACCCUAAAAAUUUCAUUUUUCCAAAUAGGGCAAUUUGAUUUAAUUAAUUGUUUGUGAGCACUAAGAAAUAGUAAGACAUAAAUUUUUAUUGAAUUAAAAUUCACUAUAAGGCCUAGACACAUGCUGGUGCAUUCAUGCUGCUGCAUAAAUUUUAUUGAGUGGUGUUCUUUUACUUUUAAAUGGUUUUAAAAAUUCUUUUCAAAAGAUUUGAGGAAAAUAUGAAUUUAGCAAAUGGAAAAGGAUUUCCUCUUCCCCUCCCUAUCUCGGGCUCGGCCCAUUUCUCCCUCUCCCCCCGCCCCCGCGGCCUACCUGCCCCCUUCCCCCUUUCUUCCCUGCGCGGCCCAGUGCCCGGCUUCGGCCCAAGCGCCAGCACGGCCCGCGUCCGCGCGCCCCCUUCACCGCAGCCGCUGACAGGCCGACCCCGCGCCCCCGUGUCUCUGCCAGGCGGGGUCCACCUGUCGGACUCGUCUUCCACCUUGAGUCCGAGCCGGACACGACCCGAGCGCAACCACCGCGCGCGAUUCGCGCGAGCUAUCCUCCUUCCGCCCGACUCUAGCCCUUUAAAUACUCGCCCCGCCGCCCGCAAUCCCCCAACUCAUCCCGAGCCUCAGCCGCCGCGUCGAAACACACCAAGUUCGCCACCGAGAUCCACGCCGCAACCAAUCCGCCGCUGCAGCGCCUUCGAGUCCCCGUGAGCAGCUUGCUGGGCUUCGGAAUCGUCUUGCGAAGUCACCGAAACCUUCCUUUCAUGCUCUAGUGCUCUGUGCUCGUCACUAAUCUUCGCCAAACAUUGUUCCAGGGCCGCCGUUCGCCGAUCGCCGUCGCAAGCCCCUAGCCGGCCUCUUUUCGUCGCGGAUUUUUGCUUAGGUGAGUCCGCAUCGAGUUCCCGAGCAAGCCUGUGCUUUUAUCUUGUGCUCUACAGUUCUCUAGCACCGCAUCGUCCAACUCCGGCCAAGGUCGGCCAUGGCGCCGCCGCGGCCUGCUCAACUCCGGCCGGCCGUCCCGUUCACCCCCUCCGAUCUAAUCUGGCCGUUAAUCCGCGAUCCAACGGCUGAUAUCGAAGGAUACCCCUUCGACCGCCAAAUUUGCAGAAAACCCCCCAUGCUUUUUAAUGUAUAAACCCGCGGUCCUUUGCGCUUUCUCCGAAUGCGUUUUCCAAGUUUGAAAGCGUAUUUUCGUCUGCGCAGUUCAAAACCCGUUUUCUCAGAUUUACAGUUUUGCCAUUGAUCCCAUUUUACUCAUAAAAACUCUGUUUUAACUCCGAUUUGAUCCGUUCAAGUUGCGUUAGAUUCAUUUUCGCGUAAUCUAUAGAUUUGUGGUACUGUACUACAAGUUUUCAACUUUUAAAAUCUGAGUUUAGAUUUAAUCUAUUAUUUUAUCAAAGGCAAUCUUAUUUAGAUCAUAACUUCUUCGUCUUAGAUCCGAUUUGUGUGAACUUUACGUCUGUGUGAUCGUAGAGCGAUGUAGAUUCGUUUUAUAAACUUUUUAUCUUUAUUUAUUACUGUUGGUGUACUGUUCUAAUAAUAGGCUUGUUUGCUUUGUAUGAUUGUCUUUGGAUGAUUGCUGUUGAUGUGGUGGUUACGUAUAGACUGUGAGCAGUGCGUGGGUGAUCAAGAGUACUACUACGAGCAGUAUCAGUAGCACCAGUGUGAUGAAGGCAAGUAUAGCAUGGGAUCAUCCUUAUUUCCUAAUAAUUUUAAUCACUUAAUUCAUAUUGCAUGUGUCCCCUUGAUAAGGAUUUCCUAGUAUUGAUCUUAUACCUUGUCACCUAUGGGUAUGCAUUGGGUAGCUUAUGCUAGUGCUCCACUAAACCAUGAUUUUGUAAUUUGACUAAAGGAUUAUGCAAUAAACAUUAAAAGAUGACUUUUUAGCAACUUUGGAUAAGAGGGCUGGAGCAUUGGGCUAUCUUAUGGUGCUCUAGUUUCUCUCCCUAAGGACUUAUUUGUAUCUGACCAUCCGGGACAUACAGUACAACUGUGAGGGCUACAUGGCUCUGGCUUUAGCUCAGUAUGAGGACCUUUUCUAGCUUGUUAGUGGUUACCCUUGUGGCGCAAGUGGGGGAUAGCAGACCGUGGAUUCCUGUGGGUGAGUCACAUGGACUGACUAACGAAACCUAGCGGCCCUAACUUGUUAGACGAACCUUUGAAAGGCUUCAUAGUGAACCCUGCCGGUCUUCUUUGGGAGUGGGCUAAGGGGCUGAUCACCUCGGGCGAAAGGGUAAAUCACGACUCACUGUGAAACUGUACAACCUCCGCAGAGUGUAAAACUGAUAUAUCAGCCGUGCUCACGGUCACGAGCGGCCUUGGACCAAUACAGAAUAAAUGAACACUAAUUGCGAUUCAUUAAUGUUAUUAUUGUUAAUAUGUUGUUUAUGCUAUUCUUUAUUCACUUUACCUGAUCAUAAGUUUAUUAUGGGUCUUGACAACUUGAUGCUACUCAUAUGCUAAAAUUGUGACAACUAAAACCUACAUGCAGUUGAACUAGUGUCUAGCCUUUGAGCCUCAUGAACCCCCUGUUAUACUUGUUAAGUACGAGGUGUACUUACACUUGUUUAUUUUCUUUAUUUGGAUAAAAAUCCCGGAUGGGUAACAGACGACUUGGGUAAUGACUACUACCAGUACUUCCCUGAGGAUUUCUAGUCUUGUGGUCAACCAGUUGACGUGCCGGUGUGAUGGAGCUUCCAUGCAAGAGUUAUCUUUUAUUUUCCGCUAUAUUUGUGUAAAGACUCUGAGUUAUAUCGUUAUGUAAUAAACACUUGUGAUGAUACUCCCUAUAAAUUGUCGGCUUAUGUGUGAUUGAUCUCUGGGCACACAUAAGGUUUUGCAUUCAAUUUUAUCCUUAAAAUUGGGUGUGACAUUACAUGAAAUCCCUUGAUUUAUCUUCUCGAGAGUUCUUUCUUAUCUUUUAAAAAGCAAGAUAUUGUGCUCAAAAGAGUUGCUCUAGCUAUUUCUGAACUCCCCAAAAGAAGAAAAGAAUUUAUUAUCUAAACUAAAAAUAGAAGUCUUGAUAACUAAAAUACAAUCAUAUCAUUCUUAAGAUUUAGCUAUCAAUCCUAAAUCUUUAAAAUUCCACUUUAAUGAUUUAGAUGUCUAGUUAGCUAAGAUGCUCAUAAAUUAAUGCAUAUCAGAUCUUCUUAGAAGAGUAUCUUGGAAAAAGCAUCAUCAAUUUCCUUUCCUUCCUAAAAAGACAUUGGGAAAAAUUCAAGGAUGGCAUGCCAAGUGAUGCCAUAGAAGGAGAGCCAAGCCACUUAGAAAUAGAUUCUAUUUUCUCCCCUUCUAUGGCCAUAAACCCAUCUCUAAACCCAUCCUUGACCACAAUGAAUCUUUUUAUGCUCCUUCUACUAAACUUCAUAAUGGCCCUAGAAAUCCAUCCAGACAUCCUAAGAAUAGGAGUCAUGAAAAUUAUAGGAAUACCCAAGAAGAGCAACAGCAAUAGUAGGAACACAUAGAACAUAUUAGAAAUACAUAUGAUAUUGUCAAAGAAUGGAAGAAGAUGAAGUUUUAACACUAGCAUCUAAACUUGGUCUAAAUUCAAAUGUUAAGCUUAAAUUAAUUUCUUUGAUAAAUAAAACUCACCCAAGUUUAGAGAAAGCUUUAGUUGAGAUAAACCAUAGGGACAUCAAUUCAAGGGAAAUCCUAGAAAAUAAAAUAUCUAAUAAAUGUCAUAGGCAUGAAAUAAUAGAGGCAAACUUAUUGCCUAUAGACAACCAUGAAGAGACACCCUUGGAGUUUGAAAAGGGAGAUCAUAUUGUCGAGCAUAUGAACUAUUUCAUUAAACACCCUAUCAGACCCAUGCUCAUAUGAGAGAUCUCCUGGAUCAAUUAGUCUCUAAUAUUAAGCUCCAUCAUUCCUUCAUUGAUAUGUCAUGCUCUGAAAUCUCUGCUAAAUUCUUGUCAGGUGUCAGGAGGAGCAUUGUUGGGACGAGCAACUUGAUAUGACUCCCAUCAGGUCUGAGCUGCUCCCUGAAGUUAUCCAUAAGCAUAUAACACCGUUUCCAUAUCAUUGCAUUGUGAUAUGUUCAGUUGUCUCUGCACAGCACAUAGCCAUUCAUCUACCUCCAUAGGAUCAGCUGAGUGAGUAAAUACCAGAGGUCUUCCCUUCAUAAAUUCCUCAUGCUUAUCUCUCACAUAAACAGGUGGUGGGGUGGUGGUGGUGCAGGUUCAUGCUGAAGGUGCUGCAUAAAAGCAUGCAUCAUCUCAUUCUUGUGUCUGCAUGACCUCUUCCACAGUAAUUGGGGCAUUGGCACCCCUACCACGGCCCCUGCCUCUGCCUCUUCCCCUUGCUGCCAUCUGAAUUCCACGGUACAGAAACAUAUCUCAAUAAUAUCCAACAUGAUAAAUACAAGAGAUAAUUGAAUCUCAAUUUUUUUGGGCGAUAUCCAACAUUAGCAGUUCAGAAAAUCAGUCAUAUGUCGAGUUCCAUAACUCUAAAGGAGACGUUCUUUACACCGUUGGAAAGAUAAAGAAAUUCUCUACAACUUUAAUUUAGGUCAUAUUAACACAUUCUGUGGUUAAAUUAGCCAAAACAGGGUAUAUCCGAAAACUGUUCCAGAAUUCCAGACUGCACAGAAACCUCAACUUUGAACAGUUGUAUCUCACAGCUCUUAAUAAUUAAUAAUGUCAUUCUAGCGGCAUUGGAAAGAUAAUGAAGUCUAGUUGUUCAAAGAAAAAUUUGAUAAACUUUGCAUGAACAGAAUUUGAGGUAUAUCAGAAUUAUUGCAGACUGCUUCAGAAAUCAGCAAGAGACAGAAACAUAAUUUUAACCAAACCUAACUAUUUAGUUCAUUAAUCCUUAUGCCUUAGGCCUAUUAACUAAAUGAAAUUGUGGAGAAAAUCCACAAGAUCAUUACACUCGUUACAAAGAACCAAAUCAAGCAUAAGCAUAAAAACAACCAAACCAAGCAUUAAAGGUUCACACUUCAAGCAUUGACUUAACUUGCGGUACCAUCGUUCUCUUCCUAUUAAGGGUAAAGAUCCUAAAACUCCUAUUUCAAUGACGUCAGAAAGUGGUUAGAGAAUGUUCUUGUUGACACCGUUUUUGGGCACGUGUCUAGGAUGGCAGGAUAAGGUGGCAGUACGAUGUUUACAAAGCGGGUUGCCGAUGAUGAUGGUUGCCGAUGAGGGAGAAGUUGAAUGUGACUAAGUCCACAGGCAGUAAUAUGGUGCCGAUGGCUAGGUAAGAAAGUCUGCCGAUGACUAUGGCAAAGGGUCUGCCGAUGAUAUGGAAGGAGUCCGGAAGCUGCCGGUUGUCAUGUGGAGGAGUUUAGGUUUGUCACGAGGGAUAGUUUUGUUAUUUCCUUAAUUAUUUGCAUCGUUUUGUAUAUGGAUUCCGUGUAGUUUGGAAUUCGAAUUCUAAUCGUGUCUGGUUGUAGCUCUUUGAGCAGGGUAUAAAUAUAAACCCUAGGGCCUUAUAAUAAUCAAUCAAGAAAUCAAACACACGUUUUUACUCAUAUUCCAGCAUUUACUUUUCGACGACUUCAUCAUACUUUUUCCUUUUGUUACGAGUUCUUAGGAAUUCGUCGACUUAAGCUCGGCGUGUUCUCAAGUUCCGCGUGAGUACCUCUUAGCCGUGACAUCCGGGCGCAUCGCUGUUGUCAGGACUAAAGUAUUCGAGUUAUCACCUUUGCCGAUAGCAAGGUCAAAUCGGCUGGCACGCCUUAACGUUUGAAUCGGGUAUUAGCCCUUUGUGUUUGCAGACUAGUUUUGCAUCAACACAUCUUUUGGCACGCCCGGUGGGACCAGAUUCAAGAUCAAGAUCAACAUGUCGAUCUCUGACCUCGAUCAAGAGAACGUCAUCCCCGUGACGGAGGCCAACCUCAAGGAUGAGCAGAAGCAAGCUAUUGCCCAAGCCAUGGAAGAGUUCAAGCAGCAAUGCCUGAGGUCUUUCAGCAUAAACAGGAGCGGCGAAGUGGUCCAGAAAGAUGCACUGCCGGCACCACGGCAGGUUACCUUUGACGCCAAUCCUGGCAAGCUUCAAGAUAUGGUUGACAAUGCCAUCAAUCGAGCGUUGAUUAACCAAGCUGGUGUACUGUCUAAUACGGUUUUCAAUGUCGUGGCAAGAACUUUCAAGGAAGGACAAAUCCCACCAGAUUAUGUGGGCCCCUCCCAUCAUCAGCCAACGGCACCAGAGGUCACGGCUCCAUCGGCUGCCUUGACGAAUGCAAGUGCACAAUCUGCCGUCCCUCCAAGUACAUCGGGGACUACUGGUGCACUAUCUAUGCCGAUGGCAACCAACCCACAAAUUUCAGUUGGGCAGCAUAAACUGACAACAGAUAUGUUGGCAUCGGCAAUGUCAGGGUUGACUCUUCCUCCCAACUGGUGGGGUUACGGUAUGCCUCCAGAGUUGACGCCGGGAACAUCACAAAUAACUGACAUGAGGGGCAAAACUCCUAUGACAUCGGCACCUCCCAAUGCGCCGGUGAACCAGAGUCCUCGGUAUACCACAACUACUACUGCAAGGCCUCACACUGGAAAUCCUCAAGAUUCAAUGUUCCAGAUGCCCAACGCAUCGGCAGAGUCAAUGCUGAUGCAACAGAGGCCUAUGGCCCAGUCGGGGUAUGUCAAUUCAACGACGGUACCCAAUUACCAAUCAUCGGCAGCACCUAUGCCGAUGAACGCUAAUAAUGGAUGGCUUGGACAGCAAGCCUUUCCACAAUCACCCCAGCAGAGUUACCAGACUACAGGGUUCCUGCAAGGGCAGGUCUAUCCCGGGUUCCAAGGUCAGGGGAUUCCCAACCAGCCAAUGAAUUUUGGACAGCAACUCGGAGGACAGCCAAUCGGUGGACAACAGUUUGGUGGUCCGCAGAUUGGAGGACAGGUGAUCAAUACAAUGUUCCGUGCAGAUCACGUCCCGAACAGACACGUGGAGGUUCGCCACCAAGUGCCAGAUCCGCAGCCGCCUCAUCGGCAAGAUGCCGAUGCAUAUUGGGCCGAUAAGAUUGCUGAAGUAAUGAGGGAACAAUUUGGGAUAAAACCCAAAGUCAACACUUAUUCUUAUCGGACGCCGUAUCCUCCCGCGUAUGAUUUGAUCCCGCUUCCACAUCGGUACAAGGUACCGGAUUUUACAAAGUUUUCCGAACAGGACGACACGUCAACCAUGGAGCAUGUCAACAGGUUCAUUAUUCAAUGUGGAGAGGCUGGUAACAGGGACGAAUUGAGGGUUCGUCUAUUUUCAUCAUCAUUGUCUGGAUCGGCCUUUACUUGGUUCAUAUCAUUACCUCCCAACUCAGUAAUUACUUGGGCCGAUCUAGAGAAGCAGUUCCACAAAUACUUCUUCUCGGGGGUUCAUGAGAAGAAGAUCACCGACUUGGUCAAGUUGAGGCAACGUAAUGAUGAGUCGGUUGAGGGAUUUGUGCAGAGGAUACGAGAGGUCAAGAAUAAAUGCUAUAGCCUGGUUCUGGAUGAUCGGCAGCUAGCCGAUUUGGCUUUCCAGGGUUUGUUGCCACAUAUCAGGGAUAAUUAUGCCUCUCAGGAGUUCGAAAGUUUAAGUCAUUUGGUGCAGAGGAUUUCUGAUCAAGACAUCAAGCCUUUCGAGCCUAAGAGAGCAUGGAAUAAGAAAGUGUCAUUUGUUGAUGAAGCAACAAGCUCAGAUUCUGAUGAAGAACCAGUAAUCGGUUUGGCAGAGUGGGUAAAAAACAAGAAGCCGAUGUCUUGUCCUUUUGGGCAGAAGGAACCAGAGAAGUUUGCUUUUGACACCGCUAAGGCUGAUAGGAUAUUUGACUUUCUACUUCAGGAAGGUCAGAUCAAACUGUCACCUAACCAUGUGAUCCCAUCGGCAGAAGAGUUGAAGAGGAUGAGAUAUUGCAAGUGGCAUAAUGCAACGUCCCAUGACACCAACGAGUGCAAAGUAUUCAGACAGCAGCUGCAAUCGGCUAUAGAGUCAGGGAGAAUCAAGUUUGACAGUUCCAAACCUCAGAAGCCGAUGAAGAUAGACCAACAUCCUUUCCCGACAAACAUGUUGGAUGCUAAGCGGAAGGCUAAGGUCUUAACAUUGGAGACAGCUGAGAAGAGUGCAUCGGUAGAUCCUCAGCAUCAAGUUACUACUGCCGAUGCAAGAAGUAAGGGCUUGGUCCAGGAAGGAACUAGCUUAGGAAGGCUUCCUCGAUCUGGUAUCGUCAUAACUCAUAGAAGGCCUCGAGAAAAAUGGCAACAACGGGAAGAUCAGUAUCGGCGCCAGCAGGAAGAUUAUCGACGGGAAGAAGAAAGACGCCGACAGGAGUGGAAUCGGCACAGGGAUCAUUGGAAUUGUCCAUUCUUCAUCCAUUGUUGGGAGGAAAAUAUCAAGCUUCCUACUGUCAGAGACUGCCCUGAGUGCAACGGUUAUGAUCGGUACGAUAGGAUCGAUCGGCAUUAUCAUGAUGAUGAACGGCGAUUUAAUGGGCCGAUCAGAGGAAGGGUGUCAGUUCAUGACCGGCUGGGGGGCAGAUUUAGUGGGCACGACAGACUUAGUGACCGUGUCCAGUAUUUUCCCAGGAACCAAGAAGAGCUCGAGGGAAUGGCUGAUGCGCGGGUUCCCGAUGAAUUCAUAUUUUGCAGGGAUGCUAACACGCAUCGUAUGGAGUCAAGGGGGAACCGACGCCCGACAGCAAGGCACAGGCCACUUCCUCCAUGGUGCCCUGGAGGAUUAACCAAGACACAGAAAAGGAGAUUGCAACGUGAAAGGCAAGAAGAGCUAAACAAGGGAGAGAACUCUGGAAGUCGGCAGCCGUCAGACACUAAGAGGGAAGGUCCAUCGGCAGGCGUCAACAUGGUCCUCAUGUUGCCAAUGGAGUUUCUUGCACCAGCCAGUGAUGAUGAGUUGGAAUUUUCUGAUCAGAUAGCUCAGUUGGCUCUGGAUCCGAUGACGGCUAUCUUUGAGAAACCUGCCGAUGACGAGAGGCAGCAUCUUAAAGCUCUGUUCCUCAAAUGAAGGGUUGAUGGGCAGCCAAUGACCAAGAUCCUAGUUGAUGGUGGAGCUGCUAUUAAUAUUAUGCCGUAUGCAGUAUAUCGGAAGCUUGGGAAAGGGGAUCAAGAUUUGACCAAGACCGAUAUGAUGCUCAAAGACUUUGAAGGAAACGUGUCUCCAGUCAAGGGGGCGAUAUGUGCAGAGUUGACCAUCGGCAGCAAAACCUUGCCGACAACUUUUUUCGUGAUCAGCGGAAAAGGUGCUUACAACUUAUUAUUGGGAAGAGAUUGGAUUCAUGCCAAUUGUUGUAUCCCAUCUACAAUGCAUCAGUGCUUGGUUCAGUGGGUAGGUGACAAGAUUGAGAUUGUCCCAGGAGAUUCUUCUUAUGUUAUCGCAUCGGCAGAAGCGGAUACCUACGAAAGGACCAGGUGCAUUUCAGGAGAAGUUUGGGAGAAAGAUUUUCUCAAAGUUGCCGAUUAUGAGAUUCCACCGAUCCAAGCAGUCGGUUCUGACGACGGUUUUUAAUGGAUAGAUUCGCCGAUGAUGGAAAAUUAGGCCAGGGAUUCACAUCGGCCGAUGAUUUGGUAGAAGUAGAUAUAGGUAGUGGUGAUAAGCCUAGGCCUACUUUUAUUAGUGCUAAAUUAGAUCCUGAGAGUAAGCGACAAUUGACUAGUUUGUUAAAGGAAUAUAAAGAUUGCUUUGCUUGGGAUUAUACAGAGAUGCCUGGUUUAGACCGAUCAAUUGUUGAACAUCGGUUACCCAUCAAGUCUGGAUUUCGGCCACAUCAGCAACCAGCCCGCCGAUGUAAUCCUAACAUUCUACCUGAUAUUAAGGCCGAAAUCACUAAACUUAUUGAAGCUAAGUUUAUUCGGCAGUGUCGGUAUGCCGAAUGGAUUUCCAAGGUUGUUCCGGUUUACAAGAAGAACGGGAAGCUUCGGGUGUGCAUUGAUUUCAGAAAUCUCAAUAAAGCUACGCCGAUGGAUAGAUACCCAAUGCCUGUCGCCGAUCUACUGGUUGAUGCUGCGGCUGGUCAUCGGGUCAUCAGCUUCAUGGAUGGUAAUGCAGGUUACAAUCAAAUAUUCAUGGCGGAGGAGGAUAUUCCAAAAACCGCAUUCAGGUGUCCCGGUCAUGUUGGGCUAUUUGAAUGGAUAGUCAUGACUUUUGGGUUGAAGAAUGCUGGUGCUACUUAUCAAAGGGCUAUGAAUUUUAUAUUUCAUGAGUUCAUCGGCAAGCUCGUAGAGACUUAUAUUGAUGAUGUGGUGGUUAAGUCUGGAGAUUUCUCAAAGCAUCUUGCCGAUUCACAAAAAGUGUUAGAGUGCACAAGGAAGCAUGGAUUGAAGAUGAAUCCCAACAAGUGUGCAUUUGGUGUAUCGGCAGGGCAGUUUCAUGGUACAUCAGAGGGGUAUUGAAAUUAGUCGAAGAUCUAUUGAUGCCAUCAAUAAAAUAGUGGCCCCUACUAACAAAACCGAGCUCCAAUCAUUGAUCGGCAAAGUAAAUUUUAUCAGGAGAUUUAUAUCGAAUUUGUCUGGUAGGAUUCGUGCUUUCAGUCCUCUUCUUAAAUUGAAAGCCGAUCAAGAGUUUAUUUGGGGAGAAGAACAGCAGUUGGCUCUAGAUGAAAUCAAGAAGUAUCUAGUAAAUCCUCCAGUUCUAGUUCCACCUCAACAAGGGAAGCCCUUCAGAUUGUAUUUAUCUACCGAUGGAUCGGUUAUCGGUUCAGCUUUAGUUCAAGAAUUUGAAGGGAAAGAAAGGGUAAUUUAUUAUUUGAGUAGGAGGUUGAUUGAUGCUGAAACCAGGUAUUCGGCCAUUGAGAAACUAUGCUUAUGCUUAUAUUUUUCAUGUAUCAAGCUGAGACAUUACCUGUUAUCGGCCGAAUGCACUGUUGUUUGCAAAGAUGACGUGGUCCGAUACAUGCUAUCUAUGCCGAUUAUGAGUGGUAGGAUCGAUAAAUGGAUUUUAGCGCUGUCGGAGUUCGAUUUGCGUUACGAAUCGGCUAAGGCAGUCAAAGGGCAGAUUAUGGCCGAUUUUGUGACUCAGCAUUGCGGUCUAGUGGAAACCUUGGAAAUUGUACCCUGGACGCUCUUCUUUGAUGGAUCUACCUGUGACCGUGGGGCAGGAAUCGGCAUUGUAUUAGUUUCCCCUAAGGGGAGGAAGUAUGAGUUUUCCUUGCCGAUUGUUGCCACAUCAACAAAUAAUCAGGCUGAGUAUCAAGCUCUGAUCAAGGGAUUGGAGUUGUUAAGAGAAGUUCGUGCUGAUGCUGUUGAAAUAUUCGGGGAUUCUAUGUUGGUUAUAAAUCAAUUGGCCGGAAGCUAUGAAUGCCGAAGUUAAGUUCUCAUAACUUAUUUCGAGAGAAGUAUGCAACUGUUAAAGGAAUUCAAGGAUUUCCGAUUGGAGCAUGUUCCCCGAUUGCAUAAUGAAGACGCUAAUCGGUUAGCUCAGCAUACCUCGGGAUAUCAGCCAAUGAUUAAUGCGACAUCGGCAGUUGGUCCCGGUGAUUGGAGGAAAGAAAUUAUUGAUUAUCUAAAAGAUCCAUCCAAAAAAGUUGAAAGACGGGUUCGAUUUCAAGCAACCAAGUAUGUGCUCCUUGAAAAUGAAUUGUAUUAUCGAACUAUCGACGGAAUUCUUCUCCGAUGCUUGGGUGAUGAUGAAGCUAGAAGUUUGAUGGGGGAAAUCCAUGAAGGAGUGUGUGGAGCGCAUCAGUCAGCUUUUAAGAUGAAGUGGAUGAUUCGAAGGAAUGGAUAUUUUUGGCCAACCAUACUUGAAGAUUGUUUUAAAUAUUUCAAGGGAUGUCAAGGUUGUCAAAAGUUUGGUAAUAUCCAGAGAGCACCCGCAUCGGCUAUGAAUCCUAUAAUAAAGCCUUGGCCGUUCCGGGGAUGGGCCAUCGAUCUGAUCGGCCAGAUUUAUCCACCAUCUAGCAAAGGGCAUAAGUUCAUUCUAGUUGCCACUGACUAUUUCACUAAGUGGGUUGAAGCUAUUCCUUUGAAGAAAGUCACAUCGGCCAAUAUGAUUGAUUUUGUGAAGGAGCAUAUUAUUUACCGAUUUGGGAUUCCCCAAACGAUUACUACCGAUCAGGGCACCAUGUUCACAUCGGGGGAGUUCGAUGAAUUCGCAAUCGGUAUGAGAAUUAAAGUGUUGAAUUCUUCUCCUUAUUAUGCUCAAGCCAAUGGGCAGGCCGAAGCGUCUAACAAGGGAAUUAUCAAGCUUAUUAAACGAAAGAUUGAAGAAAAUCCUAAGCGGUGGCAUACAUUAUUAAAUGAAGCAUUGUGGUCUUAUCGGAUGGCUUGUCAUGGAUCGACCAGGGUAUCACCCUAUCAAUUGGUGUAUGGACAUGAUGCAGUGUUGCCUUGGGAAAUUAAGGCUAGAUCUAGGCGAUUAUCUUUUCAAGAUCAAUUAACUUCCGAUGGUUAUGCCACUUUGAUGACCGAUGAAUUGGACGAUCUAGCAGGGCAUCGGUUAAAAGCUUUAAUGAGUAUAGAAGAAAAUAAGAAGAGAGUUGCUAGAUGGUAUGAUAAGAAAGUGAAGGCUAAAGAGUUUGCCGAUGGGGAUUUGGUUUGGAAAUUAAUUUUACCAAUUGGGACCAAAAGUUCGAAGUUUGGAAAGUGGUCUCCUUAUUGGGAGGGUCCUUAUCGGAUAAGUCGAUCGGCUCCUGGUAAUGCCUACAUUCUAGAAACCCUCGAAGGAAUUGAAUUUCCCAGAGCAUUAAACGGCAAAUAUUUAAAGAAGUACUACCCCAGUAUAUGGGUCGAUGCAUAGAAGUUUAGGUGCCGAUAACACUCCUAUUGGCUGGAUCCAAAUGCUUGGGGACAAGACUUGGUGUUUCAAAAGUUUAGGCGCCGAUAACAGUCCUAUCGGCUAGACUAAAAGCUGAGGGAGCAGGAAAGCGCAGAUACAAUGUCGAUGGAAACUCUAUGUGUUAAGCAGCAUCUGGAUUGCCGAUAUAGCACGUAGCCGAAUUUGGUUGGCUGCUUCUAUCUCCUUGAUGUCAUCAUCGGCAGAACCUUCUAUCGGCUUCAGCUUCUUCUUCAGUUGGAGUGCUUUGCGACCAUGAGCAUUUCGCUCGCGCUCAAGAAGCCUGAUGGUCUCUGGCAAUUGGCUCUCUUCCUGUUGGGCUUGGGACAGAGCGUUCUCUACUUCCUUGAGCUCCGCCAACAGGGACUCUUUUCUUGCCGAUAGAUCGGAUAUCUUCUGCUUCAGCGCGUCUCCAGAAGAUCUCAGGAUACCAAUGUUCUUGUGCUUCUCAUCGGUCAAAAGCUUCUCUUUCCUCAUUUCAUCGGAGAGUUGAGUCUGAGCGGCUCUAUCGGCAAGCCGCCGAGAAGCUCUUUGGUACUGCAGCUGGCGACUCUCCAGAUGAGCGGCUUGGAACAGGAUUUCUUCAACAUCGGCUGGGAUUUGGCCUCUGAGAGUUCUGAACAGGGUCUUGGUAGGGUCGGAAUCAUCAACCAAGUGCGCUGUGUCCUGGUGAAGGAGAGCUGACAAUUCUUCCAGCCUGACCCUGACCUCUGCCGAUGUGAUGCCGACCGUCUGAGAAGUGCUUGCUUCUUCACCUUUUUCUUCAGAGAAAUCGAUGGCGAAGGAGAACAGGCUAUCGGGAGAAUCUUGUUCCUGGGAGGGAAAGCAAAAUUAGCUCAUACUUAGAGAAUCGGCAAAUAGUGCUAACGGUAAACGGUGACUUACUUGCUUCAAGGCGAUCUCUUGUCUUCGACUGAGAGGUGCUGACGGAGCUGCAGGCUGAUCGGCCAAAGAUGCUGAUGGAGCUACAGGUUGAUCGGCUGAGAUUGCCGAUGGAACGAUAUCAACUGAAAGAAGACAAAAGGAGUUAUGAGACUAAAUAAGAAUAAGUUCAUCGGUAGCGAUAUUGUUAAAGUAUGUUACCUGGAGGAGGGACAACGGUUGUCUGAAUCGGGAGAACUACCGAUGGUAUAACUGGACCCACCGGGCCAGUUGUUUGUUCACCCGUGUCAGCUGAUGUAUCUUCUGUUUGAGAUCCUUCCUAUUGGGGUUCUUCAAUCUGUGGUGCUUCCUGCAUAGGUGGGGGAGAUGGUGCUUGCUGUGGCUGGGCUUCUGGAGAAGAAGGAGAAGACUCCACCGAAAUUGGAGAUACCGGAGGAGGAGGGGGAGUUGCUACCUUCUGGCGCUUUGUUCCAGUCUUAGCACCCGUGGUGCCCUUUCUCUUGGGUUGGCUAGACUGGGGGGCAUCGGUACUCUCACACCUGGCUUUCGCCGAUGCGCCGGUUUGCUGCAAUAAUGAACAAGAGUUUAUAAGCAUAAAUAUAGCCGAUAUAAAGAUAGUCAGCAUAAAGGAAAAGAUUUGUCAAAUUGCCUUGAAAGCCCGCGCAAGAGUGGGAGCAGCAACCGUUGGUGAUGUCUGAGUUCUUCUGGUGGUGACUUUCCUGAGGCAUACACCCCGAUGCACGAUGGAAGCUAGAGUGGGAGCAUUGUGGCCGAUUGAGGAAAUCGGGCCUGAUGAAAACAAGUCGAUCGGCCUGCCACUCCUGCUAACCAAUGGAGGAAUAUUGUCAACCUGCAAAAGGAAUACAAGGGUAAGCUGCCGAUGGGGGUAAUAUUGAGAAAAUGAAACGUUGGUUUGAGUUACUUACAGUGUCAUCGGGAACUUCGUAUUCGGAGUCGAUCAUGUCGCGGUAUGAAAGUGUCGAUCUGCAGAAUAGAUGCUCUUUCCAUUCUGCCCACCAUAACUUGUAUGCCUGAGUGAUAAAAGCAGCCGGAACCCAUUCUGACAGAUUUACAUCUAUAUCGGCGUUUGGUGGUAGUUGGGCUGCUCGAGUCCACUCAAGAAGGUUGUUGAUAGUUUCUCUGGGUUUUAUCACAUCGGCAUAAGGAAGUGCAAUCGGCAACUGGCCGAAAGCUAACUGGCGAGCUAAUGCCGAUGGAUUGUAAAAUUCGUAAGUUUGAGGGGAGGUUUUUGUGCUACCAAAGAAAUUCACUGGAAUGAUUCUGGGAGUCAGAACUGCCAUCAUCACCUCAUUGUCCCUGUCGAGAGCUUCAUCAAACGGAUUGAAGGUCAGAGGGAGCAUGCUAUCUGGGUCAUCAUAAGCCAACCAUGGUCGUUCGUCUCUGGUCAAACCCUCAUACAGAGUCUGGAAGAAUCGGCCGAUCUGAUCUGGAUUACCCCCUGAACCAGGCAGAACUAUGACAGCUUCGCCAAAGUUCAAGGGGGCGCGUGUUGCCGAUUCCUCUCCACCCAAUACAUGGUUUUCAGCUAUAUCUCUUGGGAAACGCUGUGUGAACAGGUUGAAGUUGAGACGCUUGUGCAGAUGCAGAUUGAGCCACAUGUUGACAAACCACCAGGGGCCUCCCAAGUUGCCAAUGGAUUGGCCGAGCAGAAGUUUCUGGGCUACUUGAUGGAGAAGGUGGUAAGCAGCGCCAAGCAAGUAUCGGCCGAGAGGGAAUCGGCCACCGUUAGCCAGUCUUUCUGCUGCCGAUAGGUAGACAGAAGUCGGUCCUGCCGAUCGACCACAGAAUACAAACUUGUCCAGCCACAUGUUCAGAAAGGUGGUUUGUUCCUUUAUGGUGACAGAUCCUUUCCCACGGUACUUCUGAAUGUACCCCGACCAACCGCCGAUAGCGCGAGUCUCCACUUUGGCACUAGGGGCAGUAUCAAAAAAGUGGGUGCUAUCGGCAGAAGAUAUAUCUAGACCAGUAAGCAUGGCUACAUCGGUAAGAGUAGGAGAAGCAGGGCCGUGGCCAAAGGCAAAAGCAUUGAGGGUGUCUGACCAAAAGUAGGAUGCAGCUAUCAGCAGUGAUUCGUUCCUAUGCAUAUCGGUAAUGGACAAUCUAAUGCAUUGGGCUAGAUUCCUUUCACCCCACUGAAUUUCAUUAGAGUUGCUGACCCUCAAGAACCAGUCUUUCCACCCUACAGUUGGGCUGGGCCAAGAGCGGAAGGUGUCCUUCCACAGAUCUAAGGAAAAAUUUUCGGCUCUGAAGGGGAUCCUGUUGGUUUCUGCGUUGAUAAGGUCAGUUGGAUCUGGGUCCCCUAGAGGGCCGAGGCAUUGAAGGUGUGGAUGAUCGGUGGGGAUGACAAUUUUGUUGGACAAUUCCUAGUGAUUUUGGGCGUAAAAAGAAAUACAAAGAGGAAAGAAAAGGAAGAUGUUCAGUAAAAUGAAUUGCGAAUGAACAGGGAUAUGAAGAAAAAUACAGAAGACGGGGUGGAGAUUUGACCUCAGGGACGAUGAACCCGACGGCAAUCUUGCUGCGAAGGAAGCGUGUCAAGGCGCCGGAGUUGAUGAAGAGGGGUACUUGUCGGAGACCUUAGGAGUUUUUGGUGGCGCCGCCGCUGGAAAAGUAAAGUUGGGUAGUAGAAUGGUGUGAUGGGGAAGGAGUACCCAAGAAGGAACUAUUUAUAGGACAAAAUGGGCAAGGGCAAAUCCGACUUAUCUCUUUGCCGCAUCCGAGAAAUCCGAGGGUACUCAGGUGGAUAUGGUAACUGUUCGCACGGUAAUCCAGGGAUUGUGCAGGUGAUUUGACGGGAAGCGGUCAUUAUCUGAAGAUAUUUUACUGUGCGAGAUCUCCUGGUCGGUCCAUCGGGGAUAUUCUAUAACGGUCAUAUUGCCGAUGAGCGGAUAGAGGGGAAGUAACCGUUUGUGCGAAUAUCCUGGUCAGAACAUCGGCAGAUCUUUGUAACGGUAUUGUUGCCGAUGUACGACUGAGAAAAGUGCCCGUUUAGGAAGUUGGGGAUUUCGAGGAAUCUACGGAGUAUUAGGAUCAGAGUUGUCCAGAUUGGGGUUGUCGGUUACCAGAUUAGGAGCAUUAAUUGCGGGAGAAGGCAUCAUUACUGCAGAGAAUUUUGGAGCAUUAAUAGUUUUAUACUCCGAAACUGGGGGGCAUGUGUUGACACCGUUUUUGGGCACGUGUCUAGGAUGGCAGGAUAAGGUGGCAGUACGAUGUUUACAAAGCGGGUUGCCGAUGAUGAUGGUUGCCGAUGAGGGAGAAGUUGAAUGUGACUAAGUCCACAGGCAGUAAUAUGGUGCCGAUGGCUAGGUAAGAAAGUCUGCCGAUGACUAUGGCAAAGGGUCUGCCGAUGAUGCAAAGGAGGAGUCCGGAAGCUGCCGGUUGUCAUGUGGAGGAGUUUAGGUUUGUCACGAGGGAUAGUUUUGUUAUUUCCUUAAUUAUUUGCAUCGUUUUGUAUAUGGAUUCCGUGUAGUUUGGAAUUCGAAUUCUAAUCGUGUCUGGUUGUAGCUCUUUGAGCAGGGUAUAAAUAUAAACCCUAGGGCCUUGUAAUAAUCAAUCAAGAAAUCAAACACACGUUUUUACUCAUAUUCCAGCAUUUACUUUUCGACGACUUCAUCAUACUUUUUCCUUUUGUUACGAGUUCUUAGGAAUUCGUCGACUUAAGCUCGGCGUAUUCUCAAGUUCCGCGUGAGUACCUCUUAGCCGUGACAUCCGGGCGCAUCGCUGUUGUCAGGACUAAAGUAUUCGAGUUAUCACCUUUGCCGAUAGCAAGGUCAAAUCGGCUGGCACGCCUUAACGUUUGAAUCGGGUAUUAGCCCUUUGUGUUUGCAGACCAGUUUUGCAUCAACAGUUCUAAAAGCAUAUAAAGGCAAGGAGUGAAGGUAAGAACAAGUCUUUUAAAAUAAGCAUCAAUGUAAAGAUGAAUAGUAGGGGAAAAGGUAUAGUGUAGGAUAAAAUUUCAAGGUUUAUAGAACUAGGAUUUUAUAGCAAUUUUGAAAACUUAAGAUGGCCAAUUUCUAACUAGGCUUGCAUUCAAUAGUCAAUAAAGCUUUGAUACCAAUUUGUCACACCCAAAUUUCAAGAAUGAAAUAGAGUGCAUAAAAGACUCAUGUGCGCCCCAGAAACGGUCGCACACAAAAGUUGACAAACCUCAAAUAGUGCCAUCACAAUGUUUAUUACAUAGCGGAAUAAUAAUUAUUACAUAGUCUCAAACAAAUAAAGAUACUCUCGAUGGAAGCACCACAUAGGGACACUGUCAACUGGUUGAAUCCAAGCCUAGUACUCAUAACGGUAGUCAUCAUUCCAGUCAUCUUCUUUUACAUAUCCUGAGGUGUUAUGAAAUAGCCAGAGUGAGCACAUAUCGUACACAACAAGUAUAACCAGGGGUUCAUGGGGCUCAAUAAGCCGAUACUAGUUUAAUUGCAUUUACCUUUUAUAUGUAGAUGGCAUGUUUAUAUUUAGAUAGCAAAUGAAAAGGUAGCAUAAUUAAAUCCCACAACCACAUGAUGAAUGUAUACAAGAAUUAAGAAUAACACAUAUAAACAACAUAAUAAACCAUCAUUUAUCAUCAUUAUUCAUGUUUAUCAGUGUCCAUCUAUUCUGUCAGUUUUCUGGGCCGCCCGUAUUGAUGGGCACAGCUAGUAUACUAGAUUUAACACUCUGCAGAGGUUGUACAUCUUUACCCAUGAGUCAUGAUUUACCCUUUCGCCCGAGGUCGCAAGUCUCUUAACCCCCUUCCGAGGGAGGUCGGCAGGGAUCACUAUGAAGCCUUUCAAAAGUUCAUCUAAUAAGUUAGGGCGGCAAGGUUUCUCAUGCGUGCAAAUAUAGAGCCCCCUUCCAAAUGGCACAAUGACGCACAACCUAUACACAUAAGGACAGAGGCCACGCUAUACCCAAAAUUGCAAGCCACUCUAGCGCCCUUUGGGUAACCUCUAGCAAGCAAGAUAAGGUCUUCAUACUUAGCUAAAGCUAGAGCCAUAUAGCCCUCAUGGUUGUAUGAGUUGUCCUAGCUUUUGCUAAGGGAUAAGUCCUUAUGGAGGGUCAAGAUCAAUCUAGCAAAAGCUAGAGUUCUUUCUACCCUUAAUAAUCAAGUUGCUAGGAAGCUUAUUUUAUUUGUUUAUUGUAUAUCCAAAUAUUCAUGUUACAAGAUCAUGGAUUAUAAUCAAGCACUAGCAAGAACUACCCAAAUGUAUAUCCAAAUAGGUAUCAAGGAAUACAAGAUAACAAUCAUCUAUGAUUUCACUAGGGUUGUCAAGGUGGACACAUGCAUACGAUAUAUGUAUUAAAAGUGUGUAGGUAACAAGGAUAGUCUCAAGUUAUACUUGCCUUGAUCAAAGCUUUCUUGGAACUCCUGCUGGUCGUCAAAAGAUUGGCCUUGAUCACCAACGUAUUGCUCACUGUCUAUACCCGAUCAUCAAUCAACAACACGCAUUCCAAUGGGGACAAUCAUACACAAAGUAAACAAGCUAUAAUUAGAACAAUACACCAACCGUGGUAAAACAAAUAUAAAAGUUUAUAAAAAUGUUCUACACAGCGCUAUGAUCACAUAGACAUAAAGAUCAUGAAAAUCAGAAUUAAAACGGAGAAGCUAUUAUUUUUCUAAGAUUUCCUAUAGAAAAAUAAUUAAUUAAAUAGUACCAUGAAAAUAAAAAGUUAGAAAUUGAGAAUACAGUGAUACUAACAUGUAGAGCUCGCAAAGACAAACCUAAUGCAAUUUGAAUGGACCAAAUCGGAGUUAAAAUGAGCAUUUUAUAAGCAUUUUAAAAUCAGUGGCAAACUUGUAAAUACUGAAAAGCGUAUUUUCCUUUAAACCAGCAAGAAUACGUUUUCAGAGCUGAAAAGCGUAAACCCGCCAAGGCGCCAUGGACCGUGGGUUGGUUCUCAAAAAUUCCAGGGGCUCUUUAACAAAAGUUACCCCGAAGGGGUAUCUUCUAAUCCUGAGUGUCGAUAGCAAUUUGGACGGCUGAGAGGGAUAGGGGCGGGUUUCGGUCGGCCGGCGGCGAGCCCCCACGGCGGACGCCAUGGCCGGCGUCCAAGCUUCGCCGGAGUUCAUCGUUUGCACACUUUAGGGGAUCUCUGAGCAAAAGAAUACACCGGGGGAAAGAGAAGAAAGUCGCAAGCUCACUAGUGCCCUUCGUUCGCGCCAAGAAGGAGUAGAGAGGCCGUGCGACGUGGCGGCUCGAUUUUGGGACUCGGCGAGAUCCAGUUUGAGUUCAAACGGCGGCUAGGGCUCGGGUUAAACGGCUUGAGUGCGAAAUGGGACCUGCGGCGUGAGGAAGGAGCUUUAUAGGGUGUCCCAAGCGCGAUAAACCGCAACAAAUCCCGCCUAGGCUGGGAUAGGCACGCCUGGUUGGUUUCGGUGGGAGUCGUGUUUGGCUACGUCUCGAAGAAGAAGGGGAUGGAAGCGCUGACACGCAGGCCCGGUGAGUCAAAGAAGAGGGAGGGAGAGUCAAGGCGCUGUCGUGGGGCCGGGGUGUUAGCGACCGCAGGGGAUAAAAGGGGAGGGCACGUGUAGUAGGCCUGCUGGGCCGGUCUGGACCGAGAGGGGAGCCAGGUGAGCUGGGCUUCGCAUGGAACUGGGCCACCAGGCCGAACAGGAGGAAAGUCUACCUAUUUCAUUUUUUCUAUUUUGUUUUCUAAAGCUUUUUGAAAAGGUAUUUUAAAUCUUUUUGAGAUAAAACAAACACACAGUAAAAUAAGUAAAUAUUCCAGCAUGUAUGCACAAGCAUGUUACUAAACUUAUGAUAAAUUUUAAUUUCAACAAAAUUUAUUUAUUUACUAAAUUAAAUGCUCACAAAUAUACUUAAAUAAAUCAAAUUAAAUCCUAUUAAUUAGAAAUAAAUUUUUGGGUGUCACAGUAGUAAAAGAUGGACAAGAGUCCUAACAAUUAAAACAAUGGGUACGUAGAUGCCCGCCUCCCAGAUAAAAAGAGAGAGAGAGAGAAAGAAAAAUAAGAAAGAAAGAAAGAAUAAAGAUAUAUAGCCUAUGUUUUCCUGCGAGUUCUAAGUUUAAAAGGAGGGAGUAAUUUUCAAAGAUCAAAAGUAGAAUUAGGAUUUGCCACUAAAUACUAUAUAUAUACCUAUCCACCAUAUUCCAUACACACGCACAUCUUGAUUUGAUUGUAUGCCUUGAUUCUCUGUAGAUCCAUUGUUUGACUUUACAAUCUAUGAAUUGCAAGUAUGCUCACUCCUAUAAGCUCCACUAUAUAUAUCCUUAGUUGUAGGAAGGUAUAACCUCAUUAAUGCCUAAGUGAGAUCCAUAAAUACAACAUAAUAAGAGACUUGAGGGUGUCAUACAAUUAAGCUAUGAGUUUUAUUUCGAAAACUUGCAAAACUCCAGAAUAUUGGUACUGUGAAGAAUUUGAGACACAGUGCUUGACAUGAUUGUUAUAUCUUUCGAUUACUCAAGACUUAUGGAAAAGUUGUAAAGAUCCAUGGUUAAAGGUAAAAUGGGUAAGUUUGAAUGUUAGACCAGAGGACAAUUUAUGUUUAAAAGUAAGUGUACUUAAAAGAAAUAAAAGCAUUGUAUUAACUCCUGAUCCAAGUUUAUAAAUUAGGCUUGGAUUGUUUGCUAAGGGACUGGCAAAAGGUAAGCUUGGAAGAAUUGUUGACAGUCGAUAACGUCAACUUUUAUUAGAACUUUAAACCCGAAGGAGAACAUGAAUACACUAGGGUUUAAACUAACAAUUUCCAUAAGAUUUGCAUAUCUGUGUUUUCUAGGGUUUAUUUCACAGAGAGCUGAAAAGAGGGAUUCUAGUGCAUAUUUACCAUGAAACUCAUCCGCGACGGAAAAUAUCGUCAUCAGGCUCAGAAAGGGUCUAGAAGACACCCGAAGGAACGAGAGCCGUGGAAGAGAAAGGUGGGGCCGGCCGGCCCCACCCUGGGGCCGGUCGGCGCCCUGUUUUGCCCGUUGCUCGCCGCCUUCUAGAGUCUUCCUCCUACGCUUCCUUGGAAGCCAAGCAAAGUAUCUCUCCAUCGAUUUUAAGUCGGUUUGAUCUAACUGUGCACACAAGAUGAAGACGCAGAUCGUUGAUGUGGCGGUUCCUUGCCCCCUACUCCACCUCGGCCUAUAUAAUGACACCCAAGGCUCCCCCCAAGAGACAUUCUACACCCCUGCGCUUCAUAUUCUCUACAUAAUUAGGGUUAGGGUCCCUCUAGUUGUUCUAGUUCUAGUUCAUCUAGAUCUAGUUCAUCUAGAUCUAGUUCAUCUAGAUGUAGCAAUUAGGAGAGACUAGUUCUUCUAGAUCUAGUCUUGUUUAGAAAUUAGAGAGAUUUAGUAGAGGAGUAGAGAUUCUAGAGGAGUUCUGGCCUGUCGGUGCCUCUUCGUGGCUAUAUUCUUCUGGAUCCAGUUACUCUCGCCCAGAGUUGCGUUCUGACGUACUUUUGUACUGACCCUUCUGGUUUAAGUAAGCAUCUUGUUCUUAUUUGUUAUUUGGUUCACAACUCAUAUUGAGUGCUUUGAUCUUGAUCGUAACUUGGUUGAAGUAGUAUUUCGUAGUGUAGGCGUGGUGCCUGGGCUAGGUUUACUUGUGCAUGUCCCCUGAUCAGCCGGACAAUGGUAGUUCGCGUAGGUGAGUUUAUAGCUGUGUUGAUUUCUCUGUAGUCCACUUCCCGUUGAUAGGAUUCAUAGGAUUAUAGGUGCCUGAUAGGGGGUUACUCUGAUUCUCCCUCUAUUCGGGUUACUUGCCCGAUAAGACAGUAUUAUUCAAAGUUUACUGGAGUCGGAACUAGAGUGCAUUAGUAUUCCCUUUUUAUUGAUAUGAUCUAGCCUAAUUGUAGGGUUAAGUCUAUAUACUAUGUCAUCAUCACAACUGUUCCCUGUUGAUUCGAUAUUUAAAACCUCCGCGUAAAAUGUGACGCUGGUACGAUAUCUGUGCGCUUACGGAAAAUCCUACUUAAAUCUAUUGAAAUAGAGUGCAGUUAAUUUAUACCAACAACAACCAGUGUUAAUGAGUUAUUGAUUAUUUAAUGAACAAAAGGAUAAACAUGCAUAAACUAUUUCCUGUAUACAAGUAAUGUAUCGGCUCAAUAGUUGAUCCAGCCACUUCCAUUCGUAAGCUUAGUAACCUAAUCAUAUUUAAAAGUAGUUCAAUGACUGGAUAACAAAUGUCAUAAUGCAUCAUCAUUAUAUUAUCUUUAGGAGUUGACUUUCUAGUCAAUUUUCUUUGGUUAACGGCUAUUUCGAGCCAUAUAUUCUGGAACUGUCUGGCAACAACCGACAGAUUCUAUAAUUUGAUAUUUGUCUUUCUUCCUUAUCAAAUUUAGAUCAAAUUGACUCGCACGCCCCGAAUUCAAUUCACCAAGUUAAACUCGUGCAUUGAGGCUCAGGAGGUCCAGAACUCUAGCUCCUACAAACCCUCUGAGAGCCACCAAGAUUGUAGAGCAAGAAACAAAUUUUUGCAACCGUCAACACCAUCCAUGUAUGCAAACAUAAGCGAUUUUAUCAGACGGUGUGCAGAAUGUCAUUGGCACGGCAAUAUUAAUGCUUGAGAUGCUAUGUCUCUCACUAACAAUCUACAAGUAGAAUUGUUUGAUGUUUGGGGUAUAGAUUUAUGGAACCUUUCCCUAAAACCAAUAAUUUCGAGUAUAUCCUAGUAGCCAUAGACUAUGUUUCCAAAUGGGUAGAAGCCAUGACUUAUAAUUCGGCCAAUUCCAAAUGUCCCAUGAAAAUUUUGACGGAAGUCAUCUUUUCCCGUUUUGGAGUUUCUAGACUAGUCAUUAAUGAUGGAGGAUCACACUUCGUAGACACACAGUUUAGAAGCUUUUUGACAAGUCUAGGAAUCCAACACCAUGUAGCCACACCUUAUCACCCUCAAACUAGUGGCCAAGUAGAAACCUCUAAUAAACAAAUAAAGAACAUCCUGCAAAAGACAAUAGAGGAAAUGGGAAAGUCCUGGCAUGUUAAGCUCUAUGAUGCUUUGUGGGCAUAUCGAAUAGCCUUUUCUUUGACCCCCUACUGGUAUUUUAUUAUUAAAAUAUUUACAGAUUACAAAGAGAAUACCAAGACUAAAAGUCACGAAACAAAGAAAGUAACCAUGAAAAUGAAAAAAAAUUACAUAAAGCUCUGCAGCCAUAAAUGAAUCUGUGGAUGAUAUUUUGCAUCUUUGCAUCUUUGCACUGUGUGCGAGAUAUUGCAUCUUUGCACUGUAUGCGAGAUAUUGUGGAAAAUCAGGUCAUUUCUCAUCAUCCCAAUAGACCAACACAUAGUGAUAAUAAUUUCCAUGAAGAAAGGCAAUUGCAACUAAACUUUGAGGUUCUCUACUAUGGCCAGAGGAUCCAAAGCAUUAGGUAUCACGAGAUGAAGAGUGUUCCAGCAAGCCAGCGAGAAGGGACAAUGAAAUAGCAGAUGACUGAUUUCUUCAUCAAUACCACAAGCACAGAGGACACAUCUGUAAUCUUGCAGCUGCAUAUUCUUUCUUCUGAGGAGUGCCCUGGUAUUUAAUCUCCUAUGAAGGACUAACCAAAAAAAGAAUUUCCUUUGUUUUGAUAAGAAGAUUUCCAAAGCCAAUGGAAGGAUGGAUGGAUCUGCCUAUGACCAAUGAGAUGUCUAUAGGCUUUCUUGGAAGAAAAAUCUAGAGAGCCCCAGAUAUAGGACCAAGUGUCCUUAACAUCCUGUAUCUGAAGAUUUUGAAUGAGCAACUCCAAAUCCAAGUAUUGAGCAUAGGCUUCUGGAGGUAGAGGUAAAUGAAACUGAUCAUGAAGGGGAUUAGAAUUGCACGCCAAGAAUCCAGAGAUGUCUGGGUUCUUCACAAAGGAAAAGAGUUCAGGAAAAGCUUGAUUCAGAAUUAUCCCAUUCCAGAGAUCUUGCCAAAAGAAACAAGACUUUCCAUCAUGAACUGUGACCAUGGCAAUCCCUUUAAAAGUAUCCAAAAGUUUUAGGAUGUCUUUCCACCAAAAAGAUCAUCUAAAAUUUGCCCUUAUCGCAAAAAAAAGGAAGUCUAUUUCUUGUGUAAUACUUAUCCCAGACCAUCUGAACCUAGGGAAUUGAAGCUCUAUUAAAGAAUUUGUGCAGAUGCUUUAGCAGUAAACUCUCAUUUUGAGCAUAGAGGUUUAGGACACCGAGUCCUCCUUCAGUUUUGGAGAGGCAAACCAGUGGCCAAGCUGCUUUUGGGGGCUUUUUUCUUGUCAUGUCCGAGCCCCUCCAUAAUCAAUGUUUUCUAUAUUUGUUAAUCUGUUUAAUCUCAGUCUUUGGGAGCAAGAAGGUGCACAUUGCAAAAGUUGGAAGAGCUGUCAAGACUGCAUUAGUGAGUUCUAAUCUUCCUGCCUCAGUCAAGAAGGAAGAGAAGGCUACAAGUCUUCUUUCACAUUUUGAAACCAAAUCAAAUAGCCUAUUAAACCCCAAUAGGUAUGUCCCCAUACCAAUUCGUGUAUGGAAAGACUUGUCACUUACCCGUAGAGCUAGAAUUUAAGGCUCAUUGGGCCAUAAAGAAGUGGAACUUGGACCUCGAGCUAGCCGGACAAAAUAGGAACAUGCAAAUAUUUGAGCUAGAGGAAUGGAGAGAGAGAGAGAGUGAGCUUAUCAUAGUGCCAAGAUUUAUAGAUAGAAUUAAAAGAUGGCAUGAUAAAGGAUUAAACAUAAAGAGUUUCACCCCGAAGAUAAAGUUUUACUUUUUAACUCACGUGUGCAUCUCUUUGGUCAUGGUAAGCUUCGAAGUAAAUGGGAUGGACCAUUCAAGGUCGUUGCGGUAGCACCCCAUGGUGUCGUCACACUAGAAAGUGAUGAUGGUAAGCUAUUUAAGGUGAACGGUGAACGCCUUAAUGUCUACUUUGAAUAUGAGAAAGAAGAAGCAAGAGAAAUAGACGUGGUAGGAUUCAGAGACCCUGAGCAUUGUGCAUGCUUCUUGAAUGCAAGCAACCUUGGGCCUUAACCCCUUUUAAUGGACCAAAGAAACGACUAAAAACAUCUUUUUAGGGCCUCUGAUCAACCACACGUGCACAGAGUUCAAAAAUUUUGGAAUUUCCGGCUCAGGACCCGGCGCCCACCAACCCCCUUCCACGAUUUCACGUUGGUUUGCCACGUGUAGGCCGAUCUACGGCUUUGGGAGUUCAAAAUUCCAAAUAUCAUCGAAAACUCGCAACAGAAAGAAGGAUCGGGAACUUUAAAUCCUGGCUCCAUCACUAGUCUUGAAUUAGUGAGAGAAGCAAUAAUACAUGAAAUAGCUUGUUCCAGAAUAAAUUUUGAAUGCUCUAGUUUACUCGGGCCUUCCAAUUUUGUCUACAUUGGAUAAUCUUCACACCAACAUAUGUUACAAUACCAGCCAUUUCCAUCGAGUACCAUCCUGCACCCUAAACAAAAAAGUAUUCGAGAAUUAAAAGUUGCACCCUAAUCCACUAGCUUGAACCCAUAUUUGAGGGUAUUCGAGGGCAGUGUUCAUUAGCAGGAACAGGAUUUGGAAGCAUGUAGUCACUGAGCUGAGGAUGGCAGCAUAACAGCUCCCAACAUCUGGAGAGUAUAGCCAGCAAAAAGAGCAUUGGUGGACCAAUUGGCAGCAUAUCAGCUCCCAACACCUGGAGAGGAUAGCAAGCAAAAAAGAGCAUUCGACCAAUUGACAGCAUAACAGCUCCCAACACCUAGAGAGGAUAGCCACCAAAAAGAGCAUGCAGAUUGCCUAGGGUAACUUGAGGGUGCAAGGUCGUCUAGUCUCAUUCUUGUACUCCGUGCAUCACUUCUCAGAUAAUUUUGCAACUUAGAUGUCAAAGUAGGUACAACAGGAUAUAAGUUAAUAGAACUUUGCUGGAGAAACCCACAUGCCAAAAGGUUGUUGUUCAUUUUGCAACAAGUUCACAUCAAUCGUGGGAAAUGAAAUGAAAUUAGAGGUUCAACACUAGUAUGCAAAUGCAAAUUUCGUAUGCAAAUGGACAUGUAGCACUUGAGAAUAAAAUGCCCAAAGAAACAUAAAUUCUCAUACAAAUUUAGGGCCAUUCGGACAACACAUAUGAAAUUACCAUCAUAUCGAGAAAAAAUGCUCGACAUUUCUGUUCACAGAACUGCAAUAUGUGAGAUUACACACGUCCUAUCCACUUCAUUAUGAAGUUCCCACACAACACAUAAAGUUUUCAUCACAUCCAAAAGCCGAUGCAUGGAAAUUUCUAUGCUCAGAUAAUUAAGCCAAAAUAGAAAAAAGAAAUAUAUUAACAUCAUUGCAAAGUAACAAAAAAAGAAAAAAUUCCCUUGGCUCGGAGAUUCAGUUGCACUACAAGAAAUCUCUUAAUCCGUGACAGAUUACCGGUGACGGUUUUACCGAUGACGGUUUUAGAGAACGUCACAAAUAAUAUAAAUCUUCAACAAUACAUGAACUACAGUAGUUGAUAUCCAGCCCAAAGCCCAGUAUCCGUUAAACAUAUAUAAAGGAGCACAAAUCCUAACCCGCACACUCUUGCUCCCUCCCUCUUCGCAACAGCCGCCGUCGCUCACUCGAGAGUCCAGACCAUCUCGACUGCCGCCUCCUUUGCCUAGGUUUCGUCCUCCCCUAGCCGAUGCGGAUUUCAUCGUUGGUGUGGAGGAGGCGGAGGACUGCGCGCAGAGGAGACCCAGGGCACCACCCCACCUAGCUACUGCCCCAAUCCUAACCCUUGGCAGAUCAGAUCCUCGAUGUGGAGGAUACUGAGGGUGGCGCCCCCACCUAGCCCUUGCGGGAUCUAGAUCCUGGAGCUAAGGAGCACAACGCGGCCACCAAGCUCGGAGUGUAAUACCCGAUUUUAAGGACAAAACCAGAUAUACACUAUAUAUGAGUUUUAGAAGUCAAAUCUCACAUAUAGCUACAAGUAAGGGGUAAUAUCAAAAGACAAUGCAUAAAUAUAUAGCGUACUUAGUAUAAAAGAGAUAACCGUCAAGCAAACAGCGGAUAGACAACUCCAAACUUCGGGUAUUAACUUCACUCUACAGGAUCCAACUGACUGGUUGAUCACAAGCCUAAACUUCUCCUGAGGUUUGAGGGAAAUAGCAAGAGUGAGUCCAUGUCGAACUCCACAAGUAUAGCAACUAGAUUGUAUAGAUCCCACAAUCUCAUGAUCAAUGUGACAUAAAUAAUGUAAAGCAUUAAAUAAUAAAUAAUGAGCAUAUUUAACACACAGGAAUCAUCAUCGUCGCAACAAGAAUCCCCAAGGCCGCUCCUGACCGUGAGCUCGGCUAGUAUACUAGUUUUUAACCCUCUGCAGAGAUUGCACAUCUUUACCCAUGAGUCAUGAUUUACCCUUUCGCCCGAGGUGAUCAGCCUCUUAACCCACUUCCAAGGAAGGUCGGCAGGGAUCACUAUGAAGCCUUUCAAAAGUUCGUCUAACAUGUUAGGGCCGCAAGGUUUCCUUUGCGCGCAGAUAUAGAUACCCCCCUUCCAAAUGGCACAAUGACGCGCAGCCUAUACACAUAGGGACAGGGGCUCGCACUAUACCCAAAACGGUUCAGCCCCUCCGCCCUUUCGGGUAACCUCUAACAAGCUAGAAAAGGUCUUCAUACUGAGCUAAAGCCAGAGCCAUUAUAGCCCUCAUGGUUGCACUGUUGUCCCGGUUAUCACUUACAGAUAAAUCAUCAAGUUGCUAAAAAGUUAUUUUUAUCAUUUAUUACUUAACAUUAAUCUAGUCACAGGAUCAUGGUCACAGAAUAUAAAAUCCAAAUGCUAUACUUGCCUUAAUCCAAAUGCUCUUGUUGAUCCUGCUGGUCUUACUAGUUGCCAAGGCUCUGAUCUUGAUCACUGAAGCACUCUUGUUCAUUACGAAUUACUCACCGACUAAUUCCGAUCAUCGAUCACAAACAUAUGGCAACAAACAUACACGAAGCAAACAAGGCUACAAUUAGAACAGUACACCUAUCAUAUAAAAACAGUAUGAAAAGUUUAUAAAAAUGUUCUACGCAGCGCUACGAUCACAUAAACGUAAAGUUCACGAAAAUCGGAAUUAGGACGAAGAAGUUAUGAAUUUUCCAAAAUUUCCUAUAGAUAAAUAAUUAAUUAAAUGCUACUGCAGAAUUAAAAAGUUUUCAAAACAGUAAACUAACACUUCUAACAUGUAGAGCUCGUGAUUAUGAACCUAAGAAUGGACAAAAACGGAGUUAAAACAGAGAAAAUAUGACCUAAACAUGCUAUCGUAUUUCCAUUGUAUUCAUAGAUUUAUUUUUCUAAAGGAAAACGGCAAUAAAAUUCACCUGCGUCAUCACGAUGUCACGAUGAGGUCAUCAAGCUAACAAUUGACCUCUGCUACGUAUGGCAGCGUUUCUGCUCUUGCACGUCUCGACUGAUCGGAUCGCUAGCAGGUGCAAGGAGCAGUUGGUAGCGCUCGUCUCUGUUGUGAGAUAGACACGGUGCUGUUGAAGUAUGGAGCAGAAGGACCGGCGCGCCACGGUGGCUGCCAUGGCGAGCGACAAGGAACUCGUCGGAGUUACACUGAAUCAACGUAGGGAUCUUGAAUUUCAAUGAAAAAAAAUACCAGGAAUACGAGGAGCGAACAGCAAGCUCACCUAGGGCUUUAUCAGUGGCGAAGAAGGCACGGCGAGGUCAUGGAACUUGGCGAGACAGACACCUCUCCUCCUUAGUUGUGAGUUGGGUAGCAGGCCAGCUCGAUGCGAAAAGCUGCUUGGAGUUCUGGCUUCUCUGCAGCAGUGGGUCGGAGGGGUCGAAGAGGCGGCAAGCUUCGGCAACAACAAAAGCUCUCGGCGACAUCCACAAGCGGGACGUGAGGCAACGCUAAAGCGGCGGCACGAAGUUGAGGCGAGGCUGCAACGUAGUUAGGGCUUGGAUGGCGGCUGCUGCACUAUUGGGGAAGAAGAACUUGGGUUUUAUAUGGAGGCGUAGAUGUGGGGAGCACGUAGAAUUGAACGAGCAUCAGGAUCGGAGCGUCGGGAUUUCGCCCUGGUGGAGUCCGGUUCCUCUACGACUUGGGAGAGGAGAAGACAAUGACAAGUGGGACCAUAGCGUCUGAGGGAGAGGAAAAUGAGCAAGCUAGCGUGCGUCCAUGGGGCUCAGUUAGGCCGUUGCGUCAGAAGCCCAUCACGUCCGAACAGAGAGAGAGGAGAAGAAUUUUUUUUUUUUCCUUCUAAAUUUUCAAAGUCAUUUUCUAAUUGAACUUCAAAUCGAUUUAAUUUUAGUUCAGAACCACUCAUCACAGUAAAUCAAAUGCAAAGGCAUGCAUGCUCAAACAUGUUGCUAACCACUAUGGUAAAUUUUAAUUUUUUUUUUAAAAAAAAAAUAUUAUUUCUAUGUAUUAUGAGCACAAAAAAAAAUACAUUUUUAAAUCAAAUUUCUCCUAUUUUGAAGACUUGCAAAAUUUAGGGUGUUACACGGAGCAGCCCCACCCCCACGUCAAGGGCAACAGCGAAGUGGUUCCUCAGGUGAUCCAUGUGUUCCCUCAACUUGUCCUAUAUCCACCUUUAUUUUUCUCACCAAUUCAUCCACCAGUGAUGGUGCCGCUCAAGCAGAGAUGACACUAGCAUGCCGGCGUUGGGGAUCUGUGUGCCAGGGUUGAGGGUUGAGGGAACCUGACUGAAUUCUAAUUUUCAGGUCAAUACACGUUAUAGAACAUGGAGAUGUGGCAAUUGUGUGGUAAGUAUUUGUGCCUAGUGCUAGUUGCUCAGAGAGGAUAGAAAAUAAGAUUAAGAUAAGAAAUUUAGUGUAUUUGCUAUGAGGGCAAUGCACUGCUUAUAUAUUAUUCUAAUCUCUGUAUAACUUUUGUGUUUCUUUUUUAGAUUAAAAGAAACCUUGUUAAUUAGAAAUGCAACUGGGCUGCAACUAUCAAACUUGAUUGAGAUAUGCUCGUAAUGCUUAUUAUUCAGUACUUGCCUAAUGGAAAAAUUCUGAGUUUAUGUAAUCGAUAUAACCUGUUGUGCAAACUGUUAAUUGGAUCCUAUUAAAUUAGUGAACUUUGCUUCUUGCUCAAUAGCUUAGGUCUAAAUUAUUUGAUCCUAUUUUGUACAUGUAUUGUAUAAGAACAAUUAUUGUGUUCAGCUGCCGUUAAAAAAUUAUUGUGUUCAGCUCUGUUUUAUGCAUGAGCAGGAGCGCACCUAGAGUUUCUAUAACAGCAUCAGUUCAGCUGUAUCAUUUUCUUCAGAGCAUCAGUUUAUUAUGACUAGAAAAUCAUAAUUUUCUUCAGAGCAUAGUGUGACUAGCACCAGUUCAGUUGUAUCAUUUUCUUGUUCAUUUCUUUUGUUUUUGUUGGAUUGCAUGCUCUGUAGUCUGCUUUUCUUCCAGAGCCUUUUAAUCUUUUGUCACUCUGCAGUCUUCGAUGUGUCUUCAGUUUUUGGCGAUGAAUCAAGGGUCCUAGAUGGGGACUCUGUUGAGUUCAAAGUGGAGGAAAACAUGAAUGGUAAUGGGAAUAAAGAAAAGAAAAUAUCUCAAAAGAUCAGUACAGGUGAUGGCUCCCCGUCUUGUUACUGCUCUCAAUAAUAAUUGCUCUUCAGUGGUAAUCUAGAAUAUUUAUUUGAAAUUUCUGUUUAUUUCUAUAUUUCACGGUUUUUUUGCUUUGGGUUAGCUAGACACUGCAUUCUAUGGUUGUGCAGUUUUAGUUCUCUGCAUUCCUUAACUAAAAUAUAUUAUUUACUAGCAGUAUCAGUUUUCCUUUGUGCUCUGUAUCAUGUCAGUACACUUGUAGAUCACUCAAGAAUCAGCUUAGCUAUCAGUUUAGUUUAAAAGCUUUAACUAUAGCUUAAACUGUUUGCUUGCCUUGGUUCAGUACAUAGAAAAAAUGGUGAUGCUGCCAUUUGAUUGUGCUGUGUAUAUGCAAUUUUGCUGCUUGCUUUAAAUUAAUUAUAAGCCAUACCUGAACAAUCAUUUAGAAUUUCAGUUUAGUAAAUAAUUGCAGUGUCCAGCUAAUCGACUUAAUGAUGCUUCUGCCACUUUGUGCCACUAGUGAUAUAAAUUUUACAAACUAGCCGUGCUGGCUUUGCAUCUGUUAACCGACAGCAGCAACUUUGUGAGUGCAACCAUUUCAACUGGAUAUGUUUAAAUUGAUAGUUGUACCUAAUACAUUUUAGCUUAGGCAGCAGCUAUCUAUUAAGUUAUCUAAAUCACUAUUUGAUUGAAUGUUUCUUUUUUUAUAGUUUUCAGGAAGGGAAUCGGUGGAUAAACAAUAUUAGAGAAAUGUUUGACGAAGGAGCAUCAUUCCACUGAGGCGGCUGCAUUGCUUAUUGGCGGCAUGGAGAGACAAUUGUUGGCUGUAUAAAUUAGUCUUGUUUUUAAAUUGCUUCAUCAUCAAUGUGUAAAUAUUUAUAUAUGUAAACAUAUUUGACCAAAUGGUUGUAAAUUUAUAAUUAGAAAUGCAAUAAAGAAAUGUCACCAUAUUUGUCAUUCAAUAAAUAUCUCAAAUUUCUUACAACAAAAAUAGAUGGGCUAGAUGUUGAUAUAAGCAUCCAUGUCAUGAUCCACAUAAGCAGUCUAGAUGAUGUGGCAAUUCAUCUAUGACGGUUUAGAACCGUCACAGGUAAUGGGUUUGGGCUGGGCUAACUAGGCCUUGGGCUCAGUUGUGACGGUUUGAGAUCGUCAUGAAUUCUGUUAAUCUGUGACGGUUUUAUGAAAAUCGUCACGAAGGUUAAUCCUUGACGCUCAAUAGGUGACGUUCCCUAAAACCGUCACAAAUGUUGCAUAGUGACAGUUUUUUUAUGAUCCGUGACGGAAAUUUUUCGUCGUGGAUUAGCAGGUUUCUUGUAGUGUUGGACAUUGGAAAUGCAAAGUUAUAGAAAAGGAAAUGCAUUCCCAUGAAAACUUGAGAUAAGAAUAAUGGGUUCAAAUAGUGUGCAUAGGAUAAGAUUCUCACGAUAUUAUGAUAGUUUAACCUUCGUUCAAAAAUAAAAUAUUCACUAACCUGGGCCUGGGAAUUCUUUAGCUCAUCUUUAUACUUUAGUAUCAUCUGGUAAUAUUUCAUCCUCAGAUCUUUACCCUUCUGUUUUACCCUAUUCGUCACAAAGGCAUUGUAUUCCAUUUUAUCAAAUGCAGAUUCCUCAUUUUUCUUAAACCAUUCGCAGAUCGCUUCUGUAAUAGCCAUCACAUAUACACCACAGUUAUAUGAGUCCUCCUGCUGUGGCACAGGGGCAUCACAGACAUCUUUGGCAAAAGCAGGGUUCAAUUCUUUUAUUCUUCCAGAAAUAAAUUUCGCCACUUCCUGGUUAGCUGGCCUUGGAGUGUCAUAAUGAUGGAGCAUGUGCCUUGUGUUGUCCAAAACUAACAAGCUAUAAUGGACCCUAGCAUCAGAAUCAUAGGCAUUCAACUGGUGACUAUUCAGAGGAAUAAAUACUAAUUUAUAUUGAAGCAUUCUUGUGAUACCAUUCUUGUCGUGCAUUAACAUUGUUGAUUCAGCUUGACUUAACAGUAGGAUCUUAUCAUUUCUGUAGGUGGUAGAGAGGAAGGCAAAUAUUCUCUGAAUUACACCAUCAGUUAUCCACCGUGUACCAGUAAGACUUUCUAGGUCUAUUUGCAGUGCUUUAAGCUGCGCAUCACUUAGUCCAUCUGUACGCUGAGAUGGUACAUUAAGAUUUUUUAGGUUUGUAAGCAGUGCUUGACGCCGUUCACUUAGUCCAUCCGUACGCUCAGAUGGUAGAUUUUCCUGCAAGAAAAAGAAAACCAUAGCACAUUUAAAGCUAUAAGACGCACUACAUGGCCUUGCUGGGAAACAAAACUAAAUCUGCAGCUUGAUCUUAUGGAUCAAGAAUCUACUUUCCAAAAGUGAGUGAGAUUAAGUAAUAUUUCUAAAACUCUAAGAAGCAAAACAGAAGUGGUAUUGCAUGCACUGAGUUCUUCAAAAGUGGCAUUGCUUACACUGAGUUAGCGUGAAUAUCCCUCAAACAAAGCUUUUCUGCAGAAGUAUUCUCUAGUUCAGUGGUAUUCAUGAUAGCUGGGUCACAGACAGCUUCAUGGUUUAGUAUCAUCUGGUGAUAUUUCGUCCUCAUAUUGUGAACUUCACCCAACUCUUUUACCAUGUCUCUCAAUUCAUGUGUUAAUUCCUCAUUUUUCAUAAACCAUUCACUGAUCACUUCUGUAAUGGCCAGCACAUAUACACCACAAUUAUAUGGGUCCUGCUGCUGUGGCAUAGGGGGCUCAUAUAUAACCACUUUGGCAAAAGCAGGGAUCACUUUUCUUAUACUUUCAGCAAGAGAUUCUGCAACUGCCCGGUUAGCUGACCCUAUAAUGUCAUAAUGAAGGAACUUGUGUGUGCCUUUCUUUCUGUUGUGCAAAACUAACAAGCUUAAAUGGACCCCAGCAUCAGAAUAGGGAUGCAUCUCUGCAAUUUUCAGAGGAAUAAAUACUAAUGAAAAAUCAAGCAGUGGUAAUCUUGCAGUAGCAUCCAUAUUGGACAUUGACGUCACUGACUCGCGUAACAAUAGGAUCUCCUCAUUUCUGAAGGUGGUAGUAGAGAAGAUGGCAAAUAUUCUCUGAAUUACACCAUCAGUUAUCUGCUUUGUACCAUUAAGACUUUCUAGGUCUGCAAGCAGUGUUGUAUGUUGUGCAUCACUUAGUCCAUCAUCUUUAUGCUCAGAUGGUACAUUUUCCUGCAAGAAAAGCGCAAUAAUGGCCUUGCUAGGAAACAAAAUUAAAUCUGCAGCUUGAUCUUAUGGAUCAAGAAUCUACUUUCCAAAAGUGAGUGAGAUUAAGUAAUAUUUCUAAAACUUUAAGAAGCAAAACAAAAGUGGUAUUGCAUGCACUGAGUUCUUCAGAAGUGACAUUGCUUACACUGAGUUCUUCAGAAGUGGCAUUGCUUACACUGAGUUCUUCAGAAGCCUGAAUAUCCCUCAAACAAAGCUUUUCUGUAGAAGGAUUCUCUAGUUCAGUGGUAUUCAUGAAAGCUGCGUCACGGACAGCUUCACGCACAGCAUCACUCAGUCCAUCAUCUUUAUGCUCAGAUGGUACAUUUGCCUGCAAGAAAAAGAAACCCAUAGCACAUUUAAAGCAUUAUGCGCAAUCUUCUGGAUCGAAUCUACAUUCCAAAACUGAGGAGUGAGAUUAAGUAAUAUUUCUAAAAACUUUAAGCAAAACACAAGUGGCAUUGCUUACAUCUAGUUCUUCUUCAAAAGCAUUCAGAUCCUUCAACCAAAGCUCUUUUGGUUUAGUCUUCUUUAGUUCAGAGAUAUUCUUCUUUUGGUGUUCACAUUCAGCUUCCAGCUCCUCUACCAUCACAAUAAAGUUAACAGUUGCCAUGAACAAGAGGUAGUCAUAUCCCCUUAUGAUUCCUUGUGCUUUGGCACCAUCCUGAUUCUCCCAAGAGGGCUUGGCUUGUUCAAAUUCCUCAAACUGCAUUUCUCUGAGCUUCGUAUGUAGGCCUUCUUUAUCCAUGUCAAAUAAUUUGAUUUCUCCAGUUCGAACAGCUUUAAUAAAUCUAACUUUGUUCUGUGCCAUUUUCAAGUCACGGCCAGCCAUUUCCACUAGCUUUUGCUGCAUAUUGACAAUUACUAAAUGUGAUAUCAAAUAGUCCAAAGAAUAUGUGCCAUUCAAUUAUUAAAUGGAAACGUACCUUUCUUUUCUCAUAAAAAGCAAGCCUCAAGGCAUAGAAUUCCUUAAGUACUGAAAUAAAUGACACAAUUUAGUUACAAUGCGACAAAAGAAAUAAAAAAUGGAGGGCUUGUAGCAAAAAGGUAGUACAUACUUUGCUCUGGACUGUCAUACUUUUAAUUAUGCCAUUUGAAUCCAACAAAUGCAUAUUUGAUGUUCCCAUUGAUGUUCUCAGUUCAAACUUUCUCUGAAGAUCUACUUCAUUGGCUCGUGCCAAAUUCUCAGAAUUCUCAUGCAAGUGUAUCAUAAUUUUAACAUCAUUGCCGCCUCUCUUUUUUUCAUAACUCUGUAAAAUUAUUAUGAUUAAAAACUAGUGGACAACAAUCAUUUCAUGAUUAAAACAUACUAUGUAAUCAAUUACCUUGAUGAAUUUGUCUUCUCCGUCCAUAAAAGUUUUAAGCUUCUUUUCAUAAUUCUCCAUCGAGAUCUUCACUGGGAGCUCACUUAUUUUUAGUGUAGUUUUGUCAACAACCUUUAUGAUACCACUAGCGGUAUAGGUAACACCUGAUUUCUUGGUCUUGGUAGUUUCGUUUUUGACACUCACUUCUCCCUGUUGGUUCAUGUUUAAAAAAUAAAACACCAACAUUAGACUUUUUAAGACAAAAAUAAAAACAGAAUUGUAAAAAAACAUGUAUUACUAACGUGGAAAUGUCUGAACCACGGUUUCAUUUCUUCCAACGUUUCUGAUCCCUGUAUCAUUAGUUUCAAAUUGUGUACAAUAUCUUUGGGAUUGUAACAAGGAAUCUUUGUGCUCCAUCCAGUACCAAUUCCUUCAGCUCCAUUGACUAAAAUCAUUGGAAGGAUUGGCAAAUACCUAAAAAGUGACAACUAGGCCUUAACUACUUAUUAUAAAGGUCAAAUUGUUGAGGAUGGAUGGAGCAAGUGGUGCCUAGUUAUUACCAUGAAGGUUCAAUUUAUUGCCCAUCUUCACACAAAUAAUCGAGCAGAAUAUCAUCAUUUUCAUUAAAUAUCCUGCGAGUGAUACUUGAUAACUCUGUGAAGAUAUAUCUAGCACUAUUAGCAUCUUUGCCUCCCUAAAAUGAAAAAACUAGCAUGAAUAAAAUGUUUAACAACAAGUUUUCUCAUAGUGGCUUGUUAACUCGCCUCUAAUCUUGUAUCAAAUUGCCCAUUGGGACGCUAAAGAUUGAUAUUGUUGCUUCCAACAAAAUCUUGAGCCAUUCUUACUAUUGUGUUUUAUAGAUUUUCUUCACCGUGAUGAUAAGCAGAACAUUCUGCCACAGACGCGGUGAACUGUGCCACCUGUGAUCAAGUAUUAAAUUAGCAAUAUUAUAAGGCUAAUAUAGAGAGAACAUGACACAUAAAUCAUAAUAUGGCAGCCCGACCAGAGGCUCAACCCUUUUCUACUUAUAAGCUAGGACUGAAGCUUUGGAGUGGAUAUGAUUCUCAUCAUCAUAGACUAUAUGGAACAAGCUUGAGAUUGACAACCCACAAGACAAGAGUUUCAAGCAAGCUAGUCUACCUUAAUAUAUUCAGGUGCCAGUAUACAUAAGGAAACUAAAACUAAAUAUAUAAUGGCGAUACAAUCUAAAGAAACUAUGGAAUACAAAAGAUCGAAGCCUACCAUAUUCUCGGCCAUAUGAAAGUGCAUCUAGCCCUUUGUGGGUUUUGGUGAAUUGAAUGACAACAUGAUUAAAGGUCUAAUAAGUUUGCUAAGUGUUGAACAGGAUAUUGAGUCUAUUGCACAUACUUGUGGAUUGUGUAUCAACAAGUAUGUUCAAGGCUCAACAAGCAGGCAAACUUGAUGAUAUGCCACAUAGUGUUGAAAUGAAGGCCAAAUUAUGUAUUGUUGUAUUAGAGGAUUAUGGAAACAAUCUAGGUCAAGCAAAAGACAACAAUGCAAAUAAAAUCUAUGGAAUGGCUUAUAUGCUGUGGGAUAUCAUAACAUCAUGAGAAAGCAAGCAUAUUUGGAAAAUGGCAAAUGGUAAAAGAGGCAUGAGUUGAUGUUCUUGGAUUGGUCUCUAUAAUGGCUUGCUUUUCAUGAACAAGAAAAGCUUGAUAGUGAACUAGGUUUGAUCAAGCUAGAAGUAUGAAGAUCAAGAUUGAAGUGAGUAUUGAGUGUCAAGCCAAAAUAGAGAGGAUAUAAGGAACUGUGAAUUGGCUUGACCAUAUUGAUGCUGAUCCAUAUAUGUCUCUAUGUGAGUCAAACUAAAGCUUGAUUGAUCUCAAUAUUUAUAUCUAGAAGAUAUUCAAGCAAGGAUCACAAUAUUGAAGAAAUGAUUAUUCAAUGGAUACUUAAUGUGAUAUGACUUGAGUAUGGCUUGAUAAGGUGAAGAUAGCAAGGAAAGGGCUUCGAGGGACUAAGCGGAGGUGAAGGGAUAAGCGACGGCUUAAGGACCGAGGUACCAUGGCUAAGGUGAAGAAGAGAGUACUUGCAUUGAGUCGAGGAACUAAUCAAGCUAUGAGAAGUCAUAUUGUGUUGAGGAUCAAAUCUUUAGUAGAAGUGACUUGAAGCCAUGGAGGUGAACUCAUAUGUGUUGAAAUGGGUCAAGUCACAUGCUCAAGGUGUGUUUGCUCAAGAAAAGGAGACAAAGUUGAUUGCCACCCUUUAUGGAGUAAUAUUGAGAAGAAAUGGCAUUUGAAGACAUUGAAGACUCAAGUGGUUAAAUUGGUUAUAUUCUUUUGUUCUUGAGUAUAGGUAUGCCGUACUAUCAAGGGGGAUGCAAUACGAAUGAUAGACAAGUCUCAAGUGCUCAAACUAACCGAACCCAAGUGCUAACUUGAGAGAAAACACUUAGCACUGCACCUGCACAAGUUGAUCUUGGAGCUUUUUCUCUGCAGGGUUGGAUAGCCCUUGAAACAAGCUUUCCGAAAAGUCCAAGAUCACUGCAAACGGAGUUCGGAGUAAAAAGUUAUGGCUUUUUCCGUAAGGUGACCUGUGCCUUGUACAGUCACAACGGCUAGUUUUCGAAUCCUAACGGCUAGUUUGAGUGGGAUGAGUAUAUAUACCCAUCCCACUGCUUCUGGUCGUGCUGCUGAUGCUCCAGACCUUCCCAACCUUUGCAAAGCCUCUCCCCAACCCUCUCUUUGUGAGAGUAUUGUGCUUAGUGCACAAUUUAGUGUUGGGGCUGUGUGAUUAAGUGUUAGAGAGCAUAUUAGAGCAAUCCUAACCUUGAGCACUUGCUGGGCUUCGUCGAUCUUCGUUGUGCAUUUGUUACUCUUGGAGGUGAAGCCUCCUAGACGGCUAGGCGUUGCCCGACGAGCUCCCGUGCUUGUGGUGAGCAGCGGGACAGUUUGUAAGACUCUCUUGCAGCUAGUGAAAUCACCCCUCACCUCAAGAGUUCAUUCUCUUGAUUUGAGAACGAGGGCAAGGCAAGCCUUGGUGGCGAGCCAAUCCUUUUGUGGAUACCUCAACAACGUGGACUUAGGCAAGCCUUGGUGGCGAGCUGAACCACGGGAUAAACACCGUGUCAUAUUGUGCUUGUUUUACAUUCUUGCAAGUUCAUAUUGUUGUUGAGGUGCUUGUAAGGUUUGUGGCCAAUCUACUUGGUGGUACUUGUUCUGCUGUGUAUAACUACUAUUUAGUGACUAACAUACUUGCAGGAAGCUGGGAAAUUUACCUGAUCUAAAUUUCCUUGGUUGGAUUUUGAAUUGUACUAAGUUCCUCCUGCGCAGGCCGGCAGUGCCGCCCUCCAAGGCCGGCAGUGCCGCCCUCUAAUCUGAUAGAGUUUUGAGUUGAAACUUUGCAGAUUUGUCAUUGGAUACCUCUAGUACUUCUUCACCAAGUUUGAGCUCAUUUGGACACUCGGUUGCAGGAAGGCAGUGCCGCCCUCAAAGGGAGGCAGUGCCGCCCUGAGUGUUAAUUUUAGUUUGAGCUAAAUUUUUACAGGCCUAUUCACCCCCCCUCUAGGCCUCCUCGACGACAUCAAGGUCCUUUCACCAUAGCGCCGACUAAUGUCAAAAUAUGUGGAAAAGAUUCAUAUUAGAAAAAACAAAUGAUAGUUGGGAUGCCAUACCUUUGUUUUCUUGUUCAAUUUUUUCUUAAAUGCGCUGAACAUUAUCUUUCUCUGCCCUUUUUUAAAUCCAUCUACCAUUGAUGGUAUAGACCGGUGCAUGUCUAAUACCAUGUAUAAUGUGAGCCCUUUCUUAAUGAAGUCAAGGAUUCUUAUCGUUUUCCCAGUUUGAGGAAGUACACUUUCUUCAGGAUGAAAUUUUUUUAAUCACAUUAAUGUUGGUCCUUAAAUUAACCUGAAUGAAUCUUUAAAAAGUAAUAUCAAGACCGACCUUGCAGUUAUGAAGAAAGUUAUAAAUCCAUUUCUUCCUUUCCUCCACAUUAUGUUUACUGAAUGCUGUCUUGAUAGCCUUAUCAUCUUCUUCAUUCACCCACACAAAACAUUUCAGAUGGAUGUCAAUAUCUUUGAAAUAUUGCAUCCCUUCCUUAGGUGUGCUCGUGCCUAACCCCUGUAUAUAUGAAAAAUGUCCAAUUUGAAGACCACAUAGAAAAAUUGAAAUGAUUAAAAUUUGUGCAAAAAAAACACACCUUAUUGUACUUUAUAGACCAUUUACUUAAUUCUGUCCCAUGUUUACUUUUCUCCCAUGCCGUAUACUCGUUUAGUGUAUAAAAACCUCACUUGGACAUUCCACUAUAUAAUCCGUAACCUAAACAAGUUUUAAUCCAUGACAUGGUAAGUUUUAUGAGUCUUAAUAACUGAAACCUUAACAAAAAAUGUUAAAGCAAGUAACAAGUGGCAUACCUUUACAAUUGGGGUUACUAAUUCACACAAAAAGGAUUUGGAUUUAAUCUUCAGAAGGGAAGGCCAAAAAACAUGAAAUAAGUUAAUGAUCAAUCCUUUAAUAUGAAAUCCAUCUGGAUCCUGGUCGGUUAUGACCAUAACUUUACCAUAUCUCAAAUCCUUCGAAUCCUUUUCAUCAUUAUAGUGUUUUUGUAGUCUAAACCAAUAAUCUUUCUCAUAUUGUUAAUUUCCUCAUUGUCCAAGAUGACGCAUCUCUCAUAUUCAGUAGCUUACCCUUCAAUGCAAGAACUCCAAAGUAGUCCCUAUGAACAGAACCUAGCGGCAGAGGAGAACAAAACUUACUCGAUACUCUUGUCAAUAUAAAAGGAACAUAUGUGCAAUGAAAUGUGCAAUCAACAGUUACUAAUUGCAGGGGAACUUCAAUAUAAGAAUAAGAACUACAUGGAAAAUAAUUUUUCUAACAUCUUCAUCUAAUCAUUAACACAUGUGUGCACAUAUGAAACUUGGGAUUCCCAAAUACAAGUCCGAUUAUAACCUUUUAUCCUAAAGACUCAAGUCCGAUCAUAACCUUUAAUCCUAAAGACUCAGCUAACUAAAAAAAAUCUGAAUCAAAACCUUUUUGCCUUGAUUAAACUCUUGGCUGAAAUUUGAGUUUUUCAUAAAAAUCAAGGAAAUUUGGGACAAACCACACUAAAUCACUAAAUCUGCCAUUGAUACUUGGUGUAUCAAAAUGGACUUAAUUAAUAAAGGGUUGGGGUCAAAGUCUAAAAGGUCAUACUAAAAAAUACAAGAAUUUGCUAAAAACGAGUUGGAGGAGUUAGAAAAACAGGAGGAGCUUGAUGUGCUCAAGCUGGAUAUAAAGUCUUCCAUUCAAUCUAAGUUUCAAGGAAGAGAAGGAUAUGGCAUAAGGGAUCUAAUUCUAUGUGGUUGUUGAAAGAUCAUAACAACUCUGAGUACUUUCAUAGAAUAGCUCAUGGUAGAAAGAGAAAGAACACCAUUUCUUUGCCUAAACCAUAAUGAGAUCAUUAUUGAGGGGGAUGCUGCCAUCGUGGAGCAUGCUUCUUAAUAUUAUAAUUUCUGCUAAAAUGUCUUGGGCACAAGGGGUUUGACAAGAGAUAGUGUGAACGGACUACUUCUAGCACUAAUAAGAUUGAUGUGGCUAAAAAGAGAUUCUUUUGGCAAGGUCAUUUGAAGAGGAAAUACCACUUGAUCAAAUGGAAUGAGAUCACUAAACCCAAAAACAAAGGAGGGUUUGGGGGUCACAGACCUAAGGAAAAUGAACAUCAGUCUCCUAUGUAAAUGGUGGUGGAUGGUGGUGGCUGAGAAUGGAUGUGGAAUAUGAAAAGAUAAUAUUAGGAAGAAAUAAGAAUACCAGUUUCUGACAUGAUACGUGGUGUGAUUAAGUCUCCUUAAAAGACAAGUUCCUCAAUUAUAUGAUAUCAGUGUUGAACAAAACAUUCUGUUUCUUUUAUGAAACAAAGAAGUCAACGUCAAGCAGCACGUGCCGAUCGUCCUUAGCCUGGAGUGCCCCAACUUCAACAAGUGGAAGGCGUUCUUCACCGCCCCCUGCGCUAAGUACGGGCUCCUUGGCCACAUCGACGGCACGCUGCCCGCACGUCCGGCUGAUCCUACAUGGUCUCAGCCCGAUGCCUGCAUUCGUGGCUAGAUGAAUUGGCUCAGUCGAUGAUCCUGUCCUUGACCUUGCCAUGGACGACGCCGACCACGACGCCCGCGCCCUCUACGUCUCCAUCGAGGCUUUGUUCCAAGCUAACAAGGAACCGCGCACCGUCAUCCUCGGCCAAGAAUUCCACAGCAUGUUCUAGGGCGACCUCUUUGUCGACGCCUACGCCCAGAAGAUGAAGCACACUGCGGAUGCCCUAUGGGAGGUCGGGCAUCCUGUCUCCAACCCGCAGCUUGUGCUCAACCUCCUGCGUGGUCUCAACCUCCGCUUCACCAACAUCGCCGACAUCAUCACCAACACGUCGCCGCUCCCCGACUUCCGGUCCGUCACCAACAUGCUUCGUGUCAAGGAGCUACGCCUUGGCAACGAGGGCAAGGAGGCUUCCACCUCAGCCCUUGCAGCCAGCAGCAUCUCCUCUUGCAUGUCGCCCUCCUGCCUAUCCACCUCCUCUGCCUCCAAUCGUGGCGGCGGUGGCAAGGGCAAGGGUAGUAAAGGCAAAGGAGGGCGCAGCGGUAACAGCAGCGGCGGGCAACGCAACCAGUAGGGAGGAGGCGGCCAACAUCACCAACAGCAGCAGCAGGUCCAGCCGGCCGGUUCCUGGGUUUGGUAACCCUUGGGCCGGCGCCUGGGCUCCCCCCGACCGCGCAGAAGCAGUGGGCUGCGCCCCUUGCCUAGCAGGGGCGCGUGCCGCCUGCACCUCCUCCACAGGCGCACACGGCCUUUGCGCCACCCUAGUACUCCUCUGGGCCUCCGGCGUACGCGCCUCCUAGCACCUGGGAUCCAACCGCCCUCAUCGUAGCCCUCAAUCAGAUGGUAGUUCAGGGGUUUGAUUCCUGGGUGAUAAACAGUGGAGUGACAUCCGACAUGUCCUCCAAUGACGGUAUACUUCUCUCCCUUCUCCCGUCACCACCGUCUUCUAUCACGGUCGGUAACGGACAAUCCAUUCCAGUUUAUAGUCAUGGCACAUCUCUUUUACAAUUAGCUGAUCGUUCUUUUCGUCUUGAUAAUGUUCCUGUCGCUCCACAACUCACUUGUAAUCUGUUAUCUAUUCAACAACUUACUCGCGACAAUAAUGUUUCUAUUGAGUUUGACGCCUUAGGUUUUUCUAUUAAGGAUCUCCAGAACAAAAUGGUCCUUCUUCGGUGCAAUAGCCACAAGGAUCUCUACACCAUUCCACACAUGCCUCCUCGCUGCCAUGUUGCUGUUGUCUCCCCGGAGCUGUGGCAUUCUCGUCUUGGUCAUCCUGCACCUGCCGCCAUCAACACUUUGCAUAAACUUUCAGCUAUUCAAUGUAAUAAAGCCGCCCAGCGCCUUUGCCAUGCCUGCCAGCUCGGCAAACACGCUAGGUUGCCUUUUGCUAGUUCACUUUCUAGUACAUCAGCACCUUUUGAACUCGUUCAUUGUGAUGUUUGGACCUCUCCAAUUUUGAGUAUUUCUGGCUAUAAAAUUUAUCUUGUGAUAGUUGAUGAUUUUACAUUUUAUUGUUGGAUAUUUCCUCUUCGUCAUAAAUCUGAAGUUCAUGCUCAUAUUGUUCAAUUUGUCGCUUACGCUCACACACAAUUCAGUCUUCCUGUACGCUGUUUUCAGGCAGAUAAUGGGACUGAAUUCAUCAACAAUGCCCCCGCUGCCUUCUUGGCCAGUCGUGGCAUUCUUCUCCGUACCUCGUGCCCCUACACAUCUGCUCAGAACGGCAAAGCUGAGCGCAUGCUGCGCACCUUGAACAACACCGUUCGCACACUUCUGAUUCAUGCAGCCAUGCCCCCAUCUUAUUGGGUGGAGGCUCUCUCCGCCGCUGUGUUUCUGCUCAACCGGCGGCCAUCCUCGUCCAUCAACAACGGUAUACUCUAUCAUCUUCUCCAUCACAAGAUGCCCGACUACUCCAUCCUUUGAGUUUUUGGUUGCUUGUGCUAUCCAAACCUUAGUGCCACGACUCCUCAUAAAUUAUCUCAUCGCUCUAUGGUGUGUGUCUUUCUCGGUUACUCUCCUUCCCAGAAGGUCUAUCGGUGUCUUGACAUUUCCACUCGCAAGAUCAUAAUCUCGCGACACGUCAUUUUUGAUGAGACUCACUUUCCGUUUGCGGCUUCCAAGCCCCACUCGGACUCUUUUGACUUUUUGUUACAGGACAUACUGCCCGCGCCUCCUCUGUCCACCUCAGACACCGAGGCCAUGACGCCCCUGGAGGAUGCCACUGAUGCCGGUGUGUUGGACUGGACCUGGCCAUUCUGUGGCAUGGCGCUGCCCGCCGGGUGCCCUUGGGUGCCUCGGCCCCACCGCUAGCCCCCUCCGCAGGCAGCAUGGCUGCUCCUGCAGCCGCUGCAUCACGGACAGCAGCACCGCCUCUUCUCCGUGUCUACACUUGGCGUCCUCGUCCGACUCCACCAGCGGCCACCGGUCCUACAGCUGCUGCAGCAGCACCGGUGGCGGCAUCGCCGGUCCCAGCUCCUCCCUCCCGGGAGACGCGAUCCCAGACGGGAUCAUUACCACCGCCCAUCCAGUGGUAUGGUUUCACUGUAGGUUCCAGGACGCUGGCUUCCCCGCUGCCCGCCAACUCACGUGCUGCUAUGGCGGAUCCUAAUUGGCGGGCGGCCAUGACCGAUGAGUACAAGGCGCUCAUCGACAAUGGCACCUGACAUCUUGUACUUCGACCACCACGUGCUAAUGUGAUCACCGGCAAGUGGGUCUUCAAGCACAAGUACCAUGUUGAUGGCUCUCUCGCACGUCACAAAGCACGGUGGGUCGUUUGUGGAUUUUCAGAGCAGUACGGCAUCGAUUACGAUGCAACGUUCAGCUCGGUUGUCAAACCGGCCACCAUCCAUGUCGUCCUCAGCAUCGCUGCUUCUUCAUCUUGACCGAUUCAUCAGCUGGAUGUGAAGAACACGUUUCUCCAUGGUCAUCUGGAUGAGACUGUCUACUGCCAAUAGCCACCUGGCUUCGCCGACCCGGCCGCCCCCGACCACAUCUGCCUCCUGCAAAAGUCCCUGUAUGGACUUAACCAGGCGCCCAGGGCUUGGUACCAGCGGUUUGCCGCCUUCGUUCAGCGCUCCGGCUUCACUGCUUCGGUCUUCGACACGUCCCUCUUUGUUUACAAGGAGGGCCCCGACGUCGACGACAUCAUUUUGACUGCUUCGUCGCCUGUUCUACUUCGGCGCAUCAUCCGGCUUCUUCACUCUGAGUUCGCCAUGACAGAUCUCAGGGAGCUCCAUCACUUCCUCAGGAUCUCUGUCACGUGGACCUCCGACGGCCUCUUCCUCUCCCAGCGACAGUAUGCUACAGACCUGCUCCAGCGUGCCGGCAUGGCCGAGUGUCACUCUAUAGUGACUCCUGUGGACACUCAGGCCAAGCUCUCAGCUACGGAUGGUGCUCCGGUGGCGGAUGCUACCAGUACUGCAGUCUGGCUGGCGCUCUGCAGUACCACACGCUGACUCGUCCGAACCUCGCCUAUGCCCUCCAGCAGGUGUGCCUCUUCAUGCAUGACCCGCAUGAGCCUCAUCUGGCGUUGCUCAAGCGUGUCCUCCGGUAUGUGAAGGGCACUCUAUCCACCGGGCUUCACCUUGGUGUUGGCGGCAUCGACAGUUUGACCGCUUACUCCGAUGCUGAUUGGGAUGGAUGUCUGGACUCUCGGCGCUCCACUUCAGGCUAGUGUGUCUUCCUCGGUGACAACUUAGUCUCUUGGUCCUCUAAACGACAAACUAUGGUUUCUCAUUCGAGUGCGAAGGUUGAGUAUCGUGUCGUUGCUCACGUUGUGGCUGAGACUUGUUGGCUCCGAUAGUUGCUUCAGGAGCUCCAUGCGCCCAUUGCUUCAGCACCGAUCGUCUACUGUAACAACGUCAGCGCCGUCUAUAUGACUACCAACCCAGUACAUCAUCGUCGCACGAAGCACGUUGAGAUAGACAUCUACUUUGUUUGUGACAAAGUGGCCUUGGGAUAGGUUCAAGUGCUCCAUGUCCCAUCGUCUCAUCAGUUCGCAGACAUCAUGACUAAAGGGUUACCUGUACAGUUGUUUACUGAUUUUAGGUCCAGUCUUUGUGUUCGUGACACUCCCGCUUAGACUGAAGGAGGGUGUUCGAAUAUAAUUAUAACAGCCCGUGUUGGGCUUACGGCCCAUUGGCCUUGUACUCCUAGACUGACUUGUAUUAGUACCACAUUGUAACUUGUAGAUGUACUGCAAGCCUUCUAGGCUAUAUAAUGAAGGUCGCCCCCCAUGGUUAGGGUGUGCGGUGUUUCUACAGCUACAUGAUAUCUUGUACCACAAUACUAAUGAUGAUUGUGAUAGAGCAAGAUGCAAGUUCCCUCAAUUAUAUGAUAUCAAUGUGGAACAAAACUGUUCUAUUUCUUUUAUGUAACAAAGAAGUGAGCAUCUCUCUUUUAGAAGAUGGCUCAAUUGAGAAGGUUACAUGUUAUCUUAUACCACAAUACUAAUGAUGAUUGUGAUAGAGCAAGAUGGGAGUGGGAAAAAUCUGGGAACUUCUCUAUCAAAUCUACUUAUAUGAAGCUAUGUAGGCAUGACUGUGGGCCUAACUUCAAACAAGUUUAGAAGGCUAAGAUACCUCUGAAAUAUAAACUUUAAAACAAAAAUGGAAAGGUGAUGAAUCAGGCACGGAGAAGGAAACUGCAAGUUUGGUGCUAUUUGUAGACCCAGCAGUUUGGAGCAAUUCUGGAAUUAGUUUAAUUGGAUUAAGUUUGGUGCUAAUUGUAGACCCAGCAGUUUUGCCCAAUUCUGGACUUGAAUUCAUUGGAUUAUACCAAAGGGUAAAUCUGUCUACAUUUUGGGCUUAGGCAACUGUUUGCUGGGUGCUGUGGUUAACUCCAAAUGCCACAUGUUUUGAUAACAAGAGGAUUAGACCUCCUAGUCAGAUCAUGUCUUAUGUGUUUUGACAACCAGACGUUGGAUAGUUUGGCACGCUUGGACAGGUGUUUUUGCUAGUUCUGCUGGUUGGUGAUCCCUUAGUGAUUAGCCUAGUGGCCAGGAUUAACUUUUUUUAUGUUUCUUAGAGCACUAAUAAAAUUUAGUUUUUAAACUUAUGUUACUCACAUGUUGUCAAUAAAAAAAGAACAUAAGUGCAAUCAAAUGUGCAACCAACAAUACUCUUGUUAAUAAAAAAGGAAUAUAUGUGACAAACUUAUAAUUGUAAUACUCACAGCUAGAGCUUUUGCUGAGUCUCCUUCGGUAAUAAUCAAAGUGCAUUUGUGGGAGUCCACUCCACCAACACGAGUUGCAUCCUCAAACUUCAUUGGAUUUGCUUCAAUGCUUUCAUCCUCUUCUUUAAGUGCCUAUGCAAGUGUCUCCUUUAAAGCACAUCUAAAUAUUUCUUUAAAGAUAAAAGAAUGUGCCACUGAAAUUUUUUUACUUCAUAUUCGCAAUACACAGGCAUCAAAGCAACAUACAACCUACAUUAUUAAGAAAACAAAACCACAUACCUUGAGCGAGAAACUACUCGAACUUAGCAUUUCUGAGAGCAGGAUCAAUUUAAACUUUUGCAUUAUCUGUUUACUUUAUAUUAGCAAUAUGGAGGCUUAUAAGAAACACAACUUACAUUUUAAAAAAACACACACACACACACAAUCACAUACCUUGCAACUGUGGUUCACCAUAAAAAAGGGAUAGUCCGCAUUUAUGAAGACACAUAAGUGGCUCUUCACAUCACUUGUCUGUAUCUCAAUGUUCUGAACAUUCUUCAUUUUCCUUUUGAUUGAACUUUUCAGAUGUUCUUCAACAUGUCUUGUGAUAGUAUCAAAUUGAAAUCCUCCCUCUAUUACAACACCAUUAACAAAGUUGAACUGAAACAAAUACAAAGAUAGUGAGUUGCAAAACAAACGCAGCCGAUAGAGAAUAUAGCCUACAUAACUUUGGCUGGGAACACAAACCUGUUGGUAUUGGCCAUUUAUGCUUAAAGUAAUACACACCUCCCCAACAAAGGCUAACUUUUGUUAUAAACUGAAAUGAAAUACAAUAGUAAAUAAUUAAAAAACAAACAUAUGGUUUUGUUUAUCCUAAAUGAAACUUCUAUUUUUAUAAAAAUUUUAAACCUUUUUGAUGUCUUCUUGGAAGGAGAUGGCAGGUACCAAUCCACAUAACUUGAAAAUUUUUUAGUGAGCAAAUGGCCAUCUAGAUGAACCUUUAGUUUCUGGUUGUUUCUUCUUUUGUAAAGUGCAGCCAGAUCUACCACCCUUUUUCUCAUAAGGGCUGUCAUAUCAUCUUGAAGGUCAUUACAGUGAAAACUCAAUGUGGUCCAAUGACACCCAUUAGAGCAUUCUGUGAUUUUAGCAUUUCUUUUCUUCCCAGGUUUGCCAUAAAAAACCUAAAUUUGUGUUGAAUAAGAUAUGAAAUUAGUGUUUAGUUAAGUCAUUUUUUUAAAAAAAUAAACUUACACCUUUUAUGCUACUACUAAUUUCUAAACUAAGUAGAGGUUAAAAUAAACAAUACACAUUAGGUGAGAACAAAAGUAGUAAACACAGGCUAUCAUAAAUCAAACAAUAUGACACAAAUAGAAAUUUAUACUUGUAUUAAAGUACUCCCUCCGUAUCGGAUUUAGAAGUCGUUUUGGACAAGGUUUGAGUCAAAUAUCGGGAAUAUAAAUCAUCAGUAACUUUUAAAUUGUUGAGUUUGCACAUGUGAAAAUUAUAUGAAUAGAUUUGUCUUGAAAAAUACUAUCAUAAAUGUAUAUCUAUAUCAUUUUGUCCUAAAUAUUUUAUAAAAAAUAAGAGGUCAAAGUUGUGUUUUGGAGACCAUGUCACUAUUCUAAACGACUGCUAAAUUCGAUACGGAAAGAGUAUAGAUUUAUCUACCUUUUAUCUAAAAAAACACUCUAGAAUAGACCCUAACAACAAAAUCAUACUCAAUCCAUCCAUCCCAAAAUAUAGCAACCUAGGAGGGGAUUGGACAAAACCUAGUAUUUUGGGAGUAAUUAACAAGGUCAUUUAAUGCAAAAUAUAAUUUGAAUAAGCCUUUAGUAUGAAGCACUGUACCUUCUUGCAUUUCCGGUCACGUGCAUUAAAUGUUGUGAUCACAAAUCUUAAAAAGAUGGAUGAGCCUUGAGGAUCCAUAUACUUUCUAAUGGAGGAGUUUCUGAGCAAGAGAGUAUCCCAGGGGUCGAAGUUAUGAUUUUCAAUUGGAAAGAAAACUCCAAAGCAAUGUUUGGAGAUAUAGCGCUUGUCCACUUUAAUGUUAACAUCCAGGUCAAUCUUUUCGUUUGUAAGGAUCUCUGUAUGCAGUUCUUGUUCAAGUUCAAAAGACAUUAAUAUCUCAUCAAAUAUAGUUUGUAGAAUUGGGAUGUAGUUGACAUUUCGAUGCAUCAUGGCAUGGCCAUUGUAAACCCAUUGCAUUUUUGUUUGCAUCUUUAAUAAAUUGUGCUUGUCAAGCACCUGCCAAUGAGAAAUUUUACUACAUUUGUGAGGGCUACGGAAAAGAAAUAACAAUAUGUGCCAAUGAGAAAUAUUACUACAUUUGUGAGGGCUAUAGAAAAGAAAAAAUGAUAUGUGCCAAUGAGAAAUAUUACUACAUUUAUCUGGAGGGGGGAGCUGCCGGCUCGUUGAUUGCUUGGAGAGGGGGUGCCAGCUCGUUGAUGGCUUCCCGCUGGCUCUGGGUUGCAUCGCCGCUCGCUAGGGGACGCUUGCGAGGGUGCAAGCCACUAGCGGUUGCGUCGUCGCUCGCCAUGGGACGCUUCAUCUUGUCAGCUUGGACAAAUGCACCGAGAGGGAAAAAUUUCCAAAACAGUAAGUGAGCAUUGUGUGGUCUAAUAGAACUUAAGCAAUCUGCAAAAAAACAACAAAACCACUUGAAAAGGGUUAAGUAUGGCCACGUGCUCGUAACAACGUUGAAAAUAUCUCAUGGUAGACAAUGUUCGUUUCAUGUGUCCACUCACCAUUCAUAUGCUCUAUCAAUAUCUAUAGAUCUCUUUGAGGUGACAUGUGAAACAGCAACAUACAAGCAUCGGUAAAUACAGGCUUUUUUGGGUAGUUAUCAGCAUUGGACAAUGCCUGCCCUUGGCUCCUAUUGAUAGUCAUUGCAUAUCAUACCUUAACUUUAAAUUGGCGCCUCUCUAGAACAAAGGGCAGAUUUGUAUUUGUAAUUGUUAGACAAAUCCUUGGAAUCAGAACAACAUGCCCCAUGUGUGUGACGGUCAUUAUCUAUAUAUGCUUCUAUUAAAAUAUUGAAGGGCUAUGAAUGCAGGUGCAAAGAAGAAAUGUGCUGUAACUGUCCACAUCUGGUUCCUAUGUCACGCUCCACUAUCAAAGAGAAAUGUAAAAAGUCUACAAACCCCUCUCAACUAUCUGGGUCUACUUCACCCCCCGAACUAUAAAACUAGAUAUAAGAGAAGUUUAAAGGGCCAAAGCACAAAACAGCGUCCUGUUUAUUUUAAGUGUCUUUAAUUCUAUGAUUUUGCCUACAUGAAUGCAACAGAUGAGGCAUUAGAGCAACCUCAAAAGCAUUGGAAAGUCAAUAUAUAUGCUCAAGGCGGAAAAUAAUUUAAUUUUUUAGGAAAAAAGAACGUCGGUGUUAUUUUUGUCAGCAAAAUGAAUAGGUAAGAAGUAAUUAAUCCUCAGAUUUGUUUAUGCAAAUGGUACUUUAUGAGCAUCACAUGUAGCAAACUGCAGCAAUCAGAACCAAUACUGGGACACAUCAGGUGAGCUCACUGAGACAACAACAAGCAACUUUGUUCAGAAUAGAUGGAAAACUGCAUUUUUUGAUAUAGUGUGAUGUGAUAGUGUGAUCAAAACUACGCUUUUCAAAAUUAAAGAAGCAUUAUGCAGCACUCACAUGGAGCACCAAACAAGAACUCAACAACUCGGUGUUAUAAGAGAACAUUCUACACUUAACCAUGCGCCUAAUCCUAAAAGGCCAGAAUACUGUUGCAUGGAGUUUUAAAAUAACAACUACUAUUACUUUAAAGUGGCACUACAGUAAUUGUAUUUGCAACUUGAGAUGCAAGUACUAACACCUGUAGCAGAAAACUAAAGUGAAACUUAUUAGAAAUUACCACCUAUAAUUCAGUGGACAAGGGUACCUGACCUAUUGAAACUUUGGAGGUUCAGUUGAGAUUCUCAGGUAAUCUUGUCAGUGUCAUUUUAAGUUCUGCUGGACCUGCACCAAGCAGCAAAAGUGCUUCGAGUAGAAAAAAGGCAAAAACUUUAGUAAGUUGACCGGCCACCUCCAUGUUUGUUUCAGUGCAGCUCUUUCUUUUUCCAUGCACCAAAGGACUAAAUGCUCUAAAUAUAUGUUUCAUGGAAACAUUGCAAGGGCAGCAUAUAGAUGUGUAGCUAUCACUAUUCAUCAGUUAUCCAUGAAGGCUAGAAUACAUCUGACUAUAUGACAUAAGUAUUUGAGGGGCAGGGGUAUUCACUAAGAUAAUUCUGUAGUACUGAUAUGAAGUAAUUAAGUAUGGAAAAAAAUUAAGUGUAAUACCUGAUUUUAAGGACAAAACCAGAUAUGCAGCAUAUGUGAGUCUUAAAAGUCAAUUCUCACAUAUAGCUACAAAUAAGAGGUAAUAUCAAUAGACAAUGCAUAAAUAUAUAACAUACUUAGUAUAAAAGAGAUAACCUUUGAUAACAAACAGCGGAUAGACAACUCCAAACUUUGGGUAUUAACUUCUCUCUACAGGAUCCAACUGACUGGUUGAUCACAAGCCAAACACUCCUCCUGAUGUAUGGGGGAAAUAGCAAGAGUGAGUCCAUGUCGAACUCCACAAGUAUAGCAACUAGAUUGUUUAGCUCCCACAAUCUCAUGAUCAAUGUGACAUAAAUAAUGUAAAUCAUUAAACAAUAAAUAAUGAACAUAUUAACACACAAGAAUCUUCACCCUUAAUGUAGAUGUCCCCAAGGCCACUCCUGACCGUGAGCUCGGCUAGUAUACUAGUUUUUAACACUCUGCAGAGGUUGUACAUCUUUACCCAUGAGUAAUGAUUUACCCUUUCGCCCGAGGUGAUCAGCCUCUUAACCCACUACCAAGGAAGGUCGGCAGGGAUCACUAUGAAGCCUUUCAAAAGUUCGUCUAACAUGUUAGGGCCACAAGGUUUCCCGGGAGCGCAGAUAUAGAUGCCCCCUUCCAAAUGGCACAAUGACGCACAACCUAUACACAUAAGGACAGAGGCUCGCACUAUACCCAAAACGGUUAGGCCCCUCUAACGCCCUUUCGGGUAACCGCUAACAAGCUAGAAAAGGUCUUCAUACUGAGCUAAAGCCAGAGUCAUUAUAGCCCUCAUGGUUGCACUGUUGUCCCAGGUGAUCACGUACAGAUAAAUCAUCAAGUUGCUAAAAAGUCAUUUUUAUCAUUUAUUACUUAACAUUAAUCUAGUCACAGGAUCAUGGUCACAAAAAUAAAAUCCAAAUGCUAUACUUGCCUUAAACUUAGAUCCUUCUUCUAGUCCAAACCAACUUCUUCUUGAUUGCCAACUCCUUAUGAUCACCAACGUACUUUCUCAUUGACUGGACAAGAUCAUAGAGCACCACACAAACAUCCAAGCAAUCAUACAUGAGUAAACAAUAGAAAUAAAUUAGAACAGUACACCAAUCAAUAAAAAGGUUUGAAAACUAAUCUACGUAUUACUAUGAACGAACACACAGGUGAGAAAAGCAUGCUAAUUAGAGCGCGAUGAAAAAGAAACGAUUACUGAGACUUUUAUAUUGUAUAAAAGAAUAUGUUUGUUGUUUUAUUUUGGUGAAACCUUACAAAUAAAUUAUUAAGACCAUAUUAAUUAAAACAUAAUUUAAUUCAAAAGCUGGGCUGAAGCUACUCAUGUUUAGUUUAUAAACAUUAUCAUAUAAUUUAAUCAUGUUUAGUACAUCCUAGGAGAUAAAUUAAAUUAUAAAUAUGGGAUCUAGCAAGAUUGCCACACCUUUAGUCCGCAGGUGCCUACAGCUUCUGUGGACACCGGACGUCAUGGCACCUGGGCCCUGUGUGUUUGCAUCUGUUCCGCUCGUAUGGCCACCCGUCAUGCGCGCAGUUGGCGAGUACGGAUGCGUGAGUGCUCUCAUUGAUCGCGCUUAGACAUACGUGCGUGAGUGCUCUCAUUCAUGUCGUGAUGCUUCUCAGGAGCUGACAACAUCUCCAUUAUCUAGCUGUUGUUCCCAACACUUCAGAAUUAUGACACCGGCCAACGUGCAUACUAUCCUGCAAUACCGAAGGAGAUAAUGAUCAGAUUAGUUUUCUCACCAAUCAUAGAGAGUGACGUGAAGCCAUCAACCAUUCUUGAUUCUUUGCUCCUAGUCCAGGUCGUCCUUGAUCCUAGCCCCCCAUCCCGAUGUAGAUGAGCUGUGAUCGAGGCCGCCGCUCAUCUCGAAGGAACAAUGCCGAUGGUGCCUUCUGUUUCGGUGGUGAAGACUGAAGACGAAGCCAGCACCGUCGGUGCGGGAUCAGGGAAGUUGACCAAGUGAACUUGAUUUGUAGGCCCAUGGUGAUAGCCAAUUGCUGUCAUACUUGAUCGAUCCUUCAUGGCUGGCUUGCAUAGAUGCAGGGCGGGGUUAGUCCUAGAGGAGGUGCGGCCAGUGCAGCUUGGAGGAUGAAGCUGGGCUAGGGCUGUGCUACGUGAGGUGUUUAGCCAAAAAAAAUCGUGUCGACGACGGUCUGCCACACAGAAAGCUCGUGAUGAUGGCGCCCUAAGAGAUUCGUAUGUAUAUAUAGGAAGAAAAACUCCCCACAUCAACCUCAAUUAGCAAUAUGGUACUAAUUGAUGUUGCAUCCUCCAUCUUUACUAAUAGGCCUAAAAAUAUUAAAGCCCAUUAGUAAAUAAAGGCAUGGGCUUGAGAGAGUCGUUGGAAAAUUAUGCUUAAAUUCUUUUUCUUCUAGUUUCGAAAUCAUUUAAUUUCAUAGAUAAAAUAAUUCUAGAAAAGUGUAGAAUUAUUAUUUAAGCUAUGAAAAAUAUUCCGAAAGCUCCUAAAAUUCGGUGAAAAUUCUACGAGACAAUAUGGAACAUGAGGAAUCCAAAUAAAGUAUUUGGAGCACACGAUAAGAUAAUAUGGAGCAUCUAAAAAUUAGAUUAUGCUCACAGAAAAGACCUGAAAAUUUUCUGAGAAGUUUGUAGAGAUUGCUUGAUGGACAAGAAACUGAAAGGAGAGACAUAGGUUUGAAAGAAAAGAUUCUGACAGCUGAACAAAAUCUUGAGUUGAGAGACAAGGAAUUUGAUUGUAGAAAAAGAUAAAUAUGUGCUAAAUAAGGAAGAUCGAUCUACUAAACGAAUUUUAAAUAUAUUGCUAUGAAUGUCCAUGACAUGUGGAACUUAGCAGAGGAUGAACCAUUCCAAUUGUCAAGUUGCUAGAACCUUGGGCACAAAAAGAUUUUUCACUCACCUAUGCAGGGAAGACUUGUUUUCAUUGUUCUCUAGGAUGAUGUGCUCGAGUAUAUUGCUAUGAAUGUCCAUGACAUGUGUGACUUAGCAGAGGAGGAACCAUUCCAAUUGUCAUGUUGCCAAUGUUGUAGAGUCUUCUCAAAUCAAGAGCACCAGUCAUACUGAACAACGCCAACCAACAGGCCAGCUAUAUUCACCUAAAAAUUUAUUAUGAAUUGCAUACGAGGCAAAAGAAACUAACCUAACAUUCAUAACAGAAUACCAAACGAGGAAAGGAUCCUUACUCAGAAUUCAGAAAAACAAUAAAAUGGGACAAUCUCUGGUUGUUGAAUGGCUAGAUAGACCUGUUUUUAAUUCGAGUGUUCCAUCCUAGCUCUCAUUGCCAUAACCAUAUAUAUAGUAUCUAUUGCAGCACCUAGGUCUAUCCCUGUUAUCUAAAAAUCGAAACCGUUACUCCAAAAGGGAAGAUCAAUUUUUAUCGAAUUCCUAUACUGAGUAUAUGGUUAGUAGGUCAGAUUAGAUCCUACUGGGAUAAGUAGGAGCUGCUGACAUAUUUGUAGGUCAUCUGUUGUGCAUACCCUGCUUCAAGGCAACAAACGGGAAAAACAUGAGUGAGCCUAGCAGCAGACAUAAUACGUAAUCAGAAUCAGAAAGCACUUCACAUGUGAAAAAAGGAAAGAUAGAAAAAGGGUCAUUUGGAUGCCUAUGGAUAAUAUGUAUUGAUUACUUAUCAUUGAUCGGACCAAAAAGAUUUCUAAUCAAUUGAAAUUUAUUUUGCACAAGAGGCUAAUGCUAUCCUGAUCCACACCAUUCUGUGCAUCUAGAAAAGAUAUGAAGGAAAGACACAACAGCCAAAAUGAAAGAAACUCACCAACACACCUUCCAAUCUUAUUAGUCUACGCAGAUCCUCUUGGUUGAGAUCCUACAUCACAUAGCAUAGAGGAAAGGAGCAUCAGCAAGCAUGAAGCAGAAGGAAGAUGUGCUCCAAAUUCCCAAGAACACAAUAUUGAAGAAUAGAGAGAAAGAAGUGUGUGGGUAAGAUCAUGUAACCUUGUUGUUUCCAUCAGGUAGAAAUAGUGUAUAUAGUAUUUUAAAGUUGGAAAUGCAGAUGUUUAAUUAUUGUACUGUGAAAUAUGUAAAUUUAAGUGUAAGGAAAAGCUGAAGUUUAUUACCUGACCGAAGAUGUGUAAGCAUGUCUAGAUACAUGUGUUGGUUGUCUAACACUGAAAAAUAGAAAUAAUCUAGGAAAUAAAAUACGAUAAUGCUUUUAGAUUUGCAGCUGUUUAAUGAAGAUGUGUAAGCAUGUGUACAUACAUGUGUUGGUUGGCUGACACUGACAAAUAGAAAUAAUCUAAGAAAUAAAAUAGGAUAAUGCUUUUAGAUUUGCAACUGUUUAAUCAGCAUUAGACUGCAAAUAUUACCCAGGUGAGAAAUUCUGCAGGAGUCAUGUUUAGACUAUUUGAGCAGAACCUCUAAAGAACCCUACAUCCUCAAGCACAAGUGUCGUGUAUCAGUGAAAGGAAUUUCCAAAACGUCAUGAAGGUACAAAUGAAGCCAAAAAUGUUACAGGGCAGCAUCACCUAGAGAGCACGGACCGAGCAGAGGGGCAUAGAAGGCAAGCAAACCACAGUGCACUAUGUUACAUCAGGCUGGACUAUGGGCAACCACCCGUGCUGGCGUGUCAGCCGAUUCAGAGGUCGGAACUAUGCCGGUAUGUUACCCACACCAGGGUCGCUGCCACCAACGGUGGGGCAAAACCCUAGGUCACCUCAUCACCACCGCCACCGCCGCCACGUUGGGCCCCGCUGUCGCUCCGUACGUCACGCGUGGGGGUGUGGAGGAGAACAAGGGCUGCGGUCAUCGUUCCGAGUGGCAGCCAUUGUGGAGGUCCACUUGUGCCACCACCCUGUCUGCAUUGGAAGGGAUGGGGAGAGAGAGAGAGAGAGAGAGAGCGGAAGGGAAGAGACUGUCGAGACUUAUACGCACCGUGGACGGAGAAGGAGGGGGCUAGCGUUGCGCUGGCUUGGGGCGUUGUCGUGCCGUCGCCCCUGCCUCGGCCGCACCGCCUGUGGGGCACUGUCGUCGUCGCCUCCACCUCGGGCUAGAGAGAGAGGAUGGGGAGGUCGUGCUAUUUUUUUAUGAGAGGUGGGAAGAGCGCUUGAUGUUUUUGUGGAGGCCGACGUGGGCUGCUCCUGGCCACACAAAGGGAAUCAGCCAAUCAGGCUAAGAUGGACCUUGGGAGGGGGAGGAGGUGAGGUGGCAUUGAGGUGCACCAAUGGCAGAUUUGAGGAGACGUGGCUGGGGUGGCGACACCGGGAGCAACUUAGAAUUGUUAGGGUAAAUUAAUCCAAAGAUUUUAGAAAUAAAAAUAAGAAAUUCGCAAGAUAAUAGAAGUGUAGUAGUUUCGAAAUUUAUACUAUACAAUCUGCAGUAACUGAAAACUACGUGGAAUUAUUUGCAAGCUAGUAGCAUGGAAAAACUAACCAUUUCAUGAAGUCCACAAUAUUAGCAAGGCAAAAUUGUAUCCAAAUCAAGUUGGAUGGUCAAAGUUGCAGAACAAGAUUCAGGGCCAAAUGAACACCCUCCUUAGAAUUUGCAACAUCUGAGUUGUCUGCUACUUGGCUAAAUCAAAUUGAACAAACAUUGACGAUGUUGCUUAUCUCCUUGCAGUGACAAGAAUGAGGGGACAAAGGGGAAGCAAAAACAAUCCUCAGAGGAACUCAUAGCGGUGCUUAUCUCGUCCUAGGGUUUAUUGGCAAACCAGUAGCAUGAAAAAGUUAACCCUCAAGACCCCACAACAUUAGCAAGGCAAAUUGAUAUUCAGAGCAAGUUGAAUGGUUGAAGCUACAACAAUUAGGUAUAAGUAUAAAUUGCUUUGUGCCUCUAUUUACCUUACAUAGGGAGAACGUAUAGUAUGCACAAAAGAAAUUGAUGGCAUCUCUUGGAUGAAGAUAGAAACUGAAGGUUUUACAUGGUACUGAAAUUAUGAACAUAUCCAUUUUAUUGUGAUUGCUGCAGAAACCAAUGUACCACAGACCAGCGACUUUCAGCUGUCUCCAAACACUCAAAAUUAAUCUCAUGCAUACCGAAGGAAAAUAUGGCAAUAGGCUGGUCCAAAUUACAUACCAAAUAAAUAUACAGCCUACUGGUCUGAAGAGAACACUGUGAUUAUUGAUGCAACCACAAGACUGGAUAGAAAAGGAUGAACAAUGUUUAUUCUUAUGAAGCAACAGGCAAGCAUCAUCGAUGGUGCUAAAAAUGUGAACGGAAACAUUAAUUGUGCCAAAAUAAAAGCAAGUACUGCAAAAGAAAGCACAAAAUUGAUGCCCAAAAAGUCAAAGAAAUAGGAGAGGCAAAAGUGACCGUACACAACCAAAGUGUAUGGCAAUGUAAUCCUUAGAAAUAGGGCAUGUGCUCAGAAAUGAUAGUAUAUAAUUUGGCGUCACAUGCAAUGAUCAUAGAUAAUGAACACGCAAAGGGCAAAUCAUUAUAUGUAAUUGCCUGAAAACCACGGAUCUCAUAAGUAAGAGUGAAUCCAGCGGUAUAGUAUGUGACUAAAUACACAAUAAGCAGUAGCUCUCAUUGGUGCAUUAAAACUGCACAAAAUAGAACAGCCCGGAAUGAAUACAAGGAAACAGAAUCAUCCAAUUGACCAUUGCCUUUUGUAUUAUGGGACAAGCACAUGAAACAAAAACAUAAUUUCAGGUCCAAUCAUCAUAGCAGUUGCCUUAAUUUUGAACGCAACAACAAUACAAAACUGUACUCAUCACUGCACAUGACUGGAAUGCAAACAAUAAACAUAAGAACAUCAGUGCUAUAGUGGUGUCACACAAAUGUCACUGAUACGCUCAUGUGCUCAGAUCUCGGUCAUAAUACCUCUCUGCUCUCAUAUCCAGUGAAAUUGAGCAGCUCACGAACUACAGAACAAGAAUCUGAGAACACCAUAUCUACGACAAAAUGGAGCUCUCGUUCAUGCAUAUGGCACAUCAGGAGAGAGGGGAGGGAAAGAGAGGGGAGGGGAGUAAACCAGUGAGCGGACAGAUCGAGGGAGAGCAGAGCCGCGCCGACUGUCUGCAAAGAGCUCGCACGGACGGGGUAGGCGGCCAUGGCGCCGGCCAUGGCCGCCCGUGCCACGCUGCCGCACAGGGCCAUUGUUGGGUAUUUUAAACGCAAAUAGAAAAAUCCGCAAGCGCACGGAUACCGAUGUAGCUUUCACCCGGGAGUAUUCCAGAGUAUCGAUUUUCCACAGGGAACGUGAGUGUACUAAUUAAGAUUCAAGAUCGCCCAAGGAUAACUAUAUAAUUAUUUUUGGUGGGAAGAGAGGAAGUUUCCUAAGAGUUCUCUAGUUCAUCUAAGAAUCAAGAAUUACUUCAAGAUUAUUUAUUUCGGGACAUCAGAGCACUAACCACAGAAAGAGAUGAGAAGGGGGCUAGGAAGGUCUGACUACGAUCCUACAAACACCGAUCCGAACGAGGUGGAAUACGUCGACCGUUAGGGCUGUCACUACCCUAAGGCUACCACAACAAUCCGCAGGAUUGGGUGCAAUUCUAGGUAAUUGCAAGACUAAACACCACGUCUAAUCUAUUAAUUACUACUCUAAUGUUGCAAAGAUUAGAGCACAUGAUGCAAGCAGGAAUCCAAUAAAUAACUUGAAUGUAAAUAAAAGUAAUUAAAGAACUCAGGAAUUAUGAAUUGAAGAACCUGGAGAACGAUGAAGAACGAACCAGUUGCUGCAAAAGUACAAUGUUGAGGAAGAUCCGAUAGAUCCGGCUCCUCCUCCGCUCUCCUCUUCUCUCUACCUAUUUUCUAGAUUACAACUAGAACUAACUAGAACUAGAACUAGAGGAACUAGAACUAGAACUAGAUGAACUAGAACUAGAUCUAGAUGAACUAGAGGUAGAACUAGAAGAACUAGAGGGAUCCUCUCUACUUGGAUGAAGAAUUGAAACCCUAGCUUUGAUUCUGUAGAAGAGGUAUGAUCUCCAGGGGCCAGGGGGCCUUGCUUAUAUAGUCUUUUCAGAUGAAUCUGGGCCGUCAGAUCAAACCGACAUUGAUUGAAUGGUUAUCCUUGAUCCUUUAGGUUGGUGGAGCAAUAUCCCGAAAGAGAGCCCUGAUUGGACUCUAAGUGAGGGCAGGCGCCCAGGAGAGUAGGGCGGGCGCCCUGUCCCUGAGUCCUCUCGGCUUCCCGUUCGUUCCCAUGGCUUCUCGAGUCUUCUAGAUGAUAGAAAAUUGUGCGGCAUGUUAAUAUCUCUAUGUAAACCCGACGUGUGGGCCUUUCCUCUGUAUUUCCUCAUAACCCCCUGCAGAAAUAGACAAACACCAAAACUUGUGGAAUUCUGUCAGAUAAAACCCUAAGUCUAUGUGUUAGUUGCAUUUGGAUCCUUUUCCAUGAUUAGUUGAUGGUUAAAUGUGAGCAUUAAGGACCGUCAACAGUCGUGCGUGUCGGUCGCGCCACACCGUGCCGCGGGGCUCGCCCGCGCAGGGGUGGGGGGAAGAGAGGGACGCUGUCGCCUCGUGCACGUCGCCGCGACUGCCUGCAAGGAGCUCGCACAAAGGGGGAGGGCAGCCGCGCCCGCCAGCAAUGGCCGCCCGCGCCACGCCGCCGCAUAGGGCCACGUGCGUUGGCCACGACACGCCGUGCCACGGGGCCCACCCGUGUGGGAGUAGUGGAAGGGAGGGACACCGCUGGCCUCCUCCUACGCCAUCGGGUCGCGCACGUCGCAGCGGCAGCCUGUAAGGAGCUCGCAUGGAAGGGGAGGGCGGCCGCGGCCGCCGGCGACGGCUGCCCGCGCCACGGCACCGCGCAGGGCCACAUGCGUCGGCCGCGCGACGCCAUGCCGUGGGGCCCGCCCGUGCGGGAGUGGAGGCAGGGGAGGGAGGCUGCCGAGCUCCGCCUACGUCGCCGCCUCACGCACGUCGCCGCCUCGGGAGGGAACGAGAGAUGGAGAGGGAGAGAGAGAGGAAGGAGAAAUAGGAUAAGAUGGGAGGGCAGGGGAGGAGAUAUUUCUCUAUUGAAUCAGGGAUGCAGCGUGGACUGCUACAGUGACCCUUUUUUUCCUCAUGAGAAGCCGUACGAAGUAUAAGCAUCGGAGUGAAAUGUACCACGCCAAGCCGACAGCGCUUCUCCUCCAGAGCCGGUGUCCCUCUCCCAGGCGCACUCCAGCAAACCCCUCCACUAAGCAAAACCAUAAGGCAAAUGUGAGUACGAAGAACAAAAAAGGAGCAAGCAAGAACAAAAUUAGUAAGUAAAAAUAAAUUCUCCAACAUAGGUAGCAAACCCCAGCUGCUCCGAUGUAACCCACUGUUGCGAUAGAUGAACACCCGAGAAAAGCCCCAAUGUGGCAACCAAAUCCCAAUGCACCCCGUGGCCGAGGCAGUGGGCCAUCCAGGGCGCCCCAGCGCCGCGUCCGCUUGCUGGCUCAGCCCCAAAGCCCGCACGCCCACCCAAUAAAGCGCAGGGAGGAGAAGACAGCCCACGCCCACCCAAACAAGCGCAGGGGAGAAGAACAUAGAGCCCUUGCACCCGGUACAUACGCAACGCGGAAUGAAAAAGCUGCCGGGUUGGGCCGGGGCAUGGAAGACGGAAGCGGUACCUGAGCUCGAUGUGGCACGGAGAUGGAGCUGGCGGAGGGUUGAGGCCGGCCGCCGGCGAGACAACGGAGGCACCCGCAACGGUGGAAGGCGGGCAGCAGCUGCGGCGAGUUAGCGCGCGGCCGAUCGAUCGAUUGGGGUAAUCGGGGUUUUGCCGCAGUGAUGACAGGAGGCAGUGAGCAGCGAGGUAGGCAGUAGGCACGCGUGUCGCAUAAGCAGUGGGCUAGUGGGUGUACAAUAAAUGUCAUUUUUUCCCUUUGUGUUGGUUGCUCUUUGGUACGGUACCGCUCCCGCAACGGGGGAAGGCGGGCAGCACCUGCGGCGAGGCAGCGCGCGGCCGAUCGAUCGAGUGGGAUAAUCGGAGUUUUGCCGCAGUGACGACAGGAGGCAGUGAGCAACGAGGUAGGCAGUAGGCACGCGUGUCGCGUAAGCAGUGGGCUAAUGGGUGUAUAGUAAAUGUCAUUUUUGCCCUUUGUUGGUUGCUUUUUGGUACGGUACCGUGAUCAUCAGCGGUGGGAUACAUAUUUUUUAUAGCAUAGUGUCCGUACGUUGUUAUAGUUUUAUUUAGAUAUUGGGCCUGUUUUUGAUUCCCCUUGCUAAAGUUUAGCUAACUAAAAUUAUUUUAGCUAUUCUUGGGUGACUAAUGGAACUAAAUUAUGUUAACUCUUUUUAGUCAAUGUGUUUGGAACUUUAGCUACUAAAAUGACUAUAGUUUAGCUAGCUAUAAUUUAGCGAGAGAAACCAAACAGAGCCAUAUUUAGGCCUUGUUUCCUUGUAAAAAAUUUUGCAAAAUAUGAAUAGUAGCGUUUUCGUUUGUAUUUGGUAAAUAUUGUCUAAUUAUGGACUAACUAGACUCAAAAGAUUCAUCUCGCAAAUUAUAGAUAAACUGUGUAAUUAUUUAUUUCUUUUAUCUAUAUUUAGUGCUCCAUGCAUGUGCCGUAAAAUUCAAUGUGAUGGAGAAUGUGAAAAAUUUUACAAAAUAUUUUGGGAACUAAACAAGGCCUUAAUAAAACAAUUAUUUUAAACAAAAUAACAAUAUAUUUUCUUAUUUUAUAGUCUCAGAUAAUUACAUAUGAUAAUUAAUAUAAUCAUGACUAAGAAAAAGAACAAUAAAGACAUGUCUCAUAUAUUUAUACUAUAAAUGAGUUCUUAAUUGCUUAGUAGAUCUCAAAGCUCUUCAGGGAUAAUGUUUGCACAUUUUGAUUACUUUGUAGAAUGUCCACCAAGCAUUCCGUCCUCAGCGAACGUCCACUCUGUGAAUGCCAGAUAGUAAGUUAACUUAUUAAUUUGCUAUACACUAUACAAAAUUUACAUAGAGGAUAUAUAGUUUAUAUGCUUACAGGGUGGAUAGACAAUCUUUUUCCAUCCUACUAUUUUAAAUAACUAUAUACAAAGAAGCGUGGCAUUUCCCUAGAGAAGAGCAAGUGUUUAUUUGUGUUAGCUAAAUGACAUAGAAUAAUAUUACUAUAUAAUUUAAUUAAUAAUUGAGAACAUAAAUUAAGAAGAUAUUACUACUACAUAUUAUUUGGCCAAGUAAAACAUUUGUAUCAUGGUGUCUAAUUUAACCCAUUCGGAUGCACAAACAAAGAAUAUUGCUCCAUUAUUACCUUAAUCAAGUGUCUUUGAUAUUGCUCUAGCUUUUUUCAUUGCACAAUAUUCACAUUGCUUCCUAUUUCUUUCAUCUCUUUAUUCAGUGGUUUCCUCGGCCCUUUUACGGGCGCGGUAUUCAAGUUAUUUUCUAUUCCCUCUUCCCUCUUUAUUCUCUCUUCAUCUGCCAGUGAAAUAUAGUGUGUGUUAUUAGUUUCAGAUUUUGUUUGGGAAACUAACCAAUAUAGAUGGUCGCGAACAUACCAUGUCCGAUAGUGUUUGAUAUAUCGUAAAGUGUAGGGUGGGUUUGUCGUCGAUCCCCCUUUAUAGACCUGUAGCAGGCCCAUCGAUGAUGGCGUUCAUGUUAAUAUACAAUAGAAAACACAAAGCAAGUAUACUUAUUGCGUUCAUCAUGGCGUUCGUCGUCUGGCCUAGUGCGUCAGCGUUUCCCCCUACGUGGCGCCCCUAUCCGCGUUCGACGUCGUGCCCUGGCCGCGAUCCGGUGUCGCGUCCUGGCCGCGCGCCCGUUUGUGAGCCCCUGGCCGCGCGUGUAGUCAGGCGGCCAGGGCGUGGAGUCUUGGCGGUGCCCCAGCGACCCUCUGGCCGCAAGCCCCUGGUCACACGCCCCGUCUGCCCUGGCAAGCCCCGGCCGCGAGCCCUCGUCGUGGACAGGAGAAUGCGAACAGAGGGAAGAUACAUGGUCGUGCGUGAGAGGGAGGUGGGUGCGUACUGAGGGAUGAAUGAGGUGAGUGAUGAGUUUGAUCCAAGCAUUUAUGACCGUUGGAUGUGAUUGAGUUAGGGGAAUGAGAGAUUAGAGUUAAUAUUGUCCCUUGAUUAUGGGAGAUAGAUCUUCCUUGGUGGAAUUUUUCAUGUGUACUUAGUGUAGCUUAUAACUGUAGUAGUAGUUUAUAGGGUGCAUUUAGUUAUGUUCAUGACUGAUGGAUUAUAUAGUAGUGGAGAUUUGUGGUAAAUCUCAGUAACUACACCCGUGCUUUUUUACCUUAUACAAAUUAGAACUGAGGCUUGAUCCCUAUGAUUUCGUGCUAAAUUAUGUUUUUAUGAUUUUUUUGUAUACAUAUAUGAUGGCAAUCCAACUUGAAUACCUCUCACCGAAUUUGGUAUAUGUUGUUGACAACAACGAUCCCAUGUGGUCAGGAUGUUCGAAAACGAGAAAUCAAGUUCUUAGUUUUCUAGGAAGAGAAGAACUGAACUUGGACAAUGGAUUGGAAUUGGGCGGAAAUGGUGAUAUUUAAUAGUAAAAAACCCCUCUCCAAUCAUAAAUACAUACAUGUCACUUUGGGCCUUGUUUAGUUCCGAAAACUUUAACACUUUCUUUUUUGUUUGACAAAUAUUGUUCAAUUAUGGAUUAACUAGAUUCAAAAGAUUCAUCUCACGAUUUACAAAUAAACUGUGCAAUUAAUUUUUGUUUUCAUUUAUAUUUAGUGCUUCAUACACAUGCUGCAAGAUUUGGUGUGACAGGAAAUCUUAAAAAGUUUUUGGUUUUUAGAAUGAACUAAACAAGGUCUUGGUCAGUGGGGCGAAAUGCCUACUUGUAGUGACGCAAUUGUAGAAUGACUAGUAGGAAGCGCGCCUCCUGGGCGCGAGUUGUCAUGUAUUUCUAAGAUUAUACAGGUAAGCUACACAUGUUGCAUACAAUGGCCAUGUAUAUGAUUGAGGUCUAUUGAUGCAUACAAAGUUAUUAGAGGAUGAAUACCAUGUCCAUCGAGGGCAGAAAUAAUAGACAAAUUUUGGGGCAAAAGAUGCAUGUUUAGUUUUAGCACGGUAAUAGGAAUAUAGGAUCAGAGAACGGAAGCGAACACGGUCAUAUUGCCUAUGGUGUUAUAUGUACCAUACAGAGCCAUUACACAAGCUUAUCAGUAUUUUAUACAUUGCUUCGUCAGUGGCAAUUUACAAAAGUUUAGGGGCAUUGAAGGUCCACUUUCUAAUGACAUGGACAUAUAUAGCUGGUUUUCUUGUUGGCUGCGCUGCCAAUUGUGACAAGAAAUUGCUGCAUCUACAUCCUGAGUACCUGCACAGGGAGCAAAUAGACUGUUUAGUCUCAUAAAGAAACAAUUAUUGUCUGGAAUACCAGUAAGUAGGGGAGUAUAUUUUUUUGGUCUACUAUGUAUACACAAUACACACAACAGUGAUGCAUCACCAGACACAAUAGAAGCAAAUACUUCUUUAUAGAUGACCUUUUUUUUAUUUAUACAACGGCCAUCCUCGGCUUCUAUGAAAUGGCUGUCACUACCUAAAACAUCCAAGUAUCAAUGAGAAAGAUGUAGUUGGUAGACUCGGUAAUCACCGGCCUAACUUGCCAGCCAAUGAAUGUAGAGACAAGAACAUCUUGAUGCAAAAAAAAUUAUAAUUUAACAAUGAAUGGACAUACAUAUCAAAAAUAUAUCUGUAAAUUCUUUUUUUUCACACAUGCAUACAAGAUUGAACUUAGAUAUAUAACAUAGACUGUAUUGGAAAGAUUAACUAGAUAUAUCUAAAAUAUAUUCAAUUUUGCUCAUGCUCUAUGCACCAGACAUCUUGGUAUGGACAAAUGGAUCUGCUGCGUGAGCAGGACUCUGAAAUCCAAAAGAAGGUAUGCAAGGCUGAAAACUAACAAAGGAAGCUGAACUAAACACAACAGGAGAAGGUAAUAUUUAUGUGGCAACUACUGAGCAUCCGGAACAUCAAGUUCUAUUUUUCAAAGCAUCAAGUCCUAUAUUUAAGGGAAAGUUGUCAAACAAAAAUGUGGCCUGCACGAAUAUUAUCACCUGCAAGGGAGGCAUGAAGCCUAUCCCAUCUCAUAAUUGAAGUGCAUGAGUCCACCCAAUAUCCCCAGUGAUUGUGGAUACGAAGAAUAAGUUGUGAUGCUAAACCAAAACAUAGAUGACUUUCCAAGUGUGCAGCCUGCAUAGUAAAAUAAGAAAGAAAAAUCAUAUUUUUGACAUGAAUGCAGGUAGUAGCAAGUUGCUGGAUUGUUGACCAGUUCUCCAUUUUAUUUUGUAUUUUGAAACAUCUUUUCUUUUGAAUAACUUACUGAUAUAUCACGGUAAAUUAGAGAUAUCAUUCCGUAAAAAUCAAUUAAAAGAACUGUAAGCUGAGGAGAAAAAGAACUGCACUUCCAGUGUCAUAGCUCGUGCUGCUUGUCCACUGCAUUCACAUCCCUUACCUGAUGAGUAUGGGCGCACGAACGAAUUCGAAUGAACCAACCUGCGGGGUAAACAAGGUAAUAAAACAAAAAGAAACAUAUGAAUAUAAAUACAGAAGCAAAUGGGAAGGAGAGCUCUUUGAAUUUUAUAAUAUAUUCUACAAUAUGAAGGAACCAUCUACGAAAGAAAUUCAGAACAAGUCAUUCUCAUGCAUGAAGACUUAGUCGACAAUUCAGGCUCUAGCUCAGUAGUUACACACCUGAGAACAAUCCACCAGCCGAACAAGCUGAAACCAUAGCAACUCAGCCAAGAAUAUUUUAGAUGAAAGUAAAUAUUUUUAGUCAAUAAGAAUACAUAUAUCAGACACAAGAGGUAGCCAUAUCCCCUUAUCCUUUGGCACCAUCCUGAUUCUCCCAAGAGGGCUUGGCUUGUUCAAAUUCCUCAAACUGCAUUUCUCUGAGCUUCGUAUGUAGGCCUUCUUUGUCCAUGUCAAAUAAUUUGAUUUUUCCAGUUCGAACAGCUUUAAUAAAUCUAACUUUGUUCUGUGCCAUUUUCAAGUCGCGGCCAGCCAUUUCCACUAGCUUUUGCUGCAUAUUGACAAUUACUAAAUGUGAUAUCAAAUAGUCCAAAGAAUAUGUGCCAUUCAAUUAUUAAAUGGAAACGUACCUUUCUUUUCUCAUAAAAAGCAAGCCUGAAGUCAUAGAAUUCCUUAAGUAGUGAAAUAAAUGACACAAUUUAGUUUCAAUACGACAAAAGAAAUAAAAAAUGGAGGUCUUGUAGCAUAAAGGUAGUACAUACUUUGCUCUGGACUGUCAUACUUUUUAAUUAUGCCAUUUGAAUCCAACAAAUGCAUAUUUGAUGUUCCUAUUGAUGUUCCUUCUCUGAAGAUCUACUUCAUUGGCUUGCGCCAAAUUCUCAGAAUUCUCAUGCAAAUGCAUCAUAAUUUCAACAUCAUUGCCGCCUCUCUUUUUUUCAUAACUCUGUAAAAUUAUUAUGAUUAAAAACUAGUGGGCAACAAUCAUUUCAUGAUUAAAACAUACUAUGUAAUCAAUUACCUUGAUGAAUUUGUCUUCUCCGUCCAUAAAAGUUUUAAGCUUCUUUUCAUAAUUCUCCAUCGAGAUCUUCACUGGGUGAUCUUGCCGCUGUUGAGUGCGCACCGAGCUCCUGAUCAAUCCCGUGCGACUACUUUGCGCUCUACUGAUCUGAGUCGCUAGCUUGACGAGUUCCAGCCAUGAUCGGCCAUGGCGCCGCCGCGGGUUGCCCACCUCCGGCCGACCGGCGUUAACCCCCCUGCGAUCCAAUCUCGGCCUUUGAUUCGAGAUCCAACGGCCAUGGUGGAAGGAUACCCCUUCGGCCGUCAAUUUUGCAGAAACCCCCCCGAACUUUUUAAUGUAUAAACCCGCCGUCCUUUGCGCUUUCUCCGAUUACGUUUUGCAAGUUCGAAAGCGUAUUUUCGACUGCGCAGUUCAAAAACCAUUUUCUCAGAUUUACAGUUUUGCCAUUGAUCUUAUUUGACUCAUAAAAACUCCGUUUUAACUCUGAUUUGAUCCGUUCAAGUUGCGUUAGAUUUGUUUUCGCGUAAUCUAUAGAUUAGUGCUACUGUUAUACAAGUUUUCAACUUUUAAAAUCUGAGUUUAGAUUUAAUUUAUUAUUUUAUUAAAGGCAAUCUUAUUUAGAUCAUUACUUCUUCGUUUUAGAUCCGAUUUUUGUGAACUUUACGUCUGUGUGAUCGUAGAGCGAUGUAGAUUUGUUUUAUAAACUUUUUAUCUUUAUUUAUUACUGUUGGUGUACUGUUCUAAUAAUAGACUUGUUUGCUUUGUAUGAUUGUCCUUGGAUGAUUGCUGUUGAUGUGGUGAUUACGUAUAGACGGUGAGCAGUUCGUGGGUGAUCAAGAGUACUACUACGAGCAGGAUCAACAGGACUAGUGUGAUCAAGGCAAGUAUAGCAUAGGAUCAUCCUUGUUUCCUAAUAAGUUUAAUCACACAAUUCAUAUUGCAUGUGUCUCCUUGAUAAGGAUUACCUAGUAUUGAUCUUAUACCUUGUCACCUAUGGUUAUGCAUUGGGUAGCUUAUGCUAGUGCUCCACUAAACCAUGAUCUUGUAAUUUGAUUAAAGGAUUAUGCAAUAAACAUUAAAAGAUGACUUUUUAGCAACUUUGGAAAAGAGGACUGGAGCAUUGGGCUAUCUUAUGGUACUCUAGUUUCUCUCCAUAAGGACUUAUCUAUAUCUGACCAUCCGGGACAUACAGUAGAACUGUGAGGGCUACAUGGCUCUGGCUUUAGCUCAGUAUGAGGACCUUUUCUAGCUUGUUAGUGGUUACCCUUGUGGCGCAUGUGGGGGAUAGCAGACCAUGGAUUCCUGCGGGCGAGUCACAAGGACUGACUAACGAAACCUAGCGACCCUAAUUUGUUAGACGAACCUUUGAAAGGCUUCAUAGUGAACCCUGCUGGUCUUCCUUGGGAGUGGGCUAAGGGGCUGAUCACCUCGGACGAAAGGGUAAAUCACGACUCACAGUGAAAGUGUACAACCUGUGCAGAGUGUAAAAAUGAUAUAUCAGCCGUGCUCACGGUCACGAGCGCCCUUGGACCAAUAUAGAAUAAAUAAUCACUAAUGACAAAUCAUUAAAUGUUGUUAUUGUGAGUUUAUUAUGGGUUUUGACAACUUGAUGCUACUCCUAUGCUAAAAUUGUGACAACUAAAAGCUACAUGCAGUUGAACCAGUGUCUAACCUUUGAGCCUCAUGAACCCCCUGUUAUACUUGUUAAGUACGAGGUGUACUUACACUUGUUUAUUUUCUUUAUUUGGAUAAAAAUCCCGGAAGGGUAACAGAUGGCAUGGGUAAUCACUACUACCAGUACUUCCCUAAGGAUUUGUAGUCUUGUGGUCAACCAGUUGACGUGCCUAUGUGAUAGAGCUUCCAUGCAAGAGUUAUCUUUUAUUUUCCGCUUUAUUUGUGUAAAGACUCUGAGUUAUAUCGUUAUGUAAUAAGCACUUGUGAUGAUACUCCCUAUAAUUUGUCGGCUUAUGUGUGAUUGAUCUCUGGGCACACAUAAGGUUUUGCAUUCAAUUUUAUCCUUAAAAUUGGGUGUGACAAAUUGGUAUCAAAGCCGUGUUGACUGUAGGACGCAAGCCUAGAUAGAAAUGGUCGUUUUAGUUGUCUUUUCUUCUCUAUUUUCAUGCUUACCAUCUUGCUCUUGUUAUUUGCUAAAAUUUUUAUGCUUCUACCAUCUCACUCUAUUAUGAAAUUAUUGCUUCUAAUCUAACUUCUCUCCGGUCUAUUCUAUAGAUGGUUCGUGCCAAGACCGCUCGUAUCUCCACUGGAGGGUACCACCCACCUCGUUACCAAUACGAGCCUAUGGAGCCACAAGAGGAGAGUUCACCGGAACAUGAAGAGACCUCACCACCUUCACAUGAAGCAUCUGAGCCAGAGCUAUCACAAGUGGAGUCUGAACUAGAGGAGGAGCCCCAGGAGGUCAUACUAAUUUCUGAUGAUGAAGAAGAAGGUGCUCCCAGAGGAGGUCAACCCCCAUCACCGCCGCAAGAUGGACAUGCUGAAGAUGAUGAGUUCCCUCCCAUAAGGUGGACUAGAAAGGUGUACCACAAGGCAUCGUGCAAUGCUCCGUCGCAACACCGGAUGGUGGGAAUGAUGGAGACUUACUUCUCUGACCGGGAUGCAGUUGUGGAGUAUUCAUGCAUAGAGUACACGCACCCCCUGGAGAACACCUACUGGAAGUCCAAGGUGCUGAUCUUUCCCAAGGAUGUGGAGAAAGAUGCAUACUUGAAGCACAGGGGCUACCGUCAUGAUGGACAUAGAGCUACUAUGGAAGAGAGCAUGGAGGAAGCAGCUUUCACGGCAUGUUUGUUCCUCCGUGAGCAACGUUUCUGUAACAUGCGGUGGGAUAUACACCGUUAUCUACCCUGCCUAGACCCGGAACAUGGAUGGGGAAUGCUGGAGCCAACAGAUUUGGACCCAGUCUCCCGAGUGAUGGUGUACUUUGCUCAUGAGAUGGUGGAAAAGCAUCUGAAAUUGCAAGACAUGGUGAUAGCACAAGGAAAGGCUCUCAAGAGGUGCUACAAGAUGAUUGACGACCAUCGCGAGAGGGAAGGACAGCCCAAGAUCUAUGGGAUGCUUGACUAUGAACCACACCCUUAGUGUCGGAAGUCCCUAGUUUGUAAUAAGCCGCUAGAAGCGCAAGUGAGUCGAGUCAAGUUAGUGUGGUGUGCUUUUUGUUAUGCUUAGUUGCUUUGUUAUUAUGUUUAUGAGUGAGUUGGAUCUUUGUAAUGAGUGCUGGGACUUUGUAGGCAUGUCUACAAGUUCCAUAGUUUAGGUUAUUAAGGAUUAAAGUUUAAUGAAUAAAUAGUUAGGUUGGUAUAUCUGUCUUUCCUGUUUCGUUUCUUUAAACCAAUCUGUCUUAAUAAUUUUACCCAGAAAAAUCAGUUCGACCAAAAAUCUUGAAAAUUUUAUGAGAAUAACUAGACUUAAGCAUCUUUCCUAUGCCGCUGGAAUUACCUUUUUAUCUGAUCUGGGCCGAGAGAUAUGAAUGUUGAAAACAGAGGUUCCUGUGCAGUUUGAGUUCGGGGACAGUUUAGAUUGGAGACAGUUUAUGGCUAAUUUAAUGACUGAAUCUGAAUUUGUGCUCUAAAUAAAAGUUGUAGACAAUUUCUUAAGCUUUCCAACCAUCAAAGUUCCGCCUCUGUUGGACUUUUAUAUCUCAAGUUAUGAUCGUUUUACUGAACUGCUGGCACUGGACUCACUCACGAAACUUACAGAAUUUCAAACUUGUUCAUGAAUGUCUAUAAUUUUGGGAGAUUCUAAAGUUCUGCAUGUUAUGACAGAUGUAGAUGACGUGGAAGGGGUGUUCCACUCAACCCACCUGCCACCAUUGAAUAGCUAGUAGCAGUCCAGACGCAGCUCAUGGAAGCCCUGGUGAACAACCAACAGAAUCAUCCAAUCGGAGGGGCACCACCGCGUGAUAAGUAGGGUGAAUUUUUAAAAGGUCAUCCCCCUGUGUUUACACACGCCACUGAUCCACUGGAGGCAGAUGAUUGGCUUCGUGUAGUGGAGAAGCAACUCAACAUAGCACAGUGUGAUGAUAGGCAGAAGGUGUUGUUCGCAUCUGGACAACUUCAAGGAGAAGCUCAGACAUGGUGGGAGUCGUUUGAGUAUGGACGACCUCCCAAUGCCCCUGCUAUCACAUGGCUGGAGUUCAAGGAGAACAUUAGGUCUUACCACAUACCAGAAGGGUUAAUAGAACUGAAGACGGAGGAGUUCUGGAAUUUGAAGCAGGGAUCUUUGAUAGUUCCAGAGUACCCGGACAAGUUUGCUCAGUUGUCGCGCUAUGCUCCCAAUGAGGUGGCUAAUGAUGCUGAUAAACAGCGCCUCUUUCUGAAGGGAUUGUAUGAUGGGCUCCAGCUCCAACUGAUGUCCAGUGAAUACCCCAAUUAUCAGACGCUUGUGAACCGUGCUAUCGUAGUGGAUAACAAGAAUAAGGAGAUGGAUGCUAAAAGGAAGAGGAUGCAGGGACAGGCCUCUGGAAGUAAUACUCGUCCACGCACCAACCAGCAGCAAGGUUCUCAGCAAAGGUACCAGGGACCACCUUCACAGUGGAAUCGUGGUCAGUACCCCCAGCGCAAUCAGUUCCAGCAGCGCCCGCAGAACCAGCAGAAUCAACCAGCAGACGUCAUGCUAGGGUACGCCUAGCAACACUCCAAUGAAGACUAGUGCCCAUAACACCCCCAACAAGUGUUUCCACUGUGGUAAAGAGGGUCACCUGUCAUAUCACUGCCCUAAAAAACAAAAUCAGCAGACCCCCCAGAAGCAGAAUAGCCACCAGAAGUCAGCUCCUAAUACUGGAAGGGUGAACCAUAUGUCCUGUGAGACAACACAGCAGAAACCGGAAGUUAUGCUCGGUACGUUCGAAGUCAACUCUAUCCCUGCAUCUAUUCUUUUUGAUUCUGGAGCUUCGCAUACUUUCAUAUCACAAGCAUUUGUUAGAAUACAUAGCUUACCCUUAUGUGCUAUGAAGAAUCCCAUACUAGUAAAUUCACCGAGGGGAAGUAUGCAAGCUGCUUAUAGUUGCCUCCCACUUACAUUAACUCUAAGGGGGGUAGAGUUCAAGAUAUGCCCGAUUGUGUUGGGAGCAUCCGGUAUAGAUGUAAUUCUGGGAAUGGAUUGGAUUAAACAACAAGAUGCUUCGAUUCAGUGCAAAGGAAAGGCAGUUGCACUAACAACACCAAAAGGGGACAGGAUCUAUGUGGAAGUUGCAGUUCAGCAUCAGCCAACAGCUACAGUGAACCAGCUUGAUAACAGUGUCAAUCAGGAGGACUUGGUUGUUGAUGAGUUCCCAGACGUGUUCCCCGAUGAUUUGCCAGGUAUGCCACCUGACCGUGACAUUGAGUUUAUUAUUGAAUUAUUACCUGGCACUGCACCUAUAGCUAAACGUCCAUAUAGAAUGGGGGUUAAAGAAUUAGAAGAAAUUAAGAAACAAAUAAAGGAGUUGCAGGAGAAAGGUUUCAUUCAUCCUAGCUCUUCACCUUGGGGAGCACCAGUGAUUUUUGUCGAUAAGAAAGAUGGCACGCAAAGGAUGUGUGUAAACUACCAGUCACUCAAUGAGGUCACAAUCAAGAAUAAAUAUCCAUUGCCUAGAAUUGAUGAUUUGUUUGAUCAAUUGAGAGGUGCUUGUGUGUUUUCCAAAAUUGAUCUUCGUUCUGGGUACCACCAGCUGAAGAUUCGUGCCACUGAUAUACCAAAGACAGCAUUUACGACCCGGUAUGGUUUGUAUGAGUACAUAGUGAUGUCUUUCGGUCUGACCAAUGCUCCUGCCUACUUUAUGUAUCUGAUGAAUAAGGUGUUCAUGGAAUUUCUUGAUAAGUUUGUGUUGGUGUUUAUUGAUGACAUAUUGGUAUUCUCCAAGACUGAGCGAGAGCAUGCUGAGCAUUUGAGGUUAGUCCUGCAGAAGCUUCGGGAACACAAGUUACAUGCCAAGCGGAGUAAGUGCGAGUUUUGGUUGAAAGAAGUUUCCUUUCAAGGCCAUGUUGUCUCUAAUGGAGGAAUAGCGGUGGACCCAAGCAAGGUGAAGGAUGUGCUCGAUUGGAAACCACCUACUGAUGUGAGUGGAAUCCGCAGUUUCUUGGGAUUAUCUGGUUAUUACCGAAGGUUUAUUGAGGGAUUUUCUAAGCUUGCCAAACCGAUGACAGCCCUGUUUGAGAAAAAUGCCAAGUUUGUGUCGUGUGAUAAGUGUCAAGAAAAUUUCGAGGAAUUAAAGAAGAGACUGACUACAGCCCCAGUGCUAGUGUUGCCAGAUCUAAGCAAGAAUUUCUCCAUAUAUUGUGAUGCAUCCCGUCUAGGACAUGGGUGUGUUCUUAUGCAAGAGGGGAGAGUAGUGGCAUAUGCAUCCCGACAGUUGAGGAAGUAUGAGUUGAAUUAUCCUACUCAAGACUUGGAGUUAGCCGUAGUGGUUCAUGCCUUGAAGAUAUCGAGGCAUUAUCUUAUCGGUCAUAAGAGUGACAUAUACACGGACCAUAAGAGUUUGAAGUAUAUAUUCACACAGUCAGAUCUGAAUUUGAGGCAAUGUCGGUGGUUAGAGCUGAUCAAGGACUAUGAUUUGGAAGUACACUACCACCCUGGGAAAGCAAAUGUGGUUGCAGACGCCUUAAGCAGGAAGAGCUAUGCCAACGAGGUGCAAAUAGCCUCUAUGGCUGAAGAGUUGUGUGCUGAAAUUUCACAUCUGAAUUUGGGUUUUGGUAUUAAUGCAGUUGAGUUAGUAAUAGAACCUACCUUGGAGCAAGAAAUACAAAAAGGUCAGUUGCAGGAUGAAAAGCUGAAGGAGAUAGCUGAAAACAUAGUGAUCGGAAAAGCACCAGGAUUCCGGAUGGAUGAUAAUGGAACACUAUGGUUUGGGAAAAGGCUAUGUGUGCCUGAAGAUCGAUCUAUUAGAGAGGCAAUUCUACGAGAGGCACACGAGUCCGCUUAUUCUAUACACCCUGGCAACACUAAGAUGUACCUAGACCUAAAAGAGAAGUAUUGGUGGUAUGGCUUGAAGAGAGAUGUUGCUGAGUAUGUCGCUUUAUGUGAUACUUGCCAGAGAGUCAAAGCAGAACAUCAGAGACCGGCAGGAUUGUUGCAACCAAUGAAGAUCCCUGAGUGGCAAUGGGAGGAAGUUGGUAUGCACUUCAUAGUGGGACUACCCCGCACUCAGAAAGGUUAUGACUCUAUAUGGGUAAUAGUAGAUCGAUUGACUAAGGUCGCUCAUUUUAUUCCGGUUAAGACCAAAUAUAGUGGACCAAAAUUGGCUGAGUUGUACAUGGAAAGAAUAGUGUGCUUGCAUGAGGUCCCCAAAAAGAUAGUUUCUGAUCGAGGUACCCAGUUUACGUCUCACUUUUGGUAGAAAGUGCAUGAGUCCCUGGGGACUAAGCUGAAUUUUAGUACAGUAUACCAUCCCCAGACCGAUGGGCAGACUGAGAGGACUAAUCAAAUUUUGGAAAAUAUGUUGAGGGCAUGUGCUUUGCAGUAUGGAACGAGUUGGGAUAAGAGUUUGCCAUAUGCAGAGUUUUCAUACAACAACAGCUACCAGAAAAGUCUCUAGAUGGCACCAUUUGAAGCCUUGUAUGGGCAGAAGUGUAGGACCCCGUUGUUUUGGAAUCAAGCGGGAGAAACACAAGUGUUUGGACCAGAUGUGUUACGGGAUGAAGAACAACAAGUGAGAGUAAUUAGGGAAAACUUGAGAGCAGCACAGUCCCGGCAGAAGAGUUAUGCUGAUACACGGAGAAGAGAAUUGGCUUUUGAGGUAGGAGACUAUGUGUAUUUGAAGGUGUCUCCCAUGCGAAGUGUGAGAAUGUUUAACAUGAAAGGGAAGUUAGCACCAAGGUACAUUGGGCCUUUCAGAGUGUUGGAAAGACGAGGGCAAGUGGCUUACCAGUUGGAACUGCCCGAAAGUUUAAAAGGAGUGCAUGAUGUCUUCCAUGUGUCACAGCUUAAGAAAUGCUUGCAGGUGCCAGAAGAGCAGAUACCGAUAGAGGAAUUAACCGUUAAAGAGGUUCUUACUUAUGAAGAGUAUCCGGUACGAAUUUUGGAAACAGCAGAAAGAGUCACUAGGAGUCGGGUCAUCAGAAUGUGCAGAGUACAGCGGAAUAGAUAUACCAAGGAAGAGGCUACCUGGGAAAGGGAAGAAGAUUGAAGAAAAUCAUAUCCUCAGUUGUUUGAGUAAGCACCAACCGAAUCUCGAGGACGAGAUUCAUCUUAAGGGAGGUAGAAUGUGUAACACCCUAAAAAUUCCAUUUUUCCAAAUAGGACAAUUUGAUUUAAUUAAUUGUUGUGAGCAAUGAGAAUUAGUGAGAAAUGAAUCUUUAUUGAAUUAAAAUUCACUAUAAGGCCUAGACACAUGCUUGUGCAUCCAUGCUGCUGCAUAGAUUUUAUUGAAUGAUGUUCCUUUUAAUUUAAAAUGAUUUUUCAAAAAAACCUUUCAAAAGAAUUGAGCAAAGGAUAAAAAAAUAAAAAGAAAAAGGUUUUCUCCCUCCCUCCCCAUUGUCGGGCUUGGCCCAUUCCUCCUUCCCCCCCCCUCGCGGCCUGCUUACCUUUCCCAUCCCCCUUUUAUUUCUCGCAGCGGCCCAGCACCAGCAUCCGGCCCGCUCAGCGCAGCCAGCAAGCCGCGCGCGCCUUCCUUCCUCGCCGCAGUGGCUGACAGCGUAGCCCCGCUCUCCGCGUCACUGCCAGGUGGGGCCCAGAGGUCAGAACCGUCUCCCACCUCGAGUCCGAGCCGGACACGAACCGAGCGCAACCACCGCGCGCGUUUCGCGCGAGCAAUCCCCCCUCCGCCCGACUCUGCCCCUUUAUAUACUCGCCCGAUGCCCCGCAACUCCCUACGUCAACCCGAGCAUCAGCCGCCGCGCAGCUUCCGCCGUUUCGCGUAGCCGAGAUCCAAGCUGCAGCCAAUCCGCCGCCGCAGCGCAUCCAAGCCCCCGUGAGCAGCUUGCCAGGCUUCUUCGUCGUGCGAAGUCGCAGAGACCUUCCUUUCGCACUCUACUGUUUUGUACGCAUCGCUAACGCUCGCCGGACUUCUCUCCAGGGUCGCCGUCUGCUGUUCGCCGUCGGUAGCUUUAGUCGGCUUCUCCUCGUCCCGCUUCUUGCCGCUGGUGAGUGCGCAGCGAGCUCCUGAUCAAUCCCGUGCGACUACUUUGCGCUCUACUGAUCUAAGUCGCUAGCUUGACGAGUUCCGACCAUGAUCGGCCAUGGCGCCGCCGCGGGUUGCCCACCUCCGGCCGGCCGGCGUUAACCCCCCAUGCAAUCUAAUCUCGACCUUUGAUUCGAGAUCCAACGGCCACGGUGGAUGGAUACCCCUUCGGCCGUCAAUUUUGCAGAAAACCCCCCAAACUUUUUAAUGUAUAAACCCGCCGUCCUUUGCGCUUUCUCCGAUUACGUUUUCCAAGUUUGAAAGCAUAUUUUUGACUGCGCAGUUCAAAAACCGUUUUCUCAUAUUUGCAGUUUUGCCAUUGAUCUUAUUUAACUCAUAAAAACUCCGUUUUAACUCCGAUUUGUUCCGUUCAAGUUGCGUUAGAUUCGUUUUCGCGUAAUCUAUAGAUUAGUGCUACUGUUAUACAAGUUUUCAACUUUUAAAAUCUGAGUUUAGAUUUAAUUUAUUAUUUUAUUAAAGGCAAUCUUAUUUAGAUCAUAACUUCUUUGUUUUAGAUCCGAUUUUUGUGAACUUUAUGUCUGUGUGAUCGUAGAGCGAUGUAGAUUUCUUUUAUAAACUUUUUAUCUUUAUUUAUUACUUUUGGUGUACUGUUCUAAUAAUAGGCUUGUUUGCUUUGUAUGAUUGUCCUUGGAUGAUUGCUGUUGAUGUGGUGAUUACGUAUAGACUGUGAGCAGUUCGUGGGUGAUCAAGAGUACUACUACGAGCAGGAUCAGCAGGACCAGUGUGAUUAAGGCAAGGAUAGCAUGGGAUCAUCCUUGUUUCCUAAUAACUUUAAUCACACAAUUCAUAUUGCAUGUGUCUCCUUGAUAAGGAUUACCUAGUAUUGAUCUUAUACCUUGUCACCUAUGGUUAUGCAUUGGGUAGCUUAUGCUAGUGCUCCACUAAACCAUGAUCUUGUAAUUUGAUUAAAGGAUUAUGCAAUAAAAAUUAAAAGAUUACUUUUUAGCAACUUUGGAAAAGAGGGCUGGAGCAUUGGGCUAUCUUAUGGUGCUCUAGUUUCUCUCUAUAAGGACUUAUCUGUAUCUGACCAUCCGGGACAUACAAUACAACUGUGAGGGCUACAUGGCUCUGGCUUUAGCUCAGUAUGAGGACCUUUUCUAGCUUGUUAGUAGUUACCCUUGUGGCGCAAGUGGGGGAUAGCAGACCGUGGAUUCCUGCGGGUGAGUCACACGGACUGACUAACGAACCCUAGCGGCCCUAACUUGUUAGACGAACCUUUGAAAGGCUUCAUAGUGAACCCUGCCGGUCUUCCUUGGGAGUGGGCCAAGGGGCUGAUCACCUCGGGCGAAAGGGUAAAUCACGACUCACAGUGAAAGUGUACAACCUCUGCAGAGUGUAAAACUGAUAUAUCAGCCAUGCUCACGGUCACAAGCGGCCUUGGACCAAUACAGAAUAAAUAAUCACUAAUGGCAAAUCAUUAAAUGUUGUUAUUGUUAAUAUGUUGUUUAUGCUAUUCUUUACUCACUUUACCUGAUCAUGAAUUUAUUAUGGGUUUUGACAACUUGAUGCUACUCCUAUGCUAAAAUUAUGACAACUAAAAGCUACAUGCAGUUGAACCAGUGUCUAACCUUUGAGCCUCAUGAACCCCCUGUUAUACUUGUUAAGUACGAGGUGUACUUACACUUGUUUAUUUUCUUUAUUUAGAUAAAAAUCCCGGAUGGGUAACAGAUGGCAUGGGUAAUGACUACUACCAGUACUUUCCUGAGGAUUUUUAGUCUUGUGGUCAACCAGUUGACGUGCCUGUGUGAUGGAGCUUCCAUGCAAGAGUUAUCUUUUAUUUUCCGCUUUAUUUGUGUAAAGACUCUGAGUUAUAUCGUUAUGUAAUAAGCACUUGUGAUGAUACUCCCUAUAAUUUGUCGGCUUAUGUGUGAUUGAUCUCUGGGCACACAUAAGGUUUGGUAUUCAAUUUUAUCCUUAAAAUUGGGUGUGACAAUUACCAUGAAGGUUCAAUUGAUUGCCCAUCUUAACGCAAAUAAUCGAGCAGAAUAUCAUCAUUUUCAUUAAAUAUCCUACGAGUGAUACUUGAUAACUCUGUGAAGAUGUAUCUAGCACUAGCAGCAUCUUUGCCUCAAUAAAAUGAAAAACAAGCAAGAAUAAAAUGUUUAACAACUAGUUUUCUCAUAGUGGCUUGUUAUCUCACCUCUAAUCUUGUACCAAAUUGCCCAUUGGGAUGCAAAAGAAUGAUAUUGUUGCUUCCAAAAAAAUCUUGAGCCAUUCUUACUAUUGUGUUUGAUAGAUUUUCUUCACCGUGAUGAUAAGCAGAACAUUCUGCCACAGACACGGCGAACUGUGCCACCUGUGAUCAAGUAGUAAAUUAGCAAUAUUAUAAGGCUAAUUUAGAGAGAACAUGACACAUAAAUCAUAAUAUGGCAGCCCAACCAGAGGCUCAACCCUUUUCUACUUAUAAGCUAGGACUGAAGCUUUGGAGUGGAUAUGAUUCUCAUCAUCAUAGACUAUAUGGAACAAGCUUGAGAUUGACCACCCACAAGACAAAACUUUCAAGCAAGCUAGUCUGCCUUUAUAUAUUCAGGUGCCAGUAUACAUAAGGAAACUAAAACUAAAUAUAAAAUGGGGAUCCAAUCUAAAGAAACUAUGGAAUACGAAAGAUCGAAGCCUACCAUAUUCUCGGCCAUAGCGCCGACUGAUAUCAAAAUAUGUGGAAAAGAUUCAUAUUAGAAAAAAACAAAUGAUAGUUGGGAUGCCAUACCUUUGUUUCCUUGUUCAAAUUUUUCUUAAAUGCGCUGAACAUUAUCUUUCUCUGCCGUUUUUUAAAUCCAUCUACCAUUGAUGGUAUAGACCGAUGCAUGUCUAAUACCAUGUAUAAUGUGAGCCCUUUCUUAAUGAAGUCAAGGAUUCUUAUCAUUUUCCCAGUUUGAAGAAGUACACUUUCUUCAGGAUAAAAUUUUUGUUAUCACAUUAAUGUUGGUCCUUAAAUUAACCUGAAUGAAUCUUUAAAAAUAACAUCAAGACCGACCUUGCAGUUAUGAAGAAAGUUAUAGAUCCAUUUCUUCCUUUCCUCCACUUUUUGUUUACUGAAUGUUGUCUUGAUGGCCUUAUCAUCUUCUUCAUUCACCCACACAAAAUAUUUCUGAUGGAUGUCAAUAUGUUUGAAAUAUUGCAUCCCUUCCUUAAGUGUGCUCGUGCCUAACCCCUGUAUAUAUGAAAAAUGUCCAAGUUGAAGACCACAUAGAAAAAUUGAAAUGAUUAAAAUUCGAGCAAAAAACACACCUUAUAGUAUUUUAUAGACCAUUUACUUAAUUCUGUCCCAUGUUUACUUUUCUCCCAUGCCGUAUACUCAUUUAGUGUAUAGAAAACCUGACUUGGACAUUCACCUGUAUAAUCCGUAACCUAAACAAGUUUUAAUCCGUGACAUGGUAAGUUUUAUGAGUCUUAAUAACUAAAACCUUAAAAAAAAUGUUAAAGCAAGUAACAAGUGGCAUACCUUUACAAGUGGGGUAACUAAUUCACACAAAAACGAUUUGGAUUUAUUCUUCAGAAGGGAAGGCCAAAAAUCAUGAAAUAAGUUAAUGAUCAAUCCUUUAAUAUGAAAUCCAUCUGGAUCCUGGUCGGUCAUGACCAUAACUUUACCAUAUCUCAAAUCCUUCAAAUCCUUUUCAUCAUUAUAGUAUUUUUUGUAGUCUAAACCCAAUAAUCUUUCUCAUAUUGUUAAUUUCCUCAUUGUCCAAGAUCUUUUUCAAAGACGCAUCUCUCACAUUCAGUAGCUUACCUUUCAAUGCAACAACUCCAAAGUAGUCCCUACGAACAGAACCUAGCUGCAGAGGAGCACAAAACUUACUCAAUACUCUUGUCAAUAUAAAAGGAACAUAUGUGCAAUGAAAUGUGCAAUCAACAGUUACUAAUUGUAGGGGAACUUCAAUAUAAGAAUAAGAACUACGUGGAAAAUAAUUUUUCUAACAUCUUCAUCUAAUCAUUAACACAUAUGUGCACAUAUGAAACUUGGGAUUCCCAAAUACAAGUCCGAUUAUAACAUUUUAUUCUAAAGACUCAAGUUCGAUCAUAACCUUUAAUCCUAAAGACUCAGCUGACUAAAAAAAUCUGAAUCAAAACCUUUUUGCCUCGAUUAAACUCUUGGCUGAAAUUUGAGUUUUUCAUAAAAAUCUAGGAAAUUUGGGACAGACCACACUAAAUCACUAAAUCUGCCAGUGAUACUUGGUGUAUCAAAAUGGACUUAAUUAAUAAAGGGUUGGGGUCAAAGUCUAAAAGGUCAUACUAGAAAAUAUAAAAAUUUGCUAAAAACGAGUUGGAGGUGUUAGAAAAACAGGAGGAGCUUGAUGUGCUCAAGCUGGAUAUAAAGUCUUCCAUUCAAUCUAAGUUUCAUGGAAGAGAAGGAUAUGGCAUAAGGGAUCUAAUUCUAUGUGGUUGUUGAAAGAUCAUAACAACUCUGAGUACUUUCAUAGAAUAGCUCAUGGUAGAAAGAGAAAGAACACCAUUUCUUUGCCUAAACCAUAAUGAGAUCAUUAUUGAGGGGGAUGCUGCCAUCGUGGAGCAUGCUUCUUAAUAUUAUAAUUUCUGCUAAAAUGUCUUGGGCACAAGGGGUUUGACAAGAGAUAGUGUGAACGGACUACUUCUAGCACUAAUAAGAUUGAUGUGGCUAAAAAGAGAUUCUUUUGGCAAGGUCAUUUGAAGAGGAAAUACCACUUGAUCAAAUGGAAUGAGAUCACUAAACCCAAAAACAAAGAAGGGUUGGGGGUCACAGACCUAAGGAAAAUGAACAUCAGUCUCCUAUGUAAAUGGUGGUGGAUGGUGGUGGCUGAGAGUGGAUGUGGAAUAUGAAAAGAUAAUAUUAGGAAGAAAUAAGAAUACCAGUUUCUCACAUGAUAAGUGGUGUGACCAAGUCUCCUUAAAAGACAAGUUCCUCAAUUAUAUGAUAUCAAUGUUGAACAAAACGUUCUGUUUCUUUUAUGAAACAAAGAAGUUAGCAUCUCUCUUAUAGAAGAUGGCUCAAUUGAGAAGGUUACUGUUAGAAUAUAAUUAUAACAGCCCAUAUUGGGCUUACGGCUCAUUGGCCUUGUACUCCUAGCCAGACUUGGAUUAAUACCACAUUGUAACUUGUAGAUGUACUGCAAGCCUUCCAGGCUUUAUAAUGAAGGUCACCCCCUGGUUAGGGUGUGCGGUCUUUCUACACGGUAUCAACCUAAUUAUGACUUUUUCCUUCGGCUCACGCGUUCCCACCCCCUGCCCGUGCGACCUCUCUGAGGCCGUGCGCCACCGCACCAGGCCGCGCCGCCCCAGGCCAAGCUCAGGUCGCGCCGCCACCAGGCCGUGCUGCCCAGCCACGUCGCCUCCCUCAGGCUGCGCCACUGCCAGGCCACGCCGCCUUCUGAGGCCGCGUCGCCGAUCCAGAUCGUGCUGCCGCCGAUCCAGCCACGAGAUCAUCUUCUUCACGUUGCGUCGUCAUGACGACUCCGGCCACCGUCUCUAGCACGUCCAGCUCGACCUCCUUUGCGACCUCUGGUGACGCCAUGGCGGACGCCCUCGCUCCUCCGUUCUUCACCGCCGUCAACGUCAAGCAGCACGUGUCGAUCGUCCUCUGCCUCGAGCGCCCCAACUUCAACAACUGGAGGGCAUUCUUCACCGCCCUCUGUGCCAAGUACGGGCUCCUUGGCCACAUCGACGGCAUGCUGCCCGCACGUCCGGCAGAUCCUACAUGGUCUCAGCCCAAUGCCUGCAUUCGUGGCUGGAUGCAUGGCUCUGUCGAUGAUCCUAUCCUUGACCUCGCCAUUGACGACGCCGACCACGACGCCCGCGCCCUCUACGUCUCCAUCGAGGCCUUGUUCCAAGCUAACAAGGAACCGCGCACCGUCGUCCUCAGCCAAGAAUUCCAUAGCAUGUUCUAGGGCGACCUCUCUGUCGACGCCUACGCCCAAAAGCUGAGCGCAUGCUGCGCACCUUGAACAACACCAUUCGCACACUUUUGGUUCAUGCAGCCAUGCCCCCAUCUUAUUGGGUGGAGGCUCUCUCCGCCGCUGUGUUUCUGCUCAACCGGCGGCCAUCCUUGUCCAUCAACAACGGUAUACCCUAUCAUCUUCUCCAUCACAAGAUGCCCGACUACUCCAUGCUUCGAGUUUUUGGUUGCUUGUGCUAUCCAAACCUUAGUGCCACGACUCCACAUAAAUUAUCUCCUCGCUCUACGGCGUGUGUCUUUCUCGGUUACUCUCCUUCCGAGAAGGUCUAUUUGUGUCUUGACAUUUCCACUCGCAAGAUCAUAAUCUCGCGACACGUCAUUUUUUAUGAGACUCACUUUCCGUUUGUGGCUUCCAAGCCCCACUCGGACUCUUUUGACUUUUUGUUACAGGACAUACUGCCCGCGCCUCCUCUGUCCACCUCGGACACUGAGGCCAUGACACCGCUAGAGGAUGCCACUGAUGCCGGUGACCCCGUUGGACUGGACCUGGCCAUUCUGUGGCAAGGCGCUGCCCGCCGGGUGCCCUUGGGUGCCUCGCCCCGACCGCCAGCCCCCUCCACAGGCAGCGUGGCUGCUCCUGCAGCCGCUGCAUCACGGACAGUAGCACCGCCUCCUCUCCGUGUCUACACUCGGCGUCCUCGUCCGACUCCACCAGCGGCCGCUGCUCCUACAGCUGCAGCGGCAGCACCGGUGGCGGCACCGCCGGUCCCAGCUCCUCCCUCCCGGGAGACGCGAUCCGAGACGGGAUCGUUACCACCGCCCAUCCAGUAGUACAGUUUCACUGCAGGUUCCACGACGCUGGCAUCCCCGCUGCCCGCCAACUCACGUGCUGCUAUGGCGGAUCCUAAUUGGCAGGCGGCCAUGACCGACGAGUACAAGGCGCUCAUCGACAAUGGCACCUGGCAUCUUGUACCUCGACCACCACAUGCUAAUGUGAUCACUAGCAAGUGGGUCUUCAAACACAAGUACCAUGUUGAUGGCUCUCUUGCCCAUCACAAAGCACGGUGGGUCGUUCGUGGUUUUUCGCAGCAGUACAACAUCGAUUACGACGAGACGUUCAGCCCGGUUGUCAAACCCGCCACCAUCCGUGUCGUCCUCAGCAUCGCUGCUUCUUCAUCCUGGCCGAUUCAUCAGCUGGAUGUGAAGAACGCGUUUCUCCACGAUCAUCUGGAUGAGAUUGUCUACUGCCAACAGCCACCUGGCUUCGCCGACCCGGCCACCCCCGACCACGUCUGCCUCCUACAGAAGUCCCUGUACGGACUUAAGCAGGUGCCCAGGGCUUGGUACCAGCGGUUUGCCAGCUUCGUUCAGUGCUCCGGCUUCACUGCUUCGGUCUCCGACACGUCCCUCUUUGUUUACAAGGAGGGCGCCGACGUCACCUACCUGCUGCUCUAUGUCGACGACAUCAUUUUGACUGCUUCGUCGCCAUGACAGAUCUCAGGGAGCUCCAUCACUUCCUCGAGAUCUCUGUCACGCGGACCUCCGACGGCCUCUUCCUCUCCGAGCGACAGUAUGCCAUGGACCUGCUCCAGCGUGCCGGCAUGGCCGAGUGUCACUCUACAGCGACUCCCGUGGACACUCAGGCCAAGCUCUCAGCUACAGAUGGUGCUCCGAUGGCGUCCAGCAGGUGUGCCUCUUCAUGCAUGACCCGCGUGAGCCUCAUCUGGCGUUGCUCAAGCGUGUCCUCCGGUAUGUGAAGGGCACUCUGUCCACCGGGCUUCACCUUGGUGUUGGUGGCAUCGACAGUUUGAUCGCUUACUCCGUUGCUGAUUGGGCUGGAUGUCCGAACUCCCGGUGCUCCACUUCAGGCUACUGUGUCUUCCUCGGUGACAACUUAGUCUCUUGGUCCUCUAAACGACAAACUAUGGUUUCUGAUUCGAGUGCGGAGGCUGAGUAUCGUGCCAUUGCUCACGUUGUGGCUAACACUUGUUGGCUUCGACAGCUGCUUCAGGAGCUCCAUGCGCCCAUUGCUUCAGCAACGAUCGUCUACUGUGACAACGUUAGCGCCGUCUAUAUGACUGCCAACCCAGUACAUCAUCAUUGCACGAAGGACAUUGAGAUAGGCAUCCACUUUGUUUGUGACAAAGUGGCCUUGGGACAGGUUCGGGUGCUCCAUGUCCCAUCGUCUCAUCAGUUCGCGGACAUCAUGACUAAAGGGUUACUUGUACAGUUGUUUCUUGAUUUUAGGUCUAGUCUUUGUGUUCGUGACACUCCCGCUUAGACUGAGGGAGGGUGUUAGAAUAUUAUUAUAACAGCCCGUAUUGGGCUUACGGCCCAUUGGCCUUGUACUCCUUGUCUGAAUUGUAUAAGUACCACAUUGUAACUUGUAUAUGUACUGCAAGCCUUCUAGGCUAUAUAAUGAAGGUCACCGCCCUAGUUAGGGUGUGCGGUGUUUCUACUGUUACAUGAUAUCUUAUACCACAAUACUAAUGAUGAUUGUUAUAGAGCGAGAUGCAAGUUCCCUCAAUUAUAUGAUAUCAAUGUGGAACAAAACUGUUCUAUUUCUUUUAUGAAACAAAGAAGUGAGCAUCUCUCUUUUAGAAGAUGGCUCAAUUGAGAAGGUUACAUGUUAUCUUAUACCACAAUAAUAAUGAUGAUUGUGAUAGAGCAAGAUGGGAGUGGGAAAAAUCUGGGAACUUCUCUAUCAAAUCUACUUAUAAGAUGCUAUGUAGGCAUGACUGUGGGCCUAACUUCAAACAAGUUUAGAAGGCUAGGAUACCUCUGAAAUAUAAACUUUAAAACAACAAUGGAAAGGUGAUGAAUCAGGCACGGAGAAGGAAACUGUAAGUUUGGUGCUAAUUGUAGACCCAGCAGUUUGGAGCAAUUCUGGAAUUAGUUUCAUUGGAUUAAGUUUGGUGCUAAUUGUAGACACAGCUGUCACGACCAAUUCAGGACUUGAAUUCAUUGGAUUAUACCAAAGGGUAAACUGUCUACAUUUUGGGCUUAGGCAACUGUUUGCUGGGUGCUGUGGUUGACUCCAAAUGCCACAUGUUUUGAUAACAAGAGGAUUAGACCUCCUAGUCAGAUCAUGUCUGAUGUGUUUUGACAACCAGACAUUGGAUUGCUUGGCACGCUUGGACAGGUGUUUUUGCUAGUUCUGCUGGUUGGUGAUCCCUUAGUGAUUAGCCUAGUGGUCAGGAUUAACUUUUUUUCAUGUUUCUUAGAGCACUAAUAAAAUUUGGUUUUUAAACUUAUGUUACUCACAUGUUGUCAAUAAAAAAAGAACAUAUGUGCAACCAACAAUACUCUUGUUAAUAAAAAAGGAAUAUAUGUGCAAUAAAAUAUGCAAUCGACAAACUUAUAAUUGUAGUACUCACAGCUAGAGCUUUCGCUCAGUCUCCUUCGAUAAUAAUCAAAGUGCAUUUGUGAGAGCCCACUCCACCAGCACGAGUUGCAUCCUCAAACUUCGUUGGAUUUGCUUCAAUUUUUUCAUCCUCUUCUUUAAGUACCCAUGCAAGUGUCUCCUUUAAAGCACAUCUAAAUAUUUCUUUAAAGAUAAAAGAAUGUGCCACUGAAAUUUUUUUACUUCAUAUUAGCAAUACACGGGCAUCAAAGCAACAUACAACCUACAUUAUUAAGAAAACAAAACCACAUACCUUGAGUGAGAAACUCCUCGAACAUAGCAAUUGUGAGAGCAGAUCAAUGUAAACUUCUGCAUUAUCAGUUUACUUUAUAUUAGCUAUAUGGAGGCUUAUAAGCAACACAACUUACAUUUAAAAAAAACACACACACACACAAUCACAUACCUUGCAAAUGUGGUUCACCAUAAAAAAGGGAUAGUCCGCAUUUAUGAAGACCCAUAAAUGGCUCUUCACGUCACCUGUCUCUAUCUCAAUGUUCUGAACAUUCUUCAUUUUCCUUUUGAUUGAACUUUUCAGAUAUUCUUCAACAUGUCUUGUCAUAGUAUCAAAUUGAACUCCUCCGUCUAUUACAACACCAUUAACAAAGUUGAACUGAAAACAAUACAAAGAUAGUGAGUUGCAAAACAAACGCAGCCAAUAGAGAAUAUAGCCUACAUAAAUUUGGCUGGGAACACAAACCUGUUGGUAUUGGCCAUUUCUGCUUAAAGUAAUACACACCUCCCCAGCAAAGGCUAACUUUUAUUAUACAAUGAAAUAAAAUACAAGAGUAAAUAAUUAAAAAACAAACAUAUGGUUUUGUUUAUCCUAAAUAAAACUUAAGUUUUUAUGAAAAUUUUAAACCUUUUUGAUGUCUUCUUGGAAGGAGAUGGCAGGUACAAAUCCACAUAACUUGAAAAAAUAUUAGUGAGCAAAUGGCUAUCUAGAUGAACCUUUAGUUUCUGGUUGUUUCUUCUUUUGUAAAGUGCAGCCAGAUCUACCACCCUUUUUCUCAUAAGGGCUGCCAUAUCAUCUUGAAGCUCAUUACAGUAAAAACUCAAUGUGGUCCAAUGACACCCAUUGGAGCAUUUUGUGAUUUUAGCAUUUCUUUUCUUCCCAGGUUUGCCAUAAAAAACCUAAAUUUGUGUUGAAUAAAAUAUGAAAUUAGUGUUUAGUUUAGUCAUUUCUUAAAAAAAUUAAACUUACAUAUUUUAUGCUACUACUAAUUUCUAAACUAAGUAGAGGUUAAAAUAAACAAUACACAUUAGGUGACAACAAAAGUAGUAAACACAGGCUAUCAUAAAUCAAACAUUAUGACACAAAUAAAAAUUUAUACUUGUAUUAAAGUACUCCCUCCGUAUCAGAUUUAGAAGUCGUUUUGGACAAGGUUUGAGUCAAAUAUUGGGAAUAUAAAUCAUCAAUAACUUUGAAAUUGUUGAGUUUGCAAAUGUGAAAAUUAUAUGAAUAGAUUUGUCUUGAAAAAUACUUUCAUAAAUGUAACAGAACCACCCAAUUUACAAGAGAUCAACUACGAAAAACUCCCGCCAAAGUAGUUGCUUUAAUGUAAUCGAACUCUCAUAAACCCGGUAGUCCGUGAAAUCAUGAGGGAUUUCAAACCAACCAUCUUACAAGCCAAGAUUGUAGUGAUUCAACAUAACAAGUCACAUGUUACAUCCAUUUCACAAGUAGUUUGACAUACAUCGGAGUUCAAUAGAGUUAUUACAACUUGAGUUGAAAAGUAGCGAAAGCAAAGUACUUUAAAACUAAUAUUGCCCUCAUUUCAAAUACAUGCCAGUAUCCAGGUCAACUCCAACAAAAGCAUCAUAGAUGAGGUAACUAAGAAGGAUCAUGCCCAUGAUCUUACUCUAUUAUGGUAGGAGUCAUCCAACUCUUGCAGUAGCAAUGAUAUAUCGUAACCUGUAACAAGUGGGAAUAAACCCUGAGUACGAGAAGGUACUCACCUAGACUUACCCGUCAUAAACUAGAAAUAAUAUGACACCAAGGAGUAUGCAAGGCUUUAUUGGUGGAGCUAGCUUGACAACACUUUUUGCAUAAAAAGCCUAAGUUGCAACUAAGUAACCUUUCAGGUAUUUAGCCCAAGUUAAUAAUCAUUAACCUGUCAUCUAUAUUAGCACCUGUACUAAAGCAAUCACUUGAUUAAGAUACAACCAUAGUACCCAUAUUUGAUGUGGCAUUACCAACAUCAUCAUACCAUAACCAUCCAAGUGUUCCAUAAACAUUACUACGAGGACGAAGCUCAAGUCAAGUGCUCACUGUCUAGGAGCGACGGCGAUUCGAAUCGAUUUCUGACCAGCUGGUGAGUUAUUCCCCACACAAACCACACUCACUGAUCAAGUGAGCUACAGAUCACCGCAUUGCACUAUCCAGGACCAAUUCGCGGGUUCGACAGGCAUGGCCCGUACCCGAGGACCGUUCCGGCGACCGAGGUAUGCAAGGUAUACCAAGGUUGCGUGCCGCGCCCUCGUCGUUCUCCUCAACCAUCAACAAUACAGCGCGUACAUCGGGCCGAUUCCCGGCCUGAAUAGUGCUCAGGCUUCGCGGUCAGAACGACUUAUCCUUCCAGUUAAGUGUGGGGCAUGCGUUCAACAUGACAAGAGGGCCAUCAACGAUCGGUCCGUAAGUGACCCAGGCGGGGAUAGAUAGGCACCCAAGACCUCCAUGUCUUGUUACUUCUCUAUCAUCGUCCCGCCCGGUCUCCAAUUAUUCAUCCUCAUCACUUGGUUAUUUCCAUGAUAGCAUAUAUAGCCAACCCUUUUCGGGAAUUCACCUAUCUCGCUCAGGUGACAAAACAUCACCUGGCUUCUACUAGUCUAAGCAUGACUAAGCAUUUAGAUUCGAUCCUGAAUCUACAUAGGGUAAUAGGUAUAUUUGCUGGACAAGGAGUGUUAUAUGCAGCUAGGGUUUCACCCAACUCCUAUACUUAAUGCAACAAUACAUAUAUAUAACAUAUAUUCUCAAUUGCAUUCAAAAGUAGUGGGAGACUUAUAAUGCUCCUGUGCUUGCCUAGGAUCAACACUGAGUCAGUUCAGUUAGUUGCUCCAUCUUGAUGACAUCUUAGGUCGCAACACUUGCUUAGUUCUUCCACCUUCGGGAUGGGUCCACCCAACACCGUCUUCGGGUUUGUUCCCACACCAAGACCUUCACGUUAUACACCUACCGCACCUAGAUGAGAUGCAAGAUGCAAGUGCAUGAAUAUGCGGAAUAGUGACACAACAUGCAUUACAUAAAAGUAUGCAAGACACAUGCCUCUAAGUUAUUUAACUAACAUCACACAACCAAAUAUUUAGAAAACAUAUCAAUCACAACACAAGUUUAACAAGUUUACAAGUGUAUUACUUAAUCACCGCUAAAGACAUGUAUCAUAGUUAGCACACAAAGUAAAGCAAUCAAGCAUUCAUGUAUUUCAGCAGUUCUGGACAUACAUGCAACAACUCAGUAAAUAAAUCAUAACUGGAGUUACAGAACUCAAAAAACUAUGCAAUAGGACAUUCUGGAAAGAAUAUAAAAUUAUCUACAAUUCAUCUUUAAUCAUCUCAGUAUGAUUAACAAGUUAACCAAGUCAAACAUGCAUGACCAUAUAAUCUGGUCCAGGAACUUCCAGAGAACAAGCAUUUCAAAGGAUGAACUUCAUACUACUGUAACUCAUAAACGACUUAGCUGAAUGCUAUGAAACUUUACCACAAGAUAUAUUUGUAAGUUAUCUACAUCUUUUCUAUAUACAAGUUCAACAGCAAAUUUCAUUUAUAUCAUGGAAUUAAUUGCAUAAAUAAAACUGUUCAUGCUGCCAAACAGUAGAAGUAUAAUUACAAACAGAAAACUAACAGGUGAUUCAAAGCAGCAUAACUGGAGUUGUAGACCUCCAGCAAACAUAAUUCUUAUAUUUGUGGAAAGCUUAUAAAGUUAGCUACAACUUUCUUAUUAUCAUCUAAAUAUGAUUCCACAGUUAACAAGGUCAAUUGACCCCAUGAAGACAUCUCUGUCCAAAACAUGGACAGAAUCUGUCAUGCCAUAUUAAACAGCUAUAACUUGAGGUUCACAUGUCCAUAAUUUAUGUUUGUGUACUUUAUAGAUAGCUUACUAAAUGGUGAACAACUUUGUUAUAAACAUCUAUAGAUAAAUCUACCAUUAAUAAGGUCGUACAUUACAAACAAUGCAACCCUGUCUGGGUUUAGACAGAAACUUGAACAGUAAUUUAAACCACUAUAAAUAAACAUAUACUUAACCAAAAAUUGUGGUACUUAGAUUUCUGGAAGGCUUAUGAAAAGUACUACAACUCAUAUAUUCUCAUCAAGGCAUGAUUCACAACUUAACUGAGCCAAAUAAUACAAACAUGCAGACCUACUCAGAAUAGGAGCAAAGCAACAAAGGUCAUUUGUUAUUUUUAUAACUCUUAAUCUCUCAAUCCUAAAAUUAUGAAACUUUUACCAGACAUCAAGCAUCAUAUUAGAAGCAUGUCGCAAUAUUUUCACAUUUAUUUGGGCAAUAACACAGCAGUUAUGAAAAAGACAAAUAUAACAAGCAAUUAAAACCUAACUGCAUAAAUCUAUUUUUACGACUAAAACUUCAAAUUAAACUAUGCCAUAUUAUAGAUCUACUGCAUAGAAAAUUUUAUAAGGAUUCCAAAAAGUCCACAUUUAAUAUUUUACGACUUUUCUAUGAAUUACUUAUGCAUUUCCAAACUUUAUACAAGAAAUCUGCAAAAACAAAAGAUAAAGGAAAAACGACUUUGCAUCGGGAACCCUCAACUUUCUCCAAAUUAACCCGCCGUCCAGAGCACUAUGAAGUCGGUAGUUCGCAUCUGGAACCCUGAGUUGUUUCUUAUUCCAACAGAGACAUGACCAACAGCUUCUGGGGGCAAGUGGCCAGCCGCAGCAGGAGGCAGCCGGCGACCUGGCCUCGGCUAGCCAUGGCCACGCCCGGCCCUAGUAUUGGCCGGCUGCAGCCAGCAGCAGCAGGAGCUCAAGCUCUGCUCGAGGUCGAUGGUGGCCAUGGCAGCUCUGUUGCACAAGAGCGACGAGAGAGAGUUAGAGACGGGCGAGAGCUAGUGGGGAACGAUUGAGGAGCGCAAGGUGAGCUCGACCCGCACUCAGCUCUCCCCAUCGAGCAGCAGGCGACGGCAGAGAGGCGCAGAGCAGCUCGUGCAUGGAGGAGACGCACCAGACGUGCGUCGCCCAUUGACGCAUUUCGCCGAGCACGUGGCGCGCGUCGGAGUAGGCAAGGUGGGAGGCGAUUUUGGGCUUGUUUCGGGCCGAAUUUGAAGAUGGGCCAAAAACAAAGUUUGCUCACCUCGACCUGCUCUCCAACUUUGUUUAAGGGUGCUCAGUCAUUAGACCAACAGAUUAGGAGAUAACUUAAUGCCAUGUCACGAGUGUCAACGUAUUGACGGUGAUUAACAAACCAAGAAUUCAUGGUCCAAACCAUGUCAAACUUGAUGCAACUUUUUGCAUGCUCUUCUCCAAACAAUUAUCCACAACUUUUAUUCUUGGACCAACUUGAGUUGCUUAACAAAAACACGAGAACGCGGCAUGCCAACGGGUACACGUCCGUUUAGCAAUAAAAUAACCUUUUGCUGUUUUGGGAGCUACUUUUAGAUAUCCAAAUGAACUCCAAAUUUGAUGACACUUGGUCCAUUGCUUUAAUCAGGAAGGGUACUCCAACUCAUAUUAAGGAAUCUAAUUGAGUUACUAUAUGAAUUUGGAUAAUAAAACGUGACGAAGGAUCUAACUCACUGCUGUACUUCCAGGGACUUAGAAUUAUUUCUCAGGGCUAAAAAGCAGCAGCUGAUUCGAAAUUUUAGCCUCUGUUUGAGCUAUUUGCAUGCUGAUUUGGUUCUUGACUCUUGAAUGAAGUUUCUUAUACAGAAGCAAAACUACAACUUUUAUUUAGGGUCAAACCUCAUAACUCCAACAGAAGUCAAACUUUCACUUUGGUCAAAGCAGUAUCGUGAUAAAGCUCCAAAUAGGGUUUUAGGCCAAUUGAAGCAUUUUCUUGACAUAAGCUCAACAUGAACCCUUCAUGACUUUUGUUGUAUAAUUCAUCUAGAGUCAUAUGAGCAAGUUUGGAAGGUUUGGUUCAUGACCCAUGAUUCUAUUUCCUUAAUAGAGCCAUUCCAACAAGGAUAUAACUCAUCAUUUCAUGUGACUUCUUGAUUUCAAACUUCACAAAAAUUUUCCAGAGACCAAUAUAGAUUGGGAUAGAUAUGAGACACAUGAAAAAUGUUCCACUAACACCAUCCAAGCAUACCUUUCAAAAAGGGCAUAUAUGUAAGUAAAGGUGCAUCAUCCAAGUCCAAGAUAGGGCUUACUUUCAUAGAUUGACUUUGACCUUUUUAUUACCAUUGAACUUGUCAUGUUUGAGCUCAAAUCUAGUACUUAGCAAGUGACAACACCUGGGGUGUUACAGCCUUCCCCCCUUAAAAGAAUCUGGUCUCGAGAUUCGGUGCAAAAUACUUUCCAGGGAAGAAAACAAUGUCCUCCAUCUCUCAACAUCAGCAAUAACAGUGGGCUACUUUGCUUGGAACAUCAGAGAAGCUAACUUGGUCCAAUCAUUUUCUAAUUCUUGCCCUUCAUAGUAAACCUUUAUCUGAGGAAUCUCCCUUUUUGUUUGACUUUAGUGAAGCAUUGUUACUUUGGGAGGAAUCAAGACAAACUAUUCCAUGUACUUUGUUCCUGGUGUAUAAACAAUGGUUUAGAGCAUAAGGAGCUACUUGUACCAUUAGCUUCUUUAGUGAAACUAAUGCAAUCCAUAUGAACUUUGCACUAUGUCACAAGCUUCUAAGGGUUGCUCAUUAUAGUGACUCCAGACUCAUUCACAAGAUUUUAAAAGCAGUCCUCUACCAACAUGGUUGGAUUACAACUUUCCACGCAUGCAGUUCUCUUUCUAUGAUGACAACAUUGUACUUACCACCUGGUUAAGAGAACGGUGAAUGCGAUAGCUGACUCUGCUGGUUUCACGCCUUCCAUGAUCAUUUACUUUAAGGGGAUUCUUGUAUCCAAACAACAACAGUUACUUGGGUCGGAUCAGAUGUAACUUCUUGGGCAAUACAUAGAAGGUAACCAAGGCAUGUAAGAAUUGGAUAACCACUACUGACGAAGGAUGAUAGUGGGGCUAUAUGUCUCCAAUAGUUGCAAGUGUUCAACCAACUAAAGAAAUAGCGUACCACCAGUAGGUUAAGCAUGAUCUUUCUUCAUGAUGCAGUUGCAUAAGAGUUAGGUUGACUUGUGCCAUAGCAAAACCAAUCUAGUGAAACUACUUUUGUUUUUGAGGUUUCCUUUUUAAGAUCAGUCGGUAGCUCUAACAUUGGAAAUCUAUUGACUGACACCUUUCAAAACAUUUUUAAUUUGCACUGGCACAAAUAGGUACAAAGAAUCUUAUUUCAGCACAUAAGCAUUAUCUAUGCAGCAAGACAUUGCCCAUACUGUAAUCCAUGGCACCAAAAUCAACACCACUUUAUAUACGAAGGAUGAUCGAUAUCCAAAGCAAGAUUGCAAAGUUCUAACCCUUUUGGGUUUUAGUUCAUAUUUCACCAAUUACCACUCACAUUUCCAUUAACUUUGGUAGAAACACAGAUCCAUGAGUCUUCCAACCUCAGACCAACCAUUUAGCUCCAAUAGGCACCCUUUGCAUAAGCAGAACAUAUACAUACUAAACUUGUUCUAUGCUGAAACUGUAGCAUUCUGGACUGACAAGACAUCUCUCACUCCAAAGUUUGAUUCACUAGUUGAUGAAAUAUAUCCUUCAUGGCUAUCAACCCAUCGUUUCCUUGCUUGAGAUUAGCUUUGUUACUAGCAACCAAUCAAUUGGCUCUCAGUACUAAAAUUCCAAAGCUCCACUCUUAACUACAACAAUUGUGGCUGACGCUUAACAAUUGGUCACCUUCAAAGCCAGGAGAUAAGGAUUCAUGAUAAAGAUGGUUGACUUUAGUCGUAUCACCACGAUGCACAUAAAGAUCAAGACUUAGGAAAACUAGAUCAUAAGCACAAUUUUGGUUCGGUGUGGAUGACCAAUGUUGCUCAUUAAAUGGCCAUCAUCAAUGUAGGGAUAGUUAAAUAGUGUCACUUGUCUACCACCUCUUGCAGUCUGUCAAUGUUUAUGUCAGUGACCCAUUCUUCAAAGGUAAUCCUCUUUGUAACUUCAUAGGAAGUUCUCUUACUCGCACAUGAAGUAAUGAUCUUCUGAUCAAAUCUGGAUAGAUAAUUAAGGACAAACUCAUGAUGAGAUGACACAUUGGUGUAGUUCUAUAAUGGAUCAUGGCUAGCAACAACGAUACCAGCGCGUGCCGAGCAGCACAACCAUGUGUCGGCCGCCACAAGCGGCUCUCGGUUUUGUCACGGCACCAUCAAUCAUUAACCAAGACACCAUUACCGAACAUACAAUCCAAAAGAAAUAUCCCAUGGUAAAAGUUGGGUUGCAUAGCAGCGAGCACUUUGCAAAAGAGGGGCAUCAAACUGAGAUAGUCAUGAGAUUAGAAGUCCACAAGGAGGUGAUUUAAAACAUAGUACUAGAGAACAUAGAUCACAUGAGAUUAAGACGGAUAAACACCUAGAGACUCAAGAGAGUUGGAGAUAAAAUGAUUAAGAUUUGAAAGAUUGUCAAUACACAGAUUAGGGGAUGGAUACACAACAUUCAAGAGCUAACAACCAUACACAAACUCAAGCUCUUUAUCAUUGGAAUCUACUUGGAGAUAACCAUGAGAUUAAAGUGACAUGAGUGUUAUUCUAAGAUAAGGCUCUUCAACACUCGCAUGCUUACUAAGGACAAAAAGGUAACAACUAUGACACUACCUAGUUAACAACACAUCCACUCAUGCAUCAAGGUUUUAAGCAAACAUUUGAGAACAUGAAUCACACUAUCUCCAACAAUCAUUACUAAGCACAAAGUUUUGCAGAUAACAAGCAGUCAUCUAAACCAACACUAGUACACCUAAACAAACAAAACAUGAUGGUAAGGUGUUUUUAUCUUUCACUUUCUUUUACUAGAAAGGUGUAUGUCUCUUCUCUAGUUGUGAAAACAAACUUUUAACUUAUGCUUAGAAGACUAGUCAUCUUAGAGAUGUGCAUCAUACUGACAGGGUGCACAGAUCAACCACAACACUGGCAAAACAAAGCUAAUCACACCCUACCUUCAAUUAUAGCUAUUCAAGCAACAUGGAGCAAAGCAUUAUAUCUAACUGCACACUAGCCAGGUGAUACACAUUGAUUUACAAGUUACUUAUUGUUAGAACAAAGGUGAGAGAAGCAUAGCUAUACAUAAGGCAACAAUCAUGAUGAUGCAUGCUUCGUCCUAUUCGUCCUUGUUGACGGUAUUUAUACCAUGUUUUCUACUAUCAUAACCGUCAACAUAAGACUCAUUUUGGGAGAAAACAACCAAACAAAGUAGUAAUAUAGGUACAUAUAACCUAGUUCCACAUGUACAUGCUACUAUUUGGUUGCAGGAGUAAGAACAGGUACUUUUCAAGGGUCCAAACACUAAGAAGGGGUGAAUAACUAAAGAUCAGUGACACCAGUAACCAAGACAACAUUAUAGUCAUGAAGAGGAAGACAUGUAGGACAGGGCUGACACCCUAACCCCAUAGAAUUGGGGUCGGGCGACCCCACUUUGGUGGGUCCCACAGGUCAGCUCAACUCCACCGACAUCAGAGAGCCUCCAGGACACUGCAGGUGGGCCCAACCAGCCAGAUAGGGGGUCGGCCGACCCCACUUCAUGGCGGUUCCAGGGUCGGUUGGCCUCCCACCGACCUUGCCCACAUGUUGCACAUGUUAGUUUGCCUCUACCGUUGAUCAGAUGGCGGUUGUGAAGUCGGUUUGAUCCAAUGGUGCAUGAUGAAGAUGACGCGGAUCGCUGACGUGGCACCGGAGUAGCCCCUACUCCAUCUCCCACUAUAAAUACCCCCCUAUUCCUUCACUUAAGAGUCAUGUAUCUUAGGAGUAAACUACUUUAGUAGCUUAGUGAUAUCAUAGUGAGUAGAGAGUGAGGAGUUCCAAGGAGGAGUCCCGGCCUGUCGGGAGUCUUCUUCGCGGAGCACCUCAGCGGAAGCAGGUCUUCUUGUAAGUCUUACUUCUGAGUCUUUUCUAGUAUUUAAUAUUUGGUCUGGUACUUUAAGUAUAAGAAUCCUUUACUGGCACAUUGCUUGAUCUUGAGUGCUCUUAGCUUUAGCUAAGCUUAGGGUAGCAAGAGCUAGUUUAGACGUGGUGUCUAGACUACUUCUUGCCAGUGUGGACUCCUUGUCGCAGUUGUGUAGACACCUAGUGUGAGAGUGACAGUCCUCGCUAGGCGGAAAGUUCCUCGCAUCUGUUGUAGGCAAGUUGCAAAUAAUAGUUGGGCUGAGCAGGGUAGUCGCUUAGGAGACGAGGAGGUGAAAAACUUCGUUAACUCAAUCCUCCUUUUCGGGUAUCGCCCUCAGUAAAGAGUUAGGUGAAAAACCUUGACUAUACUUAAUUACCAAGACCAGGCAUUAAUACUAGUUAGACCUCUCUACCCCAUUAUCCUAGACCCUUUGAUCAUCACCUAACGAUCUAAAGCCUAGUUAAUUCACUUCGCGUUCCCCGUGGAAAUCACGAUACCUGGAAUACUCCCGGUGAAGGCUACAUUGACUACCGUACGCUUGCGGUAUAACCGUUUGCCACUUCUGGUGUCAACAAGCUUUCUGGCGCCGUUGCCGGGGAACAGUAGCUGUUUUAACUAGGAAAAAAAAAUCGUUAAGUUAUCUUUGUUUGAUUUAAAACUUUAUACACAUAUCCAAAUGGAUCAAACAACCCUCUUCGAUUACGCUGCUCCAACGGGCGCUGAGUUGGAGCCAGCGAGUUCAUCAAAAGCCAUUUUGGCCUGUCACUAUGAGCUUCGCCCGAGUCUCAUAGCGAUGGUUCAGGAGAAUCCCUUUUCGGGAGAAGGAGAUGAAAAUCCUUACACACACCUACGAGAUUUCGAACAACUUUGUUCAUGCAUCCACAUCCAAGGGAUGAGGCGAGUUACCCUCAAGUGGAAGCUCUUUCCGUUCUCUUUGACGGGAAAGGCCAGACGGUGGUACACUCGCUAUGUAGGUAGUGUAGGAGGAGAAUGGGAAAAGCUGCAAGCCAAAUUCUGCCUCACCUACUUUCCCAUCUCUAGAAUAGCUCGUCUCCGUAGAGAAGUCCUAGACUUCAAGCAAGAAGGGAAGGAGUCUCUAGGUACGGCCUGGGCGCGUCUCACCGACUUAACAUCAUCUGGCCCAGACUUAGGUAUAACCGAGCCAAUUCUUAUGCAACAUUUUUACCUCGGACUUAGCCAACAAUCCGCACAAUUCCUUGAUUUAGCCUCAAAGGGAGCAUUCCUUCAUUUACCUAUCAGUGAAGGUAAGGCCAUUCUUGGGACUAUUCUCGAGAAUACCCCUUACACUGAUGAUCAUAUUGAAGCUCCUGAGGAAGAUCGAACUCCUAGGGAUGAACCUUCGACAGCCAAAACUCCUUUAGCCGCAACCCAAGCUGUCGAACCUGAACCAAUACCACAAGCACCUCCAAGGGAAGAAGUAAUUCAUCCCUUGGAUUACCCACUUAACAUCGAGACUGAUCUAUUUGCCGAUUUUGGCAAUGUCUCGAAUCAACCUGUGCAAAGGAGAUCUACAGCACGCAGAGCUCCGAAUAGCCAUAUCCCAGCUCAUCUUGAGGCUGGUUACCUCAGGGCAACUGCCCAAGAACUCACGGCUAUUAUGAGUAAUGAAUGGGUUAGAGAAGCUGAGACAUCAUCUGAUGUCAUCAAACUUCUUUCGAGUUUUACACCCAUUCCCUGUGUCAUAAACUCCACUCCUAUAGAAUCCCUUUAUGACCCUGCUGUAGGAGUAAGCCUAAUGUCCAAAUCAUUAGUACUGACACUCCUAGGCGAGGAACCAUUAACCCCGACCAGCAAAUUUCUUAAAUUACGCUCUGGGGAAAUGUUCGAGAGUUGUGGGAUUGCGCAGAAUAUUCCUGUCUCCAUUAACAAAGUCAACAUUCUGCUAAACUUCUUUAUCUUUGAUAUGAAAGAAGUUGACUUGUUAAUCGGGCACCCCAUCAUGUGGUUCCUAAAUGGAUUUCAUGAAGGGCGUCUCAAGGGUAACCUCGGGAAGGGCUUAGACCUUUCUAUGCCUUUUGCCGGCUCUAUUAAUUCUAAAGCCGAGACCCCGCCCGAGCCUGACCCAAUAAAGGAGGUGAUGUCGGCAUCUCUUCUGGACUCUUCUCAGCCUGACUUAGAAGAAGACGCCGAAAACUUCAUCCAAGAAGAAGAGAACAAAUUAGAAGAACCAUUAGACUUGGAUGAAUCUAAACCACCACCAAAACCCUCUAUAGAACUUAAGCCACUUCCCUCUGGACUUAAGUACGCCUUCCUUAAUGGUGAUAGAGAGACUCCGGUAAUCAUUAGUGAUCAACUGACAGAAGAAGAAGUCACCAAACUCAUCAUCGUCUUAGAAGAACGCCGCUCUGUCUUAGGAUACUCGUUAGAAGACCUUAAGGGAAUUAGUCCUGCACUCUGCACUCAUCGCAUCCCUAUCGAACCCGAUGCUAUACCUUCCAGGGAGCCUCAGAGAAGGCUAAAUAAUGCGAUGAGAGAAGUUGUGAAGAAAGAGGUCUUAAAACUAUUGCAUGCGGGCAUAAUCUACCCUGUUCCGAACAGUGAAUGGGUCAGCCCCGUUCAAGUAGUUCCUAAGAAAGGAGGAAUGACGGUCGUUAAAAAUGACAACAAUGAACUCAUUCCUCAACGGACUGUCACGGGAUGGAGAAUGUGCAUAGACUACCGAAAACUUAACAAGGCCACUAAGAAAGACCACUUUCCGUUGCCAUUCAUCGAUGAGAUGCUGGAACGGUUAGCCAAACACUCUUUCUUCUGCUUCCUUGAUGGGUAUUCGGGUUACCAUCAAAUCCCAAUCCAUCCCGACGACCAAAGUAAGACUACAUUCACAUGCCCCUACGGAACAUAUGCAUAUAGGCGCAUGUCUUUUGGCCUAUGCAAUGCUCCUGCCUCUUUUCAAAGGUGCAUGAUGUCCAUCUUCUCCGAUAUGAUCGAGGAAAUCAUGGAAGUUUUCAUGGACGACUUCUCCGUCUAUGGGAAAACUUUUGAUGAUUGCCUAAAGAACCUGGACCGAGUCUUACAAAGGUGCCAGGAGAAGCACUUGAUCUUGAACUGGGAAAAGUGCCAUUUUAUGGUUCGAGAAGGGAUAGUGUUAGGACAUAGAGUGUCCGAACGUGGGAUAGAGGUAGAUAGAGCUAAAAUUGAAGUUAUAGAACAGCUCCCUCCUCCCACAAAUGUUAGGGGCGUCCGUAGCUUUCUUGGCCAUGCAGGCUUUUAUAGAAGGUUCAUACAAGAUUUCUCUCAAAUUGCUAGACCUUUAACAAACCUGUUAGCUAAGGAUGCACCCUUUGAUUUUAAUGAUGAGUGCUUGGAUUCCUUUUACUAUCUUAAGAAAGCACUUAUCUCUGCACCAAUCAUUCAACCCCCUGAUUGGUCGCUACCUUUUGAGAUAAUGUGUGAUGCUAGUGAUUACGCUGUAGGUGCUGUCUUAGGACAGACUAAAGAUAAGAAGCAUCACGCAAUAUCUUAUGCUAGCAAAACACUAACAGGACCACAGCUGAAUUAUGCAACAACUGAAAAAGAACUAUUGGCUGUAGUGUUUGCUAUAGACAAGUUUAGAUCUUAUUUAGUUGGAGCAAAGGUGAUUGUUUACUCCGAUCACGCAGCUCUAAAAUACUUGCUCACUAAAAAAGAUGCUAAACCAAGAUUAAUAAGAUGGAUCCUACUACUCCAAGAAUUUGACUUAGAAAUUAGAGAUAAAAAGGGAGUAGAAAACUCGGUAGCCGAUCACUUGUCUAGGAUGCAAAUCGAGGAUAAACAGGAUCCACCUAUCAACGACUACCUUCGAGACGACACACUCCUCCGAGUUUCAGAAGCCUACCCAUGGUAUGCAAACAUAGUCAACUACCUGGCGUCCGGAUACAUACCAUCUAGGGUAGACAAGAAGAAACUUGUUAAAGAGAGUAGGGUGCACCUAUGGGACGAUCCUUACCUCUACAGAGUCUGUCAAGAUGGCAUACUGUAACAUCCCUGAUGUUACGGUUACUAAAAACGGAUCAUGUCAUCAUAAGCAUUGUAAAGCAUAAUUGUUAAAGCACAUUAGUAUGCAUCAACUUAAAAUAAGUUUACUUUGUUUGCUUGAGCUUAGGGAAGUAGAGUGUGCUUUUGUGGUGUGGUGUUGCUUGUGUGGUUGCUAAACCCUAGGGUGGAAGUUUUCCGAAGAGCUAAGGGGGGGAAAACCCUGAUUUUGAACCCUAGAACUGCCCCCUUUUGUGUAAUUCAAAAACUAAGCCAAAUUUGAGGUUGAGUUCAAAAGCAAAGUUGUAGCUCUUGGCAAGAUGUACAACUUUGGUGUUUUGAGUUUUUGAAGUUUCAAUACAAAAUUCAAAGUAAUUUUGAAAAUACAGAUUUCCGAAAAGUGUCCCCUUUUCCAAAUUAAACCCCCAAUUCAAAAUCCAUUUGGAAUUUGGAAAAGUGGUCAACAUGAAAGUUGUAGAGCACAAAAAGUUGAGCAACUUUCAUGUUGGGAGUUUUUCAAGUUGUUUAGGAAAAACAAAAGUAAUUUUGGAAACUCUGUUUUGUCCCCAAAUCAAAAAUUUGAAUUUCUUUUGAAUUGAGUUUGAUUUUCAAACUGUCCGGCAAAAUUAACCUAUUUCCAUUGGGAAUCAGCUUGGAACACCUAAAUAUGAUUUGUAGCUUACAAAAUUUGGCACAACUUUUGUUUUGGUGGAAAUUUGACUUCAGUUCAAAUUUUGUUUGAAUUUCGCAAAAUCCAGAAAAGAGGGGAUAAGGGUUGCUACAGUGAUCCGAUAGGGAUCACCGGCUCCCUGUCCAGCGCGGCCGCCGUGCGCGCAGCGCCGCGUGCGCGCGCGCAGGCACGCAGCUGCUUGCUGCCAGGGUCGCCAGGCGACGUGGACGCCUCGGGCUUGCCUUCCCCUCCACUUGAGCACCGACGUGGACGACGCCGUCCAUUUCCACUGUCCACGGCCGGAGAAAACUCGACGUCCCUCUCCCUGAAAUUCACCGUACCCAGUUUCCCUCGCGCCAAAUUGAGCACGCUGCCGUAUUCGCCACCUCCUUGCGGACCCAGAGCACCCCCGAGCUCACGCUCUAACCCCCUUAAGCGCCAGAGCUCCUCCUUCUUCUCUAAGUCCGGCCGGCGUCACCGCCGUGGAAACCUUCACGUGAGCACGCUGCUCCAGUCGAUACCACGCCUUGAAGGCGGCCGUUUCGAGUUCUUCUUGUUUCCCCGAUACUCAUGCGCUCGCUAUUUCUCACUGGACGCCAACAGGAUCGCCGGAGCAACCUCGCCGGAGCCGGAGCAUCAGCCCGACCGCACGGCCACCGUCGCCAAGCCUCUCUACUGCUUCUCCCGCCGUGGUGAUGUGAGCACCAUGAUCCCCACUCCUUCCCGGACCUCCCGGACCUACUGGUUCACGCUCUACCGAACCGUCGUGCCCGGUCCUCGGCGACCGACGCGGCCGUCCGCCAUUUGCGUGGUUGAGGUGGAGAGAGAGCGGGAGAGCGUCCGUGGGUGGUAGCUUUGGAGUCGCAGGGUUGGCGCGGUGCUGGUGCGCGCGCGCGCGGGAGCCGUGGAACCCGUUAGCGGUCGCCGGAGCGGCGGCAGCACCGCCGUGAGCGAGGGAGGCGAAACUGACGAGCGGGACCCGCUCGUCAGUGACCGUGCGGAGAGGGGAGCGCGCGCGCGACGCCCGCAUGGGCCGAGCCAGUGGGCCGCCUGCGCAGCGCGGUUGUGGGCCGCAACGCGCGUAGUCCGCGCGGGAGAUCGCUCCCAGGCCGACUUGGGCCGUGCCCCAGUGGGCCGCCUGCGCAGCAGUGUCGCUUUUCUUUUUCCUUUUUGAUUAAAAUUUGCUUGAUGUUUGAAAUUAUAUGUUUAAUUGUGUGCUAAUCCAAAAAUGAUGAAAGUUUUUGUAUAGGUUCCAUAAAGUGGGUAGAACACAAGAAAAAUGGUGGAUUCUGUUUUCUGGUAGUUUGCAUGUCUGUAAAAAUUUGCUCUUUUAAUUAAUGAAUAAAACUUCUAGGAAUUUUAAUAAUUUAUUUGUAUGUCCAAAAAUCACCAAAAAUUGUGGGGAGCCUCUGAAUAUUAUUCCCUGGCUCCACACAAAAUUUGGUGGCAUGUGGAUAAUGUUUGAUUAGAAUACUAAUAAACCCUUAUUUAACACUUAAGUAAUAAUUCCAAAAUAGUUAAAUAGUGGUUAUUUAGGUUCUCAUGAUUAGGGUUGAGUGAUUUUGGGAUUGUGUGAUGACCUGAGGUCAUUAACUCUAAUGACCUCUGGCAGUUAAUUAUUGUUUAGCCUUAAUGCUUAAUUACUGUCAUUAGUAAUUAAUUAAGAAUUAAUUGAGGUAAAUAGGUUUAAUAAUUACUUAAUGUAAGAUAAUUAUGAAUUAAGUAAAGUCUUAGUUUACAAAUGAAACCUCUUGGGUAAAAAUAUUAAGUUGUUAAACAACUUUAUUUAGUGACAAUUCUGUAUUACAUUAAAAAGGCAAAUUGUACUUAAUUCGGUCCAUCUUGCAUAAUUGCCAUACGCAUAUCAUAAGCAUUCAUCAUUUUGCGUAUAGUGUCCGUGACCGAAGGAGCGCCCGUUGAACCGAACCCCGAGGUCGGUGCUCCGUUCGAGGAAGUCGGAUCCGAGACUUGGGAAGUCUCCGAGGGUCCCUCUCUGCCCUGCAACCAAGGCAAGCCCCGGAUGCAUUAACCCCUCCUUGGAUGUUUUAAAUCUUUUAUCACUUAUGAAUUGAAAAUGCUGCAUUAGGUAGUUGAGAAUUGGGUUAACCUACUUGCUGCAUUUACUACCUUGAUAUCUAUAUCCUGUCCUUGACACCUGUUUUAUUUUAAAACUGCGUAGCGAUGCUUAGCCCUGCUACUAGAUAGGUUUUCAAACAAGAAAGUUUGAAGGGUUGUUGUGGGAUACACUUAUGGCCAAUGAUGUUUCAACUUGAGACCGGUCGGUGGACUUGCUUUAAGAAUGGAGUCUUAAAGUAGUGUCUCCAACUGUGUCGGUUAAGGACCGGUCCGUUGAUGGCCUGCUGGGUUGAGAAUUUAUAGUACUAGCCACUUGCCUACGGUAAGCCCAGUCUUGUGAUCCCUCGACGCGAACAGCUACUCGCGCACUGGGAGUGGAAAGAUGGCGAGAGUAGUGUGUACCCACCUUACGGAUCUGAGAUGACCGGAAAACAUCUAGAUCGGCUGUAGGAUGGUGGAGUACUGUGCUCUCGGGUGCCGCGAACCUGGUCAAAUUUGGGGAGAGCUUGAUUUGGGUUGAUAUAUGCAAGAUUUGGUUCUACAUAUGUCGGGUGGUUAGGAACUCCAGCUGGAUUGCUAAGCGAUUCGAAUCGUCGUUGCUCCCCGAUUGGGAGACUCAAUUCCUUCGACCCUCAUCGUAGUUAAAUAUGCAACUAAGUGAUAAAAUGAGAAAAGGGAAAAUGUCUCAUGAGGUUCGGAUCCCAAUUCCCGGACUCAUAGCGACAUGAAGCUAUGACCAUCGAUAAAUAACACUUAAUGAUAGGGUUAGGAACUCACGGAUUCGUCUGUGGGGAACAACUAGUUAGACUAUCCUCGAAUUCUUCUGCCCUGCGAGGGAGGAAUUCAGGGUAAAACUUGAAAAUAAGGAUGCACUACUAGUAAGCUUUCCGCAAAACACUUUGGCUCCUUGCUCAGCCACCCCUUGUCUACCCUAAGCCUGCAUCCCUAAAUUCUCCUCUUUUCCCCGUCGGAUAAGUCUUGUUGAGUACUCCCGUACUCAGGGUUUCAAUACCCCUGUUGCAGGUGAAGCUCAGGAGCCGACUUGUUUCGGAUCCUGUUGUGUGACCGUCGUCGAGGUUGACGACGAAGAAGAGUGAGCGUGACCCAUGGGCUGGGUCUGUAAAUUUGUUCUGUCUGUACUAAAGUUUCAGUUGCUCCGCUGGACUAGGCUUGUAAUAACACUCUACUAUUUGGAAGAACUCCUUUUGUAAAUUAUGUUAUGUAAUACUUCCGCUGUUUCACUCUGAAAUACUAUUUUGGUCUUGUGUCGUUGAGUUACUGCUUUAUCUUCGCAACGAAUGAUCCUGGUGUUACGGUGGCCACUUGCUAUCCUGUAAGGGCGAGAAGAAACAGUUCUCGUUGUUUGACCAUUAUCAGUGGUCAGGACGAGUCAGCUUGGUACGCCACAGGUAGCAGUGGAAUGAGCGCACAGUAAGGCUCAUCGGACUUCUAAAGUGGGAGGACUCCCGGCAUCACCGUCAGAGGUCCUUAGGACAAUGGCAGGUGCCGGUGGGCCCAAACACUUAGGGGGUUCUGCCACACAUACUCAGGAGAUGUGUUCCCAUGGACGAAGUAGUAAAAAUAAUGGAAAAAUGCCAUGGGGCAGAGUACGGAGGCCACUAUGGAGCAUUCAGGACCCAUGCCAAGAUAUGGCAGAGUGGAUUCUACUGGCCUACCAUGUACGAAGAUACAAAGAACUUCGUAAGGAGAUGUGCAAGGUGUCAGAAGCAUGGGAACAUCAAUACUCGUGAUGCAAUGCCACUCACAAACAACUUACAAGUCGAGAUAUUCGAUGCUUGGGGCAUAGACUACAUGGGGCCAUUCCCUUUGAAACAAGAGUGUGAGUACAUCCUAGUGGCAGUAGACUAUGUGUCCAAGUGGGUCGAAGCAAUGCCCUGCAGAGCAGCCGACUCUACACAUUCGAUAAAGAUGUUCAAGGAAGUCAUAUUUCCACGCUUCGGCACCCCCAGACUAGUUAUCAGUGAUGGAGGGAGCCACUUCAUUGACAGAAGAUUCCGACGGUUCUUAGCUGAAGUGGGGAUAAGGCACAACAUUGGAACACCCUAUCACCCUCAAACGAGCGGACAAGCAGAAACAUCUAACAAACAAAUCAAGAACAUUCUGCAGAAGACUGUCACUAAGAUGGGAACCGGCUGGAAAAGCCAUCUACCAGAUGCACUUUGGGCAUACAGGACCGCAUACAAGACCCCAAUUGGUAUGACACCAUACCAACUUGUAUACGGUAAGACAUGCCAUCUACCGGUAGAGCUAGAGCAUAGAGCUCACUGGGCAAUCAAGAAAUGGAACAUGGAUUUGCCCUCGGCCGGAAGAAAUAGAAAGCUCCAAAUCUCCGAACUAGAAGAAUGAAGAGAUAAAGCCUAUCACAAUGCCAGGAUCUACAAAGAGAGAACAAAAAGAUGGCAUGAUAAAAUGAUCAAGCAAAAGGAAUUUCAUCCUGGGGAUAAGGUUCUCAUGUUCAACUCAAGGGUCAAGUUAUUUGGCCAUGGAAAGCUAAGGAGCAAAUGGGAAGGACCAUUCUUCGUUGUUGACGCUGCGACUCAUGGAGCGGUAACGCUGCGGGACGACGACGGCAACAUCUUUAAGGUAAAUGGUCAUCGUCUUAAAGUUUUCCAUGAACAUGAACCUUUAGAAGAAGAAGUUGAUAUGAUAGAAUUUGAAUCUGACACAAAGUCUUAAAAUCCACAUGUCCUUCUUUUUACCCCCUUUUUGUUUAAAUAAUUGCUAAAUCAAUAUAUUUAGUUCCUUUUUGUUUUGAAAUAGGUUUGUAAAGGGUUUUAGAUGACGUAGGAUCAAAGUUGGGCCGCCGAACACCCCAAAUGGGGGUCGGCCGACCCCUCUUCUAGGGGUUUUGGCCCAAGGGGGGAUAGGUUUAGAAAGAGGGGAAUGAAUAGAGUUCGGUGCUGAAAUUCAAAAUUCAAAAUCCUGAAAUAUAGGGGUCGCCCGACCCCAAUAUUUUGAGUUUUGAAAUCCCCUGGAGUCUCGGAUCGUCCCUCAAACGUUCCACGACGCUCCUUUUCAAAAUUCAAACUCUCAGGCUCCAAACACAUCUAUUUAUCCCCCCUCUUCUUCUUCUUCCUCCUCUCAAUUCAUUCCUUCUCAUCUUCACCUCGAACCAGACUCUCCUAGCCUCCAUUCCUUGCCAAGAGAUUCAUCUCCAUGGCUCCUCCAACUAAAUCUUCCAACCAAACCAUUCGCUCCAACUCCCCACGUCCGCAAAGGUCUCUAACUGAGAGCCUGGAGCUUGCCCUAGCCGUCAACGUGCUGGAGCCUGAACCACUAGCCAUGGUGCCGCCGGCUGGAGGGCCGACGGGCCCCAUGUGGGGGUCGCCCGACCCCAAGAGGGGUCGCCCGACCUCGCCCCGAGCGACGCAGCGCUCCGUGUCGGCCUCUCGUUCGCUCACACCGCGCAGGGGCAUCGGCAAGUCCCCUACUCGAGCCGUAACGCCGGUUCGACCUACCACGGGCCAACUUGCGCUGCGGGAGAAGGCGCCGAUGGCCACCAAGCAGGCCAUCACCAUCUCCUCCGACACGAUCCACACCUCUUCCUACUCGCCGUCCACCCCAACCUUUUGGAGGAACCACCAAGUGGUGGGCAGUGGGCCGGGAAAGGGGAAGGUGCUGAUCCCGCCGCUGAACUCUAAGGAAAAGAUGGAGUUGCGGGAGUCCUUUGACUCGUCAGCAAGUCCAUCCAUCCGGCGGAAGAUGGAUCCACCUCCGAUCAACGGUGCGCCUGGCAAAUACGAAGAAGAUCCAGAAAAAGGCGACAUCGAGAAGCUCCUGGAGGUCACAGCUAGCCUUAGAAAGAAAAAUAGGAUCUUAGAGGAGACAGUGUCGGAGCUCAGGAUGGAGAAUCUUGAGUUAGAAGAUCACUUCCGCCACCUGCGCAUUAGCACCAGCGCUAAAAUCAAGCGUUUGGCGCAAGCAAUUGGGCGGGAGGAUCUCCUCAAACCUCCAUCUCCCUAAAUAAAUUAGUUAGUUUAGGUUAUAGGCACUAUUUGAUUAUUUAGGUUUGAUUACUCAAUUUUAUUUUUCAAUUUGUCACUUUGAAUUUCGCAAUGUAAAAGUGCCUAUACAAUUGAAUUUUGAUUUAAUGGAGUCGUUUUUGGUCCUGCUGGUGUGUUGCCACCAGCAGGACAUCUGCAUUUGAUCGUCUCUCUCUGUUUUAAGUUCAGCUGCACGAAAACUGCAAGUGUGGGGGGGUCGCCCGACCCCCCAACUUCAUCUCUGAACUGCCGUGAGCAUGGAACAACACUGCAUACACCUUGGCACGUCAUGGCACCAAAAACAGGCGCGAUGAGGGGGUCGCCCGACCCCCUUUCUAUGGCAAAAGGAAAUGACACAAGUGCAGAAAGACUUCCCGAGGGACGUAGAAUCGAGUGGCAGGGCCAGGAACCUCCAGGUGGGGUCGGCCGACCCCUCCAUAGAGCCCUGGGCCCACCAGGAAGCUUCUAUACGACGAAACACAUCUUUCCUGCCCGGUUUGCUAACUCUUCCCCCUCUCAGUCUGUCCAAUUCUUUACCUUUGUGUCACAAUUAAAAUAAAAUUUGAUAGUUUAAACUUGUUUGCAAAAUAAAAAGUGAACUGGUUCAUGAUUUAAGAGAAAUUGUGACAUAAAGUAUAGUUCUUACAAUUGUUCAUCCUCAUGGGUAAAAAUCUAUAGGAACCAUAUUGACUAAGUUGUUGAUGAAAGUGAUAUAACUCUUGGCUAAGAAUUCAUAACAUUUCUAUUCAAGGUACUUAGAGAUUUGUUUCAAAAAUAUCACAAAACCAUAGUAUCAUUUACUCCUCAUUAGCAAGAAAUUCCCACCAAAAGCCAUACACUUAGAUAUUCAAGUAACCAUUUUAUGAAAUGCAACCUGCUUUUGUAAUGAGUUUUGUCAAAACCUUGUUGACCCUAGUGAGAAUUGUAUCAUAGUCACAAGAUCAAGAUCACGUACACACCACAUAUAUAUAUGCUGCUUCUACACUGGAAGUACGCAACCACAUGUAUUGUGCAUCCACUAAAUAGGUUGCUCCAUACUCUAAGUGUUAGAACACCUCUCUAAAUAUUGUUUAGAAAAUGAGACAUAAAAGGCUUGGCAAAAUAAAAGAAAAAGAAAAGAUGGACAUGUGCAAGUCCAUGAAGUAUAAAAAAAAAAAUUGAGCACAUAAAGCUCGAAGAAAAAGAAAAUCUAGCCAUGUCUCAAUAUACAAGUAGAGAGAGUGUAGCAAAUAAAGGAGCAACCUAGUCCACCAUAUAACACACUUGCACAUCUUGAUCUAUGACUAUGACACUCCUCUCUUUGGAUCCUUGUUUUUGACUUAACAAUAUUUGCAAAGUAGAGUAUGCUACCUUGUUUAUCCCUACCAAGCCCCAUAUAAGCCUAUAGUUAUAGGAUGAAACAAGUUGGCAUUCAUGCCUUGGUGAGGACUACUAAAAAAAAAACUUUGAGUGAUCUAGAGCGCUAAAUGAGGAGUAGGAUUGAACUAUGUGACUUAUUUUAAAAAGUGUCAUAAAAACUCUAAGUACCAAGAAUAUGAAAUUGGAAUUUGAUCUUGUUCUGAGAGUUGUUCCUUUUCUCAACCUCUGAAGGAUAUAUGCUAGACACUUACACAAAAACCCAUUUGGAUGAACUAUGUUCGAACUAGCAUUUUAUGCUCACUACUAUCUUAAGUUAGAAACCAUUGAUCACUCAUUUUUAACCUUUACUCGAGGACGAGCAAAGACUCAAGUGUGGGGGGUCUUGUUGACGGUAUUUAUACCGUGUUUUCUACUAUCAUAACCGUCAACAUAAGACUCAUUUUGGGAGAAAACAACCAAACAAAGUAGUAAUAUAGGUACAUAUAACCUAGUUCCACAUGUACAUGCUACUAUUUGGUUGCAGGAGUAAGAACAGGUACUUUUCAAGGGUCCAAACACUAAGAAGGGGUGAAUAACUAAAGAUCAGUGACACCAGUAACCAAGACAACAUUAUAGUCAUGAAGAGGAAGACAUGUAGGACAGGGCUGACACCCUAACCCCAUAGAAUUGGGGUCGGGCGACCCCACUUUGGUGGGUCCCACAGGUCAGCUCAACUCCACCGACAUCAGAGAGCCUCCAGGACACUACAGGUGGGCCCAACCAGCCAGAUAGGGGGUCGGCCGACCCCACUUCAUGGCGGUUCCAGGGUCGGUUGGCCUCCCACCGACCUUGCCCACAUGUUGCACAUGUUAGUUUGCCUCUACCGUUGAUCAGAUGGCGGUUGUGAAGUCGGUUUGAUCCAAUGGUGCAUGAUGAAGAUGACGCGGAUCGCUGACGUGGCACCGGAGUAGCCCCUACUCCAUCUCCCACUAUAAAUACCCCCCUAUUCCUUCACUUAAGAGUCAUGUAUCUUAGGAGUAAACUACUUUAGUAGCUUAGUGAUAUCAUAGUGAGUAGAGAGUGAGGAGUUCCAAGGAGGAGUCCCGGCCUGUCGGGAGUCUUCUUCGCGGAGCACCUCAGCGGAAGCAGGUCUUCUUGUAAGUCUUACUUCUGAGUCUUUUCUAGUAUUUAAUAUUUGGUCUGGUACUUUAAGUAUAAGAAUCCUUUACUGGCACAUUGCUUGAUCUUGAGUGCUCUUAGCUUUAGCUAAGCUUAGGGUAGCAAGAGCUAGUUUAGACGUGGUGUCUAGACUACUUCUUGCCAGUGUGGACUCCUUGUCGCAGUUGUGUAGACACCUAGUGUGAGAGUGACAGUCCUCGCUAGGCAGAAAGUUCCUCGCAUCUGUUGUAGGCAAGUUGCAAAUAAUAGUUGGGCUGAGCAGGGUAGUCGCUUAGGAGACGAGGAGGUGAAAAACUUCGUUAACUCAAUCCUCCUUUUCGGGUAUCGCCCUCAGUAAAGAGUUAGGUGAAAAACCUUGACUAUACUUAAUUACCAAGACCAGGCAUUAAUACUAGUUAGACCUCUCUACCCCAUUAUCCUAGACCCUUUGAUCAUCACCUAACGAUCUAAAGCCUAGUUAAUUCACUUCGCGUUCCCCGUGGAAAUCACGAUACCUGGAAUACUCCCGGUGAAGGCUACAUUGACUACCGUACGCUUGCGGUAUAACCGUUUGCCACUUCUGGUGUCAACAGUCCUCACAAAAUUGCCAGCCUAAGGUGGCGAUCGCGUUCUAUAUCGGUGGCAUAACACGUACACUCUCGACAUAUACCUAAUCGUAAUAUUCAAUUUACGCAUUCGUGGUUAGUGUACCUGCAGAAAAUUCAUUUCAGCCCACCCACAAUAUGAAGCAUGCAAUACAAGAUUUAAAAGCUAUGCGCUCCACACACGUGUAUCCCCAUACCCGUAUGUGUAGUGCUACUACCCACAUCAUCGUCCUAGUGACGACAUCGCCUCUAAGGACGGAAUCGCCCAUCAUGUGGUACCUUUUCAUAGGCACAUGUAAAAUGUGCACAUGAUUGAGUACCAAAAGCACUUCCCUAGAUCGGCGGUGUAUCCGAUCAUGCUCUCACAGCUCACACUUACCGAGGCGUAGAGGAAAAAUGAUCCAUACAUUACCAUUCAAAUGAAUGGCACUCAUACUAUUGCACGCCGUAUGAGCAACAAAAUAGAAAUUGUUGACGAUCCUUAAGUAUCAAAUUUAAUUAUCAAAUAAAUAAAGAAAAGGAUCCAAAUGAAAUCAAGAUCUAGACUUAGGGUUUUAUCUGAUAGAAUUCCACGAGUUUUGGUGUUUGUCUAUUUCUGCAGGGGGUUAUCAGGAAAUACGGAAGAAAGGCCCACACGUCGGGAUUACAUAGAGAUAUUAACGUGCCGUGCAAUUAUAUUACAUCUAGAAGACUCCAGAAGCCACGAGACCGAAGCGGAGGCGAAACGGGGCCUGACCCUGGGCGCCCGCCCACCUCCUGAGUCCAAUUAGGACUCUGCUUUGCGGGAGAUUUCCACCGACCUAAAGGAUGAAUCUAAACCAUACAAUCUAUGUCGGUAUGAUCCAAUGACCCAUAUUCACUUGAAGGGACUAUAAAACCAGACCCCCUGGCCCCUGGAGGAGAGAGCCUCUCAACCCUAAUUCAUUGUUCCUCAAGGGAGAAGAAGCCUCUGAUCAAGAUUAGAGCCACCACAUCAAUUAGAUAUCUAGAUUAGCAUAGCUACAUAGGAUUAGAACUAGAAGGAGUCAAUCUUCGAUUGGUUUCCGGAUCUGUCAGGAGGAUUCUUGGUAAUUCUCUAAUUGUGCUUCUAAUUGCUUUCUAAUUAUCUUUGUUCUUCAAUAUUAUGAAUAUGACUUUGUUCUACUUCAAUAUAUUGCUUAUGACUUUGCUCUACUUGCUUAUAUUCAAGAUUAUAUUGUUCUUAGUUUAUCAUAGUUAUGUACUUGGCUUAGUUAGAUUGGAUCUAUAUACAUGCUUAGGAUCGUAUAGCGUUUAUCCAUCGGAUCCAUGGGUAAAUGAUAGAUAUUGUGUAGGCGUGGUGCUUAGACCGUAUUUAUCUGCGAUUGUACCCAAUAUGCCAGAUCGUGGGGUGGUUUGUGAUAGUGACAGCUUCAUUGAUUCUUGUAUAGUCCCCCUCUCGUGUAUUGGGCUGGCAGAGCAACAUUAUUACAGGGGAGUGAUUGCUAUGUUUCUCAUAUUCCUUGCUAAUAUAACUAUGCAUGGGCGUAGUCUUGUCUCACAAUGAUUGCUAAGUAUGCUUGCACUAAUUAUGAUAAUGCUUCUCUAUAUAGUUAAGAAUAAUUUAGGGAAUAUUCUUGUAGUUCGUUCUAAUACCAUGCUAAUGACUUUCUAGAGUAUCUAAUUGAGGUGCUUAUCAUAUUUAUUAUGUGGCUAGAUCAGAUUAGUUAUCCUUGUCACUAUUAUUAUUUCAUAUAUCUUUUAAGUGACACUUAUCCCUGUAUGAAGAGUUAGAUAUAAUGUUCUCAAUUAUACAUGCAGUGAUAGAUACUCAAUCUCAUAUUCUAUUCUGUAAUCAAUAUUGAUGAUUGCUAAUCCCUUCCCAGUGGUAAAAAUAUAAAUAACGAUACCUGGAAUACUUCCCGGUUAAAAUGCUGCAUCGGUAUUAAUCUGUGCGCUUGUAGAUCCCAUUCAUUAUUUAUUUAGAAGAGCAAUUGCAUAUUUCAAUACCGCGUCUCUCAUGUCAUGCUGGGGAUGACAACUUGGCUUAAGUGGUGUGAGGGAUAGGUUUGACAUUUUUGGCACCGUUACUAGAUUUAGAGAACUUAGUCUACUUUUGGAAAUGAUGUUAAGAAUACCCAACACGCAUUUUUGGCGCCGUUGCCGGGGAAGGUUGAUUACCAAUCAGGAAUAGAAUAAAAGAUUUUGAGUUAUCAUUCGCAUCACUAAUAUGAUUGAGCUUAUCUAUUCUCCCAUACAGUUUUACCCCGAUAUUUUCCUAUUUUAUCUUAUGCAGGGGAAUGUAUGAAUAGAAGACAUCUUCAAGGAAAUUUUGUUGACAAUCCCGAAGCAUUAUUCAAGAAGACGAGAGCCAAGCUUAAGAAGAGAUCAUCAACACUUCAGCAAGAAGCUUCAUCCAAUCAAGAAGAUCACCGGAACUUGUCUUCGGAGUUCGAAGCCAUGGCGAACAAAUCAAUCCGCGAGUUCUCAGCUCCCACUACGGACAACAUCCGCACUGGACCUGCUGCAGAGAUCGAUGGCAACUUUGAGCUCAAGCCUGGACUUAUCAACAUGGUGCAAUCCAACCAGUUCUGUGGGAAGGCACACGAAGACGCUAGUGCUCAUUUACAACACUUCCUGGAGAUUUGCAACACAUUGACCAUAGCAGGAGUUUCCAAAGACGCUAUACUACUUCGCCUCUUCCCAUUCUCACUGUUAGGAAGAGCGAAGCAGUGGUUCUACGCUACAAAGGAGAAGAAUACUACGUGGGCACUCUGCUCAACAAACUUCCUGGCUAAGUUCUUUCCCAUGGGCAAGACCAAUGCUCUCCGUGGGAAGAUUACAAGUUUUCAGCAACAAAAUGAUGAAUCUGUUCCAGAAGCAUGGGAGCGCUUUCAAGACUACAUCCUAUAAUGUCCCCAUCAAGGAAUGGAGAGUUGGCUACUGAUGCAGACAUUCUAUCAUGGGCUCAGCAACAUUGCCCGAGAGACCAUGGAUGCUGCAGCUGGAGGAGCAUUCUUAUCACUUACUAUACCACAAGCCACAGCUCUUGUGGAGAAGAUGGCGUCCAACCAAAGCUGGAAUGAAGAGAGGACCCAGACACGCAAGAGAGGUUUAGGUAUGCAUCAGCUGAAGGAGGUAGACAUGCUGUCUGCAAAGCUAGACCUGCUCAUGAAGAAGCUCGACGAUAGAGCUGGAGACAAGAAAGAAGUUAUGCACAUCUACGACUCUCACAUGACUUGUGAGGAGUGUGGAGACACUGGACACUCAGGCAACCACUGCCCUGAGAUGCUUGAGGAUGUGAACUACAUCAACAACAACUACUACUACUACUACAACCGUCCUCAGCAAAAUCAAGGUUGGAAUCAACAGAGGCCUAACUACUCAGGUAAUUAUCAAGGUAACAAUUCUUACAACAAUAAUAAUAAUUUUCCACCUUUGAGAGAGUUAGUGUCUAAUCAAGGAAAGCUAAUGGAUAACCUGUCUAAGAAAUUGGCAUCAAAUGAUAAAAUGCUAGAAAAUAUAAAUAAUAGAAUGGAUAAUUUCUCUACUGCCAUCAAGAAUCAAAUUAGCUUUAAUAAAAUGAUUGAAUCCCAGUUAAAUCAAAUAGCUGCUGCUGUUCCUACUACUAACCCCGGUAUACCAUCACAACCGGAAGGAUUAGAAUCUGCAAAUCUUGUAGACAUGUUCGAUGCAGGUAAUUGGAGUAACCCCGUCACUGAAUUCUCUACUGACCUUCUGCCGGUCAAGAGAGGCGAUCCAGGACACCCCGUCAUCCCGAUCUCCAUCGGCAUGGUGGACGUUCCAGAAGCACUCUGUGACUUUGGCUCUAGCGUCAACAUUAUACCCAGGGUACUCUAUGAAAAAUUCUUUACAUAUCCUUUAUUAGAAAUAACCAUGUGUUUGCAGUUUGCAGAUCAGACGAUAACUUUUCCAAAAGGAAUAGUGAGGAACCUUUGUGUCCGAGUUGGUACUAUAUAUGCCCCAGCAGACUUCAUAGUGGUUGAGACCGGAAAUGAUGAGAGAGCACCUAUCAUCCUAGGAAGGCCAUUUUUGAACACCACGGGAGCUAUCAUCUACGCUAGUGCUGCCAAGAUCAGUUUCUACGUCAAAGGGAAGAAGGAGACAUUUUUCUUCAAGAACAAGACUACACAAAUUCCAGAUCAAUCCAGACGUGAAUCAGGGAAGAGGACCAACAGGAGGAACAGGAACAAGCAAGUGUGGACCGAGUCAGCUAAGAUGGUCACUGUAGUCCAUGGAGGCCAAGAUCACCAACUUAAGUCACCGUUUUUGACCAAGAAGGACGACCCAGGAAUGCCAAGCAUCUACUGCUCCAUAAAUGGAUAUAACUUCUACAAGACGAUUUGCGACACCGGAUCGGGCGUCAACAUAAUGGCCGCAGUCACUUAUCGGCUCUUGUUCGGGACCAUGCCACUAAGACCAACAUACAUUUAGCUCCAGAUGGCAGAUUAGACAUUUCGAGAAGUUCAAGGAAUAGUAUCUGAUGUCCCAGUCAAAAUAGACGAUCACUUUGUCUACACAGACUUUCAAGUUAUUGACAUGGGAGAAGACGAGUAUGAUCCACCCAUCAUCCUUGGAAGACCGUUCCUCAACACCGUUAAAGCAAUUAUCUACAUUGGAACCAGAGAAGUCCAUAUGCACUUCCCCUCAGAGAAGGUACGCCGUUAUUUUAGUGACCCUAACUAUAUCAUUGAAGAAUCUAAGCAGGUCAGAAAGAGACGCAACCGCAACCAGAGGAGGCAGAUCAUCAAGGACGGAUGGGCAGACUAUGAAGGAGAAGUUGUAAGGUCAGAAGACGUAGAGUUUAAACCGAAUUAUCCAGAGGAGAUUGAAGCACCGAGUCAGGUAUGGAAAAUGAAGAUAACUAUACAUGAAGAGGAGGCGCUACCGGAAGUACCGACUUCGCCACCCAACGAACCUCAGGACGAUUAAGAAGUUGGAGAGUCCCGUUCGGAGGACUUAAAAACACCGAACGCCCUGCCAAGUGGUAAACUUGGUAGUUACCCUUUCCCUUUCAAUUAUUUCAAUUAUUUCAAAUAGUUUACUUAGUUAAUUAUGUUCGUGCUAUCCUAAAAAGAAAAUAAAAAUGUAAAAAAUAGUAAGCCCCAUAUGAGUAGACGAGUGGCGAUAAAACCCAUAAGUACAUUCACUGUGGUGGCAUAAAAAUAAAAUAAAUAUUUUUUCUGCUUUAUAAAAUAAAAAUAUAAAAACAGGGAGUAACAAUUAUUAAGGAGUCUCAACAUGAUAAAGGCUAGAUAUUUAUGCUAACACUUAAUCAGUUCCACAAGCUAUGUUGUCUAUUUGAGCUCCACAGAAUUUAAGAAUCAAGAAGACUGGCAGACGGAGGACAUUCUAAUCGCUGUCAGAAUGCUGCUAACUUUCAAAUACACCUCUGCCACCUGCUAGCUACAUCAAGAGAAAUUACGUCAAAAUUCAGCUUGGGGGAGAGCACCCCCAUUUACCUCGAUAAGUAUUUCUAUCUAUUUUUAUACUUAUAUUAUUUUAGAAUAUUAAAAUACACAUAAACUAUGAGAAAACCAAAUAAAGAUUUUAUGCUUAUAUAUGUCUUUUGCUUAGUGUGUUUAAUAAAUAAAUAAAGUGGCUAUGCUAAUCUGUAUCUAAACAAAAACUUAAGCAUGGAUAUGAUGAAUAGUUGCUCUGCCUAACUUGCACAUUCUAAGUUCUCUCUCAAGUUUAGAUAUAACUGUUAUAAUUUAAAGCUUGCCCUAGACCUAAACUUGUGGGAUGAAAACUUGAUCUGAAGUCUAAGUUGUUAACGGAUACGAUAUGGGAAGGUUGAGCUGCUGUUUAUCUGUUCCUAGAGAUGCUAGAAUUCUGGAGAAUUUUAUCUUUGAAAAUCUUUAAAAUGUUGCAUGAUGAGUUCCUGUAUGAUGAGAGCUUAAAUUCCUACCACAGCCAUAUAUACAUGCUUGCUAGACUUUGAGCCACACAUUUAUUAUUUACUGCUUAUGAGCAUUGAGUGUGGUCAAGCUGUGUAGACCCUUAGGAGCUUGUCAUGUGGUUAAAUCAAGAUUUCACUUGCACGUUCACUCAUAUAUGCUACUUCUACUCCGGAAGUACCAUCCACAUAUAUCCAUCCAUUUCCAUCUCCAGAACCACCUAAAAAUAUUCUACUCCUAAUCCGGGAGAGAAUAACCAAAAAUAUUUCUGUUUCCCCUUGUGAAAUAAAUGCUCAUGUUAUCUUGUUACUACCACUUGCUAUAUUAUCUCAAGAGAUGAGUGCUCUAAAAAAAAGAGAAGAAAAUAAAAAAAAUAAUACGAGGAAAUAAAAAAGAGCAAGUGCUCGGAACCUCGAAAGAAAAGAAAGAGUGAGACGAGAGGUAAAAAUGGACAAGUGUCCGACAGUAGAAUUAGGGGUGCAAGAUACCCACCUGAGAGACAAGAAAAAGAAGAGCAUCUCAUUCUCCUCAUAAAGUUUCAAAAGCAAGGAAGGUAUGUAUCCCCUCAAAAGAGCAAAGUAGAAUUAGACUUCCACCACCAUUGUUUUCACCAUUGUUAUCACCAUCAUCACCAUACACCAUUCAUUCGCCACACAUGCACAUCUUGAUUUGGCUUAUUGAUUUGUUUCUUUGGAUCCAUGGUUUGACUAUGCAAUAAAUGUCUUGUGAGUAUGUAUACUUUAUCUCCCACCUAUGAGCUCCAGAUAUUAAAGCCUUAUUAGAGUAGGGUGAGAGAGAAGGCAAUGUCACUAUGCCUUAUACUACAAAUACUACAUAUCUUGAGAGAAGGCAUAUACCAUCAAUGCCUUGGUAAGGAUCCAAAAAUACCACAAAAGAGAGAUCUGAGAGAAUCAUACAAGGAAUCUCUAAGUUUUAUUUGAAAAUCUGCAAAAACCCCAGAGCUAUAGCUGAUCAAGAAUAAGAGACAUGGCACUUGGCUAGACUGUUCUAUCUUUUAACCACUCAAGACAGAAGUGACAGUUACAAGUCCCAUGGUGGAGGUAAAGUAAGUAAGUUUUAAGUCUUGAUAGUUUACUCUAACUCAGAGAUGAGAUCUUAUUUAAAAGCAUGUGUACCGUCAAAUUUUUAAAAUAUUGCAACAACUUAUGAUCCAUAGCUGAGUCUAUCCUUGCUCAGGGACGAGCAAGAGGUAAGCUUGGGGGAGUUUGUUGACGGUCCUUAAGUAUCAAAUUUAAUUAUCAAAUAAAUAAAGAAAAGGAUCCAAAUGAAAUUUAGAUCUAGACUUAGGGUUUUAUCUGACAGAAUUCCACGAGUUUUGGUGUUUGUCUAUUUCUGCAGGGGGUUAUCAGGAAAUACGGAAGAAAGGCCCACAUGACGGGAUUACGUAAAGAUAUUAACAUGCUGCGCAAUUAUCUUACAUCUAGAAGACUCGAGAAGCCACGAGACCGAAGCGGAGGCGAAACGGGGCCAGACCCUGGGCGGCCGCCCAGUUGGUCAGGGCGCCCGCCCACCUCCUGAGUCCAAUCAGGACUCUGCUUUGCGGGAGAUCUCCACCGACCUAAAGGAUGAAUCUAAACCAUACAAUCUAUGUCGGUUUGAUCCAAGGGCCCAUAUUCACUUGAAGGGACUAUAAAACCAGACCCCCUGGCCCCUGGAGGAGAGAGCCUCUCAACCCAAAUUCAUUGUUCCAUCAAGGGAGAAGAAGCCUUUGAUCAAGAUUAGAGCCACCACAUCAAUUAGAUAUCUAGAUUAGCAUAGCUACAUAGGACUAGAACUAGAAGGAGUCAAUCUUCGAUUGGUUUCCGGAUCUGUCAAGAGGAUUCUUGGUAAUUCUCUAAUUGUGCUUCUAAUUGCUUUCUAAUUAUCUUUGUUCUUCAAUAUUAUGAAUAUGACUUUGUUCUACUUCAAUAUAUUGCUUAUGACUUUGCUCUACUUGCUUAUAUUCAAGAUUAUAUUGUUCUUAGUUUAUCAUAGUUAUGUACUUGGCUUAGUUAGAUUGGAUCUAUAUACAUGCUUAGGAUCGUAUAGUGUUUAUCCAUCGGAUCCAUGGGUAAAUGAUAGAUAUUGUGUAGGCGUGGUGCUUAUACCGUAUUUAUCUGCGAUUGUACCCAAUAUGCCAGUACGUGGGGUGGUUCUUGAUAGUGACAGCUUCAUUGAUUCUUAUAUAGUCCCCCUCUCGUAUAUUGGUCUGGCAGAGCAACAUUAUUACAGGGGAGUGAUUGCUAUGUUUCUCAUAUUCCUUGCUAAUAUCACUAUGCAUGAGCGUAGUCUUGUCUCGCAAUGAUUGCUAAGUAUGCUUGCACUAACUAUGAUAUGCUAGACUAUAUAGUUGAGAAUAACUUAGGGAAUAUUCUUGUAGUUCGUUCUAAUACCAUGUAUCUAAUUGAGGUGCUCAUCAUAUUUAUUAUGUGGCUAGAUCAGAUUAGUUAUCCUUGUCACUAUUAUUAUUUCAUAUAUCUUUUAUGUGACACUUAUCCCUGUAUGAAGAGUUAGAUAUAAUGUUCUCAAUUAUACAUGCAAUGAUAGAUGCUCAAUCUCAUAUUCUAUUCUGUAAUCAUUAGUGAUGAUUGCUAAUCCCUUCCCAGUGGUAAAAAUAUUAAUAACGAUACCUGGAAUACUUCCCGGUUAAAAUGCUGCAUCGGUAUUAAUCUGUGCGCUUGCAGAUCCAAUUCAUUAUUUAUUUAGAAGAGCAAUUGCAUAUUUCAAUACCGCGUCUCUUAUAUCAUGCUGGGGAUGACAACUUGGCUUAAGUGGUGCGAGGGAUAGGUUUGGCAUUUUUGGCACCGUUACUAGAUUUAGAGAACUUAGUCUACUUUUGGUAAUGAUGUUAAGAAUACCCAACAGAAAUAUGAUGCAGAAAUCCCCAAGUUAGUACUUAAAUAAGCCACCUAAAGGUCUUUAUUUGGGCAUAAAGGAAAUGACCACUGGCAUACUUAGAUAAAACCAUUUCAGAUUUGAACACACCUAUAUCUACAAUAGCUAUAAGUUAUCAAAAACUAAUUUUAGAAAAAAAAUCUUUGGUUUUAAAUACACAUAUAACAAGUUUAAUGUUGAACCUUGCUUUGAUACCAACUGUAACAGAACCGCCCAAUUUACAAGAGAUCAACUGCGAAAAACUCCCGCCAAAGCAGUUGCUUUAACGUAAUCGAACUCUCAUAAACCUGGUAGUCCGUGAAAUCAUGAGGGAUUUCAAACCAACCAUCUUAUAAGCCAAUAUCGUAGUGAUUCAACAUAACAAGUCACAUGUUACAUCCAUUUCACAAGUAGUUUGACAUACAUCGGAGUUCAAUAGAGUUAUUACAACUUGAGUUGAAAAGUAGCGAAAGCAAAGUAAUUUAAAACUAAUAUUGCCCUCAUUUCAAAUACAUGCCAGUAUCUAGGUCAACUCCAACAAAAGCAUCCUAGAUGUGGUAACUAAGAAGGAUCAUGCCCAUGAUCUUACUCCUCUAUUAUGGUAGGAGUCAUCCAACUCUUGCAGUAGCAAUGAUAUAUCAUAACCUGCAACAAGUGGGAAUAAACUCGGAGUACGAGAAGGUACUCACCUAGACUUACCCGUCAUAAACCAGAAAUAAUAUGACACCGAGGAGUAUGCAAGGCUUUAUUGGUGGAGCUAGCUUGACAACACUUUUUGCAUAAAAAGCUUAAGUUGCAACUAAGUAACCUUUCAGGUAUUUAGCCCAAGUUAAUAAUCAUUAACCUGUCAUCUAGAUUAGCACCUGUACUAAAGCAAUCACUUGAUUAAGAUACAACCAUAGUACCCAUAUUUGAUGUGGCAUUACCAACAUCAUCAUACCAUAACCAUCCAAGUGUUCCAUAAACAUUACUACGAGGACGAAGCUCAAGUCAAGUGCUCACUGUCCAGGAGCGAUGGCGAUUCGAAUCGAUUUCUAACCAGCUGGCGAGUUAUUCCCCACACAAACUGCACUCACUGAUCAAGUGAGCUACAAAUCACCGUAUUGCACUAUCCAGGACCAAUUCGCGGGUUCGACAGGCACCGCCCGUACCCGAGGACCGUUCCGGCGACUGAGGUAUCCAAGGUAUACCAAGGUUGCGCGUCGCGCCCUCGUCGUUCUCCUCAACCAUCACCAAUACAGCGCGUACAUCGGGCCGAUUCCCGGCCCAGAUAGUGCUCAGGCUUCGCGGUCGGAACGACUUAUCCUUCCAGCUAAGUGUGGGGCAUGCGUUCAACAUGACAAGAGGGCCGUCAACGAUCGGUCCUUAAGCGACAUAGGCGGGGAUAGAUAGGCACCCAAGACCUCCAUGUCUUGUUACUUCUCUAUCAUCGUCCCGCCCGGUCCCCAAUUAUUCAUCCUCAUCACUUGGUUAUUUCCAUGAUAGCAUAUAUAGCCAACCCUUUUCGGGAAUCCACCUAUCUCGCUCAGGUGACAGAACAUCACCUGGCUUCUACCGGUCUAAGCAUGACUAAGCAUUUAGAUUCGAUCCUGAAUCUACAUACGGUUAUAGGUAUAUUUGCUGGACAAGGAGUGUUAUAUGUAGCAAGGGUUUCACCCAACUCCUAUACUUAAUGCAACAAUACAUAUAUAACAUAUAUUCUCAAUUGCAUUCAAAAGUAGUGGGAGACUUAUAAUGCUCCUGUGCUUGCCUGGGAUCAACACUGAGUCAGUUCAGUUAGUUGCUCCAUCUUGAUGACAUCUUAGGUCGCAACACUUGCUUAGUCCUUCCACCUUCGGGAUGGGUCCACCCAACACCGUCUUCGGGUUUGUUCCCACACCAAGACCUUCACGUUAUACACCUACCGCACCUAGAUGAGAUGCAAGAUGCAAGUGCAUGAAUAUGCGGAAUAGUGACACAACAUGCAUUACAUAAAAGUAUGCAAGACACAUGCCUCUAAGUUAUUUAACUAACAUCACACAACCAAAUAUUUAAAAAACAUAUCAAUCUAAACACAAGUUUAACAAGUUUACAAGUGUAUUACUUAAUCACCGCUAAAGACAUGUAUCAUAGUUAGCACACAAAGUAAAGCAAUCAAGCAUUCAUGUAUUUCAGCAGUUCUGGACAUACAUGCAACAACUCAGUAAAUAAAUCAUAACUGGAGUUACACAACUCAAAAAACUAUGCAAUAGGACAUUCUGGAAAGAAUAUAAAAUUAUCUACAAUUCAUAUUUAAUCAUCUCAGUAUAAUUAACAAGUUAACCAAGUCAAACAUGCAUGACCAUAUAAUCUGGUCCAGGAACUUCCAGAGAACAAGCAUUUCAAAGGAUGAACUUCAUACUACUGUAACUCAUAAACGACUUAGCUGAAUGCUAUGAAACUUUACCACAAGAUAUAUUUGUAAGUUAUCUACAUCUUUUCUAUAUACAAGUUCAACAGCAAAUAUCAUUUAUAUCAUGGAAUUAAUUGCAUAAAUAAAACUGUUCAUGCUGCCAAACAGUAGAAGUAUAAUUACAAACAGAAAACUAACAGGUAAUUCAAAGCAGCAUAACUGGAGUUGUAGACCUCCAGCAAACAUAAUUCUUAUAUUUGUGGAAAGCUUAUAAAGUUAGCUACAACUUUCUUAUUAUCAUCUAAAUAUGAUUCCACAGUUAACAAGGUCAAUUGACCCCAUGAAGACAUCUCUGUCCAAAACAUGGACAGAAUCUGUCAUGCCAUAUUAAACAGCUAUAACUUCAGGUUCACUUGUCCAUAAUUUAUGUUUGUGUACUUUAUAGAAAGCUUACUAAAUGGUGAACAACUUUGUUAUAAACAUCUACAGAUAAAUCUACCAUUAAUAAGGUCGUACAUUACAAACAAUGCAACCCUGUCUGGGUUUAGACAGAAACUGAAACAGUAAUUUAAACCACUAUAACUAAACAUAUACUUAACCAAAAAUUGUGCUACUUAGAUUUCUGGAAGGCUUAUGAAAAGUACUACAACUCAUAUAUUCUCAUCAAGUCAUGAUUCACAACUUAACUGAUCCAAAUAAUACAAACAUGCAGACCUACUCAGAAUAGGAGCAAAGCAACAAAGGGCAUUUGUUAUUUUUAUAACUCUUAAUCUAUCAAUCCUAAAAUCAUGAAACUUUUACCAGACAUCAAGCAUCAUAUUAGAAGCAUGUGCCCUUAUUUUCACAUUUAUUUGGGCAAUAACACAGCAGUUAUGAAAAAGACAAAUGUAACAAGCAAUUAAAAUUAACUGCAUAAAUCUAUUUUUACGACUAAAACUUCAAAUUUAAACUAUGCUAUAUUAUAGAUCUACUGCAUAGAGAAUUUUAUAAGGAUUCAUACAAAAAGCUCAUACAAGAAAUCUGAUAUUUUACGACUUUUAUAUGAAUUACUUAUGCAUUUCCAAAGUUCAUACAAGAAAUCUGCAAAAAACAAAAGAUAAAGGAAAAACGACUUUGCAUCGGGAACCCUCAACAUUCUCCAAAUUAACCAGCCGUCCAGAGAACUAUUCAUUUGAGUCGGUAGUUCGCAUCUGGAACCCUGACAUGGCUAACAGCUUCUGGGGGCAAGUGGCCAGCAGCAGCAGGGAGGCAGCCGGUGGCCUGGCCUCGGCUAGCCAUGGCCACGCCCGGCCCUGGCAUUGGCCGGCUGCAGCCAGCAGUAGCAGGAGCUCGAGCUCUGCUCGAGGUCCAUGGUGGCCAUGGCGGCUCUGCUGCACAAGAGCGACGAGAGAGAGUUAGAGAGGGGCGAGAGCGAGUGGGGAACGACUGAGGGAGCGCAAGGUGAGCUCGACCCAGACUCAGCUCUCCCCAUCGAGCAGCAGGCGAUGGCAGAGAGGCACAGCGCAGCUCGUGCAUGGAGGACACGCACCAGACGCGCGUCGCCCAUUGACGCAUUUCGCCGAGCACGUGGCACGCGUCGGAGUAGGCAAGGUGGGAGGCGAUUUUGGGCUUGUUCCAGGCCGAAUUUGAAGAUGGGCCAAAAACGAAGUUUGCUCACCUCGACCUGUUCUCCAACUUUGAUUAAGGGUGCUCAGUCAUUAGACCAACAGAUUAGGAGAUCACUUAAUGCCAAGUCACGAGUGUCAACGUAUUGACGGUGAUUAGCAAACCAAGAAUUCAUGGUCCAAACCAUGUCAAACUUGAUGCAACUUUUUGCAUGCUCUUCUCCAAACAAUUAUCCACAACUUUUAUUCUUGGACCAACUUGAGUUGCUCAACAAAAAUACGAGAACGCGGCAUGCCAACGGGUACACGUCCGUUUAGCGAUAAAAUAACCUUUUGCUGUUUUGGGAGCUACUUUUAGAUAUUCAAAUGAACUCCAAAUUUGAUGACACUUGGUCCAUAUCUUUAAUCAGGAAGGGUACUCCAACUCAUAUUAAGGAAUCUAAUUAAGUUACUAUAUGAAUUUGGAUAAUAAAACGUCACGAAGGAUCUAACUCACUGCUUUACUUCCAGGGACUUAGAAUUAUUUCUCAGGGCUAAAAAGCAGCAGCUGAUUCAAAGUUUUAGCCUCUGUUUGAACUAUUUGCAAGCUGAUUUGGUUCUUGACUCUUGAUUGAAGUUUCUUUUACAGAAGCAAAACUACAACUUUUAUUUAGGGUCAAACCUCAUAACUCCAACAGGAGUCAAACUUUCACUUUGGUCAAAGCAGUAUCGUGAUAAAGCUCCAAAUAGGGUUUUAGGCCAAUUGAAGCAUUUUCUUGACAUAAGCUCAAUAUGAACCCUUCAUGACUUUUGUUGUAUAAUUCAUCUAGAGUCAUAUGAGCAAGUUUGGAAGGUUUGGUUCAUGACCCAUGAUUCUAUUUCCUUAAUAGAGCCACUCCAACAUGGAUAUAACUCAUCAUUUCAUGUGACUUCUUGAUUCCAAACUUCACCAAACUUUUCCAGAGACCAAUAUAGAUUGGGAUAGAUAUGAGACACAUGAAAAAUGUUCCACUAACACCAUCAAAGCAUACCUUUCAAAAAGGGCAUAUAUGUAAGUAAAGGUGCAUCAUCCAAGUCCAAGAUAGGGCUUACUUUCAUAGAUUGACUUUGACCUUUUUAUUACCAUUGAACUUGUCAUGUUUGAGCUCAAAUCUAGUACUUAGCAAGUGACAAACACCUGGGGUGUUACAAUAAAAGUAUAUCUAUAUCAUUUUUCCUAAAUAUUUUAUAAAAAUAAGUGGUCAAAGUUGUGUUUUGGAGACCAUGUCACUAUUCUAAACGACUUCUAAAUUCGAUACGGAAAGAGUAUAGAUUUAUCUACCUUUUAUCUAAAAAAACACUCUAGAAUAGACCCUAACAACAAAAUCAUACUCAAUCCAUCCAUCCCAAAAUAUAGCAACCUAGGAGGGGAUUGGACACAACCUAGUAUUUUGGGAGUAAUUAACAUGGUCAUUUAAUGCAAAAUAUAAUUUGAAUAAGCCUUUAGUACGAAGCACUAUACCUUCUUUCAUUUUCGGUCACUUGCAUUAAAUGUUGUGAUCACAAAUCGUGAAAAGAUGGAUGAGCCUUGAGGAUCCAUAUACUUUCUAAUGGAGGAGUUUCAGAGCAAGAGAGUAUCCCAGGGGUCGAAGUUAUCAUUUUCAAUCGGAAAGAAAACUCCAAAGCAACGUAUGGAGAUAUAGCGCUUGUCCACAUUAAUGUUAACAUCCAGGUCAAUCUUGUCGUUUGUAAGGAUCUCUGUAUGGAGUUCUUGUUCAAGUUCAAAAGACAUUAAUAUCUCAUCAAAUAUAGUUUGUAGAAUUGGGAUGUAGUUGACAUUUCGAUGCACCAUGGCAUGGCCAUUGUAAACCCAUUGCAUUUUUGUUUGCAUCUUUAAUAAAUUGUGCUUGUCAAGCACCUGCCAAUGAGAAAUUUUAAGGAAUCUUUAAUAAAUUGUGCUUGUCAAGCACCUGCCAAUAGAACUUAAGGAAUCUGCAAAAAAAAACAACAAAACCACUUGAAAAGGGGUAAGUAUGGCCACGUGCUCGUAACAACGUUGAAAAUAUCUCAUGGUAGACAAUGUUUGUUUCAUGUGUGGAGUCACCAUUCAUAUGCUCUAUCAAUAUCUCUAGAUCUCUUUGAGGUGACAUGUGAAACAGCAACAUGCAAGCAUCGGUAAAUACAGGCUUUUUUGGGUAGUUACCAGCAUUGGACAAUGUCUGCCCUUGGCUCCUAUUGAUAGUCAUUGCAUAGCAUACCUUAACUUUAAAUUGGUGCAUCUCUAGAACAAAGGGCAGCUUUGUAUUUGUAAGUGUUAGACAAAUCCUUGGAAUCAGAACAACAUGCCCCAUGUGUGUGACGGUCAUUAUCUAUAUAUGCUUCUAUUAAAAUAUUGAAGGGCUAUGAAUGCAGGUGCAAAGAAGAAAUGUGCUGUAACUGUCCACAUCUGGUUCGUAUGUCACGCUCCACUAUCCAGAGAGAAAUGGAAAAAGUCUACAAACCCCUCUCAACUAUCCGGUGUAGUAUACUUCACCACCCGAUCUAUAAAACCGGAUAUUCUAUCCUAUGAACUUUUCAAAACCGGUCAAAUAACACCCUUGAGCAGUUUUGAAGGAUGGUUUUUUCUUUUUCUUUUUAAUUUAUUUCCACCGAAUCUUUGAAUAUCAUAAUAAAUCACAAAAAAAAUAUAAAAUGAAAAGUCUAGUUUUGUUGAACUUUUGAUGAGUAGAUCUACACAGUGCAUAUAUAUUAUGGUAUACUUUAGUACAAUGUUUUUGCUGUAGUACACAGUGAAUAUAUGCAGUUUCGAUGGUCUAGUUAUGGUAAACUUUUUAUGGUGGGCUCAAUAUUAUAUGCUUGAACUAUGGUAAAAAUUUUAUACUUAUUGAAUCACGUAUAACUUAGUUAUAGAUAAAGCAUAGAUUUAACACAAAUAAGGCUAAAUAAAUCUAUAACUAAGUUAUACAUAAUCUAAUGUGUACCAAAUAAUUACUAUACUUGAACCAGACAAUAAUUAGCUCCUCAAACAAAUACACCAUAACUGGAUGAUAAAAACUGCAUAUAUAAAUUAUUCUAAUUAAUUAUAUAAAAACAUAGUUCUAAAGCUAUAGCAAAAACUUUAUACUAAGCAUACCAUAUUAUAUAUUCACUGUGUAGAUCUACUUAUGUGGAGUCCAACAAGAUUAGAUUUUAUAUUUUAUGAAUUUUCUUUAAUUUAUUAUGAUUUUUCAAAGAUUCAACAAAAAUAAAUAAAAAAUAAAAAGACAAAAGCACCCUACUUGAGGGGGUUAUUUGACCGGUUUUAAAAAGUUCAAAGCGUAGAAUAUUCGAUUUUAUAGUUUAGGAGGUAAAGUAGUCCACUCUAGAUAAUUUGUGAUGAUGUAAACUUUUUUCUAAAGAGAAAUCACGGCCAGCAGAAGAAAACAGUGCCCUUAGAAGGCACAGUCGCAGCAAAGGGCACAACAAUCUCAAGCGAACAAGCAUCUAAGGCAAGCCACACCUAGUUGCCCCCCCCCCUCUCUCUAGGGCAAUCAUAAAACAAACUAGUACAAACCGCGCGCCCUUGCGCGCGAGGAAAAGUGAGCAUCCAGUGAUGUCUAAUAAUUAGAGUACAUUGAUCAAUACACACUUGUGGGAUGUCUAUAUUACAUAUGGCUGCAUAGAGUAUAUUGAUAUAUAAGUAUCUAAGUACAUAUUACAUAUGGUAAGUUCGUGAUACAUAUUACACAUAUUAGCAUGCAUCAGCUGAUAAAAGGAUAGAUAUAUAAGUAUUUUGUGAUGUAUAUUUCACAUAUUGGAUAGAGUAAUCUUAAGUAGAACUGGUGCCGAACAUUCAAAGUUUGGUCUGGAUGUUACAUUUCCGUGUCAUGCUCCCAGAUUAACAUUCUAUAAAUCUCCUUUCCCUCUUGAUGAAACACUGCUCCUGAAUCUAUCUGAUGACACACUCCAGCCAGUAACUGUAGAUGAGCAAAUCUGGAUGACAAAGAUGGAACAAUAUCCAAAACAGCUGAAUUGCUAAUUCAUGAACAAUUUCUAUUUAGACUGAGGUAAUGUAAGCCAUAGCAAGAAUAAGAUAAAGCAGAUAAAUAAUAGCAUCAUGUGUAUUUUGCGGGGCACAAGGAUAUGAAUUUGUGUGCAGUCAUACCUUCACGGCUACAUCACCACACAACAAGGUGGCAGGUUGAACAAAGCGUCAAUUUUCGGGAGUAACAACGUGUCCAUGAACAACCAAGUAGUUAUGAUAAAUUCAUCAAUUAUGGGAAAACAAAGGAUUGGAAAGAAGUUGCAUCUGCCCUAUAAUCAACAGUUGUAUAUUAUGCUCUAUUGAACCUGAAGACACAGGCAUGACGUGGGCUACCAAAUCCUUGUACAUUUACCUCCAAUAAAUGGAAGAGCAUUAUAGCUUCUAUGUAAGCCUGUGGAAACAAAUAAAGUGGUUCUCAUUGGAUGUAUAAAGGCAUGUCUUAAGUUGCACAAAUGAAGGACAUCAGGAAAAUUUCUAAAAAUUUACAUGCCAACCCAAUCUUAUGUUGUAAUGCAACAUAUUUUCUUCUUUUGAAAGGAAACAACAAAGCAAAGUGGCAAGUAACAAUACUCAGGACAUAAGGCAUCCCAAUAUACUGAGGUUGUGAUAUCCAACUUCACCAUCCUGAAAAGAGCACACAUGAAGGGAGCAAAGGGAACCAGGUUGAGGCGGACCAAUGGGGGAUUUUGGGGACGAUGUGGCCCGGUUGGCUGGAUGGGGUGAACCUUUGGUUUGUAUGGGUAAAUUUGAAAUACAUAUAAGAGAAGUGUAAAGGGCCAAAGCACAAAACAGCGUCCUGUUUAUUUUAAGUGUCUUUAAUACUAUGAUUUUGCCUACAUGAAUGCAACAGAUGAGGCAUGAGAGCAACCUCAAAAGCAUUGGAAAGUCAAUAUAUAUGCUCAAGGUGGAAAAUAAUUUCAUUUUUUAGGAAAAAAGAACAUAAAUGGAGAAGUCGGUGUUAUUUUUGUCAGCAAAAUGAAUAGGUAAGAAGUAAUUAAUCCUCAGAUUUGUUUAUGCAAAUGGUACUUUAUGAGCAUCAGAUGUAGGAAACUGCAGCAAUCAGAACCAAUACUGGGACACAUCAGGUGAGCUCACUGAGACAACAACAAGCAACGUUGUUCAGAAUAGAUGAAAAACUGCAUUUUUUGAUAUAGUUUGAUGUGAUAGUGUGAUCAAAACUACGCUUCUCAAAAUUAAAGAAGCAUUAUGCAGCACUCACAUGGAGCACCAAACAAGAACUCAACAACUCGGUGUUAUAACAAAACAUUCUACACUUAACCAUGCGCCUAAUCCUGAAAGGCCAUAAUACAAAUACUGUUGCAUGGAGUUUUAAAAUACCAACUACUAUUACUUUAAAGUGGCACUACAGUAAUUGUAUUUGCAACUUGAGAUGCAAGUACUAACACCUGUAGCAGAAAACUAAAGUGAAACUUAUUACAAAUUACCACCUAUAAUUCAGUGGACAAGGGUACCUGACCUAUUGAAACUUUGGGGGUUCAGUUGAGCUUCUCAGGUAAUCUUGUCAGUGUCAUUUUAAGUUCUGCUUAACCUGCACCAAGCAGCAAAAGUGCUUUGAGUAGAAAAAAGGCAAAAACUUUAGUAAGUUGACCGGCCACUUCCUUGUUUGUUUCACUGUAGCUCUUUCUUUUUCCAUGCACCAAAGGACUAAAUGCUCUAAAUAUAUGUUUCAUGGAAACAAUGCAAGGGCAGCAUAUAGAUGUGUAGCUAUCACUAAUCAUCAGUUAUCCAUGAAGGCUAGAAUACAUCUGACAAUAUGACAUAAGUAUUUGAGGGGUAGGGGUAUUCACUAAGAUAAUUCUGUAGUAUUGAUAUGAAGUAGUUAAGUAUGGAAAAAAUUAAGAACUAAGAAUGGACCUUUGGUUUUAAUAAACCUAAAUGCUUAUACCAAAAUAUGGGUUGAAUAUAAUAGUCAAGUGGUCGUAAACCAAGCAAAGAAUAUUUAACUUAGAAGCCUAUAUCCAUUGCACUCACCACAUCGAGAUGGAUUAUUUUCUUAGCACUAUAAGUUGCUAGCACCUUGGGCACAAAAAGAUUUUUCACUCACCUAUGCAGGGAAGGCUUGUUUUCAUUGUUCUCAAAGAUGAUGCGCUCGAGUAUAUUGCUAUUAAUGUCCAUGACAUAUGGAACUUAGCAGAGGAGGAACCAUUCCAAUUGUCUUGUUGCCAAUGUUAUAGAGUCUUCUCAAAUCAAGAGCACCAGUCGUACUGAACAACGCCAACCAACAGGCCAGCUAUAUUCACCUAAAAAUUUAUUAUGAAUUGCAUACGAGGCAAAGAAAACUAACCUAACAUUCAUAACAGAAUACCAAACGAGGAAAGGAUCCUUACUCAGAAUUCAGAAAAACAAGAAAAUGGGACAAUCUCUGGUUGUUGAAUGGCCAGAUAGACCUAUUUUUAAUUCGAGUGUUCCAUCCUGGCUCUCAUUUCCAUAACCAUAUAUAUAGUAUCUAUUGCGGCACCUAGGUCUGUCCCUAUUGUCUAAAAAUCAAAACCGUUAAUCCGAAAGGGAAGAUCAAUUUUUAUCGAAUUCCUAUACUUAGUAUAUGGUUAGUAGGUCAGAUUAGAUCCUACUGGGAUAAGUAGGAGCUGCUGACAUAUUUGUAGGUCCUCUGUUGUGCAUACCCUGCUUCAAGGCAACAAAGGGGAAAAACAUGAGUGAGCCUAGCAGCAGACAUAAUACAUAAUCAGAAUGAGAAAGCACUUCACAUGUGAAAAAAGGAAAGAUAGAAAAAGGGUCAUGUGGAUGCCUAUGGAUAAUAUGUAUUGAUUACUUAUCAUUGAUGGGACCAAACAGAUUUCUAAUCAAUUGAAAUUUAUUUUGCACAAGAGGCUAACGCUAUCUGAUCCACACCAUUCUGUGCAUCUAGAAAAGACAUGAAAGAAAGACACAACCGCCAAAAGGAAAGAAACUCACCAACACAUCUUCCAAUCUUAUUAGUCUACGCAGAUCCUCUUGGUUGAGGUCCUACAUCACAUAGCAUAGAGGAAAGGAGCAUCAGCAAGCAUGAAGCAGAAGGAAGAUGUGCUCCAAAUCCCCAAGAACACAAUAUUGAAGAAUAGACAGAAAGAAGUGUGUGGGUAAGAUCAUGUAACCCUGUUGUUUCCAUCAGGUAGAAAUAGUGUACAUAGUAUUUUAGAGUUGGAAAUGCAGACGUUCAAUUAUUGUACUGUGAAAUAUGUAAAUUUAAGAGUAAGGAAAAGCUGAAGUUUAUUACCUGACCAAAGAUGUGUAAGCAUGUCUAGAUACAUGUGUUGGUUGUCUAACACUGAAAAAUAGAAAUAAUCUAUGAAAUAAAAUACGAUAAUGCUUUUAGAUUUGCAGCUGUUUAAUGAAGAUGUGUAAGCAUGUGUACAUACAUGUGUUGGUUGGCUGACACUGAUAAAUAGAAAUAAUCUAAGAAAUAAAAUAUGAUAAUGCUUCUAGAUUUGCAACUGUUUAAUCAGCAUUAGACUGCAAAUAUUACCCAGGUGAGAAAUUCUGCAUGAGUCAUGUUUAGACUAUUUGAGCAGAACCUCUAAAGAACCCUACAUCCUCAAGCACAAGCGUCGUGUAUCAGUGAAAGGAAAUUCCAAAACAUCAUGAAGGUACAAAUGAAGCCAAAAAUGUUACAGGGCAGCAUCACCUAGAGAGCACGGACCUAGCAGAGGGGCAUAGAAGGCAAGCAAACCACAGUGCACUGUGUUACAUCGGGCUGGACUAUGGGCAACCCGUGCUGGCGUGUCGGCUGAUUCGGAGCUGAGGUCGGAACUAUGCCGGUAUGUUACCCACACCAGGGUCGCUGCCACCAACGGUAGGGCAAAACCCUAGGUCACCUCAUUGCCACCGCCACCGCCGCCACGUUGGGCGCUCGCUGUUGCUCCGUACGUCACGUGUGGAGGUGUGGAGGAGAACAAGGGCCGCGGUAAUCGUGCCGAGUGGCAGCCAUUGUGGAGGUCCACUUGUGCCACCGCCCUAUCUGCAUUGGAAGGGAUGUGGGGAGAGAGAGAGAAUGGAAGGGAAGAGACUGUCGAGACUUAUACGCACGGUGGAUGGAGGAGGGGGCUAGCGCUACGCUGGCUUGGGGCGUCGUCGUGCCAUCGCCCCUGCCUCAGCCGCACCGCCCGUGGGGCGCUGUCGUCUCGUCGCCUCCACCUCAGGCUCGAGAGAGAGGAUGGGGAGGUCAUGCUAUUUUUUUAUGAGGAGUGGGGAGAGCGCUAGAUGUUUUUGUGGAGGCCGACGUGGGCUGCUCGUGGACACACAAAGGGAAUCAGCCAAUCAGGCUAAGAUGGACCAAUGGGAGGGGGAGGAGGUGAUGUGGCAUUGAGGUGCACCAAUGGCAGAUUUGAGGAGGCGUGGCUGGGGUGGCGACACGGGGAGCAACGUAGAAUUGUUAGGGUAAAUUAGUCCAAAAAUUUUAGAUAUAAAAAUAAGAAAUUCACAAGAUAAUAGAAGUGUAGUAGUUUCGAAAUUUAUACUAUACAAUCUGCAGUAAUUGAAAACUAUCUGGAAUUAUUUGCAAGCUAGUCGCAUGGAAAAACUAACCCUUUCAUGAAGUCCACAGUAUUAGCAAGGCAAAACUGUAUCCAAAUCAAGCUGGAUGGUCAAAGUUGCAGAACAAGAUUCAGGGCCAAAUGAACACCUUCCUUAGAAUUUGCAACAUCUGAGUUGUCUGCUACUUGGCUAAAUCAAAUUGAACAAACAUUGAGGAUGUUGCUUAUCUCCUUGCUGUGACAAGAAAGAGGGGACAAAGGGGAAGCAAAAACAAACCUCAAAGGAACUCAUAGCGGUGCUUAUCUCGUCCUAGGGUUUAUUCUUUUGAGUUUUAAAGUGUCUGCAACAUAAUUUAAGGAAAGGUCCAAUAGCAUUAGUUUGUUUCCAAUCAGAGAAUUGGGAACAUAAAUUGAAGAUGAUGCAAUAAAGUUCAACAGAUCUUUAAGAAUAUCUUGUAUUGUGUGUUUAAAUUUUGUUUUAUAGGAAAAAGAAAGUUGUUCAUGUACCUCAAGAGCACUAAAAUUUGCAUACAUAGGUAUUGAAAGGGAAUAAAGAAUUAAAGAAAACCCAGAUUACCUUGGUCCAGUAGUGGUUACACAAGAGGAAUCUGCAAGUCACCAAACCACAUCUAGAAAAAGAUAAGGAUACACUGACAUAGUUCAAUUUGAAGCAUGGAUCAUUGCAAAGAUCUAACAAAUAAAAUUAAGAUCUUUUGUAGACAAUGGAAGCAUAAUAGCUGGCAAAGUUAGACUGUAAACCUACAGUAAAUGGAAAAUAAAUAUAAUCUCCAAUUAAAACUAUUGGCAAGCCGGUAGCAUGGAAAAGUUAACCCUCAUGACCCCACAACAUUAGCAAGGCAAAUUCAUAUUCAGAGCAAGUUCAAUGGUUAAAGCUACAACAAUUAGGUACAAGUAUAAAUUGCUUUGUACCUCUAUUUACCUUACAUAGGGAGAACGUAUAGUAUGCACAAAAUAAAUUGUUGGCAUCUCUUGGAUGAAGAUAGAAACUGAAGGUUUUACAUGGUACUGAAAUUAUGAACAUAUCCAUUUUAUUGUGAUUGCUGCACAAACCAAUGUAGCACAGACCAGCGACUUUCAGCUGUCUCCAUAGCACCCAAAAUUAAUCUCAUGCAUACCGAAGGAAAAUAA